AAUGUUUUCAAAACUGUUUUUAUUGAGUCAAGAAGGGGAUAAUGAACUUAUUAGAUUCAUGCUUGUUAUCUAACCACUCUUUAGCUCCAUUCUAGACUUACUGAUUGCAGAUAGUACUAAAGAUACUAAAGUGGAUCAACCUGUCAACUAUGUUCACACUUGCUGAGAUUAUUUGAAGGAACCAAAGCUGACCUCCAACCUAAUUUGACUUAACUGCUUGUCUUGGGGCUUGGUAUACACUGGAUCGGAUUCCUCCCUCAGGUCUGAAAGGUAAAAGUCUAAGUGAUUUUGGUUUCCUUAUCUCCUCCCUUUGGCAUCCUAAUAAAAUAAAAUAAAAGAUUGAGAUGAUUUCUUGCGGUUUAGAGGGGUAGGUACAUUACCGAUGACCCCAUUAUUCUACUCUAAUAUAAUGAUCACACAUUGUUGGAAGUGAGGGGUAGGUACAUACCGAUGACCCCACUAUUCGCCUACACUUUGUCAACAAAAGAAAAAAAAAAAAUAAUAAUAAAAAAAUCGAAAAGAAGGUGAAUAAGAUGGAAUGCAUCAGCAUCUUUGUUCAUUGGAAUUGAGAUAAAAAGGAUUCAGAGAAGGGAGAUAUAGAGUAAAAGAAACCAGAACAAGACUACCUGUUUAUCAGAUACCUGUUGGGGUAAGAGUCCAUGUGUCUUGUGAUCGAUACUCCCAAGGUAAAGCAUACACAUUUAUUUAUGUUAAGAAAUGAGGUUGGUAGAGGGGAAUGUCAGACAUGAUUUACUAAGAUGUUGGCUAGGUGAAUUUGGUUGCUAAGCUAGGAUAUUGUAUAAUGUGCUUCUGUGAUUAGGACUUCUUAGAUGUGGAUUGCAAUAUUGGAGAGGUGAUGAUUCUAAGUUUUAAAUCAUGUGAGUCCCCGCUGUUUUCAAAACCUCUUUAAGAGAGACUGCCCGUCUGUUUUGCUUGAGGAUAAGCAAAAGGGUAAGUUUGGGGUAGUUGAUAGACCAUAUAUUUUAUCCAUUUUUAAUCAUGGUCUAUAAGUGUUUUAAAGUGUUUUAAGAUACAAUUAUUAUGUUUUGAAGUCUAUUUAGAGUAUUAACAGGUUCAGGGACGUUUAAGAGAAAUAUGGUGAUUUUGGAGUCUUUUGGAGCUUUUGGAGGUGCAGAGUUGCACAGACGCGUCAGAUGUUUAGCAAUGGAUGGAGACCUUCCGACCGUUAUAUUGAGCCCAUAUUUUGAAAAAAGAUAGAUCUUUGAGUUAGAUUUCCAAUGCCACCGGUCUCAGGUCAAUCAGCAUCUCGUAGCAGAAGUUAUGCCUGUUUUACUGAAGAGUGGUCAGUCUGCCUCGCGAGAAGAAGCUGCCGAGAAGAGGAAGCCGCGUCGAUCGAUGCAGCACUCUGCACGUCGAUCGAUGGAGAUCCCAGAUCGUGGGCCUUCUAUAUUUUAUGACCAGAAGUAACCACAAAUUACCAGAAUGCCCUUGGACGACCAGAAACCCUAUUUAUGUUAUUUCUAAGCCAUUGUUGACGGCUAUGCUUUAUUGACGCUUUCAUUUUCAUUGUUUCUCUUAGAGGAGAGAAGGGAGGAAAUCCUAUCAGAGUCCUCCUGGAACUCCAUUGGUUUCCUUAUCUAUUCUAUUUCAAUUUUAUAUCUAUUCAUCUAUGAUUUCUGUUUUCAUGUCUGAGUAGAUCCACCUGUUAGAUCCAGGGUUCAGAUAGGUUUGUGGGAUUAGCUCCAAACUAUAGAUCUGCCUUGUUAUGAUAUUCAUGAUAGAUUUGUAUUCAUUGCUUGUUUUAGAAUAAUUAACUAGAACUUGAUCAUAGGAUUGCAUACUCAAGCACCCUUGUUAUCCCAUCCUGACAUCUAUCUAUCAUAUUAGGACUGCUAGAGAGGGCUAACCGCCAAUUUAGUAUCUUAAUAGGGCAUAUCAUACUCGCGCAUAGGCCUGGCUAGAACCCGUCGAUCGAUGUCCUCAACUGACUAUCGGUCGACGUAGGCAAAGGUGUAUCGGUCGAUGUCCCAAUAGGACCAUCGAUCGACACUCUUUCGUUGUCAACAUACUAACCGUUGAGACACGAGAUCUAGCUUGUUAACCAAUGAAACAUGCGACAGCUGAUCACUGAGUUAAGCGGUUGAGCUCUAACAUAUCAUGCAUGCAACAAAUAGGUACCUAUAGGAAUUAUAAUAUCCAACACCUGAAUAGAAACCCUAGAUCUAUCAACCAUCCUUCCAUCAAACUACUACUUGCCAAGCUGAACAAUUACCUUGUUCAUCUUGUUUAUUGCUUUAUUUAUUACUUGCUUUAUUUACUGCUUUAAAACCUAUUAGCCUAGCUUAAUCAUAUAACUAUUAGAUCUAAUCGGUUACCUAGCUCCUUGUGGAUUCGAUCCCUAAGUACUAUAACUCGACCUCUUUUGAUAAGAGUAACACUCUUUAAGAUAAUUUGAGUGAUAUCAACAACCCAACCCGAUUGUGAGCCACAUUUUCUGCACGAAAGCGAUCAUCUAGGAUUCAUCUUCGAUCUCUUUUUUUUUUUCAUCUUCGAUCUCUGUCUAGCUUAAGCAACAAUGGUGUCUUCGAGAGGAUUCUUCAUGGUGAAUCUCUGAACCAAACUCUGUUCGUUCCAUUUCUUCUGAGAUUCAUCUCUAUGAACCGUUACAGAAUGUAAUGAUUCGUUGCCAUUAAUUACUGUCUUAACUUCUUUGACCCAAUCCAAACACGAUUCUUCAUUCAAUGUAUCUUCGCUCUCUACAAGAUGGUGGCUCUAAUCUAUAAAAAGGUUAGAUUUUAUCAUGUAAAUAUCAUCCUCGCAAAUCCUAAAGAUACUAGAAACUUCUCAUUGUUUACGCAUCCCUUGCCAAAUCUCAAUCUCAUGUCUCUCCAAGAUACCCAAAUUCUUGCAAUCAUAUCUUCGGUAUGAUUUCACCUCUUUUCAUUUCGGAAACUGUAGAUCUCGACUGUUAAAAGAUUAGUCAUUCGAUAUUGAUAUGCUGAAUACCUUUUAGGCUUGCACCGUUUUACUAACAUCCAAGGAAAUUAAAUCAUACCUUCUCUCUGCUUCGGUUGAUUUCAGAAGCUUUAAUAUUGUGAUUAGCAAUUAUUGGUUCUGAAAAGUUCCAGAAUCUGUGUUCACUGUAAUUAUGAGUUUACCAGGAAGUAAAGGAUGUGGAGGAAGAGUCUUGAUGGAUGAAUCUAAUAAAAGAGUAUACCAAAAUUUUAAUUGAGAAAAGUGAAACGCCUAAAGCUACAAACACGGGAGCAUUGGCAAACCAGGCAGGAACCGUUCUUCAAGAACCAAGUCACUUGGUAGAUAUAAAAGCAAAGCAGAGAGUUGCAUGUGGGUUCCAAAACGUCUGAUAGAUGAUCAAUUAAGAUGAAAAUGCGUACUUUCAGAGCUUUCAUGUCAUCAAACACAGAAAAAAAAGUCCUUCGGAAGGAAAACUUUCAAGAAAAGUACUGGAGUUGCAAGCUAAUCCUACUGUGCUUUCUAAGUUAGAAAACUACUAAGAAAGCUCAUAAAAAGAUGGAAAAAUAUGUGAUUGCUUUGGGUUCAGUCUUGCGUUCCAAGAAAACAGUUAAACUUUUUUUUGUACAUAUAGCUUUAUAUUUGAUGCUUGACAGAAAGAGGGAGAAGUCAGUUUUUGGUUUGUGGAGUGAAAGUUUGUUGUAUCAUAAAUUGGAAAACCAUAAAGUAAGAUUUUCUUAGGCAAGAUUAGAAUCUAAUUUAUGUCAUCACUAACCAUUGUUUUCACAUAUAAAAUCAUACAUCCUGUGGGAUUAAGCUUGAAGUAGAGUAAGAAGCAAGUUACCUAAUCAUAAAGAGUUAUGGAAAGAUAUAAUGAUUAGGAAAUAUAGACUUAUGUUAAACGUAAUGAGUUUAGGAAGUUAUGAGUUAUAUAUAAGGAGAUGCUAAUGUGUAGCAUAACUUAAUGAGUUGUGAGAGCUUUGGUUUUUGAGAUAGUUUUCUAAAGCAUUGAGGUUAAUAAGAAGAGUUCUUAUUUUCGUGUGUGUCAUCUCAUAAUCAAAGAGGUUACAAUUACAAUAUUUGGUAUCAGAUCCAAAACGAAAUCAUGAGUGAUUUAGUUCCAGCAACCGUGAAGGUAAAAGGAGGAGGAGCUUCUUCCUCGAUACAAUGUCCCAUGCUUACAUCAACUAACUAUACUGUUUGGGCCAUGAGGAUGAGAAUUGCUCUUAAGGUUCAUAAAGUCUGGGAAGCAAUAGAAGAAGAUGCAACAACCGGCGAGAAGAAUGAUAUGGCAGUAGCGCUAUUAUUCCAAUCGAUACCAGAAGCACUUGUGUUACAAGUAGGAGAGUUUGAGACAGCUAAACAAGUUUGGGAAGCCAUUAAAACCAGGCACAUAGGGGCUGAGCGAGUUAAGGAAGCGAGACUUCAGACUCUGAUGAAUGACUUCGAUUGGUUAAAGAUGAAAGAUACCGAAAGCAUCGACGAUUUUGGUGGUAAACUAUCGAAGCUUGCAACAAAGUCGGCCUCUCUUGGAGUUCACAUUGAAGAAGUGAAACUUGUGAAGAAAUUCCUUUCAAGUCUCCCGCGUAAGAAGUUUAUUCACAUAUUAGCCUCGCUUGAAUAAGUGUUGGAUCUCAACACAACAAGCUUUGAGGACAUCAUGGGACAUUUAAAAGCAUAUGAAGAGCGCAUCAAGGAUGACGAAGAAGUAGAAGAUGAUCAACCGAAGCUGAUGUACACGCCUACUGAUGGACAACUUAAUCUAAACCGGCCUUCUCAAGCCCAACAAAGUCGAUCGAGUCAAGAACAAGGCUACAACCGAGACUAUUACGGAAACCCGUAUAGAGGUAGAGGCAGAGGAGGUCGUUACGGAAGUUACAGAGGCCGAGGCAGAGGACGCUCAUACGAAGGACGAGAUGCGUCAAGAGUCACCUGUUACCGGUGCGAUAAAGUCGGUCACUUCGUAGCUUAAUGUCCAGAGCUCAAACUUAAGUUACAAGAGGCUCAAGAGAAUGACAACACUGAGACACAGGAAGCUGAUGAGCUUAUGAUGCACGAGUUCGUAUUUUUAAACGAGAAGAAUGUCUUACCGGAUAAAUAUGAAACAAAUACGGAGGAGAACAUGUGGUAUCUCGACAAUGGUGCUAGCAAUCACAUGACCGGGUAUAGGAGAUAUUUUUCAACGAUCAACAACACCAUUACCGGUAAAGUACGCUUCGGUGAUGAUUCUCGUAUAGAUAUUAAAGGAAAAGGGACAAUAUCUUUUUUCGAUAUGAACGGAGACUCAAGAAAGAUGACAGCCGUGUACUUCAUCCCUGACCUUAGAAGCAACAUCAUAAGUUUGGGACAAGCCACAGAGGCGGGCUGCGAUAUCAGACUGAAAGGAGAUGAACUAAUUAUGCAUGAUAAGCAUGGAAAACAUCUUGUCAUAGCCACGAGAUCAAGAAACAGGCUCUAUAAGGUUCACAUGGGUCUAAAGGCAGAAGCAUGUCUUCACACUUCUACAGAAAACGAGUCAAAGAGAUGGCACUGAUGCCUAGGGCAUAUAAACUUCGACUGUCUUAAGGCUAUGAUACAAAAGGAGCUAGUUAUUGGGAUUCUGAAACUAAGCGUUGAGAAAGAACUAUGUGGAUCGUGCUUACUUGGUAAACAAGCAAGGAGGGUAUUCCCAAAGGCAACUACAUACCGAGCAAGUGAGACACUAGAACUCCUACACGAGGAUCUUUGUGGGCCUAUAAGACCAAACACACUUGCAGGAAAGAAGUAUAUAUUUGUUGUGAUUGACGAUCAUACGAGAUACAUGUGGAGUAUGUUACUAAAGGAGAAAUCAGAAGCAUUCGAAAAGUUUAAAAGGUUGAGAAAAACGGUGGAACAAGAGACUGGGAAGAAGAUUAUUACUUUCAGAACGGACAAAGGAGGAGAGUUCGUAUCAAAAGAGUUUAAUGAUUAUUGCGAGAGCGUCGGGAUAAGGAGACAUCUUACAGCUCCAUAUACACCCCAACAGAACGUGGUGGUAGAACGCAGGAAUCGCACUCUGAUGGAGAUGACGAGAAGUAUAAUGAAGCAUAUGCACAUACCUAACUACAUGUGGGGCGAGGAUACACGGCAUUCAACAUACAUAAUAAAUAGGGUCGCCACCCGAUCUCUGAAAGAGGUGACGCCUUAUGAAAGGUAUCAGAAGAGAAAGCCAAACAUUGAGCAUAUACGGAUAUUUGGUUGCAUAGCGUACGCCAAAGUCGACGCAAAAUUACUAAGAAAGCUGGAUGAUCGUACGCGCAUGCUGGUCCACUUAGGGACUGAGCCAGGAUCAAAAGCUUAUCGCUUAUUUGAUCCCAAUACUCUGAAGAUUAUAGUGAAUUGAGAUGUCGUCUUUGAUGAGGCUAAAAGUUGGAACUGGAACACUGACAAGACAGGCGCAGAUAAGAACUUCGUGGUUACGCUAGGAAGAUUCGGUAACCAUGGAAUAACUACCAAAACAUUGCAAUUGCGUAUAGUCAAGCAACCAGUGAAAACGCAGAAGAAGCACCCGACGUCGAUGUCUCAGAUAACAAUGAUAAUGAAGUUGAGAUCUUUGAACCAGAGACACAAGCAUUAAAAAGAUCAGGAAGAGUACACAUCAAACCUAAGUACCUCGACGAUUACAUCUUGUUGUCAGAAGAGCUCGGAGAAGAGAUACUAAUGUUCCUCAAUAACGAACCGAAGAACUUUAUGGAAGCUAAGGAGUCAAAGGAGUGGACGCGAGCGUGCAUAGAGGAGAUAGAAUCCAUUGAGAAGAAUGAGACUUGGAUUCUAUCUGAUCUUCCCUGUGGAGUAAAGCCUAUAGGAUUAAAAUGGAUAUUUAAACUUAAGCGCAACGCAGAUGGAAGUAUCAACAAGUAUAAAUCGCGUCUGGUGGCUAAGGGAUAUGUACAAAGGUACGGAGUAGAUUUUGACGAGGUCUUCACCCGGGUCGCAAGAAUUGAAACCAUACGGCUCCUCGUUAACCUUGCUGCGACACAUGGAUGGGAAGUGCAUCAUCUAGAUGUAAAAACUGCGUUCUUGCACGGAGAAUUAAAAGAAACGGUUUAUGUCACACAGCCAGAAGGCUUUGAGAAGAAGGGGGAAGAGAAUAAAGUCUAUAGACUCGAGAAAGCGUUGUAUGGACUGCGAAAAGCGCCAAGAGCAUGGAACAACAAACUCAACGCCAUUCUCUGCGAAUUGAAGUUUACAAAAUGCGCAAAAGAACCUCCCGUGUAUCGAAAGUUAGUCAAUGGAGACUUACUUGUGGUGGCCGUUUAUGUGGAUGAUUUGUUUGUGACAGGAACCAAUUCACAAGUCAUACAAGAGUUCAAAGCAAACAUGUUGGGAAAGUUCGAUAUGAGUGACUUGGGUCGACUAACAUAUUAUCUAGGUAUCGAGGUCAAUCAACAUGAGAGUAGGAUAACUCUCAAUCAAAAGAGAUAUGCAUCGAAGAUCUUGGAGGAAGACGAGAUGGACAAGUGAAAUGCUUGUCAUACUUUGAUGGAGAUGGGUCUGAAGCUUUCGAAAGCUGAAACUGAGAGGGAGAUAGACGCGACAAGGUACAGAAGGAACGUUGGAUGUUUACGGUACCUGCUACAUACUCGACCCGAUUUUUCAUUCUACAUAGGAGUCCUUAGCCGAUAUAUGCAGAGCCCGCGAGAGCCGCACGGAGUCGCCAUGAAGCAGGUUUUGCGCUACUUGCGUGGCAGUCUUGCAUAUGGUCUCUCGUUCCCGAGGUCAACAACAAAGAUACCAAAGCUUUGUAUAGUGACAGCAAUCAUAACGAAGAUCCAGAUGAUGGUAAGAGUACAACGGGUCACAUAUUUUACCUUGGAGAUAGCCCGAUAUCCUGGUAUUCACAAAAGCAAGAUACAGUUGCUUUGUCGUCAUGUGAAGCUGAGUUUAUGGCGGGGACAGAAGCUGCAAGACAAGCAAUAUGGUUACAAGACCUACUAAGCGAAGUAACAGGAGAGCCGUGUGAAACAGUGAUGAUUCGGAUUGAUAAUCAGUCAGCUAUUGCAUUAACAAGAAACCCAGUUUUUCGUGGCAAGAGUAAACACAUACACAAGAGAUAUCAUUUUAUCAGAGAGUGUGUAGAAAACGGGCAAGUAGAAGUAGAGCAUGUUCCUGGAGAAGAACAAAAGGCUGACAUCUUAACAAAUGUAUUAGGAAGAAUCAAAUUCAAGGAGAUGAGAGACUACAUUGGCAUGGUCGAUUUGGAGAAUAGAAGCUUCAAGCUUAAAGGGAAGAAUGUUGGAUUCAGCUUGAAGUAGCUUAAGAAGCAAGUUACCUAAUUUUAAAGAGUUAUGGAAAGAUAUAAGGAUUAGGAAAUAUAGACUUAUGUUAAACCUAAUGAGUUUAGGAAGUUAUGAGUUAUAUAUAACGAGAUGCUAAUGUGUAGCAUAACUUAAUGAGUUGUGAGAGCUUUAGUUUUUGAGAUAGUUUUCUAAAGCAUUGAGGUUAAUAAGAAGAGUUCUUAUUUUUGUGUGUGUCAUCUCAUAAUCAAAGAGGUUACGAUUACAAUAUUUGGUAUCAGAGCCAAAACGAAAUCAUGAGUGAUUUAGUUCCAGCAACCGUGAAGGUAAAAGGAGGAGGAGCUUCUUCCUCGAUACAAUGUCCCAUGCUUACAUCAACUAACUAUACUGUUUGGGCCAUGAGGAUGAGAAUUGCUCUUAAGGUUUAUAAAGUCUGGGAAGCAAUAGAAGAAGAAGCAACAACCGGCGAGAAGAAUGAUAUGGCAGUAGCGCUAUUAUUCCAAUUGAUACCAGAAGCACUUGUGUUACAAGUAGGAGAGCUUGAGACAGCUAAACAAGUUUGGGAAGCCAUUAAAACCAGGCACAUAGGGGCUGAGCGAGUUAAGGAAGCGAGACUUCAGACUCUGAUGAAUGACUUCGAUUGGUUAAAGAUGAAAGAUACCGAAAGCUUCGACGAUUUUGGUGGUAAACUAUCGGAGCUUGCGUCAAAGUCGCCUUCUCUUGGAGUUCACAUUGAAGAAGUGAAACUUGUGAAGAAAUUCCUUUCAAGUCUCCCGCGUAAGAAGUUUAUUCACAUAGUAGCCUCGCUUGAACAAGUGUUGGAUCUCAACACAACAAGCUUUGAGGACAUCAUGGGACGUUUAAAAGCAUAUGAAGAGCGCAUCAAGGAUGACGAAGAAGUAGAGGAUGAUCAACCGAAGCUGAUGUACACGCCUACUGAUGGACAACUUAAUCAAAACCGGCCUUCUCAAGACCAACAAAGUCGAUCGAGUCAAGAACAAGGCUACAACCGAGACUAUUACGGAAACCCGUAUAGAGGUAGAGGCAGAGGAGGUCGUUACGGAAGUUACAGAGGCCGAGGCAGAGGAUGCUCAUACGAAGGACAAGAUGCGUCAAGAGUCACCUGUUACGAUUACAAUACAUCCUACAACCAAUCCAUGUUAUUCAGUGCUCAGAAUCAAAAGAGCGACGCUUUCUGAUUUAGAUAUUUUUCCAAAAUGGUAAGAAAUUGUUCAUAUAGAGUUUGAAAAAAGUUUGUUUUCAAAACAUCUUGAAAAAUGAUUUUUAAUGGUUUCCUUCAUAUUCCUCGAAGAGAUGUUACAUUAAAUUAAGUUUCUCUCUAAUUCAUUCCAAGUAUUCUUAAUUUUUAUUAAUUAAUUUAUUGAUAAAAAACUUCUUAUUCAAUUCGAUUAACAUUUUCUACAAAAUUAUAAAAGUCUAUUAUUUUUUUUUUUUUUGACAGCAAGAAAAUCACAGACUCAUGAUGACUCUGUAAACCAUGUUGGUAACUCCGCAUCCAUGUGAACGACAAAGGACAGUUGCUUCCUUGCACUACGUGCUAAGCUAUCCGCCCGAAGAUUCGCCAUCCGAGAUACAUGAACGAUGUCUGAGUUGAGGAAACUUCUUUUGAGAAGCUUGAUAUCUUCCAAAUAACUUUCAAAUGCUGGCCAUUCUUCUGGUUCCGAAACCAUCUUCACCAAUUGAGAACAAUCCGUUGCAAACGUAACCUGGAACUGUCGUAAAUUCUUCAUGCAUUCCAUUGCCCAAAUCAAAGCCUCUACCUCCGAAUGAAGGGGAGAGAGGCAUGCCCUUACAUUCCUUGCCCCCAGUAGACCAUCAAAACCCGGUAAAGUACUAUACCAGCCUUGCCCUGACAUUUGAUCCUUAUCCUUCCAUGAACCAUCAACAAAACACCAUCGACCUGAUAUCUCUAAAGGAGUAAUAGCUUGUACCGAGAGCCCCCUCGUUUGUUCAUUUCCUACUUGUGCCUCUGUCCAGAGUGAAGAUUCUACCUCCGCUAAUUUUAGAGUGUCACGUGGAUCAAUAUCCAAAUUACUAAAGACUUUGUUAUUUCGGGCUUUCCAAAUAUACCAUAGAAUCCAUGCAAACUGAUGGUCAUCCAUCUUCGGUUGCACUCUCCAAAAAAGAUGAUCCAUAUUAGCAAAUAAAGAGCUGAUAGGAAAGAUAUUAGGCGAUGACGGAAUCUUGGAAAGUGCCCACACUUGACGUGCAGGGGGACAUUCAAAGAAUACAUGAUUUAUUGAUUCUUCGGGGUCUCCACAACGAGCACAUCAUAUAUCUCCUCUUAUCCCUCUUGCCUCUAAAUUUUUCAUUACCGAUAUACAUCCUGAGACCAGUUGCCACAAGAAAUGUUUAAUCUUCGGUGGGCACCGCAAUUUUCAGCAGAAAGCUUUCAAGGUAUUUACUGUAGGGCCAUAAAAGAUUGGAGGUUUUACCCUAUCAGGGUACAUGCGUUCAACCUGAUAACCUGAUUGUACCGAAUAUUUUCCAUUAUUAGUAAAAUGCCAUCCAUUCUUAUCCUCGAGCUGGUUCCUACUUAAAGGGAUACUUUCAAUAAUUUUUGCGUCAUUCGGAUCCACUAGAGUCCUGAUUGCCUGCACAUUCCAUGAACGGGAUUCCUGAUUGAUUAGGGAAUCCACUGUGAGGUCCGGAUAAAUGUUGUGAGAAUUUUUGUUUGCUGGUCUCGGGCGAGUGGUUGGGAUCCAAGGAUCAUUCCAUACAGAAAUAGAUGAUCAUGUUCCCACCCUUUUAAUUAGUCCUUUACAAACCAGAGAUCUAGCAGAAAUAAUACUCCUCCAGCCAUAUGACGGGGAGGAAGAUCGGAUCGGUUCCAGGGGUGAAGCAUUCCUAUAAUACCGUCCUUUAAAAACUCUUGAGAAAAGAGUAUUUGGUUUCUCAAUUAGCCUCCAUAGUUGCUUACCAAGCAUUGCUGUAUUAAAAUCCAUGAGAUCCUUAAAACCCAAACCACCAUUAUCUUUGGUUUCACACAAUUUAUCCCAUGAUUUCCAGUGCAUACCUUUUGUACUACUUCCUGGGCUCCACCAAAAUUGUGCUACAGCACCCGUUAGCUUCUUAACUGUAGCUUUCGGUAACCUAUACACAGACAUUACAUGGUUUGGUAAGGCCGUAAUCACCGAUUUAAUAAUCACUUCCUUUCCACCUUUUGUAAAAAAACGAAAGGUCCAUCCGUUAACCCUUUUAUUCAACCGUUCUUGAACAAAUCCAAACACUUGGACCUUAGAGCCGCCCAGACUUUCCGGUAAGCCUAAAUAAGUUCCCAUUCCACCUAGAGUAUGGAUUCCCAAGAUAUCUCGCAACUCUUGCCGAAUAGUGUCAUCAAUCUUGUGUCCAAAUUGAAUUGACGAUUUCUGGAAAUUAAUCAGUUGCCCUGAAAUAGUCUCAUAUUCCUUUAGAAUCCUAAGAAUAGUUUGACAUUCUUCCUUGUUUGCCUUACAGAAAAACAAACUGUCAUCUGCAAAUAGUAGAUGAGAAAUUGCAGGACAAGCCCUUGCCACUUUCAUUCCAGUUAGUAAUUUCUCCCUCUCCGCCUUUUUAAUAUUUGAAAUUAACGCCUCCGUACACAUAAUAAACAGAUAAGGAGAUAAAGGAUCUACUUGACGUAAUCCUCUCUGAGGGAUUAUCAUUCCCCGAGGCUGCCCAUUUAGAAGAACUCUAUAUUGGACUGAAGAUACACAUUCUCUCAUCAUUUUGAUCCAAUGUGAAUCAAAGCCCAUUUUUUGCAGGAGGGCCUCAAUAAAAUUCCACUCUAUCCGAUCAUAUGCCUUACUCAUAUCAGUUUUUAUAGCCAUAAACUUAUCCUGGCAAGACUUAUUUGUUCGUAGGCCAUGAAACAUUUCCUGCGCAAUGAGAAUAUUAUCCGAAAUUAACCUUCCUGCCACAAAAGCCGAUUGUGUUUCCGAAAUUAACCUGGGAAGGCACCGUUUCAAUCUUUGGCAUAAAACCUUCGAAAUUAUCUUGUAACCAACAUUACAAAGACUUAUCGGCCUUAGUUCCGUCAUCUUUGUAGGUCUCUCUACCUUUGGAAUCAUACAAAUAUUAGUUAAAUUUAGUCUUGGAUCCAGAAUUCCUGUGACCAAAAACUCAUUCACCAAUUCCACCACAUCUGUUUUAAUUACAUGCCACGAAUGUUGAAAAAAAAGAGCUGUCAUUCCAUCCGGUCCUGGAGCUUUCUCCGGAUGCAUCAUAAAUAAAGCUUGUCGGACCUCUUCUUCCGUUGCUACCCGCAGUAGCAUUUGAUUCAUCUGUGGGGAGAUUGAUGGUCUUAUCUCUUCCAGAAAACUAUCAAACUCAGUAGGGAUGGUAGAUUUAAACAAACCCUCAAAAUAAUCUACCGCCACCUUUUCCACACCAUUCUCAUCCGUGACCCAAUUACCCAUUUCAUCAUGAAGGUCCACUAUUUUAUUCCGAAUCCGACGUUGCUUUGUCAAAGCAUGAUAAAACUUUGUAUUAAGAUCCCCAGAUGAAUACCACAUAUUUCGACUCUUCUGAUGCCAAUACUCCUCCUCGUCCUUGUAGGCCUCUUGUAAUUUCUUAGAAAUCUCAAUAAUAUCCUCCUGUGAUCUAUUGUUAUCCAUUUGAACCUCUUCUAAUGCUUGUUGAAGAUUUUGAAUCUUUUCCUUUCCAUAUGGUUGGUUGUCUUUUCGCCAGGAGGAUAUUUCAUGACGGCAAUUACUAAUUUUAGAUAUAAAAUCCUCUGGUUGACCUGCCCGAGUUUCUGUCCAGCCCGACACUAUUGACUCCAUAAACCCCUCUUGGCCUAUCCAUCUUUUAUCAAACCUGAAUUGUCCCUUUCGUCUCUUUGUCGGUUUCUCAUCCAAAAAAGCUACCACGGGACGAUGAUCCGAACCUACCAUCUUCAAAUAUUCAGUAUAAGAGCAUGGGAAAAGUGUAUGCCACUCCUCAUUAGCCAACGCUCUAUCUAGUCUGCAACGGACCAUUACCGCACCCUUUCCUUUACCUCUCCGUCCUUGCCAUGACAUUUUAUUUCCACGAGCCGGAAAUUCUAAUAAACCGCUAUUUCUGAUCAUAUUGUUGAAAGGGAUAAACGAUGUCGCACUUCUCAAAGAACCCCCAUCCUUUUCAUGAUUCCCAGUGAUCUCAUUUAGGUCUCCUAUAAUAAACCACGGUUCCGAUCUGGCUAAACCGUACCGGGUUAAUCUCUCCCACACCUGAUCCCUUAAUGUCUGAUCUGGCUCUCCAUAUACAAAUGUAAGGAAAGCUUGUUUCCCAUUAACCACCGCCUCCACAUCUAUCAUUCUAUUACUAGAAUAUAAGAUUUUAACAUGAUAUUCAUUAUUGUAAUAAAGAGCCAACCCGCCACUUCUCCCAACUGGCUCCACCGUAACCAGACUAUCAAAACCAAAAUGUGAUUGAAAUCGUUGUACAAAUCCAAACUCUUGCUUCGUUUCAGAUAAAAAUAAAAAAUCUGGUUUAUGAUUAUGCCAUAUCUCCCUAAGAUAACUUAUGGUCCAGUGGCUUCCAACACCUCUACAGUUCCAACUUAAUAUUUUCAUAUAUAAAAUUCUUGUGUCGCUCCUUCGAGCCGGAAGAUCUGAGUUUAAUGAUACUCAGCAAUCUUAUGAUCCCAAAUCCCCGUAAUCCCUGCAAAACACGCUUAAGCCCCAUAAAAUCUCCAUCAAUCUCCUGAGAAUCCUUACGUCGCCAGUUAGGCCCGUUCAGCCAACAUACUAACGUCAUAUUACCAACAUUCAAAAAACCCGUAAUACCAAUAGACAUAUACUUAUUAUUAAUUGAGCGCUCACGGUUCGCUCUAAAAAAUGCAUAAAGAUUAUGAAAAUAAAAUGAAGUUCUCAAAGUCUUAGAAUCCUGUCUAUUCUUAUAAUAUAUACCGGUUAGCCCAUAGAACCAUUUUAAAAUAUUUUCCAAAUUUCUGCACACCAAAUUCCCUCUGUUACUGUAAACCCAUGUUGACGCAUGUCGAGAACCUUUACAUAGCAAAUGAACUCUAUAUGAAACAAAAUCUAUAAGUUUCCAACAAACCCAUCUCAAGGAAAUAUAAAGAAAGGCGAGUCCAAUAAGACACGUAUACUCCAAAGGAAACACAUAAAUCCAUGCACUUAAUUCACGUAUCAUAACUCGUACAAAAUGGAACCCUUUAUAUCCAAAGCCAAAGCCACAAUAGCUAUUCCAAAAUAUACCUUUCAUAUCCCAUCUCCUCAGACACCAGCUCACAUAAUCCUUUCCAACCAAUGAUCCAGGGGCAAGCAGGAUACCAAACCAAGAUAGUACCAAUACGUUACUUGAGAAGCUAGUAAUGAUCCACCCUCCACACCCGUAAAUCCAAACCAAAAAGACCAAAUAUUUUCCCCAAAGUAAAACAGUUCCAAGUACACCACAAGAGCACCACAAAACCAAACAUCCAAUUUUAUUCCAGAUCUUAAUAAGACAUCUUAUUUUAAUAAUUAAGAACCCAUCCUCAUCACCUAAUUCCCUUUUACUUAAUUUUAUUAUUAUUAAGCCGUGAUACAUAAAUUUAGAACUUGAGAUUCGACUGCUUCGGGUAUGAAGGCCCCUUACUCUCCACCGGUUUACCGUUAUCUCCGGGACGAGUUCCCACCUUUGCAGCAGCUCUUUUGCGUGGAGAGAGAAGCGCACUUGCCGUCCUCAUCUUGUUACUUCCCACAAUGCUACUAGUAGGCUUGAACAGCCUCUUGCGAUUACCCUGUCUCUUCGCCAUCUCUUCUGUCGCCGUGUCUUUGCUGCUGUCAAACUCACCACUCUCCAUCCCUUCCUUCUCCUCCGAGUAUUCUUGAACCCCAAUAACCUCAGAAUCUUUCUCCGCUUCCUCCUCCGAGAGAGUCUGGAACUCCUCUUCUGUUGUCAACUCCACCCCUCUCUCCAAUAAAGAAGCAUUGAUAGCCUCUAGUUCCAUAUCAAUAGCCUCUAAUUCCAUAUCAUCUUGGUUCUCCUUCAUUCCCUGUAACUGGAGUAACCCCAUCUCCUCCUUUGUAGCCUCCAUAAUCGCUUCUGAGCCCUCUGCCUGCGUCUUAGCUAGUUCGAGUUGAAACUCUUCAGUAGCUGUAGUGGCAUCUACCGCAUCAGUGCCCUUAAUCUCUCCUUCUUCACGUACCUCCUGACCUAUGUUCUGCUGUCUUUGUUCAUCUCUCAGCUGUUCCAUAGAAGGCCUACUACGUGCCUCGUGAACCCCAGCUCCCUCACCCUUAGCUCCGCUGCUUCCCUCGUCUCUUCUGGAGGUUCUGAACCGUGAACCCUCGCCACCACCUCUGUAAUUACCGUGGUGAGAAGGAGCCACUCUAGAUCCCCCUCUCAUCAACCUUAACCCACUUGGAUCCACCUGCAUCAGAUGCCUUCCCCUUCCCCUUCCCAUAAUACUCCCGAACAUCUCGCUUUUUAUUCUGUUGAGUUGUUUGACCAUUGAUAACAACACCUUUAUAGCUACGAGCGCCUCCUUCAUGCUUAGCCCCAUCAGACCAUGCCCAUUGCCUUCUCUGAUCUCCCUCCUUCGUUCAGGACUCGGCUUAGGUUUCUUCUCAUUCAACGGACAUAGCUCAUCCUUGUGGCAAAGACUGGCACAGAGCUUGCAAUACCCAAAUAAUUUCUCAUACCUCAGAGACACCGCCACCUCCUCUUCCUCAUAAAAUUCUCCUCCUUUGAAAUCCACCGUCGUCUCGAAGCAUAACUCCUUAAAAGCGUCAAUCACUACUUGAACCCGGUUAUGCUUCACAUCAACCGCAACAACUCUCCCCAAGGCUCCACCAAUACUCUCGAAGGUCGGGACCGUCCUGAACUCCAGAGGAACCCCCAAGACUCUUAUCCAGAACAUGAUCUCUGAGGGAAAAAGCUUGGAUUGUUUUGGUUGCCACCUUGCCAAAGCCAGCAUCCAGUAGUCAAAAUGGUAAGGCUGUUGCUUCAACACCGCUUCAAGUUCCUCCUUCGUCGUGAAGUCGAACUGAAAUUUACCAAAGCCCAGAUCAGUACCCGUUACCCUCUCUUCCUGUUUCCAAAUCUUUGGGAGAUUUGUGAAAAGCGCAUUCAUCUCCUGCUCCACUGGAUUCAUACAUCUCCCGAUCAAUGUCUUGGAAUAGGUUUUGAUCAGCGCAGAAUUGUCGAAGUGCGCCACUGAAAUCUUCAAUCUCUUACGCAUGCCUGCACCGUUCCUCAGCUCCUCACCGUGAUUCAACAUCUGACUCUGCGUCAUGAGUAUCACAAAGAAGAAGCACGAUUGAAGCAUAUAAUGGCAAAAUGAAAAAGCAAUGAUGUGCCAAAGAGACUCAAUAAACUUUUUCUUAUAUUGACCCCAGUUUUCCAAAAAUUCCCAUACCAAAUAUCCCACAAUUAACCCGUAUCUCCUUAAUUUGAUAGUCUCUGAUCUCAAUCCCGAAAGAUACGACGACCCCCAAUCCUCCAUAAGGUAAAGCAAAUCAAUCGCUACUAGAUGAAAGUGGAAAAUUAAAUAAUCAUAAUCUAGAUUACAACCUGUAGAGAUAUUGCAAUCCACCUUGAUAGCCUCUGAAAUCCCUCGCCUUUGUCCCCAAAUCUGCAGUAUCCAUAAGAUCUCACAGAACUCCUUCGCUAUUCCCAUAACGGUCCCCAAACUAUCCAAACGCAGACCUUGAAAACCACAAUCCGUGAAUUGAUCAUGAAAGAUCGGAAAAACCCAAUCCCCAUCUCUAAUUCCCGGAUCCCAUCUUCUUGAAAUCAUGAAACCCUAAAUCGCCAAAAGCAUCGCCUCCAUAAAAGUCUAUUCAGUUAUUGUAAAAAAUUAUUUUGUUUACUAAACUUAUGAACUUAUUUAAAAACAUGUAUAAAAUAAUAAAUUGACAUAACUAAGUAAAAUACAUAUACUCUCGAAUUGGUGACAGAAGUUCUAUUUAGUUUUAAGUUACAAAAAAGAUCUAUUUAGUCGACUAAAACUAAAAAAAACAACUAAGAAAAAAAAAUAUAUACCUCCCGCACCGAUAGUAAAAUACAGAGACAGAAAAAGGUUUUGAAAAUCGGACGGGACCGGCCGGUCGAACCGGUCUGACCGUGACUCGUUAAAGAAGCCGAGUCCGGUUCGGUGUAAAAUUCGGAUUUGAGAAAAACCGGUGAAACCGGCUAAAAACCGGUAAAACCGGUGAUCCGGUUAAACUUUGAAACCGGUUCAAUAGAAAUCAACAUAUAAUUAAUGUAUUUUUAAUUAUUAUUAAAAUAUAAUAUUUCAUAAUUAAUGUUUAACUUUUACUAUUUAAUUAGUUUUCUAAUUGAUUUUUUUUUUAAAGAUGUUUUUUAAAAAAAUCUCUUUUUGACUCUCAUAUUUUAUUCUCAUUUUUCUAUAUUCAUAAAAUUUAAGACUUUUAGUUGUAAAAAUAAGUAAAUAUGUAAUUUAAAUGGUUAUUCAUUUUUUUAAUCAAUUUUGGUUGAUAUAGUAUUCACUUGUAUAUAUAACUAAACUUAUGGUUAUUGUUUAUUAUCUAAUUAAUAAAAGAGAACAUAGAACAUAUUAUAUGUAGAACUACAUUUUAGGUCUAUAUAGUGUAAAUAUAUGAUUAUUUACAUUUAUUUAUUUUUAAAUAGAAAACCCGGUUCGACCGGUUGAACCGGUCCGACCACAUAACCAGUAGCUUUACCGAGCCGGUAUCCGGUCCGGUUUUAAAAACAUUAACAGAAAGUAAAUUUUUUUUGGUAAAAUACAUAAAAUAAGUUGUUAAUGGGGGUGAUUGAUUGGGCUGUAGCUUUAGAAAAUUUACUUUAAAAUUUAGUCUGUAGGAUUUUUUUAUUUAGCUUUAAAGAAAUGUAGCUUUAAAGUUUUCUAUAGAUAAAAAGAUGGGGCUUUAGAAAAUAAAAAUUUUACAACUAUUUUUUGUGUUUUUUGGCUGUAGCUUUAUUUUUUUGGCUGUAGCUUUAAAAAUCAAUAUAAAGCAUGAUUGGUAAUAUUUAAGGUUGUAGAUGAAAAUUAAAGCUAAAGUUUCCUCCUACAGCCCAACCAAUCACCCCAAUGUCUUACUUUCUUUAGAGCGCUAAAAGUUAAAACAGAUUGAACUUUGCUCCAGUGCUGAGCUCCACUAACAAAAUUCCUAAACUGUAAAGAUCAACCAUCAAAUACCUUGGGUUGACAUUUCUAGGGUCAUCCUGCGGCGUUGGAUGGAACUUGGAAUGGUUACCGUAGAUGGAUGGAUCUAGAUCCGGCUGCGUUGGGCCUUCCAGGAAAUAACAGGGCUUGAAUCACUUCAUCUCGAUGGUGGCGAAGAGUUUCGGCUUAAUCUUCUAUUCAUCCCGGUGGUUUCGCGCCGUUGAUUGAGCUUCGCCCUACCCAAGCAGCGGUGCUUCUAUAUUUCACUGAUUCGUCGUCUUCUCAAGCAGAGACCGACAAUUUAGAUAUCUAUGCCCCGCCGCUCACUCUUACGGGACAUUGACUUUUCCUACCUCUCAAUAAUGAGAAGCAGCAAAAUGGAAACGUCUGGGUGAGACCACUACGAGUGUUCAUAGUUCAUAGUUCUUCAUAGUUCUUGGUACUUUAUAGUUCUUCUUCUAUUUCUUACAACACAGUGACUGGUUUGUCAGUGGGAGGAUUUCACCAUUUUUAAAGGCUUCAAUGAAAGUGGCAGUGCUUCAUAUUCAACUUACUUUCUCAAAGAAUUAAUUACGAGUAAGCUUUGCUUACGAGUUCACUACUGUUUCCAAACAGGUUUGUUUCUACUUUCUAUCUGUCUAUCUGAUAUACUAUGAUUUUCACCCGUUUUUAUACAUGGUAUAUAAAAGUUUUAAGAUGUAUUAAUCAUAUUUUAGAGUCUUUUCAAAGAAAUUACAGGUUUAUUCACCUGAUGGAAGGAAAUGAUACUUUUGGGACAUUUUGGAAUGCUUUUACGCAAGAAAAAUCGAUCGACGCUUGAAGAGCAACAUCGGUCGAUCAUAAUCACUUACCAUCGAUCGACAAACAUACAUGUGCAUCGAUCGAUGCCCAGUCAUACGAAUGAGAUCGCAAAUUAGAAGAUUUCAUUUCCCAGAAGAUAUAUUAUUUGCAACUUAAGUCCCUAGCCGCCUGUUAGGCUAUAUGUACUAGGGUUUUGUAUCAUUUUAGGGAGACACUUGCAAAAGACCUAGUUUGGAAAAGUAGCAUUUUGGCUACCAUUAGAAGAGUUUAGGAUUUGAGAGAUAGAUCUGGGACUGCAAAAACAGAGAAAAUCUUGAACUCCUAUAUUUCUAUUACUCUAUCUAUUUGUGUUCUAUGUUUCAUUUGAGUUUAUUUCAUGCCAUCAUGACUUUUUCUCUCAUGAAUAUGUUUGAGUAAACCAAUUGUUAGAUUUAGGUUUCUCACCAUGGUUGAAAUUAUAUACUGCUAAUAUGACUAUUAAAAAGGUGUUUUGAUUGUUCUUUCAUUUGCUUGUGAACUUAAUGCUAAAAUUGAGAUUGAUCAUCUUCAUUUUAGAUCUUAGGAUUAAUUGAGUCCAACUAACUGUUUCCCCUCAAUACCUGAACCCACUUGCGUGAUCUAACUAACUCAGGCGCAACGACAGUUGGUCUGAGAAGGUUAGAGAACAAGUUAAACCUGUUCGCAAAAGCUCGCUAGAAUACGACAGUUGAGAUCCGAGAUCUAACGAAAAUAACCUAUCCGGUUAAACCAUUGUUUAGUUCAAAAACCAUCAAACCCUUUAGUCUAAACUAAGUGCAUGUAUUUCAUACCUGAGAUUUACCUGAAUCUAGCUGCUUUCCCAUUCUUGAAACCACUUCAAUUCAAUCUAUCGUUUCACUUUUGUUUUCGAUUUAUCAUUUACUACUUUUAAAACUAUUAAAACCUUUUAGGCUAUCUUCAUUUCUAAUUAUUUAAGUCUGUUGAGUAAUCCUAGAGUCUAUGUUGAUUUGAUCCCUAAGUACUACAUCUGAACCUCUGUUGAUGAGAGUAACACUCUUUAGGGUAAUUUGAGUGAUAUCAAAUUUGGCGCCGUUGCCGGGGACUCUUUCUUAUUACCAUUAGAUUUAAUUGAGAAUUUAGUAUAGACUUGUUACGAAAAACUUGCUAAAGUUUUCUUUCUUAAUCUGUUACGCAGACACAAAGAAUGGAGAACACAGAGUGCGACCAACCAUCGAUCGACGGAGACACGUUUCCAUCAAGCGACGUUGAGUCAGAAAAAAUGAACGAUACGGAGCUGCCGACAUUGAUCGAUACCGCCCAGCCGGAAGCAGGUAAGUUUUCUCUUACCAAGCCCGCUAAUGAGAAAGUAGUUCAAACUGAAAAAAAUGGUCAAACGAGCAAUGAAGCUAGCCAAACUAAACAAGGGACUGAAAUCCCUGUUAAGGAAAAUUCCACCUUAACUAAAGGUGAAGAUAUAAAAUUUUCCAUACAAGACUACCUUGAUCCUGGUAAGACCUAUUCCAAUAGGUCCGCUAUCAAAAUACCAGGAGACGAUACCAAGAAAUCUAAGUUUUAACGCAGAUUACUACUGUAUGAUUCGUCAAAACCCAUUCCGUGGAUCCCUCCCAGAGCACCCACAAGAUCAUAUUGAAACUUUGGAAGAAUUAGUACCAGAUGAAUAUGAUCGUUGCAAAUUAUUCUCAUUCUCCCUAGAAGGAGAAGCCCUCAGGUGGUUAAACUGUUUAGCAGCAGGAUUACUCACUUGUUGGGAAGAGAUUAGAAGUGCCUUCCUUAGAGAAUUUUUCACUGAUGAACGCUACUGGAAAGUAAGAAAGCAAAUUUUUACAUUUCGCCAAGGUCCACGCGAAUCGUUUAAAAACGCCUGGGGAAGAUUCAGAGGCUAUGAACUUGAAUGUCCCCAUCAUGGUUAUUCAGAACCACAACUUCUUAACAUCUUUUAUGGAGGUGUUAAUUUGAGCUAUAAAACCACACUCGAUACAGCGAGUGAUGAAAAUUUCAUCACUAGGAAUCCCGAAGAAUCUAGACGCCUUAUCAAGAAUAUGACAACGGGAAGAUCCUAUGAAAGGAUGGAUGAAGAGAUAGGAAAUUUCACAAGUCCAAAAGACAAUUCUGAUUUGAUAGAAAUUAAGAAUUCCCUUAAAUCCCUUCAUUCAUUUCUUCAAAACAAACACCGAUCUGAUAUAGCCCAGAUCGACGACAACGCUUUGUCUGACACCGAUGAUUAUUUGGACGAAGGAACGAACUGUUCCGAUCUCUAUGCUGUGCUUAAUGUCGAUAGCUUUACCCAAGCUUAUGACACUGCUGUAAAAUCACGUACCGGAAGAGAGAGGUUCAAUAUCAGACAAGCUCUUACUGGCAACCGUAGGACAAAAUCGGAGUUUUACGGAAAAAUAAAUAUGGUUUACGGAGAAUUAAUGGAGAAAGCAGAUUCUUUGGGAGAACUAAUCCGAAAAUUAGAAGGUCAAGUAGCGGAGAUUGCAACUGCCAUAAAAAGAGAUGUCGGAUGUCUUCCCGGGAGAACUGAUUUAAACCCAAGAGAGACGGUCUACUCAACCCGAACCCAUAAUUGAAAGAGUCUAUAGAACUUUACCCCCUUUUGCUCCUAAAACGCAAACUAAGAAAUCAUUAGAGAACGCGAUCUACAAGAAAGCCUUAGAUAAGAUUUCUGUUGAGAUGUCCCUUAGUGAUGCUAUAAAAAUAGCACCUUCGAUUAAGAAGUAUAUAAAGGACGUGACAUCUCCAAACUACCCAAUUGCAGAACAUAGCGUGAUGAUUAUUUCAGAAGAAGUAAGUGCUAUGAUUAAAGGAGAAACUCCAACAAAGAGACCAGAUCCUGGUAGUUUUGUCCUAGAUUGUAAAAUAGAAAACACGCGUUUUCCUAGAUCAUUAUGUGACCUCGGCUCUAGCGUGAACUUUAUGCCUUACUCUGUUGCAGUAACUUUAGGAUAUAAAGAGUUUAUGUCAACUCCGAUCACCCUGGUCUUAGCUGAUAGAUCUAUUAGGGUACCCGAAGGAAUUCUCGAAGAUGUUCCCAUAAAGAUCAAUGAUUGCAUCGUGCCUACGGAUUUUGUUGUGUUAAAAUACAGACAAGAACCCAAAGACCCCCUCAUUCUGGGUCGGCCAUUCCUAGCUACAGCUGGAGCAAUCAUUGACGUCAAAGAAGGACGAAUUAAUUUGAACAUAGGGAAUAUCUCGAUGACUUUUGAUAUGGAAAAACUGAAUAAGCGACCCCUAAUAGAUGACCAGGCCUUCUACGUGGAAAACGUUUCUGAGGAUGAAAAAGACUCUUUCAUAAACAUGUUUUCAGACAACCCCUUAGAAGACACCCUUAACCACGUGGAAAAUGAAAUUUUCAGCAUAUCAGAUAUGACAGAUGAUUACAUGCGACUGAUGGACGCUAGCAUCGAAGUUGCAAACGUAGAAGAAAAUGACGACUCAGAUGUUGUCAUCGAUCGAUACCUUCAAGAUACCGUCGAUCGACAUACUCCCUCGCAAUCAAAUUUGUCUAAAGAUAAAGCACCAAAGGUAGAAUUGAAACCUCUACCCAGCGGUCUUAAGUACGCUUACCUUUAUGACCAGUCCUACCCUGUUAUCGUCAACGCCAAUCUCACUAGCGGAGACUUGCUUUAUUGCUGAAUAAAUUACACAAGUACAGGAAAGCGAUCGGGUAUUCUCUCGAUGACAUUCCUGGAAUCUCUCCCGAUCUUUGCAUGCAUCGGAUCAACUUGAAAGAUGAUGCUAAAACGUCAAUAGAGCAGCAAAGGAGAUUGAAUCCGAAUCUGAAGGAAGUAGUUAAAAAGGAAAUUAUAAAACUCUUUGAUGCUGGAGUUAUUUACCCUAUUUCGGAUAGCAAAUGGGUAAGCCCCGUACAUGUUGUACCCAAAAAGGGAGGUAUCACUGUAGUGAAGAAUGAAAAGGACAAACUCAUUCUGACUCGUACCGUUACUGGUCAUCGGAUGUGUAUUGAUUAUAGGAAAUUGAAUGUCGCUACUAGGAAAUACCAUUUUCCCCUUCCCUUUAUUGAUCAGAUGCUGGAGAGAUUAGCUAAUCACCAGUAUUACUGUUUUCUUGCUGGAUAUUCCGGAUUUUUCCAAAUUCUUAUACACCCGGAUGAUCAAGAAAAGACAACGUUUACAUGCCCCUAUGGAACUUUCGCAUAUCGCAGAAUGCCAUUUGGUCUUUGUAACGCUCCCGCCACUUUCCAACGUUGCAUGAUGUCAAUCUUUACAGAUAUGACCGAGGACUUCAUGGAAGUAUUCAUGGAUGACUUUUCAGUCUACGGAUCAGAUUUUAAGAGUUGCCUCGAUAAUUUAUGCAAAUUAUUGGAAAGAUGCGAAGAAAAGAACCUUGUCCUCAACUGGGAAAAAUGCCAUUUCAUGGUUAACGAUGGAAUAGUGUUAGGACAUAGGGUUUCUGCUGCUGGUAUAGAGGUAGAUAGCUAAGACUGAAGUAAUGAUCAGUUUACCUCCACCCAAAAAUGUUAAAGACGUGCGAAGUUUUCUCGGACACGCCGGAUUUUACAGGAGAUUUAUACUGGACUUCAGCAAAAUCGCUAGACCUCUAAAUAACCUUUUAUGCAAGGAUAUUAAAUUCGAUUUUACCCCUAAAUGCAUGAAAGCUUUUGAAGAUUUAAAGAAAUCCCUUAUCACUGGCCCCGUCGUACAAGCCCCCGACUGGAAUCUUCCUUUCGAAAUCAUGUGCGAUGCGAGCGAUUUCGCAAUUGGAGCAGUUUUAGGCCAAAGGAAAGAUAAAAAGCUACAUGCCAUUUACUAUGCCAGCCGCACGCUUGAUGAAGCGCAACGGAAUUACGUAACAACAGAAAAAGAACUAUUAGCUGUAGUUUACGCUUUUGAAAACUUCCGUCAAUACUUGAUUGGCUCACGAGUGAUAGUUCACACUGAUCACGCUGCCAUCAAAUAUUUAAUGCAAAAGAAAGAUGCUAAACCUCGACUCAUAUGCUGGAUUCUACUAUUCCAAGAGUUUGACAUUGAGAUUAAGGAUAAGAGAGGAGUAGAUAAUGGAGUUGCUGAGCAUCUUUCCCGGAUAAGAAUAGAGGAUGAUGUCCCUAUAGACGAUUUCUUCCCCACAAAGAAUGUUGCACACAUAGAUACAUCUUUCGUCGGUCAAAUAUCUCUCACAUCUGAAGAUCAAUCGAUCGAUGAGAGAGAUGGCAUAUCGGUCGAUUCACGUAGUGAUACAUCGAUCGAUGAUGAGACUGAUGUAACUUCUCAACUCUCCAAUAACCAAGAUCACGAACCCCCGUCUAUUAAAAUCAACUUCGAUUUACAAGUUAAUGUUUCCGGUGAUGAGAUUAAUCGCACACCUGAGGACUUAUCACAACGGGAGGUAGACGCGAUUGGUAGAAACUCGAAUAACCGACCCUGGUAUGCCGACAUAGUUAACUAUUUGGCAGCUGAGGUUGAGCCAGACGAACUCAAGGGAUAUAUGAGGAAGAAAUUUUUCAGAGAAGUAAGACGCUAUCAUUGGGAUGAGCCUUACCUCUAUAAGUAUUGUUCUGAUGGCAUAUACAGACGAUGCGUAUCCGAAGCUGAAAUUACGGACAUUAUCUACCAAUGUCACAGAGCUGAUUAUGCAGGACAUUUCGCUACCUUUAAAACGGUUUCGAAAAUUCUCCAAGCAGGAUUUUGGUGGCCGACCACUUUUUGCGAUGUCCACGCAUUUAUAACCCAAUGUGACAGAUGCCAAAGACGCGGAAAAAUCAGCAAAAGACACGAAAUGGAACAGAAGUUCAUUCUUGAAGUUGAAGUCUUUGAUUGCUGGGGUAUCGAUUUUAUGGGACCCUUCCCGUCUUCAUAUGGAAACAAAUAUAUACUAGUCGCUGUAGACUACGUAUCCAAAUGGGUCGAAGCAGUAGCUUCUCCUGCCAAUGACGCAUCUGUGGUUAUUAAACUCUUCAAGAGUAUAAUCUUUCCGAGAUUUUGAGUUCCAAGAGUAGUCAUUAGUGACGGUGGAACUCAUUUCAUUAACAAAAUCUUUGAUAGAUUGCUUAAAAAGAAUGGUGUUCAUCAUAGAGUAGCUACACUUUACCACCCACAAACCAGUGGACAAGUAGAAGUCUCUAACCGACAAAUUAAGGAAAUCGUAGAGAAAACCGUAGGAACCUCCAGAAAAGAUUGGUCUAGGAAACUAGAUAAUGCACUUUGGGCCUACAGGACCGCCUACAAAACGCCGUUAGGAACAAUACCAUUCCACCUCCUUUAUGGCAAAUCAUGUCAUUUACCAGUCGAACUGGAACACAAAGCAGCUUGGGCUACCAAACUUUUGAACUUUGAUAUCAAACAAGCUGCAUCCAGCUUAACAAGCUUGAUGAAAUCAGACAUUUAGCUUUCGAAAAUUCGAAAAUUUAUAAAGAAAGGACUAAAGCUUAUCACGAUUUCGAUGAGAGCGUCGCUUCCUACACGGUCCCACCUUUCCCACACCUCGAGAGAUUCUGGGACAUCGUCGGCACAGGAGUUUGGGACACAAACAGGGCCGUGCUAUCAGACAUCCACCAUCCUGCACUUCGCUACUUCCUACGGCUCCUUGCAAACACACUGGUUUGCAAGAUGGAGCCCAACAAGGUCAGGAUAAAGGAGCUCACAUUACUUUUCUGCGCAGUGAAUGGCGUGGUGGAUUUGGUUGAGUUGGACGAGGACGGCGAAGUAAGCCCGCUGAACCUCGGAGCUGUCUUUGCCGCGCACUUGGUGGAGUUGAAGAAGAAGCCCUUCAACAGCAAGGGUAAGAAGAAGGAGACAGUUGGGAGUCUUCUGAUCCCGAUUUUCCAGUACCUCGGCAUCCGCCUUGACCCUCAUUCUGCCGACCGCGACCACGCCUUCCUCGACGAGCAGCACUUGGUGCACUCGCUAUGGCUCGAGGAAGGGAAACUCUGGCGUUUCAGGAUCCGCGAUGAGCAUCGCCUUCUACCCCUACCGGAUAGGAGGAUCACUGAUUUCGGAAACAGCGUGGAGCAGCUUCGAUGCAUGCCAGACGAGGCAUUCCUCCGCAACCCCCAGAACAUGUCACGCCGACCUCCCAGCAUUCGCUGUACCAGAGCUCAGGACGCACAGGCACCGCCUCUCCCCGACUUCCCGAACAUACCGGACAUCCCCAUUCACGACCAGGGAGACUUUAGAGGUUCGUGGUGGACGCUCUUCAGACCAUCUGGGCUAGAGUGUCUUGUCGGAGCAGGAGAGCUACAUGAGCGCAGGCAACAGCACUAGCAGCAGCACGUAGGGACCCUUCCCAGGAGGACGACGAGGCGACUGAUGAGGACACCGACUAGUCCUCAUAUUUCUAUCUCUUAUCUUCCUAUUAUGAACUUGUUUAUUUAUUUUCUGAACUUCUAGGAUUUAUGUUCUUAAAACUUAUAUUUGAUGUCUGAGAAUGCUUAUUAUUUCUUAUGCUUGGUUGUCAAACAGAGCUAACAUUAGGCAGGAACUUCAAGUUCGACUCCAAGCACAUGCAAAAUUUAUGUGCUUCGCCAUCGAUCGAUAUGGAGAGGGUUACAUCGAUCGAUUCUCGGCGAGUAACAUCGAUCGAUAUGGAGAGGAUUACAUCGAUCGAUGUGUAGUACGGAUAGGUACUUCAUUUUUACUCUAACAUUCUCAAACUUCUAACUUGUUUUUAACCUACCCUUGGGCACUUUGCACUGAGACGGUGCAAUUUAGGUCUGGGGGAGGUAGUUACUAACACCACUUUCUUGAGUUUUUGUCAAAAAUCUUUUCAAAAAUAAUUGUAUUGAGUCAAAAAGGGGAUUUUGAACUAAUGAUUUCUACUUGAAUGUCUAACCACUUUCUAGCACCAUUCUAGAUUUACUGAUUGCAGAUAAUACUAUAGAUGCUAAAGUGGAUCAACCAGUCAACUAUACACACUUGCUAGCUUGUUAGAAAGAACCAAAGCUAACCUCCAACACUAACCUGACUUCACUGCUUGUCUUGGGGUUUCGUAUACAUGGGAUCGGAUUCUUCAGACAAGUCUGGAAGGUAAAGCCUUGUGUAGAAUUAUAUAUCACAUUCAUCUCUCUAAUUUUGACCCUAGAUUAGUAAGUAACUAAUAUUUCUAUUCUAGAGUUAAAAAAAAUAAAAUAAUAAUAAUAAUAAGAUCUAUUGUUUAUUUAGGAUGAGUCUGAACAGGACUUGGUGGCUAAAACCAUUAAGGCUUGAUUCAUAAAAGACACCAAUAAAAGAGUUCGAAACAGGACUUGGAGGCGGCAAUCUUCAAGGAUCGCUUUCGCAAAGAACUCUUGGAUAUAGGUCAAAAAGAAGUGAACAGAGCUUGGUGGCAACCACCAUUAAGUUUUGAUUCAUGGAAGCCUGUCCAAUCUUGGUCAUUGAUCCUGCAAUGGAAGCAGACUUUGACUCAAGAGAAAAAUUAGAGAGAGAAGAAUUAAGAACUAACUUUUACCUGCAGUUCCAGAUACUUGUCUGAAUUCUUUGCAUCCUAUGAUCGAUACUCCCAAGGUAAAGCUUACACUUUUUACAUUGAGAAAUGAGAUUGGUUAAGGAGAUUGAUAAUAAGAUUAGUUAAGAUUGUUGGCUAGAUGACUUUGGUUGCUAAGCUAGGAUAUUGCAUAAUGUAUUUCUGUAAGAAGGAACUUUUAGAUGUGGAAUGCAAUAUUAUAGAGGUGAUAAUUUCAAUGUUUCAAAUCUGUGAGUCCCUGAUGUUUUCAACCCUCUUCCAGAGAGACUGUCCGUUGGUUUGACAUGAGGACAAGUCAAAAGAUAAGUCUGGGGGAGUUGAUAUACCAUGAUUUUCACCCGUUUUUAUACAUGGUAUAUAAAAGUUUUAAGAUGUAUUAAUCAUGUUUUAGAGUCUUUUCAAAACAAUUACAUGUUUAUUCACCUGAGGGAAGGAAAUGAUACUUUUGGUACAUUUUGGAAUGCUUGUACGCAAGGAAAAUCGAUUGACGCUUGAAGAGCAACAUCGGUCGAUCAUAAUCACUUAGCAUCGAUCGACAAACAUACAUGUGCAUCGAUCAAUGCCCAGUCACACGAAUGAGAUUGCGAAUUAAAAGAUUUCAUUUCCCAGAAGAUCUAUUAUUUGCAACUUAAGUCCCUAGCCGCCUGUUAGGCUAUAUGUACUAGGGUUUUGUAUCAUUUUAGGGAGACACUUGCAAAAGACCUAGUUUGGAAAAGAAGCAUUUUGGCUACCAUUAGAAGAGUUUAGGAUUGGAUAGAUAGAUCUGAAACUGCAAAAAUAGAGAAGAUCUUGAACUCCUUUAUUUCUAUUACUCUAUCUAUUUGUGUUCUAUGUUUCAUUUGAGUUUAUUUAAUGCCAUCAUGACUUUGUCUCUCAUGAAUAUGUUUGAGUAAACCAAUUGUUAGAUUUAGGUUUCUCACCAUGGUUGAAAUUAUGUACUGCUAAUAUGACUAUUAAAAAGGUGUUUUGAUUUUUUUUUUUCAUUUGCUUGUGAACUUAAUUCUAAAAUUGAGAUUGAUCACCUUCAUUUUAGAUCUUAGGAUUAAUUGAGUCCACCUAACCGUUUCCCCUCAAUACCUGAACCCACUUGCGUGAUCUAACUAACUCAGGCGCAACGACAGUUGGUCUGAGAAGGUUAGAGAACAAGUUAAACCCGCUCGCUAGAAUAACCAUCGAUCGACGCAACUAUCGUUCUGUCGGUCGAUCGUUACAAAGGUGUAUCGGUCGAUGAACAUAAAGUCACAUCGAUCGACACUCUCUCGAGAUUAAAAUACGACAGUUGAGAUCCGAGAUCUAACGAAAAUAACCUAUCUGGUUAAACCAUUGUUUAGUUCAAAAACCAUCAAACCCUUUAGUCUAAACUAAGUGCAUGUAUUUCAUACCUGAGAUUUACCUGAAUCUAACUGCUUUUCCAUUCUUGAAACCACUUCAAUUCAAUCUAUCGUUUCACUAUUGAUUUUGAUUUAUCAUUUACUGCUUUUAAAACUAUUAAAAUUUUUUAGUCUAUCUUCAUUUCUAAUUAUUUAAGUCUGUUGAGUAAUCCUAGAGUCUCUGUGGAUUCUAUCCCUAAGUACUACAUCCGAACCUCUUUUGAUAAAAGUAACACUCUUUAGGGUAAUUUGAGUGAUAUCACUAUUCCUAUUUCAACAUGCUGCAAGUGGAUGUUCAGACUCAAAAAUCUAUGUGUCCAUGGCGCAUACAUAUCUCUGUCUCUGCAGAGCAUGAUCAAUAUGCUAAAGCAAGAAACAUGGAAGAAUGAUAAAGAAGUUGGGAGUGUCCGAAGGAAUAUUCCUCAUGCAUUUUGAGAAGAUGCAUCACCAAAAAUAAAGGACGUAUAAUAAAUCUGUAGGAAAGUGAAGGCCAACCUUAUAAGAAACAAGUAGUGAGAAAGAAAAAGAAGGGGACUUUCGCUUAGUGAAUGUCACACUAUCAAACUUUAGAGUACACACCAAGGAACAAGCCUAUAGAUCAUUCAGCGAGGCACAUAUUAUAUUUGCUGCGACAAAAAUUUAAUAACAUAACAAACAAAGAAUUGGUUUGAGGUGUGAGAGAGCUUCUUGAGUAUGAAUGUUAUGCUCAGCAACUUGGGAUGAUGUAUAUGUAUUGCAGCGAUAGUAAUGUGGAUGCUCUAUUCAUAUGCUAAAAUGAAUUUUCAGAAUAUAGUUUCUUUAAAGUAUUUGGGAGUUUUUUGUUGAAUUAGUUGUUCACUUUGUUUUCGUUUUAAAUAAAUAAAUACAUUUUUGGUUUAAUUCAUUUUAAAAGAAUCUCUUCAACACACAUACACAUUGCCUUGAUAUCAAUGCUUAAACCGAACCAGUUUGGUUUUGGUUCAUACUGGAUAAUAAGUCUGGUUCAAUUUGAAAUGUAUUUAUUUAACAAAUUUGAUGGUACAGUCUGUGAAGUUCUUACUUUAUCUGAUAAUAUUUGGUAGUAAGAAUAUUCAACCGAUAACCUCGAGGUUCAUUUUAACGACACAAAAUAAUGAAAACGUAAAUAAUUUCUAAAUAUGAUAGAAAUGAUAUAAACUAAUAUUCGACAAAUGAAUAAAUACAAUAAAUUCAUAAAUUCGCUAAAGUAACAAUAAUAAAAAUUUAUAUAAAUAUAUGGUCUCAUUAAAUAAUGACUACUAUAUAUAUAACUUUUAUAUAAACAUAAACAAAGCUUUUCUAAUAAAAUGAAUUACAUAUUUAUGGCAAGAUGUUUAGACUUUUGUUAUUGCUACCCCUAAUGCAUACAUCUGUAUUCUCAAGAGCUGUUCACCUUUUUUUUUCUAUAAAAUAACUGAGCGCCGUUUAGUCAUCUCUAUUACUAAACAGUUCACGGGAGGUUUUCUCAAGUCAUAUUUCUCUGUUCAAAGACAUUUAUUUUCGGAUACUGUUUGCUCUAUAUUUCUCAUGUGCAACUGCAAAGUGCUUCUUAACGUCCUCAUCGAAGUGUUUUUACAUGUUAUAUACAGAUUCAUCUCUUAUAAUUUGUUUAUGGAUCCUCACAACAGAGGUCCAAAUCUUCAUGUUUGUUCCUAAAGUUGUGAAGUCAUCCCAACAUUAUUAUACUCCUUUCCACCAUUUCUAAAUCUGAACUAUAUAUUAAAUUUGUUAACAGUUAAUUCAAUUAUUAAUCGCUACUUUACGUACAUAACCAUAAUUAUAUAUAUAAUGAGACCAGUGUAAAAACUUAUAUUACAAAAGGAAAUUAAAAAUAAUAUAAUCACUAAUUAUACCUUGAAAACUAAACAACAAUAUUUGUUUUAAAAAGUCCUAAUUAUUUUGGAUGAUAUGGUUUAUUUGAUAAUCUUAAAAUAUGUAAAUCUUUAAACAGUAAUGUGUUAUGACUUAAGUUGAUUAAAAAUGAUAGGUAGAGUUUACUUUUAUGGAAUCUAAAACAACAGUAGAUUUCACAGAUAAUGUAAAAAAUAAACUGCAAAUCUGAAUAAUACCAGUAUUGAAAAAUGUAGAAUAAGUACGUAAUAAAAAUGAAAUCUCUUUAUUAGCUAGAUUUUUUUUUGAACACUAAUUUCAUUAAACUCAAACAAGCAAGUUAGGUAGAAGCAAUAAAACUCUCAACCAAUCAAAGGGCUUUAUUUUUUACAUCCAGACAUUAGGUAUAACAUGAUUGUAUACAACUUAAAGUAAAAGGAACAAAUAAAAUUAGAUUUUCUAUUACAAAAAACAACUAAAAUAAAAUUAGCUUUUCCAGCAUUAAAAAAACACUGUUUCUCUUUUGAACCAUUUUAAAUACUGUAUUAUAGAUUUAGCCAAAUACAACGACUCUAAGAUCCAAUCUCCUCACGUUUAACAAAAAAUGAUUCCUUAAAAUUUAUUAUUCACAUAUAUAACCAAACAAUAGAACUAAAAAAAACAAAUAUCAUUGAAAUAACUAACAAACAUAACCAGUUUUUAAUUAAAAUUAACAAUAUAACCUAAGAAUUAUAUUUAUUUUUUGUUACUCUACAAGAUCAUCUUUAACCUAAGAAUUCGAUUUAUUAAUUGUUACUCUAUAAUAUCAUUUAUAAUCUACACUGAUUUUUUGAAUGGUUCAUAAAUUAAUAUAUAUAUGUAUAAUAGUUUUAAGGUAUCUUCCCGUCCGUAGGGCGGGCCAUCCUCUAGUACAAUAUAUGGAGUAUUAUUAUUACUAUUAAUAUUAUAUCCUUACUAACAUAAUGAUUGUUACAAUACAUUGUACGGUUAGAGCAUCUCUAACCCAACCUCAAAUCCUCAAAUUUUAAGGUUUCUGUCAUUUCAAUCCAACCUCAAAUUCUCAAAUUUUGAGGUUUUGAAUAGUGACACCUCAAAUUUGAAGUUUCAUUAUUCAAAACCUCAAAACCACUAUUCAUUUUCGUUUUAGUCCUUACAAUUAUUUUCUUGUAUAUAUGUGUGUUGUUUAUAUAUAUAUAUAUAUAUAUAUGAAAUUUAUAUUAUUUUUAUUAUAUAAUAUUGUAAUAUUUUGUGUUAUAUAAUAUAUACAAAGUAUGUUUUAUAUGUAUUUGUGAAGUUUUAUCAUUAUUAGUAGUUUUUGUUGAUGUCAAGGACUAUAAUGCAAUAUGAAUAGAUUUUAAAGGAUUUUUUUUUGAGGAUUCAUGGUUGGAGUAAUCAGCCCUCAAAUCCUCACAAUUAGAUCUUUCUUCAGCUCUCUAAUUGGCUUUUACAUUUAUCACAUGGAUCACGAUCUCAGCUAUAUAGAUUUGACAAAAUCAACAGAUCCGAUCUUUUGGUUUUAUUCCGAUCCCUCCCUUCCUUCUUUUUGUAAAACGUUAUUUUUUUUUUUGAAACACGUCCCUCCCUUCCUUCUACUCUUCCACAUUGUCUAUGUCUUCCUUUCAUUCAAUCCUAAAUCCUAAACUAUACCAUAUACCACUUUUUCAUAAAUAAUUAAUGUUUAAGGUGAUCUGAAUUUUAAUGGAGUUUUAGAUGAUUUCAAUAAAUUGCAGAGAUUUAGGUGAGUUUUGUUAAACCACUUUAGAAUAUAACCUAAAACCAUGAGAUUUAGGUUUUAAAAUUCAUGUUUGAAUAACACUAGAUUUGUCAUUUUAAUAAAUAUCACCUAAAGAUUAUAACUCUCAGUUGAAUACACCCUUAUUUUCUACUCUGCGUGUUUUAUAAUAGUCAACAAAACGUAAUAAGUGCUACACCUACUGACUAUGAUUUAUGGAUCUCUUAUGUACUGCUUACUAACUAAUAAAAUUAUGGAUCCUCUAAAAUAUAACCUAAAACCAUGGGAUUUGGGUUUUAAAAUUCAUGUUUGAAUAACAGUGGCUUUGUCAUUUUAAUACAAAUCACCUAAAACUCUCAGUUGAAUACACCAUUAUUUCCUCUUCUGCGUGUUUCAUAAUAGUCAACAAAACAUAAUAUUUUUUACAGCUACUGACUAUGAUUUAUGUACUGGUUACUGAAUAAUAAAAUUAAGAAACAAGUUGUUUAUUUUCUCAAGGUGUGUAAUAAUGACAUCUUUAGAAUUUUUGUGAUACCGAUGUAGUGUAAGUCGGUUGGUUGGUUUAUUCAACCAAACCUCAAAUCAUUCUCAUUUUGGUCGGUUUAAAAAUGAAAUUUGUUUUAUAUCAUGUGAUACAGUUAAACCUUCAAUUUGGUCGGUUUAAGUAUGAAAUUGGUUAUAUUGUUAACCGACCCAAAUUUGUGUUAAAAAAAUGUUAACCGACCUAAACCAUUAUACCACGUGCAAGUGGAGGAUUUGUAGUGACAACCUUUCGUCGUCACAAGGACGUGAAUCGAUUUAACUGCAUUGUAUAUUAACUUUUCGGGUCCUAAAAGUCGGCCAUCGUCACUUCCUGUUGGAUACACGGCGAUUUUCAGUGAGUUCCGCAGAGUCGGGUUCCAUAAGAACCUAUCCUGGAUUAUGGUGGAGUUGUGCGGCUUGUUCCGCAUUGCCCGAAGCCAACUGACACUCCCUUCCUGGGGACUUAUACAUGCCCUUCAGGUCCUUUCAGACCUGUUUGGUGUAGAAAUAACUGGUAGCAUGAUCGCUACUGCCUUCCGUACUCGUCGUUUCGAGUUGUUACCACGUCCUCGUUGUAGGUCCCCAGUGAAACGUUCGGAGUGGAUCGAAAACACAUCAACAGUUGGCAAAUAUUUUUUCGUUCUUCACCUCGGGCCGAGACCUAACGGAUUUCGUCUCUCCUUGUCGCCUCCAGGUAUCUAUAUUCCUCUGUCUGGAUAAAUCUUUUUUAUUUUACUUUUGGUGUUGGUAAAUAUAGGAUGUUAUAAUUCUAAGAUUUGAGUACAACUUAAGUGUUCAACAUCAGACUAUUCGAUGAUAUUCAAUGUCCAAGUGAUUUUCCAUUUGUAGGUUUGUCGCCGGAGGAUCCAGCUGAAUCUGCUGCGUUCCCAGAAAAUCUAAUGAAUCUAACCACAUACCUCCGUGGACCUGCUUUUUUUGCUGGAUCCCGACAUCAUCCAGAUGACUUCAUUGGCGUCUACUGACGAUCAUCUUUUCAUCCCACCACGUAAUUGUUAUUUGUUUUGUUUUACUUUUCCUUGUUUAAAUCUAUUACAUCUUUUAACAACCACUUUAUCAAUGCAAAAUCAAUGGAUGCCUUAAUCGCCACCUGCGACCAUUUUGAUUCUCUCUCUCUUGUUUCAUCUAGAUCGGUUGAGAGAUCUCCAUCCCAGCGACACCUAGAUGAACCAUCUUCUCAUUCUCCACCAGAUAGGGAUGAAAAUCCUUCCAGUUCCAAACGACCCCGUCGUUAGACUUUGUCAUCUGUUGGAAACAUAGCUUUGUUUUUGAAACUCAAGAUGUGCGUUAUUGAAUCACUCUUCCUAUAUUUGGAAAACAGUAUUUUAGAUCGUGUUUCGCUUGAAUUUUGUAACUCUUGCCACAUCCUCUGAGAAGUGCUGUUAUAUUAAUCGCUUGCUUAUGUCAAAUUAACUGUUUUUCAACUUCGACUUAAAAUUUCAUCUCACUUAAUCUUACAUAUAUUUCACAAUUUAACUAUCAUAUAUAUAUUUUAAUAUUAUAAUGCUACUAAAACUUGUGUUAGCUUUAAAUUAAGAUUACAAUAUUCAACAAAACAUUAUCGAUAUAAAUUCAUUAUACUAUCCUUUUAUGUUUAGAUUGAGUAGCAAAGGUCUUGCUUUUGGAGAGAAAACCAACAAACUUAAAAUAUGAGGUUGCUUUCAGUGGCAGACACAAAAGACAUAGGAGAACGAAAUGGCAAGGCAAUAAUGUUCCAGAAAGGCAACCGCCAGAUUAAAAAAACACAAUUGUAUUGCUAACCGAUUCAAACCAUUAUACACGUCCAAGUGGUUGAUUCAUAAAGUUCGAUAUAAAAUUCAGAUUGAGUAGCAAGGGUUUUUCUUUGGACAGCCCCUUUAAAACAACAGUUUUUCAUAAAUUAAUCAUACCUAUCCCGUUUUUAUGUAAAAACUCUACCAUUUUAAGUUCCUUCUCUUGUCAAGUCAAGUCAAAUCAUGAAAUUUGACUAUAUUUAUAAUUUAACGAUCAUAUAUAAAGUUAAUAAAGGUUUAUGUUCGAAGGGUUGUCUUGUCGAAGAGAUGUAAUACUCUCCAGCAAAAAAAAAAACACUCAACUGAUUCAAGUUAUGUACUACAAAGAUGGAAAAUCAAAUUAUCAUCUUCUCGAUUGUACAACUUGAAGAUAAUUUUCGUCGAUUCUGAGGUUGUGUUACUAAAUUUUUUAGCUCUCUACUAUAUAUUGUUAAAAGGGUCUCUUGUUAAAAUAUUCUUGUUAUUUUUAUAGAAUAUUUUGGUUGCAUGUAAAUGUAUUCUUGUAUUGAUGUAGAACGUCUAUUUCAGGAGAAGAAAAUUCAAGAAACAAUUCCUCAUGAAUGUGUUUUAUACUUUGUCGGUGACUUCCAAGUAAACAAUUGGUAUUUUGUCAAAGAUUUUAGGAUAAAGACAAAAGUUGGUAGAACCAGGACAAUCGACAACAUCUUUAAACUCAAAUUCACUAUAUCAACCAUUGUUAAGCACAUUCCUUCGGUAUCAACUUCGUUGUACUUCCAUCCUGCCUCUUUCGCUGAUAUUAUACAUUGGAGGUUUGAUUUCAAAAUUGCUGUUGGUAAGUAAUAAUCGUUCGUACUUAUAUAAGUUACGUUUCAGUUUAUUACUUAAAAUUAUAAUCUUGUAUAUGUUAUUUUAAUGACACUAUUUAUUCAAGAUGGUAUUGGCCUGGUAGUUAGUUGUGCACCAAUCCAAUUUAUUUUGAAUGAAGAAACAAAGUUCAACGACCUUCCUUUUCUGUGUUUCACAAUAGAAGAAGAUAGGUAUAUUCUAUUGCCGUUCAGUUUGAUAAAAAAUCGUUUUCGUUGUCACCAAUCUGGAGAUCCUGAAAUAUGCUUAUUACGAUUUUGGCAUAUGAAUCAAUUCCCAGAUGGUAUAAGUUUGUUCUUCUUCAUUUGGUUAAAUUGCAUACUGCAUUAAUAUGUAUUAAUUUAUCCCCAAGUUUAGUUUUUCUUAUAGGUAUGCAAGAAUACAACCAGCUACUGUGGAACCUUGAUGUACCUGAAGUUAAUGUGUUACGUGAAAGGUUCUUCGCACUUGAAUCGGACGAUUCAUCAGGAUAGAGUGAUGGUUGUGUUGGAAACUCAAAUGUCGUCAUUAUUGCGUUCUGUGUUUUUUUCUUCAUGUUUUGUUUAGUUAUGUUGUAUUAUUGUUAAAACAAAAGUGUUGGGUUAAAUUACUAAUAGAUCUCCAAUGGUGCUUCAUUUUCCACUUUUUGCUUUAUAUUUUACUCCAAUGGUACUUCAUUUUUUGCUUCAUAUGCUCUUCAUACAAACAUUUUGAUAAGAUAAAAAUUAUUGCGUUUGUAACCUUUGGACAUCGAUUUGGAAUUAUUAUUUGAGUUGACAAGAUAGUGAUGGAAGGAGACAGACUUAAAACACAACGAAAAACGAUAUGGCAAGGAUACAGCCUCAGCAAGGCAACCGCCGGCCAAUAACGUUUAUCAACUAUUUUUAGCUUGUAACCAAGAGAGAAGAACUUUAUUUUUAGAUUGUAGCCAAGAGAAAAGAGCUUUAUUACGAUACUAAAGUUUGUAACUCAGCAUUACUAUGCCCAAGUGUAUAAAUCAAAGUAAAAUAUAAGAUAUUUUAAACCGUUCAACUACAUAACUUAAUAUUGAGACUAAAAUAACUAUAUUUGACAAACUAAAACAGGAAUAAAUCGGCUUAAAAUCAUGGUAAAAAAGACCUAACUCUCUUAAAGUAAAGCACAAAACUCCAAUUGAUUAUGUGAUUCAUGAUGAUUUAAAGCGACUUUGUCAGUUUUGUGCUUUACUUUAAGAGAAUUGAGCAAGAGAAGUGGCCAUGCCUUUACCAGAGACCUUUAAUAUUUCUGCAAAAACCUUCAAUGUGAUUUCUUUUUGCAAAUUUAAGAAAAAUCAAUACUACGCCCUUUUGAUAGCAAACAUUAAACUAAAAAUAUUGUGUCCGGCACAAGUCGAACCCUGCACCCGACCCAUUAUGGCCAGCGAGAAAACCAACUCACCUAAAAGACAUAUUUAAAACUUCAAUUGAUUUUCUUAAACUUAUGUGGAAGACAGGGUUCAAACCCCGGUUGGACAUAUUCAAAACUUCAAUUGAUUUUCUUAAACUUAUAUUAGUUUAAUAUUUAAUAUCAAAACGACGUAGUUUUGAUAUUUCUGCAAAAACCCCUCAAUGUGAUUUCUUUUUGCGAAUUUACGAGAAAUCAAUACUACGUCCUUAUGUUAGCAAACAUUAAACCAAAAAUAUUGUGUCCGGCGCUGGUCGAACCCCGCACCCGCCCCAUUAUGACCAGCAAGAAAACCAACUCACCUAAAAGACAUAUUCAAAACUUCAAUUGAUUUUCUUAAACUUAUGUGGAAGACAAGAUUCAAAUCCCGGUUGGACAUUGUCAAAACUUCAAUUGAUUUUCUUACACUUAUAUUAGUUUAAUGCUUAAUAUCAAAAUGACGUAGUUUUGAUUUAUGUUAAACAACAAAAACCCUCAAUGUGAUUUCUUUUUACAAAUUUACGAGACACCCUUACUCCACAUCAUCUUCUCUCUCACAUCAUCUUAUAUUUCUUCCACAUCAUAAUUCAAUACCCACUCUAUUCCUAUUCUCUCCAAUUGUUUUGUUUAAAAAAAACUACAACACCCACUCAAUAUAACUUUAUUCAUACUUUUAGUUUAUGCUUUUGUGAUGACAUAUUACAAGUAAAAAAAUGAUUUUUUCUGUGUUCAAAUGAAAUGAAACAAGUAUCUAUUUAUAGAGUAUGAAAAAUAUGAAUUUUGAUAUAAAAUUUAUAUAUAUAUAUAUAUAUAUAUAUAUAAUUAUAAUUAUUAAAAAAUAAUAGAUGUUAAAUAAUUGAGAUAAAAAAAAAUCAAAAAGUAAGUCUAAUGCAACUCUUUCUCUCUUUGAAUAUUGGUCCAAUCAAUAUUUGUCACGUCAUACAAAAAGGACCCUUUUUUCUCAACACCCAUCGAUAAGUUUCAACACUGAAUUUGCCACAUCAUGUAUUUUACUUUUAUAACAAACGAUUGUAAGCUUAUCAACAGUUGUUAAUAUUUAUCAACAGUUGAUAAAACUCUCAUUACAAAAUAAUCUAAUAAACCUCUUUUUCACAUUAAUUAACAAAAUAUCAAAACGAAAAUCAUUUCAGAAAUGAGACUUUUAUCAUUCUCAAAUUCGAAUGGUAGAAAUUUCGAGAUUUAGGGUUUUGGGAUCCAUGGUCCGUAAAAAGACGACACCAAUCUAUUUUGCUGUCAACCAGUGGGAUCCAAUGGUUGUUCAGAAGGUUAAGCCAUUUAAACCCUAUGGUACACUUGUUACAGAAGUAUUGCAAAUGUCGGGGAGGGAACCAAUGCAGCCUGCUACUGUAGAAGUGCAGAACAGGGGAAAUCACAGUAACCCGUUGAUAUCUCAUGAGACGGUAUGUAUCAUAGAACUAGGAAAUACUACAGUAUUACAUGGGCUUCACUACCUUUACUAAUUGUAUUUCAGGUGGAUGGAAAGGAACCAGUACAUCCAAAGCGGAUGUGCUUUAAUCCGACGGAGUAUAAGAAGCAAAUCAAGCUCUCUUCAAGGUGUUACAUCAAAAAGGCAGUGAAGACAUUGAAUUUUUUAAAAGUUCCGCUUACAGCAGACGAGAGGAGAUGGUUUGAGACACACGAUCAAUUCAAACACUUCUUCCACAUACCCCAGAAGAAACACCACAAGGUUAUGGGAAUGUGGAUGCUUUUACUUCGAAGUGUGUGUACAGAGAAGAAAAAGGAAGCUUGGUUUGUAUUCAAUGGGACUCCCAUCCGAUAUUCACUUAGAAAACACACACUGAUAUCUGGUUUAAACUGUCAGUGGUAUCCGCAUAACUAUGAAUAGUUGGGCCGCUUAGAUUUUGCGAGAAGACCGUUUCCCGAAGGAAGUAGAAUGGCAUAUGAUGAUGUGGAAGAGAAUCUGCGUAAAAUGGAAGCAUGUCCAUAUAGGUUGAAGAUGUGUGUACUUUAUUUCUUAUCUAGCAUACUUAUAUGCAAGAGCAGGACCGAAGACAAAGCACCCUUCGAGGAUCCCUUUUUUGUAAGAGGUGUGAAUAAUCUUGAGAUGUAUAAAACGUUUCCUUGGGGAAGAUUAUCAUUUGAUCAAAAUAUGGGGGAUAUCAUUCGUGCAAUAAAUCACUUUGGUGGAGUUGUCAACAAAGGUGGGUUCACGUUUCCAAGUUUUUGUACUUCUUUAGAGCUUCUACCGUUUGAGGCAAUUCCACAACUGAAGAAGAAGUUUCGUGAACUUCAUAGAGGACGCACAAAGAGCAGUUGUCCCCGGAUGUGCAAGUCUCAGUACAUACCAUGUGCCAUGACAGGAUUUCCACUUUCGGACAUAAAUAAAGCACUUGGCAAAACAAAGGUUAUUAUUAAUUUAGAUCUAAAUUGCUUUUAGGUUGCAUAACAAGUUUUGUUAUUGAAUUUCUUGUAAUGAUAUUUAAAAUGGCAGGUAACUGAAAGUAUCUUGCUCCCAUCAGUUGACGAAGAAUCUAUGCUUGAGAGAAUAUUCGAAAGACCAUGAUGUCAGUGAUGUUAUUGUUGACGGUUGGACACAGCAUCUCGUUACGAAUCAUAAGUCAAUAUGGUUUGAAGAUUUGUACAAUAAAGAUGUGGCUGCUAGGAAAGAAGGGUUAAACAUUGAUAUUCUAGAAGAGCCAGCCCGAGAAGUGGGUGACGAAUAAAGUCGAUGAGGAAAAUUUUAUUUCUCUUCGAACUUUGAUUUAAGAAGGAUUGACAAAUUUCGUCAACAAGGGGAUUAAGGUUGUAAUUGACAAGGUUGAUGAGAUGGAUAAAAGACUUAGAGAGGUGGAAGCUUUUGUUAAGGAAGCGAAAGAAAAGAGUGCAUCAACUUGGGAUGGAGAACCACCGUUGGCUGAGCAGGUACCUUUUGUAAUACUAGAGUAUCUCUAAGUAUUUACAAUAUCACGUAGACCUAGCUAAUUCUAAGCGUAACUACAUGAAUCAGAGGAGGGAGCUACUGCAUCCACUACGGAUGGUGAAGCUACUCGAAAGAGAAAUGUGUCGGAUGAUAUGAACCAAACCUGUGUGGUUGAAAGGCCUUUCACGAAAGGGAAGUAUAUAUGAGACAGCUUUUUGGGGAAAUGAUCUAGUUUAAUGUUAUGUUAUCUGGUAUCAAGCACUAAAUGCAAACAAUAAGCUAAAAGAGACCUUUAUGAAUAUAUGAUUUGCUGCAAUGGUUCAACCAGAUGAGGUGUUUUUCCACUGCCAUUGAACGGUUAUUUCCUUGCUAACAAUUAUUGCUGUUUUUCCCUUGUCAAUAACCGCAUGUUCCCUUGCUAACUCCAAAAAACCAGCUGCAUCAUGGGCUCAUUACCUAAAUCAGCCAAGAAGGGGACAUAGUGCCCCCAUGGUAUAGAAGCAAAACUAGGUUAUAUGACUCAGAGUACUUCAGUCUGCAGACGCCUUCACACUCGGUCAUUCCUUUUCAUUUCCUCCUCUCAGAUUCAGAUAGCUCGUCAUGGACGGAGUUGGACCCCACAACAACUUGCAAUCUCUGGAUAAAUGCAUCGCUAACAUUAUGCUACGCUUAGGUUGUCUCGAGGUAUCUUUUUGUAUAUGGGAUCCUAUUAUUAUAGAUUUUUACAUUUCAUGGAUUUGUGCCACUAGUAUAACUAUAAAUUACACGUACUUUUAGAUAAAUAGUUAUUGAUCCAACUUUUUUUUAAUGUUAUAAGGAUCAUGUUCUUGAGGUUCCAUGUGCAAAUGCAGAGUUUGGUUGCCCCGCAAAUGUGAAAUGUUUUGCAAUGCAAAGACAUUUGCUGCAGUGCGAAUGCAACAGUACAUUAGAUGGGCGUUGUGUCUGCAGCUUCAUUGGAACAUACCGUAAAUUGUAUGCCCACACCAGUAGUGGCCACUCUGACGAUCUGCAGAUGAUUGAAUGUGGAAAAACAAGGUCUAUAAGCUUUGCUAAUCAUCAAAGGGUAGUUCUCAAGGAACAAAGUAAGAGAGGAGGAUAACUUAUUGUUGUGGAUCGUCUCAUCCAGACACAUGGUGCACAUUUCAAUGUAAGAUGUAUUUCGCCCAACGUUCCUAGAAUGGGAAACUCCGGGAAGCUGACGGUAUGUUCAACAUCUACAUUGUCAUUUGAACGAACGGUAAUCUCUAGAGCUAAUAUUGCAAGCAGCGAACUACUUCCUCAGCCUUUUGUUGUUCCUUUGUUCAUGGGUCCUGCCACUGAGGUUCUCAUAUUAAUCAAUAGGGUUGAGACUGUUGGUUAGGGAGAUCGGUGAUAAUGUGUUUGCAGUUUACUUUUCGAACUUUUUCAAGUUUCCAGUUUGUGUUUGUUAACUUCAUUUUAAAUUGGUCCGAACUACAUUCGUUUAAGUAUUGAAGCUUUUUUUCUGCUUACUCAUGACAUUAAGAAACGAAGAAAUUAGCAAGAAAUUGAACUAAAUUGACGUACAAGAAGAUUUACUCUAUGGAUUAAUAAAAAAUAACAUUGGACGGAAUCGAACUUGAGACCUGUGGGUGUAAAAUUUUAUUUUUACCAAUUAGCUACCAAAUGCUAGCUUGCCAAUACUCACCUGCUAGCUUGCCAGUACUCACCUGUUAUCUUGCCAAUAUGUUAAUGUUUCGCUUGAAUUCAUUAAGGGUGAAAAGGUAAUUGUACGCAUUUUAACAGGAAGGUGGAGGGGCACAUGUCUCACAUUUAAGUUCUAUUUUUCGUCUUCCAUUCAUCUUUUGUUCUUCUCCAGUUACAGAUCUUGUAUUCAUCGGUACCCGUCGGGCGAUCUCAACGAAGUUUAUUCGCUGUUAACUUCUUCUUACCAUAAGGUGAAGGAUUCCCAAAACUUACGUUCACUUCUGUCAAAUUUGCAAAUUAGGUUUCCGAUGUGUCUUGUUCUCUCUAUUUCUGUUUAAUUUGUUUGAUUAGAAACUUCUAUGACAUAAAACCUUCAUCUUCUUCCUCUGUUUCUGUGGGUUGUCAUUGGUGUCCGAUAUUGCCAACUGGUGAGUAUAAUGGAGUUCCGUCGAAGUUUUUUUCCUGACGAAACAAGGCCAGAUCCAACGAAUUAUAUAAAUUACAGCUCCACUUUCAAGUCCCUGAAAGCAGUAAAAGAUGUAGUUAGUGUUGAAGUGUGGGAGUAUGUUGAGAAGUCUCCACUGGGAAUAAUUAUUAAGUUCAUGGAUCUAGAGUUUGCAUGGAGCUCAACAUUGGUACAUUACGUUUUUUCUAGACAACUCUAUUGCAAGAAACGACAUGAGCUCUGGUUUUUGAUAGAAAAACAGCCUGCCCGUUUCUCGUUAUUUGAGUUUGAAGAUAUCACAGGUUUAAACUGUGAACCAUUACCUAAUACAAUGGUGGUGGAAGAUGUUGAGAAAAGUAUAAGUUUUUGGGCCCUGUUCCACCUGAGAUGCACCCGUUCAACCCCAGGCGCUGAGGACAUACGUACACUCAGUCGGUCUCCUGAUGUUUGCAGAUCCUGGUCCAGGGAAGACCAGAUUAGGCUGUGUUAUUUGGCCAUCUUGACAGGCGGUUUACUUGCCCUUGAUCGAAGAGAAGCUAUCCCUCCUUCUAAAGCAAAGCUGCUUAUGGAUUUGGAGAUUUUCGAGCAGUAUCCCUGGGGAAGAGUGGCUGUCGUUUAACUUGUUCAUCAGAUUAAGUACACAACUGCAAAGAAAAUCAAGGACAACAGUUAUGUCUGCAAGGGAUUCGUGCAAGUAAUCCAGGUUUGGGCUUACACUUAUAUACCCUGUCUUGGAGAAGCAAUCGGGCAUCCUAUCGGUUCAAGUGGUCCAUGCUUACUGAGGUUCAAAGGCAAGUUUGGAAAGCUCCCCUUGGGUGCUAUACUUGAAAAACCGAAGGUAUGUUAACUUCGUAUGGAUUCAUCAAAAAUUUAUAUUUUAAUUGUUGUUGACAACCAAAUAAUUUUUUGUAUAGGUAACUUCUAUGUGCCCGCGAAGCGUAGAUGAAGUUCAUCCAGUUUGGGAACACCAAGAUGAGGAUCCUGUGAUUGACAAUCUUUUGGAGUUCCUUCGCCAAGACAAUUCCCUUAGUACCAUUACUUGGCAACCCUUGCCGGAGUACCCAUUGACACCGAUUGAAUGUAACAAGCGUAGGCUAGUUGCAAGCUAGAGGAAAUCAAAGAAGGUGGCAAGCAACGAGCAAGAGAACAUAGCAGAUGGAGGUGAAAAACUUGGUGAUAUUGCAGAAACUGAAGAACAAGUUCAAAGCCAUGACGUUUUAAUGUCUCCCAGAAAUUUAUAUCAGCUGUUGUCUGAAAAAGUGGAGGUUUGGGAAGAGCAAUUUAAUAGUGUACCGGUCUCAGCAGUUUUUCAAUCUGCGGGUGGCAUUACCAUAGAUAAUCUAGCAUCUCGAAUCACUCAGCAGGAAGAAAUUAUGCUAGUCAUAACAACCGCACACGAUCAGUUCUCUAACACAAAGCUACCAGCAAAACCAGCUACACCAGCGGUAUGUCAUUUGUUUCAGUAAGCAAUGACAAGGCAACAAUAAGUGAUGUUUCUUAAUUCCCUUUGAGAUUAUUGUUGUUUUCUGGCACAGAAAAUAGAAGGUAGCACAUGAGUAACUACAGUACAAGGAGCUGAUGGACAUCAUGACCAAGGAAAAGAAGUAGACAAAGAAGAUGGCAAACUGGUCAGAGAAGAUCACCCAGACAACCCAGAGGAAGAGAAUGCAGUAGAAGACAUGGAAGAGGAACUGCCAUUUGAGGUGGAAGGCAAAGAUGUUGGAGAGACUGCACUACAAACAAAAAGGGAAGAUCAUGCAGAUAACCGAGAGAAAGAGAAUCCAGGAGAAGAAGCUGUUGAAGAACAAGGAAAUGAAGAAUCACAACCAAAAUCCCAGGUUGAUACACUAUUGCAGGAAAUAGUUCAAUGUUACUCGUUGUAGGAAACCGAGCCUUCAAAAAAAGAGGAUCACUGCUUGUUAAUACCAAAGGUUGAAGAGACUUCUGAGUCCAAAAAGGAACCAGAUUAUAUCAAGGCUAUUAUGGUAUCGUCAGGGUCACUCAACCCACAUCCUUUUGCACGAAUGCAGCAAACAGACAAACUUGAAGCCACUUCAUCUGCCUCAGUCACCACUGUCGUGCCUUUCCGAAGACUUGUUGGAUAAAGUGGUGCAGAGAAAGAUCAGCCAUUUACAGUUGCAGGCAAACCAUCCCCCUCCCAGUUAUCAAAAGAAUAGGAUCCUUGUCUUGUCGCAGAACCUAAGAAGCCCAUUUGAACCUGGCACCCAAGUUAAGGGGGUUUUGAACAGAUAUGUGAAGGUUUACACAUUAACCGAACGGGAGGAGGUUGUAUAUGGGUCAGUUGGAGAUUCAAAAGUUGUAGAGCUAAACUUUUUUAAGAUUAUAAAGUAAGUAUCAAGUGUCUUCUAUUGAGUUUCAUUUUCUACGCGAACUUCAUUUCUCAUAUUCACCUGCAGGGAUUCUGUUUAUCCAAUUGCUCGCUGACAAGCGCCAGUAAAUUCUUCAACGUAUUUCUGACAAAGAGGGAAUGGUUGGAUGAUGAGGUAGGAGAUCUUACAUUUGACACAUACUUAGGUCUGUUUUGUUGGCACUCUUAAAUAUAUUUUUUUCCUUUUGUAGCACAGGGACGCAGCUUUAAGUUUGUAUAGAUUAAGAUUUUAACAACACCCAGACAUGUUCCUAUCUACAAAGAUUGCUAUUAUGAACGCAACCUUCCAGAUGCUGUGGGGACAUCAGUACAAGAACUGGAAAGUAAAUUAAUUCCCUCCUGGUGGGACAUAUUACUACUACUACAGGCUUGCUCCACGAUAUGCUGAAACAAAGAUGUGGUGGGAGAAAGAUGUCGACACACUAUAUUCCUGUAUUAGUUUGCAGAAUAGUCAUUGGGUAGCCAUGGUUAUUUACAUCUCGGAUCGGACUGUCAAAAUCUAUGGUAGUGGUUAGGCAAGGGAUGUUCGGUUAAGGGAAGCGGCGGAGCCGUUUGCUAGAAUGGUUCCCAUGCGUUAUGAUUUUACGAAAAUAAGGAACGCAAGCCAUUUGUGGAUCAUACUGACUUUACAAUCGAAUGUAUAUAAAAAGGGGUUCCACGAGCAACAUCCCCAUAUGGGGACUGUGGAGUUUAUGUACUAAAAUUCCUAGAGUGUCUAAUGAUGGGUGUUGAGUUAAAAUCAAAUUUUCUUAAUGAUGGAAACAUGGGCUUAGUGAGGGAAAACCUCGCAGCAGAGAUGUAUGUAGAAACAGCAAGCGCAAACGCGAAUAUGUGGGAUCCCGAAUUUGUAACAAAGGCGAUUGAUGAGGCUAUUCCAGUUGAGUAGAAACCUUUGUAACAAAUAUGUGGGAUCCCGAAUUUGUAACUGUUGUCUUGCUCUGUACAACUAGGUAAACUUGAGAAACUCUAAGUAACUCUUUGUUCCAAAAGUGUUUCGAUAGGAAACUUGUGACUGAGGGCAACCGCAACCGCUUGGUUAAGGACGCUUGAAAAAUUGAAAAAUUAGUUUAGGUUUUAUAUUGUCCUUUGGCACCUUAUUGUAUACUACCGGUUAAGUACCAUUUUUUUUUGAAAAAGGAAAAUACCGGUUAAUUAAGGACGCUUGAGAAUUUGAAAAUUAGUUUACCUUUUAUUAUGUCCUUUGGCACCUUAAUCUCACAGGCAGACCUAAGAAAAAAACUCAGAAUAAGUAUAGCAAUGCAAUAAAGUGUUUCGCAAGGAGACUUGUGACUGAGGGCAAUCGCAACCGCUUGGUCCAAGCUAAAAAAAUAUUUUUAAAAUUACGCUUGAAACUUUAAAAUUUUCUUUUUAGAUUUAGAAGGUCCUCUUUCACCAUAGGAUCACUGGCAGAUCUGAAAGAAAACCAAAAGAAACAACGGAAGACGAUAAUGUGUUCGCAAUAUACCCGCAGAUGGAUUGGAAGGGACCAGCAACCUGUGGCCAUUUUAAAGCUGAUGAUUCCCCUUCCGGUUACAUGCUGUUGUCUUGCUCUGUACAACUAGGUAAAUUUGAGAAACUAUAAGUAACACUUUGGUCCUAUUAAAUUUACAGAUACAAGCCAAAAUUUAUAUUUGUACAAACCAACAAUUUUAAUAGUUUAUUGUAUAUUCACAAAAUAGAUUUUUAAAAUUUUUUAACAUUUUAAAAUUUUAAUUACUUUUUUUUUUUUUUUGAAAAUAGAAAAAUUGGUUAAGGACGCUUGAAAAUUUGAGAAAUUAGUUUAGGUUUUAUUAUGUCCGUUGGCAGUUUAUUGUAUACUACCGGUUAAGUACCAUUUGUUUUUGAAAAAGGAAAAUACCAGUUAAUUAAGGACGCUUGAGAAUUUGAAAAUUUAUUUUAGCUUUUAUUAUGUCGUUUGUCACCUUAAUCUCACUGGCAGGCCUAAAAAAGAGUUAGAAUAAGUAUAUUAAGGCAAUAAAGUGUUUCGCAAGGAGACUUGUGACUGAGGGCAAGUGAUAGACCAUGGAUUUUACCCAUUAUUAGCCAUGGGAUAUAAGAGUUUUAAGGUAUAUUUACUUCUUUAUAAAAUCUAUUUAGAGUCUCUUUAGAGUAAUUACAAGUUCAUGUAUUUACUAGAGGAAAAUGAUGUAUUUGGAGGUAUUUGGAGACUUUUUGAGUUUUGCUUAAAAAAGAAAAUGGUCGAUCAUUUAUUUAGAAUAUCGACUGACGGACAUCAAGAAUAAUCAAUCGAUGAAAAACUUGCAUCAUCAAUCGACGGCGAAGCCACCCGCGAGUUAAUGACAAAUUAGAAGAUUGCAAGUUUCACAAAAGAUUCAAUAAUUACAUUCUAAGUCUCUGACCGCCUGUAGGCUAUAUUAUUAGGGUUUUGUUUCAUUUUAGAGGUAAAUUUGCCUAGAGACUUUUUAGACCUAGUUUGGAGGGAGCAAGAAGCCACCAUUGGAGAUAGAGCUUAGGAUUGGAGAGAUAGAUCUAAACUACAAAACAGAGAAGAUCUUGAACUCCUUUGCUUGUGUUUACUUUAUUGCUUACUCUUGUUUUUCACUUUAAUUAAGUAUUAUUCAGACCAUUAUAACUAUGUGUUUCAUGAAUAUGUCUGCGUAGACCUUACUGUUAGAUUUAGAAAUCUCAAUAGGUUGAUAAAUGUAUUACUGACUCAAACUGUUGUUAGGGUGUUUAAAAAUAUAGUUCUUCAUCUAGUUAUUCUUAAAGCUAAGUUUAGGAUUGAUCACCUUCAAACUUAGAUCUUAGGAUUAAUUGAGUUCAAGCAAUUGCUUGUCUCAAUACCUAAAAAUAAGCUAUUAUGAUCUAACUGACUAGAUACAAACGAGAUUUGAACUAUGUUGGGCUCAAAAUCGGUCACGACAGAAUCAAGGUCCGAAAGUCCCCGGAAAAUAUUUCUCGCAAUAAAAUUUCGUAUAAUUCUCCGGAAAAUAUGUUCUUGAUAUAUUUUAUCGACAACAAGAAGCAAACAUUAUUGGGGUCAAAAACGGUUAUCUCGAAAUAAACAUCCAAAAUUGUGUUUCUGUACAAAAGCUUUCUCGACACACUCUCGACAAAAGUUCCUGAGCAAAAGACUCGAGAGAAAUGGAUCACAGAACCAAACACGCAGUCCAACUUGUUUGUUCGAACCUUUUGAGGUGCAAAACUUCACAGACGCGUCAGAUAUUUAGCUAUGUAUGAAGAGCUUCCCAUGGUCUAUUGAGCCAAUCUUCUGACACAAGAUAGAGCUUUGAGUUACUUUUCACAUGCCACCGGUUUGAGGUCAAUCAGUAUCCUGUAGCAUAAGUUAUACCCGUUUUAUUGAAGGGUGGACAUAGCACAUGGUCCAGCUCGGCGGAUGGCCGAGAUGGAUCGACAACACGACCUGCUCGGCCAUCCGCCGAGCUGAACCAGUCCAGCUCGGUGGAUGGCCAAGCUGGAUCGAACAUGUGACCAGCUCGGCCAUCCGCCGAGCUGGACCAGUCCAGUUCGACUGAUGGCCAAGCUGGAUCGACAACACGACCAGCUCGGCCAUCCGCCAAGCUGGAGCAGUCCAAUUCGGCGGAUGGCCGAGCUGGAUCGAACACACGACCAGCUCGGCCAUUCGCCGAGCUGGACCAAACACGCGACCAGCUCGGCCAUCCACCGAGCUGGACUAGGCCAUCCGCCGAGCUGGAACGAUCGUGUUGUUAUCAUCCCAUCCUCGCAGCUCCCCCUUCGGGAUUAGAACAAACUUUCUCUUGUUUCAUCUCGAUCGGAGUUACCGUUGGAACUUUACGAUUUGAAUCGCAAGAACUCGUUCUCUCGAAUAACAUUCGGAUUGAUCAUAUAAAACGGCAACAGUUAGAUGAAAACCUCAAAUUCCCUAUGCUAUACGAGGAAUUUGAAUGUUCUUCGGAAUCGACGUCGUUUCGAAAGCGCUCUUUUUAUAAUAUCAUAAAAACGCCUAGGUCGGAAAACGGCCCGAACGGGCCCAGAACGCGGCUAAGAGCCCACUUACGAUUUUAUACAAAAUAAAACCCAAUUGUUAUGACGGUUUAAAUUUUGUUAUGCAGGAGAAGAUAAAUGUCAAGUUCGGAGGAUAAAUGUGAGGUUUCCAAAGAUAAACACAAAGAUCGAGGGAAAAUAGAAUAUUUCCGCGAAGCGAUAAACUCGACCAAGGGCAGAAAGGGAAAGAGCAAACCGCCUCUAGGAGGAGUAUAUAAGGACAUCGAGGUUGAAGAGGCAAGGGGACAAGUCUUUUUUACUCUUAGAACUCUCUGCACCUAGAAACUUUUAGGCAUUAUUCUCGACAUGUUCUGUUUCUAUGACUGGCACUCGAUUACUAGACGAACUCGCCCAGGCAGUUCGAUCUCUUGUUCCACUCUUUCAGUCGAACUACGUUCGGCUUAAUCCUCGAGAGGGGUACGUAGGCAGCUUUUCAUAAGGUUCAGUCCAACUCCAAUCAAAACCUUUUUCGUAUCUUUUUCGUCUUCUGUUAUCGAGCUGCGACUCAACUAGGUUUAAUGUUUUAGGUUGCUAGAACUAACUAAUUCGUUGACAGCCCUUGCGGCCGAAGCUUUUAUAAUCUAUUGUAAUGAUCGCAACGCUCUUACGUGGAUUCGAAAUAAGAUCUAUUUUUUCUAUGAAUUCGUUUUGUUAUCUUUUCGUAUUUUCUGCAUUUUUUUGGUUACUUGUCGCUGGCUAUCACAGAGAAUCCACGACCUCAGGGAAAGUUAGGGUUUCUUGACUUUCCUCCGAUUACAGAAAUCGACGGUGUGAAUUUCGGUUCCCACAAUCUAGUGAGUUAGAGAAUAUAAAUCAAACCUGUCCGUAAAGAUUUUUGGAAGAAUCAUCGAUCGACGCAACAAUAGUUCUGUCGAUCGAUAUUUUGAAAGUUGUAUCGAUCGAUGUUCUUAAUGAAUCAUCGAUCGACACUUUCUCGAGCUUGAUAUACGAUAAGUUAAAUCCGAUAUCCAGAUUAGAUAAUCAGAUUGAUUAUAUCUUUGUUUGAAUGCAAGAACAAUUGAUAUCAAUAAACCCCUAAAACUCCAAAUUAAGUAUUUACUUAUCAUACCUGAGAUUAUACUUGAAUCUAGCUAUUCUCCCAACUGUUAACAGCCUCAAAACCUACCAAUCGAGAAAUAACCUUGCUCACCAAUUCAUUUAUUGCUUUAAAACCUAUAAACCAACUAAUCUAGCAUAUUUUUGAAAGACCAUAAUCUAUUGAGUAAUCCUAGAGUCUCUGUGGAUUUGAUCCCUAAGUACUACACAUGAACCUCUUAUUUGAGAUAGUAAUUCACUCCUUAGGGUAAUUUGAGUGAUAUCAAAUUUGGCGCCGUUGCCAAGGACUCUUUCUUAUUACCAUUAGAUUAAGUUUAGAAUUUAGUCUAGAUUCUGUUACUGAAUUUGCUAAAAGUUUUCCCUCUUUUCCUGCUGACACAGGAACUUAAAGAUGGGAAAUAUGGAUUCGGCUGGACAUCGAUCGACGAAACAACAAUAACAUCGAGCGAAGAGUCGAUGGAAAAAUUGAUCGACCCUGCACAUAAAACGUAGAUGACACCCCGCCAGAAUCAGGUAAGUUUUCUCUCACCAAUACUGCUAAUGAGGGAGUAGUCCUAGGAGUAUUUGACUGUUGGGGGAUAGAUGUCAAUGCCAUGGAUCCGGUUAUGCUGGACAUUUUGCAACCUUUAAAACGUUAUCAAAAAUUCUCCACAAGGAUUCUGGCGGCCAACUAUGUUUCGCGAUGCUCACGCAUUCAUAGAACAAUGCGCCAGAUGUCAACGGAGAGGAAAAAUCAGCAAAAGACAUGAAAUGGAACAUAAAUCGAUUCUAGAAGUAGAAGUAUUUGACUGUUGGGGGACAGAUUUUACGGGUCCUUUCCCUUCUUCGUACGGGAAUAAAUAUAUCCUAGUCGCUGUUGAUUAUGUGUCAAAAUGGGUCGAAGCAGUAGCUUCCCCAACACAUUAUUAAGCUUUUCAAAAGCAUUAUCUUCCCGAGAUCUGGAAUUCUCCGAGUAGUCAUAAGGGACGGCGGAUCUCAUUUCAUUAACAGAAUUUUUGAGGGAUUACUCCGGAAGAACGGAGUGCACCAUAGAGUUGCUACGCCCUACCACCCACAGACAAGCGGACAGGUAGAAGUCUCAAAUUGGCAGAUCAAAGAAAUCUUAGAAAAGACUGUACGAACAUCUAGGAAGGAUUUGUCUAGGAAAUUAGACAAUGCACUCUGAGCUUACCGGACUGCAUUUAAAACUCCUUCAGGAACCACCCCAUUUCACCUGCUCUAUUGAAAGUCAUAUCACUUACCGGUUGAGCUAGAACACAAGGCAGCCUGGGCUAUUAAAUGAUUAAAUUUCGAUAUCAAACCAGCUGCCGAAAGGAGACUCAUGCAGCUUAACGAGCUGGAUGAGAUAAUACAUUUAGCCUAUGAGAGUUCAAAGAUAUAUAAAGAAAAGACGAAAGCAUAUCAUUAUAGAAAGAUAAUCUCCAUGAACUUUGAACCAAAUGAUCAAGUGCUGCUAUAUAACUCUCGACUUACGUUAUUUUCCAGAAAACUCCGAUCUCGUUGGUCAGGUCCAUUUACUGUUGUAGAUGUCAAAUCUUAUGGAGCCAUCACGCUUAUAAACGAUAAAGGAGAAGAAUUCACAGUGAACGGUCAACGAGUAAAACACUAUUGGGAGGCAACCCGUUUCUAGUUUUAGAAUGUUCAGGAUUUAAAAAAAAAAUAAUAAUCUACGGAAAACAUAAUGGCUGUCGAUCGAAGAAGAGGUGCUUACGUCGAUCGACGGUGGGGCGCUUAUGUCGAUCAACUUAAAGGUGUGUAUGUCGAUCGACAUUCUCGACAAAAGGGUACGAACAUGCUUUUCUCUAGUCUAACAUCUAACUUAGUACUUAUGAUUUAUUCUCUAACCAAUCUUAGACUGAAUAUCACUGGGGACAGUGAAAUAUAAGUUUGGUGGAGGUAUUUACUAAUAAUAGUUUGUUAAUGAUUUAUAUUUAAAAAUGUUUUCAAAAUUUUUUAUCGAGUCAAGAAGGGGAUAAUGAACUUUUUAAAGUUUUUACUUGUUAUCUAACUACUAUAUAGCACCUGAUAGACUAACUGACUGCAGAAAGCACUAUAGAUACUAAAGUGGAACCAAUGCUGACCUCCAACUUAACCUGACUUAACUGCUUGUCUUGGGGAUUGGUAUGCAUUAGAUCGGACUCCUCUUAUCUGAAAGGCGUAAGUCUGUAAGUCUGUAAAUUUUAGAUUUCUUUCUCUCCUCCCUUCAGCAUCUUAGGAUAUGAAAGAUUAAAAUGAUUUCCUGGAAGAGGCAGAGGGGUAGGAGCGUCUCCUGUGAAUCCAUUAUUCUAAGUCUGAAGGGAAUGAUCACACAAUUGUGGAAACGAGGGGUAGGAGUGUGUUUUAUGACCCCGGUAUUCUCUACACUUUUUUAAUAAAAAACAAAAAUCGAAAAGAUGAUGAAUAAGAUGGACUACAUCAGCAUCAUUAUUCAUUGGAAUUGAGAUAAAAAGAUUCAGAGAAGAGAGAUAUAGGGAGAAAAGAAACCAUAAUAAUCCCACAUGUUUACUCAGAUGCCUGCUAGGGUAAGAGUCCAUGUAUCUUUUGAUCGAUAUUCCUAAGAUUUAGCCUACACUUUUAUUUAUGCAAGAAAUGAGGUUAGUAGAGGGGAAUGUCAGAUAAGAUAUGUUGAGUUGUUGGCUAGAUGAAUUUGGUUACUAUACUAGGAUAACAUAUGAUGUGUUUUUAAAGUUGGGAUUUCAUUGAUGGGGUUAGCAACAUUAUAGAAGUGAUGAUUCUUAGUUUUAACUCUGUGAGUCCCUGCUGUUUCCAAACUUCUCUCAGAGACACUGCUCUAGUAUGUUUUGCUUGAGGACAAGCAAAAGAGUAAGUCUGGGGGAGUUAAUAGACCAUGGAUUCUACCCAUUAUUAGCCAUGUGAUAUACGUCUUUUAAGGUAUAUUUGCUACUAUAUAGAGUCUAUUUAGAGUAAGUACAGGUUCAGGUACUUACUAGAAGAAAAUGAUGCAUUUGGAGACUUUUUGAGCUUUGCUGAAAAUAGUAGAUGGUCGAUCAUUUAUUCAUAAUAUCGACCGACAGACAUCAAGAAUAAUCGAUCGAUGAAAGACUUGCAUCAUCGAUCGAUGGCGAAGCCACCUGCGAGUUAAUGACAAAUUAGAAGAUUGCAAGUUUCACAAAAGUUUCAAUAAUUACAUUCUAAGUCCCUGGCCGCCUGUAGGCUAUAUUAUUAGGAUUUUGUAUCAUUUUAGAGGCAGACUUGUCUAGAGACCUUUUAGACCUAGUUUGGAGAGAGCAAGAAGCCACCAUUGGAGAGAGAGCUUAGGAUUGGAGAGAUAGAUCUAAACUACAAAACAGAGAAGAUCUUGAACUCAUUUGCUUUCAUUUACUUUAUUGCUUACUCUUGUUUUUCACUUUAAUUAAGUAAUAUUCAGACCAUCAUAACUAUGUGUUUCAUGAAUAUGUCUGAGUAGUCCUUACUGUUAGAUUUAGGUUUCUCAAUAGGUUGAUAAAUGUAUUACUGACUCAAACUGUUAUUAGGGUGUUUUAAAAAAUAGUUCUUCAUCUAGUUAUUCUUAAAGCUAAGUGUAGGACUGAUCACCUUCAAAUUUAGAUCUUAGGAUAAGUUGAGUUCAAGCCAUUGCUUGUCUCAAUACCUGAAAAUAAGCUAGUAUGAUCUAACUGAUUAGAUACAAACGAGAGUUGAUCUAGUGAGUUAGAGAAUAUAAAUCAAACCUGUCCGUAAAGCUUUCUCGAAAAGCAUCGAUCAACGCAGCAAUAUUUCUGUCGAUCGAUAUUUUGAAAUGUGUGUUGAUCGAUGUUCUUAACGAAUCAUCGAUUGACACUUUCUCGCGAUUGAUAUACGAUAGUUGAAAUCCGAGAUCCAGAUUAGAUAUUCAGAUUGAUUAUAUCUUAGUUUGAAUUCAAGAACAAUUGAUAUCAAUAAACCCCUAAAACUCCAAAUUAAGUAUUUACUUAUCAUACCUGAGAUUAUACUUGAAUCUAGCUAUUCUCCCAACUGUUAACAACCUCAAAACCUACCAAUCGAGAAAUAACCUUGCUCACGAAUUCAUUUAUUGCUUUAAAACCUAUAAACCAACUAAUCUAGCAUAUUUUUGAAAGACCAUAAUCUAUUGAGUAAUCCUAGAGUCUCUGUGGAUUUGAUCCCUAAAUACUACACAUGAACCUCUUAUUUGAGAGAGUAAUUCACUCCUUAUGGUAAUUUAAGUGAUAUCAGCAACCGCAACCGCUUGCUCCAAACUGAAAAAAAUUUUUUUUUAAAAUUACGAUUGAAACUUUGAAAUUUUCCUUUUAGAUUUUAAAGCGUCCUCUUAACCUUAGGAUCACUGGCAAGGCAAUAAUAUGUUCGCAAUAUACCCGCAUUUGGAUGGCAAGGGAACAGCAACCGGUGGCCAGUUUAAAGCUGAUGAUUCCCCUGCCGGUUACAUGAUGUUGUCUUGCUCUGUACAACUAAGUAAACUUCAGAAACUCUAAGAAACUCUUUGGUCCUAUUAAUUGUAGAGAUACAAGCCAAAAUUUAUAUUUGUACAAACCAAUAAUUUUAAUAGUUUAUUGUAUAUUCACAAAAUAGAUAUUUUAAAUUUUUUAACAUUUUACAUUUUUAAAUGAUUUUUUAUUUAAAAAAGCAAAUACCGUUUAAGGACGUUUGAAAAUUUGAAAAAUUAGUUUAGGUUUUAUUAUGUCUUUUGGCACCUUAUUGUAUACUACCGGUUAAGUACCAUUUGUUUUUGAAAAAGGAAAAUAUCGGUUAAUUAAGGACGCUUGAGAAUUUGAAAAAUUAGUUUAGCUUUUAUUAUGUUCUUUGGCACCUUAAUCUCACAGGCGGACCUAAAAAAGACUCAGAAUAAGUAUAGCAAGCCAAUAAAGUGUUUCGCUAGGAGACUUGUGACUGAGGGCAACCGCAACCGCUUAGUUCAAGCUCAAAAAAUAUUUUUAAAAUUAUGUUUGAAACUUUGAAAUUUUCUUUUUAGAUUUAAAAAGGUCCUCUUUCACCUUACGAUCACUGGCAUGCAAGAAAGAAAACCAUAAGAAACAAGGGAACAACAACCGGUGGCCAGUUUAAAGUUGAUGAUUCCUCUGCCGGUUACAUGUUGUUGCCUUGCUCUGUACAACUUGGUAAACUUAAGAAACUCUAAGUAACUCUUUGGUCCUAUUAAUUUUAGAGAUACAAGUCAAAAUUUAUAUUUGUACAAACAACCAAUUUUAAUAGUUUACUAGCCUUUGAUCCGCGCGCCCGCACGAGUGUAUUUUUUGUAUAAAUUAUUAGUUUACAUAUAUUUAAUAUAUAACAUGUCUACACAUUAUUGUAUAUGAAUCAUCAAUAUAUUAUAUUUGUUUAUAGAUAUUAUGAAUUAUUUUUAUUUGUAAUUUUUGAUAAAUCCUAUUGGCUUAUCUGGUCAAUAAGCAGUGAUAAUUUAGUUUCCAAAAGAAAUUUCUAAAUUAUUAUAGUUUUGUAAAUAACAACAAUUAUUUUUUUUUCUUAAGGGAAAUUUAUAUUGGUUUGAAAAUAAAUAUUUUCAUGUGGAUAGACUUUAGUAUUGAACUCAUAAGUUAUUUCGCUAGACACAUUGAACAACACGUCAAUCAUGCCACUUAUAGCACACAAAACAUGAACUAAAUUCUUUCUCAAAAAAAACCAUGAGAUAACGUAUUAAUCAAGCUAAAGAAAUGGUUGUAUACCUGAGUAUGUGACAAGUAUCUUCCCUCUGGUACGUAAGCUGGAUCCCAAGCUUUUUCAAAUCUUCUUGAGAAAUUACCCGCCUGAUAUUAUAAAAACAAACAGGAUGCACAGUUAAACAUAGUUUUGAAGGUUCAUAACAACUAUAAUUGUUAGAAGAAACAACAAUAACGGCUGGUUAUAGUUGUUUCAGAUUAUUGUUGUUUGGAACAUGCUAAAAGGAGGACAGCAAAGAAAAACCGUACAAGGAAGCACGGAAAGGUCUUUCUUGUCCUCUAAAACGAAGUUAUCCAGAUUCUUUCCUACCAUCAAGUCCACCUCCUUUUUCCAGAGAAGAAGAAGAAGGAUUAAUCUAAGGGAUGAUGAAGAUCUAACUCCUAGGGGAGAGUAAGAGAAUGGCACUCACCUAAUCUUCUUGGUAUUCAUCCAAGCAUCAAUUGCUGCCUAUUAUAAUCAACAACAUUAUCUCAACCAUUAAUAAAUGAAUGAUGAGCAGGAAAGUUAGCAUCACCGUAAUACCUCGUAAGAAGGACGAAUCUCCUUUCUCAGUCUCAUACUCCACAAAAGCAUAUCCUCGUGAAGCACCCGUCACUAAAUAAAAUGAAACAACAUAAUGUAUAAUCAACACAGUAAUGCUAAGAAAAUAUGUGUACAAAACAACAUAAGUAAGAUCAUAAAGAAGAGCAAUUGCAAAGCCUUUACCAAUGUGUCUAACCAACCACAAGCUCUUAACUUUGCAGUAUUUACUCAUAGCCUGUAAAGAAGAGACCUUUAAUUAUGAUGUGAAAUGAAAGAUUGCAACUCCACAUAUACAACACAUACUCUUACCUCACAAAGAGUCUCCUCCUGACGUAAGAUGAGAGAUUCAUACUCUUACCUCACAAAGAGUCUCUUCCUGACGUAAGAUGAGAAAUUCGACCCACGAACAAAGUACAGUAAGGAUCUCCAGCUUCUUUGGGAUCACCAGAGGGAUCAACUUUAAAACCCCAAAUAACAUACAAGGAAAUCAACUUUGCGAAUUCAGCAGAGAGAGAGAGAGAGAGGCCGUCGUUAUAGCAGAGGAGAGCUCGACGAACGCCGUUGUCAUGUGAGGAAACUUUGCAUGUUUAAUUAGGUUUCGUAAGGAGAUAAAACUACUGUGUUUUAUCCCAGUGGCAUUACCUUGUAAAUAUUUAGAAAAAAUCCGGGUCAAUUUUUAUUUGUACUCCUAUUUUAGUAGUUUAGAUUGUAUAUUCAAAAAAAGCUAUUUUAAAUAUCUUUUAACAUUUUAUAUUUUUAAAUGACAUAUUGUUUUUUUUUAAUUUGAAAAAGGAAAAUACCGGUGAAGUACGCUUGAAAAUUUGAAAAUUAUUUUAGGUUUUAUUAUGUCCUUUGGCACCUUAUUGUAUACUACCGGUUAAGUACCAUUUGUUUUUGAAAAAGAAAAAUAAUGGUUAAUUAAGGAUGCUUGAGAAUUUGAAAAACUAGUUUAGGGGGGGGGGGGGGGGGGGGGGGGGUAAUUGGUAGUUAAAUUUUGAAGGAGUUAUAAAAUUUAGAGAUUCUAUUGUUAAUGGUUUAUGUAUUCUUACAAUCUUGUUAGAAUCCUUUGUUAUUAGUUUAUUGACUUUUAAAUUCUAUAUAAAAUCUUUUGUUAUUCAAAAAGUCUAGUUUUUAUUGAUUUUGUAAUUCUAGUAAACUCUCUUGUUAUUGGGACAUAAAUUCUCUCUAGUUUUACUCAUAACACUCAACUUUACAAAUAUCAUCUAUACUCAUAAGAUUCUUAGAAUCUUGUAUUACAUUCUUGUUGUCAUGUAAAAGAUAAUUGUAAAUAGAAAUAUAAAGAUAACAAAUUUUUAAAGAUAACAUGAUCAAGAAUCAUGAAAAAAAAUCAUAGGUUGACCUUAGAAAACUUUAAAAAAUCAAACAAUACAUAUUCAAAUAUUAAAAAAUGAAAGUUAAGUCCUUGGUUAUAUUAAACGCUGCGUCUUAACUAGAGAGAGAAAGGGCGAUUCUGAGUGCGAUAUUGACGACAGUUUCGUUGGUUCGAUGGCGACGGCGGAUCCGCCGGAUUUACCGGGUUCUCCGGGAGGGGAAUCGGGGGGGAAGUCUCGGAAUGAGGAUAAGGUGUUGGGGGAGAAGAAAAUGGAUCAAAGUUGGGCUGUUGUGGCGCAGGAUAAGAAAUCUCUGAAGAAAUACGAUGUUGAGAUCUUGGAAAAAGGAGGGAAACAAACUGUGGAGAUUCCGGAAGAGGUAAUCACUAAAUCGACUCCGAUUUGGGAUGAUUUUUUAGUUGGGAAGUUUUUGGAUCAAGCUCCUCACGUAGCAAAAGUCCAUAUGGUUCUCAAUAAGAUCUGGAAAUAUGGGGAUCUAGCAGCAAAGGUGGAGGUCUAUGAAGUUAAUGAAACGAUGAUGAGGUUCAAGGUUUCGAAUCCUAAAGCAAGGGAGAAGAUUAUCAGGCGUGGGAUGUGGAACAUUGUGGGGAUUCCGAUGAUUGUCAGUAAAUGGACACCACGUUCUGAAGAAGAGAAGCAAGAGGAGGAUACGAUACCCAUGUGGAUCAAUCUUACAAAGGUUCCAUUGCAUAUGUUCUCUUGGGAGGGCCUGAGUCUCCUGGCGAGUCCAGUGGGUUUCCCAGUUAAACUUCAUCCGGAGACACUUGCCUGUACUAGCUUUGAAGUGGCGAAGAUUUUUGUAAAAGUGGAUGUUACAAAAGAUUUGCCAAAGGAGAUGAGUUUUACAAGUAGAGGUGAGGAGUUUACUGUGGAGUUUGAUUAUCCAUGGCUUCUCUCUAAGUGUAAACAUUGUGACAAAUGGGGACACUCAGAGAAGGUGUGUGCUAUGGGUAAAAAGGGAAAAGAAAAGGAAACUGCUCCUGAUCUAAAGGAUGAUAAUGUCAGAAAGGAUGGGGAAGAACAUAAGGAGGAAAGUGUUGGAGUCAGUGUUGGAGUUAGUGUUGGGGAUUCUGGGGAAGCAUCACCUUUGAGAGGAGAAGUUCAGCCAGAGAGAAACAAGGAGGAGAUAAGCGAUGAUACUGGGGAUGACUGGGCUAAAGUGCCACAGGAGAGAAUUGGUCGUUCACAACCAAGUACCCCGAAGCAAAUAGGGAGUGAGAUACAUAUAUCCUCGUCAAAGUAUAGUAUUUUGAGCACUAAUGAUGAAGAGGAAGGAGAAAUAGUAGAGGAAGGGAAAGAAAUUAUUGAGGAGGAAGGUAAUGUGGAUGUGAUAGAGGAAAUCUUGGAGGAAGAUAAGAUUGAGGAUGGUUUGUUAGAAAAGAGUAGAGGGAAAAAUAAAGUAGUGGGUCAACGGGGAAGGAAAAAAGGGCAGAAGGCUAAAGCUCGGGAUGAAAAUCCAGGGACUAAAAGGUCUUCUCGUCAUCAAAACUAAGUAUGGCUGGGUUCUUUUGGAAUGUGCGCGGAUUUAAUAAGUUGUUGAAGCAUUCCGUUGUAAAAGAAUGGAUCCGUGGAAGUGAUAUGUUGUUUGGGUGUGUGCUAGAAACAAUGGUGAAGGAAGGGAGAGCAGGGAAGAUACUAAGUUCGGUUUUUAGUGAUUGGUCAGUGAUGGCAAAUUACGAAUACAGUCAGGGGGGGAGGAUUUGGCUACUCUGGAGAGACUCGGUGAGGAUGACUCCGGUUUACAAGUCAGAUCAGUUUAUUACUUGCUCUGUGGGUUUGCAGAAUGAAGAUGAUUUUUUCUGCACUUUCAUAUAUGCUAGUAAUGCGGUUGAAGAGAGGAAGGUGUUAUGGGAAGAUCUUCAUGAUCAUCAUUCUUCUCCGAUGUUUCGAGGUAAAGAGUGGAUGUUGAUGGGAGAUUUUAAUGAUAUUUUGGAGGGUGAGGAAAGCUCGGGUUUUUCAAAUCUUGGUAGGCGUCCAAGCGGGAUGAGAGAUUUCCAACGGAUGGUCUUGCGGUGUGAUCUAUCAGACAUGGGUUAUCAAGGGCCACUUUAUACAUGGUGCAAUAAAAGAGAGGAGGGAGUGAUUUGCAAGAAGCUUGACAGAGUUCUGAUGAAUGGUGCUGCUCUGAAUAGGUUUCAGAAUGUAUUUGCAACGUUUGAGCCAGGGGGUUGCUCUGAUCACCUGCGGUGCAAAAUCCAGUUGAAGCCACCAGUGGAAAAGAUAAAGAAGCCGUUUAAAUAUGUGAACGCAAUUGGGAGUUUAUCAGGUUUCCUACCUAUGGUUCAGGAAUACUGGGAGUCGACUGAGGUUCUUUUCCAUUCUACUUCUGCUAUGUUCAGAUUCUCAAAAAAGUUAAAGAACCUGAAACCUCUUAUUCGUACGCUGGGAAGAGAGAAGCUAGGUAAUCUUACAAAGCGAGCUCAGGAAGCCUAUGAAGUUCUUUGUGAAAAGCAGAAGAAUACUUUAGUUUUGGCUACGGAUGUAAGUGUUCAAGAGAAGGCAGAAGCUUAUGAGAAAUGGAUGUUUUGUGGCUGGGUUAGAAGAAGAUCAUCUUAAACAAAAAGCCAAGUUGCAUUGGUUGGAAGUGGGGGAUCUCAACAACAAAACUUUUCAUAACUCUAUCCGAGCUAGAAGAGCACAAAAUGCUAUGAGAGAAAUUCGCUGUUCUGAUGGUAGGAGGGUUGUAACUCAUGAAGAAAUAAAAGGGGAGGCUGAAAGACAUUUCUCUGAGUUUCUGAACCAGUGUCCGGAUGAUUAUAAGGGUGUGUCUGUAGAUGAACUAAAAGAGCUGUUGCAGUAUAGAUGUUCUGAAGAGGAUGGUAGAUAUUUGGAUGCGGAGGUAACUGGUGAGGAGAUUCGCAAGGUUCUCUUCUCUAUGCCUUCUCAUAAAUCACCAGGACCUGAUGGAUUCCCAAGUGAAUUCUUCCGUACUGCUUGGUCAGUGGUUGGUCAUGAUUUCAUUGUAGCUGUACAGUCAGUGUUCAAGUUCAGCUUUCUCCCGAAAGGUGUGAACUCUACAAUUCUUGCUCUGGUUCCGAAGAAAGAAGACUCGUUGGAGAUGAAGGAUUUUAGGCCAAUAUCUUGUUGUAACGUCUUGUACAAGGUGGUUUCAAAGAUACUGGCCAAUAGAUUGAAGAGAAUUCUUCCCAAGAUAAUAUCUGAGAACCAGUCUGCUUUCAUUGAGGGGCGUCUAUUGAUGGAGAAUGUUCUCUUGGCUUCUGAGUUAGUGAAGGACUAUCAUAAGGGUUCAGGUUCGCCGAGGGGAGUUAUGAAGAUUGAUAUUUCCAAGGCCUUUGACUCAGUGCAAUGGGACUUUGUUUUGAAGAGCUUAGAAGCUUUGGGAAUCCCGGAGAAGUUCAUUGGUCUGAUCAAGCUCUGUAUAUCCACGGCUUCUUUUUCAGUACAAGUUAAUGGGGAUUUGGCUGGAUACUUUCAAAGCUCAAGAGGGUUGCGCCAAGGGUGUUCUCUUUCUCCAUACCUAUUUGUUUUAUGUAUGAAUGUGCUCUCCAAAAAGAUUGACAGUGCCGCAGCGGCAAGAGCCUUCAAGUAUCAUCCUCGCUGUAAGUCCCUAGCUCUUACUCACUUGUGUUUUGCGGAUGAUCUGAUGAUAUUCGUGGAAGGAUCAAAGGAGUCAGUUCAGGGAGCUUUAUCUGUCUUUGAUCAGUUUUCUGAGUGGUCAGGUUUGAAGAUUAGCAUUGAAAAGUCUACGUUGUAUCUUUCUGGAGUCUCUGAAGGGGAAGAGAGUAGAAUAUUAUCAAAUUUUCCUUUUGCAAAGGGUGAGCUCCCAGUCCGUUAUCUGGGAUUGCCUUUGACGACCAAAGCUAUGCGACAUCAAGAUUACUUUCCUUUGGUGGAGAAGAUUAGAUGUCGGAUUAGCACAUGGACGAGUAGGUUUCUCUCUUAUGCCGGGCGCUUGCAGUUGAUCAAAGCUGUGAUAAUGAGUUUGGUAAAUUUUUGGGCUUCAGUCUAUCUACUUCCUAGUAAAUGUAUUCGGGAUAUUGAGCGAAUCUGUGGAGCAUUUUUGUGGUCGGGUCCAGAACUGAAGUCUACCGGUGCUAAAGUGGCUUGGUCAACGGUUUGUUGGGAAAAAGAGGAGGGAGGUCUGGGCAUAAGAGAUCUUAAGGUGGUGAACAGAGUAAAUGUUUUAAAAAUCAUUUGGAGGCUACUCACGGGAUCAUCUCUCUGGGGGAAAUGGAUAAGGAGUAACCUAUUAAAGAAAAAGAAUUUCUGGGAGAUCAAAGAGGAUACACAGAUGGGGUCUUGGAUGUGGAGAAAGAUGAUCAAAAUGAGAGGAGUUGCAAGGAGUUUUCAUAAAAAAGACUUGGGGAAUGGAAGGAAUACUUCUUUCUGGUUUGAUCAUUGGUCUGAGAAGGGAGUUCUAAUUACACUGUUGGGGGAAAGAGGUAUAGUAGAUAUGGGCAUUAAACGUGAAGCCACAGUAGCAGAAGCUAUUAUGAGAGAUAAAAGGAGGAGAAGUUAUCGUUCUUUGGCUCUUAGGGAAAUUGAGGCAGAAAUGGAGACUGUUCGGAGGAAGCUACGAGUGGAGAAUGAGGAUGUAAAUAUGUGGAGGGAUGGGUCGGGGUAUAGACAAAAAUUCUCAACACAUGCUACUUGGAUGUUGCUUCGUUCGCAAAAGGAGAGGUGUAGUUGGGCUAGGAGUAUUUGGUUCUCAAAGGCGACUCCUAAGUAUGCGUUUGUUUCGUGGCUGGCUGCUCGGAACAGACUCUCAACAAUGGACAGAAUCGUUCAGUGGGAUCCUGGUGCGGACACAACUUGUGUGCUUUGUAAAAGGGAUUUGGAGUCUAGGAACCAUUUAUUUUUUGAAUGUUCCUUCUCUAGUCAGCUGUGGGAGCAGUUAACUAAGGGGAUUCUGGCUGGUGAUUACACAAAUGUUUGGUCGAGCAUUUUUGAGAUUAUAUCGGAUGAGGGAAUGGAAAGGAAGAAGAGGUUUUGUCUGUGCUAUGCUUUGCAAAUUGCUGUGCAUACUUUGUGGAGGGAGAGAAAUAGGAUCAAACAUGAAGAGAAGCCUACUCCUAUUGAAGCUAUUAUAAAAAUGGUGGACAAAAGUAUAAGAAGCAAGCUGAGUAUUAUGAGGUCCAAAAGAGUGAAAGGGUGGGAAAGUGGCUUGCAGUUUUGGUUUAGUACUAGAAUUUAAAAUUUUUUCUAAGGUUGGAGGUUUUAGAAUGUUUAUUUCAAUUUAAAGGUAUACACUUGAUGUAAGAAGGGUUUUUUGAUGAAUAAAUUUAGCAUUCAUUCAAAAAAAAAAUAUUAAAAAAUGAAAAAAAAAUUAUUUUAACAUCAAAUAACUAUAUUUCUUGAAAUAAAAAAAAUUAGAAGUAUUUUUAUAGAAAGAUAAAUCUAGAAAGAAAAACAUAUAUGGAAAUUCAUGCUAAUCAAUCAUAAUCAAUGACAAUUUAUACAAUACAUAUGACAAGAAUUCAUAAAAUCUACUUAACUCUUAAAAAUCUUUGAACUUCAAAAAUUUUCUGAUUCCACACAAAUUUCAUUUCCAAUAGGCCCUCCUUAAUUAUGUUCUUUGGCACCUUAAUCUCACAUGCAUGCCUAAAAUAAACUCAUUUCUAAAUAUAGCAAGGCAAUAAAGUGUUUCGCAAGGAGACUUGUGACUGAAAGAAACCGCAACCCUCAGUCACGAGUAUUUUUUAAAAAGACAGAAUAAGUAUAGCAAGGCAAUAAAGUGUUUCGCAAGGAGACUUGUGACUGAGGGCAACCACAACCGCUUGGUCCAAGUUCGAAAAAUAGUUUUAAAAUUACGCUUGAAACUUUGAAAUUUUCUUUUUAGAUUUCAAAAGGUCCUCUUUCACCUUAGGAUCACUGGCGGGCCUGAAUGAAAACCAAUAGAAACAACCGGUGGCCAGUUUAAAUCUGUUGAUUCCCCUGCCGGUUACAUGUUGUUGCCUUGCUCUGUACAACUAGGCAAACUUGAGAAACUCUAAUUAACUCUUUGGUCCUAUUAGUUUUAGAGAUAGAAACCAAAAUUUAUAUCUGUACAAAACAACAAUUUUAAUAGUUUAUUGUAUAUUCACAAAAUAGCUAUUUUAAAUUUUUUAACAUUUUUUAUUUUUAAAUGACUUUUUUUUUUGAAAAAGGUAAAUACCAGUUAAGGACGCUUGAAAAUUUUAAAAAUUCGUUUAGGUUUUAUUAUGUCCUUUGGCACCUUAUUGUAUACUACCGGUUAAGUACCAUUUGUUUUUUAAAAAGAAAAAUACCGGUUAAUUAAGGACGCUUUAGAAUUUGAAAAUUAGUUUUGCUUUUAUUAUGUCCUUCGACACCUUAACCUCACAGGCAGACCUAAAAAGACUCAGAAUAAGUAUAGCAAGGCAAUAAAGUGUUUCGCAAGGAGACUUGUGACUAAGGGCAACCGCACCCGCUUGGUCCAAGCUCAAAAAAUAUUUUUAAAAUUAUGCUUGAAACUUUGAAAUUUUAUUUUUAGAUUUUAAAAGGUCCUCUUUCACCUUAGGAUCACUGGCAUGCCUGAAAGAAAACAAAAAGAAGCAACGGCAAGGCGAUAAUGUGUUCGCAAUAUAACCGCAGAUGGAUGGCAAGGGAACAGCAACCGGUGGCCAGUUUAAAGCUGAUGAUUCCCCUGCCGGUUACUUGCUGUUGACUUGCUCUGUACAACUAGGUAAACUUGAGAAACUCUAAGUAACUCUUUCGUCCAAUUAAUUUUAGAGAUACAAGGCAAAAUUUAUAUUUGUGCAAACAACCAACUUAAUAGUUGAUUGUAUAUUCACAAAAUAGCUAUUUUAUUUUUUUAACAUUUUAUAUUUUUAAAUGACUCUUUUUUUUUUUUGAAAAAGGCAAAUACCGGUUCCGAACGCUUGAAAAUUGGAAAAUUUAGUUUUGGUUUGAUUAUGUCCUUUGGCACCAUAUUGUAUACUACCGGUUAAGUACCAUUUGUUUUUUUUUAAAGGAAAAUACCGGUUAAUUAAGGACACUUGAGAAUUUGAAAAAUUAGUUUAGCUUUUAUUUUGUCAUUUGGCACCUUAAUCUCACAGGCAGGUCUUAUAAGAACUCAGAAUAAGUUUAGCAAGGCGUUUCACAAGGAGACUUGUGACUGACGGCAACCGUAACCGCUUGGUCCAAGCUUAAAAAAUAUUUUUAAAAUUACGCUUGAAACUUUGAAAUUUUCUUUUUAGAUUUUAAAAGGUCCUCUUUCACCUUAGGAUCACUGGCAGGCCUGAAAGAAAAACUAAAAGAAAAAACGGCAAUGCGAUAAUGUGUUCGCAUAUACCCGCCGAUGGAUGGCAAGGGAACAAUAACCGGUGGCCAUAUUAAAGCUGAUGAUUCCCCAGCCGGUUACAUGAUGUUGCCUUGCUCUGUACAACUAGGUAAACUUGAGAAACUCUAAGUAACUCUUUGGUCCUAUUAAUUUUAGAGAUAUAAGCCAAUAUUUAUAUUUAUACAAACCAACAAUUUUAUAGUUUAUUGUAUAUUCGAAAAAUAGGUUUUUAAAAAAUUUUAACAUUUUAUAUUUUUAAAUGACUUUAUUUUUUUUUUCGAAAAGGCAAAUACAGGUUAAGGACGUUUGAAAAUUUGAAAAAUUAGUUUAGGUUUUAUUAUGUCCUUUGGCACCUUAUUGUAUACAUGAAUAAGUAUAGCAAGGCAAUAAAGUGUUCCGCAAGGAGACUUGUGACUGAAGGCGACCGCAACCGCUUGAUCCAAGCUCAAAAAACAUUUUUAAAAUUACGCUCGAAACUUUGAAAUUUUUUUUUUAGAAUUUAAAAGGUGCUCUUUCACCUUAGAAUCACUGGCAUGCCUGAAAGAAAACCAAAAGAAACAACAGCAAGGCGAUAAUGUGUUCACAAUAUACUGCAGAUGGAUGGCAAGCGAACAGCAACCGGUGGCCAGAUUAAAGGUGAUGAGUCCCCUGCCGGUUACAUGCUGUUACCUUGCUCUGUACAACUAGAUAAACUUGAGAAACUCGAAGUAAUUCUUUGGUCCUAUUAAUUUUAGAGAUACAAGCCAAAAUUUAUAUUUGUACAAACCAACAAUUUUAAUAGUUUAUUGUAUAUUCGCAAAAUAGAUAUUUUAAAUUUUUUAACAUUUUAUAUUUUUAAAUGACUUUUAAAAAAAACAAAAAGGCAAAUACCGGUUAAGGACGUUUGAAAAUUUGAAAAAUUAGUUUAGGUUUUAUUAUCUCCUUUGGCACCUUAUUGUAUACUACCGGUUAAGUACCAUUUGUUUUUGAAAAAGAAAAAUACCGGUUAAUUAAGGACGCUUGAGAAUUUGAAAAAAUUAGUUUAGCUUUUAUUAUGUCUUUUGGCACCUUAAUCUCACAGGCAAGCCUAAAAAAGUCUCAGAAUAAGUAUAGCAAGGCAAUAAAGUGUUUCACAAGGAGACUUGUGACUAUGGGCAACCGCAACCGCUAAGUCCAAGCGCAAAAAAUAUUUUCAAAAUUACGUUUGAAAAUUUGAAAUUUUCUUUUUAGAAGAAUUUAAAAGGUCCUCUUUCACCUUAUGAUCACUGGCAUGCAUGAAAGAAAACCAAAAGAAACAAGGGAACACCAACCAGUGGCCAGUUUAAAGCUGAUGAUUCUCCUGCCAGUUACAUGUUGUUGCCUUGCUCUGUACAACUAGGUGAAUUUGAGAAACUCUAAGUAACUCUUUGGUCGUAUUAAUUUUAGAGAUACAAGCCGAAAUUUAUAUUUUUACAAACAACCAAUUUUAAUAGUUUAUUGUAUAUUCACAAAAUAACUAUUUUAAAAUUUUAAACAUUUUAUAUUUUUAAAUGACAUUUUUUUAUUAUUAUUUGAAAAAGGAAAAUACCGGUUAAGUACGCUUAAAAAUUUGAAAAUUUUGUUUAGGUUUUAUUAUGUCCUUUGGCACCUUUUUGUAUACUACCGGUUAAGUACCAUUUGUUUUUGAAAAAGGAAAAUAACGGUCAAUUAAGGACGCUUGAGAAUUUGAAAAUUAGUUUAGCUUUAAUAAUGUCCUUUGGCACCUUAAUCUCACAGGCAUGCCUUAAAAAACUCAUAUCUAAGUAUAGCACGGCAAUAAAGUGUUUCGCAAGGAGACUUGUGACUGAGGGCAACCGCAACCCUUAGUCACAAGUAUUUUUAAAAAAGACUGAGAAUAAGUAUAGCAAGGCAAUAAAGUGUUUCACAAGGAGACUUGUGACUGAGGGAAACCGCAACCGCUUGGUCCAAGCUCAAAAAAUAUUUUUAAAAUUAUUCUUGAAACUUUGAAAUUUUCUUUUUCGAUUUUAAAAGGUCCUCUUUAAACUUAGGAUUACUGGCAUGCAUGAAAGAAAACCAAAAGAAACAACGGCAAGGCGAUAAUGUGUUCUCAGCAUACCCGCAGAUGGAUGGCAAGGGAACAGCAACCGGUGGCCAGUUUAAAGCUGAUGAUUUCCCUGCCGGUUACAUGCUGUUGACUUCCUCUGUACAACUAGGUAAACUUGAGAUACUCUAAGUAACUCAUUCGUCCUAUUAAUUUUAGAGAUACAAGCCAGAAUUUAUAUUUGUACAAACCAACAAUUUUAAUAGUUGAUUGUAUAUUCACAAAAAUGGAUAUUUUAAAUUUUUUAACAUUUUAUAUUUUUAAAUGACUUUUUUUUUGAAAAAAGCAAAUACCGGUUAAGGACUUUUGAAAAUUUGAAAAUUUAGUAUAGGUUUUAUUAUGUCCUUUGGCACCUUAUUGUAUACAUGAAUAAGUAUAGCAAGGCAAUAAAGUAUUUCGCAAGGAGACUUGUGACUGAGGGCGACCGCAACCGCUUGUCCAAGCUCAAAAACUAUUUUUAAAAUUACGCUUGAAACUUUGAAAUUUUCUUUUUAGAUUUUAAAAGGUCCCUUUUCACCGUAGAAUCACUGGCAUGCCUUAAAGAAAACCAACAGAAACAACGGCAAGGCGAUAAUGUGUUCACAAUAUACCUGCAGAUGGAUGGCAAGAGAACAGCAACCGGUGGCCAGUUUAAAGAUAAUGAUUCCCCUGCCGGUUACAUGCUGUUGUCUUUCUCUGUACAACUAGGUAAACUUGAGAAACUUUAAGUAACUCUUUGGUCCUAUUAAUUUUAGAGAUACAAGCCAAAAUUUAUAUUUGUACAAACCAACAAUUUUAAUAGUUUAUUGUAUAUUCACAAAAUAGCUAUUUUAAAUUUUUAAAUAUUUUAUAUUUUUAAAUGACAUUUUGUUUUGUUUUUAUUUGAAAAAGGCAAAUACCGGUUAAGGACGCUUGAAAUUUUUAAAAAAUUAGUUUAGGUCUUAUUAUGUCCUUUGGCACCUUAUUGUAUACUACCGGUUAAGUACCAUUAUUUUUUAAAAGGAAAUAUUAGUUUAGGUCUUGAGAAUUUGAAAAAUUAGUUUAGCUUUUAUUAUGUCCUUUGGCACCUUAAUCUCACAGGCAGGUCUUUAAAAACUAACAAUAAGUAUAGCAAGGCAAUAAAGUGUGUCGCAAGGAGACUUGUGACUGAGGGCAACCGCAACCGCUUGAUCCAAGCUCAAAAAAUAUUUUUAAAAUUACGCUUGAAAUUUUGAAUUUUCUUUUUAGAUUUUAAAAGGUCCUCUUUCACCUUAGGAUCAUUGGCAGGCCUGAAAGAAAACCAAAAAAAAAGAACGGCAAGGCGAUAAUGUGUUUGCAAUAUACCCGCCGAUGGAUGGCAAGGGAACAACAACCGGUGGCCAGUUUAAAGCUGAUGAUUCCCCUGCCGGUUACAUGCUGUUGUCUUGCUCUGUACAACUAGGUAAACUUGAAAAACUCUAAGUAACGCUUUGGUCUUAUUAAUUUUAGAGAUACAAGCCAAAAUUUAUUAUUGUACAAACAAACAAUUUUAAUAGUUAAUUGUAUAUUCGCAAAAUAGAUAUUUUAAAUUUUUUAACAUUUUAUAAUUUUAAAUGACUUUUUUUUAAAACGAUUAUGGACGUUUGAAUAUUUGAAAAUUAGUUUAGGUUUUAUUAUGUCCUUUGGCACCUUAUUGUAUACAUGAAUAAUUCUAGCAAGGCAAUAAAGUGUUUUGCAAGGAGACUUGUGACUAAGGGCGACCGCAACCGCUUGAUCCUAAGUGAAAAAAUAUUUUUAAAACUGAGGGCGGUGACACCGAGCACUCUCUCGGCAGUGUUUUGUUUUGCCCGUUAGUGGGCAGCGAGUGCCCACCUCGUUAGGACAAUUGUUUGUUGUUUGGGUACUUUAGGUACCGUGCUUGAAAUGUGUUAGAAUUAAAUUAUAUUCAUUCGGAGUUCUAUUUUUGGGUCCAAGGACAUCAGGUUUAGCAUCUCAUACCUCACUGUGUGACUCCCCAAUUGCUCACCCCUCUUAUUUCCGCUACUGGACUUUUCUUUCGGAUUUUAUUUGGGCUUGGGUGAGUGUAUUUUGGGUUUAUGGAUUUUUAUAUUACGAGAUAUUAUUGGUGGCCCGUCUUCCUUAGAGAGAGGGAGACGAGUGUCACAUUGUUUUAUGAUGACGCGUCGGGAAUGACACGUUGUCCUCCAGGUAGAAGGUGACGGGUGUCACAAUUUUGGUACCAGAGCGGGGUUCUGUCCCAGUUCUGACCCGGGAUGGCGGUUAAGGAAUUUGGUUUUUAUCGGUUUUCAACGUUUUAAAAAAUAUAUAUAUAUAUACAUAAUAUUUUUUUGAAAAUUCUUUUAGCACCAUUUUAUCCAGUAAUUACUAACUCAAUUGUCUCUUUCAUGCCAAUGAGUAAAACCAUUGUCAUUUGACGUUUAACUAACAGGGUUCCAGCCAGAUGUUCGACAGAUGAAAGAUGUCACUAUUUGACAUAUUGCUCAUGAGUUUAUCAGUUUCUUUGGUCAUUGUUCCGAGGUUAUCCAAGAGUGGAUAUGUGACGUUUCUGCCACUACCCCACUUCAAGCAAUCUCUUGGUGUGUUUUUGUUAAUAGAGAUUAUGUGGUGUGAGGUAUAUGAGCUAUUGGUUGGCAUGUAUUGUUUUGUGUAUACAUAUAUUGACUAUUUUGGAUAUAUGCUUUGUAAGCUCAAGAAAAAGAGCUUGUCGGAUUGUGAAACAGAGGAUGUGUUAUACACGAUGUAGGAAGUGUAACUUGCUGUUACAAGUCGGUUAUGAGACGAUGACGUGUCAAUGUCUCAUUGUUUCCAGGAUGUUACUUUUGGCGUGAAGCAAAGAAGAUCUGGAAGAUUUGGGCUUAUCAUAAUAUUAGGAAAUUAAGAUAUUGUGUUAAGGGUAUUUAACAUGAUUGCCUUGGGUAGAUCUAGGUUAGCCGUUUAUUGAUUAAAAAGCUUGAGCAAGAGGUUUGUUCUUGAUAGCUUAAGAAAGACGAGUGACCUUGGGUGCAGCUCGUGUUUCUGUUCUGUGAGAUUAGGAAUUGGUCCGUCUCUAGUCGUGUGUGACUGAGAGUAAUUCGGAUUAAACAGAUCUAGGAAGAUUGUUUAACAGAUUUCUAAUAUACAAGAAAGCGUUCUUGGUAUCUUGUGUUUUAGUUCCUAUAUCUGGUAGUCUCUGAACUUUCAUUUGGUAUCAGAGCGGGAAACCUCUGUGGUAUCAUACACUACUAACAGGUUGAGAUCCUGUGGAUUUCAUGGACACCAUGAAGGAACUAUUCGGAAUUCAUAAACCCAUCAUGCUGGACAGUUGCAACUUUGGUCAUUGGAAGGCAAGGAUGCGACAGUUGAUCAGAGGAAUUGACGAGGAUGUGUGGACUGCAGUAGAAGAAGGGUGGUCUGUGCCUACAAUGAUGACUGAUGACAAAACCUUUGCUCCAAAACCAAAGAUUAGGUGGACUGAUCAAGAGAAGGCAGCAUCGAAGUUCAACUCUAAAGCCCUUACUGUGAUCUUUUCUUCAGUGGAUCUGGACCAGUUCAAAAUCAUCCAGGGAUGUGAGUCUGCUAAGGAGGCAUGGGAUAUUUUGACCAACCACUUUGAGGGAAAUACUAGCGUGCGAAGAACAAGGAUCGAUCACUUAGCUUCAAAGUUUGAAAAUCUUCGCAUGACUGAUGAUGAACCAAUUGAUGGAUUCAUAUCCAAGAUCAGCGAACUUGCCAGUGAAGCUUCAGUUCUCGGAAAGAAAUAUGACGAGAAGGACUUGGUGAAAAAGCUGUUAAGAUGUCUACUUCCACGAUUUGAAGCAUACAAGGCAGUACUGGAUAUAGCUGUCAAUACAGAUGAAAUGAAAUUUUAUCAACUGUCUGGUAUCUUGAAGGUUCAUGAUCUGGAGAAAUCUAAUCGAACUGCAAAUUCUCAAAAGAGCAUCGCUUUUGUAUCUGACUCGAACGAACAGGACAGAGUCGCAAAGAUCGAGGAGAACUUGGGAUUGAUGGCUCGAAACUUCAACAAGUUCAUUAAGUGAAUGGACAAAGUGUUGAGAUGAGAUCAAUAUAUAGGAAGAGAAAAACAUGAGGAGUUGAGUAUGAUGAAGAGGCCGUAGUAAUACUAGUUAUCCGAGUAAGUUACAAAGGGUAAACCAAAGUUACCCUAGUAAUACUAGUAUACCAGUUAUACUAGUUAUCCGAGUAACUUUGGAAGAAGAGGAGAAGCCCGAUUCCCUUUGCUAAGGCAUCAGUCCGUUGCAAAGGAAGAGGAGGUGCUUGUGACAGGCUGGAGACGAGCUGGAUAAAGCAAAAGGAGCUUUAUACACAAAGAAGAAUUAGCUCAUUGGAUGGUUUGAAUUAAAGCAAACCUUAUCUCUUGUAAUAGUGCCACUUUAUGAAACCCUCAUCCUAGUGUUGCCUCCUCAUAUAUAUUGUAAACUCUGAUCAGAUUAAUAAUUAAGAAGUAUAGGAUUAUCUCUCUAGACUCUCUCUCUCUCUUGUUCAUAAUGGUUCUUAAAUACUCUUAAACAUGGUUACUACCUAAUCUCUCUACAAAUCUCCCAUUAAUCUUCUAUAAUCUACCUUUAAUCUCUCAAUACCUACUCUAUUCUCUAAAAUCAUAUGGUAUUAGAGCCAGGUUGGCUUUGGUAUUGAGAAACCUCGUUCCAUUUUUUCCUUUCUCUAGCUCUUGUGUUCUUGAGGGUUCCGUGAAGGUGUGUGAUAAAGUUGAGUCCUGUGGUGCUGUGCUUUGAGUUUGUGUGUUCUUGAAGUCUGGUACUGUGUAUUCUUCAGCUAAGUUGCAAGUUUGAAGCUUUCUGGUCAUUUCUGGUUCAAGCAAGAGAAGAUGGAAGGAAACAACUUCAGCAAACUAGUUACUGUCCCGGUUGCGUUGAAGGGUGGUUCAAACUACCUCUUGUGGUCAAGAUUGGUGAAGACUGCCAUUGGAAGGCUAGGGCUGUGGAGCCACAUCACUGAUGAUGGUCCGAAGCCAGUGGCCAAAGAAACUGGAGAAGGUGAAGAGGAAAAGACUCUCACCAAAGCUGAAGCCAAGAAGUGGGUACAAGAAGACUUGAUGGUGCUUUCCGUGCUGCAAGGAUCUCUUGAUGUUCCUCUUCUUGAAGCUUACAGCUACUGUGACAGACUCCCAAACACUUGUGGGAGACCCUCUCAAAGACGUUUGAAAACGUCUCCAACAUCAGCCGUGUGUUUGAGCUGAAGAGAGUCAUUAACUCCAUGAAGCAAUAUGGAGGAGAGCUCACCAAACACAUGGGAAAGUUUGGAUCAUUAUGGUCUGAACUUGAAAGUCUAAGACCUAACACCACUGAUCAAGCAGCUCUUAUGGAAAGAAGAGAACAAGAUCAAGUGUUUGGGUUGUUGAUGACAUUGGAUCCUUGCUACAAGGAUGUCAUCAAACACAUUUUGAGAUCGCCUAACCUACCAUCCAUGGAGGAAGUAUGCACGCAACUUCAGAAGGAGGAGGGAUCUCUUGGCCUGUUUGGAGGCAAGGGUGAGCUUACUAUGGCUCAUCAAGCUGAAGGAAUGCAAGCAAACAAAGCUGCAUACAGAGGCUCAGGAAGAAAGUAUGAAAAGUAUGAGGGAAGCUGUGAGCAUUGCAAGAGGACCGGUCACAAGAAGAGUGAGUGUUGGAUCCUACAUCCUCACCUCAGGCCACGUGGGGUCAACAGGGAUAGGGAAGCAAAGGCUCAUCUUUCUGCUGAAGCAAAUGGUGCUGGUUCAUCCGGAGCUAGCUCAGGCACUAAGGUGGGUGAAAGUGAAGGUAGAGCCUUGGGGUCUCAUCAACCGAUUGGAAAGGGUAUGGAUCAGGAGGUGUUUAAGAGAGCUGACCUUGAAGCCUUCUUCAAAGCUCUCAAGGAGUCUGGUAACACCCUCGGAAACACCCUUGGAUACUCAUAUACUGCUCAUACAUUACCUAGUAAUACUGAUAAAUUACUAGACAUUUUUAAAAGCUCUUACACUACUGCUAGUAAUCCUAGUAAUACUGAUAAGUUGCUAGACAUUUUUAAAAGCGCCUACACUACUGCUAGUGAGCCUAGUAUAACUAGUAAGAUGUUAGGAUUACUAGGAAACCUGAUAAAACAAAAUGAACCAUCAAGGACUGAAAUUACUAGAAACAUGCAUAAACCUUUGAUCAUUGAUUCUGGUGCAUCUCAUCAUAUGAUUAGGGAUAAUAACCGGAUUAAAGACAUAGAACCGGCUCAUGGACAUGUUAUGAUUGCUAAUGGAGAUAGAAUUCCUAUUAGAGGAUUUGGUAAACUAAAACUGUUUGAUAAGGAUUCAAAAGCAUUUUUCAUGCCUGAGUUUACUUCUAAUCUUUUAUCUGUCAAAAAGUGCACCACUGAUCUUCAAUGCAAUGUUAUCUUUAGUCCUGAUGAUGUUAAGUUUCAGUAUAUUAAAAGCAGUAAGUUGAUUGGGCAAGGAACAACCAAAGGCGACCUUUAUAUGCUCGAAGAUCUUAGUCCCAUCUCUAGUUCUUGUUUUGUCGUUUAGUUAUGUUUCUUCCUUAAGUAAAGAUGCAUUGUGGCAUGCUAGACUUGGACAUCCACAUGUUAGGGCUUUAAGCAUUAUGUUACCAGGUGUCUUGUUUAAAAAUAAUGAUUGUGAGACAUGUAUUUUGGGCAAACAUUGUAGGACAGUGUUUCAAAGAUCAUCCACUAUUUAUGAGAAUUGCUUUGAUUUGAUUCACUCUGAUGUUUGGACUGCACCUUGUUUAUCUAGGGAUGAUUAUAAGUAUUAUGUCACAUUCAUUGAUGAAAAAUCCAAAUACACCUGGUUAACACUCAUCAAAACAAAAGAUAGGGUUCUUGAUGCAUUUAAAAAAUUUCAAAGCUAUGUUACUAACCAUUAUCAUGCCAAGAUUAAGAUUUUCAGGUCAGAUAAUGGUGGAGAAUACAUAGGCCAUGCAUUCAAAGAUCACCUAGCUAAACAUGGGAUUCUACAUCAGACUAGCUGUCCUUACAUUCCACAACAGAAUGGAGUUGCUGAAAGGUAGAACAGACACCUCAUGGAAGUGGCCCGUUCAAUGAUGUUCCACAAGAAUGUCCCUAAGAGAUUUUGGAGUGAUGCUGUGAUGACUGCUUGCUAUCUAAUCAACAGGAUACCAACCAGAAUCCUAGAGGACCAGUCUCCAUUUGAGGUACUCAACAAGAUUCGACCAGUUCUAGAUCACUUGAGGACAUUUGGGUGUGUGUGCUAUGUGCUGGUGCCAGGAGAGAUGAGAAACAAACUUGAAGCAAAGAGCACUAAGGCUAUGCUUAUUGGCUAUUCCGCAUCUCAAAAGGGAUACAAGUGCUUUGAUCCCACUGCUAGAAGAGUCUUGGUGUCUAGGGAUGUGAAGUUCAUGGAUGAUAAAGGGUAUUAUGAAGAGAAGAAUUGGGAGGAGCUUGAAGGGCUGUCUCAACCAUCAUAUAGAGCUGCUAGUUUGAGAAACAUACUAGAAGAACUUGGUAUUGGCGUGUCCCAGGAUCAGAGCAGGCGUGAAGAGCCUACUCAAGUGGCCGCUAAAGAACCAACCCACUUUGAACAUGAGGGGGGAAGUGAAUCUGAAGCUGAAGGGUUAAAAGAUCAAGGUUCAGAUGAAGCUGGAGGUCUAGAAGAUCAAGACUCAGAUUCUCCUGUCCAAAGUGGAAAUGAAUCAGGAAGAGAAGUUCAGAAUGAAGGUCAGGAAGCUGGAGAAGAAAUCCAGAUACAAGAGGAAGCUGUUGAGGAACAAGUAGAAGUUCCUUUGAGAAGAAGCACACGGGUAAGGAGGGAUGCUUCCGAGUGGGCAAACACAAGAAACUGGGUAAACACGAGAGUGUUAUACAAUGCCCAGGCUGUGGAACAUCCUUCCCAAGCUGUGUGCUCCUUUGCUGAGUUUCCGGAAGAACACUACUCCUUUAUGGUAAGCUUAGAUGAAAUCUAUGUGCCAAGAAGCUAUGAAGAAGCAAUGCUGAUUCAAGAGUGGAGGGAUUCAGUCAAUGAUGAGGCUGAUGCCAUGAUUAGAAAUGAUACAUGGUAUGAGAGUGAGUUGCCUAAGGGGAAGAGAGUUGUGUCAUGCAAGUGGAUCUUCACCAUCAAGUAUUUACCUAAUGGGAAGAUUGAUAGGCGUAAGACAAGGCUGGUAGCAAGAGGUUUCACACAAACCUAUGGAGAGGAUUACAUUGAUACUUUUGCACCUGUUGCAAAGCUCCAUACCAUUAGGAUUGUACUAUCAGUUGCAACCAAUCUUGAGUGGGCUCUUUGGCAAAUGGAUGUGAAGAAUGCUUUCCUCCAAGGAGAGCUAGAAGAUGAAGUCUAUAUGCUACCACCUCCGGGUCUUGAAGGAAUGGUGACUGCAGGAAAUGUUCUUAGACUGAAGAAAGCCAUCUAUGGAUUGAAAUAAUCACCUAGAGCAUGGUACAAUAAGCUAAGCAUAACACUGAAUGGUAGAGGCUUCAGGAAGUCCGAGCUUGAUCACACUUUAUUUACUCUCAAUAUUCCAUCAGGUAUCAUUGUUUUGCUUGUGUAUGUGGAUGACAUCAUCAUAACAGGCAGUGAUAAGGAAGGAAUCCAAGCCACCAAAGAGUUUCUGAAAUCAGUAUUUGAUAUAAAGGAUUUGGGUGAGAUGAAGUACUUUCUUGGGAUUGAGUUGUGCAGAUCCAAGGAAGGGUUGUUUAUCUCUCAAAGGAAGUAUGCAUUGGAUCUAUUGAAGGAUGCUGGUGCGUAUGGAGGAAGAACAGCCAAGAUGCCCAUGGAGGAUGGGUACAAGGUUCCACGUGAGGGGGAGAUUGAAGACAGCAAGCUGUUCCAUGAUCCAAAGCUGUAUAGAAAGCUUGUGGGGAAGCUGAUAUACUUGACCAUCACUAGGCCAGACAUUUGUUUUGCUGUGAAUCAAGUAAGCCAGCAUAUGCAAGCUCCAAAAGAGCAUCACUGGCGCCUGGUGGAGAGGGUUCUCAUGUACCUGAAUGGAACUCAAGGGCUUGGAAUAUGGAUGGGCUGCAAUCAAAGCACUGAAGUUGUGGGUUAUUGUGAUGCUGACUGGGCUGGUGAUAGAGCAGACAGAAGGUCUACAACAGGCUACUGCACUUUCAUUGGAGGAAACAUGGUCACUUGGAAGAGUAAAAAGCAUAAGGUUGUAUCAUGCUCUAGUGUUGAAGCUGAGUAUAGAGUUAUGCUAAAGCUUACCAACGAGUUGGUAUGGAUCAAAGGGAUUCUUAGGCACUUGGAGAUUGAGCAAGCAACACCAAUGACUAUGCAUUGUGACAAUCAGGCGGUUAUUCACAUUGCUACAAACUCAGUGUUUCAUGAGAGGACGAAGCACAUUGAAGUAGAUUGCCACAAGGUAAGGCAGAUGAUAGUCUUGGGAGUGAUCUUGCCAUGUUAUAUGAGAAGUGAAGAUCAGUUGGCAGAUGUGUUCACCAAGGCAGCAAGACAAAAGAUUAUGGAGUCCAUUCACAUCAGAUUAGGACUCAUAGAUCUUGGAAAGAGCAGGAGCUGAUCCCCUAAGUCAUGAGGUCUUUACUCUUUUUCCCUCAUCAAGGUUUUGUCCCAAUGGGUUUUCCUUGGUGAGAUUUUUAAUGAGGAAGAUCUCAUGGCUAUCCAAGCUUAGACAUAUACAAAGCUAAGCUUGAGGGGGAGUGUUGAGAUGAGAUCAAUAUAUAGGAAGAGAAAGACAUGAGGAGUUGAGUAUGAUGAAGAGGCCAUAGUAAUACUAGUUAUCCGAGUAAGUUACAAAGGGUAAACCAAAGUUACCCUAGUAAUACUAGUAUAUCAGUUAUACUAGUUACCCGGGUAACUUUGGAAGAAGAAGAGAAGCCCGAUUCCCUUUGCUAAGGCAUCAGUCCGUUGCAAGGGAAGAGGAGGCGCGUGUGACAGGCUGGAGACGAGCUGGAUAAAGCAAAAGGAGCUUUAUACACAAGGAAGAAGCUCAUUGGAUGGUUUGAAUUAAAGCAAACCUUAUCUCUUGUAAUAGUGUCACUUUAUGAAACCCUCAUCCUAGUGUUGCCUCCUCAUAUAUAUUGUAAACUCUGAUCAGAUUAAUAAUUAAGAAGUAUGGGAUUAUCUCUCUAGACUCUCUCUCUCUUGUUCAUGAUGAUUCUUAAAUACUCUUAAACAUGGUUACUACCUAAUCUCUCUACAAAUCUCCCAUUAAUCUUCUCUAAUCUACCUUUAAUCUCUCAAUACCUACUAUAUUCUCUAAAAUCAUAGAAAGGAGGGAAUAGAUCAAAUUCACGAUUUCAGAAGAACGACUCAGAUCGAAACAGCUCUCAAUACACCAGGCAAGACUCGAAGAACUCUAAGAAGAAGGAGUUGCAGUGUCAUGAGUGUGAAGGGUAUGGACACUUUCGCAAUGAGUGUCCACUAGCUAAACAAAAAGAGCUGAAGUGCAUUGACUGCAAGGGUUUUGGUCACACUCGAAGUGAAUGUCCUAAUAAUCUGAAAAAGUACAAGUCACUUAUGUGUUUCAGUGAUACAGAUUCAGAGAGUGACAGCGACAGAGAUGAGCUACAUCUAAACUUUAUGGCACUUGUCAGUAAGGAAGAAGAACCAAAACUGGAUUUAGGCGUGGAAGAGGAUGAAGAUGAUCUCAACAACGAUCUUGAAUCAGAAUACAAGUCUCUGUUCGACAAGAUUACUGAACUCAGUCAUGAGAACCUACAACUACUGAAAGAUAAGGCGAUGCUGAAAGCUCAGGUGAAUAUUUUGGAAUUGGAGAAACCCUCGGAUCAAGUUACUGAGUUGUCAAUCCUGAAGAACUCAGACCAAGAGUUACUAUCACUAAAAAGAGCGAUGACUGAACAGGAGAGGGUGCAGAAGCAGUUUGAGCUGAAGGUGAAUUAUCUGAAUGAUCUACUAACCAAGGAGAUGGACAAGAGCAAAUUACUUGAGAAUCAACUCGCUGACAAUCUCAAGAGAGUAAGAAUGCUCACUACUGGUACAACAACUCUGUAUCAUCUUCUCAACAACUCUAUGUCAACUCUAUACCAUGUUAUUGACUACAAGUUUGGGAUCUGGUACCACGACCUCACGGUGUGAAUAUCAUUGGCACUAAGUGGAUUCACAAGAAUAAGACCGAUGAGAAAGGAAACGUGAUCAGAAACAAAUCCAGACUUGUGGGACAAGGUUACACACAAAUCGAAAGUGUGGAUUUUGAUGAGACUUCUGCUCCAGUUGCUCGACUAGAGUCAAUCAGACUAUUGUUUGGAAUGACAUGCAAUCUGAAGAUCAAGCUUUAUCAGAUGGAUGUGAAAAGUGCAUUCCUGAAUGGUGUGCUACAGGAAGAAGUCUAUGUCACACAGCCUAAAGGCUUCGAGGAUCCUCACUUUCCAGAUUAUGUUUACAAACUCAAGAAGGCACUGUAUGGACUUAAACAGGCCCCUCGAGCGUGGUAUGAUCGCCUGACAGUGUUCCUGACUCAGGCUGGAUUUCAAAGAGGAGGAGUCGAUAAAACCCUAUUCAUUGGAGAGAAUGGAAGAGAUAUCCCCAUCAUUCAAGUAUAUGUCGAUGAUAUAAUAUUCGGAGGAACAUCUCAAUCGAUGGUUGAUGAGUUCGUAAAGACAAUGACUUCUGAAUUUGAAAUGAGCAUGGUGGGAGAACUGAGUUACUUUCUUGGACUACAAGUCAAGCAGUUAGACGAUGGAAUCACAGUCUCACAAAGCACAUAUGCGAAAAAUCUUAUCAAGAGAUUCGGGAUGCAGACAAGUAAGACAGCCAAUACUCCGAUGAUCACAACUACAAAUCUGUCACAAGAUGAUGAUGGGAAGCCUAUCGAUGAGAAGCUGUAUAGAGCUAUGAUAGGGAGCCUGAUGUAUCUUACCGCAAGUCGACCUGAUUUGUGUCUGAGUGUUGGUAUAUGUGCUCGAUACCAGGCUAAUCUGAAAGAGUCACAUAUGAAUGCAGUCAAACGUGUUAUCAAAUAUGUGAAAGGUACAUUGGAUUUCGGUCUUCAUUACACCUUUGAAACUAACGUGAACCUUGCAGGAUUUUGUGAUGCUGAUUGGGCAGGAUGUUUGGAUGACCAACAUAGUACUUCUGGCGGAUGUUUCUUUCUUGGAAACAACUUGGUAGCAUGGCACAGCAAGAAACAAAAUUACGUCUCUCUCUCAACGGCUGAGGCUGAGUAUAUUGCUUUCAGGAGCUGUUGCACCCAGUUACUUUGGAUGCGUCAAAUGCUCGUUGAUUAUGGUAUCAUCUCUGACCCUAUGCUUGUUCAUUGUGAUAAUAUUAAUGCCAUAAACUUGUCUAAAAAUCCGGUUCAGCAAUCACGUACCAAACAUGUCGACAUUCGACAUCACUUUGUGAGAGAGUUAGUUGAGAUGAAAAUUGUGAUCUUGGAGCAUGUAUCAACUGAAAGACAACUGGCUGAUCUAUUCACUAAACCUCUGGACUACAACACGUUCCUAGGCCUUCGAAAGGCCUUAGGAAUUGUGAAUCUCUGAAUAAGUCAUGUCAGAAGAGGAGAGCUGUUUUAUAUAUGUGUUACUGCUUGUCGAUAUGUCACCACAAUCUCAAAACCCUGAGUCAACAAGUUCGAUUGUUCAGCUUAUUUCAUCUGUCUCCUCAACAGUACAGUCACUUGAUUCGUUGGUGAAAGACACUCAUCUUGGAUCAGGAUUCUACAACAUUUUCGGUCUGAGUAUUGAUCACUGUCUGGAUUGAAUGAGGAAUCACAGCAGAGACUGAGUGAAACUAGUGGGAAGAAAAAUAAAUAAAGGCCCUGAAUGAUGGACACUCGUUUUGGAGCUGGAAGACACAACCUUCAGUCUCUAAUUUCGAUCACUAUCCAGACGGGGCAGGGUUGAUAUCAACUCUUCGAGACAGCUCAGCCUGGAGCAAGAUGUUACCCCAUCGUGUCUUUAGUACUGACAACUGUCUCACUCACUUGAGUUGAUAAAUAUACUCUGAUGGAAGGAAAAAAAAUUAAAAUUUCUGUGACAGCUACUCUGCUGAGAAAUAGCUAUAGAUCUGGGUUACAAUGACUGUCGAGUUGGAGAGACAGACACACAAGAUGUCAACACUGUGUUUCCAGUCCAUACAAAUGACUGUGCUGUAGGAGUUUAGGUGUGAGUGAGUUAUAUGAUAGGAUCAUGUCUGUGACAGCUACUCGGCUGAGAAACAGCUACAGUUUUGGGUUGGUCUCACUGAUUUUUUAUAAAAAAUUUCUUGGUGGCUUAGUACAAGUGGGAAGCAAUCUCUUUCUUUCUCCUCUGGACGCUAAAGACAUUCGGGAGUAUGUCUUCUGGCGAGGUGUUUUAGGUACUGUUUCUUUUGUGUGAUGCACUGCUUACAAGCACAUGAUUAUCACUCUCACAAACUCUCUCUCUCUCACACGGACAUAGGUAAUGUCAGUACAUGGUAUUUUUCAAUCAAAGUUUCUUCUUUAUUUAGUUUGGGUCCUAUGUCUUGGGCCUAUUGCUAAUGUUUCUAACGGGCUUGGUGAGUAUGGUUAGGGUUAUUUUUGUGGAUUGAAUGAUUCAGCUGUCUUCAAGUGUCACACUUUCUCUAUCUAUAUCUCUCUCUCUCUCUCUCUCUCUCUCUCUCUCUCUCUCUCUCUCUCUCUCUCUCUCUCUCUCUCUCUCUCUCACCGGCGCACUCGAUCUCUCUCACUAGCAACAUGCAACCAACAAGGAGAAGCUCGCGGCUUUCGAAACUGAAGAAUGUUGAGGCUGCUCUGAUAAACACAUCUGACAUCUCUUCUGGGUCUGGUUCAUCCUCUCGCAAGAGGAGUCGCCGUCGUGUCUCAGCUGGUGACACUGCGCCUCCGCCUGAGAACAUUGAGCCGGAAGUUGAGUCUCUCUCGGAUGAGGAAUCCUCUGACGACCACCCCGACGAAGCUCCGAUGGCAGUAGAUACUCCUACAAAUCGCUCCAAAGAACAGAUAUUUGAGGAGAGUCGGAGUGUGUAUCAAACUAAAUCUCAGUUCUAUCCAGAGCUUAUGCGACCUAAAAGGAUGUCAAUGACUGAACGGUUCUUCUCAAUCGAGGCAACUGAGCGUUUCAAAGACCUUCGAGGCCAGAAUUUCAUUCCUCAGCAGUCUAUCUCUCUCACGGACGAGAAUGUCUCUGAUGUCAGAAGAAUUGUGACCGGUGCAGGCUUGAUUCAUACCCUCACUGAUCUCGAUCCUUAUCAGCCCAAUGUAAUCCGAGAAUUCAUCGCUAACCUUCCUGAAGCUGAGGAAUGAGACGAUGGUGUAGCGGUAUAUGUCAGAGGAUCUCUAGUUGACUUCUCUCCAAGUCUGAUUAAUUCUCUGUAUUGCAUUCCGUGGUUUGAAGAAGAUCCUAACUGGAUGGAUGAACGCCUUGAUGAAGUUUGUGGUUUACUCACUGAUGGAAGAAUAAGACGAUGGGAGAACAUGAUUUCGAAGUAUCUCACUGCUACGAAUCAGGUUUUGUAUAAACUCGUCUGCUCGAACUGAAUUCCCACCAGAAACUACACAUCUAUGAAUCAAAGGCGACUCAGGUUUGUCUACAUGCUUCAUCAUCAUGAUGGAUUUGACUUCGGGAAAUUAGUCUACGAUCAGAUAAUGGCGAUGGCAGAGAACACGAAGACAGAGAAGACUCGGUGCAUCAUGUUCCCUACCUUGAUUCAGCAGGUUAUUCACUUUCAGCGUACUAUACCUCCUGACUUGCUUCAUGAUGAGUUCACGGGAACACCAAAGCUUGUCGUCAAGGACGUUAACGCUGGUCGUGGGUCUGGAGCAGACUCAAGUGCUGCCAGCCUUGAAGACGACAUCAAUCGCACCAUUGCGGGUCUCAAAGCCAUUCGAGUCCGCCUGAGGAGUAAGGGAGUUGCACAGUUUUUGUAUCAUUCCCUACUCUAUGUCUAACGAAUGUUUUUCUCUAAAUGUGCACAUAUGCAGGGGGAGAUUAUGAGCAAUAUAUUCCUCAUCCUAGGUUUGAAGAAAACAACGAAGAGGAUGAAGAUGAUGAAGACGAAUAGGAGGAUUGUGCUGACAUACUGAAUGACAACUGUGUCAUAUCAGAAUUUCAUUUUUCCAAGCUUAAUGAUGAUCUGAUCUAUCUUGUACUAUCUAAGACUCGGACUAUGUGUGCUUUUAUCAACCUUGUGUGCAACUUAUUUAAGAAUGCGUUUUCAGAUCAUGAUUAAUGGUUGAGUAGAUUCCAUCGUCUUGGAUAUUUGUUCUGUGUGGUUGUUUACAUUGCAUGUUUCAUAGGUUGUCACAUUCAGAUAAAAAGGGGGAGAAUGUAAGCUCAAGAAAAGGAGCUUGUCGAAUUGUGAAACAGAGGAUGUGUUAUACACGAUGUAGGAAGUGUAACUUGUUGUUACAAGUCGGUUAUGAGACGAUGACGUGUCAAUGUCACAUUGUUUCCAGGAUGUUACUUUGGUGUGAAGCAAAGAAGAUCUGGAAGAUUUGAGCUUAUCAUAAUAUUAGGAAAAUAAGAUAUUGUGUUAAGGGUAUUUAACCUGAUUGACUUAGGUAGAUCUAGGUUAGCCGUAUAUUGAUUAAAAAGCUUGAGCAAGAGGUUUGUUCUUGAUAGCUUAAGAAAGACGAGUGACUUUGGGUGCAGCUCGUGUUUCUGUUCUGUGAGAUUAGGAAUUGGUCCGUCUCUAGUCGUGUGUUACUGAGAGUAAUUCGGAUUAAAUAGAUCUAGGAAGAUUGUUUAACAGAUUUCUAAUAUACAAGAAAACAUUCUUGGUAUCUUGUGUUUUAGUUCCUAUAUCUGGUAGUCUCUGAACUUUCAUGCUUGGUUUGUAAACUAGUGGGGAUCGCUCUGAGACUGGGGAUGCGCCAACUGCAUUGUGUUGAUACUGGAUAUACGCUUAGUUUUGUUUGCCAGUUUUUGGGUGUAUUGAUCGUUUCAGAGAUGUGUCAGUUCCCACAGCUGACAUAGGACACUCUGAGCUAUUAUUUUACAAGUUUGACAAACUGAAAUAGGAACUGAAACAUGAUCAUUUGCAUUUGCAAGUUGAGCUGUAGUAGCUUUAGAUUUUUACUUCUCGUUCUCUGAAUAUAUUCGCAAGCUUUACAUUUCGACAAUAUUCUGGCAAAUCUACCGACAAAAAGAUUACCCAAAUUAUUAACUAUAUCGGGUUUAUGCCAUUUAGUAGGCAUGUCAUUUACGAGACCUUCUCUCUCCAAUCUUUAGCUCUCACUUCUCUCUAGCAUCUUCUUCAUCGUGUUCUUCGUUUCCGGCCGGCGGAGUUGGCUUUCAUAGCCACCGUCGGUCGGGAUUUGAUUUAUUUUCUAUGUGGUUGCAUGUCUUUUGCUUGGGUUUCUAGAAUCCUAGACAGUUUUCUAGAUCUAGAUCAUCAGAUCUCGCUUUUAGAGGUCGAGAUUCGUCGAUCGAGGUUCAGUCGGCGGUUUGUCCGUCUCGGGUCCUCCUUAUUCGGCGUGGUUUCUUCCUCUUGAGUUUCAAUCGGUGUUAUUUGUGUCAACAAUUUCUCUUCUCGGAUCUGGUUGCAUGUUCGAUGUUGCCUCUUGUGGUGGUUCAGCCGAGGUUGGAGGUGUGCUUUUCCUUGUCUUCGUCUGCGACGGGAUUGAGCCUGGGUUGUUUAUGUUAUAUUCUGCUUCGUGCAAGGGUUCUCCGGUUCUUGUUCAAGGAAUUGGGGCUUUGGCUCUUUCUGCAUUAAGUCGUGGGAGAUUGAUAGUUAAAAGGUGUGUCCUUCAUCUCCUUGGGGUUGCUGUCUGCGUUACUUCCUCGUGGCUAGUUGAAGUGAUCUUACUAGCAAUAUAAUGAGGUGCAUGUGCUUUCCAAAUAAAGUUUGAUUAUAUGAUGUGUGCUUAUUCUCUCAUUUCUCUUUCGGUGGUUCUUCUGUCUUGGGUAUUUAGUUGUUUUGAUCUAGAUUAGUUUGCUUGUCUGUUAUUAAAACCUUGUUCGUAAAUUUCUAUGUCUUUAUGUUUCCGGAGAUUCUCAUGUCUGCCGGCUAAUGCUUCUGGAAGAAGGUUGUUUCUUGCCAGCUAUAUUUCUAACAGUCAUCAUGACUCGUUAGCUUUGUAUCCCACCAUGUGUACUCCUCUGUUGAGUAAUGAAUGAAUCUUUUAGUGUUAAAAAAAAGAAGAAGGUAGGCCUGUCAUUUGACUACAAGGAUCAUUUCAUCAUUUUAUCAUGCUUGGCUACUCGAUUCUGCGAAUAAUUACUAUAUUUGCAUACUUCUGCAAUUAUCAUCCCAUUUUUGUAUAUUGACUUCAUUAGGCCUUCUUUUUUUUAUCAAUAAAAGAGAAAAACACUUUUUGUUUUUUUAAACAAAAAAGAGAAAAAAACACUUUAUCCUACUAUAUAAAAGGAGCUAAAUCCUAGCUUUUCUAGAGGUGCCACAUGGGCAAAAUAAUCUCCACCUAUCAAACUGCUAUGUCACUAGUGGACUGGGCUUCGAAUUAAAAUUGCAAUAAAAGAUUUGGGCUUCGUUGUCGCUAACAAAAAUCUCGGUUUGUCUACGAUUUGCCGAUUGGCCAGGUAAAGAAAAAUCUCACAGCCCAGCCCAUUAACCCAAAUCGCCGUCUUCGUAAAACUAUUUCCUUCGGACAAUUACUUAUUUCAACUGUCAAACUAUUUUCUUUUGAAUUUUCUAUUUUUUCAGACAAUUUAUUAUUUCUACUGUUUUUUUUAACAAUGUGUGAACCGGCUAAGUUUCCUUUCAUCUUAAAAUUGUCCGCCCAAGAUAACACAACCCCCUCAUUUCACACACAGUCACUAUAAAUUUCUAAAAAAAACCUAAAUUCUACUAUCAAACCCACCCAACAAAUUUAUAACUACCAGUUCCAAUUACUCAUGCUUCGACCUCAGUCAAAUAAUUAUGGGCCGGCCUACUUUAAUUUUUAAAUAACCUGUCAAUAAUUUUUUUUUUUUUAAAAACAAACCAUAACUAUGUUCACUUCAAAAAAUAUGAAAUUAAUAAAAGAUUGGCAAUACAAAAUAAUUCUCAUUCUUAUCUGUGCAGAACAUGCAGCAGAAGAUCAAAACAAUUGGGGCGACACCUUCGGACCGCAUCCAAUAAUCGUUAGGAUCAUUAGGAUGUGGUCCAUCACAAAUCACAAAAAUAAAAAUGCUUUCCUACGAACAACUUUCAUUUGUCUUGACAUCUAAAUUUGUCUUAAAAAUACUUACUUUUAAUUAUUCCAACUACAUUUCAAAUGAUGGUUUUUAACCACUAAACAGGAACAAAUAAUGAAAGGGAGGGUGUCUAUUUCUAUGUCUUACACAAUCUACCAACGCUUCGAAGAAGGGAAAAUUUAUCACAUUAGAUAUUUUAAUCUUCUUCCCAAUAACCAACGGUACAUGCUUACUGUUCAACCAUACAUAAUCAAUAUCAAUGAGACAACAAUUAUUACACUGAUUCAAGAAAACAUUCCACCGAUCCCUUCAUACAUAUUCCUGCCCCAACGUUACCACCAGUUGAUCAGCUUAGCAAAUGCAACCAACUUCCUCCCAGGUAAAAAAAACCAAUAACUCUCUCACAUACAAAUAAAUACUAAAUUUUUGUCCAUAAAACCAAAUUAUUCCUACAGAUAUUGUUGGCCGCAUAUGCCUCAUCCAAGAAAAUGAUUUAUAUAACCACUACACAGAUUCAAAAAUCAUCAUUGGAUUGCGUUUAGAUAGGUACUAACUUUUUAUUAAAUAACAAUUAGUUUACAACCAAACAAAAUAUAAUACAAUAAUUAUUUGUAGAUCAAAAUUGGUACGUCUAACUUUAUGGGACAAGGAGGCGUCUAAUUUGUACCAGGAAAAACAAAUCGUAAUCAUCACAAGUAUCAUUCCACGGUUACAUGAAGGUAGUAAACUAAACAUAAAGUUUAUGUCAAAAUAAAUGCUUACAAAUAUUUGACUUUUUCAGGAAAACUAUCACUCACAACCACACCUGGAUCGCGCUUCUACUUUGACAACGAUAUUGGUAUCAUACAACACUUCCAAAAGAGGAAUAAACUACUAUCCUAAGCCUCAUAGCAAACGACACCGGCCAACUUUUAAGAAAUUUACGUUACCGCUUCCUACGUCCAUUAAAUAGGCACACUCAAAUACUAUUUUCUCUUACGAAUAUUGAAUUCCUCAAAACAAUUUAUUAUUCAAACUUACUGUUGUUUUAAAAAAAAAAAAAUUGAUCACCGUUUUCAACGUCUUCGCAUUAUAAAAUAAACAAAACAUAACUUAACUUUUCAGAAACUUCAAAACUCCCAAUUUUAAUUGAACUAGACUUUUAUUAAACAUGUAAUCCGCGCGAAGCGCGGACACUGACCCUAGUUUUUAUAUAAUUAGAAGAAAAGAGAACCACAGAACAAAAUGAAUAAUAAUAAUAAGUAACACGUGCGCACAUACAUUACAAAUUUACCCUUGACUCCCUAAAAGCUAGCCUUCCUCAGAGACGUGAAUGUAACGGAGCUUCCCAACGGCGAGGAGCCAACCUCAAUAUCAAAGGAAUCAUACCUCCUGAAAAUCUCAAUCAAAAAUAACCUCGCCACCAAAACAACAAAGUCCUUACCGGCGCACUGUUUAUUCCCCACCGUGGGAUUCUCCGUCUGCGGACCAUUCGACCACACCACAUGCUGCAACAACCUCUCUCCUUCCUCCCCGAGAAACCUCUCCGGCACAAACUCCUCCGCUCUUUCAAAUAUCUUCGGAUCCCUAGUCGCAAGCGGUUGAUAUCCAUAAAGCAUUUCUCCCGCCUUGACUCUAAACGCCGCGUCGUGGCUCUCGAUCACGAAAUCCUUCUUAGCACGAGCAUAUUGCGCCGGAACCGGCGGUUCGAACCGGAGACACUCGAAAACGACUGAUUUCGUGAGCUCCAUCUGCUCAAUCCCUCCCAUCGUGAGCUCCCCGCCGUUGGAUUUGAUAACAGAUCUUAUCUCCUCCGCUAAUCGGAUCUGGAGUUUCGUACCUGCCCGCCCGACCCGUUUAACCAGAUUCGAGAACAGAAUUUUCAUCCCUCCCCACGUGUUGAAACACGUGGCGAAGAGAAGGUUGUGAGCAGCUUCUUCUCGCGAGAUACCCAAUUUCUCAGCCUCAACUAGAAUCUCGCCGGAAGAUUCUAGGAAGAACUCGUAGAGUCUCUGGUAAUCAGACUUGACUAACGCCGACGGUAACCGGAAAGUAUGGAGAAGAGGAUCUUCUAUGAUUGACGGUAGCCCGAGAGUCAACAAAGGAUGGAGAUUGAAGAAGACCCAUUUCGUAAUCAGACUCGGCGCAUCCGAUCCAAGCUUCGUAUCCGCUGGAUCCUUCCCGUACAUAGCUCGCGCCAAGAAAUUGAAAGCUGCUGCGUCACCGGGACCACCAAAAUCUGCUUUUCCGUUAGCGGCGAGCUCUUUCUCAAUCGAAUCGAAAAGCUCUGAGUAUGUAGCUUUAAACUCCGGGAAGAUUCGGUUUCGAGAGGACUUGAGUAGAUGGAAGAGUAAAGAUUUGAGCUUGGCGUGAUUCGGCUCCGACGGGUCCAGGUAUGAUAAGAUACGGUAGCCUCCGGUUAGCUCCGUCGAGGGCAUGUAAGUGCCGGUGAAGAGAUCUUUCUUCUCGACCUUAUCAACAUCGAACAAAACCGGGAAGCUUUUUCCGUCGAGUAAAGCCACGACUUGGGGAUUGUCGGCUAUGAAACCUCCUGGUGGCAUAUUGACUCGAAACACUGUGGAGUUGUAUUUACGGAUUCGUGAUUUGAAGAACUCCUCGGGUUUUUGCUUGUGGAAGUAAUCGUUACGGUCUUUUAGUGGACCUAUAAUUGGUAGACCGUAGCUUCCAGGGAUGGUUCGGAUGGGGAGAUCUUUGGAUCCGGAUCCGGUGCGGGUCUCCACGGCUAGAUCAGGAGGAGUCUCUGACGUUGAGGCUUUGAUCGGCCGGGUUAAAACUCGAGUCGAGGAGAAUUUUAGUGGUGUUGAUCGAGCGGUGGUUGUUUGGUGAAGCCGAGCGUGAAGAGAAAUAGGGAAAUGAGGUGAAGCAGAGGCCAUUUCUGUGUGUUUGAGUACUGAUUGGUUGUUUGUUGUUGUGUAGAACUAGUAGCGACUAUAAAUGUUAUUUAUAAAGAAAUGAGGUAAACGAGAUCUAUUCGUAAGAUUAUCUUUUCGGGUAUAGCAAUAGCAGAUUGAUGACUUCUAUUGUCUAUUGGAGUCUCUGACCACCGGCCGAGCUGGUAUAUUCAAAUUGCCACGUGCUUUGACUGCGUUUUUCUUUAUAAAAGUUGUUUGCUUUCCUUUUUCCGGCCAACUUAAAUUAUUUAUUUAUUUAUUUAUAAAUCUAAAAUCUAUGCAUAUAAAUAUGAUGUUAUCUCAAAAUUAGUCAUUAUGCUGUUUUAGUCUUUAUUCCAAUAGAGUUGAAUAGAUUUGGAAACAAAAAUAACUCAUUUGUUGAUAAAUUCAAAUCACAAAAUAAAAUACCAUGGCGGAUCACGAGGGAAUCCAACACUACCGUCUAUCUCAGAUAUAUUGUGUUUCACAGAUGGUUCUUAGAAAAAGUAUGUAUAGCAUCAUGUAAAGUUUUGACAGUUUGAUGGGAGCAAAAAAUAUAAGGGCGAGUCAGUCACCUCUGCACUCGGAAAUAUAGGCUAUGAUAUGGGCAAUGGAAUGUAUGCUGAAUCUAAAGCAGUUUACUGUUACUUUUGCAACGGAUUGUUUACAGUUGAUAAAAAUAGUUUCAGAACCAAAAGAGUGGUCAAUCUUUGCAAGUUAUUUAGAGGACAUAAAGAUCCUAAAGAGAAGUUUCAAUAGUUUGACAAUCAUCCAUAUACCACGGACGCAAAAUUCAAAGACGGAUAGUCUUAGAUGUAAAGCAAAGAAGUAAUCAUCUUUUGUUGUCCAUAAGGAUGAGGAGCUACCAAUUUAGUUUGCACUGCUAGUAUGAAUCUGUUAAGUUCCUAACAGAAAAAAAAAUACCAUGGUACAAAAAUUAAAACACACACAAAAUAAUGAGAGAAUUUGCGAGAUAUCUAGUUUGGUAGUUUAAUUAAGUGCAUGUCAAUGAUUUUGACAUAACUAGGGAAGUAAACAAUGUGUCUCCUUUCAUCCGGUAAUAAUCAUUUGUCCUACAAGUAGCAGGUGAAGGGAAAAAGAUAAGUCCACGUCGCCUGUGUGAUAUAUGUGUAUUUACCGGUGACAAAUGAUAAAGAGUGAUGUUGACAUCAACUUAUGUGGCCCACAAUUUAAGUGAUCUUUGCAUAACUUACGAAAGAAAAAGGAACCACGUCACUUUAAUUUUUUUACCACAUAAAUAAACAUAUAUAAAAGAAGAUGAAUGCAUGAAGAAGUUAAUGCUUACCAGAUUGCGUGUAUACUGUUCUAUCUCGAUUACACUUGUACUAUUGUAUCUCACUCAAACCUCUACUGGAAACUAUAUGAGACACACCACUGAUUAAUAAAGCUAAACCCUAAUCAAGGAAGCAUAAACCCAAAUAGAAUGUAUAUAAUAUGGUUUACUAUACACAAACCUCUACUUAGUAAAUCUAAACCCUAGGCAGAAACCUAUAAACCCAAAUACAGUCUAUAAAUUGUUUUCUAAUAUUAGACACUUGAAGGCACACUUACAUGGGUAGCAUAAUGCAUAUCUUUUAUUUCAUAUAGUCUAAAUAGUAUAGUAAAUGAAUGUUCCAAAUAAUCAAAUUUAUCUAGUGAUAUAUCCAUAGUAUGAAAUGCAAACAGUAAGCUCUUCCCACCCGAAAAAAAUACAACAAUACAAGACACGCCACUGAUUAGUAAAACUAAACCCUAAUUAAGGAAGCAUAAACCCAUAUAGAAUGUAUAUAAUAUGGUUUACUAUACACAAACCUCUACUUAUGAAAUUUAAACCCUAGGCAAAACCCUAUAAACCUAAAUACAAUCUAUAAAUUGUUUUCAAAUAUUGGACACAUGAAGGCACACUUACUUGGUUAGCAUGUUGCAUAUCUUCUAUUUCAUAGAGUCUAAAUAAUAUAGUAAAUGAAUGUUCCAAAUAAUCAAAUUUGUCCAGUGAUGUAUCCAUAGUAUGAAAUGAAAACAGUAAGUCUCCCCACCCGAAAAAUACAACAAUACAAGACACACCACUAAUUAGUAAAACUAAACCCUAAUCAAGGAAGCAUAAACCCAAAUAGAAUGUAUAUAAUAUGGUUUACUACACCCAAACCUAUGCUUAGUAAAUCUAAACUUUAAGUAGGAACCUAUAAACUCAAAUACAAUCUAUAAAUUGUUUUACAAUAUUUGACAUUUGGAUGAGAUUUACUUGGUUAACAUGUGGUAUAUCUUUUAUUUCAUAUAGUCUAAGUAGUAUAGUAAGCAAAUCUUACAAAUAAUCAAAUUUGUCCAACGUUCGAAAUUUUUUUUUAUAUAUCAAUGUCAAACAAAGUUACAGAAAAGAGAACUAUCAAAUUUGAAAACAUGACAUAUUAUUAUAUCCUUAAGAAAUAGUAUAGAAAUAUGUCUCAAAUAGUACGGUAUCCUUACAUAAAUAAGUACACUAAAAUAUAUAUACUAUACUAUUCCUUUCACCGAAUAUAGUAUGGACAGAGAGUUUAUCUUCUUCAUUUCUUUUUUUUAGACAUGUUGAUGGUGAUACACAUUUACUAUGCUCACAAUCAUUAUUCUUCAUCACCAUAUAGAGCGUGUCUUCAUCUCCUUUCUUUUUCCGACAAGGCGACAUUUUUACCGAUCCGCCAUCGUUAUUUUUCACCACUAUAUCUGGAAAACAAAACCAGAAACAAAAACAUAUUAUUAAGGUAAAAGCAUGAUUGUAAGUAAUCAAUGAUUUAAGAUAAGAAAAAAAGGAAAUGAAAGAGUUUUUGUGUCUGUUCACUGUAAUCCUUCGCCAUGAACACAAUAGAGUUCGUCGGGAGCUACACAUCUGAACAAAAUUGAUUAAUCUUUCUAAUAUUUACUAAUAAAAAUAACAUUUAAAGAUAUGUGUGAUUAUCAAAAGGUAUGACUAACAAAAAGACACGAGUAACUUUGCCAUAUUAAUUAUUAUUAAAUUUUGGUUUUGUUUGUAGGUUUUUCCGGUUAUUCAUAAAGGCAAUAUGGCUAUUAUUUAUUAAAAAAAGCAGUGUAUUAGUGAAUUAGGAUAUUUAGAUAGCUAGUGAAUUAUUAAUUGUUUUUUUUUUUUUUUUUUGACAUCGGAAAGUGAAUUAUUAAUUGUUUGAAGGUUAUACAGCUCCAUUCCCCAAUAAUAUAAUAACCGAUAACAGAUGUAUAUUCUUGACAAAGAAAACGUAAUACAGCCAGCCAUAGGCAAAUACUACAAUUUUAUAGGCUUGAGCUGGUAUUUUCAACAAUUUUUCUAUUUACAAGUUUUCUUUGAAACAAGGCUGAUGCUUUGUUAGUUUGCUAUGGUCGGCAUUUGAACGGAUACCACUUAAAUCAAGGGGUUAUUUAAUUUUAUUUGUGAGUGGAUCAAAAAAAAAAUUGUUUUCUGUGAAAUAACCAAAACAAAAUUCAAAUUAGUUUCUAGAGAGAAGAUAGAGAGAUAUAGGAAGAGAAGAAAAAAAGAGAAAAGGGAAUUUUGAUUAAUUUAUGAAUUUUGAUUUUUCUUGUAUAUAUUUUUUUGGUAAAUUAUUUUUUCUUGUAUUGUAUGUUAUUGGGUGCAAUUUCUGUAAAAGCAGUGACAAAAAUAAGUUAAAUAAACCAGUGUCUUGAAUUAACAAAAUUUACUACCAUGUAUAAAUAGAUUCGAAUCUAUGUUAAAAAUGUUCGAGAGAAAUCUUUCAAAAUCCCACUAUCUAUUAAUGGAUUACUUUUGUAUUUAAAUCUAGCAAGUGUUGGUGCUCAUUCACUCAUUGAGUAACGUUUGUUGUUCAUUCAAUUUUUUGAAUAUAAUUUAAAAAGCAUUUUUGGUGUGAAGUAUAAAUCAUAUGGUUCGGUUGGAUCUUUUGGGCAGAUUUUUAGUUGUUUCAGAAAAUUGGAUAGAUUUUUUUUUUAAAUGGAGGACAUCUUGGAAUUGUUUGUAGGUUAGGUUUUGAUUUUGUUUUGGGAUUUUUUUGGGCGAAAGUUGACAUUUUGUAAUUAUUAUAUAUAAAUAUUGAAAUAAGUUAUAUAAUUGUAUUAUUAUUAUAAUAAAAUCAACCCUACACGUUUUAUUAUACUAGAUAUCAAAAAGUUGUUAUCUUAUCAUAUUUUUCUAAAUAAAAUAUUGAAUUUUAUUAAAAAAUAUCUUAUCUAUUAAAAGAGAAGUACCAUUUUUAUCUACCACAAAAAAAAUCAUACUAGCCUUUUUUUUUUUUUUUGACAACAAGACAUUCACAGACUCAACUUGACUCUGUAAACCAAAUCGGUAACUCUGCAUCCAUGUGAACGACGAAAGACGAUUGUUUCCUAACACUACGUGCUAAGCUAUCCGCCCUUUUAUUCUCCGUCCGAGGUACAUGAACAAUCUCUGAGUUGUUGAAGCUUCCUUGUAGGACUUUGAUAUCUUUCAGGUAACUUUCAAAUGCUGGCCAUUCUUCUGGUUCCGAAACCAUCUUCACCAGUUGAGAACAAUCCGUUGCAAACGUAACAUGAAGCUGUCUUAAAUUCCUCAUACAUUCCAUUGCCCAGAUCAGCGCCUCCACCUCUGAAUGUAGUGGUGAAAGACAUGCCCUUACAUUCCGUGCCCCUAAUAAGCCAUCGAAACCCGGUAGGAUACUAUACCAGCCCUGUCCUGAAAAUAGAUCCUUAUCUUUCCAUGAUCCAUCUAUAAAACACCAGCGUCCUGAAGUUACCAAUAUGGGUCUGGUAUGUACCUGUAAUUCCCGUUUUUGGUCGUUGUUCACCUGUGCCGCAGCCCAAAGUGUAGAUUCCAAUUCUGCUAGUCUAAGGGUUUCCCUUGGAUCGACAUCCAGGUUACUGAAAACUUUAUUAUUCCUACCUUUCCAUAUAUACCAUAAAAUCCAAGCAAAUUGAUGAUCAUCCAUUUUUGGAUUAACUCGCCAAAAAAGAUGAUCCAUAUUACCAAAAAAAGAUCCUGUAGGGAAUAAACUGAGGCUCGAAGGGAUUUUAGAUAAAGCCCAUACUUGACGUACUGGGGGACAUUCGAAAAAUACAUGGUUUAUUGAUUCUUCCGGAUCCCCACAUCGAGCACAACAUAUAUCCCCAUGGAUUCCUCUCGCCUUUAGAUUUUUCAACACCGCUAUACAACCUGAAAGAAGUUGCCAUAGAAAAUGUUGUAUCUUGGGCGGACACCGUAUUUUCCAACAGAAGGCUUUAAGGACAUCCACUGUAGGCCCAUAAACCUCUGGUGGUUUUUCUCUAUCAGGAUAAACCCGUUCCACCUGAUAUCCUGAUUUUACCGAAUAUUUUCCAUUGUUAGUAAAAUGCCAUCCAUUUCUAUCUUCCAUCAGAUUUCUGCUUAAUGGCAUACUCUCAAUGAUUUUUACAUCAUGAGGAUCCACCACAGCCCUAAUUGCCUGAAGGUUCCAAGUUCGGGAUUCCAUAUUAAUGAGAGAAUCCACUGUAAGGUUCGGGUAACUAGCCUUAUUAGGUCCAUUUCAUUAAUUACAUUUAUUUAAUUAUUUAUAUUAAUCUAUUAAUAUAUAACAAUAUUAAUAAUAAAUAAAUUUUAACUGUAAAUUUAAAUUUUAUUUUUAGUUAUAACAAAAUGUUGAGAAAAAAUCUAACAAAAUCUUUCUAAAAUUUUAAAAUAUUUUAUUUAAAUUAAUACCAUUGAUUAAUUACGUAAAUAAUAAUAUAUACUAUUAUACAUUAAUUUAAAUAAACUUUUAUUAUAAAACAUAAUAAAAUAAAAGUGUAUGCUAUUUUUCAAAUUAUAUAAUUGUAUUCUAUAUCUUCUUUAGUAAAAGAAAUAUCAUAAAAAAUUCAUACCAGGUCUAUUUCAUCGAUUAAUUAUUUAAGUUAAUUAAUUUAAUAUAUAAAAUUUCUAAAAAUUCUUAUAAUUUAUAUAGAUAUUAAUAAAUAAAUUUUACAUGUAAAUUUAAACUUUAUUUUUACUUAUAACAAAAUAUGUUGGAAACAAUUUAACAAAAUCUUAAUAAAAUGUUAAAAUAUUUUUAAAUUAAUGCAGCGAUUGAUUUCAUAAUUAAUAAUAUAGUAUUAUUAUAAUGUAUUUACUUAUAAAAUCCCACAAUAUACUAAAAUAAAUAACAUAGAAAUAUAAAUUAUGCUAAGAAAAUAUGAGUUCUAUAGUAUAACUAAAAAAAAUUAAAAGGUAUUGUAUUCAGUUUGUAAAGAUUAAAAAAAAAUGAAGAAGAUUCUCAAUUUGUUUAUUUCAUAUUAAGAAUUUAUUUUACAAAAUGAAAAUAUAUUAAUAUAUAAUCACAAUUAUUAAUAAAGUAAAUGUAUAUAACAAAUCAUUAUACAUUAAUAAUAUUGAAUAAGAAACAAACCAAUAACACUAUAGAUUUACAUAACACGUUAUAAUACUAAAAUGUAAAUCAUAUCUUUUAAAAAUUUACGAUAGUAUCCGUUAUAUAUUUAUAUAAUGAAAAUCUAUCCGCACGGAUGUGCAGGUGAAAAAUCUAGUUCUUAUUUACAACCGUUGCUAUUUUAGCUUAUAACGUUUCAAAUAAAAAUGAGACUGAGAAAUGACUACGUUCUCACUGAUUCAAGCUAGAGUUUUUCUUCUUUUUUGCUAAAAUUUGGUACAAAAUAUUUGUAACGACCGGGUUUUCCGGUUCUCUAAACCAAUUAGUUUAGAUAUUAAUUGAUUCUAAUUCAAAUAAAAAUCUAGCUAGUCUUUUAAUUUUAUAAGUGUGUUGUUUACUUAUUUACUAGGUGGACUUCUAAGCUUUGCGCGAAAUAUUAGUUUAUUAUGGUUAAGUAUGAUAUUUUUGGAUAAUAUAAUUAUGUGGUCAGUAUUUAUUUGUGAAAAGCAUAACUUAGUAUUUUAUUGUAUUAUGUAGUAUUAGGUUAUAGGUUAAUAUAUUAUGUGUUGUUGUGUGUAUAUUAGUAUUUAUCAGUUUAUAAAACACAUUAUUUUAUAUAUCAUCCAAAAUUUAUACUUAGUUAAACUUAUAAAACACAUUAUUUUAUAUAUCAUCCAAAAUACACAUACACCAAAGCACUUCCUAAGAUUGCCAAGUCUAUGGACUUUAUCGGUUAAGAAAUCAAGCUCUUUAAAUAGUUUACAAGCUUCGUUGUAUGUCCAUUCCCCUGAUAUUUGAUACCUACAUCGAACUUGCAACAAGAAACUGUGUUAGCAAGUAUAAAGAGAAGAUAGAGCACAAAAUUGAACAAGAAGAAUCAUUGAUGAACUCACUUGUAAGAUCUUGUUAGAGUAGGCUACAUACACGGCAUAUGUUUGCCAGAGUCAUGGUCUUGUUCAACGCAUUUUAAAACCAAAUCAGUAACCGACAUCCUCUUCAACACUAUCUCUUCAAGCCAGGUAACACCGUUGUAGAGAACAGAGCAUCAAGUGGGGAUAGUUCCUGCAAACUACAGUUUCAGUGAAUGGAUCCUGUCAAUGUAGUUUCUUGUUCAGCAGACAAAACAAUGCAACAUUACAAAAACAAUGUACUAUAAGGUUUAAAGUUUCCUCCUAACCAGAACCUAAAGUCUAUCAACAUCUAAAGAUCAAACCUUUUCUAUUACCGCAGUCGUCUCCUUCGCUCACGACCACCGCCGCUUCCAUUGUUUUCUGUCAAGCAAAUGCCAAUGUCUGUUAUAGUCCACAAAACACUCUACAUUCUUGAAAGCUGCAAGUUUAGUCAGUAAGUUCUCUGUGAAUGGCUAACCUUUGCACGUUUUGCUAAAGACGAGAGUAUUCCGUCUUUCACAAAAGUUGUUAAAACUCAAUUAUCAUUAUGCAAGCUCCAGCCACUCAAGUGAAACCAGUACACAACGUUAUUGCCACUGAGUUCUAUAGAUUUUGUAUACAUAUCAAUAGCAUGGGAGAACUUGUGACCUGUAAGCAACUAGCAAUACUUAGCGAGCUGCUCUUAAACAAAAGAAGACUCUCAACAGUCGACAAUGAUGUUAAAAGAUAAUGAUAAUGUUUUAAGAAAAAGUACAAACCCUUAAAAGCUUCGUUGGCUUGAUUCUUCAUCUCCCCACCUUGCUUUCUGAACGGCCCCAGCUCUGCUCUUCGCCGGAAAGAUCAGAUGCCUCAGAGACUUGGAUUGCCUGCACACAAGAAACAUGGUGAAUGACUCAAGUUCAAGUUAAGAACUACAUCAAGAACCAUUCAUCUCGGGUAACUAAUUACCUCUUUAAGAUGAAGCAGUUGUUCUCUGGUGAAACGUAAAAUCUCAUGACCCUCAAAUCUCGAGUCUCCUCUCUACAAAACAUAAAAAAAUCAACUUUAGGUCAGAUUCAAUAAUGACAAACUAGAUUCUAACCCGCACAUCCGUUGCGGAUAACAUUUUUUUUUGACAGCAAACAUUCACAAACUCAUGUAGACUCUGUAAACCAAGGUGGCAACUCUGCAUCCAUGUGUAUGACGAAAGACGGCUGAAUCCGCGUGCCAAACGAUCCGCUUUUGUGUUUUCCGUCCUAGGUACAUGAACAAUAUCUGAGUUGUUGAAGCUUCUUCUCAAAAGCAUAAUAUCUUCUACGUAGCCUUCAAAUGCUGGUCAUUCCUCUGGUUCUGAAACCAUCUUCACCACUCGAGAACAAUUCGUUGCAAAUCACUUGAGAACAUUCAUUUGGGUAACAUUUCAUUUAUUGAUAUAAAAUUUUAUAUUAUUUUGUAUAUAAUAAUUUAUGAUAAUAUAUUGCUGUCAUUUUAAAAAUAACUUAAUAGAUGAUAUAUAAUUCUAAAUAUUAAAAUUUAACAUAUGUUAACGAUUUUAUUUUUUUGUAAAAAUUAUUACUUAAUUUAUGAAUAUUAAUCAUUUUAAAAGGUGAAUGAUAUUUUAGUCACUUUAAACGGUGAAUGAUAUUUUAUUUAUUUAUCUUAAUGAAAGUAUUUUUUAAAAUAUAUUGGUUUACCAAUUCAACAUAAUUUUAAUAUGUUUGCACAAAAACCAUAAUUUUAAUAUGUAAUUCAUUAAUUACUUCUAUUUUAAUAUAAUGUAGAAUAUACUUAUAAAAUUUAUAAAAUUAUCAUAUAAUUUCAUUAUUUUGUUUAUAAUAAAAAUUUAAUUAAAAUUAAUUUAUAAUAAUAUUAUACUACUAAUUGAGAAAUUAAUAAGUGCAUUAAUUAAAAGAAUAUUUAAGUUUUUAAAAAGAUUUUGUUAGAUUUUUUCUCAACAGAUUUUGUUAUUCCUAAAACUAAAGUUUUAGAGUAGUGUUGUUUAGAUUAGUUUCUUGUUCUAUUUAGUUAAUCAUCUGCUACAAGUCUCUUAUGUAACCUUCUGUCACAAAUCAAAAAUGGUAAUAACACUUUAACAUGUUUACCAAAAAAAAAAAAAAAAAGGUAUGAAAGGAUAGCAAGCAGUGUGUUUAAAAACUCAGAUUUCUUUAGCAACAAGAGAUGCGGCUAGGUUAGAUUGAGGAAGGAGAUGCAUACUUAAUAUAUAUGUGAUGCACGGUUUGGUUCACAAAAACAAAAGGGUGAGAUAAUUCAUUAACCCAAAAAGAAACGUUUACAAGGGUGUUAUUGGUUUAUGUAUUUUAAUAGAUUUGAAAAUCUAAUCCAAGUCAAGUGUUAUUGGUUCUAUCAUUUUAAAACCUAAUUUCAAAUCUGUUGUUAUUGGUUUUAUGAUUUUAAAACAGGUUUUAAAAUCAACUGUUAUUCAAUACUAAUAAUUUGUUUGAGGAUUUGAUUUUGAUUUAGAUUUGAGUUGGAUUUGAGAAUAUUUUUAAGAGUAAAAUACAAUGGAUCAAAUAUUGAGUUAAACCAUUGGAUUUGCAUAAUUGUUUUUUCUUUUCCAAUUACUUAUAAUUUUGUGUAUGGUCCUGUGGGUUGGACUCCACAACGUGCUAGUUACUUUUUUUCCAGAUAUCUAUACUAUUAAAAGAGAAAUAUUCUGAAAAAAUCUAUUUAUAUAAAGUUGUUGGAUCCUUUUAUUACUAGCUUAACCUAUUAUAUACAAACAAAUAAAUCAUAACUUAACUCUACCAUUUUUAAUAACAACUCGUAGAAUACCAUGGCAUAGCAAACUGGACUACAUUUUCAUUUAUUUCAAAAUAGUACAUGUUUGUUUUGUUAGGUUUUGUUAGAUUCAAAAUUUUAUGAGAUCCACAUGUUAUUAUGUAAUGGAUCAUUUCCGUUAACAAAAAUAUAUUUUCCUCAAACAUUACGAACGUAUACCACAAUGAAAUUGAAUAGGCAAAAAAAAAUUAUAAAUGAUGGCAUUAUAUCAUAAUCUCAUAGUUUUACAAUUGGAUUAAUGUCUUUUAUAUUUAGCGUAGAUAGUUUUUGCAUAUAAGGUUCUAUGGUAUCAGACAACACCAAAUAUUUAUAUCAAAAAGAUUUUGUUAAUCUUUUUAAAAACAACUAUGUACGUUUAUGCAAAUUAUGUUUGGUUUUUUAAUUUUUAUAUAGUUCGCUUAAAAUUUAAAAAGAAAAAAUAUAUAAAUUUUAUAUACAAAUUUAAACAUGUAUUAUAGAAAUUGUUCAAAUAUAUUUAUUAUGUAUAAAAUUUAUAAUUUUCAUUACAUAAAGAUAUAGGGCCUCAUUUGAAUAUCCAGAAAAUGGUCAAUUUGUAAACUGUCACAUUGAGAAUUAAUUAGAACUAUUCAAUAGGUUUAGAAUACCAGGUUAAAAAGAUUUUUUUUUAAGUAGUAAUCAUGCGUUUUAAAACUUGAUUCAAAAGUUUGAAUCUAUAUUAUUAAAAGGAAAUUAUCUAAAAAAUCUGCAUAAAAAGGUUGUUACAUACAUUAUUAACUAAUUAUUAUUUUUGGUCAUUCUUUAUAUUUCUCUAAUUAUAUCAUAAUAAAUGUUCUUAUUUGUCUUUUGAUUUUUAGCCUUUUAAUGCAACUAAUCUUAAUGGAUCCGAUAUCUAAUAUCAAAACAAAUACGGUUAGUUAUGAUUUAUGCUCUGGUUUGGUUUAAUUAAUUUCAAAAUCAAAAUAUAUCUUUACCAACACGUUCUUCUAUCUUGCCACAUUUACGGACAAUGUCACAUUAUAAUAUUUUUUUAAAAAAUCUAUGUAUGUCAUAUACCAUUUAAUAAAAACUCAUGUAUCAUGUGUCAUUGAUAUCCUAUUGAUCCUUAUACCCUAAACCCUUAUUCAAAGUCUAAAAGUUUAAUAAUUUUGUAAAAUAACCAUGAUCACGAUAAUAAAAUUUGUAUUCUCAUAUCUAUUUUAUGGUAUAAGAUAUUUUUGUUCAAAUGCAUAAUAACAUUGUUCUAUUUUUUUUAUAAAAAAAAUAUCAUAAUUCCAAAACUCAUAAAUUUAACUUUAAAAGAAUCUUUAAAAACCUAUAAAUUAAAAUGCAUAACAUAAAUACAAUGCAUUUACCAUACAAGACAAAUCAAAUAGUUUAUUCAGUUUUAUGUACUAUUAUAAAAUAUAUUAGAAGUUAAAUAAAAAUUUAGGAAAAUAUUAUCAGAUUUUUCUAAGUUUUUACCGGGUCAACUGGUAUCGGUUCACGGAUUAAUAGCAGUGUUUUUUUAUCAUAUUUUAAUUAAUGAAUUUUCAUUAAAUCUAAAUUUUGCGAAAACAUAUGAGUUGGUAGAACCUCUCAUAGAAUGCUACAUAAAGAACAUAAGCAUCUCUGAAUUAUAUAUGGCAACCAGGUUUACUGGCUCGACAUCGGAUCUGAUAUGGAAACAUUACUUAUAUUUUGAAUACAAAAUAUUAGGAUAAUUUAGGUUUUGGGUAAUUUGUUUUUAUAAAUAGUAUUUUUAUGAUAUUUGUUUAUUUAGAAAUUAAAUAUAAUUAAUAUUCGUAGAAAAUACUUUUUAUUUUAAAAUUUCAUAUACCCCUUUGGUUCUCGGUUUGGUUUCAAGAGAUAUAAGAUUUGGUCGGUUAUUUAUGAAAUUCGGUUCAAUUUUGUUUUUUUUUUUCAGUUUGGUUCCUAGGUUCCGGAUAAAUGUUCUAAGACUUUAUAUACUAUCUCAUAUAGAAAUUCAUUAAAAAAGAUUGAAAACCAAAAAUAAACCCGCGCUUUUCAAGCGCGGGUCAGAAUCUAGUUAUUAUUAUUAUAUGAUUCAGUCUCCUUGUUCUUCUUGGAUGCAGAUUGGUCAAGGUACUUAUAGCAGUGUAUACAAGGCUCGUGAUCUUCUCAACAACAACAAGAUCGUUGCACUUAAAAGAGUCCGGUUCGAUCUUAGCGAUUUAGAAAGCGUUAAGUUUAUGGCUAGAGAGAUCAUUGUCAUGAGGAAGCUUGAUCAUCCCAAUGUGCUUAAGUUACAAGGCUUGAUCACCGCCUCUCUUUCGUCUUCUCUUUACUUGUUUUUCGAGUACAUGGAUCAUGAUCUCGUUGGACUUGCCUCCAUUCCCGGUAUCAAGUUCUCUCAGCCUCAGGUACUCACUGGUUUGUGGUAUAAUAUAAUGUUUCUUAGGUGGAACAACUGCAUAAAAUAUUCAAGAUGUGUGGUUCACCAACAGAGGAUUACUGGAGGAAACUGAAACUACCACCUUCAGCUCCGUUUAAACCUGCGCUUCCUUACAGACGACGUGUAGCAGAGAUGUUUAAGGACUUGCCUAUGAAAGUGCUUUCUCUUUUGGAGGCUUUACUCUCCAUAGAUCCUGAGCAGGGAGGCUCUGCAGCUAUAGUUCUUGAGACUGAGUAGCUGGUUUUUAACUUUAUGUUAGAUACCGCUAUCUUUACUUUUGUGUGAUUUGAUGAUAACACAUGGUUAUUGUGGAGCAGUACUUCAGAACGUAGCCGUUUGCUUGUGAUCCAUCUUCUCUACUAAAAUAUCCUCCAAGCAAAGAGAUUGAGAUGAAGCGAAGAGGCAACAAAGGUCGGCACAGGAGAAGAAAGACUCUCUGACAAGACGGAUCACACGAAAGAAAACUUAUCCCACCGGUAAAAGCUAAUCCAUCACUCACAGCGGCUAUGGAGGUAACAGAGAGUCUUGAUAUGCUAUGGUUUGGUGUUCCAUCAGAAUAUUAACUUAAACCAAAAAUAAAACUUGUUGUCCCAAUACAGAAUCCUUAUCUAAGAAGAUGUGUUCCGGGUCAUUCAACAAGACAAAUGCAGAUCAGCAACAAUGCCGCAAGUGGAAGAGUCUCUUAGACCAGCUCCAUCGGGACCUCUUAAAUGAGGUUCUAAACAGAAAAGUGAAAAAAAAAAUGAAAAAACGAAAUAAAUCAGAGAACCAAUCUUUAAACUGAGAUUUUAAGGAUUGGUAAAGAGCCUUAAGUGUCACCUUACUCAUUAUAUUCUAGGGUUUUCAUUUAAUUUUUUGACACUUAAAGGAAGCAACUCUGUUGUUGUAGUUGUCUACGCAAAUAUGAAGCCAGAAUUUCGUGCUUGCUUUGAUAGGUUUUUAAGCUUUUUGUCAAAUGUAUACAUUAUCAAAUAUGAAGGCAGAAUUUCUUGGACAUCAAUAAACUUCAGAAGAAAGAAAUAUAUAGAUAUCUCAUGAAGAUGAUGAUACUUGCAAAUCCAUUUCAUUCAUUUAUAAAAAUCCACUUAUUUUGAUUUUGAAACUUAUAUCAUUGAUUUUGAAAUCUGUUUGUUUAAUUUUGAAAUCAAGAGAUUUGUAGAUGAUUUGUAAAUCCAAAACUUUUUUCAAAAUCCACUACAAUUCUAGAAUCAAUAACCCCCACUAGUGAGUUUAAUUAAAAGAAAAAGUAAACCAAACCGGUUCUAAAAAUCCUGGCCGUUAGACCACCCGCAUCGGGGGUUUAUGAGAGAGUCAUGGGCUCGGUAUCAUAGGCCUUUUCGAUUAAAAGAAAUGAAUAAAUGGGUUUCAACCCGUGAACCGGGUCUUCCAAGUGAGCCCGUAUGAUACGGGGUCAUGCCACGCGGCGCAGAGGGAGUGGCUACGCGAUCUUGCGUGUUGAGUGAGAAAAAAAGGGUUUCGCGUGAAAGAUUUCAUUUUCCCUUCUCUCUUCGAAAUCUAGGGUUUCUCCGUCUCUGAGGCGAUUUCGUGUCGGAGUCCAGAGCCGGAGAUUUUCUCGAUCAAUUCGUCGUCGGAGUCACUCGUAAACGCUCUCAGGUGAGUCUCAAUCACUCCGAGGACGAGAUAGCUUCGAUUUGAUCUCGAGAGGUUUCUAGGUUAAGGAAGUCGAUUUGGGGUUUCGUCUUAGGGUUGGAAAUCGAGAAGGGGGUUUCGAUUUCUUGGUUAAAAUCGACAUACGGUUUCCUUUUAGGGUUCGUUUAUCGUGGAUUUCAUUUCGAUUUGGGGGUUUUGUGUAAGGGUUCAAAAUCUAAAAGGGGGUUUUAAUUUCUUCGUUUAAAUCAACAUACGGAUUUCUUUUACUGUUCGUUCAUCGUGGAUUUGAAUUGGAUUUGGGGGUUUUUAUUUAGUCUUUCAAUUUUUUUUUUUUGUUUCUCGGUUGCUUCCGUUCUAAUUAUUUGUUUUCCUGAUACAGAUGGAUCCCGAAGCAGAGAUAAGAGACACAAAGAGAAGAAAGGAGCACAUCGAUAUGCUUUCAUACGUGUGUGAUUCAGAACACGGGAUUCCAACGAGGUGUCCCUGUGGUGGGAGUAUAAUUCACGAGGUUCGUGGGAAGGAGGAAUACGACACUCUCCCCGGCAAGCGUUUCUUCACCUGCAUAAACUACGAGGUAAAAAACGGGUUCUUGUCUUUUAAAUUAUGUCUUCUGUUUUUGUCUGUUAAUUAACAAUCUGAUAUAGUUUAUGUGUUGUUACCAAGGCUGAUGGUUUUCAUUAUCGUCAGCCUUGGGUCAUUGGUGUGCAGGAGCAUAUCGAACGGCUCACAAGUCGUGUGGAGGAGGUGGAGGCGGUGAUCAAGUGGCUGCCGGAGGUGAAUAAUAAGAUUAAGAGUCUGGAGGUAAUCUGACUUCCCACUUUUGAAUUUUGUUUUGUAAUUUUUUUCUUAUAUUUUAUACAGUGACUAACACCAUCUCAUUGUCAUUUCCUUGUACAGGCAGAGGUAAAAGCCCUCACUGUGGAGGUUAAUAGGCUCACUGGGAAGGUUUAUAACCUGACCGUGCAGGUGGAUCACUUGGAGAAAUGCUGCUUCGACUGAAAACACAAAGGUAACCACACUAUAACUAGAGUUGUUGCCUAAUGAAUUUUAACUUGAAGUAGGUUAGAGUAGUAGUAGAAUUUAAACUUGAACUGAACCAGAACUGAAGUAGUUGUGUAGUUAAGUUAAGUGUAAUCAAUUUUUGAAUGGUCUGUGUGAACUUGAAUUUAAACUUGAACUGAACCAAAACUAAAUUUAAACUUGAAAUAAUUAAUUUGAAAACCUGAUUUGAUGUUUAUUGAAUGGUCUGUGUGAAGUAGUUGUGUAGUUAAGUUAAGUGUAAUCAAUUUUUGGUGGUUAGAAGGUGUUUACUUCCUUGUACUUUCAAACCCAAAAGUAGUUUAAAAACCUAGCUAAUCGACAUCUUAAAACACAAACGAAAACUUAAAAACUUCAAUACUCAACCAAAAUGGUCCUUUAAACUCUCCCGGCUUUGUUAACCUGCUUACUUCCCAGACCACUCAGCCAAUAGAAAUAGGAUCUUCUGAGGUUCCUAAACCUCCGGAAAGGAGGAAGUGGACAACCAAAGAAGAUUUGGUGUUGAUCAGUGCUUGGUUGAACACCAGCAAAGAUCCAAUAACCAGUAAUGAGCAGAAGCUAGGAGCAUUUUGGAAGAGAAUAGAGGAAUACGUGAAUGCUAGCCCGCUGCUCGUUGGCUCCAUUCCUAGGGAGUGGAGUCAAUGUAAGCAGAGGUGGGGAAGGGUUAAUGAGCAGGUGUGUAAGUUCGUGGGAUGUCAUCAAGCUGCUCUGAAGGAGCAGGCGAGUGGACAGAACGAGAAUGAUGUCAUGAAGGUGGCUCAUGACAUCUUCUUUAAUGACUACAAAGCCAAGUUCAGUCUUGAACAUUGUUGGAGGGAGCUUCGGUUUGAUCAAAAAUGGAGAUCACACAGUCUGACAUCAAAUGGUGCAAAGGAGAAAAGGAAGGAAACUGCGGAUGAGGUGGGUCGCGAGGAAGAUGUUAGACCUCCCGGAGUCAAGGCUAGCAAAGCAGCAAAACGCAAGAAGCAUGGCAAUGAAGCAGCGUUUGAUCAGUUCGAAACCAUUCUAGCAGCCAAGAAUAUGUUAUCCAAACAGAAAAUACUUGAUAGGUUGCUAGGAAAAAACGCUGAUACACUUACAGAUCAAGAGCUUGCUCUAAAAAAUAAACUCAUAUCUGAAUUGCUUUAAGUUGGUGAGUGGUUAUUUAUUUUUUGAAAUUUAUAGUAGGUUGCUAGGAAAUGCAGUGUAUGAUGUUUGUGUUUAAAUCUUUUCCUUGAUGUAUAUUGAUAUUGUAACUGUUGUGCUUUGUAGGUCACGGGUUCAAGGAGGAGGAUGCGUGGAUGGUUGCAGGUCUCUGUUUCUUUAUGUAUCAAAUCAAGUCACGGGUGGUAAUGUAGUAGUAGGUGGUUGUAGUGGUAGGUUAUGUAAGAUGGAAUCACGGGAGAGUGUAGUGUUUUUCAACUUUCUACACUCGUUUUAUGUAUCAAAUCAAGGGUAUGUCCCCACGGCUUUGCUUUUGUACUCACGGGUGUAUGUACCCACAUGCUACUUGUUUCAAUGUUUUUCUAUAUAAAUGACUAUGUGUUUCAUUCUAUUUAUCUCAUUCAUGCAUUUUAUCAAAACUAUCUUACCAACUAUGUGAUACAUCAGUUUGAUUCUUCUUACCAUCAGCCAUACUUUUAUCAAAACUAUCUCACCAUCUCGGAAUCUCACCAACCAACACCACUACGAGAAUCACCAACCAACACCACGAGAAUCACAACAACAAUCAAACAAGAAUCACCAAUCAACACAAGGAAUCAACUCUACUACUCCUCAACCCACGGAUCAUCUCUACCAUUCAACAGAGGUAAGUUGAAAACCAAAAAUUCUAAGUAAUGAACAUAUCCUUAAAUAAUGAAAUUCUAAAUUCUAUAUUAUCAGAUUUAAAACCAAAAAAAAGUUUAUAAUUUACUAAAGUUAAAACCCCAAAAAAAAAAGAUUCAAGAGAAAUAAACAGAUUUAUAAUUUUCAUGAAAAUAUUUACUAAGGUUAAGACCAAAAUAAUAUUAAAAAAAAACUAAGGUUAAAACCAAAAUAAAAUUGAAGAGAAAUAGAGAAAUAUACUGAUUUAUAAUUUUAAUGAAAAACUUUACUAAGGUUAAAACCAAAAUAAUAUUAAAAAAAACUAAGGUUAAAACCCAAAAAAAAAAGUUUAUUAAAAAAUUCCUCCCUAUUGCCUUUUGUAGGAAAAAUAUUACAAUAAAUAUCAUCAACAAUGUCUUCCUCAUCAAGUGAUGAAGCGGAUGAAGUUUUUGAUGAAUUGGUCGAUGAAGUAGUUGAUAAUUUCAUCGAUACAGUAAUUGAUGGUCAAACCAACAAACCAAAGAGGCGAGCUUAUAUUGAAAGAGAUCGAGAACUAGGACACAUUCGACUAUGCAACGACUAUUUCAGUAAUAAUCCAACGUACACACAAGAUAUGUUUAGGCGGCGGUUUCAAAUGAACAAGCCAUUGUUCCUUCGCAUUGUCGACCGUCUAAGUACUGAAGUUCCGUACUUUCAGCAAAGAAGAGAUGCUACCGGAAGGAACGGGCUAUCUCAACUUCAAAAGUGUACGGCAGCGAUACGUAUGCUCGCAUAUGGUCAGUCAGGAGAUACAUAUGACGAAUAUCUCCGGAUGGCUGACAGUACAUCACGUUUAUGUUUGGCAAAAUUCACUGAUGCAAUAAUACAAUUGUUUGGGGAUGAGUAUCUACGAACACCUACAGCCGAGGAUCUUCAGCGAUUACUCGAUAUUGGAGAGGUACGGGGAUUUCCGGGGAUGAUAGGCAGCAUCGACUGUAUGCACUGGGAGUGGAAAAACUGCCCAACAGCUUGGAAAGGUCAGUUCACACGUGGUUCGGGAAAGCCGACAAUUGUCUUAGAAGCCGUGGCAUCACAAGAUCUUUGGAUUUGGCACACUUUUUUUCGGCUUACCAGGUAUCCUAAACGAUAUCAAUGUUCUUGAUCGGUCUCCAGUUUUUGACGACAUCUUACAUGGUCGAGCCCCUAAAGUGAAGUUCAAGGUCAACAACCACACUUAUCGUAUGGCCUACUAUCUUACCGACGGCAUUUAUCCUCCAUGGGCAACAUUUAUCCAAUCCAUCCCACUUCCUCAAGGUCGUAAAGCACAGAAAUUUGCAGAAAUGCAAGAAUCCGCCAGAAAAGAUGUCGAACGGGCUUUUGGAGUAUUGCAAUCGAGGUUUGCAAAUGUUAGGAACCCAGCUCUACAAUGGGACAAGGAAAGGAUAGGAAAAGUAAUGAUAGCUUGUGUCAUAUUGCACAAUAUGAUAGUAGAGGACGAACGAGACGGAUACGCUCCAAUUGAUACAUCUGAGUUUGAGACAGGACAGUCUAGCAGAAGUUCGCAGGCGAGAAGCAGAGAUAGUGUAAAUGUCACCCCUGAUAUGUUAGCCAUGCGGAGAGAAGUUCGAGAUGGCAACAAGCAUCAUCGUUUGAAAGCUGAUUUAGUGGAAAAUAUUUUGCAAAUGUUUGGUGAUGAAGAUGAAUAAAUAAGUUAUGUAUGUUAGAAAAAUUUCUCAAUUUAUGUAAUGUAUUUUUAAUGUAUUGAAUAAAAUUUUUUCAUAAUUUUAAUAAUAUGUUUUAAUAUUUUAUUCAUCUUUUUUGAAUAUUUUAAAUUUCUUUUUUUUUUAAAUUAAUAUUAUUAUUUUAUUCCUAUGAACUACUUCUUCGGGUUCACUAAUACAGAAAACAGCAUAUCCGAGUUCAUAACUGUUCAUGGGCCCACGAAAAAAUAACAAAGGGGGUUCACCAAUGCUAAUGUUCUUACAGAAUAAGUAUUUAAUGCGUAUAUAAAUUUAUUAAUAUGUAAAAACAAAAAGUGUCCAUCAUUGUGGAUCGAUUUUAGAAGUAUGUGGAAAUCUAAGCAGAAGUUUAACACGGUAAGUGGUUACAGCUUCUUCCUCAGCACCAACUUCAGCGAACAUGGCAAUUCCACGAGCAAAGGCAAAAGCUCCUGUCCCUCCUACAACCUCCAUAACCUCUUCCAAUUUAUGUGCCAUGUCUCUGCUUCUAAUACUAACACUCCCCGUGUACUCAGGACUCUCCAACGUCAAAUAUAUAACGUUAAAAUUCGAAUUAGCAAAGUCUUCAUGCGGGAUUAUAAAUCCCUCAGCUUUCCCCACUAUCCGAGAAUUGUUAUCGGGUCCCUCAGUGAGAGUACGCCGGAAAAUCAAUGCUCCUCCUCCUCCGCCUCCUCUGCGGUGGGUCUCGGCCAUGCGCUGACUUGACCUGCGAGAGAUAUAGGAGGAGGACGGGAUUUGAGUUUGCUGAACAUAGAGAGAGAAGGAGAAUAGUGAUUCUGGUGGGUCAUAAUCAGGAACGGGCGAGAAUAAAGCAAGUAGAAGGACGACGAUAACAGAAGUAGAGACGGCGAUGAGGAAAAUGAUUCUAGUUAGCAUGAUGGAGGAGAAGAGAUACAAGAGGAGUUUCUACCUGUUUUUUCUUAACAAACGUCAAAGGGUUUUAAAGUUAGAUUAGUGAUUUAGGUAUAACCACUACUUUCACAACAUAACUACACCAUUACUCGUUAAGAAUAAGCUACAUCAUCAAUUUCUUGUUUUUGUCUUGAAGCUGCUAUAGAGAUUCAAUCUUUCGUUUUUGUUUUUUAUUCUGCUUUUGUUCUUUUUUCAUGAAAGAAUAUUUUCCAAAACCAUAAGUUUUUUCUUCAAUUUAUUAUUUUUUUUUUAUAUCGAACGGCUGAUCUAUUACUCAAACUUGAAGUGUUCUGAGGAACAAACCGGAAUAGAACAACCAAUGUAAUAUAUAUUCCUAUGAAAGGAUCUCACUAUCUUAGCUAAUGAAUCAUAUGAUAUAUUUUCAGUUCGAGGAAUAAAAACAAUCGAAUCAUUGAGACGAGAUCCUUAAAAUCGGUGCCAAAAGACUGACACGUCGAUAAUUGAAGCAUGCACUCCAUCCCCCAUAAAAGAGCCUCAAGCUCCGAAUAAAGUGGUGAGAUUCUUUGGCGUUGGUUUCUUGCUCCCAAUAGCUGAGUUGUUCCUCCUGAGGUUUUCCAUGUCCAUCCAUAACCACUAAAGAAUGCGUCAUGUGUCCAUAAACCAUCUAUUAGACAUCUUUCUGAAUUUGUUAUGUGCUAUGGGGGUUAUUCUAACUGUUUGUUCCCCUUACUUGUUGUUUGCUUCGAAUUCAGCAUGUCAGACAGUUUCCAAGGGGUCUCUAUCUAUUUUUCUGAAAAAUUUAUCAUUCUUUGCUUUCCAAAUAUACCAUAUAAUCCAGGGAUAUGGAUCUUUAUCCAACUCACGUCUUCUAUGUCAUUUUUCCUCCAAAACAAAUAGUCAAUGUUUUUUCUUCAAUUUAUUUUGAGUUCUGUUUCAUUUCUUAAUAUAUACUCCCUCUGUUUUGUUAUAUAUGACGUUUUAGAACUUUUAUUUUGUGUCAAAAUAUAUGACGCUUUCCAAAAUCCUAUGCAUAAUAUAAUGACUUUGGACUUCAUUUAACCUUGCAUUUGACUAAUUAAUGAUUUACGAUUGAAAGUAAAUUACAUAUUACCACAAUUAAAGAAGGAUAGACUAGACAUUGGAAUAACUUUCAUCAAGUAAAGGAAAACGGAGGAAGUGUAACCAACACAUAAACUGUUACAUGAAACAGUUUAUGUGUUGGUUACAUUUUUUUUUGUCAGCAACAAACAAACUCAUAUAGACUCUGUAAACCAAACCGGUAACUCCGCAUCCAUAUGGUGAACAAAUGCGGGUUGCUUUCUUGCACUGCAUGCUAAACUGUCCGCCCUUGAAUUAUGCGUCCUUGGUAUAUGGAUGAGCUCUGAGCUGUGAAAAAUUCUUUUCAGGAUCUUGAUAUCUUCUAGAUAACAUGUAAAUGCGGGCCAUUCUUCUGGUUCUGAAACUAUCUUCACCAACUGAGAACAAUCCGUUGCAAAGUAACAUUAAAUUGUCGUAGAUUCCUCAUACACUCCAUUGCCCAUAUAAGAGCCUCCAUCUCCGAAUGAAGUGGCGACUGACUUGCUCUUGUAUUUCUCGCUCCCAUUAAACCAACAAAACCUUCCAGUGUGUUGUACCACCCUUGUCCCGAAAAUGUGUCCUGAUUUUUUCCAUGACCCAUCCGUAAAACACCAUCGACCUGGAAUAACCGAUAUAAUCGCCUCUACUGGUGAACGAGUUUGGUCGAUUUCUCGUGUAAGUGAGUUAUGCGCCUCGGCCCAAAGUAAGGACUCCGUUUCCGCCAGUUUAAGAGUAUCUAUGGGAUCAAUAUCCAAGUUACUGAAGACUUUGUUGUUUUGCCCUUUCCAUAUAUACCAUAAAAUCCAAGCAAACUGGUGAUCUUCCAAUUAUGGACAAAGCCUCCAAAAAUAGGUAAUCCAUGUUCGCAUAAAGUGACUGCGUUGGAAAAGUGUAUGGGUUCAAUGUAACUCUUGAGAGUGCCAAAACCUGAAUCUCACCUUCAUCCUUUAACUCAACAAGAAAAGUCGGGGAUGGGAGUUUCUGGUCCUGUGUUCUUUCGUCCUCCACUUGUUGGUUCACCGGCACCUGAAUCUCACCUUCAUCUGCCACUUCCAUCCUAGUUUCACUGCAGGAAACUCUUUCACUUCUUGGGGCUACGGGGAUCCGAGCACGUUCCUCUUGAUGUUGAGACCUUGUCUGCUCCUUCCUGAAACUCCUGUGCCAAGAGCCUUCUUCUGUUGGAACUAUUUUUUGAACAUUAUGAAUAGUGUAUUCAUACGUCAAAAAUGAAGUUUUAUUUGAAUGAGAAAUGGAGGUCUAAUGUGUGUGAUUUGAGAAACUUAUAUAAAGUAGCAAAUACACUCAUUGGAUAUUUGAACUUGGAUUUGGGUUUUAAUUUGUUAGUUGGACUUCAUGUUCAUUAACUUAAAUCAAAUAUAUGUUGAUCUUUUAUAUUGAUAAAAUAUAAAAAAGAAAUCCAUUUUAAAGUAUAUUAUUUUGUUUGAAUUGGUCAAAACAAUAAUAAUUUUAUUCUUUAAUUUCUUGGUCAAAAUGUGGAAUAAAUUCACAUAAUAAUGACAAGAAUUAAAAACUCCAUUAGUGCACUAUGGAGGUUUCAUUUUUGGGUUGAAAAAUGAAACUUGUGCUUCUCAUUAUUUUUUUAUAUAAAGGCUUGUGAGCCAUUUAGAAAACACACACACCAACACAUUCCUCUACUCAGAAUAAUUAUGCUAGUAUAUUUUUUUUUGAGUCUGAGAGUACAUCACAAAAAAAAAAGGUUCGGUAGAUUCUGUUUUUCGGUGAUGGUAAACAGAAAUAAUGCUGCAGUUGUAUCUUGGGAAUCUGAGCACCAUAAAACCGUCACACUACAAGGCGUUUAAAGAUUUAAGGAAAGAGAUUAACUAUCUCGACUCUGCAAUUCGUCUUUAUUUUUUAUAUUUCGGUAUUGAAAUUUUUAGUUUAUGUUCUUAUUAUUCUUUACAAAUAUCAGUUGUCCUAUGGUACUAAAAUAAGGUUCCUACACUCUUAAAUCUUUAAAUAUUGUUUAUGCUUCUGCACUAACAAUACUGAUAUUUGUUAAAAGUUAUUUUUUGAGAACAGGUUAUGAAAAACAAGAAUUAGAGAAUUCUUGGUGUUGGGAAAUUAUCUCUUCUGAUUUCUGAAACUUGAUUAUUUGAGAUUUUUUUUUUUUGUUAGAUUGAUUAAAAUAAUUAAUAUUUUGGAGCUAAUGAAUUUGAUAUCUUUUAUUCUUCAUAAGAACAGGUUUCAUCUUUCCGUCAAACGGAAAAAGGAAUUUGAAACUUAAGCGAUCAUAUCAUCAAGACCUUUAAUGGCGACAAUGAAAACCAUUUUCUGAACGUCUUUGGUAACGUUUUGGAAUGGGGUUUGCCAACUCUUAAUUUUCAUAAUAAUUAAUUGAUUGACUGAAUGGUUAUUUAAUCAGUUUUUUUUGUUUUUUUAAUAUUGGUCAAAAUGUGUGCUUUGACUGGGUUGAUGGUGUUAAUUUGCUUUAAUUAUCAGGAAUGCUUAACGUUUUGAUUUCUUGUUUCAGAUUUCUUUUCUUGGAAUAACUUAAUUUAAUUAUUAAGUAAAUGUGUGACCAUGAGAAAUGAAAAAGAAUUCAAGUUUCAAGUAUGGUGAUACCAUAGUUAUAAAAAGCAUUUUGAUCUUUGAGAGAUCAAGUUGUAUGGAUGGAAAUGGAUUUAGUGAGUCGACGCCCCAAAAUAAAUUUGGGAGAGGUUUACCACAUAUAAAUCAUUUGCCAUAGGAAAUAAAAUGUUUGUUGAUAUUGAUCAAACAUUUAUAUUUCAUCAAUGCUUAAAUGCAAUUUGUAAAAAGAUUGAUCAUGCAAAAACAAUGAGAAUUUUCAGACUAACAUGACUAAAACUGACAUGUGUAUUGUAGUUUUUAAAGUCAAUAUGGUUGAGAAUAAUCAUAUAAAAUUGGUUUUGAUGGCAAAAAUAAUAUCUUGUAAUGAUAUGUAUAUUUGCUAAAAAAAAAAAAGAAGAAGCAAAAUAUGUGUUUGGAAAAGAUCCAAAACAUACAAGUUAGAUUUAUAAAUCAACUUGAGAGAACUAUGAAAAUAGUUGUAUAUAAAAUGUGUCCAGAUAAGAAUGAAACACAUUUUUCAAGAAAAUUGUAAUAAUUUUUCGAAAUUGCUUUUUAUUCAUUUAAAUCUAAAGGAGUUGUAGAUUAACUUUCUAAACUCUUAAGAGAUGUUAAAUGCAAAUGUGCAUAUUCUGAGUUAUUUCAAGAAAUGUGGGGGAAGCUUUGCUUACCAUAUAAAGUUGUUGGCAAGAGGUCAAAUGAACUUAGUGAUAGUUAUCCCAAUAUGAUUAAAAAAAAAAACUAGUGUCAUGCAUUGAGUUUUGUAUAUAAUGGUUAAUUGUAUCUUGAAUAAAAGAUGACAAAAAUCAUUAAACAAAUUGAUCUCGACUAAUCUCAAGAGAUUAUGUUCACUGUGAUGACAACCUAGGAUCCUUUAAAUUAAAGGUGUGUCAUGGAUCAAAUUGUAAUAUAAUCUAAAGGAAUGGGUCGCCUGUGAAUUAAGAUGAGGUUUGGCGGUAACUCUACCUAACUGACUGGAGAUCCCAAGAAGUUGGUUAAAGGAGACAACUAAGUCAAACUAAAUCUGCCAAAAGCACUGUAAGACUUCGGUCUAUACUCAGUUCCUAUGAUGAUUAAACAGUGCUACAUGUAAGGAAUAUAGGAUAAGCAUUAGCUUUUAAUGAUUUGUGUCCAUAGCUUUGAGAUAUGAAUGGAGUAGUACAUGAUACUCCUCUAAACAAAGCUAAUGGCAAAUCACCUUGUGAGUGUGAAAUGGGGCCGUUUCUAGGAGAAUGAAGGAAAUGUUAUAUUCUCCAAGUUCACUCAUGAUUAACCAGGACUGUUCACGGCCAAACUGAACACAAUAGAGAACCUAGUUCUGUGAGAGAAUGAAGCUGUGUUAUAGCUAUUGUCUAGGUUUACACCAAACCCCGGGGGGUUCAAGACAUCAUGGCCACCUCCUGGCCGAGUAAAUCCGAUAGCUAUUAACAAUGACUGGUUCAAGGCUGAAAAAUUGCUACCAACUCAUCAUGCAGUGGAUUUUUUGUUUGUACUCUCAAAAGUCCUUAGUUAGGUCUUGUCGAGUCUUGUCUAGGAAGUUCAGUCUUGUCUAGAAAGUCUGUGGAGUUGUCUAGUGUCUAGAGUCAUUUCUAUUCAUGUGGGGGAUUGUUGGAACUAUUUUUUGAACAUUAUGAAUAGUGUAUUCAUAUGUCAAAAAUGAAGUUUUAUUUGAAUGAGAAAUGGAGGUCUAAUGUGUGUGAUUUGAGAAACUUAUAUAAAGUAGCAAAUACACUCAUUGGAUAUUUGAACUUGGAUUUGAGUUUUGAUUUGUUAGUUGGACUUCAUGUUCAUUAACUUAAAUGAAAUAUAUGUUAAUGUUUUAUAUUGAUAAAAUAAAAAAAAGAAAUCCAUUUUAAAGUAUACUAUUUUGUUUGAAUUGGUCAAAACAAUAAUAAUUUUAUUCUUUAAUUUCUUGGUCAAAAUGUGGAAUAAAUUUACAUAAUAAUGACAAGAAUUAUAAACUCCAUUAGUGCACCAUGGAUGUUUUAUUUUUGUGUUGAAAAAUGAAACUUGUGCUUCUCAUUAUUUUUCUAUAUAAAGGCUUGUGAGCCAUUUAGAAAACACACACACCAACACAUUCCUCUACUCAGAAUAGUUAUGCUAGUAUAUUUUUUAUUUUGAGUCUGAGAGUACAUCACAAAAAAAAAAGGUUCGAUAGAUUUUGUUUUUCGGUGAUGGUAAACAGAAACAAUGCUGCAGUUGUAUCUUGGGAAUCUGAGCGCCAUAAAACCGUCACACUACGGGGCGUUUAAAGAUUUAAGGAAAUAGAUUAAUUAUCUCGACUCUGCAAUUCUUCUUUAUUUUUUAUAUUUCGGUAUUGGAAUUUUUAGUUUAUGUUCUUAUUAUUCUUUACAAAUAUCAAUUGUUCUAUGGUAGUAAAAUAAGGUUCCUACAUCUUCUCUCCACGGUAACCAGAACAUGUUGGUUACAUGUCUGCUCGUUUUCUGAUACUAAUUGUAACAUUCAAGUAAAAGAAAAUAUUUUACAGUACUACACAUAAACUUUAAAAUAUUUUCCAAAAGGGUUUUAAAGUCCAGUUAUAAUUAGUAUCAGAAAACGAACAGACAUGUAACCAAAGCAUAAACUGUAAAAUCAUUUUGGGUUUUGGGAGUUCCAACCAUAAAUUAUUUAUAGUCAGUGAAAUCAAUUUUGUCUUUUGGAUGAUAAAGAAGAACUAACAAACAGAAACAGAGCAUGAAGAAUAACCAGAGAAUCAAGAAGAACUACAAACAUAAAACAUAGCCAAAGGAAAAACAGAAAAUCAAGAAGUAGAUAUAAAAAUAGAGAAUCAACAACUAAACUGACACACAAAUACAGAAACAAGAAUAAAUAAACAGAUACAGCAACCGAGAAUCAAGCACUGAAAAUACAUUUAUAGAUUUGCAAACCAUUCCUUAAACAUUGUGCAACAAAGGAUAACUAACCUUUAAGUUAAAUAUAUUUUUUAGUGAAUUAACCUGCGUCUCUGUUUCUUCGAUACAUCCAAAUGUGACAGAACAUUCUCUGAAAGAGAAUACAUGACCAAUUAGUUACAUUCACAUAUAUAUAUAUAUAUAUAUAUAUAUAUAUAGAUCAGAACAAAAAAAUAAAUAACAAUGCAAGACUUAGCUAUGAAUGUUUGUUGAAUCUAAUUCUAAAAGUGGAUAUUUCUUCUCUGGUAUUGACAACUUCUACUAAUUCAGAGCAUCAUUAGCUUUGCUGGAUACAUCAAGAUACACAUUAAAACCAUAAUAUUACUGAGAUACACACAAAAACGAUUAUUACAAUUAACAAUAUCAGAUAUCUAUGUUCUUUUGAGUCUAUAUACAUUCAUCAUCUAAAUAUCAUAUGUAAUUGUAAUUCUACCAGAUGUUAUACCUCUAGCUCUGUUCUUUUAGUCAAUUUUAUAGUCUAUACAGUUUGUGAUAAAGCCUUCAGAUAGGUAAAGGUUGUUUCUAAUCUUCAUCAAAACAGAGUUUGUCUUAUUCAGGGCCGGCUUAGGCACUAGGGCAAGGGGGGCGUGGGCCCAAGGCCCAAUUUUAGUGUUAAAAUGGGGCCCAAUUUUGAAGAAAAAAAUUAAGAAAAGGGGCCCAAAAAAUUUUAGAUUAUCCAUAAAGUAUGUGUAAUUUUUUUUUUUGAAAUUUCUUUUUACCCAAGGGCCCAUAAAUUAUUUGAGCCGGCCCUGAUCUUAUUAUGUCUCGAUAUAUAUUGGAAUCAUGGAAUAUACUAGGUGAUUUCACCCUUUUGUUAGACUUAAUCCAUCUAUCAAAUUAGUUGAACAUUCAAAGUACUUUUCUUAUUCGCGAUUCAAUUGAUGAAGUUUGAUGUCGCUGAAAAAUGGCAGUUUGAUUUUUCUUUUGGUGCUUUGAACAUUGACUUGUCGAAAACCUAGAACCCUAGCAAAUCAACUUGUCUUACGAAUGCGGUAUGAAGCAUCAUGUCAAUAAUGUCUAACAACAUGUUUAGUGUAAUUUAUGUUUCAUGUAAUAUGUUACAUUGAUUUGAUAUCAAUAAAAUUAUGAUGUUAUAAAGAAAACCUAAAUAUAUGUUUAUAAAUUACUUCUCAUCAACUAUUUUUAUUCGAAAUUGUUCCCGGAAAAAAAAACUGUUAUAGUUAAGGGCCUAAUUUUGUUUAUGAACAAAUAUAAAAUGUGUUGAUUUAAUGGGCCUAUUCCAUAAACGAAAAUGAUCUUAAAAAGCUAUCAAUUGAUUUUAGAUAGGCCAAUGUGUUUAAUAUAUUUUCACAAAAAUUUUACUUAAAUAAAUCCCAUAUAAGUUUUGAUAUAUUUAAUAAAAUAUACAUAUUUAUUUAUUAAAGUUAUUAAUCCUAAUGUUUAAUAUGAAACUUCUAAAGCACAAUUAAGCAUGUAUAGUUUUCAGUAAUACACUUUGAUACUACAAUGUUAAAAAUGUAAUGAAACUAACAACUAAUACAUUAUUUUAAUCUAAUUUAUUCUGGUUAAAAUUAUUAGAAAUCCCCUAUAUAUUAAUUGAUGAUCCUUUAAAAAGUUGUAACCUUAGUUUUGUACUAAUUAAUAAGAGACCAUGCUUAGGUGUCACUCAAUUAUGAUAUCAAUUUAGCUUACGUGUCAGCUUAAGAAUCAGUUAAAAAAUAUUGGUCUAAAUUUAAUUACUAGGAAACAUUAUAUGAACCCAAAAUAUAAGAAGCAUGUAUUUUUCAUUAAAUAAAAGCUACAAAAUUACCUAAUAUGAUUAACAUAUAUAUGACAACUAAUGACUUGAAUAAUAAAGAUUUGAUAAUAAUUUUUGCAUCCUUCUUCAUUUUUGUUUAAUUUUAUAUUAUUAAAAAAUUAAACAAUCACAUUAACUAUAUAAUAAAAAAUUAGAUUUUUUAUUAUAUAUUAUAUUUUGACUUUUUUAAAAUGACAGCGCCUCCGUUUUAAGGAUAAUUUUAUGGACAUGGUGACUAACCAUGGAUUCUACAGCCCACAUCAUCCCCAAGAAUUUUGCAUCCAUAAUUGAGUUUAUGUUUCGAAAAGCUCUUCUGCCAUGCAAUAAGAAGUCACCUUGGUCAUUACGUACAAUCCAAGAUGCUCCCAGUAGCUUCUUUUUUUUCUUGACCACGAGAUCGCCACAUUGAACUUGACAACCCCCUCAAAUGGGAUUUCCCAUCCAACAGCAGUCCCAACGUUUUAAUGCAGAGCUUCAUCUUCUGAAAGAGCUAGCUUCUGGGCAUCAAACCAUUCUUUUGAAUCUUCUACCACUUUCAAAACAGUAUCUUCAGCUGCAAACUCUUUUCCUUAAGUGAGAAACAUAUUUCUGUUCUUCCAUAACAUCCACAAUAUCCAUGGAAAUAACCGGCCUAUCUCGUCAGGGAUCUUUAACUCUUUUGGAGGACUCAGGAGAUAAUUAAUUUUUUUCAGAAUCAACAUGUUUCAAAACCUCUGCGAGGGAAAGGGAAGUUUGAUUGCGUCCACACCCUCCUAGCUGCCGGGCACAUGAAAUGAUUAAUUGACUCACCUUCAUCUCUGUUGAGUUAUGAGGAGAUUGGAGCUUGAUAAAGAUGAGGAAAUGAAGAGUAGAAGAGAAUUGAAGGAUGGUGAGUUUGGGUCGACCAAACCAUACAGGCCGUCUAGGCCGUACCGGCCGUACAGUUUGGAUCGACCAAACAUCUACCAAAAGUGAAAAUUUGUCACCUUGGUAAGUAGUUAAGGCAUGAGAAGUUACCUUGGUCAUCAGCUUUGGUUCUGACUGUUGGAGAGGAUAAGGGAGGCGCUUCUAGACAGGCUGUCAAGGGCUGGAAAGGAAAAGCAUCUUAGUCCAAGAUUCUUAGAUGCUAAAGAAUUUGAGGACUCUUAUUGGCCAGUUUGAAUUGGGUGCUCCACUCCUCUUUGACUUCACAUGCUUAUAUUUUCUCUACUUUGAUUCUUUUCCUUGUAAACUCUCUAUUGAAGUUGUAACCUCUCUCUUAAUGAAACAUACACGAGUUUUCUGAAUCUCGUUUAGUUUAUCAUGGUUUUCUCAAACACUUAUACAUAAAUCUCUCUUAAUCUCACUUAAUCUCUAUUAAUCUGUCAAUACCUAUUCUCUUUCUCUAAAAUCAUAUUGUAUCAGAGCAAGGUUGGCUUUGGUAUUGAGAUCUAGUGUUCUUCAGCUUCGUUCAAGUUUGUGUUUUUUUGUGUUCUAGGUGAAGUUCAAGCAAGACAAGAUGGAAGGAAAAAAGAUUGUCUCGGUUCCGAUUGCCCUCAAAGGUGGGGGAAACCUUUUGUGGUUUAGGCUUGUGAAGACAGCCAUUGGGAGGCUAGGGUUGUGGAGCCACAUUACCGAUGAAGCUCCAAAACCAGUGGCUAUUGAAGGUGAAGGUGGAAGAGAGCUUGCAGUUGUUGAAGAAAAUAAAUGGGUUCAAGAAGAUCUAAUGGUUCUAUCCAUGCUAAAAGGAUCCCUUGAAGUCAAUCUACUAGAAGCUUAAAGCUAUUGCGAGACUCCUAAACACAUGUGGGAGACACUCUAGAAGACAUUUGGAAACAUCACCAAUCUGAGCCGUGUGUUUGAGUUGAGAGCCAUCAACACACUGAUGCAAGAGGAGGAGGAGUUUACCAAACACUUGGGAAAGUAUAGGUCUUUAUGGACCGAGCUUGAAAUUUUAAGGCCUAAUACAACUGAUCAAGAGAUACUCAUGGAGAGGCGUGAGCAAGAUCAGGUGUUUGGGCUGUUUUUGACUCUAAAUCCGGCCUUCAGUGAUGUGAUCAAGCACAUUCUAAGGUCAUCAAACCUUCCAUUCAUGAGGAAUUGUGUUCUCAGAUUCAGAAAAAGGAACGGUCGCUUGGUGUCUUUUAUGGCAAAGGAGACUUAUCAAUGGCUAACAAGGCCGAGGAAGUUGUGCAAGCUAACAAGGCUGCCUACAAAUCUGAUAAGAGGAAGUAUGGCGAGGAUAGAAGGUUUGGAGGCAAUUAUGAUCAUUGCAAGAAGCCAUGACACAAGAGGAGCUAGUGUUGGAUACUACACCCUCAUCUCAAGCCAGCCAAAUUCAAAAAGGAUCGAGAGGCAAGAGCUAACCUGUCUGCUGAAGCAAUUGAAGCUGGUCCAUCAGGAGCUGGUUCAAGUGUACAAGCGGGUGAAAGUGCAGGAAGAGAAAUGGCCUCUCAUUACACGGCUGGAAAGAGCUUGGAACAUGAGGUGAUCAGGGAAUCCGACAUUGAUGAGCUCAUCAAAGGUCUUAAGGAUUAUGGUACAUUCGAAACGCUCUUGGUUAUUCAUACACUACUCAUAUGAUGCCUAGAAAUGAUGAUAGGUUAUUAAAUAUCAUUGAUGAGUUAAAACUUAGAAAUGAAUCUCCUAGAACCUAUAUUGCUCAAAAUAAGAUAAAACCAUUGAUUGUUGACUCUAGUGCAUCUAAUCACAUGGUUAGUGAUAAUAGUCUCAUUAAUAACAUAGAACCUGCUCAUGGACAUGUAAUGAUUGCAAAUGGUGAUAGAAUUUCUAUUAGAAGAAUAGAAAACUUUAACCGGUUUGAUAAGGAAUCUAAAGCUUUUUACAUGCCUGAGUUUACUUCAAACUUAUUAUCUGUUAAGAGAUGUACUACUGAUCUUCAAUGCAAUGUUAUCUUUAGUUCUAAUGAUGUAAAGUUUCAGGAUAUUGAGAGCAGUAAGUUGAUUGGGCAAGGAGUAACCAAAGGAGAUCUUUAUAUGCUUGAAGACAUUUCCCCUGUUUCUAUUUCUAGUUGCUUGUUUAGUUCUAUGUUGAAUAAGGGUGCAUUGUGGCAUUAUAGGCUAGGACAUCCACAUUUUAGAACCUUAAGCUUAAUGUUACCACGUAUCAUAUUUAAAAACAAUGAGUGUGAAGCUUGUAUUUUGAGAAAGUAUUGUAAGACUGUGUUUCAAAGAUCAAUUACUAUAUAUGAGAAUUGCUUUGAUUUGAUUCAUUCUGAUGAUGUUUAAAGAUCAACUAUUGUAAUUGUAUAAAUUUAAGUUUUACUAGAGCGCGGAUUGUUACAUAUUUUAAAAUUUAACUCUGAUGCCAUAAAAACAAACAUAAUCUAGAAUUUUAUAUCUGUCAUUCAUUGAACGUAAGAUCCAAAAUACAUAUAGCCAACUGCUCAAUCAAAGUCUGCCCAAAAUAUCUACGAUUAAACACAUUAUAUAUUGUUUCAUUGAUUAUGGUAGGUUGCAUAUAGUUGCAAAAUUACGGAACUGAUUGGGUUUUCUUUCGUCUGGUUAAUUAUGCUAUUACGAUAUUACAGUCAACAAUUUCACCUAUCUUAUGAGGAUUCACGCCAGACUGCAUCACCUUGAGUAGAGUCCUAUGAGAUUCAUUUCUGACGGUACUUUUUGCGCCAAGUAUUUUUUCUAAUUUUCUGCAUAAUUCGCCUAAACCUAGACCUCUUCCUGUAGAAAUUGUGUUGCCUAGGAUUCUUACCCCACACCUAAGUGUAGAAGCCUUUAAACCUUGAUUACUUGGCCACGGUGCUUCCAUAAAACUCAUGGAGUUUUUAAGCACUAUUAUCGAACCAAAUGUUGACUGAUUGAUAUAAACCACCAAACCAACCUUGAAUCAUCAAUUUAGUAGGAAGAAUAACCGCCCGGUUAAAAAUUACUAGGAGCGGAGCAUCUCGUAAUAUUUUGGAACCAAUGUUUUUAAACCCGAUCCAGACACUGAACCAAACGAUUUACCGGGUUGCUGGGUUAUUGGGUCAACCGCGAAUGAACCGCGGAUUGAUAAAUAAAUUAAUUUUAUUAUAUAAUAAUAUAUUAGCAACGUAAAUAAAAAUAUAAAAAUUAAAGUUUGAUAUUUUCUAAAUGUUUUUUAAAACAUAAAAUAAUAGUUUGGAUAUGUAUAUAUUUUAUGUUUAAAAGCAUUUAGAAAAUACUUAACUUUAGUUUUUAUAUUUUUUUUUCACUUGACAUACAUCUAAAAAAAUCAAGACAUAAAUUUAUAAAUAUUUAAAUGUCUAAUGUGAUAAUAAAAUAAACUUUAAAUGUCUUAUAUUAUUAUGUCUCGAUAUAUAUUGGAAUCAUGAAAUAUACUGGGUUUUUGCGGGUUUAUUGGUUCAACUGGUAUCGGAUUUUAGGUUUUACUAGAUUUUUGUGGGUUUUUAAAUAUUGGAUUUUUAAAAAAAUCCAAACCGGAUUUUUUCUGGAUCACCGGAUUUACUGGUUCGACCCGCGAUUGGAAGCGAUUACAACCGGUAAAGUCCAUCUCAAUAUCUUAAUCACGUAUCAAUUCAACUAAGCGAGAUUCACUUUACGGGCCCAAAAAAAGAUUCUAAACUGUUUAUUUUAUAUUUUAGCGCACUAAUACUUGAAUAUGGACCAGAGACUUGAGUUCGGUUGGGCUUUUAAAGUUUCAUGGAGCUCCGUGCCACGAUUCAAAUCAUAAUCUGCCAACGGUCGGCUAGUUUCCUUCAUUACAGAUUACACAAUCCAAAACGAAACAAAAAUAUAAGUUUGUCUUCUGACGGAAAAAUGGUUGUCGCCAAACAGUCUCCUUACGAAGAGUUUCGACUUAGAAGAGUGGAAGAGAACAAAAAACGAAUGGAAGCUCUGAAUCUGCCAAAUCUCUGCCAAACUCUCCGUUUAACUUCUGUCAAAACUUCUCCGGUUUUGAUCCCUGUCUUUUCCCCUUUUUUUAAAUGAUUGAUUGAUUGAUUGAUUGAUUGAAUAUUUGGGUGUUUGUAUACAAAUCUGGUAGAUGAAAAAAUCAAAUCUGGCAAGAGAGAAACAGCUCGUGGUUGUUCGUCGAUCUAGCCGUAUCUCAAAUGCUUCUUCUUCUUCUCCUGUUUACAAAGAAGCAAGUAUCUUGAUUGUUUUUUUUUUAAAAGGGUUUUAGUUUGUCUUAUUAAUUUAGGGUUUUUGAUUUUUGUUUUGUUCUCCAAUCAAAAGGUUGUUGUUCAACGAGUGCAUCUACCCAGAAGGUGAAAUUACCGAACUCACUUUCUUCUUGUCGUAAAACUGUAAGAUAUAAGCAAUAACUUUGAUUCCUUUUAGGGUGUCCAAGGGGAGAGAUUUGUCGAAUCGAGUUUAUGUUUCUGAAGAAAUAAGAGAAGAGGCCUUUUCAAAAGCUGAGAAGUUGCAGGCUGAUUUGCGGAACCGCUUCCCAAGUUUUGUAAAAUCCAUGCUUCAGUCACAUGUUUCUGGUGGAUUCUGGCUGGUAAAACAGCCUUUGAUACACACCAAAUCUUUUUAUAUGCAUUCUUUUGGUUUAUUAUGUACAUUUGAAUGUCAUAAUCUAACCCCCAACAAAUAAAAAUCAUUUUUUUUGUUACAAAACAGGGUCUUCCAGUUCAUUUCUGCAGAUCUGAACUGCAGAAACAAGAUGGUGUCAUAACACUGAUUGAUGAAGAAGGCGAGGAGUUUGAGACCGUGUACUUAGCGAAAAGGACUGGACUUAGUGGGGGAUGGUUGGGUUUUGCGGUUUCUCACAACCUAGUAUAUGGUGAUGCACUUGUCUUCGAGUUAGUUCGUCCUACCGUCUUCAAGGUUUGUAAAACGCCUUAGGUCUUUUACUACCCAUAGGCAAGAAAUACUAAAAACUGAUGUUUUGAUAUUGUUGUUCUGUCAGGUUUACAUUACAAGAGUUAAAAGUUCUGGAGAAAGCCCAAAGAUGUGAGGUGUGUGAUCUGUUAGGAUUUUGGGAGAUGACUAGUGUUAGAAGUUUACCCUUUUGUAUGUAAGCUGUUAAUUCUACGCUAGUUAUGAAAGUGUUGGUGUGUGCUCAAGGCUGUUAUCUGAUACAUCUUUUAUUUACAGUAUUUUGGAAGUGGUUGUUUCUUUUACACAAGUCUAAAAUCCUUGAAAUUUUAGGAAUGAGCAAUAACACUAAAUUUAGUUUUAUUUGUGAUGCAUUAUCUGAUGUUUAAAUUUUGAGUUUCUCAAAAUGAAUUCUCAAGAAGUUAAAUUACUCUUUUCUAAAUGAUUUUAACGGCGUUAAUAACCAAUCUUUUUAAGUGACCGUAGCCCACCUAUCUUUUAAUAUUUAACCUUUCCACCUCAGUUUCACUCAUUUUCUGUAUCAAAUAAUUGAAUUUCGUCCCUUAUCGUUUAUAAACUAGUACAGCGAAACGAUGAGUUCCAUAAAGAGUAAUAAUCCCCAUGUUAGAAGCUGCAGAAAUAACACUUUAGGAGGCUAGAAAACCAGAUAGUGAUUACUGAUUAGGUAGAAACAUUUUUAGAAACUAGUGUUGUCGUCUCUUUGCUUGGUGAUCCUUUUCUUAAAGAAAAUUUGGUGAGAAACCAUUUUUUGCAUUAUGAAGCUAUUUUCUUCUACCAUUGGGAAGACCUGUCGUCCAAACUUGAUGGUUUUGCAAAGCUUCUGGAACUGAUAAAGGUGAGCUAUAUAUCGCAUGUUUAGUGACAAAUAAUUAAUGAUGGAAGAACAAUCAUAACCCUUGUCACUUUACUAGUUAUCCAAUUACGCUAAUCUAUUUGUUAAUUAGACAACCAAUGAGAAUUCACAUCAAAUUGUUACAGAAGAGAAACUAAUUUGGGAUUGUUUCAAACAUUAUCAUAUAACUUUCAGACAUGAAAAUAUUUUAUAUCAAGUCAAAAGAUUCUCUAAGGAUCUAACCAUAAUACAAUCAAUCACUAAUCAAACCAUCCUAAUAUUCUAAAACUCCAAUCCAUAUAUACCAACGACAACUACAAGCACAUGGAAUGCAAAACCAAAGCAAACAAAGACAACAAACUAUGCAUAACUGCAUAAUUGUAUUUCAAACUAUGAGAUGUUUUAAACCUAUAUUCAAACUUAGGAAAACUAAAAUUAAGGUUUUAGUGUGCUUAUAAUUGUAUUUUGUAUAGUUUAAGAAACAAUCCCGUUUGGCCCAUGAGAACUAGGUCAAAAAGAAAGUAAUAUAAAUGCACGCAUAAUCAGUCAUUUGGCCAACCGUGUGAACAUCCGUGUGUCACAUUAAGAUUUCACGCGUGAUCAGUGUCCUGGUCAAUCAUGUGACAUUUGAAACUUCUUGAGAUUUGCACAAAUGAUCAGUCCACACGAUCAUAAUUAUGGUCUGUCUUGUGAACAUCUGCGCCAUAGGCACCUCUUGUUUUGUUUACACUGUAAUCGGUUGGAGAAUUUUCAUGUCCGUUCAUUGUUCAUAAUAUAUUUGGGCUUCAUGUUUGGCCUUUCUGUUUACUCAAAAAUUUGAACCCAAAAGUGACAAAAAAUAAUUAUUCUUGGACCCGUGGAUCCUGGUACAUGGUUCAACACAUUGUUUCAAUUAGGAAUUCUGAAGACACUAUCUUACUAAUAAGUUAAUGAAACUUUUGUGGUUGGUAGAUGGUAGUGUCUCCGUCUGAAAAAAAUUGUCAUAAUAAAACCAAUAAAAUUCUUAAGAUAUGGUCAUCGCUUUUGAUUACACUGAUCACAUUACAAAUUUUUUUUUAUCAAACGUUUUUUCUCAAGUCUAUCAAUAGAUUUAGAUGUUUGAUUAUAAAAUCUUUAGCAAGCUGUUGUUACAAAAAAAAAAAGCCAACUGCAUAAUAGAAAAAUGAUAUAAAUUUUUCACUCCACUAACUUAACACUUAAACAUCUAUAUAUAAUAGCAAACCCAUUUUUUGUUCCCUCUGAUCUCAGCAUUUUUUUAUAGGAAAAUAAAAUGAAGGUUUAACGGUUCAGAUUGAUUCGGUAUCUAAUCCAAGGAUCAUGUUCUUUCUAGGUGAUGCCAUCUAUUUAAAACAGAAUUUAAUCCAAUGGCUGAGAUUAGCAUACCCUUAAAUCCACGGGUCGAGAUUAGACUUACCUUUUGUAACCGACGCUAACGAAGCUUUGCGUCCGUAGUGAAACAUUGUGUCUGUUAAUGAAGUUGUGACCCAGGGUUCGAAGCUCUUCCUCUGUUUAUAUUUGAUAACCAAUUUGCUAUUCCUCCUUUUUCACUAGUCCUGAUUCUUGAUUCGUUUUUUAUAUUAUAGAAAUUGUAUCUCCCGUCAUCCACCAUUCACAAUUAUUGUGUUUGAUUAUUUGACAUUCUCGAUCAUUGGAGCUUUGUUUAUGAAGGUAAAUCUUCUGAAACUUUUGAUUUUUUUUUGUGUUAAAAGUUAAUUGCCUUACCGUAUGAUUUUUGUGGUAUUGAGAACCAUUAUUGUGUUUGAUUAUUUGAGAAUUACUCUUUAGUCAUCGUAUCUGUUUAUUUCCGGAUUGAAUUUGAUUUUGCUGUUUUCGUUGCCCUGUCUCUAUUCCUAUCUGUCUCUCUUUCACAAAUUCAUUGGUUCGGAGUUUUGGUAUAUCUCUGCCUUUUUCUCGGGCUUACUCGAACAGUUUAGAUUUUAACAUAUGAGGUGUGAAGUUGAACGCUUAAACAAAUUAUCCAUGUGAUCUCGGUUUCUCUUUAUCACUCUUUCACUAUUUUGACGAGAAUAUUUACGUGUUGUGGCUGUGGUCAGGUCCAUCAGACGAGAUUCCAACACCAAGAUUGAGGCUGAUGGUGUCUGUUUCAUCUGGUCUGAACCGAGGCUUGGUGUCAUGAUCGCUGCUAGACUUCAAAGUGGGGUCAUCGUGAUUGUGGUUACCGUCGUAUGUUGUUAUUACAGCUUUUGGAUCAUCUGAUGCCUCUCCACGUGUUUUGUCACUGGGCAUCCAGGGAAUGUGCACUUGUAGUAGCUCCUCCAAAAAGCCAAAGGAACAUUACAAAGGAUGAUAUCUCCCAUAUUCCAAACCCAGUUCCAAAGGGAAUCAAGACUUUAAGAAGAAAGAGGUUUGUGGUUAUACAAGUUUUGCUUGUGUAUGUUCACUUGAGAAGAAAGAGGUUUGUGGUUAUACGAACCUGGGAUUUGGUUUCCCCUUACGACUUUCUGCCCAUACUUGGGCCACAUAUAACCAUCAUACAGUAUGUCAACCUCACUCAGAGUUUGAAAAACAACCCGAGUCUCCCGAAUAUGAUUCACAAGUGUUGUUAUUUCCAUGGUGUCCCAUCCAGCCUCCUGCAAAAAGUUAUAAGAAAGUUUGAUCAUGCCAAAUCACUGUUUCAAGGCAAGCAUCAUCGUCCUGGUUCUCUUUAUUCUUAUCUGACACUGCAACUUCACCACCACAGUCAGUUGUCUUUUGGGAAUUGGAACUUUUCACGAAUGUACCUAUUGUUCGUCACUCUCGCAUUCUCAUUCGUCAGCAUUCACUUAAAUAUAUAACCAUUCACCAAAGAGUGUGACACAUUAAGUAUUAUAAUCAGACAAAAUACCAUUCAGUAAGAAUUCUAUAUUGCUAAAAUUUAAAUGAAUUGUUGUAAUAAUUUACAGCAACCAAACAAUUGCAACUAUAUAAACGAUUGCAAUCUUUGGUGACAUAACUCUUUGCUAACCAUUAUAAUUAUUGUUGUUAAUAAUUAUAGUUCUUGAUUAACCAUCACAACUAUUGGUGUUACCAUUGCAACUAUUGGUGCUAACUAUUAUAAGUUUAGAAUAACUAUUGCCCCUGUUGGUUGCGAUUUUGAACUCUCUAUAUAAAAAGUUGUAAGACAUUAGCAUAUGUAAAAAAAUAUUAGAAUCUAAUUGUUAGAAAGAGAGAAUGAUUCGUUGUUCAAAAAUCUUAAAAGAUCUAUGAAAAAACAAGUAUAAACACAAAAAAAAAAAUAUUUGUUAGUCUUGUAUCUUAAUUUAAGAAAAGAAGAACACUUUGAUUUUCUUAUCAUACAACUGGAUUUAGUGUAAUUCAAAUCUUCAAAUCAUGCAGUUCAAACAUUAUUCAAAUUACGUGACCACAAUCAUGAACAAAUUGUCUGAGGUUAUAUUUCCAAAAUAUAGUAGAUUUUUUUUUGGAUGGAGCAUUAUGUUGUUAUAAGAUUUUAUAAAUAAACUUUUUUUUUCUUUUCAAAAUACAAAACAAAAACUAAAAGUAAAAGAAACAUAAUAUAAUAUGAUAAUCUUGAUCCAACAAAAAUUGAUAAAAUAGUGCGAUAAUGUGAGUGUGAAAAAUUGCUUUUAAAUAGUGUUUUAAUUUUUUAAAUAUAUGCUUCUUUAAAUAGUUUAUUCUACUUCUGUUUGAAUAUCUAAGAUACUUUAUCUAACAAUUGUGAAGUUUGGUAUAUAUUUCUUAAAUUUUAUAAUACAAUAUAAUUGGUUAUCUGACGAAAUGCGGUAAUGUUAAUGAAAAUAAUAUAGCUUAAAAUUAACAAUAAAAUACAAAAUUUGAGUUAUUACAUAAAAAACAUAUCUCUAAAUUGAAACCAAAAAUGCAUUUAGAAUUAACAAAUUGUAAGUUGUACUUCUAUUUUUGUCAUCUUUAAGUUGUACUUCUAUCGGUGUCAAUACUUUCGUGGUUCUUAAGAAAAUAUAAUUUAAUGGUUUAGAUUAAUAUAAUAAGUGUGCAUAAUUUAUGUAGGGUUCAUAUUGGAAAAAAAAAGAAGGCAUACUUUUAUUGAAAUAGUUGCAUUUCUUACGAUUACUUUAUUCUUUUGAUUAUUCUAUAAUACCCAAUUCUUACAAAUAUAUAUUUAGAUAAAUCUAUGCAACCGUCUUCUGCUGUUUAACAUUAUAUCUCUGUAACCGUCUUCUGCUGUUUAAUCUUCGAUAAAUCUUAUUACAACAUAUAUUUUUACCUCCAUAAAAAUAUAUGUUGUAAUAAGAAAAUUACAUAUCUAAAAAUCUUUUUCCGGUAAUUUUAAGGUGAACAUUGAUUCUUUUAUUUGUAAUUGUCAACGGAUUUGUUUACAAGUUUCUAUUUUUUCUAAAAACAAUUUGUAGAUCAAUAGAACACCUCUUCAAAUUUGUUUGUUCUUCUUUUGAGUUAACACUCGAUAUUUUAUCUUUUUCAUAAAUCCCUUGAUUGAUCGGUAUUUUGAAAUAAAAGAAAACAAAACAAAAGUGAUUCCCGUAAUAGCGGCGAGUAUAAUGUAGACUUAACUUGUGUAUAACAAAAAAAUAUUUAAUAAAUAAUAAAAAUAAAUAACUAAUUUUUAUAAAGUAUUUAUAAAUAAAUUUGUUGUGUAUACAUUUUUAAUAUUAAACAAUUUAAAUUUUUCGUAAAGAAUUUAAUAGAUCCGCGCGAAUGCGCGGGUUUGUUUCCUAGUAGAUAUAAAAAAAUAUGUUAACUAAAAGAAGGUUCACGUCUAUAGUCAAUAAAUUUUUAAGAUUUAGUUUUCUAAAUAUUUAAUCUAUGAGUAGUAAUAUACUAAAAAAAUAUUAUAUGCACCACAUGAAUUAUAUUAUAAUAACUUCCGAUCCAACAAUAUAAAGAGUAAAUUGAGUGUUAAUUUAAACAUAGAACAAUAAUGUAUAUAAAUAUAUAGUUUCACAUUUUAUUAUAUUCUAAAAUAAAAAAAUUUCUUUACAGAUACAUAUCAUUUAAAAAAAAUUUAGUAUUUACCAUCAAACAAUAUAUUAUUUAAAAUUAUAAUAUAUUAUUCAACUAUAAUUUCAUAGCAACAAAAAAUUCCACGUAACUCAAAUCAUAUGAUUCAUAUACAACAAAUGCGUUUCAAUAGCAACACACAAACAUAAUACAACCCUCCUAAACCAUAACAUCUAAACGUUUCAAUAUAGUGACAAUAUUAAACUCAACACAUCAGAUAAUAUCUAAGUACAUAAAUACAUCAAAAUACAAUACAUAAACUACAUUUCUUUAAGAAAAAACACCAUAAACACAGAACCAUUCUCCUAGAGUCAUUAGUUAAAAAAAACCAAAACUCCGAAAAAGUCUAUGUACCAUAUGCAUAAACAGCCAUAUAUUUAAAAUCCCAAAACCAACAAAACAAAUUAUCAUAACACAAAUAUACACAUCCCGCCUACGGGCGGACCCGCCCUAGUAACUAAUAUAGUAAAUUUAGUAAAUAAAAAUUCCAUAAAACUUAUAUAAAAUAUAAUGUUUGUAUAACUUAUAUAUAUAUAUAUGCAUAUAACGGAUCGUUUCGAAUAUCCGUUAGCAAAAAUAUUAGUAUUUGUGGAUUGUUUCGUUUUUUAUAGAUAUUUUAUAUUAUUAUUUGUUUUGUUUCGUAUUGUUAUAGAUCAAAUUUUUCGUUUUUAAUAGAAAUAGAUAACGAAUCAAAUAAAAAUUUACGAAUAUUUUGCUCUGUCGUAAUUAUGCUCGCAAAACGUCUAAAAGGGAAAAUGAUAAAAGGCCCCAAAAGAAACAGAGAUUAUAGAAAUGGCAAGAAAAUAAUGGACCCCACCACCUCGAGAAAAUUCAACUACUCUACCAAAGCAGGUCAUAACCGGCGGGUCAACAACGUUAUUGACGAAGUAAUGACGUCCCUACCUCAUCACCUCACGUUAACAUUCAAAAAGCUAGUAGGAAAACGGAUGCAACAAACAAGUUGAAAUUCAUCUUGAUAUAAAAGAAAGAACGAAAACGACAAGGAGAGGGUCUGCUCAUUCUACACAAAACUAGUAUGAAGAAGUGAUAAUUAUUCUGGGUUUGACUGUUUGAGCUUCAGGUUAACCGUUUACGUAAUAAUCCGGUAACAAGUUUACUUAUUAAUCCGGUAACAAGUUAUUUAAUGACGGUAUUUAAAGCAUGACUUGUUUCUCCACUACCACCCAUAAAUGCAGCUUUUGCGGUUAAUUGCGGUUGUUAACAUUUCGCAACAAUCACUCAAACCAUUCUAAACUGUUUCAGAUCACUCUAAACUUCUUAAACUCACAAACUAUAAAAUUUGUUUUUUUUAACAAUAUAAAUACAAAAAAAAUUAAAUUGAAAUAAUAGAAAUACUAAAAUAUAUCUAUUAUAUUUUAAUUUAUAUUAUAAAAUUUUAAAAUAAAAAUAUAUUCUAACUUUUUAAAAUUUAAAAAUAUAAUUUUAUUAAUACAAUUUUUAUAUUUAUUAUAAUAUUAUGUUGUUUGAUAUUUUUAUAAUUAUGUAAAAUGUAAAAAUUAUUAAUUUAUUAUUUAAUCGAUGUUGUAUUUGGCGGUUUACCAGUCAAACACACCAAUUUCUAACCGCAAUACCAGUGGUACAAAUCUCUUAAAACUGCGUAAAACCGCAACCACCCGCAUCCACAAACUCCCACAACCGCAAUCGCUGCGGUUACACCAGUCAGGCCCUUAGUAGUAGGCGAGAUUUUGGUUUUAAACAAUCUGGGUUCGAAGGCACUCCACAACAUUCUAUUAUGUGGGUACGCGAAUAUGGAUCCAUUAUUUACGUUUCAUUUGAUUACUCGGAGAGGGUCCUUCCAUAGACUGCACUUCCACUUGAAGAUUAUUCUGGGUCCUUUGAUAUUUCUCAAAUUACAGUAGAGCAAUUUGCUCUCUCAAAUAAGAAGGUCAAUUGUAGUAUUUAUGGACUCAAUCCACAUGGAGCGUGAAGACACAAUGAACUAUAGAAAUCAAGAUUAAUUUAGGAAAUCAAUAUAAAAUCAGUAAAUAGCAUAAAACAAGUAAUCAGUUGGUUGUAAACUUAUAUGAAAAAAAUAGCUAGACUUAGGGUUUCAGGAAACCAAAAUUAUGAUGUAUAGCUAAAGGUGUGUAAUAAACGUCCUAGAACUCGAAUGCAUAAUAAGAUAUUCAGCUUUCACUGCGAGUCUAAUUGGAUGAUUAAGUCUUUGCUCCAGAGCUCGCAUGCGAACAAGAAGUGAGUGUUAAUCGAUACUACAGAGUGUCAAUCAACACUAUAGAGUGUCGAUCGAUACUUCCUUAGGCAAGCAUUAACGUCAUAAUCGAUAAGUUCACUAGAUGUUUAGACCAGCUCUCGCAUGCGCGUAUCAACCUAGCUCAUCAUAAUUAUUAUUAGGUAAUAAACCUACUUUCAUAAUUGUCUAUAUCCUAAAUUUAGGGUUCUAGUUAGCUACUUUACAACACAAGCAAUAAGAUCAAUUUUGUUGAAGGAUCCUAAUAAUUCACCCUAGCAAUUCUAUGUUAUCAAUAAUUCAUCGAAACCAUAGUAAACCCCAAAUAACAAAGAGAACUACUCAUGCAUGAUCAUGCAAAAGAAAUCAAUAAUCUGGAUAUAUAUAAUGAAUAAAUAGAAUAAGGUAGAAAAACUGGAGUACCAAUACAAGAUCUCUGAAGGAGUUCUUGAUCUUCUCUUCAAAAAAUUACUAAUAAAAGCCUAAGUAAAUAUGGUGUAAGGUGUUUUGUGAUGGGCUCCUCUCCCUUGCCUAAAACAAUGAUAAAUAUUAUAAAUACUAGGUAUAAAGUCGACCAAAGGUAAUAUGGUAAUAUGUGGAUCUUCUAGGCUUGAGUCGGUCUUGAAACAUGUGGACCCUUCUACGUGCAUCAGUGUCGAGCACACUAACGGUGCAGUGUCGGUCGACGUAUUUUCUAAAUUUUGGCACUGGCUUCAAUUUCUUGAAACAGUUACGAAUUUUCUCAUCUGUAAGCUUCAAAAUGCUUCAUAAUCCCCAAAUUUCUACAAAACAUAUCUGUUGGACCCAAUUUUAGUCAAUACGUUAAUGGGCCACAAUCAAGUAAAUGGGCCGCAAAGAGUUAAAGCCCAUAGUGAACACUCGAGCUACAGACAGAGACUUCGAAGAUCUAGAGAUCAAGGAAAAGUUACGGAGAUCGCGGAACGGUUGCGAGCAUCACGGGAGCAGCCCGUUAUAAAAAGAGAUCGACGAAUAAGGAAAAUACACGUUGAAAACCCUAGAGAGAGCAACACCCAUACUUCGACCUUGUUUACAUCCAUCUUUAGAUCUUUUCUCUUAAUGAUCUCGUUGUAAAGUUCGAUCUUGUUUUACUCAUCAUAUUCAAUCUUAUUCAUCAAUAAAACUCCAUUUUUGUCUACUGGAAACUGAUUACAUCAUUGUGUUCUAAAGAUAUCGUUGCCUACAUCAUUUAUCUUCCUUUGAUUAAACUCCCAAUCACUAACAAAUUCUUAGUGUAGAUUUUAUGAUCUACAUUUUGGCGCCGACUGUGGGGAAGAUAAACGAAAAACAACUUUGCUAAGAAACCGAUCUAAGUUUCCUAAGCGCGACUAUGGAUCCCAAUCAAACUAUCAGAACCACACCAUCAGGAAUCGACAACGUCGAUCCUGCCAGAUCCAACUCGAGAACUGAAACCUUACACGUUGGACCAACGGGCAACGACGGGACAACCGGAACGACCCAUACACAACAAAUCCCUCCAAUCGGAACCUCGAACCAGGAGCGAUCAUCAGUCCACGAUCGAUCUUCACCACCAGAUCGCACUUCGGUUCCGGAAAGGACCUCAAUCCCCGAUCGAACCGGAGCUCGAGUCUGGAAUCACCCCGGAGAAAGACAGGCCACUGACGACCUAAUCCGACCUCAAUCGUCUAGGCUGAUAUCUCCGACCCGCCAGCAUAGACUCGGGAAGAAGUGACCGAGCUUCGAAGAAUGGUCUCUUCAGUAAUCGACGAAGCUUGCAACCAAAAGGCCACCUAUCGUGCCAUUGCUAACCGACUGGAUCAAGCUGAAAGGGAAUUUGUGGAGCACCGAGCUAACGCCCGAGAGAGAAACCAACCGCCGCGUGACCCAUUAAGAGAAACAUUAAAUCCUCAAAACGCCGGAGCCUUCGGUACUCCAGAAAUCCCGAGAGCUCGAUCCGGACGCUACACGAGAGAGAACUCGCAAUGACCUCCGCAGCAGAUCAUGCCGCAGCGAAGCCUGAGUUACAGCGGGUUGGACGAAAUAGACACCAGACUACAAGCCCAAAGAAGUACUCCGAUCCAAUCGCAAAACAUAUAUAUGGAAAGAACCGGGGAGCCUAGAAACUGAAUGCCACCGCUGGGAAAUUUAACCUCCGAUAAUCGAACUCCUUCUGCGGCGAGAACCGCCCAGCAAACGGGUUUCAAUGAUCCAAUAGGGCAAGCUCGUGGUUACGACCCCCGCAGACCUAUCGAUGCGGAUCCUCAAAAAGAAGAUCUGGGGAUCCCGGCCGAAAUCGGAACGUUCUAGAAUUAUAUCAAAAGAAACAAUGUCGAGCUCAAAGGAAUACACGCCAUUGUGCAUAUGGCGACGAGCUCCGCUCUAGACAUAGAUAUGGUCAUUGAGGAAACAAGGAGAACUCCAUUCACAGUGUUCAGACUAUUACUGUAAUGUCGAUGCAUACUCUUCCUUUGGUCUGUCCCUUGAUUCUGUUAGGUGUAUGGUUUUCUGACCCCCACGAGAUCAUGUCGACUCUUUUCUUCGAUGCUGGGGGUGGAGAGCUAGGCGAUUCUGGCACGGUUUCCCUGCUUCUUUUAUUCGAAGAACCUUUAUUUUUUUGAUUAGAUUUUGGAGUCGAUGUCUCUUCCUCUUCUUCUUCGGUAUCCUCGCUGGUCUUUUUAUUUUCGUUUUGAUUGCGAAGUGCCGCUCGGCAUUCCUCGGUCGAAUGACCUUUUCGGUCAUGGAAGGAGCAGUGUUUGUUGGGGUCGUACGUCGAUGAUUUGUUUUGCGGCGGAUUGUUUAUCGCAUAGGAGUGUUGUCUUUUAGUUGUUGGUUCUUUAGGAGUAUUAUUUUUUUUGGCGACGUUAUUUUUGUUUGUGCUGUACUGUUCUUUUAAAGCUGCGACCUCCUCUUCAUGGGUUGUGAAGUAUGAGGCUGGGUGUAGGGCAUCGUCCACCGAGAUUGGUGCCUGCACCGCCAUUUCUUUCCUGAAUUUGAAUGAGAACCAGACGCCGUUCUUUAACCCGCCAGGGCCACGACUUUGUUUGGGUGUGAGAUUUUGGCUUUGAUUUUCCUGAACUUGUUUAUGUACUCCUUUAAUGGUUCGAAAGGCGCUUGUUUGAGAUUCCAGAGGUCUGCCUUGGUAACUCUCGUUUCUAUGAAAACCGAGUAUUGUUUGAGGAAACUAGACACCAACUGGGUGAAGUUGUCGAUUGAGUUUUCUUCGAGGUCCGCGAACUAUUCAAAGGUGGCCCUGGUGAGAUUUUCGGCAAAAAAGCGUCAGUAGCGUUAGUACUGUUUUCCUUUUUCUCAAUUAUGCUAAGCAAGUUAAACAUAGUUAGCAACAUGCAAACCAAAUAUGACUUCCUUUGAUCAUAUAUUUUAAGACUAUGCAAAUAUUAUGCCACAGAUAUUUCUAUGAUCAUGUGUCAAACAAAUAAAAGCAAUGAAAUAUUAAGUCCACACUGCCAAAGAACAGUCACUUCAUCAGUCAUGCGAAGUUACGUGUACUGAAUUAAGUCAUUAAUCUGUUUCAGUUUUAGCAUUCUAAAAGUUUAUGGAGGCUAAGCAAAGAUUUAUAGCUUUGAUUUAUUGAUUCAACCAGUUCUGUACACCCAUUUUUGGACAACGGAUAUUUGCAUUUCCAACGAUCUAAUAUUUAAAAGCGUUCACCUCCCACCGGAGAGUAAAGAAUCAGCAAUGGAAGAUCCACUAGUAAAUCUUUUACAGACAGAGGAAGCAUACAACAUCCUUAGUUCACUAAAUCCGUCUUGGACCCCAAACAUCAUCCCACUCCUGGACAAAUCCAAUGGAGACAAAUCUGAUAGCUUUGCAUCUCCUCUUAGAUAAUGUAGCACUUGUCUCAUACUGGGUCUAGCCCGUGGGUCAGAGUGAGAGCACAACAGACCAAUCUUUAAAAUCAUUUCGACCUCUCUUUCGUUAUACUGGGAACCGAUAUUCGGAUCUACAGCAUCCAAGAUGUUACCGCUGUUCCAUAACCUGAAAACCCAAUCCACGAGCAAGAAAACUUCAUCACUCUCAUGUUGGAUCUCAAUAGGACGUCUACCACACACGACUUCUAGUAAGAACGCCCCAAACGCAAAAACAUCAGUAGCGGUAGUGGCACGUCCAGUUCGGGUGUGUUCAGGGGCCAAGUAUCCCAAUGUCCCUACGACGUUGGUUGUUUGAGGAUCAGCCCCGUGAUCGUAAGACCGAGCCAAACCAAAAUCGCCAAGUCUCCCGUUUAGUUCUCCAUCUAACAAGACAUUGCUGGCUUUGACGUCUCUAUGUAUCACCACUUGUUCCCAAUCCUCAUGGAGGUAGAAUAAUCCAGAGGCAACAUCUAAAAUGACUUUACUCCUCUGUUUCCAAUCAAGUGUUACCUCCGGAGUGUUGUACAAGUACUUGUCUAGGCUUCCAUUAGGCAUGUACUCAUACACCAGAAGAAGUUCGCCUCUCCGGCGGCAAUAACCCAAGAGAGGAACUAAAUUCGGGUGUCUCAUCCGACCAAUACUCACAAUCUCCGACACGAAUUCUUUAAGCCCUUGUCGAGAAUCAUGCGAAACUUUUUUCACAGCAAUCUCCAAAUUCGUCUCAAGCAUCACACCUUUGUAAACUCUUCCAAACCCGCCAGAUCCAAGAAGAUCUUUCUCCUUGAAACCUUUGGUCGCAUAGUACAAAUCUUUGAACCUUAAUCUGUUGUUCCCCAACUCUGUUUCCCAGUCGUCGAGCUCCUCUUGGAACAUUCUUCUCCUCCUUGCGAUAAACCAGACAAGGAAGAUACACGAGAAAAUCAAAAUGAUGGAAAUGGACGGUAUCCCGAACCUGCAAAAAUACGAGAUUCUCGUGGGAUGGAGCAGAGGAAGCUUCGGGAGUUUUGAUAAAUCCAAUGGUGGAGCCUCGCGGUUGACCCCGAAGCUCCACCCAAGAACGUAGUGUUCCGCGGGAACAGUACCAGUGGCGGAGGAGAAACCCACGAACAUAUCUUGGAGAAUAACAAAAGAAAGAUCUCUGACAACGGAAACAAGCGGUUUUUUAGGUUUCUCCUCGUUCAGUGGACCCAUCAUCACAUUGAUUUUAUGUGUACGACCAUUGUAAUCGAUCCAAACCUGCAUCGGUUUACUACCAAUCAAAGUAAGGUUAUUGAACUGGCCUUUCUUGUCCCACCAUCCAGCUGGUGAACUUUUCACCGACGUCAAACUAUUGAUAUCAAUUCCGACAUGGUUAUCGUUGAUAUCAUUGAACUCUGUACUCCGUAUAGUAUCCAAUUCGAUAGCGAACACAUGAUUCGUUUUAUUACCGUUGCUUGUGAUGUUGAAGAGACCCAUGUAUUGGCUUGGCGUUGCGUAAGGGAGACGUGUGUUAGGAGCGAUGACGAAAGCAAUGCCAUGGCCGCUUAAUCCUGGGAUACGAGGGUGAAUUGCGAAGACGAAGGUUGUGGAGAAGGAUGAAACGGUGCCGUUUGGCGAAUUCUUUAACCGGAUUGAUUUGUUAUAGAAGGCGUGACCUGUUUGCUGAACGGUCGUAUUGGUUAGCCUCAACAGACCGUUGGGUGUGACAGCAGCGAUCCCUUGAAUGGAUAUGUAGCUCCGUUGAGGAAAGCCAUCGUAAGUGAAGUUGAGUGUUUUAGACGAGGAUUGAAAGAGGAGGCUGAAGAAGAAGAUGGUGAGGAGCUUGAAGAACAUGGCUUCUUCUUGACUCUACUUUGUAUUUUAUUGUUUGUUGUUUUUAGAUAUUUUUUUAGUUUGUUGAAAUAGUAGAAUGAUGUAUACAAUUUAUGGUGUGAAGAAGAGAGUGGAAAAGUCUUUGAAGGUUUAUCAUCUUUGUGGGGAUGCUCGUGAUUAUGGAAUUUAAUCAAGGAGACUAGAACUAUCUUUUGUUUUUAUACUCCAUUUUCUAAAGGCGUCUCCAAUCUAUAAAUCUCCUCCAUCCAUCACGUUUUGUUGAGUCGACAUCUGGUCAAAGUACUUAAGCAACGACCAUAAGGAAAUCCAAAAACGAAAAAUAAUAACAGAAAAAAUCUAAUUAAGCAAGAUUAAUUGGUUUGACCAAUUCUCUUCUUAUUUAUUUUAUAUCUUUUAUUUUCACAAAAUAACAUAGAACGUAUUCUACUUCGAAUACGUAAGGACCGUACCUUUUACAUUUUUUUUGAAUAUACGUUAAAUUUAGGGGAAUUAGGUUAUAUAGCUACGAAAUAAACCAUAAUUAAAUAUCUAACAAAAAAAAACACUUCCAUUAUUUCUGUAUUAUAUACUAUAUUACCUUUACUCUUCCGGUUAAUGAAAGAGAAACUACUUUUUCUUUUUCUUCUUCUUCGAUUAUCAACUACCACACUCUUCUUCCAUCUCCAUCACUUUCUUCCGUCAUCACUAACUCUAUAGUCACCAUAAGCAUCUCCAAAUCUAUAAUAUCUGCUACAUAAAUCAUAUAAGCUUCUGAAUUUUACAGAUCACGAUAUGGUUGAAGCGUUUUCAUUUAUCAUAUAAGUUUCAGGUUGUACUAUAUACUAUUUAAACAAUAUAUACUAUGUUAUUUCGUUUGUUACUAUUAUAUUUCAAUAAUGUUUCAUAUUAUAUAAUGCGUCCAUAUUUUGAUAUUUGGAGUAGGGUUUAUAUUUUUUUUUAGGAUUUAGUGAUUUGUGUUUUGAGUUUAGUUUAUAGAAGAUUUGAGUUGACUUUGGGAUAAUCAUUUUCCCUGCAAUCAUAUAUAUAUGUCAAAAUUUGAACAUUAAUAAUAAUAUAUAUACUAUGAUAUUUUGUUUGUUACUAUUCUAUUUUGAUAAUGCUUCACAUUAUAUACCAUGUGAAAAUUUGAUAUUUGGUGUAGAGUUUAUAUUUCUUUUUAGGGUUUAGUGAUUAGGGUCUUGGCUUUACUUUUUUUAGGGUUUAGUGACUAGUGUUUUAGAUUUAGUUUAUGGAAGGUUUGGGUUAACUUUAGGGUAAUCAUUACCUUCUUUACUAUUUGGUUUGUUACUACUCUAUUUUGAUAAUGAUUCAUAUUAUGUAUUAUGUGCAGAUUUGAUAUUUGUGUUAAGGUUUAUAUUUCUUUUUGGGGUUUAAUGAUUAGUGUUUUUUGGGUUUAUAUUUCUUUUUAAAGUUUAGUGAUUAAUAUUACUAUUUCAUUUGUUACUAUGUACUAUGCUAUUUCUUUUGUUAUUAUUCUAUUUUGACAAUAUUUCAUAUUAUGCACUAUAUACAGAUUUAAAAUUUAGAUUAAAGUUUAUAUUUCUUUUUAAGAUUUAAUGAUUAGUGUUUUAGAUUUAGUUUAUGAAAGAUUUGGGUAGAUGUUUUGGUAAACAUUACCUCCACUAUUAUUAAACUAUUUAUAAUUUUAUUAAUAUGAACUAUACUAUUUAAAAUGUUUUAUUCUAUUUAUUGUUUAUCUUCUUCUGCUUGUUUUAGAUUUGACGAGCUCUGUUUCAUCCUUAAUUACUUCUAUUGUAGCCACCAUGUUUGUAAUCACCACCACCGCCAGCGGCGCGAUAGCCACUACUGCCGCAAUAAUCAUCAACGUCGUUUUAUUCUAAGAUAAAUUGGGAUGACUGGAGGAAGAAAUAAUUUUACUGGCAACCGGUUCAAAAAAAAGACAAAACGGGAAAAAUAUUACCUAAAUGCUAUGAGAUCUAAUAACGUCAAAAUCAACGCAAUAUUCUUAAUUUGUUACCGAAAUAUGGCUAGUGGACAAAUAAGCCCUUAAAUUUAUUCAAAAAGAAAAAUAUAUUGUUUUUGCAUCUUGUGCUACAUGUUUAGAAAUAAAACAACUUCUGAGAUCUUCUAAGACUUUGAGUUAUCUGGUGGAGAAAUAAAACAACUGAUUGUUGAGUUUAUACGAAAUACAAAAUACAAAAUUUGCUUCAUUAAAGAUAAAAGCUUUAGUUGAUUUUUGUUAUACUGGUUGUUCUAUUCCGUUCUAAUUAUCUGGAUCACCUCAAGUUUGAGUAAUAAAAUAGUCGUUUAUUUAGUCGAUUGUUGCAAAAAAAGAGUUUUAGUUCCAAUUUAUUUAUUUAAAAUUAAACAAAAAAAACAAAGAAAAAGUCAGAAUUUGAUUUUAUUCAUCAUUUAGUUAGGAUUUGACAAGCUUGGAUAGUGUUAUUUUAGAAAGAAGAAAGAUUCAGAGGUUCGUAAGAUAUUGUCGAUUAUAAGGGAUGUUCUCGUUAAAUCCUUCUGAAGUAAGAUUUCCGAAUAAUUCUUGUUUUUGAGGAAUUGUUUUGUUAGAUUAAAGUUAUAUGAAGCUUAUUCUCAUGUAUAGUUGUUUAAAUUGUUGUUCUCACACUUCUAUCUUUCACAGAGAGGAAUGAGAUUAGCUUCCUUUUAUCUUUUUGCUUUGUGAAAUCGGUUCGAUCUAUAGAUCAAAUUAUCUUUUCCGUUUUUCGCGUUGGCGAUAUGUUUUCGCUCGGCGAUUUUUGGUGUGCUUUUCAAUCUGAAUCGGUGUUGUUCUUCAUUCUCUAUGAAAUCUCCGAUUCAAUUGAAGUUAAUAAUCUCCGAUCUCGAAGUUUUCCUCUCUUUGCGUGAUCUUCAUCUUCAAACCGGAGGCUAUAAAGUUUACAACUUGCUUGAUUAUGCUGGAUUUUACUCGUUAAAGAGGAUAAAUCUUCACUUGCCGAUGAAUAAAAUCGGGGAAAAGUGUAAGUUCCUAUUUAGAGUGAAUCGAGAUGUUGGAGAUUGAAGGGGGUUCUAGAUCAGAAAAGAAGAAUUGGGGUCUUCUUCGAAGACGUCUCAAAAUAUUUCUGCUCUCUCGUGCCUCCAUCAGAUCUUGGGUUCAUCAGUCUUGCAAAGUUUGGAAUCCUAUGGCACUUCGGUGACAUUAAUAAACGAGUGAAGAAGGGAUUCAAGUGCAAGGUCUAUCUUGUGUUGGAUUGGAAAGAGUCUCUGGAGAUGAUGUUCGGAGGAGGUGGCCGGAGUUCUCUCGGCGGCGGAGGUUCCACGAAGCGGUUCACUUUUUUCAGAAGAUGCCAUGUAGCUUUAGACUUUUCUAAUCCUUACACGUAUGUUUAAAUCAGUCUAUUGUAUCUUACGUGUAUGGACUGAAUGAUUUUGUACUUAUCCCUUAUACUAGCCCAAUGGGCUUUAAUGAAAAUCAGUUGACAAAAAAAAUAAAAUAAGGCUCACGUGUACAAAUUUUAGUGUUUGACCAAUUCUGAUCCCAAAAAUAAGACUUAACUAACCAGUAGAACCUUGUAGUUACUGUAUAAAUCACACUUCAUGUAGCUUAUAAUUUUUAAAUUAAUGGAAUCUUUACAUUCCUGAUUUCAUGGACAGCUGAAACCUUUGAUAUCCGACAAUACAGAGUUGCUAUUGAAGCAAUUACUAUAUUUGUGAAAUACGAUUAUAGUUUUAAAUAAAAUAGUCGGUUGUAACUUUAUCACUUCGAAUUUCAACAAUAAAAUAAUCGUUUGUUGCAAAAAAAAAACUGUAAUAGCUUUAGUUCCAAUUUCGUCAUUUAAAAUUAAACAAAAAAACAAAGAAAAAGUCAAAAAAAAAAAUUCCUUGAGAAAGAUAAAUUUUUUUUUUAUUCAUCAUUUAGUUAGGAAUUUGAUAAGCUUGGAUAAUGUUAUUUCAGAAAGAAGAAGGAUUCAGAGGUUUGUAAGAUAUUGUCGAUUUGAAAUGGUGUUCUCGUUUAAAUCCUUUUUAAGUAAGAUUUCCGUAUAAUUCUUGUUUGUGAGGAAUUUUUUGUAAGAUUAGAGUUAUAGGAAGCUUAUUUUCAUGUAUCAUCGUUUAAACUGAAGCGGCAUAUAAAUAAUUUUGAUCUCAACAUUUAGGGCUCCGUUUCGUGUACGAAUUUUAGUGUUGGACCAGUUUGGAUCCCAACAGUAAGGCUUAACUAACCAAUAUAACGUUGGAGUUACUAAAUAAAUCACCCUUCAUGUGGCUUAAAAUCUUUAAAUUAAUGGAAUCUGAACACUCCUGACUCAUAUGGACAGCUUAACCUUUGAUAUCCGACAAUACAGAGUUGCUAUUGAAGCAAUUACUAUAUUUGUGAAUGUCUUUAUUCUUAGGGACAAUAUAAAUUUGGUGACAUUGUAGCUGGAGCCACGCUUGAGAAAAUAUUCAUAUUGUUGUAAUAUCCAAUAUUUCAAAAUAAAAUAAACAAAUAAAAAAUAUGAAAUCUCUAUUUACUACUCUUCAAAUGUAAACUCGAAAGUCAUAAAUCUAAUAAAUAAACAUAAAUACAAUAAAAGAGAUAAAUCCUGAAAUAUCGAUAAAAGUAAAGAAACCGCAAGUCUGAAAAAGAAAUAAAGAAAACGUCCAAAGCACCAAUCCGAUAGCAAUCACUGCUGCUCGUCAGUCUCAGCUGAAAUGGGAAAGAAGGAGGAGUGAGUAACAGAGGAGUUACUCCGUGAGGUAUGAGAUGCUAAACCACAAACCACUGACUCAGUAAAUAGAACUCCCAUUAUGGAAGUUUAGCUCUAUGAUAUCACUCAAAUUACCCUAAAGAGUGUUACUCUCCUCAAAAGAGGUCGAGUUAUAGUACUUAGGGAUCAAAUCCACAAGGAGCUAGGGAACCGAUUAGAUCUAAUAGUUAUAUGAUUAAGCUAGGCUAAUAGGUUUUAAAGCAGUAAAUAAAGUAAGUAAUAAAUAAAGCAAUAAACAAGAUGAACAAGGUAAUUGUUCAGCUUGGCAAGGAGUAGUUCGAUGGAAAGAUGGUUGCUAGAUCUAGGGUUUCUAUUCAGGUGUUGAAGAUUAUAAUUCCUAUAGGUACCUAUUUGUUGCAUGCAUGAUAUGUUAGAGCUCAUUCGCUUAACUCAGUGAUCAGCUGUCGCAUGUAUCACUGGUUAACAAGCUAGAUAUCGUGUCCCAACGGUUAGUAUGUCGACAACGAGAGAGUGUCGAUCGAUGGUCUAUUAAGACGUCGACCGAUACACAUUUGCCAACAUCGAUCGAUAGUCAGUUGAGGACAUCGAUCGACGGGUUCUAACCAGGCCUAUGCGCGAGUACGGAAUGUCCUAUUAAGAUACUAAAUUGGCGGUUAGCCCUCUCUAGCAGUCCUAAUAUGAUAGAUAGAUGUCAGGAUGGGAUAACAAGGGUGCUUGAGUAUGCAAUCCUAUGAUCAAGUUCUAGUUAAUUACUCUAAAACAAACAAUGAAUACAAAUCUACCAUGAAUAUCACAACAAUGCAGAUCUAUAGUUUGGGGCUAAUCCCACAAACCUAUCUGAACCCUAAACCUAACAGGUGGAUCUAUUCUGACAUGAAGUUAGUCACAGAAAUCAUAGAUGAAUAGAUAUAAAACUGAAAUGAAACAAAUCAACAAAACCAAUGGAGUUCCAGGAGGACUCUGAUAGGAGUUCCUCCCUUCUCUCCUAUAAGAGAAACAAUGGAAAUGAAAGUGUGUAAAAAGCGUAGCCGUCAACAAUGGCUUAGAAAUGACAUAAUUAGGGUUUCUGGUCGUCAAAGGGUAUUCUGGUAAUUUGUGGCUUCUAGGGAUUCACGCAGUCAUAAAAUAUACAAGGCCCACGAUCUGGGAUCUCCUUCGAUCGACGUAGAGAGUGCUGCAUCGACGCGGCUUCCUCUUCUCGGUAGCUUCCUCUCGCGAGGCAGACUGACCACUCUUCAGUAAAACGGGCAUAACUUCUGCUACAAGAUGCUGAUUGACCUGAGACCGGUGGCAUUGGAAAGCUAACUCAAAGCUAUAUCUUAUGUCAAAAUAUGGGUUCAAUCUAACGGUCGUAAGGUCUCCAUACAUAGAUAAACAUCUGACGCGUCUGUGCAACUCUACACCUCCAAAGGCUCCAAAAGACUCCAAAAUCACCAUAUUUCUCCUAAACGUCCCUGAACCUGUAAAUACUAUAAAUAGACUCCAAAAAAUAAUAAUUUUAUCUUAGAACACUUUAAAACACUUAUAAACCAUGAUUAAAAAUGGGUAAAAUAUAUGGUCUAUCAACUCCCCCAGACUUACCUUUUUGCUUGUCCUCAAGCAAAACAGACGGGCAGUCUCUCUGAAAGAGGUUUUGAAAACAGCAGGGACUCACAUGAUUUAAAACUUAGAAUCAUCACCUCUACAAUAUUGCAAUCAAUAUCUAAGAAGUCCUAAUCACAGAAGCACAUUAUACAAUAUCAUAGCUUAGCAACCAAAUUCACCUAGCCAACAUCUUAGCAAAUCAUGUCUGACAUUCCCCUCUACCAACCUCAUUUCUUAACAUAAAUAAAUGUGUAUGCUUUACCUUGGGAGUAUCGAUCACAAGACACAUGGACUCUUACCCCAACAGGUAUCUGAGUAAACAGGUAGUCUUGUUCUGGUUUCUUUUACUCUAUAUCUCCUUUCUCUGAAUCCUUUUUAUCUCAAUUCCAAUGAAAAAAGAUGCUGAUGCACUCCAUCUUAUUCACCUUCUUUUCGAUUUUUUUUAUUAUUAUUAUUAUUUUUGUUUUUUUUUCUUUUUCUUUUCUUGACAAAGUGUAGGCGAAUAGUGGGGUCAUCGGUAAUGUACCUACCCCUCGCUUCCAACAAUGUGUGAUCAUUCUAUUAGAGUAGAAUAAUGAGGUCAUCGGUAAUGUACCUACCUCUAAACCACAAGAAAUCAUCUCAAUCUUUUAUUUUAUUUUUAUUAGGAUGCCAAAGGGAGGAGAUAAAGAAACCAAAAUCACUCAGACUUUUACCUUUCAGACCUGAAGGAGGAAUCCGAUCCAGUGUAUACCAAGCCCCAAGACAAGCAGUUAAGUCAAAUUAGGUUGGAGGUGAGCUUCGGUUCCUUCAAACAAUCUCAGCAAGUGUGAACAUAAUUGACAGGUUGAUCCACUUUAGUAUCUUUAGUACUAUCUGUAAUCAGUAAGUCUAGAAUGGUGCUAAAGAGUGGUUAGAUAACAAGCAUGAAUCUAAUAAGUUCAUUAUCCCCUUCUUGACUCAAUAAAAACAGUUGUUGAAAAUAUUUUAAAUAAGACUCAUAAAGAUAGAUAAACGUUAGUAAUCCCCCAAGACUUAAAUUACACUGUCCCCAGUGUAACACAGUCGGUGGUAAAGUGAAAAUCAUAAAGCAUAAGUACAAAAUUUAACAAGUAAGAACGAUAACCUGGUCAGUAUCGAUCGAUACAAUGAAGUGACAAUCGAUUGUUGUUGAUGAAGUGUUGUCGAUCGAUAUCGAGAUGGUCUCAUCGGUCGAUGAUUUGAGCAAUCGUCUACUUGGAUCUGUCUUUUUUGUCUCUUUUUUUUUUUAACUAACUAAAACACAAUAUUAGUAGAACCUCUCCCAGACUUAGAUAACACUAUAAUGGUGUUAUCCAGUCGGAGAUUGGUGUAAAUAAAUCAUAAGUACUCAAUUUAACAAGUUAGAACGAUAUACCUGACCAGAAUGGAUGUCGAUCGAUGUAAACGUGUUGUCAUCGGUCGUGGCAGAUGUAGCAAUGUCGAUCGAUAUCGACUUGUUCUCGUCGGUCGAUAUCAUGGCAAUCGUUUACUUGGGUGCCUAUUCUAAACAUCUAACUAAAACCUAAUAUUAAUAUAACCUCCCCCAGACUUAAAUAACAUUGUGACCAAUGUUAUUCAGCCUAAGAUCGGUGGGAGAAUAAAUCAUAAGGACAAUAUUUAACAAGGAAGAACAAUAUACCUAACUUUGAUGUGAAUAUUGACCAACACAGUUAAGUGGCGAUCGAUACUCUUGAUGCUCUGUCGAUCGAUGCUAGCUAGCCAUCGUCGAUUUCUAUGGAAACUCGUCUUCCUCGGAUCUUUUCCUUGUACCUAACAUAAAUAAAACACUAACAGUCUAAAAGUUAGUAAUAUAUAACUAAUAAAACCAAUUAAAUAAUAAUAAUUUUUUUUUACCUGAAAUCAUUAGAACACAAGAAAAAUCAGUAAUAAAUGAAAAUUAAAUUAUAUUUAAAACAAACCUAACAGUGGGUUGCCUCGCACUCAGCGCUUAUUUUUAGUCAUUAGCUUGACUUCUGGAGAUCUGAUUAAGUCCGCAUAAGAAUGAGAACUUGCUCCAAAUCAAGUCUCAAUGUCUACUCUUUGAAGCUUUAUCAUUCUUGUGUGAAAGCCUCCUCCAUAUACCCUUCUCCUUUGUCUAUCAUUUCAGCAAUAAGGAGUGCUUUAAGUUUUGCAUAUGGAUGUGAAAAGCAUUUGCUGCGCACUCUUGAUUUUCUGAUACUAUCUGAGAAGUAAGGAGUCAAUGGUAAUUGAGAACCUCCUUUGGUUCGUUUCCGCUUCUUCCAAUUUCUCCCAUUCUUUCGCACAGACUUGUGUAAUCUCACUCUGGAAUUCCUGGUAUCAUCUGAGAAGUGAGGAAUAAAUGAUAUCUGAGAACAUUCAUUGAUUUUUUUUUCUUCUUCCAGUUCCUCCACUUCGUUCCCCCAGACUUGUCUGAAUGCGUGGUGGUAUCUCCAUAAAAAAUAUUUCCACACAAUUCAUGCUCAUUCUGCUCUGAUUCGCGUCUGGUGUCGAUCGAUGGUAUCUGAUCGGUAUCGAUCGAUGAUGAAGUGUUAGUGUCGAUCAAUUUUGUUUUGUUGAUGUUGCACGAUGGCACUUAUGCUGGGUAGUUAUCUUCUUCAUCUCUAAAUCGCAGCCCUCUCUGAUAAGCUUCUACAUGAUGUUGAUCAUUCAAUACCUCAAUGUAAGAACUCAGAUACACACCUUUAUCUGGUGGGAUAGGAGAUUCAACUUCAAACACUGCACAUGGAACCAUAAUCUUCACAGGAUCAUGUAUCCUCUUCACUCUUUUGCAAAUCCCAACAGCUUCUUCUGCGCAUAUAGGUGGUCUUAGAUGUUCAGGGACAGCAAGGUGUGAGGUCUUAGACAUGUGCAUUAUCUCCUCAAUCGGUCCUUGUUCAAUUGGGUAUCCUGAUAGUUCAUCCAAACAUGAGUGUCGAUCGAUAUUAUCAUGGAGUUGUCGAUCGAUGCAAUCGGGUAGGUGUAGAUCGAUGAUAUCUGUUGCAUGUGGAUCGAUGAUGUAGGGUGGGUGUACAGCCAUGAUGUUAGGUGGGUGUCGAUCGAUCUCAUCAGGUUUAUGUCGGUCGAUGUCAUCAGCUUUUAAGGAAUUUUCCAGACCUCUUUCCGAAGUGUGCUGAUCAUCAAACUUCUGCUUCGGGUUCUGGUCUAAAUUCUCAAGCCAUUCCUCCAGCUCCAAAAAGUCUUCCAUAGUUUCUUCUUCACUCGAAUCCAAAUCUCCAAGCUGUUGUCCAUCCUCUAACUCCAAGAAUUCUUCUAGUUCCAAGAAAUCUUCCAUGGUGAUUUCUUUUUUUACUUUUUGGUCAGGAUAACAACUUGAUACAUCGAUGCUCUUCAGUGUCGAGUCUGCAAUGUCCUGAGGACAACUCGAUUUUUCACAGAUUUCGAGUGGUAUCGAUCGACAACAGGAGUUUGUGUCGAUCGAUGUUUAAAGGCUGGGGUCGAUCGAUGUUACGGUUGGGAUGUCGAUCGAUGUUGAGGUCGGAGUGUCGAUCGGUUCUGAGCUCAUGUCACUAAUAUCGACUUCUUCUAUUCUGCUCAGCUCUCCAGACACAUGUUGUUCAUCAUCUUCCACCAUAUAUUCCAUCAUAGAUCUCAUCUCAAUCUCUAGACUUGCUGUAGCAUCAUAGAGAAACUUGUUGACGAAAGCGUUUGCAAUGUCAUUCCAAGCAUUGAGAGAUCCCGGUGGUAGCUUCUUCAACCAAUGAUCUGCAUCCCCUGCAAGAGAGUAUGGAAAUAGUUUGCAGAAGUAGUAGUCUUCACAGACUCCAUUGCAUUUAAUGGUUGAUGCUAGAUCUUUGAAUGAUUCGAGGUGGUUAAUGGGAUCUUCAUGAGGAAGACCAUGAAAGGGAUGCUUACCCACAAGAGAGAUAUAUGCAGGGUUUAACUCCAGGACAGUAUUCUGAAGUGCUGAACGACGCAAUGCAGAUCUUUUAGCAUAGGCGUCCUCAGGACUAUUAUAGUCUCUAAUUACCUUAUGUCGUCCAGUCCUAACAUAAACAGUGGUAGCAUCAGGGAUUGCAGAAGGUAUCGAUCGAUGAAAAAUAUUUGUAUCGAUCAUUUCUGAAGUGUGGAUAUCGAUCAAUUCAGAGUUACUACUGUCGAUCGAUGCUGAAGUCGGAUCUUUUGUAUUAGCUCCUUCUACUUUGCUCUGCUAUCCUGAUACAUGAUAUUCAUCAUCCUUAACUGUAUCAUGGUUGUGGGAACCGAAAUUCACACUGUCGAUUUCCGUUUAAAUAAAGAAACUAGGAAAACCCUAAUUUCCCAGAGGACCCGGAUAUCUGUUAAUUACCACACGUCAAGCAAUCAGAACACGAGAAUAACAACGAUAAAGAUAAGAAAUCGAAAAGAGAGCAAAGUAGAUCUUAUUCCGAAUCUGCGUAUGAGCGUUACAACAAGGUAUAAGCCUGGGCUCGAGAGCUGUCGGCGAGAUUCCUAGUUCUAGCAACCCUAAGACGGCUAAACCUAAUUGAGUCGCAGCUCGAAAUAACAAAAACGGAAAAUUGCCUAAAUUGCUAUAAGUGCUAAGUUUGCUCUGAAAAAUUUCUCUCACUUGCUCCUCGCCUAGGACUCCUUAUAUACUAGCUCCAAGGUCGGUUUACGCUUUUACUCUUCUGCCCUUAAGCCGUCAUAGCAUAAAAAUGGGGAUAUUCUAUUUUUCCCGAUCUUCACAAUUAUCUUCAAAACUUCCGUAUUUAUCCGCGGAAACUUGACAUUUAUCCUUCCUCGUGGGCCAAGCGUGAACCAUGCUGUGGUUUACGGGCUUUUGGUUAGGAAAAUCGUAGGAUGGGCCUCGAGUCGUGUUUUAGGUCCCUUUGGGCCGUCUUCCGACUCGACAUGUUUAAUACGAGUUUUCCGCGGUUUCUAAUCCGCGAAGUUUGAUCGACGAAUUAGAAUAGCGGGAAACAUGGACUGAGUUUGCUACGGUCUUCGGGAGAUAGCAUUCGAAGGUUUGACGAGAAUGCAAGGACUGGAGUCGUAUCGAUGUUUAGAAAGGUUCAAUCGCUACACAGCGACCGAACUUUGGCUCGAGCCCGGUCGCUACGUAGCGACCGAGCGAGACGAGUGCUCGGUCGCUACGUAGCGACCGAGCUUUGGCUUGAGCUCGGUCGCUACGUAGCGACCGAGCGGGAUGAUCGCUCGGUCGCUACGUAGCGACCGAGCUUGGCUGAGCUCGGUCGCUACGUAGUGACCGAGCUUUGGCUCUAGCUCGGUUGCUACGUAGCGACCCAGCGGGACGAUCGCUCGGUCGCUACGUAGCGACUCGCUACGUAGCGACCGAGCUUUGGCUCGAGCUUGGUUGCUACGUAGCGACCGAGCGAGACGAUCGCUCGGUCGCUACGUAGCGACCGAGCGGGACGAUCGCUCGGUCGCUACGUAACGACCAAGCUUUGGCUCGAGCUCGGUUGCUACGUUGCGACCGAGCGGGACGAGCACUCGGUCGCUGCAUAGCGACCGAGCUUGGCUCGGGUUUGGUUGCUGGAUAGCGACCUGACGGCGUGUAUGCGUGGUGACCGAGCUUGGUCUGUUCGGAUUGAAUCCCAAAGGAUACUUCUUCGUAAAAACUUCGUAUUGGUAAUUUUUACGAAAAUUACAUCUCUUCUUUUACUAUCUCUUUCGGAAAUACGAUCUCCGAAGAUUUUUGGGUGAUAAUUCCGUCGUAACCGUUUUUGACCCCAACAGUUAGCCCCCCAGCCCGUUAGGAUCAUGCAUCGUAGGAUCCUAGCGUGCGGUUAGGCAUGUUUGGCAAGUUAGGCGUGAUGGAUGGAAUUAAUAUCCGAAGGUCCGAGCUUGAAUAGUAAAUCCUCAUGUCUUAUAAGAAGGGAGGUAACUUGUUCCAUAAUUUUUCACUUUCUUGUCUUUCUCUAAGAUCUUUCUUAAAAAAAAAACUUUCUAUCUUUCUCUCCACCCUUUUCCUCUACUCUCUCAAGAGAAGUGUAAAGAUGUCGAGCAAGAAAAAGAUUGCAAAAAAAGGGUCUUCGUCCGCGAGUCCUCAUGAAGAGCUCAUCGUUCCGAAGAUGGAGUUCGUGCCUCACUCGGUGCAUCUUGCCGAGAACGAGGCAUGGUGGGUUGCUCAUUAUGGCUCGUUGACCCCUCCCAAGGAGAAGCCGUUCCCGGUCCUGGUCCAUCGUGGUGUCGAGGAAGAGGUUGCAAGCAGGACUACUGACGAGUUUCUCGCGACGAUGUGAUCGUUCUACCACAUCCCGGAUGCUGUGUAGUUCCGGAUUCCCCGCCGCGGGGAAUGUGCUAACAGCCCCCCCGGAGGGUUACUUUACUUGCUAUGAGGCGUUCGUAGUGCGUUGUCGCCUAUGGUUCCCCAUACCCGAAAUUCUCGUCCGAGUGUUGGACCGUUUCGAAGUUGCGAUGAGUCAGUUGACACCCCUUGCCAUUCAGCAUCUUAUUGGGAUCCUGAUCCUAAGCUAUGAGCAUGGCCUUUCCCUUUCCGUUGAUCAUUAUGAAGCGCUUUUGAGGCUUCAACUUGUCAGGGGUACGGAUAAGCAUCGGUUGGUCCCUCGGAAAUUUAUGUCAAUGGUUAAGAAGUUUAUUUCGAAUUUCAACCCGUGGAAGAAGUUCCUUUUCUUUGUUCGUAUAGACGCUGCAUCCGUCGAAGAGAGUUGCAUUCCACUGUUCCGGAGGUUGCCAAAUGAUCGUCCCUCCAUCAACCCUUUUGCUCCGUUCCCCGAGGACAUCAUUUCGGUGAGGGAUCUUCUUAGGAAUGGUCCCUUCUUCUGGACUUCUUUUACGCCGAAGAGGGUUCGGAAGGCACUGAGAUUCGUGCAACCCGGUCCCGCUUUGGAUGCGGACACGGGAAGCGACUCCGAACCCGACGACCAGAAUCCCGUCGAAGCUCCAACAGCUGUGCCGGAGUCGAGCUCUUGGAAGGGAAAAGAUGUCGAUCUUGGCGACAUAGAGUUUUCGAUGGAUGACUCUAUGCUUCCAGGAUGGGAUCCGAACCUUGCUUACGGCGACGGGAGCGGUUCGAGCGAGGCCCCUAUUCCGGAUUUCGAUGAUUUCUUUGCUGGGCUGCCAUCGGGUUUUGAUGCUCCUCCUCCUAUGAAAGAAUCGGCGAGGCCGAGAUUCGUUGCGGAAGGAUCUCGCAUCAGCAAUGGGGUUAGUUUUUUGAGAAUUUUUUGGUGAUUGUCCUAUGUAUAUAUUUAUAACAUGCCAAUCGAUUUUGCAGGGCCUGAGCUUGCUGGGCUCGGCCAUUGAGGCGGGCCAUAGAGAAGCCAUGGUCUACCGCUUCAAAGCGGAGCGGGAUCUCGCUCGCGUGCAAUGCGAGAUGCUGGAGCGAGAGGCGCAACUUACUCGUGAUCAUGCGCGGACUGUUCGUAAAGCGGAGAGGAAAGGCAAAAGAGAAAUCGUCGAGGUGAUGAAGACUCGUGCAUCUCAAUUCCAGGUUGAGUAUGGGAACCUCAAGAAUGCCUUUACCUCGGUGGGUGAUUUUCGCGAGUGCCGCGGUUCGGUCGGAAGUCUUUGGAGGACGCGAGCCGAUGACUAUGUGUUUGAAGAAGAGAUGAGCUUGAUGAAGAGUGGGAUGAGUGAUCGUGCCCAUGCUGAGGCGCUUAUCCCUCCGAUCGAUGAGAAGAUUCAAGGGUUCUGGGAUUCCAUCCCGGUUUCCCCUGAUACCGAGGAGGUUCCGACCGGGUUUCCCGAUGGUGGCGAGGAAGUGGAUCGUCCCGCGGAUGCGUUCGGCGCUUCGUUGUCCGGGGACUUUGACUUUCGAUUAUGAGGGGCGAAUUAGUUAUCCUUUUAUCUGUUUUCGGCCAAGUGUGGCCCUUUGAAUUUGGAUUUUGUUUAGGCCUAGAUGGCCGUAUUUGUAUUUAUCGGGACUGACCGUUGGUGGCUUUGAAUCCCUUGCCGCUUUACGCGGUUUAUUUAUAUGAUAAAUGUUUCGUUUCGAGUUUUCCUGAGUAGGGUUGAAGUAAAUACGAGUUGUCGUCUCGUAUUUAGUUCUGAUUAGACGUUCAAUCUGUUGGUUCGUUCGUGAUUUUCGUAAAAAUUUACUUAUCUUUACGAUUUUCGAGAACAUUGAGAUAUGAAUGGAGAGACAUGGUUUAGGAUCUCGUAUCUUUUAGAUAUCAUGCCUUGAGAUGUUUGAGACCAGAGCGUUGGGUUUAGGGCAAGACCCCACCAAUGGUUGACCAGCUUUUCCCUGUUCAAGUCGUCCUUCUGCUUACUCUCAUCUGCAUGGUGAACCUGAAUGUCUGGCUGCCUGACAUGAGUUGUCGGUGUUCCAAUAUCUCCAUUCUCCUCGCUGUAGACGAAGUAAAGAAUUUGACUCAUACUAAUCAUUAUUCCUUUCUCCCGAUCUUUAAUCAUCUUGUCAAGCCUUUUACUUCGAGUUGCUACAGCCUCGCUGAAAAAUUUGCCUAUGAAGGCUUCUUUGAUGUCUUCCCAGCAGGUUAGAGAUCUUGGUUGCAGCUUACUGAACCAGCUAAAAGCAUCUCUAGAUAAACAAUAGGGGAAGAUCUUGCAGAUAAAGUGGUCUGCAGAUAUUUCAUCGUGCUUGUUUGCUGAGGCUAACUUCUCAAGUCUCUUGAUAAGAUCUUUGGGAUCCUCAUGAGGAAGACCGUAAAAUGGAUCCUCACUUCUCCAAUCAUACCAUUGACUUGUCAGAUUAAAGGUAUUCGUCUCAGCCACAUCAAUUACAUCAGGGAUUACACUACCUUCUGCAUUAAUCAAUUGUCAUGUGAGGCUGCAAGGAUGACCUUCUUCGUCUCGCCAAAUACCCCUCUUGUCGAUCUUAAGUAUGAGCGCUUCGACCUUCUCUGUCUCUCCGUAAGUGGUGUUCGUAAUUGGAGGAACGGUGCCGUGAUGAAUAGUGUUUCGAUGAACAGUGUUCGAAUGAACAGUGUCGCGAUGAACAGUGUUCGACCGACACAGGAUGAAUAGUGUCGACCGACACGGGAUGAACAAUAUCGAUCGACGGGAUCUGAAUAGUAUCGACCGACAUGGGAUGAACAGUGUCGAUCGACGGGAGAUAAAUAGUGUCGCGAUGAAUAGUAUCGCGAUGAACAGUACUAGGAUGAAUGGUAUUAUGAUGAACAGUACCUGGAUGAACAGUACAUGUAUGAAUAGUACAUCGGUAAAUAGUAUUGCGGUGAACAGUACCCGGAUGAACAGUAACAUGAUGAACAGUACCCGGAUAAAUAGUGUUUUCCGACACGAGAUGAAUAGUGUCGUUCGAUGCUUGGUCACGCUAUCGAUCGAUGCUGCUUGGAGGGUGUCGAUCGAUACUUCCCUCUUAAGCUUCCGGAUCGUGCAUAAACCAGCAGGCUCCUUCCUUGAAGGACCUAGAAAUCCUCUCUUCAUUGUUUUCUGGUACUAAGAGUUAUGUACCUGAAAUAGAAGAAAAAAAUUUAUGAGUUUUUCGAACAGUAACAAAACCUAGAUUAAAUCUAACUAAACAAGAUCUAAUGGCGAUCAAAGUUCCCCGGCAACGGUGCCAAAUUUGAUAUCACUCAAAUUACCCUAAAGAGUGGUAGUCUCAUCAAAAGAGGUCGAGUUAUAGUACUUAGGGAUCGAAUCCACAAGGAGCUAGGGAACCGAUUAGAUCUAAUAGUUAUAUGAUUAAGCUAGGCUAAUAGGUUUUAAAGCAGUAAAUAAAGCAAGUAAUAAAUAAAGCAAUAAACAAGAUGAACAAAGUAAUUGUUCAGCUUGGCAAGGAGUAGUUCGAUGGAAAGAUGGUUGCUAGAUCUAGGGUUUCUAUUCAGGUGUUGGAGAUUAUAAUUCCUAUAGGUACCUAUUUGUUGCAUGCAUGAUAUGUUAGAGCUCAUUCGCUUAACUCAGUGAUCAGCUGUCGCAUGUAUCACUGGUUAACAAGAUAGAUAUCGUGUCCCAACGGUUAGUAUGCCGACAACGAGAGAGUGUCGAUCAAUGGUCUAUUAAGACAUCGACCGAUACACAUUUGCCAACGUCGAUCGAUAGUCAGUUGAGGACAUCGAUCGACGGGUUCUAGCCAGGCCUAUGCACGAGUAUGAAAUGUCCUAUUAAGAUACUAAAUUGGCGGUUAGCCCUCUCUAACAGUCCUAAUAUGAUAGAUAGAUGUCAGGAUGGGAUAACAAGGGUGCUUGAGUAUGCAAUCCUAUGAUCAAGUUCUAGUUAAUUACUCUAAAACAAGCAAUGAAUACAAAUCUAUCAUGAAUAUCACAACAAGGCAGAUCUAUAGUUUGGGGCUAAUCCCACAAACCUAUCUGAACCCUAAACCUAACAGGUGGAUCUAUUCUGACAUGAAGUUAGUCACAGAAAUCAUAGAUGAAUAGAUAUAAAACUGAAAUAAAACAGAUCAACAAAACCAAUGGAGUUCCAGGAAGACUCUGAUAGGAGUUCCUCCCUUCUCUCCUCUAAGAGAAACAAUGGAAAUGAAAGUGUGUAAAAAGCGUAGCCGUCAACAAUGGCUUAGAAAUGACAUAAAUAGGGUUUCUGGUCGUCCAAAGGCAUUCUGGUAAUUUGUGGCUUCUAGGGCUUCACGCAGUCAUAAAAUAUACAAAGCCCACGAUCUGGGAUCUCCAUCGAUCGACGUGCAGAGUGCUGCAUCGAUCGAUGCGGCUUUCUCUUCUCGGUAGCUUCCUCUCGCGAGGCAGACUGACCACUCUUCAGUAAAACGGGAAUAACGUCUGCUACAAGAUGCUGAUUGACCUGAGACCGGUGGCAUUGGAAAGCUAACUCAAAGCUCUAUCUUGUGUCAAAAUAUGGGCUCAAUCUAACGGUCGUAAGGUCUCCAUCCAUAGAUAAACAUCUGACGCGUCUGUGCAACUCUACACCUCCAAAGGCUCCAAAAGACUCCAAAAUCAACAUAUUUCUCCUAAACGUCUCUGAACCUGUAAAUACUAUAAAUAGACUCCAAAACAUAAUAAUUGUAUCUUAAAACACUUUAAAACACUUAUAGACCAUGAUUAAAAAUGGGUAAAAUAUAUGGUCUAUCACUCUAACAUGAACAAAAACGAUGACUAUCACAUCACACAAAACAAAAAAUGCGCUGAUGGUACAUAGCUAGUCCAUACACCCCGCAUUCUCUUCAUACAGAUAUACGAUAAAUAUAAUAUGCGUCGCUAGUCCAGACAUCUCUGGACCCCCGCACUCCACCACUAUGUGUCGAUAUGCAAACGUCUCUGCACCCCGCACCACACAAUAUACGUCGCUAGCUCAGACGUCUCUGAGCCUCCGUACUCAUUCAAUAUGCGUCGCAGCUCAGAUUUCUCUGUGCCCUCGCACUCUAUACGUCGCUAGCUCAUAUUUCUCUGGCCCCGUACUCAUAUGUGUCCCUAGCCCAGAUCUCUCUGGGCCCCUGCACUCAUCACAUAGUCCAUACUAUAUAUAUAUAUAUAUAUAUAUAUUUUUUUUUUUUUUUGACGUCAAAAGGCUAUUCUAUUACUCAAACUUGAGGUGGCCUGGGUAACCAGACCGGAAUAGAACAACCAACAAAGUGUAACUCUCUACGGAAAGAUCUAGCAGUCUUAGCUAAAAAAUCUGCAGUCUGAUUAUGCGCUCGUGGAACGUAAGUGAUGUCGAAGUCCGGGAAGCAGAUUUGUAGCGUCUCUAUUCUCUCCAAUUCCGUCGCAAAGCUUGGCCACGCCUGGGGAUCCUUAACCAUAGCAAUCAGUUCCUUACAGUCUGUCCCAAAGCUCUGGCAGGUCGAGUGCUGCAGCAUAUUCUCCAUCGCCCACCGCAGUGCUUCUACCUCCGAAUGCAAGGCUGAUUCCCGUCGAGUGAUGUUUUUUGUCCCCAUAAGCUGAAUAUUCCCAAAGUUAUCUAUCCAUGUCCAUCCACAUCCACUGAAGUUAGCUGAGAGAGUCCAAGAUCCAUCUAAUAGACAAAUAUUUCCCAAACAUACGGCUUGGGGUUCCUCAUUCAUGGUGUCCUGUGUCGCAACUUGUACCACUUCAUUAGCCUCAAACCAUGCCUGGCAUUCACUCUCAGCAUGUCUUACCAGUUCCAGAGGAUCUCUAUCUAUUCCUCUGAAGAGUUUUUCAUUCCUAGCCUUCCAAAUGGACCAUAUUAUCCAGGGAUAAGGAUCCCUAUCUUGCUCUGGCUCCAUGAUACUAUUUUUCCUCCAGAACAGAUAAUCCAUGUUUGUGUAGACGCUCGAUACCGGAAAAAUAUUUGGGCACGUCGGAGUUGAAGAUAAAGACCAUACUUGACGGGCUGGUGGGCAUUCGAAGAUUGCAUGUGUGACAGUCUCCUCUGCUUCUCCACAUCUUGGGCAAUAGUUGUCGCACCUCAUAUUACGUCUAACUAAAUUCCUCGUUACUGCCACAUGACCAGUCAACAACUGCCAUAUAAGAUGACAUAUCUUCGUAGGGGCCUUCAAUUUCCACGCAAAGCCCUGCAGCUUCGUAAUACUUGGCUCCAAAACUUCCUUCUCCUCUGAUAACUUCAAUAAAUUCUGCGCCACCCAAUAUCCAGAUUUAACCGUGUAUUGGCCACUCCUUGUAAAGUUCCAGCAGAAAGUAUCUCGACGAUGAGUUGAGCUUAUGGCCAAACUCCUUAUAAGUGGUAUAUCCUCUGGAUGAACAUAGUUCUCCAAUAGUCCCACAUUCCAAUCCUUCAAUCCCUGGUCAAUAAGAUCGCUUACUCUCAUGUUGGGGUUCAUCACAGGGGCUAUGGGGGCCGCUGGCCUGGCGGGAUUCGAUGGAAUCCAUGGAUCCUCCCAUACUUUAACCUCAUAGCCUGAGUGUAUCUUCUGUCUAAUCCCCAGUAGCAGUAAUUUCCUUGCAGCAGAGAUGCUAGUCCACACAUAGGAUGGGCUACUAGUAGGGUUUACUCUCAAUGGAGAGCUCAAUCUAUAGUACCUUCCCCGUAAGACUCGGGCCACCAGAGAAUCAGGAAACUGUACUAAUCUCCAUAGUUGUUUAGCUAGAAGCGCUAGAUUAAACUCAUGAAUCAAUCUAAAGCCAAUUCCACCCUCUUCUCUGGAUAGGCAAACUUUCUCCCAUUUCGCCCAGUGUAUACCUCUCUUUGGUGGAUUCGAGCUCCACCAGAACUGAGCAAUAGCACUUGCCAAGCUUUCACAUGUCUCCAAUGGAAGCAGGAAAGUUGACAUGACGUAUGUCGGAAGAGCGAGCAGAAUUGAUUUAAUCAGUACUUCCUUUCCACCUUUUGAGAGCCAUCUACCCGUCCAUCCAUUCACUCUAUGCAUCAGCUUAUCUUUCAGGAAUGCAAAAAGCUUGCAUUUAGAGCCGCUUAUAUCCUCGGGGAUGCCUAAGUACGUUCCCAUUCCUCCUUCGUUCUGUAUCCCAAGGGCAUCUUUAAUCUCUUGUCUCAUAUUUGCAUUAAUCCGCUUACCAAAGAGUAAGGAGGACUUGUCAAAGUUGAUGCAUUGACCAGAUGCUUUACCAUAUCUCCUGACUACUUUCAUUACUUCUUCACAUUCACGGGGCUCCGCCUUACAGAAGAAAAGGCUAUCAUCAGCAAAGAGAAGGUGAGAUACCGACGGACACGUGCGUGUAACACGCAUCCCUGUUAUCUUCCCUUGUAUCUCUGCAUGAUUAAGAAGGCUAGCGAGCGCUUCCGUGCAUAGAAUAAAAAUGAAAGGAGACAAAGGAUCUCCUUGUCUUAGUCCUCUACCUGGAAUAAUAUUCCCUCUUGGCUCUCCAUUCAUGAGAACCUUAUAUUUCACCGAUGUAAUGCAUCGAAUGACCCAGCCUAUCCAAGUUUCUGAGAAUCCCAUUUUACGCAGGACAGCUUCAAUAAACGACCACUCCAUCCUAUCAUAUGCUUUGCUCAUAUCAGUCUUGAUGGCCAUCCUUUUAUUCCGUCCACUUGGUUUCGUUCUCAAUGCAUGGAACAUUUCCUGGGCGAUCAUAACAUUAUCCGAAAUCUGUCUCCCAGCAACAAAGGCUGACUGGGUUUCCGAUAUCAGACCUGGUAGCACUUUUUUCAACCUCUGGCAUAAGACUUUAGAGAUUAUCUUGUAGCUAACGUUGCACAGACUGAUGGGUCUGAAUUGAGACAUCGCAGUAGGCUUUGUUAUCUUCGGGAUGAGACAUAUAUUUGUGUCAUUCAGUCCGUGCGCUAUCGUCCCCUCAAAAAGAAAUUUAUUAACCAUAAGGGUUAAAUCCUCCUUUACUAUAUCCCAAAAUUUCUGGUAGAAAAGUGCAGUCAUCCCAUCGGGUCCUGGAGCUUUCUCUGGGUGCAGUCCAUACUAUAUAUAUAUGUAUAUAUAAAUAUAUAUGUAUAUAUAUGAUAUAUAUAUAUAUAUAUAUAUACCAUCACUUAACAUCAACCAAUCCAAACACCAAUUGAAUCCUCUAGACCCGUAAUUCCGGUUAACAUUGAAUAGAUGAACUACCAACAAAACUCAGACUGACUCGAUUCAAACAGACGGAUUAUGCUUCGAAAUCUAAAGUAUUAUAGAAAGAGUUCUACACUAGUACGAGAUUUAAUAGAAUAACCCUCACCUUAGCAACUGGCUGGAAAGAACAACGGAAGAUGGUCAACUAAGGUCAACUGCAACACGAGAAUCAACGACUUAGGCUAGUCUCAGGAAAUAAAGUUUCGCAAAAUGGAAACUUUCUUAAAAUAGAACAUUUCCUAAAAUAGUAACUUUUCAAAAUAGAAAGUUCCCUAAUAUAGCUUAUUUCCUAAAUUAGAAACUUUCCUACAAUAUUCCUAUAACUAGAAAUUUGGAGGCGACAAACUUACUAGAAAACCCAUUGGAAGCUCGUCCAUAAAUCCCGCGGGAAGCCGGCCCAUAAAUCCCGCCGGAAGCUCGCCCAGAAAUCUCACUGGAAGUUCACCUGGAAAUCCCACCGGAAAAAUUCACUAGUGACUGGUCGUCGGAUAAUUCAACAACAACUCGUCACGCACACAUAAAUACUUUGACUUGAUGAGAAUAAAGAGAAAAGGUGGAGUUUCUUAUAUAGAAGAAGAGAAAGAAGGUAGGUUUUCUAAACUUCCAAUGUGGGACAAAAUACAAUAAAAAGGGAGUUUUGGGUAUUAAUUAAAAAAAAACAAAUGGACCUUCCCUCAUUGGGUCACAGUCGUCACAAUUCUUCCCUACUAAUGAAGAAUUUGUCCUUGAAUUCACCGAAAGUCGAAUACCAUCAAAAGAGCUCCAAACAAUCAUUAUCAAAAACUCGUUCCCUCAUGCCUCCUGCUGGAUCCGUCUCUCAUACAAAACAACUUUGACCAACAUGGUCAUGACCCCCUGGACAUUUUCUCUUGAACCCUUGUUAGUGCUAUGACUCGUCGCUAAUCGAUACAUCUCGAUUAAUACCAAUAACUUUAAGCAUCCAUGUGCCGACAAAAGGAAUAAGAUAUCUUCAUCUUGGCUUAACUCAAUUAGGAGCCGGCUGCAGAAAUUCUGACUAUGUAAUCCUCCCAUAUCACAUAAGGUGAAAUAUCUCGCACUCGACCGUAACUGGUCUCAUACACUCUUUUUUUUUUCUUUCCAACUACACAUGAUAACCACAAAACACAAAACUACUCAAAAGAAACGAGCAUGGCAAAGAUACGUACCGGUUCUUCUUUUUUUUUUUUUUGUUAAAGGGUUUAGUUCUUCUUCUUUUUUUCUGUUAACAAAUCCUCUUAGUUAGUCAUUCAUAAUUUUUUUUUAAUCCAAAUCUAAUUCUCGUAAAUUGCUAGUCGCCAUCAAUGGCGGACCUACGUUCAAGGUAGGGGUGUCAGCUGACACUCGUUAAAUAAUAAAAAUUUCAUUUGUAAAGUAUAACGUAGUAGGAAUAGCAGCUCAGUUGGUUAAAAUUCUCUGCUCUGAACACCUGUAAUUCUAGUUCGAAACUCAACUUGCACCCUGUUUAAUUAUUUUUUGAAUCAGGCCAAAGCCCAACUUUGGUUUAGUCUUCUUAUGUUUGGAUUUUAGUUUAGUUUUUACUUUUUUUUUGGACUGAACAUAAAAUUUUAAUUUAUGUGGGCUUUUAAAAUCCAAAUAUUACCAUAUGAUGUUUUUAUUAAAAUGAUAACUUUUACAAUUGCGCUUUUUUACAUAUUAUCGCUUUAAAAAAGCUUAAAUAUAAUAUUUAAUAUACUAACAUUUUAAUAUUUUAAUUUAAUUUAUGACACCGGGAAAAAAGUUUCUAGAUCCGCCACUGUGAACAUUGAUCGAUUAUUUCUCUUCAAUGUCGACUGAUGGUCUGCUCGGAUGCUUUCUCCAAAUAUCUCCAAAAUGCUCUAAAAUCAUCACUUUCUUCCAAAUCACUCCUGAUCCUAUAAAUAUACUAAUUAGACUCUAGAAUAUAAUAAAUAGUAGUUAAAACAGUUAUAAAUCAUAGGUAAAAGUGGGUAAAAUCCAUGGCCUAUCACUCUGCUUCCUCCAAAUAUGUUGUAAGCUCCGGGUAGCACUCCGAAUCUCGUCCAUGUACCGGUAAAAGUCGUAAACUGUAUGAGCAUAAUCAGUGCCUUUAACCAAAUACAAAAGAUGUUUCCCUUUAUACUAUUGGACAGUGUUUUGUUGUAGGUGAUAAUAGCAUAUACUUCCGGUUUUCCAAGGAAGCACCUUAUCACAUGCGCUUUUAAUGGAUGUGUGCCGGUUGGAGACUAUCAUCAAAGCAUGCUGAUCAAAGACACAUAUUCUCAAUUUUUUGAAAAACCAUCCCAAGAAUGAUCAUUUUCACCAUCUACAAUUCCAAAAACCAAUGGAAAUAUCUGAAAAUUACCAUCUUGUGCAGCUACAACUAGCAUAACACCUCCAUACUUCACGCUUAGGUGAGUCCCAUCCACCACGAUGACCUUUCUCUGAUACUGAAAUCUAUCCUUAUCAUCAAGUUCUAUACUAGUGAUAAAAUCCGGAUUUGCUAACUUGAUUUGAUCCAAAUAUGAAGGCAGCCUCUCAUACCCAUCUUCUGUUGUUCCUCUUACCAAUUCUUGUGCAUAUAACAAUGCUCUGUAUGAAGUGGUGUAAUCUAGCUUCAUGCCAAACAUGUUCUUUAUUGAAUCUUGGACAUCAAUGAUUCCAACGCGAUCUAUGAAAAGCUUACCAAUAUACUUUGGAGUACAAUGUUUCUGUUGUGCCAGUCGGUCAGACACAUAACAUGUAUGAGUUUUCAAAUACUUGGUUACCAAAAACAUGUUUAUUCCAUGUUUCACACUCGCUCUAACCUUCCAUCCUCACCCCGCAACACAACAUCUUGCCAGAAGUAGAGUUUUAGUUUCCUUGAAUAUUUUGAAGGAAAUUUUCCGCUUCACCGAUGACAACUGCAGCUCUAAAACCAGUGCAUCUAUACUAACAAAACUUUGGUUGACAUAGAUAUUGUCGGAAAAUAUCCCAUUCGAGCUUCCUCCUUCACUAGCAUAUGUCUAUUUGAAACCCUCAAAACAAAUAUCAUCUGCCUCUUCAUCAUCUUCAUCCUCAUCUUUAACUUUGCCAUACACACUGUAAUCUGCAAACUCAUCAUCUACUUCAGCAGUAUCUGAGAAAUUAGCAUCCUCCUUCCCUUCAUUUUUAACUUCAUUAACAUCUUCAUAAUCUUCUUCUUCUUCCUCUUCAUCUGAAAAUUUAUCAACAUCUUCACCAUCUUGGUUUCCAUCAAUGUUUGCAUCACCAACAAUCCUCGUUCUGCCUCGGCUUGAUACACAAAGACGUACAACAUGCGUUGUACUUAUCUCGAUCAAGUUCCGAACUUGUCUAUCAUUUGUAACAUGAAUAGGAGGAGUAUGAGGAGCAUUUAUUGCAUCAUUUCGUCUGGUAACAAGUAAGUUAAAUCCAUAACCUCUUUAUUCAUGUCCAUGUUGUAAUUUUCUCGAGCCAUUUCAACAAGUUCGGCAUGUGUAGAACAAUGACUCAUAAAGAACCUUCUCGCUCCCUUGAUGGUAUCCACCACAAAAUCCCAAGAAUUAUCUCAGUACAACCAUUCUCCAUAGACUAUAGGUAACUAACGAAUCAUCUGCAAAAAAAAAAAAAAUCAGAUUAAAACACAUUAGCAUGUAGAACAUCAGAAUACUAAAAAAAAUCGCAGCUUCUAUAAGUCUUCUCAUAUGGAAGACUUCUUAAGAACAUUAUUAACACAUGAAUGUUUGUAACCUCAUAAUUAUCACCAAUUAAGUUAUGAAUUUCACUCGGGAGUCUGAGUAUUGACUAAUAAACAUGAAUAAACAAGAAACUAUUAGAAAUUCAUUUUAAGUUAGGAGAAAAUUGAACUUUAAUAAAGAUUUACGUAGACGACUUCUUAGGAAAUCUGCCAUUUAGGUCAUUUUUGCAAUUGCAAAUUUACGAAUUAAGACUUCUAAAGAAAUCUACUCUACAUAAUAGAUCUUGAGAAGUCUUCCUUUGCAAAUAUUGGCUUGCUUUUGAAUUUGAUUUUUUUUUUGAAAAUUCCAGAGAAGACUUCCAUGCUUAUCCGAGAAGACUUCUCGAGAAAUCUUCUCUAGGAUUUUCGAAAAAAAUGGUUAAUAAAGGAAAGUUAGAAGACUUCUAGGGAAGUUUUCUGUUAAAACACAUACAAAAGGUCAAUUGCAAAACUAACCUAGGCAUUGACCAGAAAUUCUAGAGAAGUCUUCUUCGCGAACAGAUCUGAAAAAAUAACGAUUUUAUAACUUCAACCCGUGAGAUGACUUGCGUGGUUUCUCCAAUCACCCAAAACUUCAAUACAAUAGCUACCAACUCGUUAAUGACCAAAAAUCAUGAUCUUCAAUAUCUCUUUGAGCCUUGCACAAUUUGGAAUCAAAAUCUUCAGGUUUUUGGAUGAAUUUGGAGAGAUAGUGAAAGAGAUGUGAUUUGUACGCAUAAAAAAUGAGAUAGAAUGAGAAAAGUAUGAAACUUUAGUGCAUUAACACCUUCAAAUGGUUGUUCUCGGUGGUUGGUGUAUUGAUGACAAUGGCAAUAUUGUAAAUACUUGAUGAAGAUGAGGAUAAUAAAGUAAAAGACACAUUUUCGACAAAGAAAAAAAAAGAGUUAAUGGCAUUUUCGUGAAUAAAUCGAACUGCUAGGAUAAAUAUGAAAAAAGCUUUAAAAAAAACAUAGGUUAUUUUUCUGUUUGACUACAAAUUUUAGAUUAUUUUUGAAAAAAGCCCUAAUUUAUUUUUAAUGAUUCUAAGACCAAAAUAUAAAAAUAUAAAGAUAUAAUUAGAUAUAUAUAUAUAUUAAUUAUUAUUCUUCUUCUCGUACCUUGGCAGCCGACGCUGACGUUGAACAUGUUCUUUUUGGCUAUUGCCUGUCUCUUUUUUUUUUAUCUUAUAGUCACUUGAUUUCAUGGUAAUCGCGAAUAUUAUUUAAGUGAUAAUUGAAUAACAGUCAGCAAUUGCGACCAAUGACAGAUUUAUAAAUAUUUUUUAGCGAUGUCAUAAAUUAAAUUAAAAUAUUAAAAUGUUAAUUUAUUUAAGAGAAAAUGACACAAAGAACACUAAAUCAAGUUUUCCUCCCCAAACUAGCACUCAGGAUCAGAAGUCACAAAAAUAGGUUUCAUUAAAGGGGCAAUUUACCCUUAUGCCCCCUUCUUUAACUAAUUUAAAAAACAAAUUUGAAAUCAAUUUGUCGCCGUCCUCGUUUCAUCGCUUCUUCUUCUCGUCUCCCCGUCCUUGUCAUCGUCGUCUCCCCGUCCUUGUCGUCGUCGUCUCUCCGUCGUCGUCGUCGUCGUCGUCUCUCCGUCGUCGUCGUCGUCGUCUCUCCGUCGUCGUCGUCUCUCCGUCGUCGUCGUCGUCGUCGUCUCUCCGUCGUCGUCGUCGUCGUCGUCUCUCCGUCGUCGUCGUCGUCGUCGUCUCUCCGUUGAUCCGUCGUCGUCGUCUCUUCGUUUAUUUAUCGUCGUCGUCGUUUCUCAAUUGAUCUGUCGUUUCUACGUCUAUUCAUCUCAUUCUCUCUCUCGUGUGUCUGAUUUGAUUAAGGUUUGAAUCAUUUCAUUUUGUUAUACAUUAUCUAGGUUUUGUUAUAUAUUAUUCAUUUGUUGACGAUUUGAAGUUGAUUUUGUAGAACAAUGGAAGUUUUGUGCAUCUGUGGACAAUGGAUCUCAAAAGAAUCUCUCCAGUGGGAGUUUCUUGUUGAUUUGAAGAGGAAUGCAUCAAUCAUUUCCAUAGAAGAAGAUCUACUGUAUGAAGAUUUGAUGAAGAUUGUCUCUGAAGAUUUUAGUGUUAAAGAGGAAGAAAUCAGUUUGAGUUAUGGUUUUUCAUUGGAUAUGAAAUGUAUUAUUGAAAGUUUCCCCCCACUCUCGAUAGGUAAUACUCGUCAGCUCAGAACUUUCAUUUCCAAGACUAGAGCAUUUGAUGGAACCUGUCGUUUGUGUGUUAAGGUUUGUAUGAUUUUUUUCUUACUUAGACUUUUCAGGAUAUGCUUCAUAACCAAGUAUUAUGCCUUACAGAACUACUUGACUUUAUGCAGGUUAGUACUGAUCCAGCUAGCUGUAACACUCAAGCUUCUGAUACAGUUGCUUCUACUGUUCCAUUGAAUGCCAAUCCAGCGAUUCUUUCUACUGUGCAGAGUGAAAAACAGGUACAUUGUCCUUAAUUCCCUUUUUCUGUUUGUGUUUGCAUGAUAUGCUUCAUAAUCAAGUACUAUGCCUUACAGAACUACUUGACUUUUGCAGAGUCUUCUAUUUGAAGGUGUUUCUACAGUUCCUGUGAAUGCUCUUCCGGAUUUUAGUACUGAUUCAGCUAGCUGUAACAUUCAAGCUUCUGAUACAUUUGCUUCUACUGUUCCAUUGAAUGCCAAUCCAGUGAUUCUUUCUACUGUGCAGAGUGAAAAACAGGUACAUUGUCCCUAAUUCCCUUUUUCUGUUUGUGUUUGCAUGAUAUGCUUCAUAAUCAAGUAUUAUGCCUUACAGAACUACUUGACUUUUGCAGAGUGUUCUAUAUGAAGGUGUUUCUACAGUUCCUCUGAAUGCUCUUCCGGAUUUUAGCCCUGUCCAUAUUGGACUUUCACCAAACACGAGAGUAGCUGGCGAUAUUAAGGUGAAUAGCUAUUUUAAGACAAAGAGAGAGUUGAUGUUGAGGAUGAAGAAAUGGGCUUUAGAGUGGAAGUUUGAGUACAAGACUGUCUCUUCUAACAAGUCAAGAGUGCUUUUGAGUUGUGUUGAUGAAAAUUGCACGUGGAGGAUGCGUGCUAUCAAGCUACCUGUUUCAGAUUUUUUCGUUGUUAAAAAGUAUGUUCAUGAGCAUACAUGCGAUACAACACACAGGAAAGCCAACCACAGACAAGCAUCUGCAAAGUUGUUGGGUUCUUUGAUUUCCAGCAAUUAUGGAGAAAAAAAGGAAGGUCUCAAACCGAAACAGAUCAUUGAACAGGUCAGGAUGCUGCAUGGUGUUCACAUCAAUUACAAACAAGCUUGGAGAGUGAGAGAAGAAGCUCAGAUUUUGGUUAGAGGGACUCCUGAAGACAGCUAUUACAAUUUGUCUAGGUGGUUGUAUAAAAUCACAGAAACAAACCCUGGUUCCUUGACUUAUCAACAUGUUGAUGCUGCAGGAAAGUUCAAGUAUGCAUUUGUGGCUUUUGGUCCAUCGAUAAGGGGAUUUUCAUUGAUGAGGAGAGUUAUUGCAGUAGAUGGUACAUUUCUGAAGGGAAAAUUCAAUGGGACUUUAUUGGCAGCUUGUGCUCAAGAUGGGAAUUAUCAUCUAUAUCCUCUCGCCUUUGCAGUGGUUGACGCAGAAAACGGCGCCUCUUGGAAAUGGUUCUUUAGAGGUUUGAGCCAGAAGAUCCCGGACGCUUCGGAUCUUGUUUUUGUAUCAGACAGGGCUAACUCCAUUUCUUCAGCGUUGGAGGAUGUAUAUCCCUUAUCUCACCAUGGAAUUUGCAGGAUCCAUCUGCUCCGCAACAUCACUCCUACAUAUGCGAAGACUGGGUUGCUACCUCUGGUGGAAAGCGCUGCUGAUGCCUAUACGUGUCACGAGUUCUGGUUAAUCUUCAAGGACAUAAAGGAUAAAUGUCCUGAAUUGGCUAAGUAUCUGGAAGAGUCUGAUUUUAGGAAGUGGGCACGAAGCUAUGCGCCUGCGAACAGGUAUAAUAUCAUGACUACCAACAUUGCAGAGUCUCUCAAUUCUAUGUUGAAGAUGCCUCGUGAGUUGCCCAUUAUCUCUCUCCUUGAAACUAUCAGAUUGACGAUGACCACUUGGUUUUUUGAGCGACGCGAAGCGGCUGCGAAACAUAAGCACCUGGUUACUCCAAAAGUUGUUCAGAAAUUGGUAUCUAGGUUAGGGGCCGCAAUGUUGUUGAAUGUGUAUCAAGUUGAUCGAAGCGAGUUUGAGGUGAAGAAUGAAACAAUGAAGUUUGUUGUUGACUUGGAGAAGCGGCAUUGCACAUGUAAUGUUUUCGACAUUGACAAGAUCCCCUGCAUCCAUGCCAUCGCUGCUGCUAAGCAUAUCAAGAGAGAUGAAAACCGUUUUGUUGAUGCUUCUCACUUGACAGAAACGUGGGCUAAAGCUUAUGCUGAAAGCAUACAUCCUGGUGGAGAGUUGUCAACGUCCACCUAUCCAGAGAAUAUUGAUGAACUGUCUUGCCCACCUCCAGCUACCAAAAAGAAAAGUGGACGCCCUCCUACAAAGAGAAAGAGAUCCGUUGGCGAGUUUGGGGUUCCUGGAUCUAAAUCUCAGUCCCACAAGUGCAGCAGAUGUGGCACAGGAGGGCACAACAAGAUCACAUGCCAGAGGCCUAUAGGAUGAAGUUCUACAUUUUUACAUUUUUAUCGAUUAUUAUUUGGAUGUUGGCUAUUUGAUGGUUACAUGAUAUGCACAAGACCAUAUACAUUUUUUCUUUUGGAACCCUAUCCUGAAUAAGUAUGAUUUCUUACAACUUUUGUAAUAUACAACAUUAUCUUUUGAUCUCAUUUCAAUUUUUAGUUUAAACUUCUUUGCUAGAAAAAAACACAGUAAUAUUCAACUAUUCUGGAAUCCCAUCCAACUUUUGUAAUAUACAACUUUUGUAAUAUACAAUGUAUUAUACUAUAAAUUGUAUGGGGUAAAUUCAAUUAUGUGGAAGCAACUAACAGAUGAUUCUCCUCAGCCUAGCGGCUAAACCUCGAAACCUAUGACACCGAAACAUUUGCUCGACCCGGGUUCGACUCUCCUACGAGUAAUGGGUGAUUUUUUUUUUUUUUGUUCAAACAUAUAUCUCAGGAAUCACAUUUGUUGCAAUCGGAAGCCCAUCCUGAACUAUCAAAGAUCUUUCUAAUGUAUUAUACUAUCAAUUGUAUGGCUAAAUACAAUUAUGUGGAAGCAACUAACAGAUGAUUCUCCUCAGCCUAGCGGCUAAACCUCGAAACCUAUGACACCGAAACAUUUGUUUGACCCGGGUUCGACUCUCCUACGAGUAAUGGGUGAUUUUUUUUUUUUGUUCAAACAUAUAUCUCAGGAAUCACAUUUGUUGCAAUCGGAAGCCCAUCCUGAACUAUCAAAGAUCUUUCCAAUGUAUUAUACUAUAAAUUGUAUGGCUAAAUUCAAUUAUGUGGAAGCAACUAACAGAUGAUUCUCCUCAGCCUAGCGGCUAAACCACGAAACCUAUGAUACCGAAACAUUUGCUCGACCCGGGUUCGACUCUCCUACGAGUAAUGGGUGAUUUUUUUUUUUUGUUCAAACAUAUAUCUCAGGAAUCGAAGAGUCUCUUCCAAACGACAUCAUGUAACUCAGUAACCGAAGAGUUUCUUUUCGUCAAGAUUGGCUGUUAUAUGAUUGGUUAUUUCAGUAACUGACUUCAAUAAUCGAAGAGUUCCACAAUAAUCAAGAGUUUAUUUUAACUGACUUCAAUAAUCGAAGAGUUCCUUUUUGUUCUAUAAAUAUAAGGGACGAUAUCAGACCUUUUAUUCACUCACUUCAUUUCGUCUGAUUUAUCCUUUUGCAAUACAAGUUAGUUUUCGAUUUUUCUCAUUUUCCAUUCAAUUCAUGAACUUUUUUCUAUUUCUAUUUUAUCGUUACAUCUUAGUUUCGAUUUUGUUGCAGGACAAAGUUUCAAUGGAAGGAAGUUCAAAGAAGAUGAUGAAGCGUCCCAUAGAGGAGGUUUACGGAUGUGAUGCCGCCGAAGGUUUCAAGAAGGGGAAGAAGGAAACUGUGGUACAUUACAGGGCUCUUCUUCGUUUGUCCAACGAAUACAGGCUAUCUGAGAAUGAUUGGAAUGUUGCAUCCAGCAAAGCAAAUUCAAUUGCUGUCCAAAUCGAGUUGCUUGAAGAUAUUAUCAAAGCUGAUGGAAAAUUUGAUUUAACUGCUGAGUUGGAGAAACUCAAAGAAGAGCACUCGGAAGCGGAAGGAAUGCUUGCUGAUGUGAAGGUCAAAGUCCCUGAUUGGGAUAAACUUGGCGAAAGUUGGCUGUGUCAUGAGUAAUUUCAUGUUAUCGUCUUCUCUUUUUAUGUUUUUAAGGACCACAUUAUGUUUGAUUUUCAGUUUUUAUUUUAAAUGAAUAAGUACUUUUGUUUCUCUUGUGUUGUUUCUUCAAUUAACAACCUAAAUAAAAAACUUGUUCAAUGUUUUUCACUAUUUUGUAAUGGUUUGGCCUAGUGUUCUUAUAACUUGGUUAUCUGAUUUGCUUAUUUUGUUUUUGGAAAGCCAUCCUGAAUACAUAAAAUGAUUUCCAGAUUAUAUAAAUCUAUCGUCUGUGAAUAAAUAAGUUCACAUUUACUCUGUUAUUGAAUAUCCACCGUAGCCUAGUGGCAAGCCCUUCUAAUCUUAGUGUACCCUUAUCACACAAUAAGCCGUGUUCGAUCCCCGUUGUGUAUACUCACAUUUUUUUUUAAUUAAAUAUUCAAACGUUAUGUUCGUUUUAUUGUAGCUUUUUGGCAAGUAUAAGACCCUUGGUACAACGGCUGCACACUUGGAUUAAACGAGUUCAAUCAACAUCAGAUCACAUUCUUUUUCAUUUUUUUUUUGUAAACUUUAAAGGAAUUUGUUUUUGGAAAGCUAUCCUGAUUAUCUAAAAUGAUAUCCAGAUCAUAUAAAUCUAUCGUCUGUGAAUAAAUAAGUUCACAUUUACUCUGUUAUCGAAUAUCCACCAUAGCCUAGUGGCAAGCCCUUCAACUCUUAGUGUACCCUUAUCACACAAUAAGCCGUGUUCGAUCCCCGUUGUGUAUACUCACAUUUUUUUUUUAAUUAAAUAUUCAAACGUUAUGUUCGUUUUAUUAUAGCUUUUGGCAAGUAUAACACCCUUGGCACAGCGGCUGCACACUUUCAUUCAUCUUUCGAGAGUUCACGAGUUCAAUCAACAUCGGUCACAUUCUUUUUCAUAUUUUUUGUAAACUUUAAAGCAAUAUGCUAGGCUUUGGUGCAUUUUGCUUUCUCACUCUUUUUCUGGAAACCCAUCCUAAAAGUACCAUAAGCAUUUGACAAUUCAUCAAUACAUCCUAAAAAUUUUUCAAUAACAAUCUAAAUGAAAAAAACGUUAGGGAUAAUUCAUUACAAACUUAAACUUAAACGUUAGGGAUAAUUAAUAUCAAAGUAGAAAAACAGAGUAGAAAACAGAACAAAUAUGACAGAAAACAGAAAACAGAACAUUUUCACUUCCUUUGACCUUCCUGGAAAUCUUUAUCCAUAAACUGGUCGAAGAUCUCACAACAUAGCUUGCUUCGUAAGUCCAUCGCAGUUUCAUCAUUUAUAUUAGCCAUGCUCUUCAAUCCCAGUGACCUGCAUUCCAGCAUCUUCACAACAAAAAUACCACAGUUGUAUGGAAAUUUUGUCUUUGGAAGCCCUUCUGCAAACUUAACUUCAAAUGGACUGAUAUCUUCGAAAUUAACCUCUUCACCAAGAAGUUCCAUCUUUAUGGCACUAAUCAAACUGUCAUAAAUACCCAAAAUUAUACAAUAAAUCAAUCACCAACAGACAACAAAAUGAAUAUGUAAAAAUGCAUCACAAGCACAAGCAGCAAGUGACAAACUUUUAUUUUCUAAAUUAGCUAAAAUUCUUUUUUCAGGAUACGCAUACUUUCACAAUCCUAUCCAUUAUCAAUGUAACAAUAUAAAUUAAACUGAUUUUUCUACACUGAAUGAUAAAAUUAAUAUUUUUACCUGCCAGUUCUUGGAUUUGAUUAAGAGCACGUUUGAUAUUUUCUUUUGGAAGACCACAAUGGAAGAGUGUGAUUGUGUUGUCCAUCAAUUGUAUCUCCACCCCAAUAUAGUGACAGCUCAACUUAUCUUCAAUGACACCAUAUAUAACAUCAACAUCUUCCAGCCAUACCUUCUUUGGAUGUAUUACACCUUUCACAAGUUCGCCUACACAGCCCUCCAAUAACUUUUUUCUUUUCUUAUGUGGCUUCCUGACAGAUUCAUAAGCGUACCCAACCACUUCUAAGAAAUUGACUGGUACAAAGCAUGCUGCUGGAAGAUUGUUGUUGCGGAACCAAGCACCUUGCUCAACCCUCUUACAAUUUAGCAUUUCAAAUGCAACAUUUAUGUGCUGCCAAUGUAACAAUAUAGUUAGAAACUUCAUAUAGAACUGCUAUAACAUGUACAUCUAGCAUAGCUCAACUCAACCUCUUCCUAAACAUAUGACACAAUCAAAUAGAAGACAGAACAGAGUGUUGAUUACCUCUUUGUUGAGAUUUUUUCUGCAUCGUCCAUUUUUUGAAAGAACUCUUUUUCAAUUUCUUUUCCAUUGAUAUAAAACGGUCUGUAGUUGAUAAAAUUAACUAGUAUCAAUCGAAACUUUUACAAAAUAAAUUAGGAAUAUUUAUGCGAGGACAAAAAGUUGCUUACACACGAUAUAUGCCCCGUAGAUCCAUCCAGUGUGCAAGCCUUGAAAACCGAGGAAAUUCAGGUGUCACAAAUGGAUCAAUUGGAAGGAUUACCUCAGGUGUUACAGGUAUAGGAGGGUUUCUAGGUCGUAUUGGCCUCUUCUCUUCUCGCUGUAGAAAAGGAAGCAAAUCUACUGGCUGAGCAUUUGCUUUCUUCUUCUUACCAACAUGUGGCUUCCCCUUUAAUUAAAAAUAAAGACAAAAAUUCAGGAUCGUUUUUAUCUUUAUACUUGAAUGCCUUCCUAAUAUGAAGUAAAAAUAUUUUUUAUACCUUUUUUGCAUGAUCGUCUUGACUUGGUUUCACACUCUUACCCUGCUUUACUUCCAUCUGUGAAACAAAACCGAUAUAUCAAACUAUUGACCUGAACUUCAAUUCAAGUGGAUCUUAUUCAUUUUUAUUACCUCUUUUGCCAUUUUCCCAACACAUCUUCUGAUGGACCAGCUGCUUCAUUUUUCUUACAAGCGACAGCCUUCCCUUCCCCUUUUUGAAUGACAAAAAUUCAGAUACAUUUAUAUCUUAAUUCCUAGUAUGAUGUAUAAAUAUUUCAUACCUUUUUAUCACCAUCUCCUUCACUUGGAUUCACACUCUGCGUCUGCUCUUCUUCCUUCUGAAAAUCAAUACCGAGAUAUUAAACAAAUGACAUUAUUUUUCAAUUCAAGUGAUCCAAGGCAUUUGUUUUACCUUUUUUGUCAUCUCCCAAACACCAUCUACCCAUUUUCUUGGUUUUCGAAUCUCAGAAUGGUGGAAGUAAAUUUCUUUUUUACAAUUGUUCAAAGCGACAAAACACAAGCCAUCAAACAAAAUGACUUUAACUUUUCUAGCGCACCUUCAUUAGCUCAUAACUUUUCUUCGCUCCAGUUCUCUCAGGUGGUGGUUGAGGACGUAUUCUGUCAAUUGAUACACGUGUCUCAACACUCCUUUUCCUCUUCUUUUCGUCCAGAGACGGGAUGGAGUACUCAACUUUCAUCGUCUCAACCCCAUCAACCAAAUAUGUUUUCAACACAUUUCCUGGAUACCAUUUAUGACAAGUAUUGUCAUCUUGUGAUGAAAUCUCCACAUUUGCUCCGAUCUCAAAGGGAUUUUGAACUCUGCUUUCUACAUCCUGUGAUGGUUUAGAUUCAAGGAUAUCCAGUCAUUUUGAUAGUUGCUGUAUAUUUAUUAAAGGUUUUAAUGAAAGUAAUACCUUAUUUUGCUCUGUUAAAAGAUUUCUGCGAGCUCGGGUAUUUGGCUGUGUGUCGGAAAUGUUUGGUGAAAUGAUCUCAUUCAUAAGCUCGUGAGUCUCCUGAAUUCAGGAAUGGUUGAAUGAACACGUACAAGGGCUUCCAAAAAUUACUUGAAAAGUCCAAUUUUUUAAAGAAGGUACCUGCUGCGUCUGAAUUGGAGUAAGGACUGGAGUCUCAAUAUUCUGUUGAGCUAUUGGAGAACCAGGUGUCUCUUUCGUGAUCUCAUUCAUAGGCUCUCGUGUAUCCUGAAGUCAGGAAUGGGAUUAUGAACACGUACCAAAUUCAUAAUUUUAUAAAUACCAACAGUUUUCAAAAUUAUACUUGCCUCAUUGUUAAGUUGUUCAUCUGCUUGAUCUGCAUUGGCUUCACCUUGUCUGGAAGCCGUCUCAUGAAAUGGAGUUGUGUCAGUCUGUGCAAGUACAACAAAAAUUAGGAAGGCAAUCCUAAAUAUGUAUAACAUCUUCCAAAAUUACUUGACAACUCAAAAAAAAAACUGAAUCAAGAACUAGAUAAACAUUAAUUUUAAUUUCCGAAAAAAAAGUUACCUCAUUGUUUGGAGUUCCAUAUGAAGUAACUCUUUGUAGUUUCUCUAGUUUUGUCACACGUUCUUUAAUCUGUUUCCUGUCUUUUUCAAUCAAACACAAACGAUCGUUCAUGAUCCUUAAAUUAUCUCCCACCAUCUCGCUGAUUCUGUUGAUCUUUGAUUCCAAAGACUCCUCCUGAUACGAAGUAGAAGCUUGACUCAUCCCUCCAUUCCCAAACAGUAAAGAUGCUCUUCUUAUUUCUUCAUUAGCACCGUAUAGGUCUACUGACAUGUUUCGCCAAUCUCUAAUUUUAAACUUAUAACCUCUCUUGGAUAAAUCGGCCAUGUCAUCCAGAUCUUUAUUAGCUUCGUCUUCCAUGCAAACAUCAGCUUCUGGAUCAUUAGAAAUAGGAGGUAGGAUGCAUGUGACCUUAAGCUGAAACCAUAAAAAUAAUUAGCUUUUAAAUGGAGAAUCAUAAGGCAAAACAAGAAAAAAAUAAUGUAAAAACUUACAUGAUCUUUGAUUUCAAUUAGGAGAACAUCUAUCAGCUGUGGAGAAGCUAUUUGAAGGUACUUCUCACACAAAAAUAUUGGGGUAGACGGUUGAACGCUCAGAAUAGGAACAACUUGACUGAAUGCAUACUGUAGCAAAGGUACUGACUCAAGUAUCCAUAUAAGAAAUGCCAUAGGGAACCCUUGCAAAUCAUAAUUGUUUUUGUCGAGGCUUUUGUCGACAGCUCUCUGAAGUGAUUUUAACAGCAAAUUAUAAGCUGUUCUCCCCCAUGGGUAUGUCAUCAAGACAUCCAUAUCCUGCGCUAUUUUCACAUAAUCCAAAGUAAAAGUUGUGCCACCGUCGAGAAGGCUCUUCUGUAGUAGUAUGCUCUCAAUCAGGAGGAGCAUUGCAAGGCAGAAUCUCUCAUCAGAAGCAUCUUCUCUUGUGUUUCUGAGCUGCUUCUCCACGUCCUUUACUGUAUGAGUACGCCCUUUUAGGAAGUCCCACUUAAAUUUCUCGGUUCCCUCUCGUGGUUCUCUUGCUUCACCACUACAUUUCAAACCAGUCACCAUGUGGAAUUCUCUUAUAGAGAACCUCAUUGGCUGAGCACCAAAAUGGAACCAUGCUUCGUGUCUCUUCACUGUCUUGAUGCUUUUGGUGAGAACUGCGUGCACUAUCUUAGCUGAUAAUUUCAAAGACCUCUCUCCAAGCUUGAUCACCGGUCCCAAAAACGUCCCUCUUAUUCUGUUGAACUCAUCAUUUCCUAGAAUUUCCUUAACAGUUUUGAUAUAAGCAACUAUCGAGUGUUGGUUUAUCGAUAUCGUCUUCUCUGGCUCUGAUCCAAUCGGAUACCUCAGCUCAGGCAGUGCUAGUCUUAAUGGUAAUGGAUCUCCCAUCUUGUUUCUAUCCUGCGUAAACAAGAAAAAUUUUAUUAGGUGUUGGUUUCCUGAAACAAUACAAAUCCUUCCUGAAGUCUAUACACAUGCAUAUUAGGUUAAAACGAGCAAGUCUAUACACAAGCAAAAACCAGGAGACCAAUCUCUCAGAAAGAAAACACACAUAAGGUUGAAUCUGCAACAUACCUUCAAGAGAUAGAGCUCUAGAAAUGGUUUUUCUCGGAGAAUAGAGAGAGCUCGCGUAAAAGAUCGAGAGAGAGAGAGAGUUUCUGGAGAUGGGUUUUCGUCGGAGAUCGAGAGAUAUGGAGAUGAGAGAGAGAUUCGAGAGGCGGAGACGAGUGAGAUUCGAGAAGUUUGAAACGGCGAGAGUGUUGAGACGGCAAGAGUUUUGUUUUUUUUCAAUCGAAAUGUAUUGUUUUGGAAACCUAUCCUAUAUUAAUUGGUUUAAGUAUGCUUAUGUAAUAUUCUUUAACAGAUGAUUCUCCUCAGACCAGCGGUUAAACCAAGGCAUUUUAUAACUCAAAAGUCUCUCUAUCCCCGGGUUCGAUAUGUGGUGGAUUCAAAAUCUAUUUUAAUUUUUUUUUGUGUUACAGUUUGGAGUUAAAUAAAAUUAAAUGUAAUCCAUUAACAGAUGAUUCUUCUUGGCCUAUUGGCUAAACUCCCACACUAUCCAAAUACGCAGACUCUCUCCCUCUGGGUUCGAUCCUUUGUGGUUCUAAAUUUUUGUUGUCUGUAAACAUCACAAUUUUAAGCUUACCAUAUACAUGUCCAAUCCUUAGUAUAUAAUCUCAUUUCAUUCUUUUUUACAUUUGAAACACUUAACUUUUUUUCUGGAAACCCAUCCAGAAACAUUAUUUUAACCUUCCAAGAUAUAUGAUACCCAAAUAAAAUACUUGAUAUCCUUUCCAAUCUUUCUUAUGUAACCAGACGCCAACAACAUAACAAAAUAAACAGUCAUAACUAAAACCGAGUCUUAACUAAAACAAAAAAUGUUUUCAUGCAUCAUUCUCAUUUCCCAAAGCUCUCAUCCACAAAUUGGUUGAAGAUCUCACAAGACAAGGUUCUCCUUAGCUCCAAUGCAUUGUCAUCAUUAAUCUUUGUCAUGUCUCCUAUCUUCAAUGACUGGCACUCCAGAAUCUUGACAAGAAAUAUCCCACAGUUGAAAGGAUGUUUUGUCUUGGGUAAACCUUGUGCCUGCUCAAUCUCAAAUGGAAUCAUCUUCACCUUAUCUACCUCAUCACCAGAAGAUUCCACCAGCAGAUUAGAAAUCAACACUGUCAUAUUUAAAAAUCAAUAUCAAGAUAGAAUCAGUUGAAUAUUUCAAACCAAGAAACAGAUGAAUACAUCAAAUACAGAUUGUUUAUACAUACCUGCCAACUUUUUCACUUGAGGAAUAUCAAUGCUGUUGCUUUCCUUUUGAAAACAAUCAUAUACUGUGAUUCUUUUCUUCUUCAAAUGAAUUUCCAUCCCAAUCCAGACAUUGCUUUUUUUUCCAAGAGUAAUCCCAUACACAACAUCAACAUCUUCUCCCCAUGUCUUCUCUGGAUAUACCUUCCCUCUCACAGUAUCUUUAAAUAAAUCGUUGAAAAUCUUUUUACCUUUGACCUUUUCUUUCUUGUAAGCCAAAUCAUCAGAGAGCAAGCAAUGCAAGAACUCCAUAGGUAGGAAGCACGCCUUUGGAAUCUUGUAGUUGUGGAACCAAGCAGCAUUCUCAUUUCUUCUGCAAUUUAGCAUUGCAAAGGCUCCAUCAAUGUGCUGCAAAAAAAAAGGCAAACAUUAUCUAAUUUGUUACUAUAUAAUUCUUGAAACUAAACAAAUCCUUCCUGAAUUUUUUUUAAAAAAAAAGCUCAAGGCAAGAACAUAUGUAAACAAAUUACCUCUUUCUUAAGGUCCUUUUUUGCAUUUUCCAUGCUUUGAAAGAAAGAUUUCCUUAUCUUAUUAUCAUUGAUUGAUAGGGACCUGCAGUCGAUUAAAGAUUCAAAGGAAUUACCAAACCUCUUAUACAUAAAUAUAAGAAUAUAUAGACAAGGACAGAAACAUGCUUACGUUUCAUGCAUGCCGGGCUUUAAUGUCAUCCAAUUUUGAAGCCUUGAAAGCUUAUGUUCCGCAGGAGUUGAAAACGGAUCAACUGCAGGUAUAAUCUCAGGUAUUACAGUUAAAGCCGGAUUUCUGUCAGACUUGAAUGGAGUUUUUGUGUCUCUAGAUCGUUUAGGCACCCUCUCGCUCCUUCUUAGGAAAACAUUAUCCAUUCCUGAAUUUUGUGAUGAGGCAGCAGCUUUCCUUUUCUUAUCAGGCUUCACCUUUAAUCAAACAAUAGACACCAAGCAAAAUAUUAUCAAAUUUGUUGCAAUCGGAAUUUCUGGAAACCAUUCCUGAAACUAAAAUGUAUGUAUAUCAAACAAUUCACGUGAAGUAUAAUUCUAGUUAUGAUUUACCUUAUCUGCCAUCUUCCAGACUCCAUCUUUCCAUUCUCUAUGAAUUCGCAAAUCUGAAUGUUUGAAUAGAAUAGUUUCCAUAGAAGUAUAGAGACACACCGAGUAUGUGUUAUCACCAAGUACCAUGCUAAUUUGUCCGCUGCUCCAGCCAUUGUUGUAGAAGGCUUCUACCUUAUCCAUCAUCUCAAAGGAUUUUUGGUCACUAGUUGGUGUUGCAGGACGUAUUUUGUCAGCCGUGAUAGUAUCCUGAAGUUUCUGAAGUCUAUGUUGGUCUGUGAAGAGUGUCGUGUACUCAACUGUCAGCUCCUCUAGUCCUUCACACAGUUUAAGAUCAACAACCUUUCCUGGAUACCAUAUUUCGUCAUCAGUAGACAAAAUCUCAACCUCUGCGCCUAUUUGAAAGUGAGCUAGAAGCCUGCUUACUUCAACCUAUUAAAAAUGAAGAUUCAGUAACAUCAGCGGUUUUAAAUUGUUAGAAUAAUAAUUAAAGAUCAAAUAUACUCGAUGCAUACCUCGUUUGUUUCUGAAAAGCACUUGUCUGAAGAUGCAUCUUCGAAACAUCUGUGGAAACUAGCUCAGUAGUAGGUUCUGUAGUAUCCUUGAGAUUUUCUUCUGCUUGAUUCUGCUCUGAUGGUGUCUCAUUGGAUUGAUCUCCCUCACUUGUCUGAAGGUGCUGUGUUUGCGGAGUAAGAGGCUGUGUCUUCGAAACAUCUGUGGAAACUAGCUCAGUAGUAGGUUCUGUAGUAUCCUUGAGAUAUUCUUCUGCUUGAUUCUUUCUGCUUGAUUGUGAAUGCUCUCCUUCACUUGUAGAAAAAUAUUGGGUCGCAAUUUCUGUCUCACUCUAUAAGUCAAAAGUAAAUGGUAAGAGUUAGUUGAAUAGAAAAAUAUUACAUAAACAUUUUAAAUAUUUCUUCUUACCAAAGCAUUCUUAUUUUCUUCAAUAACUAGUGCAAUUAGUGAAGACAAUGGAGAGGAAGGUCUGUAAUGCACAGCAUAUGUAUCCUCCUGUGAUAACAGUAAAAUAAAAGAGGUAGUUAUGAAGAAGUUUCUACAAUUUAAAAUUCAAGUUGUACUUAUGAAAGACAUUUCUAUGCUUACCUUUUUAUUGUUUGCUGAAAUGAUCUCAGUCAAUGGCUGUGUAGCCUCAUACGUUUCCUCUGUUACCAUCUGCAAAAAAAACAAAAAAAAGUCAGGUAGGGGAUCAAAAACACGUACAAAAGCUUUCAAACAUUACUUGAAAUCUCCAAGAUUUUUUGAACAUUUACCUGCUGUUUCUGAAUUGGAGUAAAAACUUGAGCCUCAAUACUCUUUGGAGAUAUUGGAGAAGAAGGUGUCUCAUUCAUUUCCAGUGUUUCUUUUUGCAAAACUUGAGUCUGAGCAGCAGGUGACUCAAUCACAAUCUGCAAAAAAUAUCAGGAAAGGCCAUCAUGAAUACAUUCAAUUAUAAUUUCUAGAGUAAAUAUUACCUCAUCAUCUGGUUUUCCUUCUCCUUGAUUAGUUUUGGGUGUCGUUUCAUCAGUAGAGGUUUGUGUUUCCCUCUGCCAAAAAUUAGAAAGGUCUAUAUAUGUAAAUCACCCAAAACUAAUUGUAAACUCCAACUGUCAUUGAGCAUAUACCUCUUUUGUCAGAUUAGGAGUAUAAACUUGAGUAUCAAGGGCAGGCGUGUCAUCCGAUGGCUCUCUCUCAAUCUGUAAAAAUUAUCACGAAGUCAAUCCAGAGUACGUUCUAAAGCUUCCAAACAUUAACUUAAAAAUCCAAGAUUUUUUUUUGACCAUGUACCUGCUGAGUCUGACUUGGAGUAUAAACGGGAGUUUCAAUACUCUUUGGAGCUAUUGGAGAAGAAGGUGUCUCAUUCAUUUCUACUGUUUCUUUCUGCAAAACUUGACUCUGACUAGCAGGUGACUCACUUGUUAAUUUCUCUCUCACAAUCUGCAAAAAAAUAUCAGGAAUGGCCAUCAUGAAUACAUUCAACUAUAAUUUCUAGAAUAAAUAUUACCUCAUCAUCUGGUUUUCCAUCUUGAUUAGGAUUGGAUGGCCUCUCAUCGGUAGACGUUUCUGUUUCUUUCUGUCAAAAAUCAGAAAAGCCUUUAUAUGUAAAAAAAAAUCACCCAAAACUAAUUUGUAAACUCCAACUGUGAAAACAAUAUCAUUGAGCAUAUACCUCUUUUGUCAGAUUAGGAGAGAAUACUUGAGUAUCAAGGGCAGGAGUUUCAUCAUCUGAUUCAUUCAUUGUGUCCUGCAAAAAUCAAGAAUGCAUUCUAGAAUAUGUACAAAAGCUUCCAAAUAUUACUUCAAAACUCAACAAUAUUUUAUUGGUUACAUACCUCAUUUGUCAAAUUAGGCUGUUGAGACAUUGGAGAUAAAGGCGUCUCACUCGAUGAUUGCGUGUAAUCCUGCAAAAAUCAGGAAGGCAUUCAGGAUUUUGUACAAGAAUUUCCAAAUAUUUUCUUAAAAAUUUUUGAGCAUAUACCUCAUUUUGUUGAGACUUUGGAGAUGCAGCUGAUUCAAUCAUUGUCUCCUGCAAAAAUCAGGAAUGCAUUCAAGAAGUACAAAAGCUUUCCAAAUAUUACUUCAAAACUCAACAAUAUUUAUUGGUUACAUACCUCAUGUGUCAAAUUAGGCUGUUGAGACAUUGGAGAUAAAGGUGUCUCACUCGAUGGUUGCGUGUGAGACAUUGGAGAUAAAGGUGUCCCACUGGAUGGUUGCGUGUGAGACAUUGGAGAUAAAGGUGUCCCACUGGAUCGCUGUUUGUCAAAUAUUAGGAAGGCAUUCAAGAAUAUGUACAAGAUCUUCCAAAAAAUACUUGAAAAUGCAAAUGUAAAAGAAGAUGUUUUGAGAAUUUACCUUUUGUGUCACGUUAGUGGGAAAAACAUUGCUGUUUCCUUCCAACUCUGACACACGAGCUCUAAGAUGUAUGUUUUCUUCUUCCAGUAAUGACAUUCGAUCCUUCAUGCUCUUCAGAUUCUCCUCCAUUACCGUGAUGAUCCUGUUCACUUUUUCAUUUACUGAAUCCUCAUCAAUCGGAGUAGAAGCUUGGCCAGUCUCCUUAUUUGCCAUCAUUUGAAUAAGAGCAUCCAAUGUGUCAAAUGUGUCUACACACCUAUUUUCCCAGUCAUCGGCUGUAAUCUUGUACCCUUUCUUUGUUACAUCUUUCACUGUUUCCAACUCGUCACUAUAUUUGUCUUCAAUGGAGAUAUCAUCUUCUGGAUCAUGAGGAAUAGAAGGUAGUAUGCAAUGGACCUUCAGCUGAGAAUAUUUCAAAAAAGACCAAUGAGAAACAUAUUAAAAAGAAGAAGCCAAAUAAACUGAGAAACAUAUACUUGGAAAAGCUUACCUUUGUAUCAGCUUCAACCUGUAAAACCCUAUCAAGUGAUGGAUUCUCUAUCUCAGUGUAUUUUUCACACAAGUAAGUCGGCCCAGGAACCUCAACUGUUGGUACACACUUACUGAACUUAUUCCUUAGCAAAGGAAUCGACUCUAGUAUCCAAAGAAGGAAUACUAGAGGAUAACCUUGCAACUCAAAUUUGGAUUUAUUCUCCAAAUGAUUCGCGACAGCGUUUUGAAUUGACUUCAGGAGCACAAUGUAAGCCUCUUUUCCCCAUGGAUAUGUCAUAUCCUGUGCAUUUUUCGCAUAUUCCAAAGGAAAACUCCCUCCUUUGCUCUUCCGCAAUAAUAUGCUCUCUACCAGGAUGAGCAUUGCGAGGCAUACUCUCUCCUCAGAAGCAUCUUCUCUUGUGUUUCUGAGCUGGUCCACCACGUCACUUAACUUAUGACUACGCCCCUUUAGCAAUUCCCAAUUAAAUCUCUCGGUUCCCUUCGUGGUCCUUCUAAUGCACCACUACAUUUCAAGCCUGUCAUCAUAUGAAAUUCUCUUAUAGAGAACCUCAUUGGCUGCGCACCGAAAUGGAACCAGGCUUCAUUCUCCUUGACAGAAACGAUGCUUCUAGUGAGAAUGGCGUAGACUAUCUUUCCUGAUAACUUCAAUCCUCUCUCACUGAGCUUCAUUAUAGGUCCCAGAAAUGAUCCCCGGACUCUCAUCAUCUCAUCUGGUUUUAGGAUGCUUUUGACAAUAGAGAUAUACUCUGAGCCGGAGUAUUGGUUGAUUGCUGACUUUUCCUUUGGCUGUGAACCAAUAGGAUACUUCAGCUCUGGCAGUGCUAGUUUUAGAGGUACUGAAUCUCCCAUCUUGUUUCUAUCCUGCGUAGACAAGAAAAAAAAAAUCCAAUUUUCAGGAAGGGUUUCCUGAAACAAUACAAAUACAAAACAACACAAAAGUCUUCAUUUGCUUCGCUUGUUAAUAAGAACGAGUAACAAACAAAUCAAAAUCAAAACGCAAGUUUCCCAAAUUUUAAUUCAAAAACCCUAAUUUUAAAAAGUUACCGAUUUUGAGAGUAGAGAGUGUGACGCUGAUGAUUAUCGAGCCGGAGAAGAUGAUUAGCGAGCCGGAGAAGACGAUUAGCGAGCCGGAGAAGAUGAUUAGCGAGCCGGAGAAGAUGAUUCCCGAGCCGGAGACGACGAUUCCCGAGUCGGAGAAGAUGAUUCCCGAGCCGGAGACGACGAUUCCCGAGUCGGAGAAGAUGAUUCCCGAGCCGGAGACGACGAUUCCCGAGUCGGAGACGACAGUGCCGGUGAGGGUUUGAAGAUUCCCGAGAGGAGACGACACGAUUCGCGAUCGAAUGAAAUGAAAUGUUUUUUUUUUAUUCUUAUAACAAAGGGUACAAAGGUAAAUUACAUCUUUAAUGAAACCUAUAUUUGUGAUUUUUGAUCCUGAGUGCUAGUUUGGGGAGGAAAACUUCAAAAGGUGCUAUUAUUGACAAUUGCCCUUUAUUUAAUAUUAUAUUUAGAUUUUUUAAAAUGAUAAUAUGUAAAAAGCGCAAUUAUGAAAGUUAUCCUUUUAAUAAAAACAUCAUCUAGUAAUAUUUGGAUUUUAAAAGCCCACAUAAAUUAAAAUUUUAGGCUCAGCCCAAAAGAAAAAGUAAAAACUAAACUAAAAUCCAAAUUCGGCCUGAUUCAAAAAAUAAUUAAAACGGGUGCAAGUGGAGUUUCGAACUAGAAUUACGGGGUGUCGGAGCAGAGAAUUUUAACCAACUGAGAUGCUAUUCCUAUUAUGGUAUACCUUACAAAUCAAAUUUUCACUAUUCUGACACACCUACCUUGAAUGUAGGUCCGUCAUUGGAUGUUCACAUUGUGACAUCGAUCGACGCCGAAGCGCGCAGAAACUCGUUUGGUCCAAGCCGACUUAAACUCUAAGUCUUCACCAAUUUACAAGAUUAUCCCUGACGAGUUUUACCCUAAAUAUAUAAGCUUGCCAACAUGUUAGAGGCAAAGUGUGCUUUCUUGUUUUACUAUUUUCACAGCAAAAGAUUUUUUAGGAUUUUUAGUAAAUUAGAGAGAAGAUCCAAAAAGAUUUGUGAUUGGCACUCCAAUGAUAUCUAUCUAUUUAUCUAUGCAGUUUUUAUACAUAAUUGCUGAAUUGCUGAGCCAUGUCUGAGUAGUUAUCUUGUUAGGUUUAGGGUUUAAAUAGGUUAUAAGGGAUUAGCCCCAACUAUAGAUUGCUAAGUUGUGAUAUUCAUCAUUAGAAUUGUCAUUAAAGCAUGUUUCUAGUUUAACUAGCUAGAACUUGAUCUAGGAGUUUGAGGUAAAGGCCAUCACUUGCAUCUCACCCUAAAUCCAUCCUAAUUGAGCUAAGAUUGCUAGAGUAUGGCGAGAGCUGAUCUAGGAAGCUUAGUGAGCGCAUUCAACCCGCGUGUUAAAGCUUGGCCAAACGCGUCGAUCGAUAUUCUAAUCGAAUAAUCGGUCGACGGUUCAACAAAUGUAUUGAUUGAUAUUCCUAUAAAAUCAUCAAUCGACACUUAUAUCUGGUCAAUAGACAAACCUAGAAAGUGAGAGCCUAUCGUUUUGUUUAUAAGUGUUGAGCUCUAUAGUAUCAUGCAUACAACUUGUUAGGCAUCUGUAGGAUUAUAAUCACGAGUACCUGAAUAAAAAUCCUAAGUCUAGCUAUUUUCAUCUAAGUCUAGCUAUUUUCAUCUAAGUACCAAAACUCCCAAUCAAUUCAAUCGAGCAACUGCCUUGCUCACAAACAUGCUUUUACAUUUAAUCAUAAUCAACAUAGCUUAAUCAUUCUGAUUAAAUUUAUUAGGUUCCCUAGCUCCCUUUCAAUUCGAUCCUUAAGUACUACAACUGAACUUCUUAUUUGAGAGAGUAAUUCACUCCUUAGGGUAAUUUGAGUGAGAUUAAAUUUGGCACCGUUGCAUGGGAGCUCUGAUCGCUUAAUAGAUUUAGUUUGAUUUCGUCUAGGUUUUUCUUAAAAACCACUCUUUGACAAAAAAAAUUUCUUUUCUUUUCAAAUGCAUGCACAUCAGUAUCAGAAGCAACAAGGAAAUUCAACUGCUAUUCUCAUCAGUUCCUACAAGUUUGGAAUGUUUGAUCCGCAAAGGAAGACGCUCCUCAUUGAUCGACAACAACACCGGUUCAUCGCUCAAUUCUUGUCAACCCAAACACCAGUCUCGUCGACCGACACUCGCUCACCACUAUCGACCGAAGCUACUUUUCCGUCGACCAAUAUCUUCCAUCCGACGUCGAUCGAUACUUCAGUCCAAAAAUCAAUCGAUAUUGAGCCGCUAGACAUGGUUGCGACUUUAAUUCUUGUACGUGAUGAGAAGGGAGAUCAGCAUGACCAGGAGGAUCAUCUGCGUAAUGCAGCAGGUCAGAUGAUAGAUGCUCAGCGGGCUGCAAUCCCUUAGUCCGAUACUGAUGCUACUGGAACUGCUCAACUUGUAGAUGAGGCUGCUCGACCCAGAACAUUGGCUGAUUACAACCGUCCCGAUCAGUUCUAUGCCAACACAUCAGCUAUUCGUCCUCUUGUUAUCCAGAGAGGAGAUUUCGAGUUGAAGCCGCAGUCCUACACACUCGUGGGACAGACACCCUACUGUGGGUUAUCUCACGGGCAUCCUAUGGACCAUCUGGAGAGGUUCGAGGAUCUUAUAUCUGCUAUUAAAGUUAAGGGAGUCUCUAAGGACUACCUAUGCUGCGUGCUCUUCAAGUACUCACGUGCUGGAGAGGCUUCACAUUGGCUUAAGUAGUUACCACCAGGAUCUCUCACAUCCUGGGCUGACAUCAAGAAUGCAUUCAUGUGUAACUUCUUUGAUGAGGCGCACACUGAAGACUUGAGGAGCAAGAUUGCUACAUUCGCGUAGGAGCCUACAUAAUCAUUAAGAAGCUCCUGGAUCAGAUUCAAGUCUUAUCAGAGAGAUUUCCCACACCAUGGAUUCAAUGAAGUGCAGUUGUUCAGUACUUUCUUAAGAGGCAUCGCGGUGCAGUAUCAAAUGGCUCUUGAUGCUUCCAGCGAUGGGAACUUCAACACUAGGAAUCCAGAAGAGGCAGUAAGAGUUAUUGAGAACUUGGCAUCCAUCAACAACUCCAAGAACACUAAUUUUGAGAGGAAGAGAUCUGCAGCCAUUCUUGGGAAUGACCAGAUGGAUGAGGUCAGGGAAAAGCUGGACAGUGUUCACAAGCUUAGCAAUUUGGCUUAGUAGAGGAGGCAGAAGCUGUAGACACAGAGAGUAGAGCAGAGGUAGAAAAAGAUGUGAACUUCAUUGGUGGAACUGGAUUUUAUAGGUCUGGAAACCAUAAUGGAAACUUCUCUGGCAGGAGAGCAAGAUUGAAGCAAUGCUUGAUAGGGUUCUUGAGGGACAAUAGAGCAUGACGGUGGACUUCAAUGGGAAGAUCGACUCUGUCUACAACACAUUGAACACAAAGUUUGAGACUUUGAGCACUCAUGUGAAGAAGCUGGAGAUGUAGGUUGUUCAGACAGGAGAAGAUGUUAAGAGGAAAGAAGCCUUAAAAAGGGGGAUAGGAGAUUAUGUGAUGAAGCACCAUGUGAAUGCCAUCAUAGGUGAUGAUUUAUGGCAAGUGAUGAAGCAUGAGAAGCUGCAAGAAGGAGAUUUUAAAGUAGAGAGUUUGAUGAUUUUCGGCGGAUCACAUUGGUGUCGAUCGACGCCCGACUUCAAACAUCAAUCGAUGAACGUCAACCAGAACCGAUCGACAUCUUCUCCAGAGCAUCGAUCGACGGUACCUGCAGAGUCGACCACAUCUUGCAAUGCCGUGAGGAUCAUGACUCACGAGGAGUUCGCAGCAAGACACCCACAUCUGGCCCAGCCCUAUUUAUGUCAGCAUCGAUCGACAAACUGACCCCACCAUCGAUCGAUAAAGAGAGACAGACCGCAAUCGAUCGACAACCUCCAGUACCCAUCGAUCGAUGCACACCUCUCACAUACAGAGUGCAACUACCAAAGAUAGACAUCGCUCGUCUCAAUGCACUCAUGCCACAACCCAAACCUCCAGAGACCACCAAUACACAUUCAGGAGAUGCAGCAGAGCCUAUGGAAGUUGAUAAGGCUCUUAUGGAGAUUAUAACCUAUGAACUUGGUUGCUAGACUAGGAUAUUGUAUAAUGUGCUUAUGAUAUUAGAACCUUAUUCCAAGUUUAAGAAUCUGUGAGUAUUCUGCUGUUUUCAAACUUCUUUUAGAGAGACUGCAUGUAUGUUUUGCUUGAGGACAAGUAAAAUGGUAAGUUUGGAGGAGUUGAUAGGCCAUGGAUUUUACCCACUUUUACCCAUGGUUUAUAAGUGUUUUAACUACUAUUUAUUAUACUCUAGAGUAAAUUUAGUAUAUUUAUAGGACCAGGAGUGAUUUGGAAGAAAGUGAUGAUUUUGAAGCAUUUUGGAGAUAUUUGGUGAAAGCAUCCGAGCUGACCAUCGAGCACGACCAUCGGUCGACAUUGAAGAGAAAUAAUCGAUCGAUGUUCAAUCGUGACAUCGAUCGGCGGCGAAGCGCGCAGAAGCCCGUUUGGUCCAAGCCGACUUAAAGCACAAGUCUUCACCAAUUUACAAGAUUACCCCGACGAGUUUUACCCUAAUUAUAUAAGUUGGCCAACAUGUUAGAGGCAAAGUGUGUUUUCUUGUUUUACUAUUGUCACAACAAAAGGUUUUCUAUGAUUUUAGUAGAUUGGAGAGAAGAUCCAAAGAGAUUUGUGAUAGGAACUCCAUUUAUAUCUAUCUAUUUAUAUAUGCAGUUUUUACACCACACCUAAUUGAUGUUAUGAAUUGCUUAGCCAUGUCUGAGUAGUUCUCUUGUUAGGUAUAGGGUUUAAAUAGGUUAUGAGGGAUUAGCUCCAGUUAUAGAUUGCUAAGUUGUGAUAUUCAUCAUUAGGAUUGUCAUUAAAGCUUGUUUCUAGUUUAGCUAACUACAACUUGAUCUAUGAGUUUGAGGUAAAGGUCAUUACUUGCAUCUCACCCUGAAUCCAUCGUAAUUGAGCCAAGAUUGCUAGAGUAAGGCGAGAGCUGAUCUAGGAAGCUUAGUGAGCACAUUCAACCCUCGCGUUAAAGCUUGGCCAAACGCAUCGAUCGAUAUCUAAUCGAAUAAUCGGUCGACGGUUCAACAAGUGUAUCGAUCGAUACUCAUAUAGAAUCAUCGACAACACUUAUAUCUGGUCAAUAGACAAACCUAGAAAGCGAGAGCCUAUCAGUUUGUUUAUAAGUGUUGAGCUCUAUAGUAUCAUGGAUACAACUUGUUAGGCAUCUGUAGGAUUAUAAUUUUGACUACCUGAAUAAAAACCCUAAGUCUAGCUAUUUUCAUCUAAGUACCAAAACCCCCAAUCAAAUCAAUCGACCAACUGCCAUGCUUACAAAUAUGCUUUUACAUUUAAUCAUAAUCAAUCUAGCUUAAUCAUUCUGAUUAGAUUUAUUAGGUUCCCUAGCUCCCUUUCAAUUCGAUCCUUAUGUACUACAACUGAACCUCUUAUUUGAGAGAGUAAUUCACUCCUUAGAGUAAUUUUAGUGAGAUCACAAACGUGAGACUAUGGUCACGGGUUCAUUGUCAUGGAGAAAGGUACAAUCUUAAAACAAGCAACAUAGCUGAAUCUAUUAACUCCGCAUUGAAGCUAGCAAGAGGACUUCCCAUAUAAUUCCUUUUGGAGUUCAUAAGGGAGAAGCUGGGAAGAUGGUAUUGGAAAAGGCGAGAAGAUGUUUUGAAUCUUACAACUCAACAUAGUCGGGGAAUUGAAUACUUAUUGGCGAUCCGUUUAGAGAUAGCAGAUAAGAUGAGUGUCCAACCAAUUGAUGGAUGGCGACUCUUUGUAACAUGUGGAAGACGGGACUGUGUUGUUGAUUUGGAACAUGUCAAGUGUGAUUGUGGUGUCUAUGGAAUCGAGAAAAUAUGUUACUCACAUGCUAUAGCAGCUGGAUCAUUUGGUUAUUUUGAAUAUCACCACACUUGUGUCCCCGCUAUAUGAUAGACCAUAUAUUUUACCCAUUUUUAAUCAUGGUCUAUAAGUGUUUAAAGUGUUUUAAGAUACAAUUAUUAUGUUUUGGAGUCUAUUUAGAGUAUUUACUGGAUCAGGAACGUUUAUGAGAAAUUUGGUGAUUUUGGAGUCUUUUGGAGCCUUUGGAGGUGCAGAGUUGCACAGACGCGUCCGAUGUUUAGCUAUGGAUUGAGACCUUCCGACUGUUAGCUUGAGCCCAUAUUUGGACACAAGAUAUAGCUUUGAGUUAGCUUUCCAAUGCCACCGGUCUCAGGUCAAUCAGCAUCCUGUAGCAGAAGUUAUGCCCGUUUUACUGAAGAGUGGUCAGUCUGCCUCGCGAGAGGAAGCUGCCGAGAAGAGAAAGCCACGUCGAUCGAUGCAGCACUCUGCACGUUGAUCGAUGGAGAUCCCAGAUCGUGGGCCUUGUAUAUUUUAUGACUGCGUGACCCAGAAGCCAAAAAUUACCAAAAUGCCCUUGGACGACCAGAAACCCUAUUUAUGUCAUUUCUAAGCCAUUGUUGACGGCUACGGUUCGCAAGACUUCUUUACACUUUCAUUUUCAUUGUUUCUCUGAGAGGAGAGAAGGGAGGAACUCCUAUCAGAGUCCUCUUGGAAGUCCUUUGGUUUUAUUGAUCUAUUUCAUUUCAGUUUUAUAUCUAUUCAUCUAUGAUUUCUAUUUUCAUGUCUGAGUAGAUCCACCUGUUAGAUCCAGGGUUCAGAUAGGUUUGCGGGAUUAGCCCCAAACUAUAGAUCUGCCUUGUUGUGAUAUUCAUGAUAGAUCUAUACUUAUUGCUUGUUCUAGAGUAAUUAACUAGAAUAUUGAUCAUAUGAUUGCAUACACAAGCAUCCUUGUUAUCCCAUCCUGACAUCUAUCUAUCAUAUUAGGAUUGCUAGAGAGGGCUAACCGCCAAUUUAGCAUCCUAAUAGGGAAAAUCAUCAUCGCACAUAGGCCUGGAUAGAACCCGUCGACGUAGGUAAAGGUGUAUCAGUCGACGUCCGAAUAGGACCAUCGAUCGACACUCUUUCGUUGUCAACAUACUAACCGUUGAGAUACGAGAUCUAGCGAGUUAACCAGUGAAACAUGCGACAGCUGAUCACUGAGUUAAGCGGUUGAGCUCUAACAUAUCAUGCAUGCAACAAAUAGAUACCUAUAGGAAUUAUAAUCUCCAACACCUGAAUAGAAACCCUAGAUCUAGCAACCAUCCUUCCAUCGAACAACUCUUGCCAAGCUGAACAAUUGACUUGUUCAACUUGUUUACUGCUUUGUUUAUUUAAUUGCUAUUUUAUAAUCUAUUAGCCUAGUUUAUUAUAACUUGUUUAGAUCUAAUCGGUUCCCUAGCUCCUUUUGGAUUCGAUCCCUAAGUACUAUAACUCGACCUCUUUUGAUGAGAGUAACACUCUUUAGGGUAAUUUGAGUGAUAUCAAAUUUGGCACCGUUGCCGGGGAGCUUUGAUCGCCAUUAGAUCAGUUAGAUUUCAGGUACAUACAUAUCAGUACCAGAGCAAUGAAGAGAGGAUUUCUAGGUCCUUCAAUUAAGAAGCCUGCUGGUCUAUGCACGAUCCAUAAGUCUAAGAGAGAAGCAUCGAUCGACACCUUCCAAGCAGCAUCGAUCGACAGCAUACACCAUCAAUCGAUCGACACCAUUCAUCCGACGUCGAUCGACAAACGACAAGCAGCGGUGAUCGACAAAGCCAACAAAUCGUCAAACAACAUUGUUCACCGAGGUACUAUUCAUCGAGGUACUGUUUAUCAUAAUACUAUUCAUUCUAGUACUAUUCAUCGCGAUACUAUUCAGCACGACAUUGUUCACCUACCGUCGAUCGACACUAUUCAAAUUCCGUCGAUCGCCACUAUUCAUGACUCGUCGAUCGACACUGUUCAUCCCGUGUCGGUCGACACUAUUCAUAUCCCGUCGAUCGACACUGUUCAUUCCGUAUCUGUCGACACUAUUCAUCUUCCGUCUAUCGACACUGUUCAUAUUCUGUCACUCGACACUGUUCACACGAACACUGUUCAUCCGAACACUGUUCACCGUGAUACUGUUCAUCCGAACACUGUUUAUCCCGUGUGGGUCGACACUAUUCAUCUUCCGUCGAUCGACACUGUUCAUAUUCCAUCGCUCGACACUGUUCACCCGAACACUGUUCAUCGCGAUACUGUUCAUCCGAACAAUGUUCAUCGAAACACUAUUCAUCGCGACACUGUUACUCCAAUGACGAACACCACUUACGGAGAGACAGAGAAGGUCGAAGCGCUCAUACUUAAGAUCGACAAGAAAGGUAUUUGGCGAGACGAAGAAGGUCGCCCUUGCAGCCGCACAGGACGAUUGAUUAAUGCAGAGGGUAAUGAAAUCCCUGAUGUAAUUGCUGUUGCUGAGAUGAAUACCUUUGAUCUGACAAGCCAAUGGUAUAAUUGGGGAAGUGAGGAUCUUUUCCGAGGUCUUCCUCAUGAAAAUCCCAGAAACCACAUCGAAGAGCUUGAGGGUCUAGUUUCAAGGCGUAAGCAGAAACAAAUAUCCGAAGACCUCAUACUCUGCAAGAUUUUCCCUUAUGCUAUCUCUGGAGAUGCUUUUAGUUGGUUCAGUAAGCUGCAGCCAAGAUUUCUAACCUGUUGGGAAGACAUCAAAGGCGCCUUCCUAGGUAAAUUUUUUAGCGAAGCUGUAGCAACUCGUAGUAGAAGGUUUGAUUACAUGGUGGACAAGAUGAUUGAAGAUCACGAAAAAGGAAUAAUCACUAGUCUUAGUCAGAUUAGUAUUAGUCAGAUUAUGGAUUUUGCCUAUAGCGAGCAGGAUGAAGAUAUUGGAAUCCCGACCACUCAUGUCAAGCAGCCAGACAUUCAGGUUCACCAUGCAGAUGAGAGUAAGCAGAAGGAUGAACUGAACAGAGAAAAGCUGGUCAACCAUGAUACAGUUAAGGAUGAUGAAUAUCAUGUAUCAGGAGAGCAGAGCAAAGUAGAAGAAGCUGAUACAAAAGAUCCGACUUCAGCAUCGAUUGACAGUAGUAACUCAAAAUCGAUCGAUAUCCGCACUUCAAAAACGAUCGGUACAGAUAUUUUUCAUCGAUAGAUACCUUCUACAAUCUCUGAUGCUACCAUUAUGUAUGUUAGGACUAGACGACCGAAGGAAAUUAGAGACUAUAACAGUCCUGAGAACGCCUAUGCUAAAAGGUAUGCAUUGCAUCGUUCAUCACUUCAGAAUACUGUCCUUGAGCUGCACCCUGCAUAUAUCUCUCUUGUGGGUCAGCAUUCUUUCCACGGUUUUCCUCAUGAAGAUCCCACUGGCCACCUAGAGACAUUUGUAGAUCUGGCAUCGACCAUCAAAUGCAAUGGAGUCUCUGAAGACUACUAUUUAUGCAAAUUAUUCUCAUACUCUCUUGCUGGAGAAGCAGCAUAUUGGUUUAGGAAGUUGCCACUAGGAUCUCUCACUACCUGGAAUGACAUCAGAUACGCCUUCCUCAACAAAUUUCUCUAUGAUGCUGCAGCAAAUCUAGAGAUUGAGAUAAGGUCUACGCUGGAAUAUAUGGUGGAGGAUGUUGGGGUCAAAAACGGUUACGACGGAAUUACCACCCGAAAAUCCUCGGAGAUCGUAUUUCCGAAAGAGUUAGUAAAAGAAGGGAUGUAAUUUCGUCAAAAUAACCUAUACGAGGUUUUUACGAAGAAGUAUCCUUGGGAUUCAAACCGAACAAACCAACCCGAGCCAAGCUCGGUCGCUACAUAGCGACCGAGCUCGAGCCAAAGCUCGGUCGCUACGAAGCGAACGAGCGAUCGUCCCGCUCGACCGAGCUCGAGCAAAGCUCGGUCGCUACGUAGCGACCGAGCGUCGUCCCGCUCGGUCGCUACGUAGCGACCGAGCUCAGCCAAGCUCGGUCGCUACGUAGCGACCGAGCGAUCGUCCGCUCGGUCGCUACGUAGCGACCGAGCUCGAGCCAAGCUCGGUCGCUACGUAGCGACCGAGCGAUCGUCCCGCUCGGUCGCUACGUAGCGACCGAGCUCAGCCGAAUCGGUCGCUACGUAGCGACCGAGCGAUCGUCCCGCUCGGUCGCUACGUAGCGACCGAGCUCAGCCAAGCUCGGUCGCUACGUAGCGACCGAGCGAUCGUCCCGCUCGGUCGCUACGUAGCGACCGAGCUCGAGCCAAAGCUCGGUCGCUACGUAGCGACCGAGCGAUCGUCCCGCUCGGUCGCUACGUAGCGACCGAGCUCGAGCCAAAGCUCGGUCGCUACGUAGCGACCGAGCGAUCGGGCCGGACGAGCGACCUCGAGCCAAAGUUCGGUCGCUACGUAGCGACCGAGCUCAUCUCGCUCGGUCGCUACGUAGCGACGACGGUCGCUACGUAGCGACCGGGCUCGAGCCAAAGUUCGGUCGCUGUGUAGCGAUUGAACCUUUCCGAACAUCGAUACGACACCAGUCCUUGCAUUCUCGUCAAACCUUCGAAUGCUAUCUCCCGAAGACCGUAGCAAGCUCAGUCCAUGUUUCCCGCUAUUCUAAUUCAUCGAUCAAACUUCGCGGAUUAGAAACCGCGGAAAACUCGUAGUAAACGUGUCGAGUCGGAAGACGGCCCAAAGGGACCUAAAACACGACUCGAGGCCCAUCCUACGAUUUUUCCUAACCAAAAGCCCGUGAACCACAGCAUGGUUCACGCUUGGCCCACGAGGAAGGAUAAAUGUCAAGUUUCCGCGGAUAAAUACGGAAGUUUUGGAGAUAAUUGUGAAGAUCGGGAAAAACGGAAUAUCUCCAUUUUUUGCUAUGACGGCUUAAGGGCAGAAGAGUAAAAGCGUAAACCGACCUUGGAGCUAGUAUAUAAGGAGUCCUAGGCGAGGAGCAGAGGAGAACUUUUUCAGAGCAAACUUGGCACUUAGAGCGAUUUAGGCAACUUUCCGUUUUUGUUAUUUCGAGCUGCGACUCAAUUAGGUUUAGCCGUCUUAGGGUUGCUAGAACUAGGAAUCUCGCCGACAGCUCUCGAGCCCAGGCUUAUACCUUGUUGUAACGCUCAUACGCAGAUUCGGAAUAAGAUCUACUUUGCUCUCUUUUCGAUUUCUUAUCUUUAUCGUUGUUAUUCUCGUGUUCUGAUUGCUUGACGUGUGGUAAUUAACAGAUAUCCGGGUCCUCUGGGAAACUAGGGUUUUCUUAGUUUCCUUAUUUAAACGGAAAUCGACAGUGCGAAUUUCGGUUCCCACAGUUUGGCGCUAGAAGGAGGGGGACUUACGGAUCAAUCUAACCCGCAAAAGCCACACACAGUCAGACAUGUCAACCAACGACGCGGAUAACGUGCAAACUCCCCUUAACGGAGGCAGCGGCACCGAUCUCCACACUCCGGUAGCGGACGUAUCUGCGGCCAACGCGCAAGCCAACGCCGCGACGCUCGAGGAGUUUAAAAAGAUGUUCGCCACCUAUGAAAAAAGGUCGGAAGAACAGGAUAAGCUCGUGAAUACCUUGACCAAACAGGUUGAAACCUUAACGGCAAGGACCCAAGCUAUCCGUCCCCGCGGAACCACCAAAAUCCGCGGGAAGAGGCUCGACUUCGCCACCCCACUCGAUAGAGCAGGAGUCGCGCGGGAACGACCUUCCGGUCAAAACCCCAGCGAGAAAUCUCCCAUCGAAAAGGGGAACUCUGAAAGUCUUCCGCCCCCUGCAAAGGACUCGGAGGAUAACGAAGCCGAACACAUUGACCUGGAUCCUAGCGAUGUCUCCAACGACACCGACGAGGAUGUCGACAGACAUCCAAGAAGGACCAGAAGCCGAUCCGCUCGGGAAGGCUCCCCGUUCGAAAAACCAAUGACGGAAGAAGAAGAAGUCGCCUAUUGGAACGAACAAGAGGAGCUGCUAUUGGAAACGAACAAGAGGACUGGCCGGAAGGCAAACGAGCUCACUCAAGUAAGCGCCGACAGGCUCGGAAAUCCACUGACGAGACAUUGGAUAUCCGCGAUCUUCGCGACUACAUCACUAAGACUGCGGCAGAAGUGAGAGCCGUAAAGUCUCAAAUCCAUCAUGCUACUAGUGCUGCCCCCGAGAUCAUCGACUGCUGGAAGGAGCUCGAAAGACCCCCUUUACCAGCCGCAUUUCGGACAUGAGGGUGUCCGAUCCGGGAAAGAUCAAAGUACCGAAGUACGAUGGUACGGCCGAUCCGAAAGCGCACCUUCAGGCUUUCCACAUCGCGAUGGGAAAGCAAGACUGAAGGACGGCGAAAAGGAUGCCGGCUAUUGCCGCCUGUUCGUCGAAAAUCUUGAAGGAGCAGCGCUCGAAUGGUUCGCACGCCUUCGUCGCAACACCAUCGGGAGUUUCGACAGCUCGCAUCGGAAUUCCUCAACAUACUCUGUAUUCAUAGACAGGGAAACCUCCGAUGUUGAUCUCUGGAGUUCUCCCAGAGGGAAGACGAACCCCUCCGCGAGUUUAUCAGUCGUUUCAAACUGAUAAUGUCCAGGGUCAGCGGGAUAAGCGACAAAGUGGCCAUCGACGCGCUGAGAAAGACGCUCUGGUACAAGUCGAAAUUCAGAAAAUGGAUAACUCUCGACGAACCGCGAACGAUCCAGGACGCCCUCCACAAAGCAACGGACUAUAUCAUAGUGGAGGAAGAAACUAAAGUCUUAUCGCAAAAACAUAAGCUGGUAAGACCAUCCUCGAAAGACGCAGAUCCGAAGGGGAAAAAGAAGAACUCUCGUAACGACAAGUACGUCCAUCACGAGGGGGAAGAUCUCCAAGGAGCGCAUAACUAUGCGAUCAAUUCGGAUCAAGGCCGACCACCACCACGGCAACACAUGGACUCGCAAUCAAGGGUAUGACGAGAACACCUUCUGCGAGUUCCACCAAUCCCGAGGACACUCCACGACUAAUUGCAAAGUCUUAGGAGCAAGACUGGCCGCUAAGCUGCUCGCUGGAGAGCUUUCGAAGUAACUAGCGUCAAGGAUCUCAUCCUCGAUUCUGAUCGGCCUCCAAGACGGACAGAAAUCCGCCCGCUGAAAAAUCUCCUCAACGAAACCAACCUGGGGAUAAACGCGGUAGGAGGCCGGACGACAAAGGGAACGAUAACAAUCGUCGCAGAGUCAAUAUGAUCAUCGAGAGAUCUCAAUACUGCGGCGAUAACCGUGUCGGCCAUCAAGGCUUACCAACGGAAGGCAGAAUCAAGCGCAAAUUGGCCUACAUGGUCUCCUCCUCGAGACGGCCAAAGUUGCUCGAUCACUUCAUCACGAGGAAGAAGCCGGCGGUAUCGACCAACCUCACUGCGACCCGCUCGUCAUAGAUCUCGUCAUACGAGAUUUAGAAGUCGGAAAGGUACUCGUCAACGUAAUCUUCCGCGACACUCUCAAGCGGAUGAGUAUCGAACUCGGAGAGGUAAUUCCGACGCCAAAACCACUCACGGGUUUUUCAGGCGAAGUGUCGAUGACUCUCGGAUCAAUCCAAUUGCCAGUCAUGGCCAAGGAGAUCACGAAAAUCGUCGAAUUCGCGGUAGUCGACCAUCCCGCUAUCUACAACGUGAUCAUGGGAACCCAUGGCUCAACGCCAUGCAGGCAGUUCCGUCAACUUACCACCUGGGUCUCAAGUUCCCAACGCCGAGCGGAGUCGCGGCCAUCUGGGAUGCCAAAAACAGUCGCGACUAUGCUUCCUCGCGGAGCAUAAGUUAAGGCAAAUCACGGCUUCUGGGGCAGUUCCGUCAACUUACCACCUGGGUCUCAAGUUCCCAACGCCGAGCGGAGUCGCGCCAUCUGGGGAUGCCAAAAACAGUCGCGACUAUGCUUCCUCGCGGAGCAUAAGUUAAGGCAAAUCACGGCUUCUGGAAACGGCAAACGCGCGAAGAUCGAUCGAUCUUCGGCCAAAAGCGCCCCGCACAAGGACGAAGUAAAAUCGUCUGUCAACGCAAAACGCAUCGGACGUCGAAGCUCGACAUAAAUCCGAAGCCCACGCGACAACUCAACCGGAACAUCCGGAAAAAUAGCGACGACCCAGCCACAAUCGACACGGUCAAGGCGGACAUCGCGACACCAACGCCGAGUAAGAACACUCGCGGCAUGAAACAGAACUACGAGAUGGCUUGAUUCCUCGAAAGGGGUACGUAGGGUAGCUUGUCAAAAGACGAGUUCAGCGAGCCCCCCCUCUUUAAAAAGGGGGGGGGAGUGGGGUGCGUAUACUCGUAUACUUCCCACAAUCGCCAUUAUUGUAAUCAAGUUUUUAGAAACAUAAAUAUUUUUUACAAUAUACACUGUCUUUUUAUCGAAAAGCUUACGCUUCAGUUUACGCUCGUGCUGGCCUCAUCCGGCCAAAAAUCGUAAAGAUUAUCACUUUCAAACCACGCAAAAAUACACGCAUAAUCCUCGAAAAAAACUGCGAGACGUCGCAAAAAGUUAAAAUUCGAGGACAAUGCUAACAAAUUGUCAGAACGCGACCACAAAAACCCUUACACCCCCCCGUUCGUCGAUUGGCCCCGGACGACACACGCCCAGCCGUCUUAAAACAAACGCAAUCCGAUCACUCUUUUGAUCUUUAAAAACGUCCAGCACAAGGACAAAAGCGCGCUACAACAAAAAUCCAAAAUUUUGGUUUAGCACUUCCAGUGAUUCUGAGAAGAUGCUCGAUCGUACCAUACAAGUCAUAUUAGCCGAGAACAUAUCGCGGACUUUAAACCGGUGCGAGUCAGGAAGAAAUCGCAACAGGAAAAACGAUAGCCGGCUAGUCACCGCACAAACCUUAACCGAAAGUAAACCUAGGUCUUGCCCUAAACCCAACGCUCUGGUCUCAAACAUCUCAAGGCAUGAUAUCUAAAAGAUACGAGAUCAUAAACCCAUGCCUCUCCGUUCGUAUCUCAAUGUUCUCGAAAAUCGUAAAGACAGAUAAAUUUUUACGAAAAUCACGAACGAACCAACAGAUUGAACGUCUAAUUAGAACUACAUACGAGACGACAACUCGUAUUUACUUCAACCCUACUCAAGAGAAACUCGAAACAAAACAUUUAUCAUAUAAAUAAACCGCGUAAAGCGGCAAGGGAUUCAAAGCCACCAACGGCCAGUCCCGGAAAUACAAAUACGGCCAUCUAGGCCUAAACGAAAUCCCAAUUCAAAGGGCCACAUUCGCCGAAAACAAGGAUAACUGAUCCAUCCUCAUAAUCCAAAGUCAAAGUCCCCGACAACGAAGCACCAAACGCAUCCGCAGGACGAUCCACUUCCUCGCCACCAUCGUGAAAUCGAUCGGGACCUCCUCGGUAUCAGGAGGAAAACCGGAUGGAAUCACAAACCUUGAAUCCUCUCGUCGAUCGAGGGAUAAGCGCCUCCGCGUGGGCACGGUCACUCAUCCCACUCUUCAUCAAGCUCAUUUUCUCUUCAAACACAUAGUCGUCGGCUGCGUCCUCCAAAGACUCCGACCGAACCGCGGCACUCGCGAAAGUCGCCCACCGAGGUAAAGGCAUUCUUAAGAUUCCCGUACUCAACCUGGAACUGAGAUGCACGAGUCUUCAUCAUCUCGACGAUUUCUCUUUUGCCUUUCCUCUCCGCUUUACGAACAGCCCGCGCAUGAUCACGAAUAAGCUGCGCUUCUCGCUCCAGCAUCUCGCUUUGCACGCGAGCGAGAUCCCGCUCCGCUUUCUCCGCCUUGAAGCGGUAGACCAUGGCUUCUAUAUGACCCGCCUCGAUGGCCGAGCCCAGCAAGCUCAGGCCCUGCAAAAUCGAUGGGCGUGUUACAAAUCCAUACAUAGGAUAAUCCCAAAAAAAAAACUAACCCCAUUGAUGAUGCGAGAUCCUUCCGCAACGACUCUCGGCCUCCCCGAUUCUUUCGUAGGAGGAGGAGCAUCGAAACCCGAUGGCAGCCCCGCAAAGAAAUCAUCGAAAUCCGGAACGGGGGCCUCGCUCGAACCGCUUACGUCGCCAUAAGCAAGGUUCGGAUCCCAUCCUGGAAGCAUAGAGUCGUCCAUCGAAAACUCUAUGUCGCCAAGAUCGACAUCUUUUCCCUUCCAAGAGCUCGACUCCGGCACAGCUGUCGGAGCCUCGACGGGAUUCUGGUCAUCGGGUUCGGAGUCGCUUCCCGUAUCCGCGUCCAAAGCUGGACCAGGUUGCGCAAAUUUCAGUGCCUUCCGAACCCUUCUCGGCGUGAAAGAAGUCCAGAAGAAGGGACCAUUCCUGAGAAGAUCCCUCACCGCAAUAAUGUCCUCAGGGAACGGAGCAAGAGGAUUGAUGAAGGGACGAUUGUUCGGCAACCUCCGGAACAAUGGAAUGCAACUCUCUUCGACGGAUGCAGCGUCCAAACGAACAAAGAAAAAGAACUUCUUCCACAAGUUGAAGUUCGAAAUGAACUUCUUAACCACCGACAUAAAUUUCCGAGGGACAAACCUAUGCUUAUCCGUAUCCUUGACAAGUGAAGCCUCAAAAGCGCUUCAUAAUGAUCAACGAAAGGAAAGGCCAUGCUCAUAGCUUAGGAUCACGAUCCCAAUAAGGUGCUGAAUGGCAAGGGGUGUCAACUGACUUAUCGCGACUUCGAAGCGGUCCAACACUCGACGAGAAUUUCGGGUAUGGGGAACCAGAGGCGACAACGCACUAUGAACGCCUCAUAACAAGUAAAAGUAACCCUCCGGGGGGUUAUUAGCGCAUUCCCCGCGGCAGGGAACCCGGAACUCCACAACGGCCGGGAUGUGGUAGAACGACCGCAUCGUCGCGAGAAACUCGUCAGUAGUCCUGCUUGCGUCCUCUUCCUCGACUUCACGAUGGACCAGGACCGGGAAUGGCUUCUCCUUGGGAAGGAUCAACGAGCCAUAAUGAGCAACCCACCAUGCCUCGUUCUCGGCAGGAUGCACCGAGUGAGGCACGAACUCCAUCUUCGGAACGACGAGCUCUUCGUAAGGGCUCGCGGACGAAGACCCUUUUUUCGCAAUCUUUUUCUUGCUCGACAUCUUUGCACUUCUCUUGAGAGAAUAGAGGAAAAAGGGUGGAGAGAAAGAUAAGUUUGUGAAAGAUCUUAGAGAAAAACAAGAAAGUGAAAAAAUUAUGGAACAAGUUACCUCUCUUCUUAUAAGACAUGAGGAUUUACUAUUCAAGCUCAGACUUUCGGAUAUUAAUUCCACCCAUCACGCCUAACUUGCCAAACAUGCCUAACCGCACACUAGGAUCCUACGAUGCAUGAUCCUAACGGGCUGGGGGGGCUAACUGUUGGGGUCAAAAACGGUUACGACGGAAUUACCACCCGAAAAUCCUCGGAGAUCGUAUUUCCGAAAUAGUUAGUAAAAGAAGGGAUGUAAUUUCGUCAAUAAACCUAUAACGAGGUUUUUACGAAAAAGUAUCUUUGGGAUUCAAACCGAACACCAAACCCGAGCCAAGCUCGGUCGCAAAUAGCGACGAGCUCGAGCCAAAGCUCGGUCGCUACGAAGCGACCGAGCGAUCGUCCCGCUCGGGUCGCUACGUAGCGACAAGACCGAGCUCGAGCCAAAGCUCGGUCGACUACGUAGCGACCCGAGCGAUCGUCCCGCUCGGUCGCUACGUAGCGACCGAGCUCGAACCAAAGCUCGGUCGCUACGUAGCGACGAGCGAUCGUCCCGCUCGGUCGCUACGUAGCGACCGAGGCUCGAACCAAAACUCGGUCGCUACGUAGCGACCGAGCGAUCGUCCCGCUCGGUCGCUACGUAGCGACGAGCUCAAGCCAAAGUUCGGUCGCUACGUAGCGACCGAGCGCUCCUCCGCUCGGUCGCUACGUAGCGACCGGGCUCGAGCCAAAGUUCGGUCGCGGUGUAGCGAUUGAACCUUUCCGAACACGAUACGACACCAGUCCCUGCAUUCUCGUCAACCUCGAAUACUAUCUCCCGAAGACCGUAGCAAGCUCAUCUAUGUUUCCCGCUAUUCUAAUUCAUCGAUCAAACUUCGCGGAUCCAAACCCGCGGAAAACUCGUAGUAAACGUGUCGAGUCGGAAGACGGCCCAAAGGGACCUAAACACACGAGUCAAUGCCCAUCCUACGAUUUUUCCUAACCAAAACCGUGAACCACAGCAUGGUUCACGCUUGGCCCACGAGGAAGGAUAAAUGUCAAGUUCCCGGGAUAAAUACGGAAGUUUUGGAGAUAAUUGUGAGAUCGGAAAAACGGAAUAUAUCCAUUUUUUGCUAUGACGGCUUAAGGGCAGAAGAGUAAAAGCGUAAACCGAAUGGAGCUAGUAUAUAAGGAGUCCUAGGCGAGGAGCAGAGGAGAACUUUUUCAGAGCAAAUUGGCACUUAGAGCGAUUUAGGCAACUUUCCGUUUUUGUUAUUUCGAGCUGCGACUCAAUUAGGUUUAGCCGUCUUAGGGUUGCUAGAACUAGGAAUCUCGCCGACAGCUCUCGAGCCCAGGCUUAUACCUUGUUGUAACGCUCAUACGCAGAUUCGGAAUAAGAUCUACUUUGCUCUCUUUUCGAUUUCUUAUCUUUAUCGUUGUUAUUCUCGUGUUCUGAUUGCUUGACGUGUGGUAAUUAACAGAUAUCCGGGUCCUCUGGGAAACUAGGAAUUUCUUAGUUUCCUUAUUUAAACGGAAAUCGACAGUGCGAAUUUCGGUUCCCACAGAGGAUGAUGAGCAACAUGAGUCUGGAAAGCUGAGCACAGUAGAAGUAGCUGAUAUUAGUGACACGAGCUCAUCAUUGAUCGACACCCUUACCAUAACAUCGAUCGUCACCCCCACCUCAUCGUCAAUCGACCCAGUACCUCAGAAAUGAUCGACACAAACUUUUGUCAUCGAUCGAUUCCAUUUGAAAUCCCUGAAAGAUCGAGUUGUCCUCAGGACAUUGCAAACUCGACACAGGAGAGCAUCGAUGAAUCAAGCUGUGAUCUUACCUCAGAUGUCGACAAAGUCACUCUGAAAGACUUUCUGGAGUUGGAAGAAUGGCUUCAGCAGAAGCUUGAUGAUCAGCCCGCUUCGGGAAAAGGUCUGGAAAAUUCCUUAAAGGCUGACGACAUCGACCGACAUAAACCUGAUGAGAUCGAUCGACACCCACCCUAUGACAUCGAUCUACAGUCGCCGUCUAACAUCGAUCAACAUACACCCGACUGUAUCGCUCUAUACCCACCCGAUUGCAUCGAUCGACACCCAUGUUUGGAUGAACUAUCAGGAUACAUGAUUGAACCAGAACUGGUUGGAAGAAAAGAACACAUGUCUGGAGCCUCACACCUUGCUGUCCUCGAAAAUCUAAGACUACCUCUAUGCGAAGAAGAAGCUAUUGGGAUUUGCAAAAGAGUGAAGAGGAUACAUGAUCCUGUGAAGUUUGUUGUUCCAUAUGAAGUGUUUGAAGCUGAAUCUCCUAUCCCACCAGAUAAAAGUAUGGAGUUAAGUUUCUAUGUUGGAGUAUUUGAUGAUAAUAAGUACGUAGAAGCUUCUCAAAGAGGGCUGCGAUUUAGAGAUGAAGUAGAUAACUGCCAAGUAGAAGUACCAUCGAGCGACAUCAACAGAACAAAAUCGAUUGACACUAUCAUUUCAUCAUCGAUCGAUACCGGCCAGAUACCAUCGAUCGACACCAGACGCGAAUCAGAGCAGAAAGAGUAUGAAUUGUGUGGAAAUAUUUUUUAUGGAGAUACCACGACGCUUUCAGACAAGUCUGGGGGAAAGUAGUGGAGGAACUGGAAGAAGAAAAAGAGAAUCAAUGAAGGUUCUCAAUUAUCAUUGAUUCCUCACUUCUCAGAUGAUGCCAGAAAGUCCAGAGUGAGAUUACACAAGUCUGUGGGAAAGAAGGGGAGAAAUUGGAAAAAGCGGAAACGAACCAAAGGAGGUUCUCAAUUACCAUUGACUCCUUACUUUUCAGAUAGUAUCAGAAAAUCAAGAGUGCGCAGCAAAUGCUUCUCACAUCCAUAUGCAAAACUUAAAGCACUCUUUAUUGCUGAAAUGAUAGACAAAGGAGAAGGUAUAUGGAGGAGGCUUUCACACAAGAAUGAUAAAGCUUGAAAGAGUAGACAUUGAGACUUGAUUUGGAGCAAGUUCUCAUUCUCAUCCGAACUGAAUCAGAUCUCCAGAAGUCAAGCUAAUGACUAAAAAUAAGCGCUGAGUGGGAGGCAAACUACUAUUAGGUUUGUUUUAAAUAUGGUUUAAUUUUCAUUUAUUACUGAUUUUUCUUGUUUUCUAAUGAUUUCAGGUAAAAUAAAAAAUAAAAAAAUGUGUGAACAGUAACGACGGCACUGUAGCAAACACACUGUAGCAGCAACAUCGACCGACACUGUAGCAGAAAAUCGGGGGUUACUGUUCAUCGAGAAAAAAAAAAUUAUUAGUUAAUUGGUUUUAUUAGUUAUAUAUUACUAACUUUUAGACUUUUAGUGUUUUAUUUAUGUUAGGUAUGAGGAAAAAAAUCAGAGGAAGACGAGUUUCCCUAGAAAUCGACGAUGGCUAGCUAACAUCGAUUGACAGAGUAUCAAGGGUAUCGAUCACCACUUAACUGUGUUGGUCAAUGUUCACAUUAAAGGAUAAGUAUAUUGUUUUUCCUUGUUAAAUAUUGUCCUUAUGAUUUAUUCUCCCACCAAUCUUAGGUUGAAUAACAUUGGUCACAAUGUUAUUUCACUACAAGAAAACAUUUAUUUACCGACUACAAUAUCAGUAAUUAUUCAGUCGCAAAACGUAACAUAACGACUGAUUUGCGACUGAUCAACGUGGUCGCAAAUUGCUGUGUCGCUAAUACGAGGAGUCGUUAAUAAGUCACAAUUUUGCGACUGAAUUACGACUAUUUUUUCACUGUAUAUUGUAGUCGUAAAAUAGACGCAAUUAAGUCGCAAAAUAUACCGACUGAACUACUACUAUCCAAAGACCAAACUACGACUGUUUAUCAGUCGUUAUGUAGACGGGAAAUUGUAGUCGCUUAUUAGUCGUUAGAAGGGAGUCGGUAGAUAGUCGCAAAAUUAGCGACUACCCAAUGACUGAUUACGUACACCAUUAGUGACUAUAUAGCGACUGAGUUGUUGAUUUAGAUGUGUAAUAUGUGGUUAUCUAGCGACUACAUUGCGACUAAAUUUUGUGACUUAUUAGCGACUCCAAGAUUCAAAAAUCACAAAUCAGAUUUUUUUGAUUUUCUUUUUUUUUAAUUAAUUUGUUCAUUUGCAGUAAAACAAUGACAAUAAUAAAAACGAAAAUUUUAAUAUAAAACAGAGAAUUCAUAACAUAAUGUUGCAAAAGGCACUCUAAGGAGUUAAGCAUUAGCAUACAAAAUAUUAUAGUAGUACAAGAGUAGGGAACCUAAAAUUCAUCUUCAUCUUCACUUUCAUCUUCCCCUUCAUCUUCACCUUCUUCACCUUCACCUUCACCUUCACCUUCACCUUCACCUUCCACCUUCACCUUCACCUUCACCUUCACCUUCACCUUCACCUUCACCUUCACCUUCACCUUCACCUUCACCUUCACCUUCACCUUCACCUUCACCUUCACCUUCACCUUCACCUUCACCUUCACCUUCUUCACCUUCAUCAUCAUCUUCACCUUGAUUAGCAGCCAUGAAGGCCAAAAACUUUGGAUCAGUUGCAGCCAGAUACUUCUUCACCAAGGAAAAACUUUUGAGCUUUUCUGCUUGCUUGGCAGUGUAAGCCGCCUGCUUCUCAAUCUUCCGGUGAGCAUCGCUGAGCUGUUUUUUGAGGUCUACGUACGAAGAAAAGGAUUCACAACGCUUGCGCUUUCCGUUGACAAUAGUACUUUCUAGGCUUCCUAUUCCAUAGUGUCUUCCUCUUUUGUCUGUGACAGUGGACUACAAAAGCAAAGGAAGUAGACAGAUAUCAAUCAAAUCAAACAAUAUGUAGUAAAAAAUAUCCUUAAAAAAAAGGGAUACAAAAGCAAUUUACCAGAAGGAAGAGCUCAUUAUCCUGGUCUAGAGAGAGUUGUGGAGGGUGUGAAGUACCAUCUGAACUCUCUGAGUUUUCAGCUUGAAGGUCAGCCAGCUUGGCUUGCUUGUUCUUCUCAUAGGCCUCUGCAAUUAGCUUUGCUUUCUUAUCUACAAAUCUGCCUCUCUUUUUUUGGUGUGUGCCUUGAUGAAAACUUCACCAAUAGUCACUGGUCUGCCCAAUUCUUCAACCUGAAAUGCUAAAUAAAAUAAAGGUUAAUGAGCCAGAAAAAUUUCAACUUGGAGACAGGAAAAGAAGUUACCAUUUCUUGUUCGAUUUGGAGGUAAUGCUUCUGGCCAGCAUUGUGCUUGUGAGGACCAAGACCAUUUUGGUCAGACAACCGAGCAGCUGAUGUUGUCUCGCUUUUUUGUUGGGCUUUAGCAGUGUCCCAGUAAGCUGUCAUUUCUUUCCACAGAUCAUUCAAAAUCCAGGAUGGUCGAACUCGAGACUUCCUACGCUUGCUAACCAUGUCCUUCAUACGUCGCUGACAUACCUGCCCGAACUUCUCUUGAACCACACCAGUAUAUAUGGGAUUCCAAGUGUGAGUUUUCUACAAAAAUAAGACAAGGCUGAUGUUAGUAAUCAAAUAAAUCAACAGUUUAGUAGUUUAGAAGAAAAUACUAAACUGCAACUUAAAAACAGUUGCAAUCCCAUACAAUAGCAAUUAAGAAAAAAAUACUUAACUGCAAAUUCAACAAAGAAUUUUUCUUUUUUUUCCUGAUCGACGCAAGUCCAACUGUAGAAGGGACCAUCAAACUUGUUUGUAAAGACUUUAGUGAUCCUCCGAGUCAGUUUACCUUUGUCCCGACCAAACCUAGAAACACAGAAACAUUAGUAUAAGGCCGAGAGUCAUAUCGUAUAAAAACAAUUAUCAAUCAUAGAAAACUCAAAAUAUUCUAACAUCUCAAAGCUAAACAAUUUCGAACUCUCCAAACAAAAUUAGCAAAAUACAAUUACCAAUGACAAACAAUAUCAUAAGCAAACUGGAUAUGUCCCUUGAGUAUUUCACAGAAACAAUUAUCAAUCACAGACACAAUCUCAUAAGCUUAAAAUAUUCAGAUAGAUAAGUAACUAACCACAUGGUUCCAGGCUCGAAGGUGGGAGAAAGGCUCAUGGUGUAGCGCUCUCGGCCGGGCUGGGAGAGAAGGGCGUUGAGAAGCCUCAUCUGGUCUUCAGACAGAUUCGGUUCUACUGGAAAUGGUGAGUUGGGGACUGGUUCAUCCUCAUCUGGACCUUCUGGAGCUUCAGUAUUCUGUGAGUUUUGAGCUUCAGAACUGAUAGGAGAUUGUCGCCUAAUAGAGACCGUAGGUUGUCGAGGUCGAACAUUGGCUGAUGUUUGAGACCCUCGAGGUUGUGGUGGUGGAGCUGGUUGAGAAAGAGGCGUUGAAGCAGCUCGAGGUUGGGUCCUCGGCGUAGACUCCUCGAACAGCUGUCUCUGAGGUGGGUAGUCACUCACCAUUGGUCCAGCUCUGCGGUUGCCACGAGGUGGAGGCUCUGUUGUCCUUGGAGUGAACUCAUACUGCGACGGUAGAGGAGAUGGUUUAGACCGUUUUGAGGGUUUCCGAACCUUCUUCGUUGAUGUUCCGGCCAUCGUCUUCAGUUUCGAGAGAGAGCGAUUAGGGAUUACGACAGACAGUUUCGAUUAGGGUUCUAAGUGUUUGGGGAUUUUCGAGAGAGAUUUGUGUCGCUAGAGUAGAGAAAGAGUGAUUUUAUUAACUUUGGUCUUUGGGUUUGUAGAGUUAAUUGGGCUUAAGCGGGGAAUGAAAUUUAUGGGAGGGAAAUUAUUGGGACUAAAGGGAGGAAUUAUUUAGUUGAUAGGAGGGAAACUAAAUUAGCAAAUUUUGUGGACUUUAGGGGUUAGGGAUGGGUUACGAAGGUUUAGUGUGUUGGGGGUUAGGGAUUUUCUUAUAAUGAAACAAAAUGAAAUCAUAAAGUACUUUUAUAAUAUAGUUUAAACACACAGUUUACAAAAAUAUAUUUCAAUACACAUUAAAACAAAAUUUACAAAAUACUAGGUUAAGACCCGCCCCUUGGGCGGGAUGAAUAUUAUAUAUAAAUUAUUUUGAAGUAUUAUAUAUUUUUUACAUAUUAUGAAAUAAUAAAUAUAUAUUGAAUAAUAAAAAAUUUAGUAACUAUUACGUAUGUAAUUAAAUUGGUACAAAUACUUAAAUAAAUUUUAUUAAUCGAGACAAAUACUUUUUCUAUUUUAUAUGUUAUAAAAUUAAGUUUACAUGAUAUUAACAUAGAUAUAAAGUACAUUUUUAAUAUUGACAUCUGCUAAAAAAUAUUUUAUACUCUUAUUAUUUUGAUCGUUUGUAUUUCUUUAUAACAAAUUUUUUAAAUAAAAGAUAACAAUAAAAAAAUUAUGGGAUGUUUAAUAGUUUUAGUAAUUUAUAAUUUUAAAAAUAUUCAAUGCAAAGUUUAAAAUCUAAAUAUUAAGUUGUCAAUAAUUGUUCAAAAUGUUUAUCAAAAACAUUCAAUGCAAAUUCGAAAUUAAAAUACUUAUGUAUUUUAUAUUUUAUAUGGUAUAUAAUGUAUUUUAAAAAAUAUUAAUAUACAUAUAUAUAAUAUUUAUUAAAUGAGACUUCCUACUUCUGUAAUUUCAUAAUCAUUUGUAUCUUGUUAUAACAUAAAGUUUAGACCAUGGAUCACAAAAGUUUCAAUGUGAGAUUUUUAACAACUUUAGUCAUUUAUAUUCGUUUUUAAAAAUUUUAAAUAUAGCAUAUACGAAAAAAUCUAAGUUAACAUGGUUGUUCAAUUUAUUUUAAUUAGUUAAAUUUUUUAAAAUGAUAGAAUAGAGUAAUUUUUAUCAAAUAUUUUAUUAUUCAAAAUCAUUAAUUGUCAUAUAUAAUUUAGCCACAUUAGGUAAUUCCGUGAUUUUUAUUUAAGGAAACAAUGAAGAACAUUUAUGAUUAGUUUAUGGUUAGUUUAAUAAAAAGUUUAUUAUACAUUUAUAUGGACCAACAUAUUUUUCUAAGGAUUCUAAGAAUGAUUGUGGUGAUGACAUGUGGCUACAAAAAUAUGUUGUGAUGCUUCUCUUUUAAUAUAUAGGGGAUAUUACAACACACUAAAACAAAGCUCACAAAUUUAUAUUACAAUACACAUUAAAACAAAUUUUACACAAUUAUAUCACAGUACACACUAAACAAAAGUUUAAAACAAAGUUUACAAAAUUAUAUUACAAACACACAUUAAAACAAAGUUUAUAAAAUCAUACUACAUUUUAAUAGGGUUCUUCUCCAUCUCCAUCAUCAGAAGAAGACGAUGAUACAUUACAUUGGAAUUCAUCCUCUGGUUCAACAUCUUCCACAUCAAUAUCAAGAUUUAUAGGUUGUACCCGAGCAUGAACCAAAUCGUCGACUGCAAGUUCUUCAAUUGUAGUCAUUAAAACAGCAUCAUCAUUUUCUUGUUGCAACAGUGUCGGUUCUUUAUCUUCAUAUUCUCCUGAAAUGAUUCUCCUUGGAUUCACUUUUAAAACAUUGAGCCACGACUGCUUUGGUUUCUUAACGUACGGAUACGGGAUAUAACAAACUUGAUCUGCUUGAGACGCUGUGCAAUAUCAAAUAAUAAGAAUAUAAUUAAAUUAACUAUCAAAUUAUAAAAAUUUAAUUACAACAUAAAAUACGUACCUAGAAUAAGUGGUUCGUAUUUAUAGUAUUUCCGCGAUGAAAGAACGUCGACGAUGCCUCCAUUUCUCCGUUGAGUGCCUCUACCAAUUACCGGAUCAUACCACUUACACUUAAAAAGUGUGAUUUUCAAAUUGACCGAUCCCUCAUACUGAAUUUGUAUGAUAUCAGUCAAUAUCCCGUAGUAAUUGGCUUCAUCGGAUGCAUUUGUGUAACUUUCUCCUUUAACACUCACACCAUAAUUACAUGUCUUUCUUCCCUCGCCAUGCUUCUGCGUAUGGAACAAAUAGCCUUUUGUGAAGUACAUGGGCCAUGUUCUGGUCCUAGUCAGGGGUCCAUUCGAAAUAUCUUUAACCCACACAGGAAAAUUAUAUGUGUUGCUCCAAUAGCUAACCUGCAACAUAUAUAUAUAUAUAUAUAAUUAUAAUAUAUAUAUAAUUAUAAACAUUUAGUUAUAUAAUGGUAUGUUAGUCAAACGUACAUAAUCUUUCACCCAUAAAUGAUAUUCGUCAGCUCUCUUCGCAGAGAGGUCUUUUUCGGAGAGGUCUGGUAUUUUGCACUAAGAAAAUCUUCAAACAUCCUAUAUUAGCCAAACACAAAUUAAUAUGGGCAACUAUAGUUGGAUAAAUCAAUAUGGAAGAUGAUAAUAUUAUCAAAUUAUACCUCUCAGGUGGCUGAAAAUAAUCACAAUUGCGUAAAACAUAUGCAUGUGCGCAUCUAUAGUCUUUCUCGGAAAGCCAUAUUUCUUGCAUUUCUCCACUUGGACGUCCUACGUGCGUAAAUAUAUCAGGUACUCCAGGGACAUGAUAUACGGGGACUUCACCUUCAUCAAAUCUUGUGAACCUGCACAAAGGAUUAUGAAAUUAAUAAAUAUUAUAUAUAACAAAGGCAUUUUUAAACACAUUAAAAUUAAAUAUGAGGAAUAAUGAUAGUGUUUACCUUGAUUUGGUUUGUAUAUGAUCAGAAAAGUAGUGUUCUGAGAAGUAAGCUAUCUCCUCGUUGAUAUAUGAUUCGACAAUCGAGCCGGCCGCAAAUCUUUUGUUCUUGGCUUUUGCUUUCAAUUUUUUGAAAUUCCUUUCAAAAACAUACAUCCACCUAUAUUGCACAGGUCCUCCUAGUUCAGCUUCGUAUGGGAGAUGUAUAGGCAGGUGUUGCAUGACGUCAAAAAAUGAUGGUGGAUCUUCUCCAAAUUGCAGAUGAUCAUAACAAUGUUUUCUUUAAGAAUUUGGACAUGAUUUUUCUGCAAAGUUCUCGAGCAAAGGUCACGGAAAAAUCCUCCAACAGCUACAAUAUUCAAAAUUAGGGAUGUCAAAGGAACCUGUGGCCCGCGGGAUAGGCCCGUUUAGACCUGUGGCGGGGCGGGCUUGGGCCCGUGAUUUCACGUCCCGCAAAGAAGCGGGCCUCGCGGGAGAGGCUUGUCGCGGAACCGGACCCAAAGCGGGCAAGCCCACAGUGACCCGCGGGUUUCUCCAUGUCCCGCAACCCUAAUCUUUAUUCUUGUCAUUUGCUCUUCACCUGAAAAAAAACGCGAGAGAGAUAGAGUGAAAGGCGAUGUGGUUGCGACUUCCACCGUGGAAAGAAACAGAGCUCCACCGAUGACGACGGCGGUUCGCUCUCCCGACACUGCUUCUGCUCACUACUUCGUCUUCGAACUGCAGUCUGCAGCAGAGGAGCUAAAACGACAAGGGUCCGACAAAGUAGAUUCUUAUUCUCCGAUGUGUCUUCCGUUCUUCCCUACGAGCUUCCAAACUCCACAGAUAGGACAUGCAUGUACAGAGUUAUGUAUUUCAGACAAAAAAUUGAAGUUCUUUUGGACUUAUAAUCUCUGCUUUAACUCUUGUUUUUUUUUUCAGGUUGUUAGAUAAGAAGACCAACAAGAUCCGAAAGGUAGUGAUCUAGCUUAGCGAUCUAUAGUUUGUGUUAUGUCUUAUCUAGAUUAGCGAUCCAUGUAAACAAAUUGAACAACAAGAUCUGUAAGCGUUCUGUUAGAUCCGUCUAUUAAAAAGACCAAUAAGCGUCUGUUGGUUUCAUCGUUUGUUUGUAUAUUUGUGUUCUGUCUUUGAUUCGUUGUAGCUUUGCUUUCAGGUAACAACAGUGUUGAUCGACAAUGCUUAUUGUCUGAGGUAACCUUGCUUUUAUUUAGUGAUAAAAAUUCUAUAUAAUAGAACAAAAAUAACUUGUGUUCAGUAUCUGAUAUGUUUGUUUGUCGCGUUGUAUUUGUUUUGUGUUCUGUGUUGAGGUGAUGGAGUGAUGGUGAGAAAGUAGGCGACUUGGUCAUCUUCUUCUCCUCUUAGACAGCUUCAGAACAUCAGGUUAGUCACUCUCUUACCCAGAACUAUUAAUCAGUGAUAGGAGAACUCGCUAUCUCAUUGUGUUGUGUUGACUAGUUCGGCGAAUCUUAUUGUCUUGUGUUGAGUAGUGAUAUGUCUCAUCUUUUGUUCUUUUGUACAUACAGAGAAGAGAUCAAGCGGAGUAGUAGAUUGCGUGCUUCAAUUUUUCAUGUUCAUCAACGACUUCACCAAGACGGUUGCUGGCGACAAAGGAGAUUGCGUGCCAAGGUUUGUGUCCUGAACUGUCUUUUUUUUUUUUUUUUUUUCUAUAAACUGAAUGAACUGUCUUUUCUAUGAACUGAACAAUGUUUGUGUGCCAAUGUUCAUUCAGUAUCUGAUAUGUUUGUUCAGUAUCGUUUGUUUCAUCACGUGUAGUUAUUUUUUUUUUUGUGUUCUAUGAACUGAAUGAACUGUCUUUUUUUUUUUGUUUGUGUCCUGUGAUGAGAACAAUGAAGGAUUGCACGAGUACAUACACCACCUGGUCGAGUAGUUUCCAGCUUCAGCCGAUAUAGGAGCUUUAAGGACCUCAGGUUAGAAAGCUCUUAAACGUAUGAAACUUAGAUGGCUUUGCGUAGGUUAUCGGAUCACUGACUUGUUUAGGUUGCUUUCGUAUAUGAUAGAACAUUAACUUGUUUAGAUGGCUUUGCGUAGGUUAUCGGAUCACUUGCUGUUUAUGUUGCUUUGCUUGUUUACGUUGCUUUGCUUGAUUACUUGUGUUUGUGUACUUGUAUAAUAAAAUUUGGAAUUUUGAAAAUCAACAAUUAUAACAGAUUUUAAAAAAUAUAUUAAGAAAUUUUUUAAAAAAUAGACAAAAUUUAGGAAACCCUAAAAAGUUAAUUUCAUUCCACGGCGUGAAAAAAAAAACACAAAACUUGAGAGUUGAGAGCGAGAGAGACCAUGGGAUCAAGGAGCCAGCCCGAAGAUCAGUCGACGUUUGAUCCGAAUUACACCCCGCCAAAUACUGUGGACUUUGCAACUCAGGCAGUCUUAGCUACUCUUGCUGCAGCAGCUGAGGCUGGUGAUCAGAUCGCUUCUCAGGAAGCUGGUGUAACUCGUGCUGAUGGGAAGCAUCAAGGAAGCAGAAAAAGGCUUAUCAGUCUUGUUGAUGAUACUGAUGAUUCUGAUGUUGAAAUCAGUCAACCAACCCAAAAAACCAAGCCUCGCAGACAGACCAGUUUCAGAACAGCCACGGGGAAACCCAUGUUGCAAUCAACUAUCGAUGGUGGCGUUGGCUCGUCUGCACAGGCGUGUAGUAAGGGGAAGUCUGUUCCUAUGAAGUCUGUGAUUCGUGGAGGGAGAAGAAAGUCGCCUACUAAGUCCAAAAAGAAGAAGGUUUCGCCUACUCAGUCGCAAAAGAAGAAGGAGAAGGUCGCAGAGGACAUACCCGAGCUUGGUGAUGAACUGGAUGAAGAAGAGUUUGAUGAGGAUGAAAUCGGUGAAGAGGAAAGGGAAGAGAGGCAAAAAUCAGAUGUCUGGAAAGAUUUCAAGGUGGUCGAAAAACCGAAUGGAAAGUUGAAAGCUGCAUGCAAUCAUUGCAAACAUGAGUAUGCAUGGCAAUCUCAUUCGCAUGGAACCAGUGGGUUGCGAAGACAUCGGGAGAGAUGUAAAAUGUAUCCAAGGAAUCGAGGAAGGCAGCAACAACUCAAUAUCGAAGGGAAAGUGGUAUCUCGCAAGUAUGAUCAUACUGUGUUUAGGCAGAUGGUAGCUAAGACAAUAGUCCAGCAUGAUCUACCUUACUCGUACGUGGAGUAUGAAAGAGUGAGAGACACGUGGAAGUAUUUGAAUGCUGAUGUCCAAACCAUUUGUCGAAACACAGCGAGAGCAGAUGUGUAUAGACUCUAUGAAAGCGAGAGAGACACACUCAAGAGGGAAUUAGCGACUCUCCCUGGACGAGUCUCCUUCACGUCUGACUUGUGGACAUCCGUGAAACGGGAAGGAUACAUGUGUGUGACAGCACAUUACAUUGAUCGGAAUUGGAAGUUGAACAGCAAGAUCCUGACGUUUUGUGCUCUACCACCACCACAUACCGGUAUGAGUAUUGCGGUUCAACUCCUCACGUCACUGAAAGAGUGGGGAAUUGAUAAGAAGGUGUUCUCAGUCACAUUAGAUAAUGCUACAAGUAAUGACUCCAUGCAGGACAUUGUGAAGUCGCAGCUGAAUUUGAAUGAUGAUUUGUUGUGUGGAGGAGAGUUUUUUCAUGUAAGAUGUGCAGCUCACAUACUUAAUCUCAUAGUGCAAGAUGGGUUGAAGGUUAUUGGAGACUCUUUGCAGAAAGUAAGAGAGAGUGUUAAGUAUGUAUUAGGAUCGGAAAGCCGUGAACAAUUGUUCCAAAAAUGUGUGGAUGCUGCGGGUGUAGUAGAAAGUGGGUGGCUGAUACUGGACGUGUCAACGAGAUGGAACUCAACUUACUAUAUGCUUGAAAGAGCCCUCAAGUACCGUAAAGCAUUUGUUAAGUUGGAGACAUUUGAUAAGAAGGGUUAUAAAACAGCGCCCACAGAUGAGGAAUGGACUAGAGCCGCUAAUAUCUGCGAUUUUUUGGGUCCUUUUGCUGUGAUCACAAGCUUGAUGUCUGGUUCGAAUUACCCGACUGCAAACCUGUAUUUCUAUCAGGUUUGGUUGAUCCAUGAUUGGCUUCGGGGAAACGAGGAAAGCGCAGAUGAGAUUGUCAGAUACAUGGUGCGACCGAUGAAGGAGAAGUUUGACAAAUAUUGGGAUGAAGUUAGUGGUGUUUUUGCAAUGGCAGCAGUCUUUGAUCCACAGUUUAAGCUUUCAAUUGUUGAAUGUUGUUUAGGGAAGCUUGACAUAAGUACACGUGAUGCAAAGGUGAAGAACUUGCGUGACAAGCUCAGUAUUCUGUUUGAGACAUACGACAAAAACUCCAAGAAUAACUCACCUUCCACUGAGCCACGUGACACUGUUCCGCAAAAAGCUUGUGCGGCAGGAUCAAUGGGACUGUUUGGGAACUACAAUGUGAGUGUUUUCAAUUUUUUUCCUUCUGUUUAUUUUUUUUUACACAAGCAUUUUUUUCACGAGUAGAAGUGUGUGUAUAUUUCACAAGCAUUUUUUUUUUUCUGUUCAAUUUUUUUCCUUCUGUCGUCAGCCUCCAAUUUUUUUUUCCUCUCUGAUAUUUUUUUUUUAAACUUUCUUAGGAUUUCUUUGCAUUUCGCAAAGUCAGUGGAAUUGUUAGUGGAAAGACACCUCUAGAAGCUUAUCUUGAAGAACCACCUUUGGACAUUACUAAUUUCCAGAGCUUGGACAUCCUCGAUUGGUGGAAAGAUAAUGCGCAUCGGUAUGGUGACUUGGCUGCAAUGGCAUGUGAUCUGCUAAGUAUUCCAAUCACAACAGUGGCUUCGGAGUCCUCCUUCAGUAUUGGAUCGCGAGUUCUAAACAAAUAUAGGAGUCGUCUACUCCCAGAAAAUGUGCAAGCUCUGAUAUGCACUAGGAAUUGGAUCAAAGGAUAUGAAUCUUACGCACAUGGUAAAUAACUCACAUUAUAAUUUUAGUAAGAGUAACAUUAUUGACUUGUACACUGAUAUUUGUAGAUGAAGAAAUCGAUGGUGAUGGAGAAGAAGAGAAAUUACCAACAUUUGAGUCCAUUGUUGAUGGGGAAGAUGAAGAUGAGUAGAUGAGCAAGUUUGAAAUGUUAUCUUGAUUUGGUGUUUUGCUUCAAUUACAAUUUCUGUUUUUUUGUUUAAGUUGCAUGAUUUUUGGUUUUGAAUACUAUGAUUUGGACCAUUUGGUGUUUCUCUAAAUUUUACUUUAGUUGAGACUUAAUUUUUUAUACUCACGAUCAAACAACAAACUAUAGUUCUUCAAAACUAUAUUUAAGUAACAAAUACUCUGUAUUCCAAUCAACUAAGUUUAAGCUGUAUCAUUUCGUAAUAUAUAAAACUAUAUAUACAAUUAGCUAAGUUUGAAGCAUAUCCAUCUGGGAAUUUAACCGCAUGUUUCAAACAUUCCAAUCAACUUCUCCUUUCGUCUUCGUUUAGUGUGUAGGGAGGAAAUGGAGCUUGACCAGAACCAUCAGGAUGUAAGUGUGGCCGAUCACAGAAUAUUUCCAUAUCCAAUCUAGAAUUGAUUGUGUCUUUCGAUUUACCCUUAACAUUCAUAAGAGUAUUCAUGAUGUUGUCAAAAAAAUUCUUCUCUAUAUGCAUCACAUCAAGAUUAUGUCGGAGAAUUAGGUCCCUCCAGUAUGGCAACUCCCAAAAUAUGCUUUCCUUGUGCCAGUUAUGGUACUUCCCAUAACCAGACUUCUUCUUUUCAUGACCGUUUCCACCGCAAACAGACGUUUUUGGAGGAUUGACACCCUUUAAUCGUUCUGAAUAAACUUGUUCACCAGUCAAAGAAUCAGGUGGAUCUUCAUUUACCGCGUUUUUCCCCUUCAAGAAAUCCUUUCUAUUCUUUCUCAGUGGAUGAUUAGGAGGAAGAAAUCUUCGGUGACAAUCAAACCAACACGUCUUCCUUCCAUUAGUCAGAUAAAAAGCCUUUGUAUCUUCCAUGCAAAUUGGACAAGACAAUUUACCAUGGGUCGUCCAUCCUGUAGCAUGCCAUACGCCGGAAAGUCGCUUAUCGUCCACAGUAACACGGCUUUUAGAUUAAAAUUUUGAUUCAAAGACACAUCAUAUGCUUCGACUCCAGUUGACCACAAUUCUUUUAACUCCGCAAUUAAAGGUUUGAGGAAGAUAUCAAGACUAGCUCGUGGAUGAUUUGGCCCAGAAUUCAGAAUUGUAAGAAACAAAUACUCUGUAUUCAUGCACAUAUCAGGGGGUAGAUUAUAUGGAGUUAAGAUCAAGGCCACAACGAAUGAUUACGAGACAUCCCAAAUGGAUUGAAUCCAUCUGUACAUAAUCCAAGAUAAACGUUGCGAGGUUCUUCGGCAAACCGGGGAUGCAUCUCUUGAAAAUGUUUCCAUUCUGCCGCAUCAGAUGGAUGACACAUUUCUCCCUCUUUUGAUUGGUGCUCAGCAUGCCAUCUCAUUGCCGCUGCUGUCUUCUUGCUCUGAUACAUUCUCUUCGGCCUAUCAGCUAUAGGUAGAUACCACAUACGACUAUAUGGUACCUUGGUUCUACGUCUUUUGUCCUUAGGCUUCCAUCUGUCCGCACCACAAAAUUGACACUUUUCCCAUCUUUCAUCUUCUUUCCAGAAGAUCAUACAAUUGUUAACACAAACAUCAAUUGUAUAAUAUGGGAGCCCUAAAUUCCGCAUCAACUUUUCGGUCUCGUAGUGUGAUUCGGUUGCCGUGUUUCCUUCUGGUAAAUAGUCUGUCAACAUUUGACAUACCGAAUCUACACACUUUUCACUCAGAUUAUAAUCUGCCUUGUUUUGCAAGACCCGAGCAGCUAAGGAUAACUGCGACUGCCCUUCACGACAACCAUCAUACAAACGAUUUUGUGCUCCAUCUAACAAAUCGUAGAACUUCUUCGAAUGGUUGCGUUGUGGGUCUACUACAUUUUGAUAACUAUCAUCUUGUUGAUAGUUAUCAAAACUCACAUUAUCCCGAAAUGCAUCAUUCACCAUAUCAACAUAAUUAUUAUCUUCAUUACUUACUUUUUCACUACCACUUAAAUGUGUCGGGUCAACAUAACUUGUUCCUAAUUCCAUAUCAAUUUCUUCUCCAUGCUUAUACCAUACAUAAUAGUCUGGCAUAAAUCCUCUAUUAUAUAUAUGUUUCCAAAUUUUUGGUCCCGGAAGAAAUUUAUCGUUCCGACAAACACUACAUGUGCAGAAAAACUUACCGCUAUUGCUUUGUGCUAGAGGCUGACUGCUCGCAAAUGUCAUAAAUUGAUCCACCCCCGCUAUGAACUCUUCUGAAAAUUUCGCCGUAUCUUCAUCGAUCCUCUUGUACAUCCACUCGCGAAAAUUUGAAUAAUUGUAAUUUCCAGACAUUGUACAACAUAAAACUUUCAUUUUCUAACUUUAGUUUUCCUAGAAUUUUUGAUUUUUUUUUCUUUUAGUGAUUUUCUACGAGUGAGGAGAAGAAAAUGGGCUAAAGCAUGUAUAUAUAUAGAAAAUGUCCGACCAAUUCGCGACCAAUUACCGACUGCCUGACAAAAAUUAGGUACACUUGCAAAAAAAUGUAAAUCACGUGUUGUACCGGUUUUUAGCGACUGAUUCGCAACUGAGUUAUGACCACAUAUAUCAGUCGCAAAAUAGUCGCAGAAUUUAAGACUGAUUAGCGACUGCGUUAUGACCACAUGUAUUAGUCGUCAAAUAGUCGCAGAUGUUACGACUGAUCUGAAACGAACGGUUACCGACCCCAUAACAGUCGCUAGUUAGUCGUUAUUUUACGACUGUCUUGCGACGAAUUCUCGUGGUCCCUAAUAAGCGACUAAAUAACGACUGAAUAUGCGCAGUUGCAAAGCAGUCGCCAAAAAGUCGGAAGAUAGUUGUUAAAUCUGGCGACUACGCUAUUAGUCGCAAAGUGCAGUCGCCAAUCACAGGUUUUCUUGUAGUGUUUAAGUCUGGGGAAGGUUAUAUUAAUAUUAGAUUUUAGUUAGAUGUUUAGAAUAGGGACCCAAGUAAACGAUUGCCAUGAUAUCGACCGACGAGAACAAGUCGAUAUCGAUCGACAUUGCUACAUCUUCCACGACCAGUGACAACAUGUUUACAUCGAUCGACAUCCAUUCCGGUCAGGUAUAUCAUUCUAACUUGUUAAAUGGAGUACUUAUGAUUUAUUUACACCAUAACUCCGACUGGAUAUACACUGGUCACAGCGUUAUCUAAGUCCGGGGGAGGUUCUACUGAUAUUGUGUUUUAGUUAUGAAAAAACAAAAAAAGAUCCAUGUAGACGAUUGCUCAGAUCAUCGACCGACGAGACCAUCUCGAUAUCGAUCGACAACGCUUCAUCAACAACGAUCGAUUGUCACUUCAUUGUAUCGAUCGAUACUGAUCAGGUUAUCGUUCUUACUUGUUAAAUUUUUUACUUAUGCUUUAUGAUUUUCACCUUACCACCGACUGUGUUACACUGGAGACAGUAUAAUUUAAGACUUGGGGGAUUACUAACGUUUAUCUAUCUUGUAGCAGAAGUUAUGCCCGUUUUACUGAAGAGUGGUCAGUCUGCCUCGUGAGAGGAAACUGCGGAGAAGAGGAAGCCACGUCGAUCGAUGCAGCACUAUGCACGUCGAUCGAUGGAGAUCCCAGAUCGUGGGCCUUGUAUAUUUUAUGACUGCGUGAAGCCCAGAAGCCACAAAUUACCAAAAUGCCCUUGGACGACCAGAAACCCUAUUUAUGUCAUUUCUAAGCCAUUGUUGACGGCUACACUUCGCAAGACUUCUUUACGGUUUCAUUUUCAUUGUUUCUAUGAGAGGAGAGAAGGGAGGAACUCCUAUCAGAGUCCUCCUGGAACUCCUAUCAGAGUCCUCCUGGAACUCCUUUGGUUUUAUUGAUCUAUUUCAUUUCAGUUUUAUAUCUAUUCAUCUAUGAUUUCUAUUUUCAUGUCUGAGUAGAUCCACAUGUUAGAUCCAGGGUUCAUAUAGGUUUGUGGGAUUAGCCCCAAACUAUAGAUCUGCCUUGUUGUGAUAUUCAUGAUAGAUCUAUAAUUAUUGCUUGUUCUAGAGUAAUUAACUAGAAUAUUGAUCAUAGGAUUGCAUAUACAAGCAUCCUUGUUAUCCCAUCCUGACAUCUAUCUAUCAUAUUAGGAUUGCUAGAGAGGGCUAACCGCCAAUUUAGCAUUCUAAUAGGUCAAAUCAUCUCGCGCAUAGGCCUGGCUAGAACCUGUCGAUCGAUGUCCUCAACUGACUAUCGGUCGACGUAGGUAAAGGUGUAUCGGUCGACGUCCCAAUAGGACCAUCGAUCGACACUCUUUCGUUGUCAACAUACUAACCGUUGAGACACGAGAUCUAGCGAGUUAACCAGUGAAACAUGCGACAGCUGAUCACUGAGUUAAGCGGUUGAGCUCUAACAUAUCAUGCAGGCAACAAAUAGGUACCUAUAGGAAUUAUAAUCUCCAACACCUGAAUAGAAACCCUAGAUCUAGCAACCAUCCUUCCAUCGAACAACUCUUGCCAAGCUGAACAAUUGACUUGUUCAACUUGUUUAAUGCUUUGUUUAUUUAAUUGCUAUUUUAUAAUCUAUUAGCCUAGUUUAUUGUAACUUGUUUAGAUCUAAUCGGUUCCCUAGCUCCUUGUGGAUUCGAUCCCUAAGUACUAUAACUCGACCUCUUUUGAUGAGAAUAACACUCUUUACGGUAAUUUGAGUGAUAUAACUAUACUCAAAGGAAUAUAUAUCCUUCUGUUUAAGUAGUUGAGCCAUGUAAAUGUCUUCCUCCGAAAGAAAAGCGUGGUCCGGGGCGACAAUAGAAGUCAAGAUGGCAAUCUGGGUUGGAGCUAUCCAGGAUGAGAGGACACAAACCGCGGAAGCUACACAAGGAUUAUAGCUUCUCAAACUGCAGACAGCCUGGUCUUACACGUCCAAACUGCAACCAACCUGAUCUGUAAGUCUUCAGUAAGUCUUUUGGAGGUCUUCUGUAAGUUUUCCAAAGGUCUUUUCUAUGUCUUCUGUAAGUCUUCUUCUCUUUGAGUCUUCAGUAAGUCUUCUGGAUGUUUUUUGUAAGUCUUCCAAAGGUCUUUUGUACGUCUUCUAAGUCUUUUUCAAGUCUUCUUCUCUGUGAGUCUUCAGUAAGUCUUCUGGAGGUCUUCUGUAUGUCUUCUGAAAGUCUAUUUCUCUGGGAAGUCUUCCACCUAUCUAUCUAUCUUUGUGUUAUGACUUCUCUAUUGUGUGAUGAAUUGUCUAUUGUCUUAUGACUUAUCUAUUGUCUUAUGAUUUCUCUAUUGUCUUAUGAACUAUCUAUUGUAUUAUGAUUUAUCUAUUGUGUUAUGAUUUAUGAAUUAAAUUUAAACAUUAUAAAAAAAAGUUAAUCCUUACAAACUAGUUGUGCAAGGCUAGUUUGGUACGAGGAUAGGUUACAAAAAAGGUCAAUCCUAUCUUCUACCCUUUUAACGUACUUCAAGGUUACAAAAGCGGACAAAAGCAUCAAGGUUCUUGUACAAACUACAAAUUAUUGUGGUUCGUGCAUAUCAAAGUCUUCAUAGUCUUUGGUGAUAAAUGUGCCAUAGGCAAGAACAUGUUCAAACAACUUUGUCGCCAUCUUCUCCCUAAUACCCUUCACGUUCUAAUUACAAAAGGCAGGAUGAAAUGAUGGCAUGCCAAGAGCAUGACACUCGAUGUACUUCAAGGCGUACACACACAAUCACCACAUUCUACCAAAGGUACUCCGGCUUUCACUCUCUCAAUGUGAAUGGCUCUAGUGUGUACCUGACUCGCUCUUAGUCGGAGCUGGGAAAUUCAACAAGCAAAUAAGGGACCAUUGUGGUAAAAGGCUUCAUUAACUCGGCCAGUUGAGCAGUUCUAAUAUGAGUAGGAGUGCUGUCCCAGAUGGUUAAGUGUUUGUUAGGGAUCGAUAUCCAAAUAGCAAUCCAAUGAUCGUUGUUGUACUUUACUGGCGCGUAUAUAUCAUCCACAUAUGAUCCCCAAACCUUCUUUGUUUGGCGAUAUUUUGGAGCUAAGCCUUCAUACAGAUUAUACGACCCGGCAGGGAGCGUUCUUCCUAAACCGUUGUAACCUGUCUCUGAGCUCUUAAAUUCCCCGUACUUGUUGAUCCACAUCUGUUCAAAAUGAUGAUCAAGAAAGCAAAGGCUAUCAGUCCUAAAAUGUUCUGGAUUGUUUGAAAACCGAAGCCUCAGUAAAUUGAUAAAACCAUCAACAUUUUGCAUUAAAAACAUAACAAGGUAGACAGAUUUUUCAAAAGAAAUUGGGAAGACUUCCAGAAGACUACGAGAAGACUUCCAGGCGACUUCGGGAAGACUUCUAGAAGACUUCGGGAAGACUUCGAGAAGUCUUUUGUAAGCCUUCCUGUAGUAAUUUGAAGUAUUCUAGAAGUCUUUUGGAAGUCUUCCCGAAGUCUUUGAAAGGGGUACUUGUUUACGAGACUUACGGAGUCGACGAGCCAUUUCAUGGGGGUUCGGAGGAUGGCAUACCACAAACUCUCACUUCCAGGAGUUUUUUUUAAAGAAAAGGUAGUUUAUAAUCCCUGUAAAAAGCAAAACUCAAUCAGCAAAACUUGACAAUCAGUUUGGACAAAUAUGCAUGUGUGAGAAAAUUACUUAUGGAUCUUUUUUUCAAAUAAUCAACAAGCACUUUUACCUUAUGCUUGUCAACGGUGGCAAACAAAUCAUAUUCAUGACCAAUCUUCUUGGUCGGAAUGAUCAGUUUGGCUGUUCGGUUUCCCUUAAAAGAAGAUUGAUGUGCCGCAUCAAGCUUCCUUUCUCGAUCACUCUUUGCCCGGCAUAGUGCCAUAACAUCAUCUUUCUUUGUCUUGCAUCUCCCGUCCUGCUUCAUUAAAUCUGAUAUGGUUGAUUUUUGUUUGUCCAUAAUGACAACACUCGGUUCUUUAAUACCACUCGGAUCUAUGUUGUCAUCAUGUACAUUAUUCAGACUUCUUACUUUCUCCUGAUUCACACUCUCACUCAGCAAUUCUGAUUACAAUAGUAAUGUCAAGAUCGUUGUUGAGUAUAACCAAAUCACAUGAAACAAAAUCCAUACAACCAACCACAAUCCAAGACUUCUAACAUAAAUGAGCACAAAGAAGCGUACAACUUUCACUUCAACUUCCUACUAUUUUGCCCAGUAUUUCUCUGUACUUUUGUUUUGGGAGAGGUUUUGGUACUAACCCCUGGUUCGAGCGCAGGCUUAGUCAGGUCUGAAACUGUGAGUUGAAGUUCAUUAGAGUUAGUGCCUUUCUGGUUGAUUCCCACCUUCUUCUCCACAUAUUCCAUUUUAUCCACAAGAAGAUUCAUUUCUUUUACGCACUGCCCAAACCCAUUAGUCAUUACUUUCGUCAUAUCCUUGAACAUUUGUUCAUUCUUUCCUCUCUUAAGCCAAUUCCAAGAAGCAGAAGAUUCUGUAGGAGGAUCUGAAGUAGGCUCUGAAGGAGCCUCCGUAAACAUCUCUGUACGAGCUCUCUUCUGAGCUCUUCUAUCUUCAUUCACAGUCUGCUGAGGAGGUUCUUGCUUCACAUAGACAUGAUUGGUCAACGGCUUAGUACCUUCGACUGCCGAACACUCUUGGGUCCACUUCCAAGAACCUUUAGAAGCAACCAUGAAAUUUUCACCAACUUUUCAACCGCCACAUCAGUGUUAUCAUUGUCCAAUUUAGGGAACAUUUCACCAAUCUUCUUCGCUACAUAGUUUAACACGCGAGUCUGCAGUAAGUAAAUAUCAAGUUAUAUAUAUCAAGUAAGUAAAUAUCAACUACAUUAUUGGGAAUAAUCAGAUAUACUUGUGUGGUUAUAGCCUAUUUGACAAAUUUCGUCCUUUAUGUCCCAUGUAAGGCAGCAAAAGGGGACUAGGCUUGUUUCGUAUAGGCUUUCCAAAGCUUGCGGCAAAGUCAGGCAUAGCAAAAUAGGCCCAAAGUUGGAGAACCUGAAUAAACCAUCUACAAUAUAAGUCCUUGUCAAAUCUUUGCACUUCACAAAGUCCAUCAGGAACUUAAAAGCCAGUCCCCCCCCAAGGGUAGGUCUCAAAUUCUUCAAGAUCCAUCAUUAGCAUUGCAGGACUAGCCCGUGUAGAGUUUGAGUACUUUUCCCCUUCAAUGAAUCAUGUGUAGAUGGCUAGGUAUCCAAGCCGCAUGCAGUCAUCCCAAGACCACUCUCCACAUCUCUGACAUGCUGCUAUUAUUUUCUGAGAACUUGGACCAGCAUCAAUAUCCACACCUAGUAUCUCCAUGAAACGAGCCAAUUCAUUUGUCACCUCUACAUCCAGAUUUUCCAAAUUCUCCUUAUAUUCACAGUUUAGACUAGUAAGGUGCUCGAACUCAAUCAGGGAUAACCUCAACGGUUCUACACCAAUAAGACAACAUAGCUCAUACUUCUUCUUGAUAUCAAGCUGGAAACAGAGAAUAUAAUAAACCAGCCUUGACGUCCAUCCAAAUUUCAACUCCCAAAACUUGAUGAACACUCCCAAACUUGAAUUCUUCAGCUCCUCCCAUUCAUCAUCAUGUACAUGAAGGAAGCAACUUUGGGUCAUACGCAAUGCUUUUCGAUGCAAUGGGCUAUUCCCCUAAGGUGAAGAUCCUCUUCGGAAGUUCUGGUAAUUCCAUUUUAUAGCCUACAAAACACUGAAAAAAAAAAUCUCAAACACAAACGGAACAUAACAAACAAACCAAAAUGCGAAGACGUCCCGAAGACUUCCAAAAGACUUCCAGAAGACUUUAGAGUCUUUAGAAAUUCUUCAUAAAGUCUUCGGAAGUCUUCCGUAAGAUCUCUGGAGUCUUCUGAAAGAUUCCGGUAGAAGACUAAUCAAAUCGAGAGAAACCCUUAUACAUCAAACAAAUGGGUGAACUUACAGUCGGAAAGCGGAGAAGUUGAGGUCCAAACAGAUAAUGUUCGCCGACGACAGCUAUGGUUACAAAUCUUCCAAACUCGAUAGGAAAGAAUAAGUCACGAUGGAGAAACGAACGGUAUCAGUUCUGAAAUGAAAAGUCGACAGCAAACAUAAAGAACUUAAUAGAAGUGGAGUUCGACUACAACAGAAACGGUUUCAGAUCUGAAAAAAAAAAUCAAGGGGGUUAGUUUAAUGUACAAAAAUAAACUUCGGCGAGGAAGGAGAAACAAGAUUUGCCGAAAACACAAGAUUACCUGAGGUGAAAAGGACGGAGAAGAGUUUCGUCGAAAAUCGUCUUUAUAAUCGCCAUUGAAAUCGCCUCAGAGCAAACAUCAAGAGUUUUCGCGUUUUUACUAAAACAAUUUCUUAAAACACCGAAAAGUGAAAAAAAAAAUACUAGUUAUAUGUCCUUAAAUUAUCGGCUUAGGUUAAAUAUAUAUUGGUUUAUUUUCGGUUAUAUUAAAAUUGAAGUUAAAAUUAAGGUUUCGUUCGGUUUAGAAGUCUUCUAACAUAAAUUACACUGGAAGACUUCUCAAGAAAUAUUCUAAACCAUUCAGCCAAGAAGACUUUUUGAGAAGUUUUCUGGGAGUCUUCCAGACCCUAUAAUCAAACAACUAAGCAAAAUCCACAUCUUAAAUUUAAAAGAAAAUUAGAAAGUGUUUAAAUCAAGUUAUUAGACAGUCACUAAACACAUAUAUGUCAAAUUAAAAAAAAAAGAAAAAAAAAUAGAUAGGAUUUCAAAAUCUUACCCUAAAAAUACCAACACUACUACAACAUAUGUUACCAAACCCUAAACCAAAGGCUAACAUGAGUCAAUCUACAUUUAGUCAUCUAUGUUAAUAAUAAUUUAAUUUUAGUAAACCUAAAUUUUUAUCAUUUAGAAAUGCUUAGUAAUAUAUGAUUUCGAUUUUUUCUCUUUCAAAAUAUGUUUUAAGAAAUCAUUAAUUACUUUUAAGAUCUAAUACGUGAGAAGACUUCCCGUAGAAAACUUCUGGAAGACUUUGAUUUAGGCGGUGGGAACCCUAAAUUCUAAUAAAAGUUAGGCGGAAUAUAUCAGAAGACUUCUUGGGAAGUCUUAUGUGAGUCUUCCAGACUCUAUAAUCAAAUAACUAAGAAAAAUCACUUCAUUAAGCUUAAAAUAUACUUAGAAAGUGUCUAAAUCGAGUUAUUACAUAGUCAGUAAACACAUAUAAGUCAAAUUUAAUAUAUAUAUAUAUAUAUAUAUAUAAGAUUUCAAAAUCUUACCCUAAAAAUAUCAACACUACUACAACAUAUGUUACCAAACCCUAAACCAAAGACUAUCAUGACUCAGUCUACAUUCACUCAUCUAUGUUAAAAAUAAUUCAUUUUUAGUAAAACUAAACAUAUAUCAUUUAUAAAUGUUUAUUAUAACAUGAUUUUAAUUUUUUCCCCAUCAAAAUAUUUUUUUAUCAAAAUUUUAAAUUAUUUUCACGCGGAGGGUUAUAUAAUGGUAAAACUCAAUACAUAUUUUUUGUUUGGUCAUAAGGAGGUUGUUGUAAUUUCACUAUGAGAAUAAUUAUUUGUAUGUCUUCUCACGCGGAAGGUUAUAAUGGUGAAACUCAAUACAUGUUUUUUGUUUUGUCAUAAGGAAGUUUUUGUAAUUUCACUACCUUUUUGGGUUACUUUUGUAUUUGAUUGAAUUUGGGAUAUACUUUUGUAUUCAAAAUCAAGUUUUGAGUCAUUUUUGAUAAUUUUCCCGAUAAAUCAUCUAUGUUUAGAAAUAAUUGUAUUUUUGAAUUACAAAAUUAUAUAAUUAUAUUUUUAAGGUGAUAAUGCGAAAGUUAUAUUAUUAAUUAUUAUCAUAUAUUCUUCUUUUUUUUUUGACUAAAAAUUAUCGUAUCUUCUUUUGAUAAUGUAAUCAAGUUUGUUAUCGAGAUGGAUAUGUGCCGCAUUUACAUUGGCCAUUGAGACAAGCUUGAAAAUAUUCCCCUUUUGACCUGCAUAUGGGAGUGCAAACACGGGCAUUACAUAUGGAAUCAGAGGGGCCAAAGGAAAAACCCAGGUGUCUUUCAUUAGCGCACUGGCAUAUGUUUUGCACACACAUGAUCUUGGCUGCACUUGUACAUUUCAGAACAUUACAAUCAGAAUCGUCGUCGCAAGAUUGUACCAACAUUUUCGUACCUGUUAUAUUAUAAUAUAUUAUUUGGUCAGAAUGACAAUAACUGGAUGAUGAAUAUUAAAAUGAGGAUGGUGAUGGGUGCAAGAAAACAUAAUCUUACAUGUUGUGAAAGUUAGAAUACCGAUAAAUAUCAAAGCUGCUUUCUCCAUUUAUAUUGAACAAAUAUGUAAUUUAUUUCUGUUUGAUUUGUUUGUGUAACUAAAGUGAAGAACUUGGAGACUAUUUAUAACUAUAAGAAAAUAAGUUUUCUUUUUAAUAACUGUAGAGAUUCGGUGACCGAGGUCAACUGACUAAUGAUAAUAAAUUUCAUUCUUUUUAUUUCCAUGGAUGUUAAUAUAUAUUAUAUCUUAAUAUAUAAAAUAGUAUAUAUCUAUUUUAGAUUAAUAAAAAUCAAAUAGCAUUUAAACGAUGAAAAUAACAUACCUUCAUGAAUCUUUUGAAUCAAACCUAUUUAAGUUAAUAAAUUUGAAAAGGUUAUUUAGGAUAAGAAACUUAUUUUUUAUCAAAAAUAUAUAUUAUAUAAGAUAUGAUUUGGUGACUAUAAUUUAAAGUCAUAAAUCAGUAACUAUUUUCUUGAAAAUGGAAUCAGUAUAGCUAUUUAUCACAAUUUGUAAUGAUCUUUGUCGUAGCCAACUUUUAUAUGAUAAUCAAUGACUAAUUAAUAUGAGGAAAGUAGACAGCAUAACAACUUUGACAUAAUUGCUCACUGUUGCAACAUUGUGAUGAAUUGUGACAUAAUGGUGAUGUUGUAAGAUAAGCUGCCAAUGUAAAAAUUUGAAACAAAAAUAACCGACAGACCAGGUUUGUCCAGAGACAUAACGAAUAAAAGGGCUUUUUGGGUAAAUAUGUAGGAGUUUUAACUAAAAAUAAAAGAGGACAGCAUAGUAAAGCGAGAAUUUAGAGAGAAUAUGUGGUUGCAUACUUUUUUUUGUCAUCUGAUGGAUUUUCAUUCAGUUAAAACUUUGAAGUGCACAUAACCAACAAAGUAAACAGCCUUUCGAAGCCAUAAGCCGAUGAGGUAAACAAUACGACUCGGAGCCAGAAUUUAGAAACAUAUCAAGGAUUACUUAAAAUAAAGUAAAAACAAAAGAAGCAUAUGAUCCCUGAAAUCUGUGGAGCACACAAACAACCAAUAAGCAGGUGAAGCUGUAAGGUUUAGUUUCGGAUUUAUUAUCUUAAACCUAAGUUUUUUAGCUAGAUUUGUUUAGCUAAUACUUGAUCAAUUUAACUUGAUACAAUUUGUUUGUUUGUUUUACAGGAGACAAGACACAAAGCUUUGGUUAUCCAGUUCCUUUGUGGUACGUCUGGGGGAAGACCUAUGCUUCCAAUUCACUAUCUCAAGUAUAAAGAGAGUAAUACAAGAGACGUAAGCUCUAAAUACUACUUCACCAAAGUUUAGAGCUAAGAACAACAACCUAGUUCUUCUACUUCGACUGCUAUCUGCUCAGGUAAGCUCAGAUGAUCUUUUAACCAAGACAAUCUGCUUUCUCCUGAUCUCCACAAUCUGCUUUCUGUUUCCCGUAAACCUCAGGAAACCAACUAGUCGCUAUAUAUAUGCAGGAUGAGGAGAGUACCCUAAAUUUCAUGGGCUUAUCGCUGCAGGCCUUAUCGCUGCAGGCCUUAUCGCUUCAAGUCUAACACACUCAGACAUCGCGGAUGGGCAUUAACCCAUUGUCAUCGGCCCAACUGGAUAAUAGAGACCACAUCUCUACAAUCUCCACCUUGGUCUCUUCCCGACAUUGAGAAAGCUCUAGAGUCACUCCACCGCCGACUCACUCCUUCUCUCUUCUUGUUGAACCUUUUCCAUCGGAGAACAUCUACUGAUUCACCAAUUUUAACUUAUGCAUUCGUCCACUUUUCUAUCGCGAUUCUUCAUCAUACAUACAAUCGGUGGCAACCACAUUCGCUGUGCCUCCACCUCGAUUCAGCUCCAAACCGGCGAGUUAUGGUUCUUCUGCUACACUGCAGAAGUUUUCUCCAAUCAUUGGUUCCCAAAGGACCAAUCUUGAUUGUCAAAAAAAGACAUCCUUAGAAUGAAAAAGAUAUAAGAUUCGUCGUAGUCGACAUAGAAACUAACCGAUAUUCUCAGCCCAACGCCGAGAGAGCCGAGAGAAAUCGAAGUCACCAUAGAUGUUCGAUCCAUCCGGAAAACGAAGAACUGUUCGUGCCACUUCUCAUCUGAAUAUCUUCUAUGACGUAGCGACCUGGACGCGAAGAAACAAGGAAAGUCCCAGGGGUCUGAUUGUUCCGUUUCACCAUAACGAACUGACAAAACUCGCUAAGACCAAAAGCGAGACCCUCCUCCCUAGCCUUAACAAGAAACGCAACAAGAUGCCUGGGGAAAUUUGGGAGAAGCUGAGAGAGGGAUAACCCAAGAUCCGCCAAGAUCUCAAGUAUCGGCUCCGGAAUCGGGAAGAUAAGACCGCAAGAAUGGAAAAAGGAAAGAUAGGCUCUGUAGUAGCCCUCUCUCACGGUUUCAGGGGUCUCACCCGUUCUGGCCUAAUCAAGAACAACGGAACGAUCGACCCCAUGAAACUCGUAAAGGUUCUCGAGAUCGUCCGCAGUAGUAGUUGGACGAGGAAAAUUGAAAGACGAACACAUCUCGAUCUCGAAUAGAAAGAUUUUAGAGCAAGGAAGAAAGAGAGCUGAGCUAGGAAACGGAGAUAAGGCUGAAAGAAAGCCUCCUACGUAUAUAUAAGCCUCCCUAACAGCUCUAUCAUCGCUAUCGAGAAAGGCAAUUAUAACCUAGUCUACUCCCUAGCAACGACUAAAGUAUCCGUUACCAAUUAAAAUAAUAAUAAAAGAAAGCACGCCGACAAACGGUUCUUUUCGAAAACAAUCAUUAAAACCGAACCCGAAUGAUGUUAACCGUAAAAUCCAGACCAAAGGAUAACCGCCCCUUUUUCCUUUUCGAUCGAAUCAAAAAAGGGGUGGAGGACAAAUGUUGGACCCAAUUUUGGUCAAGACCGAAAUGGGCCCCGAUCAUAGACAUGGGCCGAGACAUGCCAAGGCCCACAACCAGAAUCAAGCUCGAAGAAGGAGUCACAGAGGUCGCAAUGAUCGCGCAACAAGAAACUGAGAUCGCGGAGCUGGCACGGAGAUCUCGGAGUCGAUUUGCUAUAAAAGAAGGAGAAGAAACAAGGAGGUGGACCGUUGAAAACCCUAGAGAGAGCCUUACAUUCAUAUCAAUCUUAUUGUCUUCCCACUUUUAGAUUCCUUCUUGAUCGAACUUGUGUGUUUCAUUCGAUCUAGUUUGACUCGUUGUGUUCGAUCCCAGUUAUCAAUAGUCUAUUUUCACCUACUGGAAACUAUUUAACAUCGUUGUGUUCUAAAUAUAUCUUCCCCACAUUAUUUAUCUUCCUUAGAUCAACCCGAUCACUAUCAAAUACUUUGUGUGGAAUUUAGGUUCUACAUCUAUGUCUACAGCUUCUGCUUCCUCUACUAAGCAAACUUGCUUCUUGAGAAGCUUGUAAACACUGUCCAGCUUUUCCCUAACCUCGUCCAUCUGGUCAUUCUCAAGGAUGGCUAUAGAUCUCUUUCUCUCAAAAUCAGUGUUCUUGGUGUUUUGCUAGAUGCCAAGUUCUCAGUAAUUCUCACUGCUUCUUCUGGAUUCCUAGUGUUGAAGUUCCAAGCAUCAAGAGCCGUCUGAUACUGCACCGCGAUGCCUCUGAAGAAACUACUGAGCAGUUGUACUUCAUUGAAUCCAUGGUGUGGGCAUUCCUCUGAUAAGACUUGAAUCUGAACCAGGAGCUUCUGAUAGAUUAUGUACGGUCAUGCGCGAAUCUUGCUCCUCAAGUUUUCAACACAUGCAUCAUCGAAUAAGUUACACAAGAAUGCGUUCUUGAUGUCGGCCCAGGAUGUAAAAGAUCCUGGUGGUAACUGCUUAAGCCAAUGCGAAGCCUCUCCAGCAAGUGAGUCCUUGAAGAGCUUGCAAAGUAGGUAGUCCUUAGGGACUCCAUUGACUUUUAUAGCAAAUAUAAGAUCCUCGAACCUCUCCAGACGGUCCAUAGGAUGCUCGUGACAUAACCCACAAUAGGGUGUAUGUCCCACGAGUGUGUAGUACUGCGGAUUCACCUCGAAAUCACCUCUUUGGAUAGCAUGAGGACAAAUAGUUAAUCUGUUGGCGUAUUACUGAUCUGGACGGUUGUAAUCAGCCAACGUUUUUGGUCGAGCAGCAUCAUCUACAAGUUGAGUAGCUCAUGUAGCAUCAGUAUCGCACUCAGGGAUUGCAGCUCCCUGAGCAUAUAUCCUCUGACCUGCCGCAUUACGCAGAUGACCUUUCUGGGCAUGCAGGUCCCCAUUAUCAUCUCGUACAAGAAUCAAAGUCGCAACCAUGUCUAGCGGCUCAGUAUCGAUUGAUGUUUGGACUGAAGUAUCGAUCGACGUCGCGUGGAAGAUAUCGGUCGAUGGAAAAGUAGCUUCGGUCGGCGGUAGUGAGCGAGUGUCGAUCGACGAGACUGGUGUCUGGGUCGACGGUGGUUGACAAGAAUCGAUCGACGAACCGGUGUUGUUGUCGAUCAAUGAGGAGCGUCUUCCUUUGCGAAUUGAUUGUUCCAAACUUGCAGGAUCUGAUGAGAAUAGCAGUUGAAUUUCCUUGUUGCUUCAGGUACUGUUGGGCAUGCACAUGAAAAUAUAAGAAAAAAAUUUUGUGUCAGAAAGUGGUUUUAAGAAAUAACCUAGAAUAAAUUAAAUUAAAUCUAUCAAGCAAUCAAAGCUCCCCGGCAACGGCACCAAAUUUGAUCUCACUCAAAUUAUCCUAAGGAGUGAAUUACUAUCUCAAAUAAGAGCUUUAUUUGUAGUAUUUAGAGAUUAAAUUCAUAGGGAGCUAUGGAACCUAAUAAUUCUAAUCAGAUUGAUUAAGCUAUGUUGAUUAUGAUUAAAUGAAAAGUUGCAUGUUUGUGAGCAAGGCAGCUGCUCGAUUGAUUUGAUUGGGGUUUUGGUACUUAGAUGAAAGUAGCUAGACUUAAGGCUUUUAUUCAGGUAAUCAAGAUUAUAAUGCUACAGAUGCCUAACAAGUUGUAUGCAUGAUAUUAUAGAGCUCAACACUUAUAAACAAACCGAUAGGCUCUCGCUUUCUAGGUUGUCUAUUGACCAGAUAAAAGUGUCGAUCGAUGAUACUAUAGGAAUAUCGAUCAAUACACUUGAUGAACCGUCAACCAAUUAUUCAAUUAGAAUAUCGAUCAACGUGGUUGGCCAAGCUUUAUCACGCAGGUUGAAUGUACUCAUUAAGCUUCAUAUAUCAGCUUUCGCCUUAGUCUAGCAAUCUUAGCUCAAUUAGGAUGGAUUCAGGGUGAGAUGCAAGUGAUGACCUUUACCUCAAACUCCUAGAUCAAGUUCAACCUAGCUAAACUACAAACUGGCUUUAAUGACAAUCCUAAUGAUGAAUAUCACAACUUAGCAAUCUAUAGUUGGGGCUAAUCCUUCAUAACCUAUUUUAACUCUAAACCUAACAAGAGAACUACUCAGACAUGGCUAAGCAAUUCAUAACAUCAAUUUGGUAUAAAAACUGCAUAGAUAAAUAGAUAGAUAUCAAUGGAGUUCCAAUCACAAAUCUCUUUGGAUCUUUUCUCCAAUCUACAAAAAAUCCUAGAAAACCUUUUGCAGUGAAAAUAGUUAAACAAGAAAGCACACUUUGCCACUAACAUGUUGGCAAGCUUAUAUAAUUAGGUUAAAACUCGUCAGGGGUAAUGUUGUAAAUUGGUGAAGACUUGGGCUUUAAGUCUUCUUGGACCAAACGGGGUUCUAUGUGCUUUGCCGUCGAUCGAUGUCACUAUGUGAACAUCAAUCGAUUAUUUCUCUUCAGUGUGGACCGAUGGUCGUGCUCGAUGGUCAGCUCGAAUGCUUUCUCCAAAUACCUCCAAAAUGCUCCAAAAUUAUCACUUUCUUUCAAAUCACUCAUGAUCCUAUAAAUAUACUAAAUAGACUCUAUAAUAUAAUAAAUAGUAGUUAAAACACUUAUAAACCAUGGGUAAAAGUGGGUAAAAUCUAUGGCCUAUCAUGCAACUAUGAAAGACAACAGUUAACACUAACCAGCAACCUGCACAUGUACCAGAACAAGAGAAAUCGACCCCAGCUGUACCCUUAUUCGUUGAGAGUGUCGAUCGAUGACAUACACCCAAUGUCGAUUGACACCAUAUGGACGAGCAUCAACCUGUCAUGGAUCUGCAGGCAACGAAAGAAAGAAUUCCAGUUGAGAAGAGAGUAAAAUCUAGAAAACCCUAUGUUCCCAAACAUCUCAGAAGAGAAGCUAACAGAGCUGAACUUGAUGGAUUUCAAAAGAGAGUAAAAAGGAUUCUUAAGGAUAUGUCUUUCGAGGAUGCAUAUCAUAAGUACAAACUUCUUCUGAGAAAGCAGAGAGACAUAUAAGGACAUUGAUCUGCUAUUUAACAAGGUCAGCCGUAAACCCAAGAGGACACUAAAGAAGGUACAAUAUCCUGAGGAGUUCAUGAUUCCAUGAUGUAUACAUAGCCACAAUUUUCCGAACGCCCUCUGCGAUACUGAAUUGGUGGUCAGCAUCAUGGCAAAGGACACUGCUGAAUAAUUAGGAGUAAAGUUUGAGCCUUCUGAGGAUAGUUUCACCUUCGUAGAUAACUCCCGAACAAACUCAGCCGGCAUGAUCAGGAAUGUUAAAGUAGAGAUUGGAGACUGCACUGUCCCUCUGGACUUUCAUGUCAUGGAGAUCAAAUCUUGUUGGACAUUUUCACUUCUUUUUGGAAGAGCCUUCAUGGCUACAGUGGGGACAGUUUGUGAUCUGAAGAAGAAUAAGAUGUGUCAGACUAAUAUCGAUGAAAGUGUCUUCUAUGAUCACGUGGAGAAGAACAACAGAGAGGAGUUUAUUUCAUGAUAGAGAUGUCUAAAGAACAACUGAUUCAAAUCGCGAGACUGCAAAAUCAACAUCAGCGUCGAUCGACACUCAGACAUCAGUAUCGGUUGAUACCCUCCAAACUUCAAAACAAACCGAGACUGCAAAGCCUAAGUCUAGGGGAAGGACCAGAAAGUAGAAUAGAAAAAAGAAGGUAGAUGUAGAUUUCUUGUCACUGGUUCCUUCACAAUGUCACAAGGGAAGUUUUGAGUAUAGGGUGUGAUGCAAAGGAGGUAUACAGCCUUUGACCAAGGUCAGGGUGCUAUGUGAUCCAGAGAUGAGAGGCAAAGGGAAAGCUUCUGCAGGAGCUCUUAUCAUCUGCAUCAACAAUUUGAGGAAAAGAGACACUGAAACUUGUUUUGAAGCACGUUCUCAUUCUCAUUCGGACUGAAUCAGAGAUCUCCAUAAGUCAAGCUAAUGACUGAAAAUAAGUGAUGAGUGAGAGGCAACCCACUAUUAAGUAAUUUUAGUUAUAUUAAGUUUUCAUUUUAUACUAAAUUUUCGUAUUUAUUUAUUUCAGAAAAAGAUGCUGAUCAGUAUCGAACGACACUGUAGCAAGUGUUGAACGGCACAGUAGCAAGUGUCGAACAACACUGUCGCAGACGUUAAUGUAGCAAAAACACUGUUCAUCGAGAAAAAGAAAAGAUCCAAGGAAGUAGAGUUAAUACACCAGUAUCGAACGACGACUGGCCAGUAUCGGUUGACACCACUUCACACGAGCAUCGGGCGACAUCUGAUCAAUGUUGAUCGACGCUCAUCACAUACGGAAGGUAAAACUUGUUUUUCCUUGUUAAAUAUUUACAUAUGGUUUAUUUUUCCACCAAUCUUGGACUAUAUAACACUGGGUAUGAGAUUUGUAGAGUUCUCUUCUCUGGUUGUAUGUGUGUGUGUAUAAACUCCAAUGGAAAAAGAUGAGAGCUUGCUCUAGGGGAUUUAGAAAGGGAGAUUGAUGAGAGUGUUUGUGAGAGAAUAAGAGACUUUGGAACAGAGAUUAAGAAACUGUGAGAUUAGGAGAAUAAGAGAUUAUAGAUUAGGGUUUCAGAUUCAAGAACAAGUUUAUCAUUCAUGAAGUGGAGAGGGGAAAUCCCCCUUACUCCCUCAAGUGUUACAAAACGUCAUCUAAGGCUUAUAUAUGCCUUUACAUGUAUCAAAGAAUAAACCUAGAUCCUAUGGACAUAAAUGCAAGAUAGAUUGGAUGGCUAGGAUGAGAGAAGGAUGGUCUUUGAUGUUCUGGUGCUAGCUGUAAAGGAGAGGCGUGUAUGGACUUGAUGGAUGGCUUAGAUACUUCAGUUUGAAUGAGCAGCCAAGAUGGAUCCGUGUGGGGAUAAGACAGGUCCGUACACUCGCCCUAACUAUGCGCAACACUUAUCCUUCCUCUUUGGUUGAUCCAUUCCUCUUCUUGAUUCGCCCUAUCUUUGCACCUGAGGCCAUCUUCUCUCUAACUCCUCCAAACACUUCACAUGAUCAGUCUAAGUCUCUCCUAGACUUGACUUCACAAUAUAGAUACUUCAGAACACUUAUGAAGCUUGAUUGAACUCUUCUGGACAUCUUCUAGAGCUUGCCCUAUUAAUGUACAAGCUCUAUCUCCUUUUUAGUUCAACACUCCCCCUCAAGCUUGACUUUAGGAGAUCCUAAGUCAAGCUUGGAACUCUGAAGAGUCUCCCUCAUUAAAAACCUUACAAGGAAAACCCUUUGGGACAAAACCUUGCAAGGGAAAAAUAGUAGAGAUCUCCAAAGCCUAGGGAUUGGCCAGUGAGCUCUUGUGCCUUAGAACCAGUGUGGUUGGACACAAGAAGCUCUGGAUCACGGCCUAAACUUCACACACCUCACACACCUUCUUGGACUCUUCUAUAGAACCGGUUUAGUGUCUCCCCCUUUCACCGGACUUCAUGCCAUCUUGAAAGGCUAGGAACGACCUGAUCCUCUCCAUUGAGUCUCCAAGUAAGGUACCUGAUACAUUAUUCCACAAGUGUAUCAGUACUUAUCAAAGAACAUAACUCAAUCAAUUCAUGCUUAUAGACCGUCUUAGUAAGACUAGUAUUCCUUAUAUAUUAUUAGAUAUGUUGCCGUCUAGUAAAACUAGUAUUCCUAACGAAUUCAAAUGAUUCUUAACAACUCUUCUUUAGUAAAACUAUUAUUCCUGAUAGAUUACUAGAUAUGUUGAAAGCGAUUAAUUGAAUUGGGUUUAGGGAAACUUCCCUUUUUCUUUUGUGAGGAGUGACUGGAUUGGCUUGUCACUUUAAUCCCUCACUUGCUGAGCUUAUCAGCUCCUUCUUGUAUCAUGCAAGUUCACCAACACUCCCCCUCAAGCUUGAGACCGAGUAUAGGAAAGAUCCAAGCUUGAAGGUAAGCGCAUACUAAGCUCCAUGAUCACUCUUGUGGGAACACCUCCAUCUUCUUCACACUUGAUGCUUACAGCCCCACUUAACCACCAUUGCACUGAGGAGAUACAUCAGCUCACUCUCCAAGCAUAUCACACCAGAAGCUUAUUGAGUAGCUUUUUUCUUCCCUCUACUUCGGCUUGAUCACUCCAUGAUCAGCUUGCAAUGGUCUUGGUCUUAAUUGCAUCACCCUCUUGGUGAUGCUCUUCCUUCCAUGUCUAUUGUCCUCUCUACACUCAUCUGAUGUGUAGGCUAUGGUGACUCAGCCACCAUGGACAGAACCACAAGUCAUCUCUCCAUUGUCACAACAUCCUCUCUACCCUAUUUGGAGCAGGCUGUGGACUUCUCCACAGAAUGUUGGCAAUAGGCUUCAUUUCUCCAUUGUCACAACAUCCUCUCUACCCUCUUUGGAGCAGGCUGUGGACUUCCCACAGAAUGUUGGCAACAGGCUUCAUUUCUCCAUUGUCACAACAUCCUCUCUACCCUCUUUGGAGCAGGCUGUGGACUUCCCACAUAAUGUUGGCAACGAGCUUCAUCUUAUCAUUCUCUUGUAAUGAUAAGGAGGAAACAGGUAUUGAACUUUGGCUCUUCAGGUUGCUCAUUUGAAUCCCCACUGUUUGAUCCAAAAAUGGUGUUUAUGAUUAUAGUGUUUGUUGAAUCAUACAAAUAAAAGAAUCUAAAGAUAAUGGUUAGAUUCUUUGAGGUUUAGGAGAACUCUUGAAAGAAUCAAAUGAGAAGUGGAUAUCAAAAACAAUUUUUAGAUCAAAGAUUCUAUACAUGAAUGAUUACAAGUGGAAAUAAAUCUAAGAAUCUAUAAACUCUUUGAAGAAGUGUUAGGUCUAAAAAUGGAGAAGAUAAGAUCCCCUUCACUCAUAAGGAGGUAGCUCCUUAUAUAUAGAAAGAUGAGGCCUAGGUCUUCCUAGCAAUAUGGGCCUAGUUCAAUGUCUAAUGAGCCUUGAGGAGGAUGUAAAUCCAUCCCCAACACCCACCGCAAGCUUCAGACCGAGUAUAGGGGAGAUCCAAACUUGAAAUGAGCCUCAAUGAACAUCAAGACCAGGAGCACAUCACCCUAACAGUUGUGCUUUAAUAACUGAUCCACCCUUUUGCCUUCAGCUUCAAGUACCCUCAGAUCACCGGCCUUCCUCGUGGCUUAGGUGGUGACCUUCUUCUUCUUGUGUGUCUUGAACUAGGAGCUCAACAACCUCGUGGCCUGCGCUUCUUAAACCGGCUUCUACACACAAGAACCUUCUCAUUGCUCCACACAAUGGUUGGUCUUCCGCUUGUAUGUCUUGAACCACGAGCUCAACAACCUCGUGGCCUGCGCUUCUUAAACCAGCUUCUACACACAAGUACCUUCCCAUUGCUCCACACAAUGGUCAAGUCUUCCUCUUGUCUUGGAUAGUUGGUGAGCAAAGAACACUUCUUGUGAACCUGAAACACCACUCAAACUCCAGCAAAGAUAAGACACAAGAGUAUUGGGUUCAAUCCUUGAUUAAUCAUCAAGUUUGAUUCCCAAUCUCACAAGCAUUGCAACAGAUUAAAACAAGUCAUUUUCAAGUUCUAUCUUUGCAAGCAAUCUCUCUAAGCACAAGCACUUUCUUUUUCAGUUUUAUGCAAGCUACUUAGGCAUUUUUAAAGCUUCUUUACUCAGCAUUUAGACAUGAAUCUAAUGCUUCAAUGUAAGACAGCCACAAGACUAUAUGCAACAGCUUUCAAUUCGGUUUCAAUCCAAGUAUGCAAGAAGAUUCAAUCAAUCACAACAAGCAUCAUUAUGAACCGGAGCUAAGCAUAUUAACAUAUCUAGUAAUCCUAGUAAUACUGUUAAGUUACUAGACAUUUUUAAAUGCGCUUACACUGCUGCUAGUAAGCCUAGUAUAUCUAGUAAGAUUUUAGGAUUACUAGGAAGCCAAGCUCUUUAAGUAUCCUGGGACAGAUUCUAAAUUCAUUUUAUUUCAUUUAGUAAUCUUUUAAACUAUCCUCAGGUUUUCAAUCACAUCACAUCAUCACAACCAGUCAACAACACAAGCUCAUUAUCAAGAUGGUUUAUAGAAUCGCUUACAAGAAGGAACCAGGUUGAUUCCUUUUGCAUUUUGUGAAACCGGCCAUGACUUUUGUUGGAUUUGAGAGCCUGGAUCAUCACCCACCUCCUUCUCCUUCAGUUCAUGGCCACCAUCUUGUUUCUCAUACUCAAGACCUCUCCUUGUUCCAUGUCGUCUAGGCGACAUCUUCUUGGACACCAGUUUGACACCGGAUGAGAGAACACUUCUUGAACAAGGCGAUUUGAAGCAGGUUUGCUAAGCCUCUCCAUACACCUUUGCUUCCAAGGAGAAUCACCAUCAGGACGAACAGUAGAGACAGAGAGACAAGGAGAACACUUCACGGCUUCACACUUCUUCUUCUUGAAGAAUCUGAGCUCGGAUGAACAUGUCUUCUUGGCUUUGGUUUGAGCUGAGAUGAGAGCAAGUGCUUUGCGGAAGCUACAGCUCAGGUUCUGAUGAACCUGGCUCUGAUACCAUAUGAGAUUUGUAGAGUUCUCUUCUCUGGUUGUAUGUGUGUGUGUAUAAACUCCAAUGGAGAAAGAUGAGAGCUUGCUCUAGGUGAUUUAGAAAGGGAGAUUGAUGAGAGUGUUUAUGAGAGAAUAAGAGACUUAGGAACAGAGAUUAAGAGGCUGAGAGAUUAGGAGAAUAAGAGAUUAUAGAUUAGGGUUUCAGAUUCAAGAACAAGUUUAUCAUUCAUGAAAUGGAGAGGGGAAAUCCCCGUUACUCCCUUAAGUGUUACAAAACGUCAUCUAAAAAUUAUAUAUGCCUUUACAUGUAUCAAAAAAUAAACCUAGAUCCUAUGGACAUAAAUGCAAGAUAGAUUGGAUGGCUAGGAUGAGAGAAGGAUGGUCUUUGAUUUUCUGGUGCUAGCUGUAAAGGAGAGGCGUGUAUGGACUUGAUGGAUGGCUUAGAUGCUUCAGUUUGAAUGAGCAGCCAAGAUGGAUCCGUGUGGGGAUAAGACAGGUCCGUACACUCGCCCUAACUAUGCGCAACACUUAUCCUUCCUCUUUGGUUGAUCCAUUCCUCUUCUUGAUUCGCCCUAUCUUUGCAAUUGGUGUUUUUGAAAUUGUUUUAUAGAGUCAAGAAGGAGAUUUAUGAUAUUUUUUAAUUUUUACUUAUUAUCUAACAACUCUCUAGCACAAUUCUUAGAUUUACUGAUUGCAUAUUGUACUAUAGAUACCAAAGUGGAUGAACUACCAUUCAUAUCCACACUUGCUGAGAAUGUUUGAAGGAACCGAAGCUGACCUGCAACCUAAUUGAAAAUUAUUUUCUUAUCUUUGGGCUUGGUAUACACUGGAUCAGAUUCCUCCUACAAGUUUGAAGGUAUUAGAGUCUGUGAGUUUCUUAUUCCUCUUUCACCUCUCUUCGGCAUCCAUAAGUAUAAAAGAUUGAGAUGAUUUCCUGCAGUUUAGAGGGAUAGAAAUGUUUCAUGCGACCCCAUUAUUCUAUUCUAAUGGAAUGAUCUCACACAUUAUUGGAAGCGAGGAGUAGGUACAUUAACGAUGACCCCAUUAUUCGCCUAUACUUUGUCAAAAAGAAGAGAAAGUUACAUAUGUUGAGGAAGUCAAUAAGAUGAACAGGAUGGCUAUUCAUCACUAUUCAUUGGCAUUGAGAUAAUAGGAUUCAGAGAAGAGAGAAGAGAGAGGGAAAGAGUCAGAAAAGCCUACAUGUUGGUCCAGAUACUUGUUUUAGUAAGAGUCCAUGUGUCCUUUGAUCGAUACUCCCAAGGUAAAGCCUGCACCUUUUACAUGUAAGAAAUGAGGUUAGUAGAUGGGUUAGUCAGACAUUAUUAGGUAAGUUGUUGGCUAGAAUGGAUUUAGUUGCUAUAGUAUAUAAAGUGCAUCUAAAGUCGCCAUUGAUUUGAUGUGGCUUGCAACAGGUGAUGGUAGUAAGUUUAAAAUUGUUUGAAUCCCUGCAAAACCUUUUUAACAGGAUUAUUCUAUGUUUUUCUUGAUGACAAACAAAAGGAUAAGUCUGGGGGAGUUGAUAUAAAAUGAAUUUUACUUAUUUUAGACCAUGGUAAAAUUAUUUUAUUGAGUCUAUUAUAUCUGUUUGGAGUGUGUUUUAGAGUAUUUUGAGGUUCAGGUAUGUUCUGGAUACUUUGGUCAUUUUGGAGCUAUUCGAGAUGCAGAACUGCAUAGGUGCGUCUGAUGUAAGCUAUGGAUGGAGACCUUCCCAUAGUGCGAUUGCGCUGAUCUUUUGACACAAGAUACAGUUUUGAGUUAUCUUUCCAAUGCCAACGGUUUGAGGUCAAUCAGCAUCAUAUAGAAGUCGUUAUGCUUGUUUUACUGAAGAAUGGUACGCCUGACUCGCGAGAGGAAGCUGUCGAGGAUAUGGAAGAGUGUCGAUCGACACUAAUACAUAGGUAUCAAAUGACACUGAUGCCAUAACAUGGGCCGAGUCUAUUUUAUGACUGACUAAGGCCCAGAAGUCACCAUAAAUUACCUUAAUGCCCUUGGACGACUUGAUACAUAGUUUAUAUAGUUUUCUAAGCCAUUGUUGAUGACUAAGUUUUUGCAUUUCAUAUUUUAUUGUUUUCUCUUAAGUUUGGAGAGAAGAUUAAUUAUCCUUCAGUGGUUGAUUGGAACUCCUUGGUUUUUCUAUUUGAUUUAUAUGAUUUCUAUUCAGACCAUGAUUUGUGUUAUUGCUUUCAUGUCUAAGUAAUCAUCCUAUUAGAUUUAAGGAUUUCAUGAGCUUAAUGUCAAACUGAUAUUCAAUUAGAAUUGCUAGGAUUGUUUAUAGAUUUCUACACCAGGGUGGCUUAUAUACUAGGAUCUAGAGUAGUUAGAAUAACAUGAGAGUGUGACUAAUUGCUUGAACCUUGAACCAAAGGACAAUUGAGAGGCACGAGAGUGCAAUGAAUUAAUGGAACCCGAGCUCUGCUGUAUUAGAUACCUAGGCGAAUACAAGAGUUGCUCUAGGAAUUUAGUUAAACUUAAUCGGUAUCUAUAGACACCCUAUAGGUGUAUCGAUCUAUUCUCGUUUGGUAUCGCGUACGAGAUUAUGAAUAAAGAUUUAAACAUGUAGACUCACAGGAAGAGGUGGAGAUCUUAUAAUUGUAUUCGAGUUCUAGAAUUAAAUCUAUAAAAUCCUUAGCAUCCUUGAUUUGUGUUUUGAAUCCCUUGAAUAAUAAAUCCCUAGGUCUAGUGUUUUCUCCUUAUCACUUACAACUGUUAUAUCUAUUUUCCGUUUACUGUUAUACUAUUAUUUGCCUAGCUUGAUCUUAAUAUUUAUAGUCUAUUGUGUGUCCACGCUCCCUGUGGAUUCGAUCCUCAAAUACUACAAUGAACCUCUUAUUUGAGAGAGUAGCUUGAAAGUUAAUUUGAGCUUAUCAGAACUCUUCCAGAAAGAGUUAAGUUAUAAGCGGGAAUUUAAAAUAUAAGUGGGAAAUUAAAAUUUAAGCGGAAACUUAAAUUUCAGUGAAAACUGAAAUUUUAAAUCACAUGAAAGUUAAAAAAAGGUAUACAUUAUGAUCUAAGAAGACACAUUAAAGCACAUGACUUGAUACUCUUGAAAAUACUUAGCACUUUUGGAAGUUAAAAACUCAUCUUAAAGUUACUAAACACUCUUAAAAAUACAAGUUUACAAAAACUAACUGAUAUCACUCAAAUUACCCUAAGGAGUGAUUUGUAGUUUCUCAAAUAAGAGAUCGAGUUGUAGCACUUAGGGAUCGAAUUCCCAGGGAGAUAAGGCACACAAAAGAUUUAUUACCUAUGUGGUCAAGCUAGGCAAACAUGUUUAAAUGUAAAUAGCAGUGGUGUGAGCAAGGUAAUUGCUCGGUUGAUUGAUUGAGGUUUUGAAACAGAUAUGAAAGGCGUUAGAGUUAGGGUUUCUAUUCAGACUAAGUUAGAGUUAGGGUUUCUAUUCAGACUAAGUCUCAAAAAUACCUUAGAAGACUUACCGUGAAGUCUUCUCGAAUAAACAUGUUAGUUUUGCAAUUGACAGAAUUGUGUCAGAAAUUUGACUUUCUUUAGAAGACUUCCCUAGAAAUAUUCUCAACGUUGGUGGAAUUCUUCUCAUCGUCGAUGAAAGUCGUUUUAGGUUACUUUUGUAAUUUUCAAAUUGACAAUUGAAACUUAGAUAUAUAAUUUUAACAAGAAGACUUAAAUAUUUAAUUGUCAAAUUUGAUUUUCUUUAAAAGACAAAAUCUUGUCGACUUCCAUUGAAGUUUUCUGCCAUAAUACUUUCCUCGAAGUCUUCUAAUUAAAAUUAAAUAUUUAUUUUUCUUUGUCAAUUGCAAAAGUAACCUAAGACGGCUCUCACCAAAAGUAAGAUGACUUCCACCAAAAGUUGAGAAGACUUUAUGAAAAAGUCAAAUUUCUGACACAAUUCGGUCAAUUGUAAAACUAACAUGUUUAUCCGACAAGGUUUCCCGGUAGGUCUUCUCGUUUUUUUGUUAACAAAGAAAAGUUGGAAGAUUUCGAGAGAAGUCUUCUCUAAAAACACACAGAAAGUCAAUUGCAAAAUUAACCUUUUCAUUGGCCAGAAAACUUUUGUAGAAGUCUGGAGAAGACUUCUACAUAAAUUUUCUAUGCGAACAUAUCUAUAAAAAAAUUCAAAGAUGAUUAUUAGAUCAUGUGAGGUUCAUAUUUAACUUCUCCAAUCACAUAUAACUUUUUAGUGAAAGUUACCCAUUCAUUCUUGACCAAGAAUUAUGAACUUGAGUAAAUCUCAUAAGCUUAUAAAUUUUGAAAUAAAAAAGUUGGGAUUUUGGAAUGAAGUAAAAGAGGAAGUGAAAGGGAAAUGGUUUAUGUAUGUAAGAAAUAAGAAUACAAAGAUGUUGAUGUUAAUUGGGCUUUUUGCAAAAUUGACCUACAACUCAAAGUCAAACACAAAACUAAUCUCUCUUUUUUUUGGAAAUUUGUUUUGCUCUAUUCACCCCACAAGUUCAUAUAAUUCACGAAAAUGCCAUCAAUUUUUUUUCUUUUCAAAAAUGACAUUUUUACUCUCUCACCCUCAUCAUCUUCAAGUAAUUACAAGAUUGUCAUUGUCAUCAAUACCCUAACCACCAUGAACAACCAAUUUGAAGCUCUUAAUGCUCCCAAAAAUGAUUUACCAUUCUUCUUUCUCCAUUCUUAUGAACUAAACACAACAUAUCUCUCACUUUCUCUCCACAUUAAGCUAAAAACCCCAAAUGGAAGUCGUCUGGAAAACUUCCUGGAAGUCGUCUAGUGCAUUAUAUUUUAGACGACUAACAGGUAAGUCGUCCCAGAAGUCUUCCAGAUCUGAAAAACCUGCAUAUCCAAAAACGUUCAAAUGGCUUAAAACAUAAAAAAAUAAGUGGAAGAUUAGAUAAAUCUAUCUUUAUAGAACACACAAAAAUACAUAUCUAAAAUUAAUAGAUCUACCUUUAAAUGAGUGGAAGAUGAGUACCAUCUGAUUAAAACCCUGCAAAAAGAUAGAUUAGUAAGAAAGACAUGAGACAAAACUAAAAAAUUCAUAUAAAGUUUGGUGUUUUCAAGUCAAAGAGAUUAGAGUGGGUUUGGAGAGUUUUAGUUUGGGAAAAAAUUAAAAACUUUACACAACAAGAAGUUACCAAAUGAAGAAAAAUCAGACAUAAAAACUUACCAAAACACUCAGAUCUAUUAUGAAAGGAGAUUUCGUUAGAAGACUUCCAAGAAGUCCAGACGACUGAAAUGGAAGUCGUUUGGAAGACUUCCUCAAAGUCGUCUACUUCAUUAUAUAUUAGACGACUAACAGGUAAGUCGUCCCAGAAGUCUUCCAGAUCAGAAAAACCUGCAGAUCAAAUUCACAUAUGAAAAAUCUACAAUUAGAUAAAUCUACCUUUAUAGAACACACAAAAAUACAUAUCUAUAAUUAAUAGAUCUACCUUUAAAUGAGUGGAAGAUGAGUACCAUCUGAUUAAAAACCUGCAAAAAGAUAGAUUAGUAAGAAAAACAUGAGACAAAACUGAAAAAUUCAUAUAAAGUUUGGUGUUUUCAAGUCAAAGAGAUUAGAGAGAGGUGGAAGAGUUUUAGAAUGAUGAACAUUACAUUUUUGUUGCAUCCAUUUGAGAGGAGGAGAGAGAAUGUGUAAAUUUUUCUUUAUAUAGGGAGACAAAAAAUCCAAUUAUAUUAAAUAUUUUUUAUUCAGACUUCCUAGACGACUUAGUUGUAAGUCUUCCAGAAGACUUUAAUAUUUUUAGCGGGAAAUUAAAAUAUUUUUAGUGAAAAACUAAAAUAAAAGACUUCCGAGAUGAUCGGGUUUAAAUUAUUUAAGCGGGAAAAUAUUUUUUAAAAACAUUUUAGGCGGGAAUAUUUGAACGACAUACAUGUAAGUCCUCUGUUUUAAUUUCUUCAUCAGACGACUGAAAUGUAAGUCGUCUAGACCCUAAACAUAACCUCUAAACCUAAUUAACUAACUAAACACUUCAAAAAUUCAAAUUAAAUUUUAAAAGUGUUUACUAUACACAAAAAUAAACAUGCAUAGGUAAAAAUUUAAUUUUUCAAAAAAACAUUCAAGCUUUCCAAAAUCUAACCCUAAGAAUACAUACAAUACUACAACAUAUGUUGCCAAACCCUAGACCAAAGAAUACCAUGAUUCACUAUAUACACUCAUCUAUGUUGAAAACAAUUCAAUUUUGUUAAAUUUUAAUUUAUAUCACUUAAAACUGUUUAUAAUUACAUGAUUUUAAUUUUCGCUUAUCAAAAUAUUUUUAAAAAAAUUUAUAAAUUAUUUUUAAGAUCAGCUACACCAGAUGACUUACUUUGAAGUCGUUGAGACGACUUCCAACAUCUCAGACGACUCAGACGACUUACUGGGGCUAUAUUCGUAAAAAUAACUUCUGUUUUUUUGUUUGGUCACAAGGGGAUGCGCCGUAAUUUCACAAGGCUUUUAGGUUAGUUUGCAUUUGAUUCAAGUUUGGAUACAUGUUUGGGGUUAUAAUCAAGUUGUGGGUUAGUUUUGGCAAAUUCCCCAUGUUAAUUUUAGUUGCAUUUAAAGCUUGAAAUUGGUUGUUCAUAGUAGUUGAUGUUGGGGUCAAAAACGGUUACGGCGAAGUUAACAUUCAAAACGUCCGAAGAAGAAAAAGACAACUUUCUUCGACAAAUACUUUUUCGAAAUAGAUUCAUUCUUACGAAAAGCUUUGCGGAGAAAACACGAGACAUCAGACAAGAGCUCAAAAAAGGUCGCAACGCAGCGACCGAACGCGCGUUCCGUUCGGUCACUACAUAGUGACCGAGCGUCCGUCCCGCUCGGUCGCUACGUAGCAACCGAGCUCUUCCAAAACGUCGAUACGACACUAGUCCAUGCAUUCUCGUCUAUCCUUCGAUGCUAUCUCCCGAAGACCGUAGCAAACCCGUUUCAUGUUUUCCGCCAUUCUAAGUCAUCAAUCAAACUUUGCGGUAAAAACUGCAGAAAGUUCGUUCUUUUUCGAAAGAAGCCGUAAUAAACGCUUCGAGUUAGAAGACGGCCCAAAGGGACCUAAGACAUGACUCUAGGCCCAACUUACGGUUUAUUAAUCAACAGCCUGUAAGCCGCAUGACGGUUUACGCUUGGUUCGCAAGGAAAGAUAAAUGUCAAGUUUCUGCGGAUAAAUACGAAAUUUUGAAGAUAAUUACGAAGAUCGGAAAAAAUGAAAUAUCUCCAUUUUUAUGCUAUGACGGCUUAAGGGCAGAAGAGGAAAAGCAUAAACCGACCUAGGAGCAAGUAUAUAAGGAGUCCUAGGCGAGAGGAAUGGAGAGAGACUUUUCCGAGCAAACUUAGCACUUAGAGCGAUUUAGGCAUAUUUCCGUUUUUGUUAUUUCGAGCUGCGACUCAAUUAGGUUUAGCCGUCUUAGAGUUCCUAGAUCUAGGAAUCUCGCCGACAGCUCUCGAGCCCAGGCUUAAACCUUGUUGUAACACUCAAACACAGAUUUGAGAAUAAGAUCUAUUUUGCUCUCUUCUUACGAUUUUUAUACUUUGUCGUUGAUAUCUCGUGUUCUGAUUGCUUUGCGUGUGGUAUUAACAGAUCUCCGAGACCUCUGGGAAAUUAGAGUUUUUCUAGUUUCCUAAUUUAGACGGAAAUCGACAGUGCGAAUUUUGGUUCCUACAGUUUGGCGCUAGAAGGAGGGGGGGGGGUAUGGAUCAAUCUAACCCGCAAAAGCCACUCAACGAUCAGGAACGAUAUGCAAGACUCGACGUGCGCGAACGUCAUCUCUUUCAAGGGGGGAGCAACGAUAGAUCAAGCCAAACCUCGAAACAAUCUCCUUGUUAUCGAGCCGACGAUUCGAGAUAUCGACGUCGCUAGGGUGUUAAUCGACACCGGGAGUUCGGCCGAUAUCAUCUUCAAGGAUACUCUCGAAAAAAUGGGGAUCGAUCAAUCCGAAAUCGCAAAAUACCCUAGCCCACUACUGGGACUUUCGGGAGAAACAACAAUUGCCUACUGGUCGAUUAAUCUCGCAGUCAAAGCCGGAACCGUGACAAGAGUCACAGAGUUUCUAGUCGUUGAUCGUCCCGCAUCUUACAACGUUAUCAUGGGAACGCCAUGGUUGAACGCCAUGCGUGCCAUCCCAUCAACGUACCAUCUUUGUCUCAAGUUCCCAACCCCUAACGGAGUCGAGGUAAUAUGGGGAAAUCCGAGAGUAUCACAGGUGUGUUACGCCGCUGAACAAAAACGAAAAAGACAAGACCUCGAGACCACUCCUAGAAAAGCGGAGAAAAAGAUCUCCAACGUGGAUUCGCGAAGUGAAGAUUCAGCGGAACUCUUCUGGCAGUCUCGUAACAUCACAGCCCUAGAGGAAAAACGCGAACCAACUUGCGAACCUGUGGUCAUAGUCUGUCUCGACGAAGCAUUUCCGAAACGCCGCAUCGAGAUCGGAGCCAAUCUCCGUGAGCCUUUGAGGACAGAGCUCAUAACCUGUCUAAAAAAGAACCUCAAUACUUUUGCAUGGGCCGCGGAAGAUAUGCCAGGGAUUGACAUUAACAUAACGUGUCACGAAUUAAAUAUCGAUCCGACUUUCAAACCCGUAAAAAAAAUAGACGGAAGCUAGGACCCGAACGUGCUUCCGCGGUAAACAUCGAGGUCGAAAAAUUGCUUAAAGUCGAGUAAAAGGAAGUGAGGUAUCCAGACUGGCUCGCCAACCCUGUAGUAGUAAAAAAGAAAAACGGGAUAUGGCGAGUAUGCGUGGAUUUUACCGACCUAAACAAGGCCUGUCAAAAGCAUAGUUUCCCUCUGCCACAUAUCGAUCGAUUGGUAGAAGCAACGGCGGGUAACGAACUUCUGUCUUUCAUGGACGCCUUCUCAGGUUACAAUCAAAUUAUGAUGAACCCUGACGAUCGCGAGAAGACUGCAUUCAUUACCGAUCGCGGAACCUAUUGCUACAAGAUAAUGCCCUUCGGCCUCAAAAACGCUGGUGCAACUUACCAACGAUUCGUGAAACGUAUGUUCUCCAAGAAACUCGGUAAAACGAUGGAGGUCUAUAUCGAUGCAUGCUCGUCAAAUCCCUCCAAGCAAAGGAUCACGUAUCACAUCUCGAGGAAUGUUUCGCGCAGUUAAAAUUCCAUAACAUGAAGCUCAACCCGACGAAAUGCAGAUUUGCCGUCGCAUCAGGGGAGUUCCUCGGCUACCUAGUCACAUAACGCGGCAUCGAAGCUAAUCCAAAACAGAUCAACGCAUUGAUCGAGAUGGCUUCGCCAAAGAAUAAGCGGGAAGUCCAAAGACUGACCGGUAGAGUCGCAGCACUUAACUGAUUUAUUUCACUAUCAACGGACAAGUGCCUGCCCUUCUAUGAUGUUCUACGGGGAAAUAAAAAAUUCGAAUGGUCGGAAGAAUGCGAAAACGCUUUCCAAUAGCUGAAGCGGUACUUAGCUUCUCCUCCAGUCCUCGCCAAACCCGUGGAGGGGGAACCGUUGUUCUUGUACAUCGCCGUAUCGGCAACAGCUGUGAGCGGCGUCCUGAUCAGGGAAGAAUGCGGCGAACAGAAACCUAUUUUCUAUAUAAGCAAAACCUUGCUGGAUGGCAAAUCUAGGUGUGGGAACCGAAAUUCACACUGUCGAUUUCCGUUUAAAUAAGGAAACUAAGAAAACCCUAGUUUCCCAGAGGACCCGGAUAUCUGUUAAUUACCACACGUCAAGCAAUCAGAACACGAGAAUAACAACGAUAAAAAUAAGAAAUCAAAAAGAGAGCAAAGUAGAUCUUAUUCCGAAUCUGCGUAUGAGCGUUACAACAAGGUAUAAGCCUGGGCUCGAGAGCUGUCGGCAAGAUUCCUAGUUCUAGCAACCCUAAGACGGCUAAACCUAAUUGAGUUGCAGCUCGAAAUAACAAAAACGGAAAAUUGCCUAAAUUGCUCUAAGUGCUAAGUUUGCUCUGAAAAAGUUCUCCCCUCUGCUCCUCGCCUAGGACUCCUUAUAUACUAGCUCCAAGGUCGGUUUACGCUUUUACUCUUCUGCCCUUAAGCCGUCAUAGCAUAAAAUGGAGAUUUUCCAUUUUUCCCGUUCUUCAUAAUUAUCUUCAAAACUUCCGUAUUUAACCGCGGAAACUUGACAUUUAUCCUUCCUCGUGGGCCAAGCGUAAACCAUGCUGUGGUUUACGGGCUUUUGGUUAGGAAAAUCGCAGGAUGGGCUUCGAAUCGUGUUUUAGGUCCCUUUGGGCCGUCUUCCGACUCGACACGUUUACUACGAGUUUUCCGCGGUUUCUAAUCCGCGAAGUUUGAUCGAUGAAUUAGAAUAGCGGGAAACAUGGACUGAGCUUGCUACGGUCUUCGGGAGAUAGCAUUCGAAGGUUUGACGAGAAUGCAUGGACUGGUGUCGUAUCGAUGUUUGGAAAGGUUCAAUCGCUACACAGCGACCGAACUUUGGCUCGAGCCCGGUCGCUACGUAGCGACCGAGUGAGACGAGUGCUCGGUCGCUACGUAGCGACCAAGCUUUGGCUUGAGCUCGGUCGCUAUGUAGCGACCGAGCGGGACGAGCGCUCGGUCGCUACGUAGCGACCGAGCUUGGCUGAGCUCGGUCGCUACGUAGCGACCGAGCGGGACGAUCGCUCGGUCGCUACGUAGCGACCGAGCUUGGCUGAGCUCGGUCACUACGUAACGACCGAGCGGGACGAGCGCUCGGUCGCUACGUAGCGACCGAGCUUGGCUGAACUUGGUCGCUACGUAGCGACCUGUUUCGAGCUUUUCGUCGGACACCUCGACUCUUUCUUCCGUAGAGCUUUUUCGUAAGAAAUAGUCUAUUUCGUAUCAAUACUCUUCGGAGAGAUUCUUUUUUUCUCCUCUGACGUUUUGAAUGUUAAAUUCGUCGUAACCGUUUUUGACCCCAACACUAGGUACCCGCUAAUGGAAAAAUUAGCAUGCGCGGUCGUAACAUCGGCUCAAAAACUAAGACUGUAUUUCCAGUCCCACACGAUCAUCUUCCUCACGACCUUUCCCCUAAAGACGAUUCUGCAUAGCCCGAGUCUGUCGGGCCAACUGGCCAAGUGGGCAACCGAGUUGAGGGAGUACGAUAUCGAGUACCGACCGAGAACAAGCGCAAAAUCACAAGUGCUCGCAGACUUCUUGGUCGAACUACCGACGAAGACCAUAACCAACGAGGAACCAAAUUCCACAUGGCUCCUCCACGUCGAUGGAUCCUCAUCCAAGCAAGGAUCAGGUAUCGGAAUUCGCCUCACAUCUCCGAAAAACGAGAUCUUGGAGCAAUCAUUCAGGCUGGAAUUCCACGCCUCAAACAACGAGGCCGAAUACGAAGCACUCAUCGCAGGGCUGCGUUUGGCUCACGGCUUGAAGAUACGCAACAUCCACGCUUACUGCGACUCCCAUCUAGUGGCGAGUCAAUUCAGCGGAGAGUACAAAGCCAGGGACGAAUGGAUGGACGCGUACCUCAAACUAGUCCAAAAUCUAGCUCAAGAGUUUGACUGUUUUGCUCUUACGCGAAUCCCCCGUUCCGAAAACGUCCAGGCAGAUGCUCUCGGGGCCCUAGCAUCAAGUUCUGACUCAGGACUUAAAAGAGUAAUUCCGAUCGAGUUCGUCGAGCACCCGAGCAUCGGACCAUCAAUCGUCGUCAACCUCAUAAAAGGUCAAGAUGACGAGGAAGAAGAAGUUACGGUACAACCGCAAUCGGAGCAAUCUGAUUACGGCUGCGAUACUCCAUGGCUUCAGACAAUUCGAGACUACAUUAUCGACAGACAACUGCCCACCGAGAAAUGGGCAGGCCACAAAGUCCGAACACAGGCUGCGCGCUACGUAAAUGUGGAUGGCGAAAUUUACAAGUGGAGAUUCUCCGGACCACUCAUGACGUACCUGGAAGGGAAAAAAGCGAGAAAAGUGAUGGAGGAAGUACAUUCUAGGUCAUGCGGCAACCGUUCCGGUGGAAGAUCGCUGGCAGUAAAAAUCAAACGCCAUGGAUACUACUGGCCGACGAUGAUUGGAGAUUGCGAGAAGUUUGCGCGAAAAUGCGAAAAAUGCCAAAGGCAUGCUCCAACCAUCCGACAACCAGCCAAAGUUCUCUCCUCCAUCACAUCGCCCUAUCCCUUUAUGCGCUGGGCCAUGGAUAUCGUCGGACCCCUUCAUAAUUCAAAGCGUUUCCUUUUAGUCCUUACCGAUUUCUUCUCAAAAUGGGUAGAGGCAGAUUCGUACGCAAGUAUAAAAGAUGUCCAAGUCGAAAGUUUCGUAUGGAAAAACAUCAUCUGUAGGGAUGGAGUUCCUUACGAGAUCGUAAGCGAUAACGGAUCUCAGUUUAUCUCCACCCGGUUCGAGGCGUUUUGCGAAAAAUGGAAGAUACGACUCAACAAGUCGACGCCCAGGUAUCCGCAAUGUAACGGACAAGCUGAAACGAUCAAUAAAACUAUUCUCGACGGACUGAAGAAACCCUUAGAGGCCAAAAAACGCAGGUGGGCCGACGAACUCGAGGAAGUCCUCUGGUCCCACCGUACCACCCGGAGGCGGGCAACGGGAGAAACCCCUUUCGCUCUGGUGUACGGAACGGAAUGCAUGAUUCCCUCAAGUAGAGUUCCCAGUGUUCGAAGAAGAUUACUUCCCGAACGAGAUGAGCUCAAUAACGCCAUGCUCCUGGAUGAUCUCGAUCUCAUUAACGAGCGCCAAGAUCGAGCGCUCAUCCGAAUCCAAAAUUACCAACACGCUGUCGCAAAGUACUAUAAAUCCAACGUACGGAAUCACAGAUUUAAUCAAGGAGAUCUGGUCCUUUGCAAAGUCUUCCAAAACACCGCUGAACGAAACGCGAGAAAAAUUGGAGCAUACUGGGAAGGACCCUAUAAAAUCGAAAAAGUCGUCUGACCAGGACCUGGAACACGAUGCAUCUCAAAAAAUACUAUCACUAAACAAACUAACUCGCAAUGACCGAACUACGAGACGGCUUGAUCUCCAUAAGGAGUACGUAGGCAGUUGUCAAAAGGCAAAUUCAGCUAUCCUCCCUCAUUAAAAAAAGGGGGGGGGGGGUGGGGGGGAGUGGAUACGUAUACUCGUAUACUCUCAAAUUCUAAAACAUAUGACCACGCCUUCGAUGUUUCCGACAUAUCUUAACCAAGCAAAUUAUUUUUUAUCCGCAAAUCAUUUUCGACAUUCGGAAAUAAAUCAGCCGUUAGGGAGAAGCAACCUUUGGCAUCGCGAGAUAUCGCAAGAGAUGCCUCGAGAGUUACUUCUUCCGAACGACGAAUACGGAACCUCCGUCACAAAAAAAAAACAAUGAACAUUUUAGCACAUAUUUUGCGCAAAAACUCCAAACGGCGGCAUUUGCCGCCAAGUUCGGUGAUGAUCACAUCGAACUCUCGAACGUCCUAAACAGACAUAGCCAUCUCACAAAGAUGACUCUCGUACAUUCGACACUAGGAUAAUAGCGCUAAAAAAGAAACCCAAAAUUUUGGUCCAGCACUUCCGGUUGGCUUAAAAAUUAUCUCCGGAGAGAUGCUUGAUUCAUAUCUAACAGAGAACCUAUCGCGGACUUUAAAUUGGUACGAAUCAGGUUAAAAUCACGACAGAUAAACGAUAGCCGGCUAGUCACUGCAUAAAUCUUAAAACCGAAAGUAAACAUAGGUCUUGCCCUAAACCCAGCGCACUGGUCUCUAACAUCUCAAGGCAUGAUAUCCAAAAGAUACGAGAUCCCAAAACCAUGCCUCUAUGUUUAUAUUCGACAUCUUCAGAUAUCCCGCGAAGUCUAUAUCUCACAGUAAAACUCUCGAAACGGAUCUCGAACAAAACAUUUCACAUCGAAGAAGGAUAUGAGACGACAACUCAUCACCCUUCUUCCACGCCAUACGUAAACUUAUGAAAAAUGCAACUCGAUCAUCUUGUCAUAAGAAGAAAGCCGCAGAGCGGCAGGGAUUCAAAGCCACAUACGGCCAGUCCCGAAACAUGACAUAAGACCAUUUAAGGCUGAAACAAGAAACAUAAAAAAAAUCUCUCGCAAGAGAUCUAACCAAAGUCAUCCUCAGAACUCACGCUCCCUUUUCACCCGUCGCUUCGUCCAAGCCUGUAGUCGCUUCUUCCUCUGGGUCUUCUGAACACGUCGGAAGGAAGCACGCGGAUUUCAGGUCAGCUAGAAUGAGAUUGAAAUCUCCAUCCACGACUGCAAAUCUCCCUUGCAGCUGGAUAGUCGGGCCUCUUCGGCCUCUAAGGUCGUAGAAGUCUCACUCUAGAACGACUGAACCACGGCCAUCAUGCCCUCAAUCGUCGCCAAGGCUAAAUCCCUGCUCCAGAUGCACUCGAGGGAGCCCAGAAAGGCAUAGAUCUUCGCCAAGCGAGCCUGAAACUCAUAGCGAAGAGCGUCCGUGGCCUCUCGGAUCCCGCGGAUUGCUAAUCCUGCAUCGCCCUCGAUCUGAUGCUGAAGCCGACGCACCUCCAAAGAUUUGGCCUUCCCGGCCUUCUUCUCCUUAAGCAGUGAACUCACCGUCUUCCCGAGGUCCCUAUCGAGCUCGCCUAUGGCGACCUCGAGUUUCGACACUUUUGCGGAGUGAGAAUCCUUUACAGCCGUCAGCAUGGCCUCGGUUUCAGACCAUCUACCCUGAAACUCCGACAACUCCCCGGCAAGACGACUGGUCUCAGAACCGCACUCGCUGAUCAUCCCAUCGAUCAACGACAUGAACUGCGAAACGAGAAAAAUGUUAGGGAUUUUUUGUUUAAAAAAAUAUAUAUAUAUAUAUAUUAAUAAUCAAGAGAUUAAGUGAGCGACAAACCUUUCCGCGAAGCCCCGACGCUAUGCUCGAGCCACCUUGCUGCGAAGAUUCCCCGUCACCGCCCUUGGUAAACUUCCUCUUCCGGCCCUUAGGCUGAGCAAACGGAACAGAACUAGGAGCGCGCAGCGCUAGAACGAUCUCUUUCCAGGCCGGAGGAGGAGGCAUAGAGUCAGCAGCCCUCUCCUUAUCCUCGACGAGAAUCAGAGUCAUGGACGAUCCGGCAGGUAGAGCCGAAGCAUCCGGAACGCCAGAGCCCAUAAGAGUUUCCGCGUCUUGCAGAGUCACGACCUCGGUCCUGUGGCCCGGCGCAAUGGCCAGUGCAGAAGAGGAUGGGAACUCGGUGCCAGCUCGAACCAUUUCCUUCUCGACUUGGGGACGAACUAGUCUCUCUCGAAAGGAUAGAUGGUCAGCAACGCAAGCCGGCGCUUCGACCGGAGAAAUCGGAAUCGGAGCCGGAGAGGUGGCCUCGCCCAUCUCAACGUCGGAACUUCUCUUGUCACCGUGGGAAGAAGACAUGUUGAAGGCAAAAGUUUUGGAGCUAAAGAGGUUUUGGAGGUUUGAAGAAGGGAAGGUGUGAAGCAAAUGAAUGACAAGAGCUCACUACUUAUAGAAGUAUGGGCUCGGAAUUUUAUAUAUUUUUAAUAUAUACUUUCCCGAGAAUUAUCUUCCACGGAGUUUAAAGUAAACUUCGUCCAAUACGCCUAACUUUGCCAAAAUCGUCAAACCGCGCGCUAGAGUCUUGACUCUAACGAGCUGAGGGGCUAACUGUUGGGGUCAAAAACGGUUACGACGAAGUUAACAUUCAAAACGUCCGAAGAAGAAAAUGAGAACUUUCUUCGACAAAUACUUUUUCGAAAUAUAUUAUUUCUUACGAAAAGCUUUGCGGAGGAAACACGAGACAUCGGACAGGAGCUCGAAAAAGGUCGCUACGCAGCGACCGAACGCGCGUUUCGCUCGGUCGCUACGUAGCGACCAAGCAUCCGUCCCGCUCAGUCGCUACGUUGCGACCGAGCUCGAGCCAAUCUCAGAUACGUAUACUCGUAUACUCUCAAAUUCUAAAACAUAUGACCACGCCUUCGAUGUUUCCGACAUAUCUUAACCAAGCAAAUUAUUUUUUAUCCGCAAAUCAUUUUCGACAUUCGGAAAUAAAUCAGCCGUUAGGGAGAAGCAACCUUUGGCAUCGCGAGAUAUCGCAAGAGAUGCCUCGAGAGUUACUUCUUCCGAACGACGAAUACGGAACCUCCGUCACAUAAAAAAAACAAUGAACAUUUUAGCACAUAUUUUGCGCAAAAACUCCAAACGGCGGCAUUUGCCGCCAAGUCCGGUGCUGAUCACAUUGAACUCUCGAACGUCCUAAACAGACAUAGCCAUCUCACAAAGAUGACUCUCGUACAUUCGACACUAGGAUAAUAGCGCUAUAAAAGAAACCCAAAAUUUUGGUCCAGCACUUCCGGUUGGCUUAAAAAUUAUCUCCGGAGAGAUGCUUGAUUCAUAUCUAACAAGUCCGAGAACCUAUCACGGACUUUAAAUUGGUACGAAUCAGGUUAAAAUCACGACAGGUAAACGAUAGCCGGCUAGUCACCACAUAAAUCUUAAAACCGAAAGUAAACAUAGGUCUUGCCCUAAACCCAGCGCACUGGUCUCUUACAUCUCAAGGCAUGAUAUCCAAAAGAUACGAGAUCCCAAAACCAUGCCUCUAUGUUUAUAUUCGACAUCUUCAGAUGUCCCGCGAAGUCUAUAUCUCGCGGUAAAACUCUCGAAACGGAUCUCGAACAAAACAUUUCACAUCGAAGAAGGAUAUGAGACGACAACUCAUCACCCUUCUUCCACACCAUACGUAAACUUAUGAAAAAUGCAACUCGAUCAUCUUGUCAUAAGAAGAAAGCCGCAGAGCGGCAGGGAUUCAAAGCCACAUACGGCCAGUCCCGAAACAUGAAAUAAGACCAUUUAAGGCUGAAACAUGAAACAUAAAAAAAAUCUCUCGCAAGAGAUCUAACCAAAGUCAUCCUCAGAACUCACGCUCCCUUUUCACCCGUCGCUUCGUCCAAGCCUGUAGUCGCGUCACCUCCGUUUUCUCCGACCACUGGAUCUUUCCCCUCUGGGUCUUCUGAACACGUCGGAAGGAAGCAUGCGGAUUUCAGGUCAGCUAGAAUGAGAUUGAAAUCUCCAUCCACGACUGCAAAUCUCCCUUGCAGCUGGACAGUCGGGCCUCUUCGGCCUCUAAGGUCGAAGGAGUCUCACUGUAGAACGACUGAACCACGGCCAUCCUGCCCUCAAUCGUUGCCAAGGCUAAAUCCCUGCUCCAGAUGCACUCGAGGGAGCCCAGAAAGGCAGAGAUCUUCGCCAAGCGAGCCUGAAACUCAUAGCGAAGAGCGUCCGUGGCCUCUCGGAUCCCGCGGAUCGCUAAUCCUGCAUCGCCCUUGAUCUGAUGCUGAAGCCGACGCACCUCCGAAGAUUUGGCCUUCCCGGCCUUCUUCUCCUUAAGCAGUGAACUCACCGUCUUCCCGAGGUCCCUCUCGAGCGCGCCUAUUGCGACCUCGAGUUUCGACACUUUCGCGGAGUGAGAAUCCUUGACAGCCGUCAGCAUGUCCUCGGUUUCAGACCAUCUACCCUGAAACUCCGACAACUCCCCGGCAAGACGACUGGUCUCAGAACCGCACUCGCUGAUCAUCCCAUCGAUCAACGACAUGAACUGCGAAACAAGAAAAAUGUUAGGGAUUUUUUGUUUAAAAAAAUAUAUAUAUAUAAUAAUAAUCAAGAGAUUAAGUGAGCGACAAACCUUUCCGCGAAGCCCCGACGCUAUGCUCGAGCCACCUUGCUGCGAAGAUUCCCCGUCACCGCCCUUGGUAAACUUCCUCUUCCGGCCCUUAGGCUGAGCAAACGGAACAGAACUAGGAGCGCCCAGCGCUAGAACGAUCUCUUUCCUGGCCGGAGGAGGAGGCAUUGAGUCAGCAGCCCUCUCCUUAUCCUCGACGAGAAUCGGAGUCAUGGACGAUCCGGCAGGUAGAGCCGAAGCAUCCGGAACGGCAGAGCCCAUAAGAGUUUCCGCGUCUUGCAGAGUCACGACCUCGGUCCUGUGGCCCGGAGCAAUGGCCAGUGCAGAAGAGGAUGGGAACUCGGUGCCAGCUCGAACCAGUUCCUUCUCGACUUGGCGACGAACUAGUCUCUCUUGAAAGGAUAGAUGGUCAGCAACGCAAGCCGGCGCUUCGACCGGAGAAGUCAGAAUCGGAGCCGGAGAGGUGGCCUCGCCCAUCUCAACGUCGGAACUUCUCUAGUCACCGUGGGAAGAAGACAUGUUGAAGGCAAAAGUUUUGGAGCUAAAGAGGUUUUGGAGGUUUGAAGAAGGGAAGGUGUGAAGCAAAUGAAUGACAAGAGCUCACUACUUAUAGAAGUAUGGGCUCGGAAUUUUAUAUAUUUUUAAUAUAUACUUUCCCGAGAAUUAUCUUCCGCGGAGUUUAAAGUAAACUUCGUCCAAUACGCCUAACUUUGCCAAAAUCGUCAAACCGCGCGCUAGAGUCUUGACUCUAACGAGCUGGGGGGCUAACUCUUGGGGUCAAAAACGGUUACGACGAAGUUAACAUUCAAAACGUCCGAAGAAGAAAAUGAGAACUUUCUUCGACAAAUACUUUUUCGAAAUAUAUUAUUUCUUACGAAAAGCUUUGCGGAGGAAACACGAGACAUUGGACAGGAGCUCGAAAAAGGUCGCUACGCAGCGACCGAACGCGCGUUUCGCUCGGUCGCUACGUAGCGACCAAGCAUCCGUCCCGCUCGGUCGCUACGUUGCGACCGAGCUCGAGCCAAGCUCGGUCGCUACGUAGCAACCGAGCUCUUCCGAAACGUCAAUACGACACUAGUCCAUGGAUUCUCGUUUAUCCUUCGAUGCUAUCUCUUGAAGACUUUAGCGAACCCAUUUCAUGUUUUCCGCCAUUCUAAGUCAUCAAUCAAACUUUGCGGUAAAAACUCUGGAAAGUUCGUUGUUUAUCGAAAGAAGCCGUAAUAAACGCUUCGAGUUAGAAGACGGCCCAAAUGGACCUAAGAAAUGACUUGAGGCCCAACUUACGGUUUCUUAAUCAACAGCCCGUAAGCCGCAUGAUGGUUUACGCUUGGUUCGCAAGAAAAGAUAAAUGUCAAGUUUCCGCGGAUAAAUACGAAAUUUUGAAGAUAAUUACGAAGAUCAGAAAAAUGGAAUAUCUCCAUUUUUAUGCUAUGACGGCUUAAGGGCAGAAGAGGAAAAGCGUAAACCGACCUAUGAGCAAGUAUAUAAGGAGUCCUAGGCGAAAGGCAUGGAGAGAGACUUUUUCAGAGCAAACUUAGCACUUAGAGCGAUUUAGGCAUAUUUCCGUUUUUGUUAUUUCGAGCUGCGACUCAAUUAGGUUUAGCCGUCUUAGGUUUGCCAGAACUAGGAAUCUCGCCGACAGCUCUCGAGCCCAGGCUUAUACCUUGUUAUAACGCUAAAACACAGAUUCGGAAUAAGAUCUAUUUUGCUCUCUUCUUACGAUUUUUAUACUUUGUCGUUGAUAUCUAGUGUUCUGAUUGCUUAGCGUGUGAUAUUAAGAGAUCUCCGGGACCUCUGGGAAAUUAGGGUUUUCCUAGUUUCCUAAUUUAGUCGGAAAUCGAUAGUGCAAAUUUCGGUUCCCACAGUUGAUGUACUGAUGAUAAUGACAAUGUUGUAAAUAAAUUAAGAAGAUAAGGAUGAUUGAGUAAAAUAUAAGCAUUUUUCGUAAAUAAUAUAAAUUUUUAGGAUAAAUAGGACAAAUGAAUUUUUUUUUUAAAAAAGCCAUGGUGUUAGUUUCCAUUUGACUUUUUGUUUUGAGUCAUUUUGCAAAAAAUACCCGUUUUAGAACCAUAAUAAAAUCUCUAAAAAACUUCCUAAUGAAACUAAAAUAUGUUAUACUAAUAUAUUAAAUAUAUUAAAAUUUAAAAAUAAGCAGUAAGAAACAAAAUAUUUCACGCUAAUUCAAAUAGUUCAUAUUUUUAAUCAUACAUUUUGAACACAGAAUAUAUUUUUGUCAACUGAACACAAAAUAACUGUAAUUUUAUAACUUGGAAAUAAUUCUUAAUCAAAUAUAUAACAAAUAAAAUUUUAUAAAUUUUACAUAUAUAUAUAUAUAUAUAUAUAUAUUUAAUAUGUACAAAUUUAUUUAAAAAGUAGGAUGAGAAAUAAACUCGAUAAUAAAUAUCCACAUCUAUAUAUGUAUAUCAUGUUUUGAAAUGGUAAUUUAAUAAUUGAAUGUAUAAAAAAAGUGGUUUGGAAUAAAAAUAAAAUGUUAGUAUCAUCUUAUAUAAUUUUCAUACAUGUGAAUAAAUGAAAGUUACAAAAUAUAUUUAUCAAUUUAUAUCAUAAACCAAAAAUAAGUAUAUAUAACUUAUCUAAACUAAAAGAUUUAAUAAAUUUAAUUGUAUUUAUAUAUUUGUAUUCAAUUUAAAAGUUUCUAUUUAAAAGAUACAAAUUUAAUUACUAAACGUCAUUUAAUCCAAAUGUAUAGUUACUUUUAACAUUCUUUCAUAUAUAAAAUAUUAAUUUUAAAUAUAAUUAUAAUAUCUGAUAAUUAAAAUAAAUUAUCUUUAAUAAUAAGAGAUAUUUAAUUUUCAAUAAAAAAUAAAUAAAUUGUAUAUAAUAAAGGCAGUUUAAAAAAUAAAAUUUUAAAAAUUAACCAUUCUAAUUUAUUUUGAAACCCUAAUUAUUUAUUCAUAUAACAAGAUUUAUUUCGUUUUAAAUAUAAUAACAGAUUAAAUUCAUACAAAAUUAUGUAUAUAUAUAGUAACAAUAAGUAUUAGGUUUUCAUGUUGCUUUCCUAAUUUAAGUAAAUUUUUGUUAAAAAAAUUUCAGUUACUUUUCAUUGAAUAAAUUACAAUUUUGAAAAAAUGUAUGAGAAGUGUCAAUAAAUUUGAGAAAAAAAAUUAAUAUUUUUCGCGUUAAACAAAAUUGACUACAGUUUAGAAAAUCAUUAUAUUAACUAUCAAGGUUAAAGUAUAAUAAAGGAGAAUUUGCCAAAACUAACGUACAACUUGAUUUUAACCCCAAACAUAUAUCCAAAUUUGAAUCAAAUGCAAAACUAACCUAAAAACCUUGUGAAAUUACAGUUCAGCUCCUUGUGACCAAACAAAAAACAUAAACCAUUUUUACGAAUAUAUCCCCAGUAAGUCGUCUGAGUCGUCUGAGAUGUUAGAAGUAGUCUAGACGACUUACUUGUAAGUCAUCUUGUACCAGUUUAUCUUAAAAAUAAUUUAUAAAUUUUGAAAAAAAUAUUUUGAUGAGUAAAAAAUAAAAAUCAUGUAAUUAUAAACAGUUUUAAGUGAUAUAAAUUAAGAUAUGAUAAAAUUGAUUUGUUUUCAAGAUAGAUGAGUGGAAGUAGUGAAUCAUGAGAUUCUUUGGUUUAGGAGUUUGGCAAACAUAUGUUGUAGUAUUGUAUGUAUUCUUAGGGUUAGAUUUUGGAAAGUUGAAAUAUUUUUUUCAAAAAUUAAUUUUCACUUAUAUAUGUUUAUUUCUGUGUAUAAUAAACACUUUUCAAGUUUGAUUUGAUUUUAUGAAACAUUUAAUUAGAUAAUUAAUUUUAGGGGUUAUGUUUAGGGUGUGGACAGCUUAUAUUUCAGUCGUCUGGUGAAUAAUUUUACUCAGACGACUUAUAUUUCAGUUGUCCAAAUAUUCCUGCCAAAAUUUUUAAAAAAAAUUAUUUUCCCGCUUAAAUAAUUUAAACCAGACGACUUACAUGUAAAUCGUCUAGGAAGUCUUCUAUUUUAGUUUUCCGCUAAAAAUAUUUUAGUUUCCUGCUAAAAAUAAUAAAAGUCUUCUGGGUGACUUACAAGUAAGUCGUCUGAAUCAAAAAUAUUUAACCUAAUUGGAUUUUUUGUCUCCCUAUAUAAAAAAAAAAUUACACAUUCUCUUUCAUUCUCUCAAAUGGCUGCAACAAAAAUGUAAUGUUCAUCAUUCUAAAACUCUUCAACCUCUCUCUAAUCUCUUUGAACUUAUAAACACUAAGUUUUAUAUCAAUUUAUUAUUUUUGUCUCAUGUCUUUCUCACUAAUUUAUCUUGUUUUUGCAUGAUUUUAAUAAGAUGGUUCUCAUCUUCUACUCAUUUAAAGGUAGAUCUAUCAAUUUUAGAUAUGUAUUUUUGUGUGUUCUAUAAUGGUAGAUUUAUCUAAUCUUCCACUAAUUUUUUCUGUUUUAAGCAAUUUGAACGUUUUUGGAUAUGCAGGUUUUUCAGAUCUGGAUUUGGAUAUGCAGGUUUUUCAGAUCUGGAAGACGUCUGGGACGACUUACAUGUUAGGCGUCUAAAAUAUAAUGCGCUAGACGACUUUCAGGAAGUCUUCCAGACGACUUUCAGGAAGUCUUCCAGAAGACUUCCAGGAAGUCGUCAGUCGUCUGACAAAGUCUUCUCCCAUGUCUCUCCCUUUCAUAACAGAUCUAAGCGUUUUGGUAAGUUUUUAUGUCUGAUUUUUCUUCAUUUGGUAACUUUUUGUUGUAUAAAGUUUUUACCUUUUUCCCAAACUAAAACUUUUCAAACCCACUCUAAUCUCUUUGACUUGAAAACACCAAAUUUUAUAUGAAUUUUUCAGUUUUGUCUUUUUACAGGUUUUUAAUCAGAUGGCUCUCAUCUUCCACUUAUUUAAAGGUAGAUCUAUUAAUUUUAUAAAUGUAUUUUGGUGUGUUCUAUAAAGGUAGAUUUAUCUAAUCUUCCACUCAUUUUCUCUGUUUUUAAGCCAUUUGAACGUUUUUUGAUAUGCAGGUUUUUCAGAUCUGGAUUUGAUAUGCAGGUUUUUCAGAUCUGGAAGACUUCUGGGACGACUUACCUGUUAGUCGUCUAAAAUACAAUGCGCUAGACGACUUCCAGGAAGUCUUCUUCCAUAUCAAGUGGAGUCCACGCUUGUCUUUGUAGAGGAAUGAUCUAUAAUAAUUUUGUUUGUGGUCUGUUUUGUGAUUUGCAUGUCUACUCUCUUAUUUGUAAAUUUUUUAUAAAAUCAGUAAUAAUGUUUCCCAAGAUGUAAUAUAUGUGCUAACAAUGUGUUUACAAAUUUACAAAUAAAUGAAAUAAUAUACUUCAAUAGUCUUUUUCUUAUCUUUGGAUCUCACAUAUGCAAUAUUAAACUCCAAUGGCCUUCUUCUCAUCUUAAUAAACAAGAAUGUUGGUAGUCUCAUAUUGAUAUAAUAUUUUAAGAAAAAUUUUAACCCUUCUUCCAACUCAUAACAAUAAUCAUCAUUGGCGUCUAUAACAAUAAUACUUAAGAGAUGAAAACAAACAAUAGUAACUAGUCAAAGCAUAUCACAUUUUUUACAAGUUUGUGUUGAAAAAUUUAGUCAAAUUUAGUAAAACUUGGUUACCCAAAACGUUUUAGUCACAUGUUUCACACUUGCUCUGACCUUCCAUUGACAACCACUAACACGACAUGUUGCCACAAAGAGAGUUUUCGUUGACUUGUAUAUUCUAACAUUCAUCUUUCAACAAUCAUUCUCUAUACACUGCAUGUAACUGACGCAUCUUCUGAAAAAGUUAAAAUAAAACACAUUAGCAAACAUAGAACAAAGAAAAUGAAAGUUUAUUAAAGAUCGACGCAGACGACUUCAAUCUAAGUCUUCCAGACAACUAAAAUAUAAGUCUUCUGGUCAACGCAGAGGUUAUCUUUUCAAUUGACUUUGAAAUCUGUUAUCUGAGACGGCUGGAAAAUAAGUCGUCUACUUUUAUUUGGUUAAAAAAAAAUCCAAAAAAGCUAGACGACUUACAUUUCAGUCGUCAUAGGUUAGUUUUGCAUUUGACUGGAUUAUUUCAGAAGUUUGAAUUUCCUGGACGACUUACAUUUCAGUUGUCUGGUGAAAAAUUGAAAUAUCAAUAUUUUAUUAAAACUCGACGACUUACAAUUAAGUCGUCAUAGGUUAGUUUUGCAAUUGAAAAAAAAAACUUCAAUAUUUAAUUAUAUAUAGACGACUUACAAUUCAGUCGUCCAGGAUUUAAGAGGUUUGACCAGAAUCUCGGAAUAAAAUUCUGGACGACUUACAUGUAAGUCGUCUGGCGGACGACUGAUUUGUAAGUUGUCUGGGUAUAAUUAGAUAUUGAAGUUUUUUUUUCAAUGGCAAAACUAACCUACGACGACUUACAUGUAAGUCGUCGGAUUUUAAUAAAAUAUUGAUAUUUCAAUUUUCCACCAGACGACUGAAAAAUAAGUCGUCCAGGAAAGUCAUAAUUCCGACAAAAUCCAGUCAAAUGCAAAACUAACCUAUGAUGACUUACAUGUAAGUCGUCUAGGUUUUUUGGAGUUAUUUUUGUAACCAAACAAAAGUAGACGACUUAACUUUCAGUCGUCUCAGAAAACAGAUUUCAAAAGUCAGUUGCAAAAAUAACCUCUGCAUUGACCAGACGACUUCCAGGUAAGUUGUCUAUAGUCAGACGACUUACCUGGGAAGUCGUCUGGACGAACAUAUCUGUAAAAAAAAAACUCGAUUUCAUACCUUAAAUUGGUGAAAUAACUUCCUUAGCACACAUAAGGCUUCUCCAAGCACACAAAAUCUCAAACGAAAGUGACCCACCCAGAAUCGUUAGCUUCUAUGACUCUAUGAACCAUAAAAAAUGUAGAAUCAAAAUCUUGAGUUUUUUUAGCUGAAUGUGGAGAGAAAGUGAGAGAGAUGCUGUGUUUAGUUCAUAAGAAUGGAGAAAGAAGAAGGGUAAAUCUAUUUUGGGAGCAUUAAGAGAUUCAAAUUGGUUGUUUAUGGGGGUUGGGGUAUUGAUGACAAUGGCAAUCUUGUAAUUACCUGAAGAUGAUGAGGGUGAAAGAGUAAAAAUGCCAUUUUCGAAAGAAAAAAAAUAUGAUGGUAUUUUCGUAAAUUAUAUGAACUUGUGGGGUGAAUAGGGCAAAACUAAUUUCCAAAAAAAAGAGAGGUUAGUUUUGUGUUUGACUUUGAGUUCUAGGUCAAUUUUGCAAAAAGCCAUAUAAUAAAUACUCAUAACAAAGUAAAAUAACUACAUUACUUAGAAAUAUUUUAAUGGUGAAACAAGUAUACACUAUUUCGAAAAAUAAAAAAUUAAAACUAAAACAAAAAAUAGUAAGAAAUUUAAACAAAAAUAAAUUAAGCAUUACAAAAUUUUCAUUAAAUUUAUGUAUAUUUAUAUUAUUUUAUGCAUAUAAUUACUCGCUAGUAAGGCAGGUUUAGUCAUUGUAAAUAUAUAUAACACCACUAAAUAAAAGCAAAAUAUAUCAUCAUUCAAACUAUCUGAAUAGUGUAUUACGCCGCAACGAAACUGAGACAGAAAAUGAAUCUCUUUAUAACAAACAAGUUCAAUGGAAAGGAACAGUAAAAAUUAAGAAGAGAAAUAACAAAAAUAAUGAUUUACACAUAAUAAAAAACCAAACAUUUUAAGGUAAAAACAAGGGUUGCCUGCCUAUUCCCCCCUCAAACACAUUUACCCUACUUAUUCCCCCCCAAACUAUUAAGCUCUUCAUAAAUCCACCCAAACAUAAACUUUCUCUUUAAAUCUCCCCCUAAACUCUUUUUACCUCCCUCUCUAAUCAAUUUCGAAAUCAAAAUUAAAAGAAUUAAAAGUGCGUUUAGAAAACAGUGAUUGCCCAAUUUAAGAAAACCAGACCCGAUCCGGCGUUUGAAAACCCGACCCAGACUUAACUUAAAAACAAAAACAAAUUGGAGAUUUAAUUAAAAUCAGAAUCAAAUUGGGGCUUCGUGUUUUUUUUCUAUUUUUUGCCCCAACACAGAACAACGACUGAAGAGACGAAUUGGGGAUACUGAAAUUAGGGUUUGUCGCAGUGCUCAUGACACAAACGAAGAAGAUGUCAGAGAAAGAGAAGAGAAUCCAGAGGAGAGAGAGACAGUGAGGAACGACGAUGUUGAAGGGGCUGUUGUUGUUAAUGUAUUUGUACUCAUGUUUGGUUUUGUGGCAGGGCAGGUUCUUCUCAUGUCCAUGAAGAGAUCAGACUUACACAACCUACUCAAUCUAUUCAAGCUCAUGACUAGUAGUUCUUUUGUUGUAGUUUAAAACUCAAAAAUUCCUUUUUAAUGUCCUUUGUGGCUUUUGUUGUUCUUUAAAACUCUUGGUCGAAUGUACUUGGUGUCUUUUCUUGUGGUUAAAACUUGUCCUACAUAAGAACUUCAACAGAAAACAGUAGAAGAAAAAGACAUCUCAAAAUUAAGAGACAUAGAAAAAAAAACAGAACACAAUUAAAUAAGCAAGCAAAUAAAAUAUUUGCUGUCAAAGUUACGAACACCUUUCAACUAUGUACCUUGAACAAGCAUUCAAACCAAAAGAAAAAAAAAGAGUUGAUUGAGAUGUGAAAACGCUUCUCUGUUCUUCAUUCAAACUUGGAUUUCUUCUCCUGCACCAGCAGCAACAACCUGCAAUGAACAAGCUCGUGUUAGUCUCUUUUAGUUACAGAAGCGAUUCGAUCCUCUGAACUAAAAGAGAGUUUGCUCACCGUGUUUUCUUUGUUUUCCAUUUUGUGCAGCUGCUUCAGAGAUUUAAUUUUUUCACCUAUACAAAAAAAAAACAUUUAACACCGUAUAUAUGAGCAACGCAACCUUUCAAAAACACUGAAUAAUAUAAUUAUUUUACAUUCUUUAGCAACAAGUUACUUGGUGGACUUCUUAGUCUCUUCUUGAAUUUUCUUAGUCCUUGGCUUGCUGGUACUUUCAGGUUUCUUCUGAGACUUAAUGUCCUUGUUUUCUGGAACUGUUCUCGGAUUGACAGAGUUGGUUGCUACUGCUUUCUUCCUCCUCACGGUCAGACUAUUCUUAGAUACAGUCUCCUUUCUAUUUGCACAUUUCUUCUCUGGAGGUUGAGCAACAAUUAUCAUUGGAGUCCAUCUUCUGAUCCUUGAACAACCUCUGGAACAUCAGCUUGGUUCACAUUGAUUACAUCCAAAGACCUCCUGGUUCUUUGCUAUUGGAUGCUUUCUGAGACCUCUUCCGCCAUGGCUUCUUCUGUGACAGCUGAAUCUUGCGAAACAUCCUCUUUCAUAAUCUCUGAUAUGAUCUUCGAAUCUACAGGAGUGGAGAGUGAACUCUGGACAUCAUUGUCGUCGUCGUCUCUCUCUGUUCUUCAUCAUCGUCUCUAUCUGUUCCUCAUCGUCUCUCUCUGUUUUCCUCGUCGUAUCUUUCUCUGUGUUCCCAGUCAUCUGUUCUUAGUCGUCGUCUGAUCCCCAAUUUGUUUUCUUUUUAAGUUAACUCGGGUCAGAUUUUGUUUUUAAUUAGGUAAUCACUAUUUUCUAAACGCGUUUUUGUUUCUUUUUAAUUGCGAUUUGAAAAUUGGUUAGGGAGGGGGAUUAAAAAAGUUUAGGGGGAGAUAUAAAGAGAAAGUCUAUCAUUGGGUAGAUUUAUGAAGAGUUUGAUAGUUCAGGGAGGAAAAAGUAGGGUGUGUGAGUCUACAGGGGGUUUUAGGCAGCCAACCCUAAAAACAAAUGUAAAAAGAAAAAUUUAAUAAAAACAAUUUUUCCACAAAAAAUGUGGACCAACCCCAUUGUAAAAACUGAAGUCAAAGGUAGUUCCUACAUCUCAACCAGUCACUUGUAUAGUUUAGUUUAAUAAUUAUUUCUUAUUUACCGAUAAUCCAUAAACCAAAUAAUUCACUCCAAAUCCGAUAUGCAUCAGAUAUCUUUGGAAUGUUUAUAGUUGUAUAUAUUAAUAUGAUAUCUUUCGAUAAUUGAGACAUAUCAUAUAUGCUACAAAUUUUAUCCAUGAAUUGGCUUCCCAUAAAAGAUAUGUGUAUUAGGACAUCUUUAACGCUGGAUCUCACCACUAAUAAUCAAUUUAAAAAGUUGGAAAAGCUUUAGAGAACUUGCAAGAUACUAUUUGGGAUUCUUGAGCGAUCGAGUUUGUCACAUCCCGGGUCGGAGCCCUAAUAUUUAAUGAUAAGGCCCAUGAUGAUUUGGUCCAUUUAGAGAAAAUCCUAAUGUUUUCUCCUUUCUCUUUUAUAAAAAGGAGGCAGUCCUUAGAUAUUUCUCUACAGAUACAAAACACAGCGAAGCCCUGCCCAGUUGGAGAGAGAGCAGCCGCCGGCCACCAAACCUCCACCGACCACCGCGUAGCCUCACCGGAGAGGAGUUCUUGCAGUGUUUCGAUCCCUUCUCGUCGGUUCCUUUAGUCUUCUACUCUUUUUCUUCUAUUAAUAUAUACACUUAUAUAAAUGAUACAUAUCUUGAUGCCUGAUGUGUGAAAGACAUAGAUCUAUUGCUGAAUGAUGUUUGAGGAUUGUAUGUGAUGAUUGUAUUGACUGGGGUUAUGGUAUAUGUGGGUGAUGUAUAUGUGGAAGAUGUAUAUGAGUUAGAGAAAGGCUUAAGGCAUAUGUGUGUCGGUGUAACGUGGUAGAAUGAUGUAUUUGUAUGUCUCGGGCAUUACAUUAUUUCUUGACUGGCGACCGUGUGAGUUGGCAUGAUUCAUCGUCGGAGCGGGCCUAAGGCAUGCUUGUAUGUGAAGUAAAAAUGUAGUAACACAGAUCACGUGGAGACAGCGUGAUGUGGCGUGAUCGUGUGAAUGUGGUGGUGCGGAUCACGUGGAGACAGCAUGAUGUGGCGUGAUCGCAUGAAGGUGUGGAACUCAUGGAGACAUCUUGAUGUGGUGACAUCACACACGACAACAUGAGAGGCGUGGAGAUAGCGUGAUGUGGCGUUAGUCUCAAGUUAGCAACGUCGCGGUUAUCUUCGUUUCUUGUUGCUUGCUUUUGCUUUAUUGGAUGUUUAAGUUAGAUACUUAUGCUACGUUUUGUGAUGAUUAUUGGUGAUUAAUUUCAGGGCUCCUAGAGCUUCCCUCACUGAGUAUUUGUCGAAAUACUCAGUCAUCCUUUCUUUUCAGGUGAGUUCGAAGAAGUGUCGGAACAGUCAUCUUGGUGUGGUUCUGGCUCUUAGAGUGUUUGGUUUUUUUUAAGUUAUUUCAUUUUAAGACUUGGUGAUUUGGUUUUAAGCGUUUCAUAUUCGUUUUAGUACGAUUUUGUAAGACAUUUGGAUUCGAUCCUUGGGAAUGAGAAUUGCAUUGGUCUUUUUAAGUGUUUUUAUUGGUGAAGGCAAUGUGAAUUCAUACUGUCUCGGUUAAGCGAGAUACGGGUGUGACAGACUUGCUUUUAGAUGCUGUGUAAACAGUUUUUUUUCUUGUGUCUCUCAUCUUUUGUUUUUCAUUAUGAAGAUCCCCUAACUUUCUCAGUUUGGUCAUCCCCAAUUUGUGGAAACAAACAAUAAACCCAGCCUGUACUUGUAGUUAUCUUUGUAUUAUUUAAAGAAAGUUGUCCCAUUUCCUUAUAAAAUAAAUCUGUUUUAUCAUUAUUGAUGUUUUUCAUUAUUUAUAAAAAUGAAUUAUGGAGACAAGUAGUGUAGUGUAGGAAUAGUAACUCCUUUUUCUAUACACGGAAACAAAUACUACAAUGACCACUCUACUGUGAAUUUUAAUUCCACGUCACACACUAACGAUUUGUUUUCUUCUGACAAGAACGAACAGCAUAUUCAGGACAAAAAGUAAAAACCAAAUCAAGAAUCCUUAACCUUAUCAUCACGAUCAACGGCGCUUGAGUUCUUGCAAUGAGCAAUGGCCGCCUGAAUAGCGGCUUGCAACUCUUCCAUGGUGCUAUCACUUGACGAUGAUGUAGAAGCCGAGCUCGACGAAAGCCCCGCCGUGGAGACACGUAAGUGGCCACUAUUCGUCGGAGAUGUUCUCAUGGACGCCGGAGCCGAGAAUAAGUCACCUCUCCGGGCUUUCAUAAGAUCUCUCGAUCCAUUAAUCAAUGUUUUGCUGUUUUCUUUUGAACCUAUUAAAGAGGAAGAGAAGGAAUACGAAGAAGUCUGUCUUCUGUUCCUGAACUGCGUGCCGUUUCCUCUCUUCUGAAACAACAUCUUUAUGUACUUCUUGACUGCAUGACUUAGGUCUAAACUCAUAAGUUUCUUCUUCUGCAGCUGCGGCUGCUGUUGUUUCUCUUGUUCUCGCUCGUUGCCUUCAAACCCUUUUCUCCAUUUCGAUAAACCAAAGAGAGAAAAUGACUUUAUUGUUUUAGCUUUAACUUGAUUCUCACCGUCGAGCCUCUCUGCUUUAUCGCUCGGGUUGGUGUUCUUGGCCUCCGUACUGUUGUUGUUGUUGUUUGUGGUGGGGAGAGGAGUGGGCUGGUCAGGUAAUACAUCUUUCACGGGGAGGGCAAAUCCGUCAUUAUACGAACUAGUGGAAGUUCGAGGAGAGACAGGGAGGUGAGAGAGGAGAUGAAGAGGGAGAAGAUGGCCGUGGAAGAAGAUUUCAUCUGCAGGAGACAAGUCGACGGCGAAUGGAUCGGUUUGUUGAUAAGACGACUUCGUUUUGGUGGGAUUUCUGAGACUAGAGCUUAUGAGUUUUGAGGAAGAAGAUAAGUCGUUAGGUUGGAGAGAGAUGGUGAAAGAGAAGUCAUGAGAAGGAGAAGAACAAGUGGAUGAUAUUGGUGAAGGUGAUGACUGUAAAGCUUCUUGUUUAGGGUUUUGCUUUUCAGGAAAAGUUUUGGGACUGUUCUUCACCUGUUGUAGAUGGGUUUCCAUGAUGAUUGAGGAAGAAAAAAAAUCAAUCAAAAAGGCAAAAGGGAUUUUUGUGUUGAUCGAAGGAUAUAAUGGUUUAUAAUAAUAAUAAUAUUUGGUUCAGUCUUUAGUCUUUUAGUUAAGUGGGGUUCUUUGCUUUUCUUUUUCUCUUGUAUUAAUUAUUGUUAGUAUUUUCCGGUUUUCCUGUAAAUGUAGAGAAUAUGACAAAACCUUUUCGAGAGGAGAAGAUAAGGUAACCGUGGAGAGAGACGACCAGAGGCGAGGUGAGAGAAAAAAAUAUAGAAUUGUCAGCCAAAUUUAGUAGACGAGUUCUGUCGUGUAAAAAAGAACGUAAUGCCAAAAAGUAUUGGUUAGAGGGGAAGUACAUUCUUUUUAAGGUGGGGCUAACAUAUUUACUCGAAUAUUUAGUUUCGACCAGUUUCGAGUUUUUAUGUUUCGGAAGCGGGUAAGUUACAAUUCCUUUAAUACCGACCUAUAAAGUGUUCGUAAAUAUCGACCAAAAAGUGUUCGUAACUUUUACCCAUCCUUAAAUGAUACACUGAAAUGUCUGAAUUUUUUUUUAGAUAAGAGAAAUGUCUAAAACUACUACUUUUAAAGAUUACUCGUACAAUUUGUUAUCUAAAUCUCAUUUAAUAAAUGAAUCUGGAAACAGAACUCUUGUCAUAAGAACUCGAGUUGAAUUGAAUCAUUUCAUGAGCUUACAAAUUAUUAUUACACCCUUAAUACACACACACACACACACACAUAUAUAUAUAUAUAUAUAUAUAUAUAUAUAUAUAUAUAUAUAUAUAUAUAUAUUUUUUUUUUUUCGGCAAACGGCUAUUCUAUUACUCAAGCUUGAGGUGGUCUAGGUAACCAGACCGGAAUAGAACAACCAAUAAAAAGUAGCACCCUACGGAAAGUCCUAGCUGUCUUAGCUAAAAAAUCAGGAAACUGGUUGCGCGCUCGUGGCACAUGAAUGAUCUUGAAGUCCGGAAAACAAAUCUGCAGCGUCUCUAUCUUCUCCAAUUCUGUCGCGAAUCUUGGCCACUCCUGGGGUUUCUCUAUCAUAGCAAUCAGUUCCUUACAGUCUGUUCCAAAGCUCUGACAUGACGAGUGUUGAAGCAUGUUCUCCAUCGCCCAACGUAGUGCUUCUAUCUCCGAAUGUAAUGCAGAUUCACAUCGAGAAAAAUUCCGAGUUCCCAUAAGCUGUAUAUUCUCCCCACAGUCCAUCCAGACCCAACCACAUCCACUGUAUCGAUCUGAGUCUGUCCAAGAUCCAUCUAGCAGGCAGAUAUUUCCCAAGCUUAAGACUUGGUUUUCUUCAUUGUUGUUGGGCUGAACUACUUGCGGUAUUCUCUCAUUUGCAUUAAACCAUGCUUGACAUUCGGUUUCUGCGUAUCGAACUAGUUCUAGAGGAUCUCUAUCUAUUCCCCUGAAAAGCUUUUCAUUGCGAGCCUUCCAAAUAUACCAUACUAUCCAGGGAUAAGGAUCCCUGUCCUGGUCAGGUUCUAGGAUAUCAUUUUUCCUCCAAAAUAGAUAGUCCAUAUUUGUGUAGACGCUUGACACUGGAAAUAUUCCUGGGCUCGUAGGAAUCCCUGAUAAGGACCAUACUUGGAGAGCUGGAGGGCAUUCAAAUAUUGCAUGGGUUACAGAUUCUUCUGCUUCUCCGCACCUCGGACAGUAAUUGUCACAUCUCAUAUUCCGGCGUACGAGGUUCCUCGUUACUGCCACUUGGCCCGAUAUCAGUUGCCAUAUAAGAUGGCACAUCUUCCUUGGCGCUUUCAACUUCCAAGCAAAGGCUCGCAGUUUAGUAAUACUUGGUUCUAGUAUUUCCUUUUCCUCUUCUUGCUUCAAAAGAUUUUGGGCAACCCAGUAUCCAGAUUUAACUGUGUAUUGACCAGUCCUUGUGUAGUUCCAACAGAAAGUAUCACGACGGUGUGUAGAGCUAAUGGCCAUACUACAGAUGAGCGGUAUGUCAACAGGAUGGACAUAGUCUUCUAGUAACUCAACGUUCCAUUCUUUCAGAUCCUGAUUAAUGAGGUCGCUCACCCUCAUAUUCGGGUUCAUCACAGGUGCUACAGGUCUAGCUGGUCUAGCAGGUGUCGUUGGGAUCCACGGAUCCUCCCACACCUUGACUUCAUAACCUGAAUGAAUCUUCUGUCUGAUCCCCAGAAGCAAAAGCUUUCUUGCAGAAAUAAUGCUUGUCCACACAUAAGAUGGGAUACUUGUCGAAGUUGCGCUCAAUGGCGAGGACAAUCUAUAAUAUCUACCCCUCAAGACACGAGCAACCAGUGAAUCAGGGUACUGAACCAAUCUCCAUAAUUGCUUUGCCAAUAAUGCUAGAUUAAACUCAUGGAUUAGGCGGAAGCCAAUCCCGCCCUCUUCUUUUGGUAGACAAACUUUUUCCCAUUUCGCCCAGUGUAUUCCUCUUUUUGGUGGAUUCGAACUCCACCAAAAUUGUGCAAUGGCACUAGCGAGGUUUUCACAAAUCUCCAAAGGAAGCAGAAACGUUGACAUAACGUAUGUCGGAAGAGCGAGAAGAAUGGAUUUAAUCAUGACCUCCUUCCCCCCUUUUGAAAGCCAUCUACCGGUCCAUCCAUUUACUCUAUGCAUCAGGGAGUCCUUUAAGAAUGCAAAGAGUUUACAUUUUGAACCACUAAUAUCCUCUGGGAUUCCCAAGUACUUUCCCAUCCCACCAUCUUUAUGAAUUCCGAGGGUAUCUUUAAUCUCUUGUCUAGUAGCAGCAUUAAUCCUCUUACCGAAGAGUAAGGAAGAUUUAUCAAAGUUAAUACAUUGACCAGAUGCUUUACCAUAUGUCCUGACUACUUUCAUCACUUCUUCACAUUCACGGGGCUCCGCCUUACAGAAGAAAAGGCUAUCAUCAGCAAAGAGAAGGUGGGACACCGAAGGACACGCGCGUGUGACACGCAUCCCCGUUAUCUUCCCUUGAUUCUCUGCGUGAUUGAGAAGGCUAGCGAGCGCUUCCGUGCAUAGAAUAAAAAUGAAAGGAGACAAAGGAUCUCCUUGGCGUAGGCCUCUACCAGGAACAAUGUUUCCUCUUGGUUGCCCAUUCAUAAGAACCUUAUAUUUCACCGACGUAAUGCAUCGCAUUAUCCAGCUGAUCCAAGUUUCUGAAAAGCCCAUCUUACGCAUGACAGCUUCAAUGAAUGACCAUUCCAUUCUGUCAUAUGCUUUGCUCAUGUCCGUCUUGAUGGCCAUCCUUUUACUACGCCCACUUGGUUUAGUUCUCAGAGCAUGGAACAUCUCCUGGGCAAUCAUAACGUUGUCUGAAAUCUGUCUUCCAGCAACAAAGGCUGACUGGGUUUCCGAAAUCAAUCCUGGCAGCACUCUUUUUAGUCUCUGGCAUAAGACCUUAGAGAUUAUUUUAUAACAGACAUUGCACAAACUAAUGGGUCUAAAUUGAGCCAUAUCAUUAGGUUUUGUUGUCUUCGGGAUGAGACAUAUAUUCGUAUCAUUUAGACCGCUAACCACUGCCCCUUCAAAAAGGAAUUUAUUAACCAUAAGAGUUAACUCCUCCUUAACAAUAUCCCAAAAUUUCUGAUAAAAAAGCGCUGUCAUCCCAUCUGGUCCAGGGGCCUUCUCUGGGUGCAUAGCAAAAAGAGCUAAUUUGACUUCCCAUUCGGAAACCGGGCUCGUAAGGUUUUCGUUCAUUUCCCCAGUGAUUGUCGUAGGAACUUGAGCUAAAGCUUCUUCAAUGUCCUCUGGGUUAGAUGACUCAAAGAUCUGUCUAAAAUAGCUAGUAGCAAUGGCUACUAGUCCUUCUUCAUCCUCCACUACAUUUCCAUGUGCAUCUAGGAGCUGCGUAAUCUUAUUCCUUGCUCUUCUCUGCUUGGUCAAAGCAUGGAAAUAUUUGGUGUUCCUAUCGCCUUCUCUCAGCCAAAACACUCGACUCUUCUGUUUCCAAAACAUUUCUUCUGCCUUAAGAGCAUCAGAGAGUUCCUUCAACGCUGCUGCAAUUUCUGCAGUUGUAGCAUUGUCAUCAGCAUACAUGCCCUCCACUUUCUCUUUAAGCUCCUCCACUAGUUUUGCCGAAUUAACAUUAUGUUGUCUCCUCCAUUCACUUAAAGCUCUCCGACAACUGGAAAUAUGCUCCAUAAUGUUCGCAUUGGGAGGCAAAUCAGGAGAUUUCCAUCCCUCAAGAAUGACCUGCCGUAGCUCCUCGUUAUCUAGCCACCUUUUAUCAAACUUGAAUUUUUUGGAUCUUCUCAUUGGCUUUAUGAGUAUAUCCGCUAGAAUCGGACGAUGAUCCGAUCCCAAUAAUCGCAUAUACUUCAUGUUCGAGUGGGGAAACUUCUCAUGCCAAUCUGGAUUUCCUACUGCUCUAUCCAGACGACAUCGAACAGUUGUUCCUCCUGCUCUCUUUCCUACCCAUGAUAGCAUGUCUCCCGUAAAAGGAAACUCUAACAUUCCACAAUCAGUAAGCAUCUGUUUAAAGGGCAGGAACGAGCUAUCAAGUCGUUGUCUCCCCCCUUCUUUCUCGUUGUGACCCGUUAUUUCAUUAAAGUCACCUAUCAUAAACCAUGGGCCAGUUCUUGUUGUUGAAAAACGCGUAAGACGUUCCCAAACUUGGUCACGUCUUUCUAUUACAGGAUCCCCAUAAACAAACGUCAUAUAGACUUUUAUUCCAUCAAUGACUGCCUCAAUGUCAAUCAUACGGUUAUUUGAAAAUAAAACAUUAACUUGAAAAUCAUCCAUGAAAAAUAAAGCUAAACCUCCGCUGAGACCAAGUGGCUCAACAGUAAACAAAUGAUCAAAUCCUAGGUCGGCCUGAAUGUUUUGCAACAGCGGCCUCCUAUUCUUUGUCUCAGAAAGGAACACAAGUCCUGGGCGAUGCUUCUGACACAUCUCCGUAAGGCGUCGAACUGUGAGGUCGUUCCCAAUCCCUCGACAGUUCCAACUGAUUGUCUUCAUGGAUGGCGUCGCGAUGAGUUUUUGGAACUCAUCAGACCAUCACGUGUUGAGACACUGUCUUUGUCCCUAUUGGAUCCAUGACGCCGUAUUGGUUUUUCACCAGCCCCUCUUGCAUGUGAACUUGUAGACGCUGAACGCUUUGCUGGAGAACCCCUACGAAGAAUCUCAAACUUCCGAUGGUUAAUACCCAAAGGGGCAUUACGCUUCACGCCGUGCUUCUUGGACUUUGUUGCAUUCGUAUUAUCCAUUUGUCUCUUAUCCACCAAAGACGCAUGCUGAGAUUGAUGACCAUCCAAGUCCAUAAGGUCAAGCGCCAACAGAUCAUCAUCAUCAACUCCAUCUUCAAGCAUACCUCCAUCUGGUUGAUCCAAGUUCUCCAUAUCACUUAGCGCUCCAAUGAUGGCAUCGUCGCCAUUACUCGGUUCCGUACCACCUGGUGAAGAGAAAGAGAGCGCUCUAGCUUCACCCCUGUCUCUAAGAGUAACAUUCUCCUCCAUGUGAUGAUCCAUCCGUGAUGGAGUUACAAUAGCACUAGCUAUCUUCCUGCUAGUCGGUUUAUCGCCACUCCUCAGCGUCUCCGAGAUUUGUUCAGUUCUUGAUACAGGAUCGGGCAAAUGUUCAUACGGAACAAUUUCCCUAGAUGUUGCACUGCGAGACGUUGCACCGGUACCAACAUCAGUCUGGCCCUUACCAACUACAACAUGCUGUGAUUGUUUUACUUGCCACGAUCUCUCAUUUGGGCGGACAUAAGGUCCAGCCCGUGCUCCACCAUAUCUACUCCUCCUUGGAUAAUUGUCUCUGCUACGGACAAUCCUAUCAGCAUGGCGUCCCCACCGAUUCUCCUCCUCAUCACGUUCAUCAUACCUUGAAGGCUUUGAAGAACGGUAUCGUGAAAGUUGUGGCUCUCUGUUCUGUAGCGAAGGCUGAUAAUGAGGUUCAGUCCUGGGAUGAGCAUCACGACUCAAGAGCUGUCUCGACGAAUCAUGAGCCAGCUGCACUCGCGAGAAGACAUCAGUCCUUUCUGGAUGUUGUAACCGUGAUCUAACAUCAAAGGCUGUGCAAUAUCCCUUCUCAUGAGAAAGGAAGCCACAGGUAGUGCAAUGUUUGAACAACUUAUCAUACUUAAUUUCAAUCGUAACCUCAUCUCCCUCGUAUUCCACCUUUCUAGAGAACUUCAGUGGCCGGCGUGAGUCAAUAUCAAUGAGCAUACGACCCUCAGUUAGUUUCAGAGUGUCGACAUGCCCAAGUCUACCACCUAUAUUCCUCAGAUUCGCAUCAGUCCAUAGAUGUAGAGGAAAGCCAAUGAGCUGAACCCAAAAAGGAAUAACCCAUGGGUAAUCAUCAUGGACUAUAGGUUCCCACCGCACCAGUACGAACAUGCAGAAAUUGUAGUGAAACGGACCCUGUCUCAGCACAGAGUUUAAGUCCUCCUCGGACAUGAAGUUAAAAAGAAACUUCCCAUUCCCUAAGUCAUUUGCUGUGAUUCUCUCAGACAAGCCCCACUGCGAAGGCAUGGUUUGUAAUAACUUCACAACAUUCUGUUUCUUUGGAUUAAGGAUCUUGCCAAUGAGGGACAAACCAAAUUCUUUGAUGACGAAAGAAUCAUCUCGAUCCACCAGUUUAAUGGGUUCAUCAUCAUCCUCAUAAAGGAUCCCUUUUCCUUUGAUAUCCGCUUGAUGAGCAGAUCUCAUACUGUUCCGCGACCCCAUACAAUGAUAUGGAAUCGUAUCACAAAACCGUAAGUAACCAAACAGCAGCUUUUAAACUGAACAAUGAUUCAGAACAGAUAACAGGUUCAAUGUCUUAGAUCUCCAAACGUAAGACCAACCAGAGUUCGAAGGAUAGGACCAGACCGAGAUCGGCUUUGUUGGUAGGGAGACACAGAAACGAAAGCAGAGAUCAAACAGAUCAGAAAGGCAAGGCCGAGAGCAGCUUCCGUGAGGGAGAAGGUACGAAGAUCACGAUCUCACCGUGGAAGAGAACCACACACCACACGCACAGGAAGGAUAAGGUGGCUACUCCAACGUCAAUGAACGUUUGGAAUAGGAGAAGAUCGAAAACCCAAAGAGGAUCUCGAUCUCAGAAAGCGUCGCCGUCGUAUCGCCUCAGAGCGCCGCUAGGUUUUGUUUUUUUAUCAACGCUUACUCUAGAUAGUUAUAUAUAUAUAUAUAUUAUGUAAGAUAUUAUGUAUAUAUAUAUAUAUAUAUAUAUAUAUAUAUAUAUAUAUAUAUAUUAUGUAAGAUAUUAUGUCACUGAAAUUACGUUGAAUUUACUUAUAUUGUUUCCGAUUCGCACAGCGUAAAAUAUUAUAGUUUUAUAAUAUUAUCUUGAUAAUAUUUUUAACUUGUAAAUUAAAGAAGAAACUAAUUUAUUCUACCCAUAUGUAAGGCUGAAACCUAAUGUACGUUUCUCAAAAACAAUGAACUUGCGAUUGUUGGUCGAAAAAUUUAUUUAAAUUUAACUAUAAAUUUUGGCAGUUUUCCUUUAGGACAACCUACUUGAGUUCGUGCACAUGCUGAUGCAGAACAGCGGAGAGUAAAUAUGGACAUAAUGUAAUUGAACCAUGGGUUUGGCAAAGUUUAUUAAUCGUGUUUAGUUUUUUGCUAUUUAAAUGUUUAUAAUGGCCAAUCAUAAUUGAAAUUUCAGUGAGAAAACUAAUCACGGUCUUUACCCCAUUAGAACACCAUAAAUAAAUACUUCUUUUCCUUUCAUAACAUACACCAUAAAUAAAUUUUAAUAUGGAAUGAGAAAAUUGAAAGUUUGAAAAAAUGAUGAUUAUAAAAGUAUUUUAAUUUUUUUUUCAAAGAAGGCAGAACUUAAAGCCUUGUUAUGGGGGUGGGGUGGGGGAAGAGCGAGCAUAAAGUAUAUUGAUGUUUACAUAGAAGUCUUUUAAAUUUUUUAAAAGUCUGUCAAAAGUUUCUCAAAGAAACCUCCAAUAAUAAUCACCAUAGACUAUUUAGUGAAACCUCCCAUUGAACUAAUGUUGUUACAGAUUUUAGGAACGCGUCACAUCAACUACCAAAGAAUGACAUAGUUUCUAAUAGCAAUUUUAACAUUUAGAACACCACUUGAGUUUCUAUAAAAGUUAAAUCAUAAUAUUUUAAUAAUUUUGUUAUUGAUGUUUACAUAGAAGUCUUUUAUUUUUUUUAAAAGUCAGUCAAAAGUUUCUCAAAGAAACCUCCAAUAAUAAUCACCAUAGACUAUUUAGUGAAUCAUAAAGACAUAUAUGUUAUACCCUGGAAAUUACCUAAGUCUAGCUAUUCAUCUAUAAUUGUCUAAAACCUUGUUCACCAAACCUAACCUAAUUUACUGUUUUAAUCAUAAUUGUCUAGCAUUAAUUCGAAAACUAAAAAUCUAUUGUGGAAUCCUAGAGUUUAUGUGGAUUCGAUGUAGGACUGGGCAUUUUAUCCGGACCCGAAGAUCCGACCCGAAACCGACCCGAAAAAAUCCGGUUUGGGUAGGAACCGACCCGAUCAAAUUACCCUAUCGGGUCUUGUUGCAGAGGACCCGCGGGUCUUAGACCCGACCCGACCCAAACCCGAAACCCGAUGGGUACCCGAAUUAAUAAUGUAAAUUAAAUAAAAUGCAUCAAGGGAGAAUGAAAGACGGAUUAUUUGUCUAGAGAACAUGGGGGUCAACCACUAGGAGACAACGAAUUGUUGUUGUAUCUCGCAUAGUUUAGUAUAUAUAUACAUUUUAAUAUAAUAAAAACACAAAUUUUGAAUAAAAUUUUGAAUAUUUUCGGAUAUAUAAAUAUUUUCAGAUAUUUUUUUUGUAUUUUUAGGUCUUUUUUAGAUCGAACCGGAACCGAACCCGACCCGAAACCGAACCGAAUCCGAGCCGAUAAAUUAUAAUUACCCGAAUGGGUCUAACUAUCUAAGACCCGACUCGACCCGGACCCGACACGAUCCGAACCGACCCGGAACCGAUAAUUUGAAAUUACCCUAUCGGGUCCUAAACUCUUAGACCCGAAAGACCUGGACCCGAAAGGACCCGAUCCGAACCCGACCCGGCGACCCGAAUGCCCAGGCCUUCCCUAAGUACUACAACAGAACUUCUUAGUGAGAGAGUAAAUUCACUCCUUAGGAUAAUUUGAAUGAUACCAAAUUUGUCACUGUUGCCGGAGACUUUUUUAUUACCAUUAGAAGUUUAGAAUAUUGUCUAGAUUUUAUUUCUUUGUGUGCUAAAAGUUUUUCUUCAUUUCGUGCUGACACAUGUACUAUAGAAGAAGAACGUGUGUUUUGGACGAGCAUCGAUCGACAACAUGACCGAUACAUCAAGCGACACUUCUGUCGAGGAAUCGAUCAACGCUGAGCUACUGGAAGCGAUCGACACCGCUCAGCCGGAAGCAGGUAAGUCUUUACUUACCAAUUUAAACAAUGAGGAAGUAGUCCUAGGAGAACCUAAAGGUCAAACAUGCAACGCAAAUAACCAAAUCAUUAAUAAACAGGGGACUGCAAUCUCUGAUAAAAUUUAUAUAACUCAAACUAAUGAGAAGGAACAAAAAUUGCUUUUGCAAGACUACUUAAAUCUUGGCAGAACCUAUUCCAAUAGAUCAGCUAUCAGACUACCAGAAAGUAAUAUAGGAAGAUCAGAGUUCAAUCUCGACUUUCUUAUUCUGGUACGUCAAAAACCUUUUCAUGGAUCUCUUUCAGAGCAUCCUCAUGAUCAUAUUGAGAAACGAGAAGAUAUGAUGGGGGAUGACUACAAUCUCUGCAAACUCUUCUCAUUCUCCCUAACAAGAUGGUUGGACCAGCUACCAACUGGAUCCUUAACCUGCUGGAAGGAAAUUAGAAGUGUUUUCAUUAAUUAUUUCUUUGAUGAGGCCAGCUACUGGAAAGUAAGGAAAAAGAUCUCUACAUUCCACCAAAAUCCUAGAGAACCAUUUAAAUAUGCAUGUGGAAGAUUUAAAGAAUACCAACUAGAAUUCCCGCAUCAUGGUUAUUCGGAACCUCAGCUAAUUAACACCUUUUACGGGGGUGUUAACAUUCACUACCAAACUAUGCUUGAUACGGCCAGGGAAGGAAACUUCAACACAAGAAGCCCUGAAGAUGCUAUACGGCUGAUAGAGAAUGUAGUAACUGUUAGAGCUUUCGAGAAGAUGAACGAAAAAAGAGGAGAAAACCUGAAGACGAGCCACAUUUAGCCAAAAUCAAGGAAACCCUAGGUUCACUUCAUUCAUUUUUAUCAAAGCAAAAUAAACCACUUCCGAACAUUUACAAUAGAAGACGGUGUCUCGUCUGAUCUCGAAAGACAAGUGGAAUCUAUCGAUAGGAUAGCCUUUCAGGAUCAGCACUCUGAGUCUGACGAAAGUAAUUUUACUCGAAGAUAUGAUGCGACUGUUAGACCUCAAAGAGAGAAAGCAAAAUCUAGGUUAGAUCAAGUUUUCACAGGAAAUCGAAACUGGCCGUCAAUCUAGAAGGAAAAAUAGAUUUAAUUUACUGCGAGCUGAUAAAGAAAGUUGAAGCUCUAAGUGAACAUAUUAAGAGACUAGAUAGUCGAGUAGCAUAAAAUACGAUAGCUAUCAGGAGAGAAGAAGGACUUCUCCCAGGAAGGACCGACGCUAACCCCAGGCGUCAGGUCAGCACUAUCAUGCUGAGAAGUGGCAAACACAUUAUCCCUAACGUGAAAUAAACCGUCACAUUGGAUGGGUCUUCGAAAAUCGACGAAGUCGGGAGGAGUAAGUCUCAACCAAUUCUACUGUAUGAUCUUAAGCCUGGUUCGGAACCUUCUCUGAAAAGGGGAAGAUCUAACCAAACUAGAGGAUUUGAGGAACCACGACCUGACCUCGAUGACCAGGAAGGAGAAUCGGACGAUGAUGAAGAAAUCGAUCGACAAACUCAUGACCACGUCGAUCAACAAACGCAAGACAACGCCGAUCGACAGACAAGUGAUAGCGUCGAUCGACAAUCCUCAGCCAACACAUCAAAACCGAUAGCACCCACUGACCGGUGAUAGAAAGGGUGUAUAGGACUUUACCUCUCUCCCCUCCCAAUAAAAAUAUAACAAAGCGUGAGAUGGAUAAAGCCAUUUGCAAGAAAGCUCUUGAUAAAGUAGUUAUCGAAAUGCCGCUCAGUGACGCCAUGAAAGUUUCUCCAUCGAUAAAAAUAUAUGUUAAAGACAUGGUGUCACAAAGUUUCCUAAUUACAGAUCACAGUGUCAUGAUGCUCUUAGAAGAAAUUAGUGCUAUGAUCCAAGGAAGAAUCCCUAUCAAACGACCAGACCGUGGUAGUUUCGUUUUAGAUUGCAAAAUCCAAGAUAAACAAUUUCAGAGAUCUCUUUACGACCUCAGUUCCAGUCUAAACUUUAUGCCCUACUCCGUAGCACUAUCCCUUGAGUUAACCUGUUUUCAACCCACCAAAAUCACUUUGGUUCUUGCUGAUAGAUCUGUUAGAGUACCAGAAGGAAUCCUUGAAGACGUACCUAUAAAGAUAAACAAAUGUUACAUUCCUACAGAUUUUAUAGUGUUGAAAUAUAUGCAUGAAUCCAAAGACCCCCUCAUCCUAGGAAGACCCUUCCUAGCUACUGCUGGUGCGAUAAUUAAUGUUAAGGAGGGCCGAAUAUGUUUGAACAUUGGUGACUUUCCAAUGACUUUCGACAUGGAUAAAUUAAUUAAACAUCCUCUAAUCGACAACCAGGCUUUCUGCAUUGAUCAUAUUGCUGAGCCUGAUGACGAAUCCUUCGUUGACAUGUACUCAGAUGAUCCCUUAGGAAAUGCCCUCACUUCUCCCGCAAGUGACAUUUUCAGUAUAGAUAGCAGAGUAGAUGAAUAUGCAUGGUUAAUGGACGCAAACGAGGAAGUCAUGAAUGUCAAUGAGGAACAAGACGACAAGUCAACAAUAGACGUCGAUUGAUACCUAUAGAAGGUUGUCGAUCGAUAACCAAUCAACAACCAAUUGCGUUAGAUAACUGGAGUUCUGAAAAGGUUCUGAAAGUCGAAUUAAAGCAGCUUCCAGCCAGACUUAAAUAUGCUUUUCUCUAUGACAACUCAUACCUUGUAAUCGUUAAUGCAAAUUUGAGUAGUGAAAAACUUGUGCUGUUACUAAAUAAGUUGCACAAGUAUAGAAGAGCCAUCAGAUAUUCUUUGAAUGAUAUUCCUGGUAUCUCCCCAGAUUUUUGCAUGCACAGCAUCCAUUUAGACGAUGAAUCCAAAUCAUCAAUUCAACACCAAAGAAAGCUAAAUCCAAACCUGAAAGAAGUGGUUAAGAAAGAAAUCCAAAAGCUCCUGAAUGCAGGAGUAAUCUAUCCAAUUUCGGAUAGUAAUUGGGUGAGCCUUGUGCAUGUUGUAUCAAAAAGGGUGGUAUAACAGUUGUUAAGAACGACAAGGAUGAACUUAUUCUCAUGAGAACCGUAACCGGUCAUCGGAUGUGCAUUGAUUAUAGGAAGCUAAAUGCUGUGACCAGAAAAGACCAUUUCCCUUUACCUUUCAUAGAUCAGAUGUUAAAGCAGCUUGCAAAUCACCAAUAUUAUUGAUUCCUCGACGGAUACUCUGGAUUUUCCAAAUCCCCAUGCAUCCAGAUGACCAGGAAAAUACAACUUUCACAUGCCCAUAUGGCACAUUCGCCUACCCCAUAAUGCCAUUUGGCCUGUGUAAUGCACUUGCUACUUUCCAAAGACGCAUGAUGUCGAUCUUCACGGAUAUGAUCGAAGACUUCAUGGAAGUUUUUAUGGACGAUUUUUUGGUCCAUGGAUGUGAUUUUAAAAAUUGCCUCGACAAUCUAUGAAAAGUAUUGGCCAGAUGCGAAGAAAAGAAUUUUGUACUCAAUUGGGAAAAAUGUAAUUUUAUGGUUAAUGACGGGAUUGUCCUUGGACACAAAGUGUCUGCAGCCGGCAUUGAAAUUAAUCGUGCCACAAUAUAAGUCAUGACCGGUGUACCGGCACCUACGACUGUAAAAGACGUGAGGAGUUUCCUCGAACAUGCUAGAUUCUACCGGAGAUUUAUUAAAGACUUCAGCAAAAUAGCUAGACCCCUCACUCCUCUUCUCUGCAAAGAUGUUAAGUUUUAUUUCAUGCCAGAAUGCUCAAAAGUUACAAGCUCUAGAUUGGAGUCUACAUUUCGAGAUAAUGUGUGAUGCGAGCGAUUUCGUUGUCGGUGCUCAACGGAAUUAUGCGAAGACGAAGAAAUAAUUACUUGCUGUUGUUUUCGCAUUUGAAAUUUUUUGACAAUACCUGGUUGGUUCAAAGGUAGUGGUCCACAUAGACCAUGCUGCGUUGAAGUAUUUAUUGCAAAAGAAGGAUGCAAAGCCAAAACUUUUACGGUGGAUCCUUCUACUCCAAGAAUUUGACAUAGAAAUCAAAGAUAAGAGAGGAGUAUAAAAUGGAGUUGCUGAUCACCUUUCCCGUAUAAGAGUUGAAGAUGAUGUCCCUAUAGAUGAUUUCCUGCCAACGGAAAAUGUCAAUAAUAUGGACUCCACGUUUAUUGGGCAUAUAUGUCUCACAUAUGAGGAGCCCCCGAUCGACUUCGAGGAUAGCUUGUUGAUCGACGCCCCAGAUGACCAACAAUUUGACUCAUCUUCAAAGAAAAUUGUUAUUGAUUUAAAAAUCAACGUUACCUGCAACCCAGUUAAUUGCGAGUCAGUUUCUCUCAGUGAAAGAAGUUUGAGUCGGGGGUGCACACAAUAGAUAGUAAACAUCUCAAAUUGACCUUGGUACGCUGAUUUAGUAAACUAUCUCGCUGCUGAAUUAGAAUCAUAAUCACUUCGAGGAUAUAUAAAGAAAAAUUUUCUACGUGAAAUUCAGAGAUACUAUUGGGAUGAACUAUACUUUUACAAACACUGUUCUGAUGGAAUAUAUAGAUGAUGUGUCACGGAAACUGUAGUCCCAAAUAUUUUAUUCCAUUACCAUGGAUCCGACUAUGCUGGACACUUUGCAACAUUUAAGACGGUAUCAAAAAUCCUACAAGAAGGGUUUUGGUGGCCAACAAUGUUUCGCGAUACUCAUGCAUAUAUUGCACAGUGCGACAGAUGCCAACGAAGAGGAAAAAUUAGCAAAAGACACGAAAUUAAACAGAAUUUCAUCCUAGAAGUAGAAGUCUUUGACUUCUAGAGCAUUGAUUUCAUGGUCCCCUUUCCCUCUUCGUAUGGAGACAAAUACAUAUUAGUUGUUGUAGAUUACUUGUCUAAAUGUCUGAAGCCAUUGCUUCACCAACAAAUGAUGCAGCAGUCGUUAUCAAACUUUUCAAGAGAAUUAUUUUUCCAAGAUUUAGAGUUCUUUGAGUAGUAAUAAGCGAUGGUGGCACCCAUUUUAUAAAUAAAUCCUUCGAUAAAUUGCUCAUAAACAUGGAGUUCACCAUCGGGUACCCACACCCUACCAUCCACAGACAAGUGGACAAGUGGAAGUUUCCAAUCACCAAAUCAAAGAAAUCCUUGAAGAAACCGUUGGAACAACUAGGAAAGACUGGUCUAAAAACUAGAUAAUGCGCUUUGGGUCUAUAGAACAGCGUUUAAAACACAUUAGGUACCACACCAUUCCAUUUACUCUACGGGAAAGCUUGUCACCUGCCAGUCGAGUUAGAAAAUAAAGCAGACUGGCAAGUAAAAUUGACCAAUUUCGACAUUAAACCAGCUGCAGAAAGGAGACUGAUUCAGCUAAAUGAAUUAGAUGAGAUUAGACAUCUUGCUUAUGAGAAUUCAAAGCUGUAUAAAGAAAGGACCAAAGCCUAUCAUGAUAAAAAUAUCAUGUCCAGACACUUUGAGCCGGAUGAUCAAGUGCUCCUUUAUAACUUCCGACUGACAUUAUUUCACGGGAAACUCCGUUCCCGCUGGUCAGGUCCCUUUACAAUUAAGGAAAUUAAACCUCACGGAGCCUUUACUCUGAUCAACAAUGAAGGAAAUGAAUUCACGGUAAAUAGACAAAGAGUUAAACAUUAUUGGGCCAAAGCACUUAAACCAAACAGUCGAACUCUACGAUUGGACCUUUCAAUCGCUGACUAGUUUCAUAUAAAAGUCAACUGACGACUUAAAAUAAACGUUGAGUGGGAGGCAACCCACUAUUUUAUUUAAAAAUUUAGGAAUUUUAAAUUUAAGUUUUAUAUCAUUUUCAUCUAAUAAAAUAAUAAUAACAGAAUUCUCAACAUUUAUCGAUCGACAUCGAGCUCUUUCCGUCGAUCGACGGUCACUGUGGACUCACGAUCCUAUUUAAUUCGUUAAUUAACCAAUUCGCCCUAAAAUCGUAAAAACUCCUCGAAACCUCCCCCCCCCCAUCAAUUUCUCUCUCGUUUUCCAACCGAUUUAUGUGUUUCUUGUGUUGAAUCCACUCAAUUCUCACCUCUUUAUCUGUUUAGUUCACUCAAUCAACCGAUCUACAUGGUAUGACCUCGAAAUAUUCUAAAUUCUAGGUUUUCGAGGAUAAGAGUAUCAGACUGUAUUAUGUGACUAUUAUUCUAUUUGAAUUCGAUUUGCAAUGUGAGUUUUUGCAGGUUUCGUGAACAUUGAUCGACAACGCGAAUUCUCUGUCGAUCGAUUGUUCCCACGAGUUAACGAUCAAUGUUGACCAUUGUGUGUCAAUCGACAACGAUCACUGAUUUAUCGCCUUGCUAACUUCAUGUUUCCUCUUGUUAUCUUUGGUUGCAUAUUCAUGAAAGGAGAACAAAGCGACGCUUUGACCAUCCCAGCAGCUCCAACGCACCGCCACCGUCACCACCAGUACUCGAUCGUGACCCUUGGCCAAGGGAAAGGGAAGGAGAGCCCAUUGAGACAUGGGAUAAUUACACAAAUCCUAACGAGGCUGUCAGACACAAAGACUGCACCCACUGUGCAAUCGAGAACGAUUGGGAUGGAAAUGAUAGCAUGUUCUACAAUGAGUGGCUGAAGGUCAUCAUCGAGCCCACACGUUUCAUCCAUUGGACAACUAUAUGGCGACUAGGGCUCGAGGAGGAGCUAGAAGAGAUGAACUGAGAGUUAGGUCUGGGAAGCAUGGCUACCCGCUUUUACGACUUGUACCACGAGCUGGUCAGACAGUUCAUGGUCACAGUGCAAGUCUACUACUCCAACGAGAGGGUGAAGAAGGUGGACGAGGGCACACUAAAUUUCUUCAUCUAAGGCAUCAGAUACAUGAUCCCUCUCCUUACUCUGUGACAUAUAUGGGUUCCAGAACCGUGAGCACUCGUGCUGCGUCGUCCCCGCCUUUCUUGGACAGUCAGAGUUUUGGGGACACCUGGCUUUUGGUCACUUCGACUCAGGCACAGCCACUCAGACUGACAGCCAUCACCCCACCGUGCGCUAUUUCCUCAAGGUCCUUUCCAACACGCUGUUGUGCAAGAUGGAACCGAACAAGGUACGGGUGUAGGAGCUCACAUUACUUUACUAUGUGGUGCGGAGUCUGGUUCCGUUGGGUACGAUUUCAGAACCGGCGGAUGACCAGUGGCCAAACCUUGGGGUUGGCUUUGCUGAGCACUUGGUAAACCUGAAGAUGAAGCCAUUCGGAGGGAAGAUUACAAAGAGGGAGACAAUAGGGAGCCUCCUUACGCUGAUCUUCAUGCACAUCGGGAUUCCUUUGGAUCAUGCCACAGUCAUCAGGAACCAGAACUACAUGGAUGCUUCAUCUGACAUACGCACAGUGGCUCAAGGACGAUGUUUAUGGAGCUUCAGGGACGCCUCAGGUACACACUUGCUACAGUACCUAUGCGGACGGUUACGGAUCUUCAGGGCGAGUUUGCUAGACUUGAGUUCCAUCCACACCUGCUUCUCCUCCGCAACCUGGCUCACAUACCUUGCAGAAGUCCCAUGCCCCAAGCCGCCAGAGCAGCUGCACAGCCCCAGCAAGAUAUCCCUGACUUCCCACACAUCCCGGACAUUCCCAUGCACGAUUAUGGCGACUUCCAGUACGUUGUUGUGGAUGCACUUCACGCCAUCUGGUCGAGAGUGUCACAGUGCCACUAUGUUACGAGAGGGAGUGUGCACGAACGAUCUCCAUCAGCUGCAAGACCCUCACACCAGCGACAGAACGACUCAGACGACGAUACUGAUGAGGAUUAGUUCUCAUCUUUCUAUCUCUUAUCUACUUACGUUUUUAUUUUAUUUUUGGACUAUUAGGAUUUAUGUUUGAACUUAUCUUCUUAUGCUAUGACUUGAGACUAUGUAUUUUUUGGAUCAUUAUGUGUGUUUGGAUUGGCUAAUAAGGCUAACAAUGCUGACUGAUCUGAUGAGUUAGAACCUAUGACACGUUACCGAUGACACAUAUUUUUUCUGUCUCCGCGUCAUCGAUCGACACCAAGGUCACGGUGUUGAUCGACACUCGAAACAGAGUGUUACAAAUUUUCUUCUCAUUGUCUAGUAUUUAUUCAGUACUUAUGAUUUAUUCUCUAACCAAUCUUAGGCUCCUCAGUGUUUUUUAAGUCUGGGGAGGUAGUUACUAAUGAGAAGUUUUAUUUUGAAUUUUAUUUAACUAAAAAUAAUUUUUUACAAAGUUUUUAAAUAAAAAGUUUUAUUGAGUCAAGAAAAGGGAUUAUGAUCUUUUGCCAUUUAAUUACUACUCUAACCACUCUCUAGCACCACCUAGAUUUAUUUACUGCAGGAUGUAUUAGAUGGAAACACCGCAGUGUAUCACAUAUUACUCACAUCUUGAUGUGAUCUUGGGCUUAUUUAUGAAGUUAUGGAUAUGGAAAACAUUCAAAAAUUGACCCAUGAUGUUAGCUAACAAGUCCAGCCCAUUUUUAUCAAGUUACAAGCCCAAGAAGAUACAAAAUCAAAUGAUUUCUUUGCUGUCCAAAGAGAGUGACGAAAACUAUAUGGUUAAUUGUAUGGAAAGCUUAUAUCUCUCCUACAUGCAAGGAAUGUUUGUUUCAAGAACACUUUCUCUCAUUCAUGCACUGAUUUAUUAUUUUCCAUGUAAUAAGAGUUAAGUUUUUAUUUUUGGAAUCUUGAGAGUGAUUCUCAAACAUGUUUUCAACCAUGGAGUGUCAUAUCUAUUGGUCAAAACUUUUAUGAUUGUUGGUGUGUAAUAUCUUUCAAUCUAACUUGGUGCGUCAUAUCCAAGGGUGAUUAUGGAUGCGGAAGAAAUCAUUUCAAUCUUUUAUGGAUGCUGAAGAGAGGUGGAAGUAGAAGCAGGGACAAUAAGUUUAAUACCUUCCAGACUUGCAGGAGGAUUCCGGUCCAGACUUGCUCAUUUUGGGGCUUGGUAAACAUUGGACCGGAAUCCUCCUGCAGGUCUGGAAAGUAUUAAACUUAUUGUCCCUGGUUUUGCUUCCACCUUUCUUCAGCAUCCAUAAAGGAUUGAAAUGAUUUUUUUGCGGUUUAGAAGGGUAGGAGUGUCUCUUGCGAUCCCAUUAUUCUAUUCUAAUAGAAUGAUCACACCUUGUUUGGAAACGAGGGGUAUGAUUUUCUCAUGUGACCCCAUUAUUCGCAUGCAACUUUACCACUAUAUGUUAUUAAAAAAACGAAAGUUGAGAUAGCUAAGGUGGUUUCAAAUGCUCUCAAUGGAAUAUGAUGGAUUAAAUAGCCCAUCUAAAAUAAUGGAAGCUCAGAUUGCUGAAUGUGUAUAUGCUAUUGACAAGACAAUGUAAAAUAAAUUAAAUGAUGAAUUAACAUAUAAAAAACCAUGUGGACUAAUGGUUUAAUUUUGUUUCAGUAAUUGUUUUUGGUAAUGAUUUGUUACCCGGUUUGUAAUACAUAAACAUAUGUUAAAAAGUUAGAAAAAUUGAUUUGGAUAUUUAUAUCAUCAAUCACUUAUCUUUUCGGUCACAUAUUUAUAAAUAAUUUUUAAAUUAGUUGUGAUUGAAUUAGAGUAGUAGAAUGAUGAGUGACUUAUAAAAAAGUUAUUCACGAUACCAUACGAGUGAAGAAAAAGUAUUGAGCUAUGCCAUGUGGUGAUUGCAAGAUCAAGAAACAAAAUUUUCAAACCUUCAAAAAUUAACGUAUUGAAUACCGCCUGGGCUGGAUCUGCAGAACGAAUGAACAUGCGUGGAAGACUCAUUAUCCGUGGACGGUCGGAGCAUGACAUGUGGUAUUAAAGUAAACGCUAGACAAGUGUGAAGUCAUGUGUGGGCUCAAACUAACAUGAAUGACGAUCUUAGAGUGGAACAAGGAUAUUGCGUUCUGUAAAAGGGGGUAAUUAUUGUAACAUCCUGGUUGUGGUAUAUGAAAAUGUGUGUUGAAAGGUUUAAAAUAAUUUAUUUGUCUACCUCUGUCACUAAAUGUAUUUAUCUUUUCGGUCACAUAUCCAAAUUUUUUUUAAAAGUUAAGUGUGUUUGAGAUUGAAUACUAGAAGGAUGAAUGAUCUAUAGAUAAGUGACUCACGAUAUUGUACAAGUGAAGCCAAAUAUCGAAAAAGUCCCAAAAUGUGUUAAAAGUCAUGUAGUAAUUAAAUUUUAAGUCUUCGAAAAAUUACCGCACUGGGUACUCGUACGGAGUGUAGGCCCACGGACCAAGUGAAUGAACGUGGACGACCUAUUUUUUUUUUGCAGCAAACAGUUAUUCUAUUACUCAAGCUUGAGUUGGUCUGAGAAACCAGACCGGAAUAUAACAACCAAUUAAACAUAAAUAUCUAUGAAAAGAACGUGCAUUCCUAGCUAACGAAUCUGCAAUCUCAUUCUGCAUCCUUGGAAAGUAGCUGAUCUUGAAGUCCGAAUAACGUGGACCACCUGUUAUUUGUGAGAAGUAAGGACAUUAUUUGAUUUUUGUGUAUACUUUGGUUUGAAUGACAUUUUGUAACAGUAUAAAGGAAAUUCUUUUAACAACACUCUCUAUCUUCCCCCUAAAUAUACCACAAAGAUGUAUUAGUUGACUUUUAUUAUGAAAACAUUAAAACGAAUUCUCGUAACACGGAUAGAAACAAAGUGAAAAUUUUACUUUAUUUGGACACUCAUAAAUCGAUAUUUGACUGGAUAACUUAAAGUUGAUGGACAUGAUGGACAUGAUUGCUAACUUAGUUGAUUGGCCGACGUUCGUUUCUGAUCAAGUGUCCUCAUAUCCCUAAAUUUAGGAACAUGCGUGGAGACACGGAGACGAAAAGCAGUGGCGUUCUUUUUUUUUUUCAUAUAGAUCAGACUGGGUCGGAGCAACCGAAAGAUUUAAUCUCGACUACUACUUGAUCUAAUAAAAUGGGUAUUAAACAAAAAAAAAUCUACACCUGACUUACAAGACUAUAAUCUCUGCUAGCAAACUGAUUUUUCAAAUAGCGAUGUAUCAUACGUGGAGUGGAGAAAAAAGUGAAAGACAUCAACAAACCAAACUCGCUUCUGUGUCUUGUUUAUACAGUCCACAAGUAAAUUCACAAUCGGCUCUUAUGCCUACAGCACGAUCGAAUUAAUGAAAAUGGAGAAGGCGUCGCUCGAUAAUCACGUUCUGAUUAUUUUUUCGAGCUUUUGAUUUAUGAUUGGAUUUCGAACUCGGUUUUCUACGAUGAAUUUGAUUUCAUUUGUUCUUCUCUGUUAUAAAGGAUGAAACUGUACCUGUAUGUCAAUAAAUUUUUAAUGCUUAAUAAUAUUCACAUUUCAAAAAAGAAUAUAUUAUAUUAUGUUUUAAUAAAUCAUAAGAUCAUUUAAAUGCAUUUUCUACUUGAAAUAUUUUUGAAGAAAAAACAAGUAUCUAAAGAAUCUAAAUCGCACACCUAUAUUGUUUCGAAAAACUUAUGUAUCGUUUUACUUUUUACAUAAAUAUUUAUUUGCGCCUCGAGUAAUUAACUAAUAUCGUUUCGGAAAAAAACCAUUUAAUUAAAAAAAAGAUUCAUUUUGUUACUAAAGACAAACAGAAAGUUUCCAAAUAUUCCGUGGAACUACUCACUUGUUAAGAUUCGUUAUGGGGAAUUGGGUUAGAAGAACAUUGUGUCGCUUUGUCAUUUGAUUCCUACAUGAAACGUGGAUAUAACUCUUUCUCUUCCUCUCAGAUGACCCAUAAUGAAAUUCAGUUCUAGAUUUUUGUUAGGUACCGCUUUGCUUUCUCUUUCACCUUUUUAUUAUUAUAUCUUUUCUUUUAACUAUUUCGAGACAUUUACAAUCCCCCAUACAUGUAUGCCUACGGCAGCAUAAUAAAAAAUCUCCCAAGAAAUGCACUCGUAAGAUUGGUGAAAAGGAUAAGCUUUAACCCAAAGAUGGAUUAAAGGAAAGAUUGAUCGAUGGUUCUUCAGUAUAAAGCUGCGGAAGGCCAGAUACUUGCUGGAUUGGUCUUAGUCCGUGAGAGGCAACCCAACUAGUGAACAAGACCGUGCUUACGGAGAUCACUCUCAUAGCAUUACGAUGUUCCAAAGAACAAAGGAUUCAACAAAUUUAAAAAAUAGAUUUUUAUUAAAAAGGUUGAAUGCAUAAAAACAAUACAAAGCAAACCUUUAUAUAAUAGGCAAUCUGUAGAAUUAAAUAAUCUAAUUAAUCAUUGAAACUAUAAAGUUCUUAAAAGUUAAAACUAUGAAGACUUGACUAAGAAUAUUGACUUGACCAAAGACCAAGACUGUUGACCGAAUUUGGGAAAUUGUGUUCGCAGAAUACCUUGGCUGGUCGCAUCAUUUUGCAUGAUCGACGGUCUCUGAAUUGCCAUCAGAUUGAUAUAUUAUACGACAUUGGCUUGUAUUUUCUUGGUGGGCCUUUCUUCUUUAGACUUCUUUUGAUUUGUUUGUUGCUGAACAAGGUCACAUCAUCCCCUCCUCCUUCAAAAGGAUUUGUCCUCAAAUCCGACUUAAUGUUUAGAACCUGUGACCGUGAGAGGCAGCCCCACUAGUGAUCAAAACAGGUUGCUUUCGGAGAAGCAAUCUCCUAGAGCCAUUACGAGAUAUGGAGGAGCAGUCUCGAUUUAAUUUCAGAUGGAAUGAUCUCUUGUUUUCUCGUGGAUCUUUUUUUUUUUUUUGUAGAAGAUGGAAAGAUGAGAAUGAUGAAUGACAGAAGUGAACACCGAACCCUCAAGUGUACUCUGAUACCAAAUAAUAGAAAAUCUCCCAAUGAAUGCACUCGAAGGUUGGUGAAAAGGAUAAGCUUUGACCCAAAGAUGGAUUAAAGGAAAGGUGGAUCGAUGGUUCUUCAGUAUAAGGCUGCGGAAGGCCAAAUACUUGCUGGGUUGGUUUUAGUCCGUGGGAGGCAGCCCCACUAGUGAACAAGACCAUGCUUACGGAGAUCACUCUCGUAGCACUACGAUGUUCCAAAGAACAAAGGAUUCAACAAAUUUAAUAAGUAGAUUUUUAUUAAAAGGGUUGAACGCAUAAAAACAAUACAAAGCAAGCUUUUAUAUUAUAGACAAUCUGUAGAAUUAAAUAAUCUAGUCAAUCCUUGAAACUAUAAAGCUCUUAAAAGUUAAAUCUAUGAAAACUUGAUUAGGAAUAUUGACUUAACCAAAGACCAAGGCUAUUGACCGAAUUUGGGAAAUUGUGUUCACAGAAUUCCUUGGCUGGUCGCAUCUUUUUGCAUGAUCGACGGUCUCUGAAUUACCGUCAAAUUGAUAUAUUAUACGACAUUCGCUUGUAUUUUUUUGGUGAGCCUUUCUUCUUUGAACUUCUUUUAAUUUGCUUGUUGCUGAACAAUGUCACAUCAGAGCAAUAUGUUGAAUUUAUUUGGUCGACUUAAAUAAACAGAACAAAACUCGUCUGUGAGUUAUUUAAUAGGCGUUCUACUGAUGGAUGUUACAAUAUUUGUGUGAACAAGAUAGAAAAUGAGUUGGCACUCAGCAAGUCGACGAUAAUUAAAUCAAAUCCUAAUUUUUCUCGUUAGUGAGUAUUGAACCCAAAUCCUGAAGAAAUAAGAAAGCAGUCGAAGAACAACCCAAAAGCAGCUCGAGCCUCUACUCCAAACUCGGGGAUAGAAAGCUCGACUUCGAAAAGUCGGCCUUAAUGCCUGAGGCCGAGCACGCACUCACGAGCUUAUUCUAACCGAAAGAACAUAUAUUUACUGUGGAUCCUACAACCCACAUUAGGAAUUUGAUUCAUCUCUUUCCAGAGACAAGAAAAAUCGUUAAUGUAUACAUGUAGAUAAACAAAAGCUAUAAAAAAGUUAAACAGAACUGAUCUUUGAAAUAGUGAAGUAAAAUACUUAUUUGGGCUCCAAAUUUAAAAUAUUUAAUAUAUAUAUAUAUACCUAGGCUUUUGAAUUGUUAAAUAAAUUAUAUUAAAAAUCUUAUUAAAUUUCUUUAGGUUCCAUAAUUGCAAGGCCGGCCCUACAAAUUAAGUAACACAAUAAUAUUAGAAAAUUUUAUAGUUCUUAGAAAAUAAAUUAUUAAAUAGGGUAAAUUAAUAUAUGCAUAUAUACAUUUAUUUAAAUAAAACCAAGAUAAAAUAUACCAAAAUUUAAUAAAAGAAUAAAAUGAAAAUUUUUACGCAUUGUUUAAUCUCAUUAAUCUUACAGUUAGUUAAUAUAUUAUAUUAUAUAUGUUAAAUAUAUUGUAUUUUUCUUCAAAAUUAAACUGUACUUUAAUAUUUUCCUUGUUCAGUUUUCUUAGGUAACAUUUUAUAAAAACGCAUCUAAAACGCAUUUUAUUCUUGUGUAUUUUUGAUAAAACAAAACACUAAAUAAUAAAACAAAAUAAAUAGAAUUUAAUCAAUCUAUAAGAUUGUGAAACGAAAUAUUUUCUUAUUCUAAAUAAAAGAAUAUUUUUAAAAUAUGAAUCUAGAAUAUUUUUAUUAUAAAUUAAUAAUUUAUGCUGACAAUUGUUUUUAAUAAUUCCUUAAAUUAAUAAAAUAAUAUAUUUUCAAUAUUUUUAAUUUAUAAAUUUUACAUCAAAAAUAACUGAUCUUGUUUUAUACAUGACACAUCCAAGAUAUGCCUUGUUCCUGAACUCUCUUGAUGAUGGAUGAAGAGCCGACCCAUGAAGCUACUAGCACUCAAGGACUAUGUAUGGUCCCCACACAAAGGAUGCAGAUGGCCUAUGUGUUGGUCAAUCUCAGUGACCUAUGAGUACACCUCACUUAAUAGUGAUAGCGAACUCAGUAUCUAACUCCAGACGAAUUUGGUAUUUUCAAGGACCCAAAUGGCUACGCAAGAGCAAGCGAUGGACGUAUUCUGCAUGUAUCUCAAAAGGAUAUUGCAUACAUCCUUCAGACGGCUAAUGGAGCAGACAACCUCUUCGUGCAACAAUACAACUUUCCAGAACACCAGCAGAAGGUUACAAAGGAGUUUAUGACACAGCUUCUGGCAUAGAUAAAAGCUUCAAACAGAGGUCUCGACAUCCUACUCGACCAUCGAUCGACGUUGACGUCUCAACAUCGGUCGACAGACAUUCUGAAUUUGGCAGAAGAGUCGUUGAUCUUUUCAGUACUAGGAAGUUCUACUGGGAAGAGAAGGAUAAGUGUGGAAUCUAUAGAGAUGAUCAGGGAUACGCCAGAGACGUUGAUGGACACACCAUUCACGUUCACAACAAAGAUAUCAGAAGACUUCUGGAAAGAGCUUCGAGAGAUGAGCACAGCUACAUAUGUCUUCCAGAACAUGCUAGCUCAUUCACACCAACCAAGCUAGUACCAGAGAUCUACACCAAGGACAAGAUCAAUGAGAUAUUCUAUGGAAUCUGCAGAGAAGAACAAAGAAUACUUCCAGAUGAAGCUUGAUGGAGUCUACAAUCCAUUGAAUGAUAGUAUCAGUUGGCUAACUACUUGCAUGGAAGAGAUGAGGCAAGACAUAGCCAGAAUUCAGCGUGAGAUCGACUUUUUCGCCCUACAUCGAUCAACAGAUAUCGACAGGCAUCGAUCGAUAGUCGCUUACAUGCAUCGAUCGACAACCGCUUACCAGCAUCGGUCGACGACAAUCCACCGCACUCACAUACGAUGAAGUCUAAACCAGAUUUUCACACCAGGGAAGAGAUAGAUCAGUGGGUUGAAGGGAUCUACAGAGCUCUGGAAACUACAGAGGAGAGGCUUGAUAGGAGAUGUGGUGACAUAUAUUUCCCAAUGGACCUUACCAUUAUUGCUUUGACUUCCAAGAUAGAAGCUAUUCAAGGGGAAUUAGUGGAGAUUCAGAAUUACAUUGCCCGUCGACCAGAAGCAUCAUCAUCGAUCGACAGACGCAACAAUAAAUCGACCGACAUUCACAGACAGACAUCGGUCGACGAAGCUUCAAACUGAGGGAGGCUAGUACAAAAGGUGACAUCAGAUAUGUCUGAUACACAAAACCGUGCAGAGGAGAUCUCAGCUGACGCAUACGCCAGACUUAUGAGACAUCAGUUCACUCUUAAGAGUCUUGGAGAUAGAUUGCAGAAGAUAGAAGAUGCAACUACAAUAAUGAAGGACAAAUGGCGUAGAGGAGAUGAAGCAAUGCGAUACUUCACUGGUACAUGGUUCAACAAGCGCAUAGAAGAGAUGGAGACUUGUUUCCCAACAAGUGCCAGCUUUCAACAUUACUAGCCCAAUCACCUUCAAAGUCAAGUUAAAUGACUAUUACAAAGCGCUGAGCGGGAUGCAACCCACUAUUAGGUAAUAUUUAUUUGGUUUUUAUUAAUCUACUAUUUAUGUUGGUUUUUAAUUAUUGCAGGUCAUAAAAAAAGAGAUUUGAGUAGACGAUUGCCGUGAGUAUCGACCGACGAAACACUGUUGACAUCGAUCGACAGAGAUGAACCUGCAGCGACUGAUAUCAACAUCCGUACAUCGGUCGACAAUCAUUCCGGUAUGGUAUAGCGUUCUAACUUGUUACAUUACGUACUUAUGAUUUAACUAUCACCAUAACUCCGACUAAGUUUACGUUGGGGACAUUGUAGUUUAAGUCUGGGGGGGAUGUUUACUGAUAUUAGUUUAUUCAUGAAUUUUAAAAAUAUUUUCAAACAUAAAGUUUUUAUUGAGUCAAGAAUGGGAUAAUGAAAGUAUUAGAUUUUUGCUUGUUAUCUAACCACUUUUUAGCACAAUUCUAGAAUUUACUGAUUGCAGAUAGUACUAAAGAUACUAAAGUGGAUCAACCUGUCAGCUAUGUUACACUUGCUGAGAUUGUUUGAAGGAACCAAAGCUGACCUCCAACACUAAAACUUGACAUAACUGCUUGUCUUGGGGCUUGGUAUAUAUGGGAUCGGAUUCUUCAAAUAAGUCUGGAAGGUAAAACUUUGUGUAUAUAGAUUUAUCACUCUCUCUCUCUCUCUCUCUCUCUCUCUCUCUCUCUCUCUCUCUCUCUCUCUCUCUAUUUUCAAAAUAUAGAUAUUAAAUAAAAUAAUUAUAUAUAUAUAUAUAUUUAUAUAUAUACAUAUCUAUUAGAGAUUUAUUAGGAAUAUAUAUAUAUAUCUAUUAGAGAUUUAUUAGGAAGGGAUUCGAACAAGACUUGGUGGAUACAACCAUUAAAGCUUGAUUCAUAAAAAUUCUAUAGGUAAAUGAUUAGAACAGGAUUUGGUGGUUACAACCAUUAAGGUUUACUUCACAAAUAAUCCUAGUAUAUAGGUCAAAAAGAAGUGAACAGGGCUUGGUGGUAACCACCAUUAAGGCUUGAUUCAUGGAAGUCUGUCCAAUCUUGGUCAAUGAUCUUGCAAAUAUAAACAGACUUUGACUAAGAGAGAAAAUUAGUAGAGAGAGAGGAUAAGAAUUAAUUUUUACUUGCAGGUGUAGAUACUUGUUUGAAAAUCUUUGCAUCAUGUGAUCGAUACUCCCAAGAUAAAACCUGAACUUUUAUUUAUGCUAAAAAAUGAGGUUGGUAGAGGAGAAUAUCAGACAAGAUUUGCUAAGUUGUUAGCUAGGUGAAUUUGGUUGAUAAGCUAGGAUAUGGUAUAAUGUGCUUUUGUGAUUAUGACUUCUUAGAUGUGGAUUACAAUAUUGUAGAGGUGAUGAUUCUAAGUUUUAAAUUGUGUGAGUUCCUGCUGUUUUCAAACCUCUUUCAGAGAGUUCUAAUCACAAAAGCAAAAGAGUAAGUUUGGGGAGUUGAUAGAUCAUUGAUUUGACCUAUUUUCACCCAUGAUUUAUACCGUUUGGUGGAGGGAAGAAGGGGAGCUCACCAAGCUCGAGAGCUAAAAGGCGAGAAGAAGAUAAAAGAGGAACUUGUACUCACGAGCUCUAAAUCGCAAAUACGUUUACGUAUUUUGAAUUUUUGAUAUCAAGAGAAUUAUUCUCUCUUCGACCACGGCCUCACGUCUCGAACACAAUCAAGCCACCAAGCAGCUCUAAGUGUUCUCGAAGUUACCAUCUCCAAAUCUGAACGCUUCAAGACCAAGAGCACAAAGACUCCACGAAAAGAAGAGCACGAGCUCUUAGAGCCCAUAAACGCCAUUUAUCUUUUCAUUAUUAUGAAAGGAGGACGUAAAAUGAAAAAAAAAAUGAAAGAAGAUACGUUGCUUUUUCCUGUCAUGGUGUCGCCACAUUUUGGAAAAACGAUGAGAGUCAUUCUUUCUCUUGAGCAUAUGCGAUCUAGUGCGAUCAAAUAUAGAUAGCUCGAGGUCUCAUAAUUUUUAUUCGAGACAAGAACAGACGAACUCGACGUCUCAUUCAAAGACCGAUGAAAUCGAUGUCUCACUCGAGAUGAUUAAAAAUUGGAUCAUAUGAGACUUGAACCAGGGUUACUAUCCGCUCAACCUCCAUGAAUGAGUGCUCGGAAGUUGGAGAACCACAACUACCAGCACCUGUCUCUCACCUUCCGGCGAAGAAGAGUUCUCAGUGCUCAACAGCAACCAUUGCAGGAUCUGAUGAGAAUAGCAGUGGUGUUUCCUUGUUGCUUCUUGUACUGUUGGGAAUGCACCUGAAAAGACAAGAAAAUUUUUAUGUCAAAAAGUGGUUUAAAGAAGUAACCUAGACUAAAUCUAUAGGUGAUCAAAGCUCCCCGGCAAAUGCGCCAAAUUUGAUCUCACUCAAAUUACCCUAAGGAGUAAAUUACUCUCUCUCUCAAAUAAGAGGUUCAAUUGUAGUACUUAGGGAUCGAAUCCACAAGGAGCUAGAGAACCUAAUAGAUCUAAUCAGAGUGAUUAAGGUAGGUUGAUUAUGUUUAAAUGUAAGUAACUGGUUGUGAGCAAGGUAGUUGCUCGAUUGGUUUGAUUGAGUUUUUGGCACUUAGAUGAAAUAGCUAGACUUAGGGUUUUAUUCAGAUAAUCAGGAUUAUAAUCCUACAGAUGCUUAAUAGUUGUAUGCAUGAUAAUAUAGAGCUCAAUCGCUUAUGAACAAACCGAUUGGCGUUUGCUUUCUUGGUCUGUGUAUUGACCAGAUAUAAGUGUCGAUCGAUACACCUUUUGCACCGUCGAUCGAUUAUUCUAUAGGAAUAUCGAUUGAUGCGUUUUUAGCAAAGCUUUACCCGCGGGUUGAAUAAUGCUCACUAGGCUUAUUAGAUCAGCUUUCGUCUUACUCUAACAAUCCUAGCUCAAUUAGGACGGAUUCAGGGUGAGAUUCAAGUGUUAACUUGAGCCUACAACCUAGGUCAAGGUUCUAGCCAGUUAAACUAGAAACAUACAUUAAUGAAAAUCCUAAUGAUGAAUAUCACAACUUAGCAAUCUAUAGUUGAGGCUAAUCCCUCAUAACCUAUUUGAACCCUAAAUCUAACAGUGGAACUACUCAGACAUAGCUAAGCAAUUCGUAACAGCAAUACGGUAUAAAAACUGCAUAGAUAUUAAAUAGAUAAUAAUGGAGUUCCAAUCACAAAUUAAAAACUGCAUAGCUAAGCAACAUAUUUUCAUGUUUUUGAUUUGAGUUUGAUGGUAUACUAAAAUAGGCGCUUGUGUGUUUAAAUUUAUAUAUAGUUUUUUUUUUAAUUCAAAAUAACCCAGAAAUAUAUAUAUAUUUUUUUAAUUUUGCUGGCAAUAUUUUGUGUUUCAUAUAUAGAUUUCAAUUUUUAAAGCUUGCUGAUUAUGGGGGCAGUUAAGAAAACCAUAAGUAAAUGAAUGUAAUACUAAAAGUUUAAGACUAUAGCUAGGAUUAGGCAUGGGCGUUCAGGUUUUCGUUUGGAUUUGAGUUAGGUGAUUCAGGUUUCUAGUUUUCGGGUGGAGAAGUAUAGAACCCGUUUCAGUAAUUUAUGAAUUCAGGUCGGGUUCGGAUUAUUAAAGAUCAGGUUUGGCUUCUUUUGGGUGUAACUGAAGCCCUCGACAUGUGCAAAACCUGAUAUUUUUCAGAAAAAUUCAACAGCCUAAAAAACCUGUAGUGGUUGUGAAAUAACAAAGUUCUAAACCAAAAACAAACAUCAUAGCGGAAACAGAGUAACAUGUUGUGCAAUAACAAAGUACCAAACCAAAAACAUCAACCAAACUUAAACAAAACAUAGAGUCAAGUCUUCACCCGAAAACAUCAACCAAAACACCAAGCAAACUUAAGAAACUCGAAAACCAUCUGCGACACCAAAAACAGACAAUUGUAAAUGUUAGAACAGUAAACAGGCACAAUAAAUACAACAGACGAUUACAAUUUAUAAGAUGUCUUAGUUCUUACCAUGAAACGAAUCCAUAUUAUCUUGAUAUUCGGGUUCGGGUUCGGGUUUCGAACUUGGUUACUAUGCCCAUGCCUAGCUAGGAUAUUUUAUGAUGAUGUAAUACAAAUUUUUCUGAAUAUUUAUAUUAUUAAAUAAAUAUUAUAAUAUACAUUUUGGGAAUAUUUAUUUAGGAUGCAAAAAUAUUGAAACUUAUUUUCAAGUUAUGAAUUUAAUUUAGGAUGACAUUAUCAUCGAUUUUGUGAAUUUUUUGGUUACUCAGUAAAAAUUAUAAUCUAGAUUUACGUAAUGAUUCAUCAAAUAUAUCAAAACUGGCCGAUAUUUUUUUCUUAACUGAAUGUAAACUAAUAUUCAAUGUUUUUUAAAACAUAGAAAAAAUAUGCUUCCUAAAUGUACAUUAGUUGAUUAAAAUGUCAUGAUGUAGAAACUGUAAAUAAAAUGUUAGUUGUUUUCUAAAUAGAAAAAUGUGAAUGUUCUGGUUCAUUAUUGUUUUUUUUUACAAUGAAAGACUCUUAUAUUACUUAAACUUGAUGUAGCAUGACCGGAAUAGAACAACUAAUAAAACAAAGAUCUCUAUGAAAACACUUCGCAUUUCUAGCUAUAGAAUUAGAAAUUUCAUUUUGCGCUCUCGGGAUAUAAGAGAUCUUGAAAGCCGGAAAGCAUAGCUGGAGAUUCUUUAUUGCAUUCAAUUAUGUUGCAUAAUUUUGUCAUACAUGAGACUCCUUUAUCAUUGCGAUCAGAUCCUAGUAGUUCGUCCCAGAGCUCUGACAUGUCGAAUGUUGGAUCAUGUUUUCCAUAGCCUAUCCCAGUGCUUCUAAUUUUGUAUGCAAAACAGCCUCUCGGCGUCUUAAAUUCGCGCCCAUAUAAAUUAAAUUUUCUCCAAACUAUCCAUUCAAACUCAUCCACAUCCACAGAAUUGAAUGUAGAGGUCUAAGAGCUAUCCACCUUACAAUUGUUGCCCAAACUUACGACUUAAAGUUCCUCGUACUUAACCAUUGUAUCCAACAAAUUAAGUACAGUUAGACUUGAGAUGAAAUAAAGACUUUAAUAUAAAUCAAACAUACUAAUGUAUGUAUAAUGUAUUCAAGGUUUCGUGGGACAAAGACCCAAUGUGUAGUUUUAUUAUAAUCAGUUUAUAGCUAGUAAUAGAUAUGAAGAUUUAAUUUGUUGAAAUUACGUGGAGAUGCCCACGAGUUUAUAUGUUAAUUUGUAGCUACCAAUAAAUUUUGGGUUUUUUCUCGAUAGCUAAUAAUAACCAUAGACACAAUACAUCUGAAGAAUGUUCUUUUAAAUUUUCCAUCUAGAAUAGAUACAAAAAAAUAUUCAUUUAAGUAAUUGUGUACUGGAUAGUCUUAAAACAUCACAACUUCUAUUAUUUAAGUCAUAACUUCUAUUUUAAUAGAAUACAGAUGAUCCAAUAAUUUUGAAAUACAACUAUAAACUUCGAUUAUUUUCCCCGGUUUUCUCUGGGUUGUGGCUGGUUAAUGGUAUAUAUACUGGGACGGAUGCAAAUGGAAAUGAUAGGAGACCGAAAGUCAAUGUGUACAUGGUUCCCAUCAUCCUAGCUUUUCCGUAGUUAUCAACAUGUAGAACGGAGGGGACACUUAUGUCUCUUUUUCUUUUGCUCUAAAUGACGUCGAACUUAUAAAAUAGAAUACAGAUGAUCCAAUCAUCUUCCUCCAUUGUCUCCUCCACCAUCUCCAUUUUCUUCGCUUACUGCAACGCUUUGAUUCUGUCUUCUUGUUUCUUUUGGAGUUUUUUUUUCUUGCAGUGUCGCAAUAUGUUCAAUUUAUAUCCGGCUUAUAUAACCGUGUAAAAAUAUACAUGUGAUUUCAAAAAUUUAAAAUAAAAUACCUAUUGUUUACUUUUUGGCAAAAAUAUACCUAAUUUUUGUUGAUGUAGAUGCUAUGUCAGCAAAUUUUGCUGACAAAGAUGCCACGGUACAAUAUGUUUUUUAGAAAACUAAGUAGUUGUUUUUAAAAAUAUUUUUUAGAAAAUUUAAACGUUUAUAAUUUUUAUUAUUUAGUCAAAUUAACAAAACUUAAUUAAAUAAUAAAUUUAAUCUUAUAUAAGAAAAAUAUUUGUUAUAAUGUUUUGAUCUUAUCACAAUGUCGUCCUUAUAAGAGUUAUAUUAAUGUUGUAAUGAUUCAAGUUUAAUGCUAAUGGUGCAGUCGUAUUACUCAUGAUUAAUCUUGGUUAUGUUGUUUACAUUUAAAGAAUUUAGAUUAAAAUUUCAUAAAUUAUCAAUCUCUUUAAAAAGGUUAUUCGAAUGAUAACACAAACAAGCUAAAACAUUUCUAUACAAAUACAUAACCAAGAUUAACAUAAAAGUAACUGAAGAUCAAAACAUUAUAACGAUACAAGAUAUGAGCACGUUGCAACGCAACGGGUUUUUGUUUGAUGUUUUAAUUUAAUAAAAACCAUAAAAUAAUAAAUCAUUUUAUUAUGGUAUUAUGAUUGUUUUUUGCAUAUGUUGCUUGAAAAUUAUUUUAUAAUGAAAAUGUUUUCACACAUAAAUUCAAGUUAAUAUUUGUAUUUUAUAAUCAUGGUGCAUAGAUGAGUUGUUAUAAACUUUAUACUAAGGAUUACAGAAAAUACUAUACAUAAACAUUUAAACUGAACACAAUCCGAAAUAAGAAAUGAAAAAGUAAAAAGAAAUGAAAGUUAAAUACACCAAUCGAAUCAAUGACAACAUUAUACAUGUUCUUAUGUACUCAUUUAUUGUUUUAUUAAAUAAUUAUUUAAAAUUACAUUUUGCUAGGAUUUAAAAAAGGAAAACAUUCUAUUUUAUAAAUCUCCUUUUUAUUUAAAAUUAAAAAAAUAUUAAAUACUCAUUUAUAAUUUUGUUUAAGAUUUUAGAAAAGGAAAAUUACUGUCAUAUAACCUAUUACUAUUAUUUUCUCUUUAUAAUUUCAUUAAAAAAAUAUUUCAAUCAAUUAACUAUUUUUAGUUAUUAAUAAAUAUUUUUAAAAUUUCUAUUUUCACAAUUCGUAUCAAUGCUAAUUUUACACUUCUUUUGUUAAUUAAUAACAUUUAGUAUCAUGUUCAUUAUCAAACACUCUCUUAAAAAUAAUAUCAAAUAAAUUUUUACAAUUCUUUUUUGGUUAGGACUAAAAAUAUUAUACGAAUUUAUUUUGUUUAGAAUUUCUUUUUAUAAAAAAAAUAAAACAACUAUCAAAUAUUCUUUUACAAUUUUGUAGGAUUUUAGAAAAGGAAAUUAAUAUUACAUAAUCUUUUACUAUUCUAUUUUGUCUAAGAUUUAAAAAAAAAAUUAAAAGUUUCAUUUUUCAAAAUUCGAUUUUUUUCAAUAGCAUUAAUAGUUAUACAAUUUUUUGUUGUAAAUUGAAUAAUUGUUACUAUCAUGUUUAUCAUUAAAUUUUUGAAGUAAAAAUUACUAUUAAAUACAAUUUUACAAUUGUCUCAAGGCACGAUUAAAAAAAACAAUUCUUAAUUGGUUAAGAUUAGAAAAAACUUUUCUUUUAGAAAUCUCAUUAUCUAAGAUUUUAGGAAAAGAAGAAGUUAUUUUUACAUCAUGGAAGUUUUUAUUGACACAUUCACAAUCUAAUUUUUUAAUUGACACAUACACAAAAAAAAAAUUCUCUCUAAACGAAGGCGAUGGCGAUGGCGAUUAUCUAGGGUUUGAUGCAGUUACGGGAUUGGGAUCCGGGGAUCUUUGGAUUAACAGGGGGUCGCCGUGAUCUCUAUCACUAUGAUAUGAGUGGGGCGAUGGGGACUAUCGAUGGAGAAUGGUGUCUGGUGGCAGUACACGAGGAUUACAUUGGAAAUCAUGGGACAAAGUAUGUGUCAGUAAGGAAGAUGGGGGACUAGGUUUCAAGGAUAUCACUGAUUUCAAUGCAGCUAUGCUUGGUAAGCAGCUGUGGAGGCUAAUAGAAAAGCCGAACACUUUAUUUUCUCGAGUUUCAAGGGUAGGUAUUAUAGGAAUGCCUCACCUUUGGAACCGAUUCGAUCAUACUCUCCGUCCUAUGGCUGGAGGAGUAUUGUAUCUGCUAGAUCUCUGGUAAGCAAAGGACUAAUCAAAAGGGUGGGGACAGGAUCUUCUAUAUCUGUAUGGAAUGAUCCUUGGAUCCCAACCACUCGCCCGAGACCAGCCAAUAAAAAUCAACAUAAUUUGUACCCCGACCUCACAGUGGAUUCUCUUAUUGAUUCCACUACGCGACAAUGGAAUUCGCAGGUUAUUCGGACUUUGGUAGACCCACAGGAUGCGAAAAUCAUAGAGAGUAUACCGCUGAGCAGAACCCAGAUGGUAGAUAGGGAAGGAUGGCAUUUUACAAAUAAUGGGAAAUUUACGCUUAAAUCAGGUUAUCAAGUAGAGAGGAUUUACCCGGAUAGGGAAAAAUUACCAGAAUUAAUUGGACCUACGGUUAAUAUGUUAAAGGCUUUUUGUUGGAAAAUAAGAUGCCCACCAAAAAUAAAACAUUUCCUUUGGCAAUUGGUUUCAGGGUGUGUCGCGGUUAAGAAGAAUUUACAGGCGCGAGGGAUCCAAGGAGAUAUAUGUUGUGCACGAUGUGGAGCGGAUGAGGAGUCAAUUAACCAUGUGUUUUUUGAGUGUCCUCCAGCAAUUCAGGUUUGGGCGCUAUCAAAGAUACCAACAAAUCCAUCUAUUUUCCCGAUAAAUUCCUUAUUUACAAAUAUGGAUCACCUUUUCUGGAGAGUUGCUCCACCGAUGGAGGAUCAUCACUUUGCUUGGAUAUUGUGGUACAUUUGGAAAGGAAGAAAUAAUAAGGUUUUUAGUAAUCUGGAGAUAGACCCUAGAGACACUCUUAAGCUGGCGGAAACGAAAUCCAUACUAUGGGCAAAGGCACAGAUUUUGAAGGACCAAACGGUGGGUACACAGGUUCAAGCAUCUUUGCCGCCAAUUUCUGGACGAUGGUGUUUUACAGAUGGUUCGUGGAAAGAGGGGGAUAGGCUCUCUGGUCAGGGCUGGUUCAGUACUUUAGAAGGUUUUGAAGGUUUAAUGGGAGCAAGGAAUGUAAGGGCUUCUUUAACUCCCUUGCACGCAGAGAUGGAGGCGCUUCUAUGGGCUAUGGAAUGUAUGAGGAAUCUACGUCAAUACCAGGUUACGUUUGCAACGGAUUGUUCUCAAUUGGUGAAGAUGGUUUCGGAACCAGAAGAGUGGCCAGCUUUUGCAAGUUAUCUGGAAGAUAUCAAGACUUUGAAAGAAAGUUUCACAAGAUCAGAGAUUAUACAUGUACCAAGAACGCAAAAUACAAAGGCGGAUAACCUAGCACGCAGUGUCAGGAAACAAACGUCUUUCGUCGUUCACAUGGAUCAACAUCUCCCGGCUUGGUUUACAGAGUCUAUUUGAGUCUGUAAUGUUGGUGACAAAAAAAAAAAAAAAAAUUGACAGAUACACAAUCAUAUCAGGUGAAAUGUUUGAAGUUAAUUUUGGUUUAUAUUUUUUAACAUAAAAUUAUUAAAAAGUAAAGUUAGUUAAUUAUAAGAAAAAUAAGAUUACUUUUACAUUUUUAUUUUAUUUAGACUUUUAAAAAGGAAAUUAAUUAUUUUAUUUUUAAUAAAAAAUUCUGUUUAAUUAUCUAUAUAUUUUGUCUUAUACAUAUAAACACAUAUUUAUCAUAUGCACACAUACUCAUGUACGUCAGUAACAUAAAAAUUAAAAGUUAUGCUAGCAUCAUAAGAUGUAAUAAAGAUAAUAGACCGCUGAAAUGUAUCAAGAAAUUAAAAGAAAAUACUCAGAUAAUACUUUUCAUGUAAAUACUAUUGUGUUUUGUAAAAAUAAUAUGUGGAACCUUAAACCUAAAUAUAAAUGUGAAAUAUUUGUAGCUAUUUUUUCUCAUAAGUUUUUUAACAUAUAAUUAUCUAUUAAAAAGGAAAGUUAUGUACUUAUAAGAAAAUAAUAAGAGUACUUUUACAAUUUUCUUUUAAUUAAGUUUUAAAAAAAGUAAUAUUAUUUAUUUUAAAGUUAUUUUUUCAUGUUAAUAAUGUAUUGUACUUGUAAGAUUUUACCAUUCUUUUUUGUUUAACAUUUUUUCUUAAAAGUUAAUGUUUAUAUUUUAUAAUUCUCUAUCUUUAGUAUAUUUUAAAACAAACAUUAUAAUGAAAAAAAAAAUUAAUAAUAAUAAUAAUAAUAAGACUCUUAAAUAAUAUUUAUAAUUAAUUUUUAAGAGAAUUUUAUUAUUAUUAUUUUAGUAUAUAUAUUUUUGAUUGUUAUAUAGUUGAACAUAUAUCACAAUAUAACUACCAUGUGUCACAAUCAUGUUAAUUAGAUAUUUUGAAAAACCAAGCUCAAUAUAAUCUUUUAUAAUUAUUUUUUCGUUAAAAGCUUAGAAAAGAAAAUUUAUAUUAAGUAAAUUGUUUUCAAAUCUAUUUUCUAGGAUUUUGAAAAAGGAAAAUUUCUAAAAAUAUUACUACUAAAUAUUUUUAAAAAUCAAUUUUACUAUUAAAUAAAUUUUAAAAGUAGCCUUUUUAAAAUUUGUUUUUAUUAUCUUAUUAUCUAUAUUUUUAAUAUUUUAUAUAUUUUAACACAUGUCACAAUAUUAGAAAGGAAAUUAUUAUCAAAUAAUCUUUUGCAAUUAUCUUUUGAUUAGGAUUUUAAAAAAGGAAAAUUAUUAUUAAAUAAUAUAUUUAAUAAGAUUUUUUAAUAAAAUUUAUUUUUGUUGAUAUCUUAGUAUAUAUAUUUUUAAUUAUGAGAUAGAUUAACACAUAUGACAAUCUUAAAUAUAUAAUUGCUAUGUGUCGUGAUCAUGUUAAUUAGGAAUUUGAAGAACAAAGUUUUAUAUAAUAAGAUAUCUAUUAUAUAAGUUUAAAAUUCUAUUAUUUAAUUAACUUUUGUUAAUUUUACUAAAUAAUAAAAAUUUACAAAUGUUUAAAUUUUCUAAAAAAUAUUUUUAUAAAAUAACUAUUUUGAUUUAUUUUAGUUUUUAAGAAAAUAUCCUACAAUGGCAUUCAUCUACGUCAUCAAAAUUAGAUGAUGUGUCAGCUGAUGUGGCGACUAAUGUAUGAUUUUGCCAAAAAAAAAAGUAAACAAAAAGUAUGUUACUUAAAAAUUUUGAAAGUACUUAUAUGUUUUUGCGCGGUUAUAUAAGCUAGGUAUCAAUUGAACAUAUAGCGAUAUGUUAAGUAAGAAUUCGUUUUCCCGAAGUUGUACAUCAAACUAUUUUGUUUUCUUAAUCCUUAAACUUACUAGCUAUUUGUUAGAGUUUCUUGUAAAGAAUAUGUGCAACAAUCAAGGAAACUUACGGUUAUAAAUGUGCAGUUUAAUUGGUAUCCGAUAUGAGAAUGAAUCUUUGAGAUUACAUCUCCGUUGGAGAGAGAUAACUACCAGUGAUAGGCAAAAUAUAUAGACUUCAAAUGUUAAAAUAUAUUUCUGUUUAAUAAGCGUCUGAAACACUACAGAGAGCCUAGUGAAAUUUUCUAUUGGAACAGUUCAAGAAUUUGCAGGAAUUAAAGAUGGCCUUGCGAUUAAGAUGGCUUCUUAGCGACCAUCUACUUUGCUUCCAUAACAUUGGUUAGAUAGUCCAGAGAUUGCACAUUCAGGCAAUAGGACAUACUAGAGAAACCACCAACACUCCUUUCAAAUCAAACCGAACCGAACCUGAGCCAACAAUAGCUGCGUACUCUCUCGACAAGUCAACUGUAUAAAAAGAAGUUUGUACUUUUGGCUGGUACAGUUCACCCAUGCAAUUCUUGAAGAAAGUCUUGAUGGAGUCUCUUAUGAGUCCCCUUUUUUAGGAAUGGUGGUGGUCAUUGUUCUAGCUAUUGCUAAAAGGUGCGAGUGUGUGAGUAGAUAAAAAAAGUUGUUUCGCGUGUAUUGUUCACCGAACAAGUUAUGGGGAUUGUCGGACUAAAUAAGAACUUUGAAUCAAAAUGACUAAAAUAAUACAAGUCUCAGCGGGCAGCAAUGACUAAAUUGAUUUCAACUCCACGAGAUUUCCAGACGCAGCCAUUUGCAAAUGAUUCAUAUGAAAUUAUCCAAAAGUAAAUGAUAAAAUAAUUCCAGUGUUACACACAAAAGCCUUAGGUUUCCAUUGGAGCCACGUCUUGGUCACCUGUACCAUCACCACCCUCUUCUGCGGGUGCAGCAGGUUCGGCCUCACCUUCUCCUUCCUCUUCAUCUGCAACUUUCUCAAACGUAUCGAUCACAUUCUGUAUCGUUUCCUGGUCCAAGAAGUGGAAUGGUUCACCAACACCUAGAACAGAUACGGUGCACAGAGAACUCUUGAGUGUUUCUCCCUGCAGUGUCUCCCUAACAGCCAAAAUCGCAUCUUUGAUCAGAUCUUCUCUUGAGGAAUCCGCAAAGCUCUCAAACCUGCGUUCCAGGUAGGUCUUUGCAGCUUGAGAACGGGACCCGAUAGCAAAAGCUUGAUACUCGAAGUAGUUUCCGCUGGGGCAGUUGUAGUAAAGGUGGGCUCCAGACUCAUCCAGUCCACCUACCAACAAACCCACGCCAUAGGGUCGUUUCCAUGAUCUUUGGGUGCAGACCUGCGAACAAAAGAAAACAAAAAUAUUACUUCUUUUUUUUGAAGCCUUAGUAAAGAUGAAGAUAACGAUACCAAAGUAACUUGAUAUGAACCACUGUAGCAAAAUAUCUCAUAAAAGAUGAGAAAACCAACUGAUAAAAAUAUGAGAAUGAGGAAUAUAAGACCCAUGUAGCAGACGCUUAAAGGCAACAACCUUCUUCUCUGUCUCAUCUGGGGUCGAAGCCUACAAAUUUGCAUACUUUUUUACUGGGAAGUGGGAAACAGGCUGAUAAGCUGUUAUUACCAGUUACAAAGAAACUAUUACCUAAGCCAACUGCACCAAGAAGCUAUAAGAUACCCAAAGAACAAAACAGAAACCAAUUCAGUUUGCUUCUAAAGGUCCCAAUUUACCUUUUCAAUUACUAAACAUAGAAGCAAACAAGACCAAUAAAAAUAAAUAAAAAUAAGAGAGAUUCUCUCACCUCUUCAACUGAUAUGUAGCAAAACAAAAAUCAUUUAUAUGCAGUUCUGAACAAAACAGCUCAUACAAGUUAAGUGAAAUGUAUGUAGCACAUAAGAAUAGGCAAGUUGUAGAACAACAUCAAGCUGGAGUAGUGACUCAGCUGUGACUAACCUGAGCCUUAUCAGCAAGAUGAACAACGAGACGACCAACGGGAAGUGGAGACUCAUAUGUGAAGGAGUGAUUGAUAGCUUCCGAUCUCAUAUAACGGGAGAGAACACGUCCAUCCGCAGUGAGUCCAGCGAUUGCGACGCCUAUGUGGUCAUCCACUUUGAAGAUCUUCUUCUGAUGCGACGAGAGCUCAGAUUGGGCUUUGUUGACGCACGCCAGGACUACAUGGGAGCGAGAUCUGAGUCCAAUUGCGGCUGAGCCUUGCUUCACUGCUUCCAUGGCGUAUUCUACUUGGAACAGACGACCUGUUGGGCUCCAUGUCGUCACGUCUGUGUCGUACUGAUUCCUGAACAUCUUCUUCUUCUUCUUCUUCUUCGUCAGAAGCUUUUCUUUUCCUUCAAGCCAUGGUUCUUCUUUCUCUUUGAUGGAACUGAACAAAUGGGCCUUAUAUUACUUGAAUGGGCUUAUACGUUAUGUUGGGCUAUAGUAUUGGCGUCACGCUGUGAUUUAAGGAUAUUGCCUAAACCAGAUAAUAACCUACUAGAAUCGGUUACUUAUGAAACUUUAUCAAACCAAGGGAAAUUUUAAAAUAACAACUUUUGAAUAUCCCCAUAUAUAUUAAAUGAAAAGUCAAUUUAGUGAUUUUUGGUGAUGUAUCGCUCAUAGGUAAAGUUUCAAGAAAUUUUUAUAAUUUGAUUUAAUUUUUAUUUAUUUAGUUUAGAUCUAAAAAUUUAAGGUAAAUCUAAAAUCAUUUAACAUCACUUGCCAUAUAAUCUAAAGAAUAUUACAAAUAAAAAUUUAUGAAAACUAAUUCUCGAAAUUAUAGAAAGAUUAAUAAUGUUUUAUUUAUUACUUUUAAUAUUCAUAAACUAUAAAAUAUAAUGAACGAAAAUUUAUAUAAGAUAAUUAUAAUAGUUUUAUACUCUACUUGAUGAACUGUAUUUGAAUAUAAUUGUAUAAUAAAUACUUUAAAUAUUACAAAAUCCAAAAAUGUUUAUUAAUAUUAUUUUUAAAUUAUUUAUCGUUAUUUAAAGAAUAAAUUUAUCAGAAUUUUAAAAUAAUUUAUAAAAUGUUAUAAAUUAUUUAUAAAAAAUAUAAACCUACUAUAUAUUGAUUGAGAAGUCACAUAAGUGAUUUUUUAUUAUGUGUCGAUCAUAAAUGAACUCUUCAAAUUGUUAUAAUUUGAUUGGCCGAUGAUUUUUAAUUUUAUUUAUUAUAAUAAUAUCUAAAAGGAAAGGAUAAUUCAAUUACCACUUUCUAAAAUAAUAUACAUAAUUUUAGAAAUAAUUAUUUAUGGUAACUAAUUGUUGAGACUAUGAAAGAGUAAUAAUGUGAUCAAUUUUUAUAUAUAUUUAUAAAUUACAUAAAAUAAGAAACAAAAAUGUUUAUUUGAAUUGAUAUAAUGAUUUUAUUCGUAUAGAAAACUUUAUAUUUGUAUAUAAAGUAUCAUAAUAACUAUUAAUGUCUAAUAAAUUUCAUGCAUGCUUUAUAAAUCAUUUAUUAAAUUAUAAAUAAAUUUAUAAAAUUAAUUAUAUUGUAGACAUGGAUCUUUAAAAUGUAAUUUACAUUGAUGUUUUAAUCAAUUGUAACGUCUAUAAUAACUUACCUUAAUUUUCUAUUACUUGCGCAAGUUGUAGGAAUGACAAUUGGUACCACCCGCCCCGCCGUAGCCCACCCCGCCGUGGUCUCUCUCUCCGGCGGUUCUUUGCGGGUUAGCCCGCCACAACCCGCGGUCUCAAUCCUUAAGCCCAAACCCCCCCCCCCCCCCGCUAACAUCUUAAGCCUUUUGCGGGCAGCCCGCGGGUCGUCAAAUAUUAGUGGCAAACGGUACCACCCGCCCCGCUCCGCCGUGGCCCGCCCCGCCGGUAGUCUAAGUCUCUCUCUCCGGUGGUCCUUUGCGGCACUGCUGUCUGCUGAUAGUAAAUAAAAAUCAAGAUUAGUCCAACAUAGUUAAAUAUAAACUUCACCAAAAGCACCUAAGAAAAAACGGCAUUAGAUUUUAUAUCAAGUCAUUACCAACAUUAUGUUGGCAACACAAUAAGUCAAUUAUUAGAUUUCAUCGUAUACAUAUUGUAUCAAGUCAAUACCAAGUGUUUUACUCGUACCAUAUGACUCGUAUGUAGGACUGAUACCAAUGCAUCAUUUAAGUGAUAGUGAUAUUGUUUGCAAAAGUACAUUACUAAAAGCACAGACAAACACUGCAAAUUUUUCAAGUCUUAACCAAAUUUAAGUUAAAAAAAAAACACCAGAUCCAAACGAUGAAUCCCAAACAUAAUAAAAACCCAAAUCCAAACAGUCAUUCUAAAUGUAGAUAAAAGCAAAACACCAAAUCAAAAUAAAAUUAAAUUAAACUUCUUCUUCUUCAUCUUCAUCUUCACCAUUGACAAUGGAUUCAAAUGAUGGUAGCUUCUCUUCUUCAUCAUGAAUUUCAUCUUUAGAAAAUAUCAAUAGUUGAAGUUAGUAAAUAUUAAUAGUCAUGGUACUCAAAAUUAUAUGAUAAUGAGAAUAUUUUACCAUGUUAAUAAGCUUCAUAUCCCUUUAGCCAGUUCCUAGUACACAUCAGAGCUUGCACAUUCUUCGGGAGUAGACGGCUCCUGUAUUUAUUAAGGACUCGCGAUCCAAUGCUAAAGGAAGACUCUGAAGCCACUGUUGUAAUAGGAAUACUCAGUAAAUCACAAGCCACUGCUGACAAAUCGCCAUACCUAUGAGUAUUAUCUUUCCACCACUUGAGAAUGUCCAUGCUCCGGAAACUAUUAAAGUCCAAGGGUGGUUCAUCAAGAUAAGCUUCUAGAGGUGUUUUUCCACUCACAACACCGCUGACUUUGCGAAACGCAAAGAAAUCCUAUGAAGGUUUAAAAAAAGAUCAAAAACUAUUUAAAAAAAAUAAAUAAACAGAAUGUUAAAAAAAAUCGAAACACUCACAUUGUAGUUCUCAAACAUACCCAUUGACCCUUCAGCACAAAACAUUUUGUGGAACCGUCUCACGUGGCUCUGUAGAAGGUGAGUUAGUCUUUAGAUUUUUUGUCGUAAGACUCAAACAGAGUACUAAGCUUAUCACGCAAGUUUCUCAACUUUGCAUCACAUGUACUCAUGUCAAGCUUCCCUAAACAACAAUCCACAAUAGAAAGCUUAAAACGUGGAUCAAAGACGACUGCCAUCGCGAAAACACAACUGACUUCUUCCCAAUAUUUAUCGAACUUCUCUUUCAUCGGUGGCACCAUCUCUCUGACAACCUCAUCUUGGCUUUCUUCAUUAAUUCGAAGCCAAUCAUGGAUCAACCAAACCUGAUAGAAAUACAAGUUUGAAGUCGGGUAAUUGGAACCAGACAUCAAACUUGUAAUCACAGCGAAAGGUCCCAAAAAACAGCAAAUAUUCUCAGCUCUUGUCCAUUCCUCAGCUGUAGGCGCCAUUUUAUAACAUCUCCUAUCAAAAGUCUCCAACUUAAGAAACGCUUUGCGGAACUUGAUGGCUUUUUCAAGCAUAUAGAAAGUCGAAUUUCAUCUUGUCUGCACAUCCAGUAUCAGACCCGCAUUUUCCUUUAUACCAGCAGCAACCACACAUUUAUCAAACAAUACUUCACGCGCUUCCGAUGCUCAUACAUACUUAAUACUCUCUCUUACUUUGUGCAAAGAACCUCCAAUAACCUUCAAACCAUCUUGCACUUUGAGGUAAGUAUGUGAGCUGCACAUCUGACAUGGAAAAAUUCUCCACCACACAACAAGUCAUCGUUCAACAUCAGCUGCGAUUUCACAAUAUCUUGCAUCGAGUCGUUGCUUGUAGCAUUAUGGAAUGUGAUCGAGAACACCUUUUUUUCUAUUCCCCACUCUUUCAGUGAUUCAAGGAGCUGCAUCGCAACAUUCAUACCCGUAUGUGGUGGUGAUAAAGCAAAAAACGUCAAGAUCUUGCUGUUCGACUUCCAAUUUCGAUCAAUGUAAUGAGCCGUCACACAUAUAUAACCCUCACGUUUUAGCGAUGACCACAAAUCAGACGUCAAGGAAACUCUUCCAGGAAGACUCGCCAAUUCCCUCAUCAGUGUAUCUCUGUCGCUUUCAAACAACCGGAACACAUCUGCUUUCGCCGUGUUUCGACAAAUGGUUUGGACAUCAGCAUUCAAAUAACUCCAAGUGUCUCUCACUUUUUCAUACUCCACAUACGAAAAUGGGAGUAUCAACUUCAUCAUCAUCUACUUCGAUCAGCCUUCGUUUCCGUUCUUGCUUCUUUCCAUCAUCACAAAAAGCAUCAGUAGUAGCGUUAAGAGCUGCUAUCAGUCCUUGUGUGUCCAAGUCACAGGUAUCGAAUAGCUUGAAAUUAGGAUCCAUAGCCUCUUGCUUUCUCAAGUUUUUUUUGUGUUUAUGUUUUCCUCACAAAGUCACGAUGAGUCGUGAGACGGUGAGAGAAUAGGUAUCGUGUGUUUAGGUUUAUUUGUUAGGGUUUUUAAUUUUGUAAAUAUUUUAAAUUUAAUUUUUUUAAAAUUAAUUAUUUAUAAUUUACAGAAACUAACGACACACUAGAAGUAGGGUUUAAAACUAAAACGACACAGAUAACAUAGUGUAUAAACGAGUUACUAAGCUGGAAUCAAUGCACAAGUAUUAUUAUCAACGAUUAUCACAUCAGUUUUAUUAACAUGACUAAACAUCUAAUUCUACAAGCAACGGUCACCAGAAGCCUUCCAAUGUUACUAGAAGAUCCUCACUUCUCUGAUGCCAUAAGGAAAAAACUUGUAUGAGGAUUAGCUAGAGAUGAAUGCUUGUGUCGUACUGGCUCUUUAGAGCAUACUCGUUGUAGACAGAUGCAAAGGAUGGCACAGUAACCUAAAAGAUGCAAAGAUAAUGUGAAUGGAAUCAGUUACAUACUAAAUUUGCAAGGAAAGUAAAUGGAAGCACCUAAAACGUGUAACUUACAAAGUUAAAGGUACAUAACUACAGAUGUAUGCACCCAUAGCAACUGGAACAGCCAUGGUAGUAGCACCUUCAGGAAGAGAACGCAGCUGAUUUACACUAAUCCCUAUCGGCAACAGAGCAAGUGCUUCCCACAACAACAGAAAGUCAAAAAAAAAAAAAACUUAGUUCCAAUAAGGUCAAACAUACAGAACAAGUGAACACAAGAGAAAAUAAACCAAUCAAGUUAUUGAGUUUCAGUCUUUGGGAUCACUUGGACGGCUGUUGUAUGUAAUAAUCUCUGAUACCAUUAAAAAUCACACAUACAGAACAAGUGAACACAAGAGAAAAUAAACGGCACAACAUCAAACGCUUGGAGGCUUCUCGUACUAAAACGAUCAAGUUUCAAACAAAACAAUCAAGUUAUAGAACUCUGGAUCCGAAAAUUUCAUAGUCAAGGAUAUAAAAGCUCAGGAGUGAAUAUACCAUUGGUAGUCAAUAGCAGAAUCUGAACGAACAGGCGUGUACUCUAAGAUUCAAGCUUGCAUACAAAAGUCAAAACCAUCCAUCAUGGAUCUUGGGAUCACUAUUGAUACUUCAAAAAUAAGAAACAAAUAUCUAUGAAUUAGAACAACUGCCACUUAUUCAGAAUAAAAUUAAGAGCUCAGAAACAAAUUCUUCUAUGAGAUCAAGCCAGAGUUCUAUGCAUGCAGAGACUAACCUUAAAUGGUGUCUACUCAGAGGAAGAAAUCGACACCUGUUUAACCGAGAAAGAGAAGCUACGGCCUAUGGUGGUUGAUCGACGAAUAAGAGAAGCUCCGGCGGUGGCUGGAGGAAGAAGAGAAGCUUCGGUGGUCGCAAGAGUCGUCUCCUCGUCGGUGAGAAGUCUGAAAGAUGAAAAUGAAGAAAUGCGGGCUUCCCACGUCCCGCUAAACCGCGUAGACCCAACCCGCUAUGGCCCAAACCCAAAAUUACCCAGCCCGAAAGGCCCGCACUUUAUCGGGCCUAAGCACAAACCCGUCCUGCAUGGGACUUUUACGGGCCAGGCCCGCGGAUCGCGGUCCAAUUGCCAUCCCUAGCAAGUUGCUAGUAUUUAUUGCAUUGUUUAAAUGUAAUUUACCUUAUUGUUUUUAAUAAUUUACCUAAGUAACCUUAAUGUUUAUAAUUUUUUGCCCGUUUAUUUAUAACUUUACCAUUUUUUUAAAUUCCCCUAUUACUUGCGCAAGUUGAUAAUAGUUAAUGCAUUAUAAUUUGUUAGCUCGCUUUUAAUAAUUUACCCUUUUUGAAUAUGGAUUACUUGUGCCAAGUUGGUAUUGUGUUUAUUGCAUUUCACCUUAUGGUAAUAUAAUUUUAGUUUCUUUCUUGAUAAAAAUUAUUUCAAAAACGUCAUUUAUUAUGUAAAAUAUUCCCUAAUAAAUGUCUAAUGUGGAAGGUAGACUAUAUAUAUAACUGGAACCCCAAACGUCUAACGUCUUACAAUACAACUAUUCUCUUUUCCUAACAAUUUUUAAAAACCCGUCUAAAGAUACAUGGCAUAUUGAAGUACGGAUUUUUUCGCUUGUGGAGAAAUUAUAACAAAGAAUACGACAACACCAUCGAAAUGGUAUUUGUUUUUGGUACUAAAUUUCUCAAAACUCAUAAUCGUCAUAUAUUAUAUUUACUUUACAAUGAACAAUAUUUUUUAUAGUGUUUCAUAACUACUUAUUCUGCUUUCCGUCAACCCUUAUAAUUUAUUUGUCUAACUCAUAACUUUCAUAUAUUCGAUCAGGGAUAAAAUUUCAUGCUUCAGUUUGUGAACAGCUCAUCAAAAAAUUUGAAGGUUGUCCAGUUAUUCAAAGUGUACGAUGCUAUUGGUGAUUAUCAGACAAGCUCUCAUCCGUACAAAAUUGGGUUCUUCCACGCGACUUUUGUUGCAAAACCAAAUAAUUUUCCAAGUGAAGUUCCUGAGAAGUAUUUGGCUGAUUACACUGAAAUUCCUGGUGGAAAAGCUGAUAAAAGUCGUUUGGUUGGUAAGUAAUUUUCAACUGGGAAUUGUUCAUGCACUAAUAAUUUAUAUAUGAUUUUAAGGCUAUUAAUCUGCUUAUUAAAUAACUUUAAUAUUAUACCUACUUAAUUGAAUUUGUAAAGUUUAGAUAUUCUUUUGGUUUUGUAUUAUUUGUGUUAAUUUAAUUAUUUUUAUUUUGGAAUGUAGAUGUUAUUGGUCAAAUAGUUAACUUCGGUUCUAUUGAAAACAAAAUGAUAAAAGGAAAAGAUAACAUGAGGCUCUUGAUUGAGUUACGUGACCAAAAGUAAGCUUAAGUACUUUACCUUUUCUUAUUUGCUACCUAAAUAUGUAUAUUAUAUUUAUUAACUUAAGUUUAUAUUAUACAGUAAUGUGAAGAUGAUGUGUACUAUGUAGGGUCGUUAUGCUAAACAAGUAUACGAUUAUAGUAUGAGUAACAUGCCCACAAUGAUUAUUUGUGUUAGCAUCGACUCUCUCACUCUUCUGGAUCCAGGUUUUCUCACACAGUGGGCAAUGGAUUAUCGUGGCUUCUCCAUCAAGAAAGUUGUAUAAGAUUUCAUCUCGGUUUCGUUUUGACACUCUAUUUGGCCUUUAUUUGUUUUUUGAACUUUUGAUAUCAAGGUUGGAUCUGUGUUUACUAGUUCUUUGGCUGGUUGAUUUGUCCGAUCUCUCGAUAUCAGGCCCGGAUCUCAUAUAACGAGCCCUUUGGCUGGUGUGUAUUUUGGUUUUACGUUGGAUAUGUGUUUCUCUGAUGUGUAAUAUGGGAACCUCUCAGAGGUUUUCAUCUGCUCCUAUGACAGAUUUGAAGGGAAAAGGGAUCUUGUAUGAAGAAGACGACGAUCCUAUUCAGUUGGAAGAGGAGGAGGAUUCUCAAUUCGGGAGUUCCAUAUGUCACCGAUUGGUAAAAUCUUAAACCCGAAGAAACAAGAUGUUGAGAAGCUGAUCAUAUCUAUGCCGACCCAAUGGGGAGUACAAGACAGAGUUAUGGCCAAUGAUCUUGGUAAUAGGAAGUUCUUGUUCAACUUUUCAUCAGAAGAGGAUAUACAGGAUGUACUUAGUCAAGGGCCAUUUCACUAUAACUUCUUUAUGUUUGUGAUGGUCUGAUCGGAGCCCAUUGUUCAUGAUGAGUAUUCCUGGAUCAUUCCUUUCUGGGUGGAGAUCAUAGGAAUACCGCUCCAUCUCUGGACAGUGAAGAACUUAAAGAAUAUUGGGAAGAAGCUCGGACACGUUGACACGAUUGAACUGUCAGCGGGUCGCUUACUGGUGGAGGCUGACACAAGGAAGUCGUUAGUCUUUAACAAGAAGGUACAAUCUCCACGAGGUGAUGAGGUUACUAUUCAGUUCAAAUAUGAGAAGCUCUUCAAGCAUUGCUCAUACUGUGGUUUCCUAUCUCACGAAGCCACACACUGUCCUAAGAAAAUGGAGGAACAGAGGCUACAGGCUAAGGAGGCUGGGGUGUUCUCGCAGUUCAUCUCCCUUUUGAGCCAAAUACACGCCAAUCUUUGUUGGCUGAUAGAACAGAGCGUGAUCGUUAUCAAUAUGACAAAUGUCACACUUCGUGAUAAGGGUGAGCCUCGUGCUAUUAAUUUCUCUCAUAUGGAGAAAGAAAACUACAUGGAUGAUAUGGAAAAUGGCCAGGUGAUAGGCGCUUUACAGGACAUGGAUAUUGGGAAUCAGAUGGCUUAGUGUUGCGGCAACAUGAUGCAUCUAGGGAUGCUGAGGUGUUGGAUGAGGCAGCGGAUGAUCUAAUUGGUGAGGAUUUAGAAGACAUGGAGGACGGCGAUGAAUCUCAUCACGUGGGGUCACGUUCUCUCAAUCCAGCUGAGGCUAGAACCAAACCUUCAUACAAGGGGAGUUCACGGCAUGUAGUUACACGUGGUAUGCCAAUUAGAAAAACAGAGUUCCUUCGUCGAGGUUCUCCAAGGAAUCAUGGUGUCUCUUCUUCGAGACACACAAAUCGUCAUAAGCACAGUUGUCACAACAGUUCAAAGAAAGGGAGAUCAAGUUCACAUAAGGCUAAUGAGUUAGAGGGGUCCAAACCCCCCCCCCCCCCCCCCCCAAAUUAUCCAUGAAGACAAUCAGUUGGAACUGUCGAGGGAUUGGAAACGACCUCACAGUUCGACGCUUUACGCAGAUGUGUCAGAAGCAUCGCCCAGGAUUUGUGUUUCUUUCUGAGACGAAGCUGAGUCUUACACAUGAAGGGGUUCUAGAACCGAGUAUCAUGAGCCUUCAAAGCCGUGUGUGGAAGAUAAAGGCCCCGAGUAAGAUGAAACAUUUCUUGUGGCAGGCUAUCUCGGACUAUGUGGCGACGGAAGAGAGGCUCACUUUAGACAAUCGGGCACCGAUAGGAGUUGUCCUAGAUGUGCUAGUCCAGUGGAGUCGAUUAAUCAUCUUCUUUUUGAAUGCCCGUAGGCCCUAGCCCUGCAGGUUUGGGCUUAUCGGACUAUCCUUCCCUUCCGGGUUACUUCCCAAGAACAUCUAUAUACUAAAACAUGAACUUUAUGUUUUGGAAGAGAAAAGAGGUGGUUCCACUGAGACCACAAUUCGAUAACUUCCCAUGGAUCUAUUGGUACAUUUGGAAGGCGAGGAGCGAUAAACUCUUUAAUGGGAAAGUCGUAUCCAUGAUUGACACUCUUCAACAUGCAUCUCCUGAGGCAGAAUAUUGGAGGAAGCUAACGAAAAGGAAGAAGCAAACGAGGAUCAUGACGACCCUCCUACCAUAGAGGUUGAGACAAUGCCUCCUUGGAUACACUGAAUCCCUACAUGUCAAAUUAAUGCGUCAUGGAAGAUAAUGGCAGUGUCAGUGGCUUAGGAUGGAGUCUUAAGGAUCAAAUGGGUUUUGAAUAUUUCGGAUUACGGGCAUGCAACAGGAGCCUCUCAGGUUUGAAUGCUGAGAUGGAAGGUUUACUUUGGGCAGUUUCAUGUAUGAGAGACAGAAGGAUAACCUCAAUACGGUUCGAGACAGACUGCUCGGACCUAGUGGACAUGACUACAAACCCAGUGGAUUACCCUUAAUUCGCGACAGAGAUCGAGGUGUUCCAGAGAUUACAGGAGGAUUUCGAGGAUGUGAGCAUGUCUCAUAUUCCUCGGAGUUGAAAUGGUCGGCAGAUGCGUUAGCAAAAGAAGCAAAGACCAGAGGCUAUAUUUUUACCAUAUAGAUCAGACCUGGCAAGACAAAAGUGUUCAUAGGAGAAUCGGUUCGUUUGACCACCACUUGAUCUAGCAUAGCAUAGAUAAACAGCUGACAAAAAAAAAAACUCAAGUCUGAUACAAUAAUGCACAGUCGCUGGUGACACUGGAAACUUCAUUCAUAUAUGACAACGAGAAGGUUGACAAAUAGUACGUACAAUAGUCAAUAGAGACGGGUAUGGUACAUGAUGCUAUUAUAAGAAGCAGUUAGAUCAUGAUCAUGUAUGAACAUGUUAGGUACUAGCAAUAUCUAUUAGCUCAGAGCAACCUGUGUUGCUUACAAGCUAAUAAAAUCUUAAGUUCUGCUUUCAUUGACAUUUGUUUUUUUUUCCCUCGAUGCUUCAUGUUUGUUGUCAUUUGGAUAAUACUUUCUACAUUUUUUCAACUUUCUUUGCAUUUAAAAAAUACGAGAGUUAUGAGUUUAUGAUCAAUAGAGAUAGCUGGAAAAUCAUCUUUAGUGGCAAAUAUACAUUUGAAUUAUAUAUAUGUUGGUUUAGUCACUCUAGAUAGGAAUUGGGACUGACCAUCAUUUCAAAUUAUCCCUCACCAAGUUAUACAUACAAAAAAAAAAAAAUACAUUCGAAGGAGAGACCUUGGAAUACAAUAAGUGUAAUGCGGUCAAAUGAGUAUAAGAAAAAUGAGAUGAAGACAAUUGAACAUCAAAAUAGGAGAAAUGGUGAAUCAUGCUCGAGCCUUAGCCCUGUGUCUAUUUUUUUUAAUUGUACCAAUCAAAUGUUGUACAUCAAAGAUUAGACAGAUUCUAAUAUUUUUUUGAUCGACAUAUAUUUCCAAUCUAAACAACCAUUAUAUGCUUAAUUUUAGUUUUGCAAGGAAAGAAACCAGUUUUUAUCAGUACAAAAUUGAGUAUCAAUAAUACAUUACAAAUUUACAAUUGAUGGUAAAAACAAAUUUAGCUAAAUCCAAACUUAAUAUAUGUAUUACUCCAACAAAAUAAUACAAUCAAACACAUGCAAAACAAGAAAAUUCAGAAACCGGCACCAAGCUACGCAAUGGCGGCAAGAUCACCACCUAUUAUUGUUCACUUACGUUUUCUUAUGAAUUUGGCUUACAGGUCCAACGUCAAUCUAACUAGUAAAAUUUUGUCUUUAUGGGAAAAAACUUCGCUACAUUUUUGACUAAUUAAGAUCCAACAACCACUUACAUUUACCGUAUGCAAUUUUAAUACAAGUUACGGAUAAUUAAAAAUUAUAAAGAAAAAAUACAAAUAUCUAUCAAAUUUUUGAGUAUGAACAUUGUUUUAAAAUUAAUACAACAUCAAAUAAACUCAACCAUGUAAACUACUCUACUUACACAACACCAACCACACAAAAAGUAGCACAGUUUAUCACCCUACCUCAACCUAUUAAAAUACAAAUCCUGAAGAAUAAAUGUCAACAGCAAAACACCAACUUUACAAACACGACAUCACCUCCAGAGAUUUAGAUAGAGCAACAACUAUGUCCACGAUUCCGCGCUUGCACAGGGCUAUACCCUUAGUUUGUAUUAAAGGGACAUCACUAGUUCUUUAUUUGGUUAUGGCACUGCGGUGUUGUUAUGGUUCGUCACAGUUUUUUUUGGUAAAUUGUUUUCUUUUCUUUUCUGGUUUUUAUCGGUAGCGAAACAUCAUUUCUUAUAUGUUUCUCAUAUGAGGAGAUAUUGCGGACAUAGAGAAACAUAUAUUUUCGACGAAGAUGUUGUCUUUAUGUGUUAAACUAGGUGUUUUCUUGCACUGUGUACAUAAAUAAAAAAUUUAAAAUGAAACUAGUGGUAUGGGAUUAGAAAAUUAUAAUUCUUAAAUAAACUGUAUAAAAAUUUAAAAAUUGUUUUGGUAAUAAAAUUAAAAAAAUUAUAUAAUUAAAUUAAAUAAUAUUAUGAAAAUUGUAAAUUAUUAUUAUAUUUUUAUUUUUUACUAUUAUAUUAUAUGUUAUUAUAUUUAUGAUGAUUUGUAAGUUUUACUAUAUUUUUAAAAAGUUACCAAAAAUAUAAAUCAACAAUAAAUGUAAAUGUGCUUGUCAUAAUUAACUUCAAGUCAUCAAUAUCGUUAAUAUGCUAUGUUUUUUUCUUCAAAAUUAUUGUAAUGAUAACACGCAACAAAUCACUUUUUAAAUAAUUUCUAGAAGAUACUAUCAGAAAUGUAGGCAAACCAAAAACUGCUAGUAGAAAUAUAAAACAAUCCACUCGGAGAAUGUCAUUCUUCCAAACCCACCAACCCUUUUCAUUUAUUUUUAAUGUGAGCCACCAGAUCUUUACGAAAAUAAAAUCCACCAACUCUUUUUUUUUUCUUGUAAUCAAUCCACCAACUCUGAUGUCAAAAAAAAAAAGUCAAUCCACCAACUCUUUUUUUUUUUGUAAUCAUGUUAAUCCACCAACUCUCUUUGACGUGAGCAUCUAUGAAAUUUUUUUUUUCAUUAAGAACCUUAUCUUAAGAAAUUAUUUAUCCUAUUAAAGGAUUUCCCUCCCUAAACAAAAAAUGCCCACCUAUGAGACCUAUCCAUACUAUUUUUUUUUUCACAUUCGAGCUCUCACAUUAGAAGUUAGAGUAAUUAUUAUUAUUUAUACUUUUAAUGAAUAAAUAUAUAAAGUAGCCAUACUUUUUUGUUAAAAUAAAUGUUAAAUCCUGGUUUAUUAAAGACAAAGACCUAACUUCCGGAUGAGAGGUGCAGCCCACAACAUGCUCUCUUUUGGGUAUUUAUACGGACGUAUACGCAGCCGUGGUGAGCAGAACAAUGUGACUUAGUUUGCGCAUCACGAAAAUCAAACCCGAAAUGUGUUUGCAUCCAAAACUCAUUCACUACCACAAAGCCCACUCGUAAAGUAGCCAUACAAAUAAAAAAUAAUUUAAAAUUUCUUUGAUUAAAUAAAAAAUUAAAAUAAUAUAAAUAAAAAUUAUCAAAAUCUAAAUAUAUAUUUAAAAAUAACAAGAUAAUUCAUAAAUAUAUGUGUUGUUAUCCACAAAAUAUCCUUUCAUAAAAAGUUCAAAUUCAAAAACAAAACACGUAACUAAAUAUUAAUUAAGUAAAUUCUUAAUUUUACAUAAAUGAGAAGUAAAUAUUGAGUGAUUUCUAACAUUUUUUUAAUUAAUAAUGAAUAUAGCAUACAAAUAAAUUUUCAAAAAUCAUAAUAAGUAAAAAAAUGUAAAUGAAAGAUAAAUAAUAAUUUAUCAUUAUUGUCUUUAAUUAGUAAUACAUGUACUAAUAAAUAGUUAUAAAAUAUGCAUGUCCGCAUGUGCGGAAAUAUGCUUAGUAUAUAUUCAUAUACAUAUCUCAAACAUAAAUAUUUCUUUUAAAUUUAAGUAAACUAUUUAAUUUCUAUAAUAUUAUUUCAAAAGUUAAUUUCUGAUGUGAAGUGCUCACGUUAACUACAAUAAUACCUUUAAUGAUUAAGUUAUUAUUAUAAUUGCGGUUUUUGAUUUUUAUUUUUAUUAAUAAUUCUUUGUAACCACAUUAUUAUCAUAAAAGGAAUUUUAUAAUAAAAAGGAAAUAUCUUUAAAACUAAAAUAUACAAUAAUUUUAUAUAUUUAAAACAUGUGAUUUAAUAAAUUAUAUGUUUUCUUAUUAUUAUUUACAUGUUUUCUCAUACAUUUAAACCAUUUCCUUAUUUUUAGGUAUUUUCUUCAUAAAAAAGAAACUAAGUUAGUUAUGAAAAUAUACAAGCAUUUUUUUCUUAUUUACUAAUUUUAUAUUUUCUGGAAUUAAAUUCAUACGUUAGGAAAGAAAACUACAAAAAUUACGUUAGUUAAUUGUUUAACUAUACAAUUUCCUAUGUUAAUUGUUUAACUAUACAAUUUCCUAUGUUAUUUAAUAAAUUUUGAACAUUAUAGAUAUCGUCUAAUUAUGCACGUCUCUGAAAGAUUUGAUGAGUAAGUCAAGUUUCUCUCAUUUGAUAUUCUUGCCGAACAUCUUGUACUGAAAAGCUGCUUCUAAAUUAGCAGAGGAAGUUGCAGAGGUAUUAUAAUUAAAAUAUUUAACACAAAGAAAAUAAAAACUAAAAAUAUCACCCAAAUUUUUAUGUUUUAGUUUUUUCGUAAAUAUUAAUAUUCGUGCCCGAUCGUAGAUCACUUCACUUAUAAAUAAGUAUUCUAUUAUUGUAUUUAUAAUGGUUACAUUCUAUUAAAUGCAUGAUGUUACCUUUUUCGUUUUUCUAUAAAUGUAACCGUUUAUAAAUCCAUAAUUAUUUUAUUUGUACCUAUAAAUAAAAUAAAAUUUAUAAUGAAUUAAGUAUUUUGAUAAAUUAUUUAUAGACUCUUAAAAUUAUUUUAAAAUCUUAUAAAAUGAUUUGGCAAGCCUUUAUACAUGAUUUUAUAAAUCUUUAUAAGUAAUUUUUAUAAAUGAAUUUAUAAAUCUGCAUACACAUAUCACAAAUUAUGUAAAUAAUUUAUAAAUUAUGUAUGAUUUUGUUUAAAAAAAAAAGUAUGUAUAACAAUGUUCUGUAUAACAAUUUAAAGCCAUUGUAUUGGUUCCUAUAAUUUUCUUAAUAAGGUUGUAUAAUUAUAAUUAUUUGAUUUGUAAGAGGAAAUUGAUAAGGUUUUCUUAAUUAUUUGAUUUAUAAUUUUCUUAAUAAGGUUUUUUUUUCCAGCACCUGUGUAUUCAAAGGGAAGUAUUUCAGGAAUGCAUCACCAUAGAACUCAUUAGAUCGUACUCGUUAUUUUAUGGUUUGCGUAUUAUUGUCUCUUCUAGAUCUCUCGUUAUAAAAGGACUAAUCAAUAGGGUGGAAUCAUGAUCAUCUAUCUCAUUAUGAAAUGAUCCUUGGUUUCCAUCUACUCGCCCGAGACCAGCAAAUAAAAAUCAACAUAAUUUUUACCCGGAACUAACAGUGGAUUCUCUCAUUGAUGAAAUAUUGAGAACAUGGAAUUUAUAGGUUAUUCAGACUAUGGUAGACCCGCAAGAUGUGAAAAUUAUUGAAAGUAUUCCUUUAAGUUGAUUUCAUACAGAAGAUCGGAUGGAUGGUAUUUUACAAACAUUGUGAGAUACACGGUUAAAUCUGGAUAUCAAGUGAAGCAAGUGUAUCCGGAUAGAGAAAGAAUACCACCCGUGUAUGGUCCUUCGGUCACCCCACUGAAGGCUUUCUACUGGAAAGUAUAUCCACCUAAAAUGAAAUAUUUUUUUAUGACAACUGCUGAAAAGAUGCAUAUCGGUUAAGAAAAAUUUUAGGUCAAGAAGAAUGCAUAGGGAUAAAAUUUGCAACUCGUGUGGAGCUCCUGAGGAGUCCAUAAAUCAUAUUUUCUUGGAAUGUCCACCGGCGAUCUAAAUCUGGGCACUUACAUGAAUCCCAACGAAUCCAGAUAUAUUUUUCAUUCAAUCAUUGUUUACAAAUAUGAAUCAUUUAUUUGGAGAGUCUCCCCAUAAAUGGAAAGUCAUCACUUUGCAUGGAUUUUAUAGAAUAUAUGUAAAGGAAAAAAAUAAUAAAAUAUUUAGCAAUUUGGAUAUGGAUCCGAGAGAUAACUUCAAAUUGGCAGAAACAAAAUCGUUACUCUGGGCUGAAGCACAAAAUUCUCCUGUACAGGGAAUGAAAUAUACUCUAGGAAUAAAUUCUCCAUCGAUAGUACCGACUAUAUCAGGUAGAUGGUGUUCUACGGACGGAUCUGGGAAAAAUCAGGAUAUAUAUUCAGGGUAAGGAUGGUAUAGUACCUUAGAAGGUUUUGAUGGAUUAAUGGGAGCAAGGAAUACAAUAGCGAGUUAGUCGCCACUACAUUCAGAGAUAAGAUGCUCUCAUAUGGGCAAUAAAAUGCAUGAGGAAUCUUAGAAAGUUUUCGGUAAUAUUUGCAACAUAUUGUUUGCAGUUGGUGAAGAUGGUUUCGGAACCAGAAGUAUGGCUAGCCUCUACAAGUUAUUUGGAAGACAUAACAUUUUUGAAGAAAAGUUUCAACAGCUCAUAGAUCAUUCAUAUACCACAGACGCAAAACUCAAAGGCCGAUUGUCUCGCAAAAAAUGCAAAGAAACAACCGUUGUUUGUCGUUUAUAUGGAUGCAGAACUACCGGUGUGGUUUGCAGAAUCUACAUAAAUUUGUUUAUGUUGCUGAUAAAAAAAAAAAGAAUACACGUAAACAAAAAUUAUUUAAAAUUAUUUUUCUUGGGCUGUUUUUAUGGUCAAAGUCUCCUUAAAAAAAUUUCCAAUAACUUUUCACAAUAUCCAAAGGAGACGAAGCAAAACGGCAAUUCUCAAGUUUGAAAACCAAAAGGGAUAUCUACUCUACUUAUAUUAAGCGAUGUAAGACCUUACAAUUCAGAAAUUUGAGCCAGAAAAACCUUUCAUAAUGAAUUCUUCACCAUCAGUGAAAAUCGUCUCAAAAUGCUUCGUGAAACCCAAAACAAUCCUUGAAGAAUCAAAGAAACCAUACUAUCUAUCCCCAUGGGACUUCGCAAUGCUCUCUGUUCACUACAUCCAAAAAGGUCUUCUCUUUCAAAAGCCACUUCAUUCCACCGACACCCUGCUUGAUAAGUUAAGAGAGUCUCUCGCCAUCGCUCUCGUCCACUUCUACCCUCUCGCUGGUCGCCUCUCAGCACAAAUAAACGAAAACACCAAAUCAUACUCUGUUUUUGUGGAUUGUAGCAAUAGCCCUGGUGCUGGAUUCAUCUACGCCACCUCUGACUUAUGUCUAGCAGAUAUUGUUGGCCCUAAGUAUGUUCCUUUAAUUGUUCACUCUUUCUUUGACCACAACAGGGCCGUCAAUCAUGAUGGACUUACCGUGAGCCUCUUGACAGUCCAGGUUGAUAUUAAUUCCUUGUAGAAAGAACUUUUAGACUUUUUAUAUUUUUUAUUCAUAUAGAAAUCAAAUGAAUCCCUCCAAACAGUCCUUUCAUCGAAUACGGCUUUUCACAGAAUUUUAUAUGUAUCUAUGAAAUCGAGUAUGAAAUUCUGUUUAGUCACUUUUAAAUUGAGUAUCUGUUUCCCUCAUUUUCUUGCUAAGAUUAUAAAUUUUGUAUUUUACAUAUCCAUACGAUUGAGUUUUUGGGUUUCAGAAAUAGUGUAAAAAUAAGUGAUGGGUUUGCAUGUUUAUAGAAAGUAUACAAAUGUUUCAAAGAAAACAAUGCUUAUAUCUGUUUAUUAAUUUAUUUACUUAUCACUUCCAUGUGUUUCGAUACAGUUUUGUUUUGGUUCGGAAUCAAUCAAUUUCAUGAGUAUGUGACAGUAUUCAACGAAUUGAGAUUUUAGUCGAUUUAUUCCCUUCUUGUUUUCUUUGUUUAAUACUGUUCCAGUUCAGAUUUGACUAUAAAAAAGUAACUGAAAUUAAAGAAAAAUGUUGUUUUAAUCUAAUUAUUUUCUUUCUUUCGUUUUUUGGAUUGUUUCAGUUUGAUUUGAUCCGGUUAAACUAGAUUAGACAUUAACAAAUUGGUGGGGUUUGUGCACUUGGUUAGGUAACAGAAUUGGUAGAUGGAAUUUUCGUAGGACUGUCGAUAAACCACGCAAUGGGAGAUGGCACUUCAUUCUGGAACUUCUUCAGUGCCUGGUCCGAGAUAUUCCAAGCACAAGAGUGCAACAAAACCGAUGAAUUGUAUCUUAAGAAUCCACCAGUCUUAAAGCGUUAUAUCCCUCAAGGAUAUGGUCCCCUCUUCAGCCUUCCCUAUAGCCAUCCUGAUGAAUUUAUCAGAACUUACGAAUCCCCAAUUCUCAAGGAGAGAAUAUUCUGUUUCUCAUCAGAAACAAUCAGAUUGCUAAAGGCAAAGAUUAACCAGGUAUGUGGAACAACCUCCAUCUCAUCUUUUCAAUCGCUAACCGCGGUUAUAUGGAGAUGCAUAACUAGGGCUCGAAGAUUACCUAUCGAACGAGAAACAAGUUGUAGACUUGCUGCGGACAACAGGGGAAGGAUGUAUCCUCCUCUUCCCCGGGAUUACUUUGGAAAUUGUCUCUCUGCACUGAGGACGGCUGCAAAAGCAGGUGAGCUGUUGGAGAAUGAUCUUGGAUGGGCUGCUUUGAAAGUGCAUCAAGCUGUAGCUGAUCAUACGAGUGAAAAGGUAACUCAAAUGAUUGAUCAGUGGUUGAAGUCACCUUUUAUCUACCAUAUUGAUCGGCUAUUUGAACCAAUGAGCGUGAUGAUGGGAAGCUCACCGAGGUUUGACAAGUAUGGUUGUGAAUUUGGGAUGGGAAAAGCAAUGACACUUAGAAGUGGUUACGCGCAUAAGUUUGAUGGAAAAGUUUCGGCUUACCCGGGAAGAGAAGGAGGAGGAAGCAUAGAUCUGGAGGUAUGUCUUGUUCCACAGUUUAUGGAAGCUUUAGAAUCAGAUGAAGAGUUCAUGUCUCUUGUUUAUUUUUGAUAACUUAAGAAUUUCUUCCAAGUUUCUCAACAUUUGCAAACUGCUUAUCACCUUAUUAUCUCCUGUUAUUCACCUCAAUAUGUUUACCAUCAUUUUUAUUGAAGCUUAGUUAACCUUUUAAUUUUAUUUCGUUUACCAAUAAAUUGUUGAUGGAAUAACCAGCAAUCGAGUCUUUGCUUUAUUUACUUACAAAUGUAAAAUUCAUAUUUUACCAAAAAUAUAAUAUGUAAACUUCAUCUUUGAGAUAUGCAAAGUGCGGAAUAUAUUACACAAAAUCUACGCACAUGCCCAGAGGUAUUUCCAGUAUCAAGCAUCUACACGAACAUGGAUUAUCUAUUUUGGAGGAAAAACUCUAUUAUCGAGGCGGAACAAGACAGGGAUCCUUUUCCCUGGAUAAUUUGGUAUAUAUGGAAGGCUAGGAAUGAUAAACUGUUCAGGGGGAUAGAUAGAGAUCCUAUGGAGUUAGUUCGAUAUGCAGAGAGUGAAUAUCGAGUCUGGUUUGAUGCGAAUGAAGUGAUACAACCAGUGCCACAAGAAAACAAUAUGGUGAUCCCCCAAGCUUGGGCAAUAUAUGCCUGUUAGAUGGGUCUUGGACAGCAUCGGCCAACUUUAGUGGAUGUGGAUGGGUGUGGAUGGACAGCAGGGGGAAGGCUCAGCUUAUGGGGUUAAAAAAUAUUACUCGACGUGAAUCAGCCUUGCACUCGGAAGUUGAAGCACUACAGUGGACAAUGGAGAAUAUGCUCCAGCACUCAACAUGUCAGAGCUUUGGGACGGACUGUAAGGACCUGAUUGCUAUGCUAGAGGAACCUCAUGCUUGGCCAAGCUUUGCGACAGAAUUGGAAAAGAUCGAGACGCUAUGGAUAUGCUUCCCGGAGUUCAGCAUUACUCAUGUCCCACGAACGCAUAAUCAAUUUUCAGGUUUUUUUAACUAAGACUGCUAGAUCCUUCCAUAGGAAGUGAUGUGCCGCAGUCCAUGGAUCAUUACAUGGAACCAGCUCAGCAUGGAGUUCUGGACAUUCUGAACAUUUCAAACGAGGUUCAUGUUUUUCACCGUACCAGACUUGACUUGGAUCAUGCCAGACUUGACUUGGGUCGAGCCAGACUUAGCUUGGGUGGUGAAGAAACCAAAGACGGACAUGCAUUCUCAUCCGGCGGACCAUCCGGACAGUCCCGCAAGCGUCCUUAUCUUUACCCCGUGCAUCCAUCUGGUUCGGAUGAAUCAGGACAUCUUGACUGGUCUUCUCCAUUUUCCGUGCCUUGACUAGAUUUAGUCUUCUCCAUUUUUCGUGCCUUGACUAGAUCUAGUCAAAUUUAUAUUUUCUAUGCAUUGUUUUCCCACAUUUUCUUUAAUUGUCUUUGACUACAAAACAAUAUAAAUAUGUAAUCCCUUUGAUGAAUAAAAUCAGUUCAGUUUUGGUUGUUUAUUUCGUUUCUUCUCUGAGUGAGAGAGAGAGUUCUUAGCUAGUUCAUCGGUUUGAACCGGCUUGUUGAUUUGGUGGUCAGCCAAUUCAUCUUUGUGUGUUGUUUUGUGGUUAGCCAACACAUUCAUUCUUUCUUUGGUGGUUAGCCUUAGAUCGUGGGUAUAUCAAGAGUUAUUCCGUAUCUCUUGACAAUCCUUUCAAUCCAUCUCAGUUCCAGAAGUGCCGUUUGCCUUCUCGGAUCAUAUCCAACACCCAGCUAAAGUGAUCCUCCCUAUCUUAGGGUUCUUCAGGAAGUUACUUUUCAUUGGUUGUUCUAUUCCGGUCUGGUUACCCAGACCACCUCAAGCUUGAGUAAUAGAAUGACCGUUUGACGUCAAAAAAAAAAAAAAAAAAAAAAAAAAAUCUACGCACAUGCCCAUAUAAUCUGGCUUUUCUAACCACUUAAGACGUUUACGUGUGGACAAGUGGCCUCGCAGGUAGGACCAUCUUGAACAUAAAACUAAAAGCAUUUCCAGAAGAAAUUCUAUAACUUUAAAUAUAGAGUUUUUUUUUCUAAAAAGGAAUUUCAAAAUUUUAAAUUUGGAGUUUUGAGAAGUAAAAUUCUAUAUUAAAGUUUCACUACUCAAAAAUUCAACUUUAAAGUUUCAUAUUUUUAUUUGCAUUUUGGCCCUUACAAUUACACAUCAUAUUUAUGAUUCUUAUUUUGAAAUGCACUAAUUGAUCAUAUAUGGCGCAUUAUGGAAAUAAUUUUUUGAAAUAAUUUGGUAUUUUACUUGUAGUUUAAUAUUUAAUAAUGUAUAUCUAUUUAUAAUAUUAUAUACUAGUAUAAAAUUUUAUUAGUUAAUAUUGAUGUAAUAUUUAUAUAUAAGUGCUAGUUAUUUAUAAAAGUUUCAUAAUAAUUAUGAAAAAUAUCAGGACUAUAGUAUUAAAUAAAAAUAAAUUUGAAGUUAAAGUCGAAGUUUUGCUUUUGGAGAAGAACACUUUUAAACUUUAAAUAUAGAGUUUUGCAAACUUCAAAAUAGAGAAUCUUUUAGGAGGUGCUCUAAGGAAAAUGGUGUUUUAUGAAAGUGAUAGAACUAACAACAACAUAAACUAAGUCAACACAAAUAACUUUUCUCAUAGUUUAAUAUUUAAUAAUGUAUUUCUAUUUAUAAUUUUAUAUACUAGUGUAACAUUUUAUCAGUUAAUAUUGGUGUAAUAUUUUUAUGACAAUUCUUUCAAAUAGAUUCUUUUUAAGUUUUCGUCGUAAAAGACUCCAAUGAUCAAAAUGACCAAAAUGUUGCAUUAAAAAGCAAAAGAUCCUUAUACCCUAGAUAUAGAGUUGUCAAAAUGCGUAAACCAACCCAAAUAAAAUCAUAUCCAAAUAAAACCAGUAUUCUAUUGGUUAUGGUUCAACCCAAACCAUUUACCUAAUUGUUUGGUUUAGUCUCUAACUCAUUUAGAUUAAUGAGUUAGUGGUUUUAAUGAGUUGACUCACUAUAAUAUAGUAAUAAUAUUAACCAAUAACACCAUAACUCAUGUAAUUUAAAAAUCAUAAAAUUCAAUACAAUGGAGAAAAUGUAUAUUUUCAUAAAAUCAUAAAAGACAUGUUUCACAAUAAUAUUUCAUAUUCUCAGCAGUUUCAGGAAACAAUAACUGAGAUGCCGACUUGAAGAUCCCACCAUGGUACAAGGAACUCAAGUUUGUUGUUGGGGUCAAAAUCAGUCACGUCGGAAUCAAUGCCGGAAAGUCCCCGAAAAACAGCUUUCAGAAAAUACUUACGGAAAAACUUGUGUAAAACAAACGAAAUGAUUCCGAAAAUCUACAAAGCAAUCAACGGAAGAAAAUAACCAUCUAGCUCAUUAGCCAACUCGCCAUAUGGCUAUUUGGACCAAUAACCGGCUACCCAACUCGUCAUAUGGCUAGUUAGCCCGCUAGUCUGUUGUUGGGGUCUAAAAUGGUUACGACGAAAUCAAUUUCGGAAAGUUCUCGAGAAACCUUUCUAAAAAGAAAAAUAAAAAUACAGAAAACUAAAACUUCGUAUUUUUAAGAGUAGAACACGACAAGCUCGUUGGAAAGGAUCAUUCAAUCUCUCGAACAGACAAUUCGCGAGCAUCGAAACAACGAAGCGAGCAUCAUCCGACUCGCCAUAGGGAAAGUUGCAAUGAUCGACCCAACUCGCCAUCAGGCGAGUUGGAGAGAGCUCAUCCAACUCGCCCAAUGGUGAGUUGGGACCGUGUAAACUAACUCGCCCAAUGACGAGUUGGACCGUGUAAACCAACUUGCCAUUGGGUGAGUUGGAACAGCCAUGUUUAGCUCGCCCAAUGGCGAGUUGGAUCAACCACAAUUCCUCUCAGCCCACCUCUGUAGCUUCCUCCUUCGAGCCUCGACUGAAUUAUCUCUUGUUUCGUCUCGAUCGGAGUUACCGUUGGAACUUUACGAUACAAACCGCAAAGACUUGUUUUCUCGUAAAAGUUCAGAUUGAUCAUUUAAAACGGCAACCGUUAACUUAACACCUUAGUUGUUUUCAUUAUAUGGUCAAGUUAAAUUGUUUAAAAUCGACAUCAUAUCGAAGGUUAUAUUUGGAUAAAAUCGUAAAAACGUUCAAAAUCGCAAAACGGCUCGAAAGAUCUUAAACACGGCUAAAAGCUCACUUACGAUUUUUAAUGAAAUUAAGCCCAAGGUUACUAUGACGGUGUAUCUAUUAUUUGCAGGAGAAUCAAGUCUCGAAGAUAAAUGUCAAGUUUAUGAAGAUAAUCAUGAAGAUCGAAGAAAAUGAAAUAUUUCUGCAAGAUGAUAAACUUGACUUGGGGCCGAAAAGGAAACGGAAAACCGACCUUGGAGGCAUAUAUAAAGUAUGGGAACCGAAAUUUGCACUGUCGAUUUCCAUUUAAAUUAGGAAAGUAGGAGAACCCUAGUUUCCCAGAGGUCCCGGAUAUCUGCUAAUACCACACGCCAAGCAAUCAAAACACGAAACGAGAACAGUAAUAAAAUAAGAAAUCGUAAAAAGAGCAAAAGAUGUCUUAUUCCGAAUUUGCAUAUGAGCGUUACAACAAGGUAGAAGCCUCGGCUAUGAGAGCUGUCGACGAGAUCCCUAGUUCUAACAACCAAAGACUGCAAAACCUAGUUGAAUCGCAGCUCAAAAUAACAAAAACGGAAAGUUGCCUAAUUGCUCUAGGUGCUAAGUUUGCUGUGUAAAAGUUCUCCCCUUCUGCCUCUCGCCUAGGACUCCUUAUAUACUAGCUCCUAGGUCGGUUUACGCUUUUCCCUUUCUGCCCUUAAGCCGUCAUAGCUCUCUUUUGGAUAUUUCUCAAAGGCAAGGAUUCUUAAGCUUUAUGAAGACUUGGGCCACGCUUGAACACAACUUGUCCGAUCAGAACGUCCUGCGGCCCUUGCUAAUCGUCCCGUGCACGUACUGAUCAGCCAGUUCGGAUGAAUCUGGACAGUAGCCGAAUGGUCAUCUUGACUAGCCUUCUCCAUUUUUCAUGGCUUGACCAGAUCUAGUCAAAUUUAUCUUUUCUAUGUCUUGUUUUUUCCACAAGUCCAUUAUUGUCUUUGACUACAAAAAUCAAUAAGUAUUGUAACCUCUUCAUUAUGAUAUGAUAAUCGAUUUUGACUUGAAUUUUCUGAGUUGAAACUCUUUGUUCUUUGUAAGAACGUGUCUUGUUUCUUGUUGAGUCAUAUCCAAGUAAACACUUCCUCAAAUCGUUGGACUUGUGAGUCAUAUCAAGCAACGAUGAGAGAACCUUCAUUUGGUGGUCUUAUGAGUCAUAUCAAGCACCAUUGGAGUAGGGAAUAUCAGAGGCUUUCCGCAACCUUCGUGCGACCCUUCAAUCCAUCCAGUUCUCCAUCCGGAGUUCAUAUUCAAUAUGUACCAGUAGAGUGAUCCGUUCCUAGGGUCCUUCAAAUCUCUUCAUGGAUUAUUUUUCUCCAACAAUGAUCAUGAAGAUGAUGAGGAAUCAAAGAUUGUACCAUCGAUCGCCACUCAACCUGAGAUAUCGAUCGACGAUGAACUUUUAGCAACGAUCGACAAAGAGUUGGAAACACCGAUCGACAGUGAAUGGCCCUAGGAAUGGAUCACUGUACUGGUUCGGUUUGGAUAUGACAUCCGGAUGGAGAACUUGAUGGAUUGAAGGGUCGCACAAAGGUUGCGGAAGGCAUCCGACAUUCCCGACUCCAAUUGUGCUUGAUAUUACUCACAAGACAACCAAAUGAAGGUUCUCUCAUCGUUGCUUGAUAUGACUCACAAGUCCAACGAUUUGAAGAAAUGUUUACUUGGAUAUGACUCACCAAGAAACAAGACAAGUUAUUACAAAGAACAAAGAGUUUCAACUCAGAAAAUUCAAGACAAAAUUGAUUAUCUUAUUUCGUAGCUCUUAUGUCUUAUUUAUAGGAUUACAAGUUGUAGAGAUCCAAAGAAGAAUGUGCUAAAAAUAAGACAUAGAAGACCGAAAACAAAGACUUGACUAAAUAAGGUUUUUGACUGAAACUUGGACUUCUUCUUGAUAUAGCCACGACCGGGACUUUGAAAAGGGAAGAUAUGCUCCUGAUAUGGGCAAAUACAUGUCCCUUUGAGGCCUGGUCGAAAUCCAUAUUUUCCCUUAGUCAAUAUUUUAUCGGUUUCUCCAUUUGGCCCAAACAAGUAUGUUUUUGAAUCUUUUUGAAAAUCAUCAAGCCCAAGGCUUUCUUGGAUAUUUAGAACAUGAAUAAUCACCUUUGGCAUGAUCGAAUUGGUCGCUGGUUUAUCAGAAAGAAGGUUAGCCAUUUCAAGCUUCUUGGGUGGUAUGAAUUCGCGAGAACUGAAGAUCACCUGAUUUGUAAAUGGCAUAACUGUCAGAUAUGAACUCCGUAUUAUAUAAUUCUUCUUCGAGGAGCUCCGUAAUUGAGUUGAGAACAUUCUCCAAGUGAUUUCAUGUGUAGAAGGCUCGUGGUGUGAAAGAUAUGAGUCAAACAAUGAACAUAUAUCUUUACUGCUUCCCAUGAUCAAGCCAUGCAUGUAUGUUUUGCCUAGUGUGCUACUCAAGGGCACAUCAUUCCCUCCCACUUGAAAAGGAUUUGACUUCAAAUCCAUUUUACCUGUAUCAAAAGGAAAUGAAUCGGGCAAAAAGAGUCUAAAGAACAUGUAAAAUUUAGUGAAGGAAAAUUUUGGACAAUAACUUCCUUGAUGCUAUUUUCCUUGAGUACAUGCAUCUCCAAACCUCAGGCUGAUAAGCAUGGUCUAUGAUACCACUUGAAGGACCCUAGGAACAGAUCACUCUAUACUGGUUCGGUUUGGAUAUGAACUUUGGAUGGAAAACUGGAUGGAUUGAAGGGUCGCACGAAGGUUGCGGAAGGCCUCCGAUAUUCCCGACUCCAAUGGUGCUUGUUAUGACUCACAAGACAAACAAAUAAAGGUUCUCUCGUCGCUGCUUGAUAUGAUUCACAAAUCCAACGAUUUGAGGAAGUGUUUACUUGGAUAUGACUCACCAAGAAACAAGACGAGUUCUUAUAAAGAACAAAGAGUUUCAACUCAGAAAAUUCAAGACAAAAUCAAUUAUCUUAUUUCGUGGUACUUAGGCUUUAUUUAUAGGAUUACAAGUUGUAGAGAUCCAAAGAAGAAUAUGCUAAAAACAAGACAUAAAAGAGUGAAAACAAAGACUUGACUAAAUAAAGUUGUUGGCUAAAACUUGGACUGCCUCUUGAUAUAGCCACGACCAGGACUUUGAAAAUUGAAGAACAUGCUCCUGAUAUGGGCCAAUACAUGUCCCUUUGAGGCCUGGUCGAAAUCCAUAUUUUCCCUUAGCCAAUAUUUUAUCGGUUUUUCCAUUUGGCUCAAACAAGUAUGUUUUUGAUUUUUUUAAAAACUAUCAUGCCCAAGGUUUUCUUGGACAUUUAGAACAUGAAUAAUCAUCUUGGCAUGAUUGAAUUGGUCGUUGGUUCAUCAGAAAGAAGAUUAGCCAUUUCCAGCUUUUCGGUGGUCUGAAUUCGCGAGAACUGAAGAUCACCUGAUUUGUAAAUGGCAUAACUGUCACAUAUUAACUCCGUUUGAUCUGAUUCGUCUUCGAGGAGCUCUGUAAUUGAGUUAAGAAUAUUAUCCAAAUUAUUUCAUGAGUAGAAGGCUUGUGUUUGGAAAGAUAUGAGUCAAACAAUGAACAUAUAUAUUUACUGCUUCUCAUGAUCAAGCCAUGCAUGUCUGUUUUGUCUGGUACGCUACCCAAGAGCACAUCAGACAGUGACCAUGCAAAUGAGAUAUGGUUGAACAACUUAAUCGCCAACGUCUCUUUUGAACGGUAGAUAAAUGACCUAUAAAUGCAUACUUAUAAAAAAAGAAAACUCUUGAAGUGGGAGUCCCACUAACUGGGGAAUCCCCUUCAAAUGUUCCAUAGUGACUUGCUUAUGUGAAGCUUUGAGUUGGGCUGGUAAAUCAGCAGCGGCCGCAGUGGCCAAGGAUUACCCAUGCUCAUUUCCUGCCAUCGGCUUAUAGUACUGGUUAUCCUCCCUUUUUAGCGCCAAAUUUUUAAGGUAAUUGUGACAACCCAUCCUCUCACUAGGAACCUAGGUUCACAGCGCUGUAGCGCACCGACCCCAACCCCUCCAUUAUGAGUCCUCUCUGACUCCAUAAUUAGGUUGUUGGUGAGAUUCGAACCCAGGUCCUCACCCUUUAACAACACUCCUCCAGGAUGAAUUGUCACCAAUUGAUCUGGGUCAAUGCGAUGAUAGCAUAUAGCUAGUCCGUACACCUCGCAUCUCCUCAUACGGAUAUAUACUGCGUCGCUAGUACAGUCUGUCUCUGUACCCCCGCCCUCCAAAGCUGCGUCGAAUGAAAACGUCUCUGCACCCACGCCCCACACAAUCUGCGUCGCUAGCCCAGACGUCUCUGAGCCCCCGCCCACCAAAGCUGCGUCGCUAGUCCAGACAUCUCUGGACCCCCGCCCACUCACAUAGUCCCUACUCAUAACUAUAUAAACAUACAUAUAUAGAUAUUGCAUUUCUUAACAUCACACAAUCAAAUCAACGGUUGAAUCCUCUAGACCCCUAGUUCCAAUUUACAAUGAAUGAGCUAACUAACAAACAAGACUCAAACAGACUCAAUUCAAACAGACGGAUCAUGAUUCGAAAUCUAAACUAUGAUAGAGAGAAUUCUACACUGGUACGAGAUUUACGGAAUAGACCUUCACCUUAGGAAUGUGGAAAAGUGAUAGCUAUGAACUCCAGCUGCUCAAACAAACUUCAAAUCUGAAAUCAGGGCGAAAAAUCAGGUCAGAACGCCCGUUCGAACGGUCCAAAACGGAUAACCAGCGAUCUGGUCAAAAAGUCAACCUGCUGGUCAAAGGUCAACCCGGUCUACUCUGACCCAAGCCGGUCAACCCUUGACCAAAUUGAAAUCGAAUUGAACCAUCGGUUUUCCUUAACCGGAUUCGAUUUCAAUUAAACCAGAUUAAAAUUGAUUUCAACUCGGUUUAAUCCAAACCAAAAAAAUUCCCAGUAACCGAUCGGUUUAAUCAAUAAUAAAAUCAAUUGACUAACAGAACCGGCUUGACUGGCCAAUGGCUUGACUCGCUGAGUCAACUCGGCUGAGUCACCGAGUUACCGGCGAGUCGACCGGCGAGUCGCCGUAGACCGGUCGCCGGUGGUGGCUUACCGGAAAAUCAACGGCAGCGGCGGAGACGCGGCGGCGAUGCGGCGGCGGCUUCCGGUGGCGAACGGACGGUGGCCGGCUGCGGUGGCUCCGGCGAACGUCCGGCAGAAUGGCGGCGCGUGGAAUUCACACGCGAUUCUUCCUCCUGCGCGUGUGGGCGCGUCGCGGCGGAUCUCCGGCUGAAACUCCUGCUCCGGACUCGUCUCAACGUCACGAACACACUGGUGGCCUUGAAAUCGCGAGAAACCCAACGGUUAGAGAGAUAUCGACGAUUUACUAAACGGCCAACAUUUAACUAGGAAAAGGCGGUUUGCGGAUUACCUAGGGAGUGAGACGGCGGCAGCGUGAUAGAUCUAAUCUCAGUCGACGGUGGCUGAGACAGUUCACCAAUAUCUCUCUCUGACGGCUCUAAAUCUGCAGGGGUUCGACGCCUUAGACCUUUUUUGAAUAAAAUAAUAGACUGGCUCUGUUUAAAUAGGAACUCACCUAGGGUUUCCUGUAAACUGAUUGGGCCUUGUUGGGCCUGCUGAAUUGGGUCGUUACAAUUCUCCCCCACCAAUGGAGAAUUUGUCCCCGAAUUCGGCUCCUGAACCGACUGUCCAAUAUUGUCCUGGAAAAACUGUGGAUAAUCAAUCCUCAUCUGAGUCUCGGCCUCCCAGGUUUCUUCCUGAAUCCCGUCUCUCUCCCAACGAACUUUAACUAAACUGCUCAUCAUCCCCUGAACAGCUUUCACUUGCCGAUCUAAAAUCUCAACUGGCUGACAAGAUGCAUACAAAUUUUUCUCAAGAUCAUUGGGUGGCUGCUGCAAAAUGAGCUCUGGCUCUCUCACAACUUUCCUCAUGACUGACACAUGGAACACAUCAUGAAAAUCUGACAACUCUGCUGAUAACCGCAAUUUGUAAGCCACUGCUCUAAUCCGCUCCACAAUAGGGUACGGUCCCAUAUAUCUCGGCUUAAGCUUCUUAAGCUUCCGAGUCUUAGAUCCUCCUAAUGUCCUCAUUUUCAGGUAUACUAAGUCUCCUACCUGAAACUCCAAGUCUUUACAGCGCUUAUCUGCAUAGCUCUUAUGCCGGUCAUGGGCUUCCUUAAGCCGAGUCUUGAGCAUCUCUACAUGCUCCACUGUCUCCUAAACCAUUGCUGGUUCUAAGUCUCGCCGCUCUCCCACUUCUGUCCAACAAAGUGGUGUACGACAAGGCCUGCCAUAAAGCGCCUCAUACGGUGCCAUCUCAAUACUCGAAUGAUAGUUGUUGUUGUGAGCAAACUCUGCUAGAGGUAAAUACUUUCCCCAACUUCCUUCCCAAUCCAGGACGCAAGCCCUAAGCAUAUCCUCUAAUGUCUGAAUAGUCCUCUCUGAUUGUCCAUCUGUCUGCGGAUGAUAGGCUGUACUCAUAUGAACUUUUGUCCCAAGCGCCCUCUGAAAUGCUCUCCAAAAUGUAGAAGUGAACUUGGUAUCCCGAUCUGAUACAAUACUGACAGGAACUCCAUGCAACCUCACAAUAUCUCGAAGGUAAAUCUGCGCCAACUGAUCAGCUCCGCCUGUCUUCUUGAUUGCUAUAAAAUGAGCAGAUUUGGUAAGUCUAUCCACGAUCACCCAAAUAGUAUUCCUCCCACCAAAGGUUAUCGGAAGUCCAGUCACAAAAUCCAUAGUCACCUUGUCCUAUUUCCAUUCUGGCAACGGGAGGCUCUGCAAUAACCCGCUAGGCACUUGAUGCUCAGCCUUAACCAUCUGACACGUCUGACACUGCGAUACAAAUGUAGCCACAUCUUUCUUCAUACCAGGCCAGUGGUAGUAGCGCUUCAAAUCUCUGUACAUCUUGGUAUUUCCCGGGUGGAUCGAAAAAACGCGAAUUAUGUGCUUGCUGUAAAAUCUCCUUCCUUAACAACUUGUCCUCUGGCACACAGACUCGGUUCCGGUAUAUGUACAUCCCGCUCAAAGCUAUAUGAUAUCCAAUACUCUCGAUCUCAAUUUGCUUAACCAAAGCAUCAUCACUAUCCUGAGCUCUGCGUAUCCUCCAUAAUAAAUCAGCCUGCUCAAAUGCUUCAAGACCAACAGUCUCUCCCUCUGCGGUAACUGCACACAACCUGAGACUAGCAAGUGUCCCAGUCAGCUCCUGAACCUCCUUGGUUCCUGAAACAUCGUUCCUGCGUCUACUCAAGGCAUCUGCCACUUGAUUGGCCUUACCUGGAUGAUACGUAAUAUCCAGGUUGUAGUCUGCUAACAACUCCAUCCAUCUGCGCUGUCUCAGAUUUAGGUCCGCCUGAGUAAAUAGGUACUUCAGACUCUGGUGGUCUGUGAGGAUCUGAACUUUCUCUCCAUACAAAUAUGACUUCCAAAUUUUUAGCGCAAAAACAACUGCUGCUAACUCCAAAUCAUGAGUAGGUUAGUUGACCUCGUGAGGCCUCAACUGACGUCAUGCGUAAGCAAUACAUGACGCAUCUGUAUAAAACUCAUAAGGUACCCCUGGUCUAGGUAGUACCAGCACUGGCGUAUCUGUCAACUUUCGUUUCAGCUCAGUAAAACUCUCCAUACAAGCAUCCGUCCAAUCAAACUUGGUGUCUUUGCCUGUUAACCGUGUCAUCGGUUUCGCAAUACUAGCAAAAUCUUUCACAAACUUUCUGUAGUAUCCUGCUAAACCCAGAAAGCUACGAAUCUCGGUGGCGGUCAUAGGUGUAGGCCACUCCGAUAUUGCAGUAAUCUUCUCCGGGUCUACUGCAACUCCUGCCUCUGAAAUCACGUGACCCAAAAAUCCAAUCUUCCUCUGCCAUAAGCUACACUUACUCAGCUUGGCAAACAGCUGAUUCUCCCUGAGCUUAUCCAACACAAUCCGCAGAUGCUCUGCAUGCUCCUCUCUACUCCGAGAAUAGAUCAAGAUAUCGUCGAUGAAAACAAUCACACACGUAUCCAAGUGCUCCGAAACACAUCAUUCAUGAGCUUCAUGAAUGCUGCAGGUGCAUUCGUCAACCCAAAUCGCAUCACCACAAACUCAUAAUGUCCAUAACGGGUACGGAAAGCAGUCUUCCGGACAUCCUCAUCAGCUAUCGCAAUCUGGUGGUAACCUGAUGCCAAGUCAAUUUUUGAAAACCAUGAAGCUCCCUGCAACUGAUCCAAUAACUCAUCGAUGCGGGGAAGCGGGUACUUAUUCUUGAUGGUCACCUUGUUCAAACCUCUGUAGUCGAUACAAAGUCUGAAACUCCCAUCUUUCUUCUUCACAAACAGUACUGGUGCUCCCCACGGUGAAGUACUAGGUCUGAUGAAACCCUUACUCAAUAACUCCUCCAACUGCAUCUUCCCUUCAGCCAUCUCUGCUGGUGCUAAACGGUAUGGUUCCCGCGAAACCGGUGUCGUUCCUGGUUCCAACUCAAUAUUGAGAACAUCUCCUCUGGCUGGUGGUGGCCCCUUUAAGGCUUCAAAUACAUCAUGAAAUUCUUCGGCCACUGAAAUGUCCUGUAAUUCAGGAUGUCCAUCUUCCUUAACCAUCGAAAUAGUCGCCAGAAAUCCUUCUGCUCCUCUCUCCAAUAAGUCCUCAGCAUGCAACAUGGAAAUAACCGAAAUUCCCCGUUAAACCUGGAGACACUGGAAUGUGAUCUUCCCAUCUCCUCUAGGAAUAUUAACUUUCGCUCGCAUGCAAUCUAUCACCACUCGAUGCCGUGACAACCAAUCCAUCCCAAGUAUGACAUCGUAGUAAUCCAUCUCCAUCUCUGCUAGGUCUCCUAUGAAGUCAGCUCCUCCCAGUAGAACUGGUACAUCUCGGUGAACGCCGGUGGUUCCCAAUUUCUCUGUACCGACCGUCCGAAUCUGCUUAGCCUUUGGCUCAAAGACACCUCGAAAAGGCCAAGACUUAGCCAAACGCGAACUCACGAAGCUGUGAGAAGCUCCCGCGUCGAAUAGAGUGUGAGCUCCCUUACCUCCAACAGAAACCGAUCCUACACACAAAUUUUUUUUCCUAACUACACAUGAUAUCCACCAAAACACAAUUACUCAAGAAAAAAAAACAUACGAGUAUGAUAAAGAUACAUACCGGCUAUCGUCUCAGCUCCAUUGGCCUCUCCUAGAGCAUAAACACGCGGAGUGAUGGCUUGACGCUUGGCCCCAGGCCCUUUAGUCGGGCAAAACCUAGAGAUAUUGCCAAACUGGCCACAAGUGAAGCAAGCUCCUGGUGCGUAUGCUGCAGCUGGUGCUGCCUGCACUCCCUGUGCUACUGGUGCUGUCUGUGCUGCUGGUGCUGCUGGUCCUGCCCGUGCACCCAUUGGAUUACUCCGACAAUUCCUACUCAAAUGCCCCAUCUUUCCACAAUUGUAGCACUGGAUGUUUGACUGGUCCCAUGUCCUCUUCUGUGGUUCUGUAGUUCUUCCAGUCUUGGGUGGAGCCUUAGAGUAUUUUUGCUCCUCUGCAAUACAUGCCUCCUGCACAACAGCCUUCUCUACCAAAUCCUCCAACUGGUGUAAGUAACCAUACUGCACCUGCCGCGGAGAUCGACUCGCAUACCAUCUAAGAACCUCCUGAUCAAGUCAUCUCCAUCAAAAUGAUUACCAGCAAACAAGCGGAGCUGGCAAAACUCUCGAUCGUACUCCCUGACACUCCUAGUACCCUUGUCGAAUGCAAUGGGGAAAAUACUUCUUGUCGAAUGCAAUGAGGAAAUCCUCAUAAGUCAUGUCGCCCUCACGCAUCGAUCGCACUCCAUCCCACCAUACCAAUGCAUCUCCACGCAGAUACAACUCUGCGAUAUUAAGACAAAGGCGCAACGGACAAUUGAUUGUCUGCAGACACGAAGCCAGCCUAUGCUUCCACUUAUAGGCCGCUCCAAGACUUCUGUUCCCUCAAAAGUCUCCAAACCCACAGUUUUCGUCUGUCUCAUUACCCGCAUAAGCGUCUCAUCAACCUCAGGAACCUGCCCUGGAAGAACGGGUGGCACAACCUCAGGAACUUGCCCUGGAAGAACGCGUGGUGCUGGUGGUGGAACCUGGAAAAUCCCUGGAACAUGCUGGAUAGGGGGUUGCUGCUGUCCCUGAACCUGAACUGGUGGAACCAGCUGAAUAGGGGGCUGCUGAUGCCCCUGAGCCUGAACUGGUGGAAACUGCUGACCCUGCUGAGCUGCAGCCAUCUGCCUAACCACUUCCUGUGCAGCUACUCUAGCAGCCUCCUGGACAGCUUGCUGAACUGCCUCCUGUGCGGCCUGUCUGGCAGCAUCCUGCACCAUCUGCCUAAGGGCAUCCUGAUCAAUCGGUGGAACUAGUGGCGGCACAUGCUCAUUUCCACCCUCUCGAGGAGCACUAGCGGCCUGAGUGCGAACAACUCUCUUACGCGGCGGCAUUUGAAAGAAAUAGCAAUUCAAUUAACUUCUGCCGAAACCGAACACUAACGAUUCAAGACAUAAUGCCAAGCAAAAAUGUGCUAUUUACUUUUGUUUUUUUUAAAUCCCCAUAUUCCCAUAAGUACUUAAAAAAAAAAAGUCUAAAACCGAUUAAAAACCGAGUCCCCACAAAUCGUCAUCCCGGGUCAGAGCCGGGACGGAACCCCGCUCUGAUACCAAAUUGUAACACCCGUAUUUUCCAAAAUAACUUAAAUAAAUAAAAAGUCUGAAAUCUCCAUUUAUUACUUCUCAAAAGUCAACUUCAAAGUCAUAAAUCCAAUAAAUAACCAUAAAUGCAAUAAAAGAGAUAAAUCCCGAAAUAUCGAUAAAAUCAUAGAAUCGAAAGUCUGAAAAUAAAAGAAAUAGAACUUCCAAAGCACCAAUCCAAUAGCAAUCACUCCUGCUCGUCAGUCUCACCUGAAAGGGGAAAGUAAUAUGAGGGGUGAGUAACAGGGGAGUUACUCCGUGAGGUAUGGGGAUGCUAAACACGCAAACCACUGACUUGAGUAAUAUAACUCCCACUAUGGAAGUUUAGCUCUAACAUGAACAAACAAGACGCCUAAAGCAUCACACAACACAAGCAAUGCGAUGAUAGCAUAUAGCUAGUCCGUACACCUCGCAUCUGCUCAUACAAAUAUAUAUAUAUAUAUACAUACGCUGUGUCGCUAGUACAGUCUGUCUCUGUACCCCCGCCCUCCAAAGCUGUGUCGAAUGCAAAUGUCUCUGCACCCACGCCCCACACAAUCUGCAUCGCUAGCCCAGACGUCUCUGAGCCCCCGCCCACCAAAGCUGCGUCGCUAGUCCAGACAUCUCUGGACCCCCGCCCACUCACAUAGUCCCUACUCAUAACUAUAUAAACAUACAUAUAUAUAUCGCAUUUCUUAACAUCACACAAUCAAAUCAACGGUUGAAUCCUCUAGACCCCUAGUUCCAAUUUACAAUGAAUGAGCUAACUAACAAACAAGACUCAAACAGACUCAAUUCAAACAGACGGAUCAUGAUUCGAAAUCUAAACUACGAUAGAGAGAAUUCUACACUGGUACGGGAUUUACGGAAUAGACCCUCACCUUAGCAAUGUGGAAAAGUGAUAGCUAUGAACUCCAGCUGCUCAAACAAACUCCAAAUCUGAAAUCAGGGCGAAAAAUCAAGUCAGAACACCCUUCGAACGGUCCAAAACGGAUAACCGGCGAUCUGGUCAAAAAGUCAACCCGCUGGUCAAAGGUCAACCCGAUCUACUAUGACCCAAGCCGGUCAACCCUUGACCAAAUUGAAAUUGAAUUGAACCAUCGGUUUUCCUUAAUCGGAUUCGAUUUCAAUUAAACCAGAUUAAAAUUGAUUUCAAUUCGGUUUAAUCCAAACCAAACCAAUUCCCAAUAACCGAUCGGUUUAAUCAAUAAUAAAAUCAAUUGACUACCCGAACCGGCUUGACUGGUCAACUGCUUGACUCGCUGAGUCAACUCGGCCGAGUCACCGAGUUACCGGCGAGUCACCGUAGACCAGUCGCCGGCGGCGGCCAACGAUGGUGGUGGCUUACCGGAAAAUCAACGGCGGCGGCGGAGACGCGGCGGCGAUGCGGCGGCGGCUUCCUGGCGGCGAACGGAAGGUGGCCGGCUGCGGUGGCUCCGGCGAACGUCCUGCGGAGAUGGCGGCGCGUGGGAUUCACGCGCGAUUCUUCCUCCUGCGCGUGUGGGCGCGUCGCGGAGGAUCUUCGGCUGAAACUCCUGCUCCGGACUCGUCUCAACGUCACGAACACACUGGUGGCCUUGAAAUCGCGAGAAACCCAACGGUUAGAGAGAUAUCGACGAUUUACUAAACGGCCAACAUUUAACUAAUCGGAAAAGGCGGUUUGCGGAUUACCUAGGGAGUGAGACGGCGGCAGCGUGACUGAUCUGAUCUCAGUCGACGGUGGCUGAGACAGUUCACCAAUAUCUCUCUCUGACGGCUCUAAAUCUGCAGGGGUUCGACGCUUUAGACUUUUUCUGAAUAAAAUAAUAGGCUGGCUCUGUUUAAAUAGGAACUCACCUAGGGUUUUCUGUAAACUGAUUGGGCCUUGUUGGGCCUGCGAAAUUGGGUCGUUACAGUAAAAUUAUAUUUCUUUGUAAUACUAUUGAAACAUGAAGUAGUGUAAUCAGGCAAGAUGAAUAGAUUAAAGAUAUGCUUUAUUGAUCAAUAGAGCAGGAGUACAAAAGUAAUGGUUCUGUAAACCCUAUAGUUUUAGCUACAUGUUUCUAUAGCCGAAAGCGAAUAAUAGUUAAUCCCUUUCUUGUAGGGUUUAGGGGUCUCUUUUAUAGCUCAUUGUACUCAAAAUUUAAGUUAGAUCAUUCCAUAUUGUAUCAUGAAAUACGAAAAGAUAACCUUUUAAUAAAACUAUCCAUUUUAUCGGAGGCAUGUGAAAAUAUGACUUGGAGGCCGCAAUUAUUCAAACAGGAGAAGAAGUGAGGUUUCAUGCUCUAAACAAGAAGAAUUGCUGCCUAUAUUACUUAUCUUUAAUAGUUUUUAUGAUUGCACUUUUUUUGCAGGCUAUUUUAUGAAAAGUACAAAUAUUUAUUAAGUACGAAACAGUUUAAAUGAACCUAUAAAAUCAUAUAUAUUAGAAGAAAAAUAAAACAAAAUUAAACUUAUAAAACUAUAUACUAAUUAAUUUCUUUAGUGAAUUAUAUGUAGUUAAAUCAAAACAAAUGUCAGACAUAUUAAAUAAAUAAAUUAACAUAAUUAUUGACACAAAUUCAAAUAAAAUAUUUACAAAACUUACAAGGUACAUAAAUUAUUUACAAAAGUAUAAAUUCUAAACCAAAACUUAUUUUGUACUAAACUCUAAUUUCAUUUUUUAUUGCUAGAUAUGGACACAUUUAUUCGAAACCAAGAACCGAAGCAAAUAAAAACGAGCUUUGGUUGGAGUGUAAGAUUUAUCCGAGCAGAUCCUAUAUCUCUAGAACUGAACAAUUGAAACCGAACGAGUCGGACCCAAAAACCGAAUGAGUAUCCAAAUUUCUAAAAUAUAUAUACUUAUAAAUAUUAAAUAUAUUUAAUUUUAAAACAAUCAAAUAAUUUUCAUUAUUUAUAAAUUGAAAUACCAAAAAAAAAACAAUUACCAGAAUACUUUAUAUCCUAAAUAUUUUAAAUUAUCCGGAUUAUCAUACAAUUAUCCAAAAAUCAGAAACAAUCUGAUAUUUAACCCGAAAAAUCUGAAUUUUCCUAUUUUUAACACGAAUUAAUUGAAUAUUAGCUUUGCUAUCCAAACCAAACAAAAUUUCAAAAUAACUAAACCAAAACCGAACCAAAUUUUCUAAAACGAUUGAAGAAUCUAACCGGAAUCGAAUGCCUAAGGGCAUGGUUAACCCCGGUCUUUUAGUCGGAAUUCUUAACUUAUGAUUUAACACUUUUUUGUUUUUUUUUUACAUUUUUCAACUAAAAACGACUUUUAUAUCUCUUAUUUAAAAAACAGUUAUUAACUUUUCUCAGUUAAAAUCUAAAAAAAAACUAAAAACAUCUCUUAAUCGAAGCUAAGAAUCUCAAUUAAGAGAUUGGGUUAAUGAUGGAGGCUACUUAGACCACCAGCAUUAAUGAACCCCUGGUUGGGGUUCAUAAUUUGAAUAUUUUAUUAUUUUUUUUUUAUUUUUCGUUUGUUAUUUUUUUUUUUUUUAAAAAAAAAAAAAAAAAAUUGACCAAUAGCGGGCCGCCACGUGGCGUGGGGCCCGCUGAACAGUAACGAUCCAGGUUCACACAGAAAGGGCUUGGAGAGCCAGGAUCAUCACUAUUACAUAUUAUAAUAAUUUUUUUUUUUUGAAAAACGUGUGAACCCCCCUAGUGAACCUCCAAUGCUCAUGCUCUUAUUGCUAUCAUUUAGUGCUCUCUCAUCAUUUUUCUUAACAUUAAAAGCUCUUUUAUCCCCAUCACCAAUCAGAUUUGACAUUCAUUCUUUCAUCUCAAAGUUGAGUCACAAUUCUUAUGUUUCAGAGUUAAUUUUUACAACAAUGUGUACUUAUGUCAAACUUUUAAUCCUCUAACAAACAAAACUUCAAAAGAAAAAUAAAUUGCAAAGAUAAUAGAAGCAUGGAUGAUGUUUCACGAAAUGUACCACAAAAUCUGGGAAGAUUCGCAAGGGCUAGUAAAAUCGUAUGUAACACACCAAACAAUUGAGUGGGAAACUUGGUUAAUCGAAAAAGAGAUUACAUUUCAAGGUUCCAUGUGGUUUCUGCAGUCAAUUUAGGCGUUUUCACUUCCUCCGCCAGAUUCACAGACGCACAUACCUGUUUGAAAACAAGAAUCAACAAUCAAACCUUUCAUCGUGUUUGUCUAAACAUGCACUAAAGCUACUGCAAGAGAAAUCGAUACACAAACACCCACAAUGGAUCAUGUCUUAUGUCAAAUAAGCCUAUGCAUCCCAUUAAAACUAACACUUAUGUCUCAAGUCACUGAUAGAUAUAGUCUCUUUCGUAAUAUUUACCUUGAAAGAUCCAGUGGAUUUGGAGGUCCUGGACCACUCCAUACCAAGCAACUUACUAGACGUCUGAUAAGUAGCCUUGACAACAUCAUCACCAUAAACUCUGCGAGAAACCGCAAAAUCCCAGGCGUUUUUCGCAAAGUCAUAGCACGGCUCGAACGUAGCAAUCUUCCCAUGAGCGUAAGUAUACUUAAGCUUACAGUUGUUUGUUCCCACCAUGUGAUUAACAGAGAGUUUGUUAGAAGGAUCAAUCAAAAGGCUCCCAUCCACGAUUGUUCUGUUAUCAGCUCUGCUAUGUAUGUAAGUCAGAUUCAAUGGCUUCUCAGCAAUCCUUACUGUGUUCAUGAACUGAAACCUAACAUCCUGUAACCACACAAAUGGAUUCCCUAGGAAUAAUCGUAAGCAAUCUCCAUGGAAACUGAAAUCAAUCAAAAGAGGAGGAAGGUGAAAGAGUUACUUUCUUGGGGACGUUGUACUCGACGAUGAAGAAACCAGGCUUCUCCACGGCGAGAGAGAGGCCGUUCAAGGUAGGCCCAGCGACGAGGGUUGCAUCGGUCAUGGUGGCGCGUAGCUUAAGAUCGCCGGCGUUGAAGGCGAGGGAACCAACUCCGGUGCUCUUGUCCCCAUCGUACUUGCCUUUGACUGAAGCUUUCAUCAUUUCGACUCACCCUAGAGAGAGAAAGAGUAGAGAGAGAGAGAGAAAGAGAGGUUUGGUUUGGUGAGAGCGGCGAAAUGAGAGAAGAUAAAAAAAAAAAACACACGGUCUUAUUCUCCGCUUCGUGCCUUCUUCAUUCGCACGUGCGGAUCCCUUUUUUUGCAAGCCAAAAAUAUAUUGUUUCGUCAAUAAUUUUUGCUCAACAAAUACCUGAGAAAUUCAUAAAUUAAUCUAUACUAUUAUUUGCAACGUAAAUUUUUGGAAUCGAACUCUCACGUUAAAAGUUAAAUCGGUUAAUAUCUAUACUAUCAUUAAUGAAUUUUUAUAUAAUUAAUUUUAUAAUCAAAAACAAAUUUUAAUUUAUAAUAUUAAUUUUAUUUUCAAAAAAAUAAUUUUUACAUUGUGUUGUUAUCUUAAAACAUAUUUUUCAGUUAUAAAAUUUAAAAUAAGAUAUAAAACUAUUUAUAAUAAUUAAGCAGUUAAAGUUAUUGUUACCCUUAAUAAAUUUUAUAUAUAAUUAAUUAUAUAACUACAAACAAAUUUUUAUUACUAAUAUUAAUUUUCUUAAAUAAGAUAAUUCUUAUAGAUUAUGUUGUUAUCUUAAAAUUUAUUUUUCAAUUAUAAAAUUUAGAAAAUAACAAAAUAUAUAAUUAAACAUUAAUCAACUAAAUUUGUAUAAAUAUAUUUCCUAAAAUAUAUUUAAUAUGUGAAUGUUUUCUUUUAAAAUUUCAGCAUAAUAAUAAACAUAUAUAUUUUAUCAAUUAAUCAUCCAACACUCAAUCAUUCAAUUACAAUUACAGUAAAAACUCUACAAAAUAAUAAUAUUGAGAUUAUGGCAUUUUAUUAAUUUAUAGAGUUGUUAAUCUAAAAAAAAUUCCUUUUAAAUUUAUUAUAUUGUAAUAUAUAUUUUUCUAAAUAAGAAGAAUAUUUUAUUUUUAGUGUAUAUAUAUUAAUUAUUUUUUUGAGUCGAAUUUAUGUUGAUUUUACUAUAUUAUUUAGUGUAUAUAAAAUAUGUUUCAUAGAAUUUAAAUGUGAUUUUGGAUAUAAUUUUACUAAAUCUCAUAAAAAUAUAUUAAGGUUAAAAAUAUAAAAAUAAUUUUAUUUUGAAUAUAAGACAAACAAUAUAUACAUAUAUAUUGUGUAUAUAUAUAAAUGAUUAAUUUAUAAUUUUAAUAGGACAACAAAUUUACAUAAUAUUUUCUAAAAAAUAUUAUUAUUUCAUCGAUUUGUGUUAUAUUUUGAACCGGCACAAAUUGGAACUAAAAAAAUUAUUAAUUUAUUAUGUUUAUUAAGUUAUCGAUUAUUAAUUCAUAGAGUUCUAUUAUAUAUACUAAAAAUAAAAAAGGAAGCCCGAUACAUAGGAAUUUCUAAGCAAUAUGUAAACACUUAUCAAUUCAUUUUAAUUCUUUAAUCAAUAUAUAAAGACUUAUAUGUUCAUAAGAAAUUAUAUUAUAUUACAUUAAUUAAAAAUAUUUCAAAUAAUACAUUAGCAAAAUAUGUUUCCAAACAAUCUAAAAUAAUACGUUCCACUUUUUAAUAGAUUUUAUUUUAAUAUAUCUAAGUAUAGAUGGAUUGAAAGAAAAAUAACUAAAACAAUGAAAUAAUUUUGUGAAAAUGGAAAAUUCCAAAUUAACUAUAAGUAUGUUUUUUUUGUGGAUUACUCCAUUAAAAUUGACAAAAUAUAUUAGCCUACUUUAUUUUUAUAAAUAUAAAAAUACAUUCAUUUAAACAAACAAAAAAAUAUAAGAUAAAUAUUGCAAUAUACAUGAUAUUGAAUACAUAUGUAUAUAAUAUUCUUAUAAAUAUAUAUUUUCUAAAAUAAAUUAAAGAUCACAAAAUAUAAAAAUAGCAUAAAGAUAAUUCUGCAAUUUAUAAGGACGGAUAAAAACAGAUUUCAAACUGGACCAAAACAUAGAACCCAAAUCCGUCCGACCAUAUAAAUAACCGAUCCGAUCAUUCAUGGCACUAUGUAUGACCUCUGGAAUGGCUUCUCCUUUUUUGACAAAAUCAAAUGGUGGAUUCGAUGCUGAGACAACUACCACAUCAGAUGAAAUAUUUUUAAUUAUUGAGUCAUAUACCACUUCAGCUUGCACGUCAUCAAAGACUAAACUGUGGUUUAUAAGUUUAAUGACUGGCUUUAAAGAACAGAAAAACUUAAAACAUUUGAUUAUUUGAAUUACAAAAAGUUUACUAAAAAAUUAGUCGUAAUGAAAAAUAAUAUACUAGAGCAAAUUAAUCUACAUGAAAAAAAGGAAAAGAUACUGAAUCUGAUAAACAAAGAGUUUUGAUUACCAAUCAUUGUUAUAACUAUCAGAGUUUUGAUGAAAGGUUGAAAGAAGCACGUGUAUCCAACAUAGACAUAACUCCCUUUUUUCGAAGUAUCAUAGGCAUAAACUAAAACUAUUAUAUUGUAGUAUUUCUUUAUACAAUCAAUUUUGUAUUCUUUUUAAUUUAUAAGUCGAACAACUAUAAAAGAAUUUUAAAAUGUACCCUUAACCUCUUUAAUGUAAUGAAAUCUGACAAGUGUUUCUUAAUAAUAUCCUCCUCCGAUGCCAAAUCUUUUUCUCAGUAUCAAAAAACACAGCAAUAUGGCAAAAAACUAAGCAUGAGACGGUCAUCGGCUAAUACUUAAGUAAUCGUCAAACGACGAGCCUCACGACUUGGUGGAACCAAUCAGACAGGAACAGGCAAACCUUUCUUCGCCAUGCCAUCCAGAAUAUCGUUGAGCGCUUGGCAUACUCCCGAUAUCUGUGCACAUAGCUUCCACUCUUCAGUCAUUAAAAAAAACAUAAAUAUCUGUUAAAGAGAAACAGAACAAGGGAGAAAGAGUAAACCUGAUGAUCCCAUUGUUGUAGUUCCUCAAUGUCAUCUUCAAAAUGUAUCACAGCCUCCUCCUGAACAGAUCAAAACUCAUGUAAGAAUCUUCUUGAUAAUGAACAGUAACAAUAACUAUUUUGAAGGCUAACAUAAUAUAGUAACAAAGUGCUUGUCGUGUUGCGAACCUGAUCGAUGGAACCUCUCAUUCUGUCUUGGCAAAUCAUAUUGGAUGCUAUCUUCUCCGCCUUCAGUAAGAAAACGUAUGCCAUUAAACACAGGACAGGCGAAUGGAUAAAAGAGGAUUAACAUACUGAUUUCGAAUAUUACCUUGAUUGGGUCAAUCCCCAGCAGAGUUCCCAAUUCAUCAAACCUAAGAUACAAACAAAGAAUUGAAUUUACGAAAUCAAGCAAGUCUCAUAAACAAAAAAAAAACAACGGUACAAGAUAUUAAUCAUACAUCUUACUUACCUUAUGUUAGUGUACAGUUUGCUUGCACUUAAAAGGUUAUGCUCAAUCAUGGCACGAUCAAGAACAGUGGAUUUGUCAGGCAAAGAUGCUUUCUGUUGAAACCCAAUAAAGGCAAAAACAUGUUAUGAACCAAACAACUUAAAUGAUAAGCAAAAUAAAACUUCCAAAUAUCAAUAACAGUCCAGACCUGAUGUGGCCUUAGUUCUUCUGCAAAAGCAUCAAUCUCUGGUUUCCUUAAAAUCCUUUCCAGAUACACCUAGAAAGAUACACAGAAAUCUGAAGUUAGCACGUGUUUCUACUCUUUCAAACAACAUGCGGCAAGUAAAUUGUAUGUUUGUCUAAUAGAAGGAAACAAUAGAUAGAACCUUCUGCAGGAUGGGAUAAAUCUUCAGCUUGGAGCAACGCUCAUCCUGUUGAUAAAGAGAUAUUGAGAAUUAAAAAGAUAAGUGAGAAAUGACAUUAUACUAAUAAAUAAUCCACAAGGAGUGUUACUUUAUAUAAAGUUGCAAGAACACGAGAACGUUGAGGGCCGGCUCCAGCUAAUAUGGUGCAUGUGACAGCAGCAGAUAAGGCUUGCUCUAAUGCAUUCUCAUCGAUCUCUCUACAAAUAUUAGGCAACACUUUAGAAACAUCAAAACUUAAGAGACAUUUCAGAAAAGUUGCAGCGGGGGGAGAAGACGAUUUACUUACUCAUCGCCUAUGUGUCGUUGUUCAAUCUGAGAUAUGCCGUAAUACCGAAGUGCCGCCUCUAAGAACUUUCUUUUCAUGUCCAAAAUUCUAGCAUAGCAAACCUGAAAAUGAUAAAUAUAUAUAUUAAAAAAAAUAAAAACCCUGAAAAGACACAGGACAUAAAUUCUUAAUUUAAGGAGGUCAGACCUUGUAUUGCAAAUUCAAAACUUCAUUCUGACUGCUGCUCACUAAGAAAGAAGCUUUAUUUAUAUAAGUCUCUGCAUUUACAGCAUCAUCAUCCUGCCGAGCACAAAAGUAUUAGAGAACCAGAAUAAUGCUCUUACACAACAUUGUAACCUCAGUUUACCAUUAAAAUUUACAAUCUGUGAGAGCCAUAAUAACACCAUUAUUACCAUGUGGAAACCCAUCACAUACAAUCUACAAGCUUACAAAUACAUGAAAAAAAGAAGAAAACCUAUUGAAAGGAAAGGCAAACCUCGAGAUACAAACGAGCGAUUUGGAUACACUUGGAGAGCUUGAAGUUUUCGUCAACGGCCCUGAAUAAGAAUGACACAAAAAACCCAGAAUAAGCAACUGAAAAGAAGCAAGGAAACAAAAAAAAAAGCUAUAGAACAUACCUCAUUCCAGAGUCGAGAUCAAUGCCACUCAACAUCUGAGCAGCUCUUGACCAUUCCUGCUCUGAUUCAUACAAAGCCGCAAGCUUUUCUCUGAUAACAAGAGCCUACAAAUCCACAACAAGGAGAUUGUAAAGCAACACAAGUCAUGUUCGUUUGGUUGCCGCAGUUUUCGGCAUCAAGGCGUCAGCGUCGGCGUCAGUGUCAAUGAAAACAGUUGUUGUUCGUUUUGUAGACGCCGACACAGACGCAAUUUUAAUCACAGACGCAGAUUUUUUCGGCAAUCGACGCGAGGAUGCAGCGUUUAGACGCAGACACAGUAUCGGCGUGAAUGAAACGAACAAUAGUUUAUUAAAAAAAUUGACGCCGACGCAGCGAACAGCACUACUGACUACAAUGUACAUUGUCUCUAAAUAAAACCCAAUAGAGAGAUGCAGGAUUCUAAAAAUCAAAACCUGUUCCUCGAAUGAAACAACUCUUGGCUGAAUCUGGGUGAGCGUAAAGAGCGCAAUCUCCUUCUGCGUCUCUGCUUCCAAUCUCCCGAGCUCUUGGGCGAAAGACUGCAAAAGCUGCCUCGAAACCACCAACGGCACAUCAUCCGAUAGAACUGCACGAUUGUUUUUUGGGAAUUGUCAGCGAAACAGAACCAAUUUGCGACGGAAUUCGAAGAGAGUCAUUCGGCUUACUGUGAUCGAUGAAGUGUUUGGAUUGGAGAAGAUCGUUGGAAGAGAUAACAGAGGAGAGGAUGAGUUUGUACUGUUCGAUCUUCUGACGCUGGUCACUGAUUGCUGAAGCGUUCCUCAAGGCUUCUUCCAUGCCUUCUUCGCUCAAACCCUUACAAAUUCUCUUUUGCUUUUCGGCUAUUUAUUAAGAUUAAAAAGCCACGAAAGAGGCCUUUUUAAUACUCCCUCCGUUCGGAUAUAAGUGACGUUCUACAACAUUGCACACCAAUUAAGAAAACUAAUGUAAUAUCUAUUUUAACCUUAUUCAUUAGUGUAGUAUCAUUAUUACUAGAGACCAUUAUUCAGUCAAAAUGAUGUUGAUUCCAACUUUUUUUAGUCGUGACAUAACAGUUUCACAUACAAAAGCCUUAAAUGCUUAAUUAAUUCUUUUAGUCAAAUACGUAUAUGUGGUGUUGAACUGAAAAAGAAGAUAUGCACGAACAAAGAAGAUUUCUUUGUUAAAAUUCUCCAAAAAAUUUAAGCAUGGAGCCAAAACUAAAAUUUUUAAACUGAUAAUGGAGCCAAACCAAAAAAAUUGCUUAUGCUAUAUAUUGACAUAAACAAUCGACUGAAUCACAAUCACUUAUGGAUUCUAACUUUGAUUUGAAUCUUUCAUAUAUAGCCAAUGAAAAUGAGUUUUUAUUUGAUCUAAAUCAAACACCAACAAAUGAAGAAGUAGAUGCACUCAAUAACGAAGAUGAUGAUGAUGAUGAUGAUGAUGAUGAUGCACUCGUUAACAGUCACGUCUAUGCAAGCGAUCUUUUAACUGAAAUAGAUCAAGGUAUGAGUUUAUGUUGAUUUGUUCUAACAAUUAUGUAUAGUCAUGUUUACGUGCAAUUACAAGUAUACAAGUCAACAAAAGUUGCUGGUUUUGUUUGUUUCUGUAAUAUAGAUGCGUUUUCUAAAAUAGAUUAUGUUUGCUUUUUUAAAUAAAAACUGUAUACAAUUAAAUUAUCGAAUUGUGGUUUGUUUCUAAUAGAAUUUCCAUGAAUAAACUUAUACUAUGUAUAUGUGUUGUUAGUAUAUUUCUGAUUUUCAGUUUUAAUAAAUUAUUUUAAUUGUCAAUAUGCAGAGAUAAAUAAUGACAUAGAGAUUUCAAGUGGCAAGAAGAAAAAUCUCUCGAACACAGAAAGAUGGGCAAUCUAUAAUGCUUUGUUGGAGAGAAGCCAUGAUGGGAAUCUGAAAAAAAAUACUACUCGAGAAGUGUCUGAAUUGUUUCUGGUAUCUAUCCGAACCGUGCAACGGAUUUGGCAACAAGCAAAAGAAACUUCAAAUGGUGAGGCAGUUAACGUCUGCCACAAAAAAUCAAGAAAUUGCGGUCGCAAGAAAAUUCCUCUCAACUUGAAUCAAGUUAAGAGUAUUCCAUUUCACAAGAGAACAUCACUUCGAUCGCUCUCAAAGAGUUUGGGUAUUGCUACUUCAACGUUGCAUAAACGUGUCAAGGAAGGUACGCUUCGUCGUCACACUAAUGCUAUCAAACCAAGUUUAAAGGAUGGUAAUAUAAGAGAUAGGUUGAAGUUUUGUUUCUCCAUGCUAGAAAAAGACUCUUUGAUUCGUGAACCAAAAUUCGUCAAUAUGUACAACAUUGUACAUAUUGACGAAAAAUGGUUCUACAUGACAAAGAAAAUGGAGAAGUAUUAUUUAGUUCCUGAUGAAGAGGUACCGCAUCGUACAUGUCAAAGUAAGAACUACAUUGAGAAGGUGAUGUUCUUGGCGGCGAUGGCUCGACCGAGAUUUGACGAGGAAGGAAAUGAGACAUUUUCUGGCAAAAUAGGAGUGUUUCCUUUUGUUACCAUGCAACCAGCUAAGAGGCGAAGCAAAAACCGAGACGCUGGAACCCUAGAGCUAAAAGCAUCAACUUCUGUGAAACGAGAAGACAUAAGAGCAUGUUUGAUUGAAAAAGUCAUUCCAGUAAUUCAUGAAAGAUGGCCAGUUGAAGAUCGGGGGAAGACUAUUUUCAUCCAACAAGACAACGCAAGGACACAUGUCCAGUGUGGUGAUCAAGAGUUUAAAGAGGCUGCCUGCAAAAAUGCGUUUGAUAUACGUUUGAUGUGUCAACCAGCAAAUUCACCAGAUCUAAACAUUUUAGAUCUCGGAUAUUUCAGUGCAAUCCAAUCAUUACAGCACGAGACAUGUCCCAGAACCGUAGCAGAUCUUGUUCAUGUCGUGGAAGAAUCAUUCGAAGAAUACCCUGCUGAAAAGGUUAAUUAUAUUUUUUUGACCCUUCAAUCGUGCAUGAAAGAGAUCAUGAAAACUGGAGGAGACAACAAAUAUAAAAUCCCGCACAUGAAGAAAGCUACACUUGAUAGAGAGAACCGUCUUCCUCUUCAAAUAAGUUGUGAUGUCUCCUUGGUUCAAAGCGUAAUGGCUACAUUAGCAUCUUCAUAAUUUUAGUUUUAAGAUUGUUGAACUCAUCGUUAGAACUUAUUUAUUUUUCAGAUUUUUUAUUUCUCAUUUUGUUUUGUUUUUAUGAGUUUACUAUUUUGAAGUAUUUUUAUUUUAAAAUUAUUGAGUAUUAUAUUGUGUCUAUAUGAUCAAAUAUAUCUUAAGGUCAUGUGAUCUAAACAAUUAUUAAAAAAAUUGAAUGGAACAAAGAAAAUAAGGAAAAUAGAAACGUGAAACUAUAUUUCACAUCUUUAUUAUGAUAAAAUAACUUGCAAUACAAGAAGACAUUAUUUGAUCUUAAAAAGAAUGUGAAAGAUAAAUCUUCAACAUUUCAAGUAAGGCUUCUUCAAUUGCUUUGUUAGGGUGAAGCUCUUCUUCAUCAUAAAAGAACAAUUUAUUCAAAUCAAAAUCACGAUUGACACGAAAACAAACUCUGUCAACUGGUAAAUCAUCUUUUUCUUUGCUCUCCUCGUUCUCCAUUUUAAAUUGAUAAGUUAUACAGAUUGAAAGAGACGAAGAAGAAGAUGUCGUAAUAUAUAGUGGGUGGUAUAGUUAAUUUUAGUCGAUCACUAUUACUUUUUCAUUGUUUGGAAAUAUAUAUAUUUCUCGUAACACACUACAAAAAAGUCAGCAGUUUGAACUUUUGACUAGAAUCUGAUAUUAAUAAUUGUAAGGGUAGAAAUAGUCUUUUGUUGUCACUUUUUGCAUAGAAUUUCGUAAGCGUCAUAUAUUCUGACACAAAAAAAAAGUUGUAGAACGUCACUUAUACAAGUUACAGCUAACAAAUCUCUUUGUUUUUUUUUCUGCUUUAUAUGAAGAUUAAAUUAGCUAACUACAACAUAAAAGUACUGUAUGUUGGUCUUUUACCAAAAAUUAUUCUUUUUAUUAAAAUAAAUUAAGUGGAGUAAUAAUAAUAAUACUAAAAAUAACCAGCAAAGCAUACCAUAUAGAUUUUAUCUUUAUGGGUUAAUUUUUAAAUUUCUUGAUAAAAAUAUUUAUAUCUAACCUAUACUAAAAUGGAGAUAUACUCCACUCUAAAGCUAUCCACGUCAGAUGAAAAAAUCAACCACUAAUAUUGCAGCAAUCAUCCAUGUCAUUUUGAUUAAUCUUUAUUUGGGCUUCGUAUUUUAUUUGGGCUUUUUCUCUUAUUUUUGCUUAAUUUUUUUUGGCUUCUCUUGGCUUCAAGGAAAAACGAAAUCGUUUUUCUUCUUUGACGCGAGUCACACGACUGUGAUGACCUUUCGCGAUUCUUCUUUCGAACUGAAAUGGUGUUAUUAAUGGCUGUGUGAUUACUCGAAUUGAUUCACCUCUCCACGAUUCAUCUUCAAUAUUUGGCUUAGAUGUGAAAGGCGGUGUGUAAACAGUAUAAAUAGAUGUGACUUGUGAGAUCCCUCUCUUUGAACUCAUCUUCUCUUCAAUCAUCAAUCUAUUUUUUCUUAAAAGCUUGAGUUCAGAUGAUUCUGGUUUCGUUUUAUUGAUUUAGAAAGUUUUAGUUUAUAUGAUUUUGUGUUCGUUUAUUGAUUUUUUUUAAGGUUUAUGAUGUAAGAUGAUGCAAAGUAACUCGAUAUUUACUUUAUGAUGUUAGAACCGAUUAAUCGAUUUAAUAUUUGUUGUAAUUUGUUUCAUCUACUCGAGGCCUCUCGCAGGCUUCUAAGGAUCAAUCACCUUUUAUCGUUUUAACUCCUUCCUACAUAUCUUGCAAGAAGGCCCAGUUUAUGAGUUAAAUGGUUUGAUUCCGAGAAGCAAUCCAACCUUCAAGUUUGCUGACGCAGACGUUUCUAUUAAAUUCACGGACCAGACAGCUUUCGUGGAGGUCACGGACCAGACAGCUUUCGUGGAGGUUACAGACACAACUAAGCUGAUCCUGAAUCCCGAGGGAGAGCUUCAGGUUCCGCAAUACGAGUAGCUCAUGUCACUUGCCAAUACCAUCACUCAUUUUUCAGGUUUGAAUAGCUAAAGCUUCACUACAAUCACACUAUUUAAUAAGUAGCGUUUAUGUUUAUCUUGGUUAACAGAUAUAGUUGGAGAAAUUAGGAGCAACAAAACCAUGUACAACGAAGACACCCAGAGCACCCAACACCGCAAGGAAACCAUAAAGUUUGAUGAUAGGUAUUUGAUAUUUUGCUUCCAUAAACUUUUAACGUGUAACUUAUAUGUUUGUGCGAAGUUUAGUGUACGAUAAGAUACCUCUUUCCAACCAUUUCAGGGACAAGCCUGUCUGCCUCAGUGUUGUUGAUGGCCUUUCUGCGGACCUAGACACACAACUACUAAGCUCUGGCUGAAUCCCUGAAGUUACAGCUUUAGAAUAUUUAUUUAAUGACUCUGCUUCACUUUUUUUUAUCAUGUUCGUUUCCAGGUACAGUCUUUGCAGUAUUCGCUAUGAUUUCCUUAGGUGUGAAGACUCUAUUCUCAAAGACAUAGUAGUUUCUUGCUGUCCAGAUUCCCCAAGUAAUCCAAGGAAAAAGGUUAGUCGCUACUCCUAAUGGUGGCAGAUUAGUGGCCGCUGUUGAACCGAUGAAAGCUUCCGCGAAGGUGGCAUGAAGCCUUGGGUCAAAGGGAGAAGACCAGAUGUGUGAGCUCCAUAUCUGUCGUGUGAAGACACAGUGAAGAAACAAAUGGUCUGUGGUCUCUGGUUCUCCGCAGUGGCGACAUGAGAUGUUGUUGAGGAUGCCUCGCCUAGCCAAAUUUUCUCCAAGCGCUAGUGCUCCUUGCAUUAUCUUCCAGAGAAAUAGAUGUAGCUUUGGUGGUAUUUUACUAGCCCAAAUGGAUUUGUAAAGGUUCUGAUCUGGUAGGGGUCUCGCCUCAACUCUGUUAGCAGCUAACUCCAUUGAUGCAGCAACAUAAUAUCCAGAUUUCGCAGUGUAAACUCCUGACCUCGAUGCUAGCCAGACAAACGAGUCCGGAACUCCCAUGAUGCUCGGUUUUACAUUCAGUAUGUCAGUCAGAUAAUUAGGUAGCACUUCCUUGAUUCUCUGAAUGUUUCAGUCUGUAUUUCCUCGACAUAAAAAGUCCGCCACAACUAGGUCCUGAUGUUCUUCUUUUGCAGGUCCUAUGGGUCUGGUCGGAAGAAGGGGACUCAGCCAAGGAUCCUUCCAGAUUCUAGUGCUUUCCCCAUCACCAAUGGCUUUACCCAGGUUAGUUGCCAGGAGGUCUCUGCCUGCAAGAAUUCCCCGCCACCCAUGGGAUGCAGACUUCAGAGGUUCUACCUCAAGAAAAGACACCUUGCUGCAGUAUUUGCCUCUAAGAACUCUGGAAAGUAAACAAUCAGGUUUCGAGAUGAUCCGCCAAGCCUGUUUUGCGAGUAAGGCCGUGUUAAAAGCUUGGAUAUCCCUGAUACCAAGACCUCCUAAUGCUUUAGGUGCAGUGAGUGUUUCCCAAGCUACCCAAAACAUUUUCCUUUUUUUCCGGGGACUCAUCCCACCAGAAUCUUGUGAGUGCGGAUUGAAUGCGCUUACAUAGACUCACUGGCAGUUGGAAACAAGUCAUCGUGUAUGCCGGAGUGGCGGUGAGGACCGACUUUAGCAUAACAAGUUUACCGGCUGGAGAGAGUUGUCGGGAGCACCAGCACGCAGCCUGUUGUCUUAUACGAUCCACUAUACCAGUGAAAAGGUCUCUCUUCCGUCGACCGAAAUGUUCCGGGAGUCCUAGAUACUUUCCUACUCCGCCCUCUUUCUCAAUCCCGAGGUGUGAUUUAACACGUUCCCGUAUUACCUGCGGGGUCAUGGCUGAGAAGAAGAUGGAAGAUUUAGAAGCAUUAAUCAUCUGUCCCGAUGACCUUCUGUAUUUGUGAAUAAUUUCCAUCAGCGAGAUACAACUAAGGUCGUCUGUGCCAAGGAAAAACAUAGUAUCGUCCGCAAAAAGAAGAUGAUUUAUUUGCGGUGCAGGUAUCGCCACUCGCAGUCCUGAAAGAUGUCCGCUGCGCUGAGCUCUUAAGCACAGCCCGGAGAGCACUUCUCCGCAUAAGAUGAAUAAAUAUGGGGACAGCGGAUCUCCCUGACGAAUCCCUCUAGACAUCUCCAUAUUCAUCUCCCUCGCCACAGCUCAACCGAACGCUUCCACCAACUCUGACAUCCCCAUUUGUAGUCUGUUUUACUGAUGCAGCUUGGCAGGCUGGAUCAAAGAAGGCAGGCUGUGGAUGGAUCUUCACGGACCACCGGGAUGCGUGGUUGAAGCAGGGAACGAGCACCUUCAACUACACUUCAUCGCCACUGAUGGCUGAGGCUCUCGCCGUCAGAACAGCUCUCCUCAAUGCCCUCGAAGCGGGCUAUACCAGAAUCUGUAUUAAAUCAGAUUGUCAAGCACUUGUUGCGAUUAUCUCCUCGAAAAAACACCCGGCGGAUCUCCACGGAAUCACUCGGGAUAUCGAGUUUCUAUCUCUCUCCUUUGAUUGUAUCUCCUUUGUUUUCAUUUCCAGAAACUUGAACUCGGCUGCUGACGCCCUUGCAAAAUCAUCUCUGCACUCUGCUCCCACCAACUAGUUUGCUUGGUUUGGGUUUCAUCUAUAUUAUUCAGUGUUCAAAAAAAAAAAAAAAAAAAAAAGUCUUUGCAGUAUUUGGAAUUCUACAGUUACAUGGUGUUUCUAUCACAGUCCUCUCUAUAAGUGGCUUCAUAGGGACAAAAACAUUUGAAUGGAUCACAUGUCUUAUUAAUAUUUCUAUCUUGAGUGCAGUUCGAGCUUGAAAAUUGUUGUGUCAAAGCAGUAAACCGGAGAAAGAAUAAGAACAUGUACAGAGUUUGGGUUCGUGGGAGGUUCCAAAAGCCAUUUCUAAAAUAAAGAAAGGGAAGUGCUGGUCCAACUCUUUUGCGGCUCUUCUAGCAUGCAGCUUCUUUGCAUAGUGCAUCUUCUCAACUUCUCAUUGAUCCGACCCUCUGUCUCAGUGUGUUUGACGGAUAAGUCAACCACCUUCCCUAAAGUUUGAACGUUUGGGGUUUGGAACCAACAACCCAAAAAAAACUUUUUUGUUAAUAAUAUUUUGAGAUUGUUUGUUGUAAUGUCCAAAUAUGGGAAUCAUCUGAUAUAAAUUGAGAAAUGCUUCUUCUAGAGGGGAUGAGGAUAUGAAGAUAUCCAUCUUCAAGCUCGCCAGUUUCUUGAUCUGAUUCUUUCUGAUUGCUCAUGUUUAUUAACUAGAAACAUCGAACUAUUUUAUACUAAUCAGAGAAUCCAAUAUCAUGUGAGCCUUCUAGAGGGGAUGAGGAUAUGAAGAAAUCCAUCUUCAAGCUCGCCAGUUUCUUGAUCUGAUUCUUUCUGAUUGCUCAUGUUUAUUAACUAGAAACAUCGAACUAUUUUAUACUAAUCAGAGAAUCCAAUAUCAUGUGAGGUUUCACUUCAAUGGGUGCUUUCACACAACACACAUGCAGAUACACAUUUAAUAAGAAUUACAACAUGUACAUCUACUUUCUAGGGUGUUGUACUUCUGUUAUCCACAUACUUGCGUCAGAGGACUCAUCAGAACCUAUAUAUUUGUGACAAAAAAGUAUUAAAUCAUUUUUAGUGUUGCUACGUACGGAAGAGGUUGUCUGCAAGGGCUAUGGAGAUGAUAAAGUUCUAAGAUAAUAAAGAAGAGGUGAAUAAAUAAUUAAGAGAAAAUGUGUACUGGAAAUCACAAAAGAAAACUGAAAUGUUCUGGAGUUUAUACACGUUUAUUAAUUUUAGUCUGAAGAUCUUUAGUGAUGUUUACAAAACAUGAUAUAAAUAUAAUUUUUGUAAAUUGUUUCAAAACCUUAAUAACAGUUUUUUCGUAUCUUCCAUCGUCUAUAUUUAAUUAUUAACAUAAAAUAAACAUAUCAUAUUGACCAUAUAACAAAAAGUGACAUUUUUUCGUAUAUUUUAUUAUUUGAAUUUUAGAAAAUGACUAUAAAUUAUUAAUACUAUUCAAAUUCCCACAUUAAAGGUUGUGAUCAAGGGUUUAAAAAUUGUAUUGUAGAAAAUAUAAAUAAUCGUAAAACAUAUGAGUGAAAAUUUUCAUUUAAUAGAUAUUCAAAAAAACAAAUAUAUAUAUAUAUUAAAGUAUAUACCAUAUAAAAUAUAAAAAUAUUUUUAUUUCAAAAUUUUCAUUGAUGAUUUGCAGUGAAUAUUCAAGAGCUGUUAUAAAUUACUAAAAUUAUUAAAAGUCUCACAUUAAUUUCUUUUGUUAUCAUAAGCUUACAAUUUUUGUUAUAAAAGAUGCAUAAAAUCAUAAAACCAUACGAUUAAUAAUUUUCAUUUAAUAAAUAUCUAUAUUAAAAUACAUUAUAUAUUUAUGUUAAUAUCAUUUUUUCCCAAACAAAAUUUCCUAAAAAAGUAAUUUAUGUUACUAUCAUUUAAAUUUAUUUAUAUCUAUACAAAAUAUAUAAAAAUGAUUGUUUAUAUUUAUUUACCUAUAAUUUAUCACCAGUUUAUCACUUUUAACUUAAAAAUGUCUAUUGGAGAUAAUUUCUCUAUAAUUUAUCAUUGGUCAAUUUUACUAUUUAAUUAAAUGCUAAAUAUAUAAAGAUAUGUUUCUUAAUAUUUGUAUUUUUUAACCCAAAAUACUUAUAAUUUGAAACAAAAUAAAUAUUAAACAUAAUAAUAGAUUUUUAGCCUACAAUUUACUGUUACAUCUCAAUCAUAACUUACAAAAUACUAUCUCACUUAUAUAUAUAUAUAUAUAUAUAAAUUAUAAAUUAUAAUAAAUAUAAAAUGAACCACAUAAGUUAUUAUAUGAUAAUAACUUCCAGUACAACAGCAUGAAUACUCAGAAAGAAAUGAUGUAAUGCCACACUAAGAAAAAAAACAUAACUAAUUAUCAACAUAGCAUGGUUUAUUUAGUUUUAAAAAAACAUGUAUAAAAUUUAACUAAUAUAUUUAUUUUUAAUUAAUAAAAAAUUAUAUUAAAUAUUUACUCUAACAAUUUAAACUAUUUUUAAAUAUUCAUCCCGUCUGUAGUAAAUGAAUAUUUACUCUAAGAUAUGUGGUAUAACAUAAGAAAUAGCAAAUUAUCUUUUAAAUUUAUUGGAAGAAACAAAGAAAAUAGUAAAUGAACUAUUUAGUAAAACUGCUUAAAUACAAAAACAAAAUAUGCAAAAUAAAUUCAAGUUCAAACAAAAUAAUUUAUAUAGUAAUAGGAUAAAAACUAAAAAUUCAGAUGUACUAACCGCGCAUAGCAUCAUUUACCAAAAUAAUAUAACAACAUUUGAAUCCAAUAACAUCAACAAUAAUCAUUCUCUUAAAAUUAGAUGCACUACUCUUUACAUAUAAAAAGAGUUACAAUACAAUUUUACCAGAAAUUACUAUCUCAAAAUAAAAAUACACAAGUUUAAUUCAAUUUAAUAAUAUUAUAGGAAAAAUCUGGGCGUAGCCGGAAAACCCUCUAGUACAAAUAAAAAGAGAAGUAACCGGUGCAAAAGUUAUGUUAGGAUCCAAUGAUCGUAUCAUCUCCCCCAAUCAGUCUUUUUUUUAACAAUGUUUUAUUAUUCAAAUUUAAGAUGGUGUAGAAAUCUAGAUCAAAAUAGAAUACAUAACAAACACUAAAUUUGUAUGAAAAACAUGUACAGUCUUAGUCAAAGUGUCUUAUGUCCGGUUCCGCGCUUUUGGUAUAUGUGUGAUCUUAAAAUCCUGCAAUCUUCCUUGUAGUGUUGAUAUAUCCGCCAAUUAUAUUGAAAAACUAUGCCAUUAUGCUGGGUUCUGAAUCAAUGAAAUUACAUUCUUGCGGUUAGUCCCAAAAUGCUGACAUGUUGAAAAUUGUAUUUUGUAAAGUCCAUGAUCCAUCUACCAAACAGAUACGCUGCAAGCAUAAGACAUGUGUACUGGUUUACAAGGUGUUCUUUUUCUGAGCUUUUUGAGUUCGCAUCAAACCAUGGAUAACAUUCACUUUGAGCAUGUCUUAUUAGCUCUAACGGAUCUCUUGAGAUUUCACUAAACAAUUUAUCAUUAAAAGUUUUCUAAAGAUACCAGAUUAUCCAUGGAUACGAAUCUCUCUCUAGCUCUAGAUUUUCUAUUUCAUUAUUUCUCUAGAACAAAUAAUCCAAAUUAGAAAACAUACUUGAUAUAGGAACGAUGGUGUCAAAGUGAGAGCCCAAGUUUGUAAUGCAGGUGGGCAUUCAAAAAUUACAUGAUUGAUUGAUUCAUCAGAUUCUCCACAUCUAAGGAAUUGCUUAUCACAUUGCAUAUGACGACGUGUUAACCUCUUAAUGACUGCUAAAUAUCCAGAAGCCAUCUGCCAUACUAGAUGACACAUUUUUGUGGAGCAUUAAUUUUUCAAGCAAAUGCUUGAAACUUUGUGAUACUAGACUAUGAUACCAUUACCUCAGGUUCCUGGCGGAGGAUAUUCCUUGCAACCCAAUAACAUGAUUUCACCGUAUACAGCCCACUUUUUGUGUAGCUCCAACUGUACUUGUUAUCUCUGUUUGAUUGGUUUAUGGCCAAAAUUUCAAUUAACGGUAUAUCCUCUUGAACUACCAAAUUUUCCACCAUUUCAAAAUUACACACUUUUGGCAAGCUAUGGAUUACGUCACUCACUGUCAUAUGUGGAUGAACUACUGGCACAGAGGGUCGAGAUGGUCUAACAGGAAUCGUAGGGAUCGAAGGGUCUUCCCAUACUCGUAUCUGGAAACCUAAGUGUACCUUAUGUAUGAUCCCCAAGGAUAGAGAUGUCAAAAUCAGUUAUACUCAUGAGCUGGAUCAGCUCAUCUCGAUUAUUUAUGAGUAUGAGUUCUAUUUUAGGUUCAUUUAAUAAAUUAUUUUAGUGAGUGAGUUUAAAGUAGAUCACAAGUUAUAUGAACGAUCUUUAAUGAACGCCGGAUUAAUAGUAUUCUGGGCCGGAGCAUUGAACUUAUCUGAAGUGGCUCAUUUUGUACCAACUCAUGAGCUUAGUCAUUUUUAUAUUUUGGAUACUUCUAUUUUCUUAUGUAAAAAAUAUAAUUUCUAUCUUAAUCAUAUUUAUCUUGUAGAAUUAAAAUGUAAAAAUAAAAAAAUAGAUAUAUAUAGGAAAUUAAAAAAAACAAUAUAUAUAUAUAUCUUUAAGUUAAAAUGUAAAACAAAAUAUUCCUAAGAGAUAAUUUCUAUAUUACUCGUAAUUUUACAUUAAUAUUUAUAUUUAUUAUUUAAUAUUAAUGUUUUGGACUUUUUCAUAUUUAAAUUUUGAAUUAUAUUGCAGAACUUAUUUUAAUAUUUUAUUUUAUAAAAUUUUUUUAUUAUAUUAUUUUUAUAUUAGAUCAUGAGUUAACUCGUUUAACUCACGGUCAGAUGAUCUGAGUUCGAAUUUACAUAUUGAAGCUCAUAUAAGAAAUGAGCUGAGCUAGCUCAUGAAAAAUUCAAGCGUACUAUGAACUAAGUUGAAUUGAGUGAGUUAAACUCAUUUUGACAUGUCUACCUAAGGACAAUAAAGUCCUAGCUGCCAUUGAACUCUUCCAUAAAUAAGAAGCACUCUCAGCUGCUGUGCACGCAAAGACGAGCAUAAUCGAUGGUACCUUCCGCAUAUAACUAUCGCGGGAAAAGAAUCUAGAAAUUGUAUUAAUCUCCAUAGUUGUUUUGAUAGUAAUGCCAGAUUGAAUUCAUGAAUUAAUCUGAAACUGACACUAGAAGAAAAAAAAAGCUUUUCUUAGCGGACGAAAAACGCUAUCUAUCGAUACGAUAGCGGUUUUUGAAAUGAUGUAUCAUCGUCCGUCAUAGUAGGUCAAGCACUUUAAAUAGCGUUUUUUGCACUAUUAUCUUAUUGUUCUAUACGAUAUCGCUUUUUGUAUGCAAUUAAAUAUUUUUUUAAUAGCAUUUAUUUUUUGCUAUUAUUUAUAUUAAAAUAAUUUAAUUUUAAAAUAAUUUAAUUUUAAAAUAAUUUAUUUAAUUAUUUAAAAAUAAAAAUAUAAAGUAGAAAUCAGUUUAUAAUUAAAUCUGUUUGUAUUUAUAAAAAUUAAAAUUUGUUUUACAUAGUUUACAAUUGCAAAUUACAAUUAUUAACUAGCCCUAGUUAAACCAAUUUACUAUAGCUAAACCUAUCUAAACCUAACCAAGUUCUUCCUCAAUCUUAGCUGCCACCGAAAGGGUAAGGACGAUGGCGAGCUUGGAACCAUACUUCUCCGACUCAUCUUCUUCUUCGACAUAUUUCUUCUAUCACUACUUAGCUUCAGAUUCUCAUCUUCUUCUUCUUCUUCUUAUCUCACUUAGGCUCUUCAGUUUCCUCCAUAUCUUCUUUACCAUCUUCGACGCCGUUGCAAUGUUUUCUCUGACACCUCUUAUCAUGUAUUCUCCACAACCUUGCUCUGAUACUCCAAGCUUAGACUGUUUUCUCCAGCCUUUAGUUAUCUGAAACCUUUGUACAAACCAAAACAAUUUAAUCAAAGAAUCAACUAUUAACGAACAAAAUUAUCAGAAUUUACCUAUCUUCAUCGACUGAUUGAGAAGUGGUGAGUUUGAGAGAGAAGAGAGGUGAUAUGCAGAGAGAUUGAGAUUAGGAUCGAAAUCAAAACAAAAUCAUAGAGAGAUAUAGGUAUGGUAUCAGACAACAAUGGUGAUGACGAGCGGUGGUGGUGGUGUCGGACGGCGAUGGUGGUGACGAGCAGUGGUGGUGGUGGUGACAAGUGACGGUUUCAAAAGGAGAAGGUGACGAGCUUCACCAAAAAGAAGAAGAUUGCAGAGGACCAGAGGUUAUGAGAGAUGAACAGAUGAGAUUGCAGAGGAUUGUGAGAAGAUUGAUAAUUUAGUUUGAGAUCUAUGAGAAAAAUUGCAAAGAUCGUGACUCGUGAGAAACAAAAAGAACAAAGAGAUAAUGAGAGAAAAUAAUAAUAAUAUCCGUUAGAUUGAGAUCUAUCAACGUUGGAGAUUAGUAGUUUAGUUAUCCUCACUAUUCUGAAUUGGAUCUUCCUAUUGGUCAACGUUUUUUCCUCUUUAUUUUUGUUCUUUGUUGUACUCUGUUUUCUAAGAUUUAAUAUAUUUAAUAGUUACUUUUAUUUUGUGGUUAAUAAUUUAGUGAAUGUUAUAAUAGUGGGUUUAAGAUUUGUGCUUAAAUUUAAAAAAAUAUAAAUUUAAAAUUCAUAUAUAGAGUUUAUAAAACUAAUGAUAUGAGAUUACAAAUUGAUUAGAUUUCACUUUUAAUAAGCAAUUUAAGUCAAAUAAAAAUAAGAUUAAUAAACUCGACAAAAAACUAUGAUUAAUAAAAUGAUUAGAUUUCACUUUUAUAAGCAAUUUAAAAUUUAAAGCUAAAUAAUAGAAAAUAUUAGAGUUUUAAUAUUUUAGUUAGAGUUUAGGGUAUAUGACUAGUUUGGAGUAUGAUAUAUAUAUAUAUAGGGUUUGAGGGUUAAAGGAUUGCAGAAUUGAUUUAAGAUUUUAAGUUAAAGUUUGAAAAUAAAUUUGAAUUUGUUUUAAGAAUUAGAUUUAAUUUUGAAAAGUUUUUAUCUAGAGCUUAGUUUUAAGGUUAUGAGUUUAGAAUAGAGGUUGAGUAUAUGGUUAAAGGUUUAGGGUAUUGAGAUUUGCAAUUAAUGUUUUUAAAAGAAAUAACUUUUGAGUUUAUAUCUAAUAUUUUAGGUUAAAUUUAAGAUUUGAUGUUAGAAUAUUAGAGUUUGAAGUUUGUAUUUAGAGUUUAUGGUUUAAAAAUUUGUUUAGGGUUUAGAGAUUUAAAAAGGCAAAUAUAGCAUUUUUAAUUAUGUACUAUUAAAAAUACGCUAUCAUAGCAUUUUCAAAUAGAUCACUCUAUCAUAACAUUUCUAAAUAUACAAACGCUAUCUAAAGUUAAGAGAUAUGUCAACUAUAGAAGAAAGGCAAAAAACACUAUCUUCUACUGCUAUCAAAACCUUUUUUUCUUGUAGUGUGAUACCCCCUUCUUCUUUUGGACAGAACAAUUUCUCCCACUAUGUCCAGCGCAUUUUUUGUUUGGAUUGGUUCGAGCUCCAAUAGAAUGUUCAAUGGCACUUGCUAAUUUUUCUUAAGUUUCCAAUGAGAAAAAAAAAGUAGAGAAGACAUAAAUUGGCAGAGCUAAAACUAUAGCCUUUAUAAGGUACAAAAAGUUUUAAGGAUCCAAAAUCAAAAAUAUGUUUCCUAACGAUAAAUCUAAACUCUAAAUUAAAAUGGAAAAAAAUGUCCAUUACUUUUAGGGGGUGUUAUUCAAUCACUGAUUUCAAAUCAGUUAUUAAUGUCUUAUAAUCUAUCAAAUUUUAAAGUUUUAAGUUGAUAGAUUCUAAAAUCUCUGCAGUAGACCUCAGAUUUUGAAUUCAUUCAUUUAUUCAUAAGAAUCCAUAAGAGAUGAUUUGAAAUCAAUUUAAAAUACAAAAAACACUAGAUUUUAAAAGCUGAAUUUAAAUCAUUCAUUGAAUAACACUAGAUUUUAAAAUAGAAUUUAGAAUCACCAUUUGAAUAACAGUGGAUUGUGUUUAGAUUUAAACUCUAUUAAAAUACAUGAUUGAAUAACACCACCUUAUAUUAUAUAAAUAGUAUUCUCUUAAAAGAUUAGGUAAAAUUGUGCUAUUAAUUUUUUGUUAGCUUGGUCCCUUAUACUUUUUUGGUUGUGAUUAUAUUGAUUCUAUAUAUUAUUUAUUUUAGAAUGAUUUGAUUGCGCACACAAGUGGAAAACACAAAAAUAAAACACAAAAAUAAAAACUGAUUAUCUUAGUAAGAAAAAUAGUGGAGAAAAAGUUUGAAAAAGUAUUUUUUUGAAAAAUUAAAUUAUAUUUUAAUUUCUCUUAGAUUUGUUUUUAUUUUAUUGUACUAUAUAAAAAAUAUGUAAAUUAAAAAAAAAACCAGAUUUUCCUUAGGUCUCUCUGAGCCUAAGCACCGCACUGCAAAAGUAUUAUAAAUAUUUUCAAUGGUUAGUUUGUGUAAUAACCAAAUUUGGAGAUAAAAUUAAAAAUAAAACAUUGAUUUUGACAUAAUUAGAUCUCAUAACAUUUUUACCAUUGUUUCCCGAUUUUGUCCCUUUUUAAGCUGGUUCCUAGUUACACAAAAGAAAAAGAAUCAAUAUAAAAAUGUAUGGUGAUAUUGAUUACCACAUCGACAACAAAAAUGAAUAUGAUAUAACAAACUGAAUGGUAUAAAAUAAACUAAACAAAAUAGUAUAUAUACUGAAAUUAUCAAAUAUCAGAUUAUAUAGAAAAGUAUAAUGUGUAUACAUGCUCAACAUCUACAACUAUUUUUAAUGUUCAUAUGUAUCUUAUAGAUAGUAAACAACAAUAAAAUAAAACUAUAAGCAUGUAAACAUAACUCUUUCAUUAUAUAAGAACAUUGAAAAUAAUAAGACUAUAUCCAAAACACUAAUCACUAAACCCUAAAAGGAAAUAUAAACUCUAACCGAAAUAUCAAAAUAUGCACAUAAUACAUAAUAUGAAGUAUUAUAAAAUAGAAUAGUAACAAACGAAAUAACAUAGUACAUAUUUUUCAAAUGUUAAAAUGUAUAUGAUUGCAUGGAAUGAGGUAAUGCUUACCCCAACGUCAACCCAAACCUUCUAUAAUCUAAACCCAAAAUACUAAUCACUAAACCCUAAUCCAAAUAUCAAAAUAUGCACAUAGUACAUAAUACGAAGCAUUGUUAAAAUGGAAUAGUAACAAACGAAAUAACAUAGUAUAUAUUGUUCAAAUAGCAUAAUACAUCCAGAAAUUUACAGUACAAACGAGUGGUAGUUGUUACGGUGGAAGAGGUGGUGACUGAUAUCAAGGAGAUAGAUAGUGGUUGUUUUGAAAGAUGUGAUGGAAAAAAUAUGAAAGCAAAGAUUACAGAUUUGGUUAAUAAUUAAAAGAAAUGAUGACAAUAGAUACGGUGAGGCCCAAAUGAUUUUUUUUUUUUUUAACAAAAAGUGAAGGUGGAUUGAAAGAAGUAGUGAUGGUGGUAGGUAAUCGAAGAAGAAGAAGUAUAUACAGUUUUUAACCGGUAAAUAGGGAUAGUAUAGUAUAUAUUGUAAUAAUAGUGGAGAUUGUUUAUUUUUUAGCUAGAUACCUAAUUAUGAUUUAUUUUAUUGUUACUUAGACCAAUUUCCCUAUUUUCAAAUUGUCGUUAAUUUAUUAUGACAAAUGUGGUGUGUAGCUCAACUAUUUAUAAUUCAUGUUCUGAACAUUAACAUAUUUCUAGUGGCUCUUAACACUCUUACAAACACAAAGUGUAGAAAAGGACGAGGAGAAAGACAUACUAGGUAAUGUAGAAAUUAUUAUCUUAGAAAUAAAAACCUUAAAUGAUGUUCGACCGCAAGAAGUUUUAAAUUGAGCAUUGAAGUAUGUUCGAGUGCCCGAAAUUUGAAAUUGAGCAUUGAAUUAUGCAAUAACCGCUAAACUAUGGUCUUUGAUAAUUGAUUGAUUACAUGAAACAUUCUCAAAAUAUUUACGUAUAUGAUAUAUAAACUUGUGAAACCUCUUAUUUGAUCAGAGUUUAUGCUUGUGCUUGAAUCGGAUAGGGUAGCCAUGAAUUUGUAGCAUGUUUCAACUGAGUGUCUUGUAUAACCACAAUUCGCACAAAUUGGCUUGUUCAACUGCUUAUGAGCAUAACUGAAUUGCAUUGAUUUAGAUUAUAGAAGAGAUGAGACAUAAAUUAAAUGAAAUUGCAUUCUGAAUAUGAUUAAUAUUUGUAUGGCUACGGUUUUUUGAUCAAGCAAGUUGUAAAUCUCAAAUAGUUCCGCUUCAUGUUUGUUCAUGAUUAUUGUGUUUCUAAUGAUUGCAUAAAAAUUGUUUAAGCUAACCAAGCACUCCUUGAUUGAGCGACAAGAUUUGUUGAGAUAGUUGAUAUGUGAAAUAUGAAAUUUGGACAUCAAAUCUUUCCAUAUUUUUUCAUAGCAUCAUUAAAUCGUAAAAGGAUUUUGUAUUUCUUCUAAGGAAUAUGAUGAGUAUCCAACAUAAACAUUAAAUUGAAUCUAAACCAGGUUCAAAAGUUAGGACGUGGCUGAGUUGGCCUAACUACAAAACCAUCUAUAUAUGUGAUUGUAUUUUUUUCUAAGACUACAGUCAACAUAAUACAUCAGUUAUCGCAAUUUUUGCCGUCUAGUAACUCACAGAUUAUCACAAAUCAAGGAUUAUCUCUAUUUCUAAUGAAUAAUGGAGAAUUGGUGCUAUCUGGAAAAAUAUGGGAAUGUCAUUAGAGGAUCUUGUGAAGUUAUUUUGGAGUAAAGGGGGUUCUUUAAAAUGACAUUGUUGCCAUGGUUAACUGACGUGGAGACUUGGAGCGAUCACCACUACUGAUGAUCCACGCUCUCAACAAGUUUUAUUACUGAUUCCUGGUGAUUUGACCAAAAAUCUAUCACAAAGUUUGAUAAAAAUCGUUGAAAAUUUUAGGUUCUUGAAAAGAAGAAAACAAAGAAAAUAAAAAUCAAAUGAGGUACAAGAUUUGUACGUCAUCGCUCUAAUAUUAUGCAAGAGAACGAGCUCGAUCUCAACGAAUCAACAUUAAUUUUUGUUUUUCAUGAUAUUGAGAACACAUACAGCUACUCUCAUUAUAUAGAAUGAAAGCGACUAACAUUCAGUUUACAUUUAAUCUAGUAUAUGAUUUAGUUACACUGAUUAUUAGGUUUCACACUCUCCCUCUACUUCAAUCUGGUGGUUACUGUAGAACCUAAAAUCUACACAAAGUAUUUGAUAGUGAUUGGGGUUUGAUCUAAAUAAGACAAAUGAUGUAGGCAACAAUAUCUUUAGAACACAAUGAUGUUAAAUAGUUUCCAAUAGGUGAAAAUGGACUUUAUUGAUGAAUAAGAUCAAAUACAAUGGAUUGAACUAGAUCGACUGAUACAAACGAGAUCGGUAAAGAAAGAAUCUAAAAGUGGGAAGACAACAAGAUCGGUGUAAGUGUAUAGCUCUCUCUAGGGUUUUCAACAUGUCCUCUUAUGUUUCCAUUACUCUUCCUUUAUAGUAAGCUGACUUCGAGACCCCUGUGGUAGCUCCACGAUCUCAGCUUCUUGUUGCACGAUCUCCGCGACCUCGACGACUCCUUCUCGAGCUCGUAUCCUUGCUACGGGCUACGGCCCUUUAAGGCCCAUGCCUUUGAUCGUGGUCCAUUAUGGUAUUGGCCAUAAUUGGGUCCAACAGUUACCAUGGAUGCAAAAAGACCGCCGCCAAUCCUUAAAUAUAGAAAUAGAAGCAAAAGAUUCUCAUCAAGCUCACUACAAAACACACAUGUUUAUCCGUCCUCAAGCUCACUUAUGUAGCAUGUAUUUUACCCACUUUUAGCCAUGGUAUAUAAGUGUUUUUAAAUACAUUAUAGUUUUUUGGAAAAAAUUUAGUAUGAUUUCAGAUUUUGGAAUGCUUUAGAGGAAAAUAAUGAUUUUGGUGCAUUUUGGAUAUAAAGUAAAAAAUACCCGUAACUGACCAUUGAACAGUCCGGUGGUCGAUGAUUGAAGAUUAUACUCGAUUGACACACUUUGUGUUUUUGAUCGACGGCGAAGCGCACAAAGAUUAGACUUGCUUCCAGUUAACUUUUAAGCCCAAGUCCCACAAGAAUUACCAAAUUGUCCCUGACGAAUUUUAACUUAAUAUUUAUGUGCUCUACCAUUGUUCUAGGCAACACACGCUUUCAAACUUUCUUACACAGCAAAAUACUUAGAGUUUUAGGUUUGGAGAGAAGAUCCAAAACUCCUUCAGAGAUUUGUGAUUGAAACUCCAAGUUUUUUUUUCUACUUUAUAUAUUCUAUGCAGUUUUACUAUUGUCUUGUUAUUAAUUGCUUAGCUAUGUCUCAGUAGUUCUCUUUGUUAGAUUUAGGGUUCAGAUAUUCAUGAGCGAUUAGCCAAAAAUAUAGAAUUCCUAAGUGUUGGGAUAUCAAUCAAUUGAACUGUUCUUUAAUGCAUGUGUUCUAGAGUAGCUUAAUCCUUGUCUAUAGAUAUUAGGGCGCAAGCGGAAGAAUGGUCUUUUGUCUGAUCUGGUUUACACUGUGCUAGGAUUGCUAGAAACAAGCGACAACUGAUUUAGUUAACCUAGUGAACAAGUCAAACCCAUGCGGUAAUGCUUUCCGUAAGGAACAUCGAUCGACAACUCAGUAGUUGCAUCGAUCGACGGGCUGAAAAGUGUAUCGAUCGACAUUUUCUCAAGACCAACAAGCGACAUCUGAGGUCUUAGAUCUGGCAAUAGAUAUUCUAAAAAUACGGAAGUUGAUUGACUAUUCUUUAAGUUUAAGUUCUAGAAUAUCCAUUGGAUAUUCUAGAUCGCAAACUUCGGUUUAGACUAAGUGUAUGUUGGAUAUUAUCCAACAUACACUUAGUCUCUAUAUAUCUAUAAUCUCGCUUGUCUGAAUAAAACCCUAAGUCUAACGCCUUUCAUAUCUAUUUCAAAACCCCAAUCAAUUAACCGAGUAAUUACUUUUUUUCACACCACUGCUAUUUACAUUUAAACAUGUUUGCCUAGCUUAACCACAUAACUACUAGAUCUUUUUGUGUGUCUUAGCUCCAUGUUAAUUUGAUCCUUAAGUGCUACAACUUGACCUCCUAUUUGAGAGAGUACAAAUCACUCCUUAGGGUAAUUUGAGUGAUAUCAAAUUUGGCGUCGUUGCCAGGGAGCUUCGAUCGCCAUUAGAUCUUAUUUUGUUAGGUUUAGUCUAGGUUUUUUGUUACAUGCAAAAAAAAAAUUUCUUGUCUUUCAGGUGCAUGCCUUGCAGUACCAGAAGCAACAAGGAACAAACAUUGCUCUUUUCAGAUCCUGCACCAUGGAUUGCUAUAUUCACACAUGAGCCUACAGAGUCAUUCAGAAGCUCCUGGAUCAGAUUCAAGUUAUAUCAGAGAGACUGUCCACACCAUGGAUUCAAUAAAGUUCAGCUGCUCAGCACUUUCUUCAGAGGCAUCGAGCUGUCAUAUCAGAUGGCUCUAGACUCAGCUAGUGAUGGAAACUUCAACACUAGGAAUCCAAAAGAGGAUCUGAGACUUAUUGAGAACUUGGCAUCCAGCAAUAGCACCAAGAACAAUGAUUUUGAGAGGAGAAAAUCGGCCACUACCCUAGGGAAGGAGCAGAUGGACGAUGUUAAGGCUAAGCUGGAUAGUGUUCCCAAGCUUCUCAAGAAGCCGGUCAGCUUUGCAGAGGAUGUAGAAGCUAUAGAUGUCGACAUUGACAAAGAUGAAGAGGAGGAUGUGAACUUUGUUAGUGGUACAUGCUUUCAGAAUCUGAGGUAUGAAAAUCAGAGUGGAUACAUAAACUCUUAUGGCAAUGGACAGAAGAGUGGAUACAACCAGAGCCUGCAGUACCAGAAACCCUUCAGUAACAACUACAACAUCAGCAACAACUACAACAUCAGCAACAUCAGCAACAGAGUUUAUGGGAAUUCUUUCUACCAGAAUCCGCCACCACAGACUCGGGAGAGCAAGAUAGAGUCCUUGCUUGAUCAAGUUCUUGAGGGUCAGCAGAAGUUGAUGAUUAUUUCAAUGGAAAGAUAGAUGAUGUCUACACAGAGCUCAACUCAAAGUUUGAGUCUUUGAACACAGAUGUGAGGAAGUUGGAGACACAAGUGGUUCAGACAGGAGAAACUGUUAAGAGGCAGGAGGCCUUCAUCAAGGGUAAAGGAGAGGAAUCACUGAAGCACAACGUGAUGCCAUCAUAGAUGAUGAUUUCUGGCAAGUCGUAAAAGAUGAGAAGCUUCAGGAAGGGGACUUUAGAGUCGAGAGCUCCAUUAGUUUUGGUAGUUGAUCCUGGUGUGGACCGACACCAAGAAAUGAACAUCGACCGAUGGAGACAGACGAAUAUCGAUCGACAUCAGCUACUCAGCAUCGAUCGACAGAGGAAUUUGCGUCAUGCGCAGCAGUAAGGAUCCUAACUCACGAAGAGUUUGCAGCUAAACACCCUCAUCCACCCAAACCCUUACGCAUUAAGAAGUUGGAUAUCGAUUGGGGCCAUGAACCAUCUACCGAUCGACAAAAAGACUCAACCGACAAUCGGAGGGCUUACUCCAGCGUCGAUCGACAACCACCUCUCACGUACCGAGUGCAUCUACUAAAGAUAGAUGUAUCAUGUUUGAAUGCACUCAGGAAUCCAUCUCAACCUUCAUAAACUAUUGUAGACAACUUCAGUCAACAAUCUGAUGAUGCACCAGAGUCAAUGCAAGUUGAUCAGACUUCUGAGAAGAGAACCUUGAGGAGAAAGAAGGAAAAAGGUUCAUAAGCAUCUUAAGAGAGGAGUUAAUGAGAAGGAGAUGGAUAGCUUCACUAAAAGAGUUCUUAGGAUACCCUUGGACUAGGGAUGUUAAAAUGAGUAAUUACCCAUGGGUGUACGGUGUACCCAAACCCACAAGUAUUGGGUUGUGUUUUUGCCUUUCAAUAAAUAAAUGGGUUCACAAUGGGCUUUUACCCUUAAAUAAAUAAAUGAAUUUACACUAUAUGGGUAAACCCAAUAGAGUGAAUGGGUACCCACAAAUCUAAAAAAUACUAAAUGACGACGUUAAAACUUCUCCUCCUUCUCUGAGACUCCGACUUCGAAACCUCCAUCGUCUUCUCUGAGACUCCGACUCUCCCUCUAAUCUAAAGUCUGAAACUCUGAAUCGUCGAGUUUCACCGUCUCUCUCAGGUUCUCCCUCCCCCUCUCUCUCUCUCUCUCUCUCUCUCUCUCUCUCUCUCUCUCUCUCGAUCUCUCUAUCUCUCUUGUUUUGAUUUUGAUUGUUUUCUUGUCUCAGGGAAGAAACUUCAUCAGGUUUUGAUUCUGAUUGUUCGCUUGUCUCUGCAGCAAACCCAUUAUCAGGUUUCCUCUCCAACUCUCUUCUCUAGCUUCUUUUGAUAGUGAAAGAAAAUUAGUGUUGUUGAUGAAAAAUUUGGGUAUUAUUGAAUGUGUUCGUCGAAAUGUCCCAAAGAGAAUCUCUCUUGUUUUAUAUAAAACUAUUUUGCCCAAUUCUCUUGUGAUAUGUUACUCUUCCGUGUCUUUGCGUUUAAUCAUAUAUGUAGAUUGUGGAAAAUUUACAUUUUUUAAGAGUUGAAAGAAGACCCUUUUAGUGUAGAAGUUAAAGUAUAUGUAGAAUGUUAUGGUAUGUUACUGUGUUUGCUUGAUCUCUUUGCAUCAACUUCUCUUUGUAUAUGUAGAUGGAUUCCCAGUCAGUGAGAGUACUUGCAGGACUUGAAGAGCAACUAGAUAUGGACAGAGAGGAGAAUGAAGCUGAACUUCAAGGAGCCCACAGUGAAACUCAAGUGACUCAACCAACAAAAACGGUAUUUCAGUCUAACAAACGCUUAAAGGCUGAUGUUUGGAAGGAAUACAUACCGGUAGGUGUAGGGAUAGAUGGAAAAAAACAGAGGGCGUUGCAUUUAUUGUUGUAAGGAGUUAGUAAUAGAAGUUAAGAAUGGAACAUCAUCUUUGAAACGGCAUUUAGAAAUCUGUCCAGUGAAGCCUCAAAGUGAUGGCAAUGCUGAAAGGAAGUAUGAUCACAAUGUAAAUCGCGAAAUGACUAGUGAGCUUAUUAUCUAUCAUGAUUUGCCUUUUCGGUAUGUGAAGUACGAGAAGGUUAGGGCAAGAGAUAAAUAUCUAAACCCAAAGUGUGUGCCUAUAUGCCGACAAACCGCUGCUGCUGAUGUCUUCAGGAAAUAUGAGAUGGAGAAAGCAAAGCUCAAAAGACUUUUUGCAAAUCUCAAAAGCCGAGUGUGUUUUACGACAGAUCUUUGGUCAGCUCGCACGGUGAUGGGGUACAUUUGUUUGACUGCCAACUAUAUUGACAAUGGUUGGACCAUAAACAACAAGAUCUUGGCGUUUUGUGAAAUCAAGCCUCCUCACACGGGUGAUGAAAUAGCUAAAAAGGUGUUGGGUUGCUUGAAGGAGUGGGGCUUGGAAAAUAAGGUAUUCUCCUUCACCUUAGAUAACGCUACUAGUAACACUAGUAUGCAAAAGAUUCUUACACAUCGUCUUCAGAUGGUUGCUGGAAAUAGAUUGCCAUGUAAUGGAAAGUUCUUACACGUGAGGUGUUGUGCCCAUAUCCUAAAUCUUAUAGUGAAGGAAGGAAUAGAAUUAGCUAAUAGUCUGUUGGAGAAUAUCCGCGAGAGCGUGAGGUUUGUGAAAGCCUCUCAAUCAAGGAAAGAUGCUUUUGCUGCUUGUGUUGAAAGUUCAGGGACUACGGGUAGCUUAGGAUUGUCUUUAGAUUUAUCUACUCGCUGGAAUUCAACCUAUGAUAUGCUCGCAAGGGCUCUUAAGUUCCGUAUGGCGUUUGCUAGUUACAAAGUUUGUGAUAGGAGCUAUAACACGCUGCCUUCAGAGGAAGAAUGGGAACGUGGGCAGAAAAUUUGUGACUUCCUGAAGCCUUUCAGUACCAUCACAACAUACUUCUCAGGUGUGAAAUAUCCAACUGCGAAUAUAUACUUCAUUCAAGUUUGGAAUAUCGAAUUGCUAUUAAGGAAAUAUGCAGAUUGUGAUGAUGAGGAUUUGAGGUUAAUGGCUAGGAGGAUGCAAAUCGAAUUUACAAAGUACUGGGAUGAUUAUAGCAUAGUUUUAGCGAUGGGAGCUAUGUUGGAUCCAAGGUUCAAGACUCAGAUACUCAAAAAAGCUUUUGAUAGGUUAGAUCCAACUACUUCCGAGAAAAAAGUUAAAGUUAUAGUGCAGAAUCUGAAGGAUCUGUACGAAGAGUAUACGAGCAAGCUUGUGACGGGUUCAUCUUCUAGUUCUAACUAUUCAUCAACACCAGAUGACCUUCUUAAUGAAUCACCCCUUGAUGAUGAUUUGAACGCUGUAAGAUUACUUAAUUUACUUAUUUUCUUGUCUUGAUGAGUAUAGUUGAAAUUGUCUGAUUAUAUUGAUGUUCUUGUCUGAUUACAAUAUAGGAUCUUUUUGAACUUGAAAGGAGUAUUCACCAUGGUUCAGAUAACACAAAGACGAGUUUGGAAUUGUAUUUGGAAGCCGAGGCUUGAGUUAAAAGCUUUUGCAGAUAUAGAAGUUUUGAGCUAUUGGAAAGAAAAUGGGCAUCACCAUGGUGACUUAGCUGUGCUAGCAAUGGAUCUUCUCAGUAUCCCAAUAACUACAGUUGCAUCAGAGUCCGCUUUCAGUAUCGGUGGUCGUGUAUUGACCCCAUACAGAAACCGCCUUUUUCCAGACAAUGUGCAAGCAUUGCUUUGCACUCGUAACUGGUUGCGUGGUUAUCCAGAACUUGAAGGUAACUUUACAGUGUGUGCAUCCAUGUGUGUGCUUCAUGCAUUCAUUGUUCGUUGUCUUUGAUGCCUUGACUUAGAUAUUAGCUACAGCGAUUAAAUAUUCCUCUCUGUCUCGUCAUUGGCUGUAAACGUAGACAGCAGUAAUAAGAUUAUGUCUUUCUUAUGGCUUUGGACAUUCAUGAUUAGUCAUUGCAGUUGUAAGAAUCUGAUUCUUUGAAGACUUCUAGUUUCUGGUGUUGUUGAAGCAUUAGUAAAGAGCAUAUUGAUGUGCCUUUGGUGACAAUUUGUUGUUCUUCACCACCAACUUUGGUGACUGAUGCUUUGGUGCUUUGUUUGUUUUGGUAUUCUAGGUGAUAUUGAAGAUAAUUUCGAUGAGGAAGCUACAAAUGUUGCAAGUUCUUCAGGAGUAUGAGAGAGAUUCAAGAUUCAAGAAGCUACAAAUAUUGCAAACUACUAUUUAUUUUAAUCUGAAUAAAAAUACUUUUGCUACUUCUUUACAAAUGUUGCAAGCUACAAUUUGUUUCAAUCUGAAUCAAAUAUAAAUUUAUUAUAAUUGUGAUUUUAAUAUUUAUGCAUAGAUAUUUAAAUUAUCUUUUUAUUAGUAUAUAAAAUGUAUAAUUUGAUUAUGUAUGCAAAAAGAUAUAAAUAUUUUACAUGAUCUCUUUACAACAAAUAAAAUAGUUUGGGUACCCAUGGGUAAACCUAUACCCUACUGGGUUAUUUUAUGGGUUUUAAUUUAAUCAUAAUGUUUUUGGAUUUUCGCGGGCUGGGCAUAAACUGGGUCGGGUUUUUUGUGGGUUGGGCUGGGCUGGGUUAUUUCACCUAUUUUAACAUCCCUACCUUGGACAAGCCGUUUGAGGAAGCUUACUUUACCCACAUGUUGUGGAUGUUCUUCAGAGAGACCAAGGAAACUGAACAUGACAUACAUAGGAUGUUCAAUCAGGUCAGAGAGAAGAUGAAGCAGAGGAUUACACUAAAGAAGAUGAGUGAUCCUGGGAAAUUUGCAGUGCCAUGUUUGUUGAAGGGCAUUGAAUUCAUGUGUGCGCUGUGUGACACAGGUUCAUCAAUCAGCAUACUAACCAAGAUAAUGGCAGACCAUCUGGGUCUGAAGAUAGAGCCUUCGGAGGAUUCAUUCACUUUUUUGGACUAUUCUACGAGGAACUCAGGAGGAAUCACCAGAAACCUUGAGGUGGAGAUUGGUAAUGCACUAGUUCCAGUUGACUUCCAUGUCCUAGACAACAAACUGAACAUGAAUCAUUCUCUACUCCCUUGGAGAGCCUUCAUGGCUACGGUAUGGGCAGUUUGCAACAUGCAGACUAAUCAGUUGUGUCUAACACUGAUAAACCAUGAUGUCUACUAUGAUCCAGUCAGAAUUGACAAGCCACAUACGUCCAACACUGGAGUUGAUACAAGAUUCAUAGCAGCAUGCUACUGUGAAUUUGAAGCUGAAUACUAGACAAAGUGUGAAGCAUCAAUCGACAGCCAUACUCAACCAUCGAUCGACAAUGCCAUUCAGCCAACGAUCGAUAACCACCUAGGAAAUCGAUCGACAGUAGUCAUGCGAAUGAAACUUUCGCUUUGCCAAAACACUGCUAUCCGAGUUUUGUAGUUAACACCCAGCCUCAGAUAUCGAUUGAUUACCAUUACGGUGACACGAUCAGCAGACAUGACGACUAUUAUAUUGGCAGUUGAGAAAAUGAUAGCCAUCAUGAGAGCUUUGCAGUUGACAUUGCACUACAUGAGAUGCGAUCUGAGGAGUAUGACGAGGAUUACCCCAGAGAGAAGAAUAUCGAGUAUCAUGGUGUUGCCAUGGAAGAAGAAGGAGUUCUCCAUACAUCACAUGCAGAUAAGAAGGCAAAAUUAAAUCGACAUCAACACCAAGCCAUCGAUUGACGCUCAUCACACACCAAAUUCCGAGGUACAAGUAAAAGAUAAUACAAAUUAUGCUUAUCUAACUCCAUAUGAAUAUGGUAUUUUCAGGGAUCCAGAAGGCCAAGCACGAGCCCUGGAUGGACACAUUCUCAACAUAUCCAGGGAGGAAAUUGCUGAAAUCAUUUCCAUGAAUGGGUCCAGAAACUUAAUAGACACUCAUAACAGAGCAGAGGAUCCAUCAUCGAUCGACGAAGCAGAUGCACCAUCAAUCGACGGUCAGUCCGAAUUGAGACGAAGAGCGCUUCUCUAGAACAGGAAAAUGAAACCUCAUUGGGAGAUGAAUUUGGUAUUUUCAGGGAUCCAGAAGGCCAAGCACGAUCCAUGGAUGGACACAUUCUCAACAUAUCCAGGGAGGAAAUUGCUGAAAUCAUUGCCAUGAAUGGGUCUAGAAAAUUCUUAGACACGCAGAACAUAGCAGAGGAUCCACCAUUGAUCGGCGAAGCAGAUGCACCAUGGAUCGACGGUCAGUCCGAAUUGAGACGAAGAUCGCUUCAUCAGAACAUGAAAAUGAAACCUCAUUGGGAGAUGAAAAACGAGUAUAGUGUAACAUCAACCGUGCAGAACAAGCCACUUACAUCAAAGCAGAGAUUGAUGAGUUGGUAGCAGAUAUCUAUAGAGCUAUGAGGACGACAUAUGAUUAUCAUUCCAAGAGGCUCGAUGACAUCUACUACCCAUUCAACAACAAUAUAAGCUGGUUAACCACACGCACAGAUGAUAUGAAGCAAGACAUAGCCAUGAUUCAAGAACAACAUGCAGUCGGUGGAGGAGCAUAGAAAUCGAUUGCCGCUCACAUUUAACAAUAGAUCGACGCCCACAUCCGUACAUCGAUCGACGCUCAACUUGCAUCAUUUGAAGAUAGGCUACAAUCAUUCACCUAUAGGCUUAAUGGUAUCUACUACCCGCUCCGUGACGACAUAGAUUCAUUGACUACACACAUGAACGCACUGCAGCAGGAGAAAUACACGAUUCAGAGACUUCUAUAUUUUCAAGCAGAGCAGUCACCAUCGAUCGACAGCGAUUAUACAACAUUAUGAGGCAAGCUGGUAACCGAGAAAUUCUUACAUGAUAAGCUUGAUGAUAUCACUUUCUCUCAAGACUUGUUGAAAGAAGAUAUCUAUUAAGAGUUGAAGGACAUCACAGAAUCAACACAUGCCAGACUUGGAAUUCACCAGUGCAGCAUUGGUAAUCUUCAGAAUAGGAUGCAUGUCAUUGAGGUUGAUAAGGAGAUACUGAAAAAUCAGUGGACCAGAGGAAAUAAGACCAUAAGAAGCUUCAUUGGUACAUGGUUCCAGAUGAGCAACGAAGAUGUAGACACUUGUUUCCCAACAAGUAGUCAUCCACCUCCUUACUAGCCAAAAACAGCUUCCAAAGUCAAGCUAAAUGACUAUUACAAAGCGCUGAGUGGGAAGCAACCCACUAUUAGGUAAUUUUUUUUCAGUUUUCACUUUUUAAAUUAUUUAUUUUUUCAUUCAAUUUAUUGCAGGUAUAAAAAACAGAAAAACCAAAAAGAGACCCGAGGAGACGAUUACUCAGUCAUCGACCGAUGAGACCAAGUCGACGUCGUUCGACAUCACGACACCAGAAACGAUUGAUAGACACUUCAAUGUGUCAAUCGACAUCGACAUCCGCGAUCAGGUAUAUAGUUUUCCUUGUUACAUUAUGUACUUAUGAUUUAUGUUCUCACCAAACUCCGACUAGAUAUACACUAGGGAUAGUGUAAUUUAAGUCUAGGGGAAAGUUUACUGAUAUUAAUUUACCUAUGAGUUUUAUAAAUGUUUUCAAAAAGUUUUAUUGAGUCAAGAAGGGGACAAUGAACUUUUUUCAAUUUCCCUCACUUAUCUAACCACUCUUUAGCAUCAUUCUUAGAUUUAUUAACUGCAGAUUGUAUUAUAGAUGCUAAAGUGGAUCAUCCUGCCAAUUAUUCACACUUGCUGAGACUGUUUGAAGGAACCAAAUCCAACCUCCAACCUAAUUGAGCUCAACUUGCUUGUCUUGGGGCAUGGUAUAUAUUGGAUCGGAAUCCUCCUUCAAGUCUGGAAGGUAUUAGACUUAGUGUCCCUGGUUUUCCUUCAACCUUUCUUUGGCAUCCAUAUAUAUAUUUACAGAAGAUUGAGUUGAUUUCUUGCCGUUUAGAAGGGUAGGAGUGUCUACAGCGACCCCAUUAUUUUACUCUAAUAGAAUGAUCACACAUUGUUUGGAAGCGAGGGGUAAAUACAUUAUCGAUGACCUUACUAUUUCGCCUACAACUUUGCCUAGUAAUAAAAAUAAAUAAAUAAUAAAUAUAUAUAUAUAUAUAUAUAUAUAUAUAUAUAUAUAUAUAUAUAUAUAUAUAUAUUUAUAUAUACUAUAUAUAUAUAAAUAUAUAUAUAUAUAUAUAUACUAUAAAUUGGAUUCAGAGAAAAGAGAAGAGAUAAGGAAAACCAGAAAAGGGUUACCUCUAGGUCCAGAUACUUGCUUAAGUGGAUUCCAUGGGUUUAGUGAUCGAUAUUCCCAAGGCAAAGCAUACAAUUUUGUUUUAUGUAAGAAAUAAGGUCAGGAGAGGUUUAGUCAUACAUGAUUAGUUAAGUUGUUGGAUGAAUGAAAUUGGUUGCUAAACUAGGAUAUUGCAUAUAAAGUACUUUUGAAGUUGAGAUUGAUUUGAUGUGGAAUAUUGCUGAGGUGAUGAUAGUGAGUUCUUAAAUUGUGUGAGUCCCUGCUGUUUUCAAAUCUCUUUCAGAGAGACUGCUCAUUGUUUUGCUUGAGGACAAGCAAAAGAAUAAGUUUGAGGGAGUUGAUAUACCAUAGAUUUUACCCACUUGGUAUAUAGGUGUUUUUAAAUACAUUAUAGCUGUUUUAGAGUCUUUUUAAUACGUUUUCAGGUUUUGGAGUGAUUUGGAGGAAAAAAAUGAUUUUGGUGCAUUUUGGAGAUAAAGUGAAAAGGACCUGUAACUCCUGUACGAAAACGCGGGCGCGGAGACCGAUUACGCAGCAUCGAAACGUUCGGCGGAGAUCAGCCGCAACAUUUCAUGAAAAUUUGUUAAAAAAUUGGGUUCACCAAAAAAGUUCGUCUUUUCAGGUUUUAAAUGCUUAAAUCGAGUUGUACAUGCGAGAUCUACGAGUUUGAUGAAAAAACAAUAAGAAAAACGAAAGAUUUGAGUGAAUGGUGAUAGACUAAAUUAGUGGCUAUGGUAAGAGUUGCAGAAACUCCAAGCGACAAGAAAGGAAGAAGAAGGUUUAAUUAUAGUUUUGCCAUUAUUUAAAGAAGAGAUUAAAGAAAACACGCUUCUAGGGCCUCAUAUCGAAGACGUGACAUAAUGCUUAAAAAGCAGCUAACCUUCCACCAGAGUACAAGACAAUAUGUGUUUCAUUACGAAAAUUGAUUAAUAUAUAUACAGUUUUAGAAAUAUUAAAAAAUCACUUAAAACUAGGCCCCGAUUAAUCUCUGAUUACUCUCCGAAUUUAUGUUAACUCGCUAGGCUUAGACCAGCCGUCUCACUUACGCCUAGCGUAGUUCCGAACAGGGCCCGUAACUGACCAUCGAACAGUCUGGCUGUCGAUGAUUGAAGAUUAUAAUCGAUCGACACAUACCAUGUGUUUUCGAUCGACGGCGAAGUGCGCAAAGACCAGACUUGGUUCCAGCGAACUUUUAAGCCCAAGUCCCAAAAGAAUUACCAAAUUUCCCCUGACGAGUUUUAACUUAAUAUUUAUGUGCUCUGUCAUUGUUCUAGGAAACACACGCUUUCAUACUUUCUUACACAGCAAAAUACUUAGAGUUUUAGGUUUGGAGAGAAGAUCCAAGACUCCUUCAGAGAUUUGUGAAUGGAACUCCAAGUUUUUCUACUCUUAUCUAUUCUAUGCAGUUUUACUAUUGUCUUGUUAUGAAUUGUUUAACUAUGUAUGAGUAGUUCUCUUUGUUAGAUUUAGGGUUCAGAUAUUCAUGAGGGAUUACCUCAAAAUAUGUAGUUGCUAAGUGUUUGGAUAUCAAUCAAUUGAACUGUUCUUUAAUGGAUGUGUUCUAAAGUAGCUGACUAGGACCUUGUCCAUAGAUAUUAGGGCGCAAGCGGAAGCAUGGUCAUUUGUCUGAUCUAGUUUACAUUGUGCUAGGAUUGCUAGAAAAAAGCGACAGCUGAUUUAGUUUAACCAAGUGAACAAGUCAAACCCGUGCGGUAAAGCUUACUGGAAGGAAUGUUGAUCAACAACUCAGUAGUUGCACCGAUCGACGGGCUGAAAGGUGUAUCGAUCAAAAAUUCAUAAUUGGUAUCGAUCGACACUUUUUCAAGACCAACAAGCGACAUCUGAAUAUAGAUCUGGCAAUAGAUAGUCUAAAUAUACGGAAGUUGAUCGACUAUUCUUUUAGUUUGAAUUCUAGAAUAUCCAACAUACACUUAGUCUCUAUAUCUCUAUAACCCUGAUUGUCUGAAUAGAAACUCUAAGUCUAACGCCUUUCAUAUCUGUUUCAAAACCCCAAUCAAUCAACCGAGCAAUUACCUUGCUCACACCAAUGCUAUUUACAUUUAAACAUGUUUUCCUAGCUAACCACAUAACUACUAGAUCUUUUGUGUGUCUUAGCUCCUUGUGAAUUUGAUCCUUAUGUGCUACAACUCGACUUCUUAUUUGAGAGAGUACAAAUCACUCCUUAGGAUAAUUUGAGUGAUAUCACUUACUUACAAUCUACGGAGGAUAACAUGUUUCUUAUAGCAAGCCAAGUAAAACAUAGUAUCUUAACACACAUUGUCAACAGGGGCCAUCCCUGUAGGCGAUCUAUUAAAGUUUUCAACUAAUUUUUUAAUAUAAAUUUGAGAGUAAAAAAUUUUCUCAGGGGAAUAUAAUUUUCAUCAAAACAUUUGGAGGCAUGUAACAAAUGUUUCAUUUACAUGACCCAUGACCGACCCUGCACAUUGUUAGAACCACAUUAUCUAUAUCUAAUCAAUUUUGUCUUUCCUUAUUUAAUAAUUCCCAUUUCUUUGUAGAAAGAAAGUUUAUGCAUACUGAACUAACGGUCAAUCGAAAAAUAUUAUCUCCCAUCGAAAACUCUAGCCAUCAAGAGAAAAAGAGAGAGAUUUUUCUUAGUUUCAAGCCGAUGACCGGAGGCUUCUAUAGCUCUGACAUCGGCUUGUUUGGUUCGUUUUGCUUCUUUUUUUUUUGCUUUACUUUCUAUCAUUUGAUUUGUUUGAUUGUCAAUUUAUUUUAAAUGCGGAAAUUUUAUUGUUCUUUUGUAUGUUUCUUCCAAUAGAUUUAGUAAGCCAAAAACUUCGGUUCAAUUGAACCGUUUAGAAAAGGUAAUUGACAUAUCUAAUGCAGAUGGUGGCGACGGGUCUUACCGGCUUCUCGUUGAUGGUUCUUCAUUUGAUGGUGAUGGAUUUUUUGCUGCAAACUAUGGUUACUCUGAAAAUGGUAAUCUUUUUGACUCUAUUAUUUUCAAAAGAGUAAUAUAAAGAUUUGUCUGGUCUCGGUGACUCCUACUGGAGUAUUAAAAAGAGAGUGACAAUCGUUCGCAAUUCAGUUUAAAUCAUGGCGUCUUUGGAUUAAUACGAAGAUUAUCUCAUUUGCGAUUCAACUAUUCCAAAAGCAAAUUUGAAGCUUUUAUAUAUAAAAUCUUUGGUCAUCCACUCGCAAGAUAAAUAUGUGUUAGUUUACUUUGGAUCCCUACUAAUAUUAUCAUUUUUCUAUAUUUGUUUGGCUAAUUCUCAUUGUUUAAUUUAUUUGCCUAAAAGGCUUAAUAAUACAAUUGAAAAAAAAAGAACUAACGGUCAUUACUCGAGACUACGAAUCAUAAAGAAUCAUGGUCGAGAUUACCCGGAAAAAAAUCACACAAUGGAAAGAAGCAUCCAACUCAACGAAGUAAAUGUAAGAUGAAAAUUACUUUAAAUAUCAUAAGUUAGUUACCAUUUUACAAAAUAUAUUCAAUGAAAAAUACUCUAAUAUUUGGAUUUAGGAUGUAGUGAUUAUUGUUUAGGAUUUAGUAUUCAAGGGGUGGGAUUGAGUUUAUAAACUUCUACAAAUAUUUUAUAAGUUAUUAUUAAGAAUUUAUAUAUUAUUUUAAAGAUUAGUUUAAUUUUUUCAUUUAAACUUAAAAUAUUUAUGAAAAUAGAUAUUCUUUAGAGAUAAAUUUUAAAAAUGGUAUCAAAUUUGUAUUUCAUCAAGUAAGAUUAACAUAUAUAGAGACAGUGUCGGAUUUAAUAUAUAUAUAUAUGCCAAGCAGAAAUAAGUAAUUUGGUCCACAAAAAAUUUAUUUACAAAAAGAAUGUAAUAAAAAUUGAGCUGAGGGCAUUCCCCAAUCCCCCAGUAGAUAUCUUUCAUUGGAUUUCCAGAUGUUUAGAGGUUUGCUCGUCGUGGUUUUGUGCCAGUCUGUUAUGAUUUCAGUUUCCUAUUAUGUGUUUAAUGUUAAGUGUUGUUUGAAUGUUUGUUUCCCUGGUUUGGGCUCAGUCUCCGGGAAUAUCUCGUGUUUCUUCCGGCUUUGGUUAUCGGGGACAGUCUUGUGGUCCUCCGUUUGUAGAAUCUUACUCUUGUAUCCUUUGUUGAUCGUAUUAAUAAAACCAGAUGAAAAAAAAAAUCCAAUGAGAGUCAAAUCUUGUGUAAGUAAUUACAGAGAAACAGAGAAGAACAGAGAGACAAUUUCAAUGGUUUAAACUCUUCAUUCUUAUUUCACUCAAGUCUUAGGGUUUUACAAGAUAGCUUAUUUAUACUAAGAGAACUUGUCUAGACCUAAAGGAAUAUCCUGUAGCAUAUUCUGCUUGGCUGUAAAGCUCUUCUCAAGACUCAUUAUCAGAGAGGAGACCAUAUCUGUUCUGAACCUUAAUGACAGAGUUCGUACUCUGUUUGUCUGUAGCUGAGGAAGCGUUGUCUUUACAUUUUGCUGACUUAGCCGUUGGAGUCUUUGAAUGUAGAGCUGUGGGCUUCACUUGUUGUCGAGGGCCCAUCACCUCUUCAUUCUUCAUGCUUGAUGGGCCUGUUAUGUUUACAUCUUGCGCAUCCUUCCUUGAUGAUCCUAACCAGCCUAGUACCACCAGAACUUUUGAAUAUAAAUCUUCAUCAUUAGCCCCUAAAAUUAUUAUAGAAAAAAAAUUUCAAACACAUGCUUGGCUAGUUUCUAUCAAGGAACAGUUCUUUGUAGAGAGUAAAAAGUGAAGAAACGAGAAAAAAAUGGAAAAAAAAAAGAAAAAAACUUGACUAAAUACAUAAACAAAUAUAUGCAUUGUUGUAAAUAUAUACAAAAUUUGACUAAAUAGAUACAUAAACAAAUAUAUACAAAAAUUACCAGCUCAACAUCAAACAUACAAGAAAUUAUUCAAAUGUCACUAACUCAAACAUAAUUGCUUGAAUAAAACAUUCACAAUAAAAACAUUUUAAGUACGUACUUUCAUUUUUUAAUUCAUAAGAAGUUGUUGUAAAUAUUCUUUUACAUUACCGCAUCCGACAUGCCUAUUGUCUUUAUAAUUAGAAUCGUAUACAACGACAAGUACAUAGCAUUUUUAAGACAAAGUACCAAACAUCCAUACACCCUUUUUUCUUUUGAACACCACCAUACACCCAUAUAUAUACAUAUAUACAAUACGGUGUCUUUUCAGCUUAGGCCUUAAUAUUUUAUGAGACACCAUCAGGCGCAACAUGGUCAGCAACUUCUUGAUCCGGCACUCUAUCGCCUUCCUCCAGCUCAAUACCAUCUAAUGGAUUCUGAAGAGGCCCAAUACAAUCUCGUGGAACUUGAUCUGGCUCAACGUAAUCUUGAAGGUUUUGACUCUGAUCAUUUCCAAGAAUCUGAUAUGCCUCUUGAGGAAGAAGCUCUAGGCCAGCAACAAAAAGCGGGAGCAAGACUAGAUAACGUCUACGAGACCUAUAUGAAAUUGCGGAGCCAAUGACGUGGACAAUGGACAACAUCAGUAAAUACGCGUUUAGUGUGUGCCAAUAGAGACUCCCAUCGUUUUUGUAAAGCCAAAACACUUGACCGCAUCUUCGUAUUUUCACUCCUCCUUCGAUCAGAUUUUGGAUUAUAUCGAGCAUAGUGAAGAUUAAUGUGUCACAAGCAGAAACGAUGCCGAAUAUCUUUGCUAGAUCUUUCUCCUUGUCAAGUAGCUCUAAGACAAAGCAGAGGAACUCAACGAGGAAUGCAACAGCGGAAUGUGGUCGAAGACUUUGCCUGAAAACCACGAGUCUGAUGGCCGGAGUUAGGAUCGGCAUUUUUUUAAAAGAAAUUAUAAUUUGAAACUAACAAAAUAUGAUAUCACGAACUUUGGUACGUGGUGCUUUUUAUAGUGAUGUGAAGGGAUGAUUAGCAGAUGAUUAGAGAGAUAAAAGUCAAAAAGUUAAGCUUGGAAAAUUCUGUGCUAAUUAAGAACUCUUCACUUUUCAUAUUGCAUAGGGAACCAAAGAAAGUUAUUUUGUAGUUUGCGUUUGAGGUCUUUGUUUUUGUUUAUCAUAGCAAGUAAGCUGUACACUACUAUAAGAAAAUGAAAAUCAAUAUUCAUUUAAGCGUAAUAUACAGUUUGCUGGUUGGUCAUUUACGACGUACGUAAUGUCGGCAUGUCAAAAUUUUGAAUAGGUGGUCUUAACUAAAUUACAUUUCUAUAAUAUAAAUACUGCUCAACUUAACCUCCUUGAAAAGCAUUGUCCGCUAUAUAUACUUUUUAGUCUAAAAUUCGUUUAUUCAAUAUUCUCAAUCAAAGAUAAUAACAUAAAAAUUGAUAUGAUACAUCGCAUGAGCCCUGGAAUUAUUAUCCGGGAUCCGGAUUCGAUCCAAGAUCCGUUCCGAAAAUAGGAUAUCCGGAAUGCCCAAAUCCUGAUCCAGAUAGAAAAUCUCAGAUCCGUCAAAACCGAAUCCAGAUCCCGAUAUCUUGAUUUUUAGGUCUAAAUACCCAGAUCCAGAUCUGUAUUUUUAGAAGGUUUAAUUUUAUUAAGAUUUAUUAAUACUUAUACAUAAAAUUAGUUUUAUAAUGUUAUAUUUUAAUUUUAAUUUUAUAUACAUAUGAAUAUAUUUAUAAAUCUUGUAUAAAUAUUUAAUUUAUACAUUAUUUUUAGAAUUUUAGUAUUUUUUUAAAAAUAUUUUUAAUUAUUUUUUAUGAGUCAAAUUCCAGGUCAAGAUAUCCGCGGGUAGUACAAUAUCUAGACGGAUAUAUGAAAUCUGGAUAUCCGGAAACCACAAAUAUGGACUCAGAUAUUAAAUCCACGGAUCUGACAAGUCCGGAUCCGAAUCUGGAUACCUUAAAUAUCCGGAUAUCCGGUUCCAUCCCAUCCCUACAACACAUCAAUAAAGUGAAAACAAGCUCUUGAGAAAAAAUCUAACCCGUUAAAAAAUAGGAAAAUUAUUACUGACUACAUGAAAUAUUGAUCAUCAUAUGGCUAACCAUGCAAACUAAACUAAUCUAUACUUACCUACACGAAGUAUAUGUUAUGCAUGACAACAUCCCUUAACUUUAUGAUGUUAAGUAAUUAACAUCACGAGUUGAAAUUUAUUCAUCCAAAAAUGAUGUGUAUGUUAGAGACCAUUUAAAUAUCUCGUUUCAUCAAUUAAAAUAUGAUGUACCUGAUGGUAAUUUAUCUAAAUUUGAUUUUUUUUCCGUGUUUUAAAAUCGUAAGAAUAUUUUUAAACAAAAACUAAUUUACAAAAUCAAUAUGUUUUAUAAAAUCUUGAUAAGUAGUGUUUUAGCAUAAACUAAUUUACAAAAUCAAUUUGUUUUAUAAAAUUUUGAUAAGUAGUGUUUUAACAUUUUUAUUUUAGGGUUUUCAAAAAUAAUAUAUUAUAUUAAAUAUUAAAGUUAUUUAAGAUAUUAUUUACUUAUUUUUUAAAAUUAUUUAAAUAUGCUUUGUUAUGAACUUUUAAUAAAAAUUUUGUAAUUCGCUUGACUAAUUGUAUUAUAUAUACUUAUUAAAAAAUUAUUAUAAACCUUAUUUGAUGUCAAUUUAGUUACUCUAUCAUUUUAUUUGUUUAAUAUGAAAUUAACUAAGUUAAUGAAUUAUUUUAUUUAUAUAUUCAUAAACAAAAAUUGCAUUCAUUUAAACUUAGUAAAACUUUCAUAUGAGAUUCUUAUUCUUUGAUUAUUUUUAUUCUUAAAAGUAUAUAAUAUAUGAUUAUAUAUGCAAGAUUCUGUUUUGUUUAUGUUGACAUCACAUAAGUCUUAAACAAAUAAAAUAUUAGAGUCAAUAAAUUGACAACAAAUAAGUUUUAUAAUUGAAAAGUUAUCAAAGAUGUAAAUAUAUCACACAAUUAAUCAAAUGAAUUGCAAAUUUAUUAUUAAAAUUUCAUAGCAAAACAUAUUAAAAUAAUUUAGAAAACAAAAAAAAAAAUCAAUAAUAUCUUAUACAACUUUCAUAUUAAUAUAGAUAAAAAUAAUACAAUUAUAUAGUUCUUUUUAAACAUAUUGAUUUUGUAAACUAGAUUUUGUUUAAAAUUCUUAUGAUUUUAAAAUACAGGUAAAAAUCUAAUUUUAGUUUAAUUCCAGUUGGGUCGGUCAUAUUUUCAUUGAUAAAAUGAUAUAUUUAAACGGUCUCUGGCAUCCACAUCAGUUUUUGGAUGAAUAAAAUUAAAUUCAUGAUGUCAACUACAUAACAUCAUUAAUUUGAGAAAUGUUCUUAUACAUAACAUAUACUUCGUGUGGUUAGAUAUACAUUAGUUUAGUUUGUAUGGUUAGCCAUGUGAUGACCAAUACUUUAUGUAGUUAGUAAUCAUUUUUCCUAAAAAAUAUGAUCUAACAUAUACGAUUACAAGAGAAAUCAAUGAUGAAGUCUAGACCAAAAAUUUGGUUGGAUAUUGCCAAUAUAUUGAUAUCAAAAUGAUCGUAUUCCGCAAUUUUCAAACAAUCGAAGUACUAUCUCGUACCACAACGGGCUACAAUCAGGUUCAUUGCCUACACAAUAAAAGUUUUCAAGACAAAAAUAUAUUAUUUUCUUUGGUUAGAUCUGUUCUACAAGAGAUCCUUUCAAAGGAGUUUCAUCUAGACUCCGUCAAACAACCUGUGAUAAUCACCACUACAAAGAUCGGAGCAAAACGAAUAAAUCACUGAUUAAAAAAGACAGAUGAAAACAAAAAUAUCCCUGGAAACUUUGAAAGAAACAACCAAAAUAAAGUUAUAACUAGGUGUUUUCUGCACAAAUAAUAGCUUUAAAAUUUUAUAUAAUAUUUAAAAAUAAAAUUUUGUUAAAUUUUAUAAUUUGCUUAUAAUAUUUAAUUUUGUGUAAAAUUAUAAUCUUGGAAUUUUUUUUAUCUAUUUCUUUUAGUUAAAAUAUAUUAAAUCCAACUCUAUAAAAUUAAAAGAAAAUUUUGUUAGGUAUAUAUUUAUCAAAACAUAAAACUAAAUAAUCUUUUUAAAAACUAAUGAUAAUGGGAUGAGAACAUUUAAAUUAAAAACUGCAUUAAAUUUUUUUAUGAUAUGUUUUAGUAUUAAUAAUUAUAAAUUUAUAUAAAAUAGAAUUAAAUAAUAUUUUGAAAAUUAUAAAAUGUUAUAAUAUUUCUAUUUAUAAUAUUAUAUUAUUUAUUGUUAUAUUAAUGAUGAUGUAUGAGUUAAUAUCAUAUUCUAAAAACUGUACUAAAAAUAUAAAUCAACAUUAAAUGUAAAUGUCCAAUUCAUAAUUAGCUUAAACCAUGUGGUCAUUGUUAGUAUGACAUGUCAUUAUUUUUCUUUUAAAAUCAAUAUGAUGAUGACACAAGACAAAUCAGUUUUCAAAUAAUGUCUAGGGAAUAUUAAAAACAAAUAAGAAAAGACUAUUUGAAGAGAAAUCCCAACAUUUUUUUUGUCAUUGAAUCAAAGUAGCGGGAAAGAUUCCACGAGUACAUAAUAUGAAAUAGAAAAAGAAAAUGCAACAAACAGAAAUUUCGUAAAGGACCAUUAUCCACGAAGCUUAUAUUAUAGGAUCUUCAUGAAGAUCUCUUAACCAAAGCUUCAAGAGAGACUGUGGAAGGUGGUCGCGUUCGCCUCCCCAAGAAUGAUGUUAGCUAACCACGAGGGACCACCAUAAGCGAUAUAAGACUGGAGCCUAUUCUCACGAGUGACAAUUUUGGCAAUCUCUUCAACCACUCCAUUUCUAUUGACUAGAGAAAUCCCAACAUUAGUGCUAGAAAAGCCGCCAGCCCAGGCACAAAAAGAUCUCCCUAUUUUAUUUAUAUAAUAAUUUCUUAACAAAUAUAUUUAGAGUUAUGUAAUUUUUUUUUUGUUAGGUUUGAGUUGCUUUUAAAACUUGUUCUCUAUCGGGUAAGCUCAAGAACACUAGGGUAUGGUUAGAAGUUCAUUAUCUCUGUUUCUUUACAAAAUUUGUUGUAAUUUGUAUAAUCUUUUGGAUUUGUCAAAUCUAAGCCAUGACGAAUAGAUACAACUAUGUCUUUUUCAACCAGUGGCGGAGGUAGAAAAAACUUCUAAGGGGGUCAAUUUCGAAAUUAGCAUAUAUCACAAGGGUCAUUUAGCUAAAAUUUGCAAGAUUUAUCUAGGUUUUAAAGGAUUAUACAUGUAAAAAAAAUUUCUUUUAUAAAAUCCACCUGGGUCAUUUGACCCACCUGCCAACACUCUGCCUCCGCCACUGUUUUCAACAAAACAUGAAUACAAGAGCCGGCCCUUGCCAUAGGCCAAUGAAGCAUGGACUUCCAGCCUUAUUAUUAUUAAGUAUAAUAUCGGCUCCACAGAAGUAACUUUAGACCAUUGGUUAAAUGGCUCUAUACUCUGUAUAUUUUAAUCAUUUACUUAAUUAAUUUUUAUUUUAAUACAUGCAGUAAUUUAAUUUGUAUGUCUAAUUAGUUUUUUUUUUGUAUUUUUAAAUUUGCCUCAUAUAUCUACUACAUGCUAUGAAAAAAUUCAAAAAUUUAAAGUAUAUUUUUAAUUAUUUAUUAAAUGAAUUAUCAAAAGAUUCGAUACCUUUAAAAUAAGUUAGGAAAUUUCUGUUCAAUAGGACUAAGUAAAAAAAUUAUGUAUCCUCUAGAAAUAUAUUACGACACAUGUAUGCAUUUUUAUCUUUCAUUUAAUUAAUUUUAGUAUGUUUUUAUAUAACGUUCAUAAAAUGGUUAAAUGUAACUUAUGUUUGUAAUAGUUGAAUAUGUAUUAUAGCAUAUGCAUACAUUUUUAUUUUUUGUUUAACAAAUUAGUUUUAUAGUUCUUAGGUUAUUUUAUAUAUCUACAUCCAUUCAAAUGAACAUUAAAAAUUAACAUAUGUUUUAAUUGUUUAUAUUAACUUUAAAUUAUUAGCCUAUAUAUCUAUUAGUUUUACGAGGGUUUGAAUAAUAAAGAAAGACAUUACAAAGAAAAAGUUUCCAAACUGUUUUAGUUUUGCUAUGAGAAUAUAUUUGUUGUCACAUUUCAUACUUACCAUCGGCGAUUUACUUUCAUGUCUAUGAGUUUUGUUGUUGGCGUGUAUGUAUAUGCAUGUGUCUUGGUUUAGUUAUUCUAUUCCAUCUUAUGUGACCAUGUAUAACAACCAGAUUAUGAUCUCACAAAAACUUGUCAUGCGAUAAUGCUACCAUGGUGGAUGAUGUUGGUGAUUUUUGUAUGUUUCUACUACCAUAGCACAUUGGUACUGAUUCACAUCGUUCGAUCGGAUUUGAGACAUAAUAUCCCUUACCAGCGAUCUCCACUAAUGCCUAUAAAACAUGUGUUACUUUUCAAUGCAUGGUCAGUUGGACCACAAAGAAAUUUGGACAAGACAUGGUACAAUGUGUUUGUUUUUUUCUCAAACUAUUACUCCCUCUGUUCUCAAAAGAUGCAUAUUCUAGAAUUUUCACAUAUAUUAAAAAAACUCAUUAAAUAUGCAUUGUUUUUUGUGAAUAACAAUUUUUCAUAAUUUUUAGCCAAUAGAAAUUCAAUAAACACCAUUAUUGUUUUUUGAAACUUACAAUUUUUCAUAAAAUCAUACAUUGAAAAAGUAAAAAAUAUUUUUUUUUGAAACAAUUUUUUUUUCGAGAACAUAUAUCUUUUAGGAAUGGAGGGAGUAGUAUAUAAGUGUGUUCAUCGUUUUCUCGUUAAGCACUUACGUUUUAUUUUUGAGGCCAAAAAGAAACGUUUUUUUUGAAAAAGUGAAUGGUAAUCUUUGUUCCAAAAUUAUCUAUUUGGUAUAUUUCUAGGAGAGCAUUAUUCUAGUAUCCUCUACUUUUGGGGAUGAUUGGUAAGUGUUGUAGCUUUAUAUUUUUUGCUGUCGAAUUUAAUCUGUAGAUUUAUUUGCUGUAGCUUUUCUUGCUGUAGAUUUCUAAAGCACUAAUUUUUUGCUUUGGAAAUAAAGCUCUGUACAGCCAUAUUUUGAUUUUGUAGAGAUUUUUUUGCUGUGAGUUUUUUAAGGAAAGCAAAGCUCGAUUGGUUGAGAUAUAUAGUUGUAGACUAAAUUUUGGCUGUCCAGAGCAUCUACAGCUCCAACCAAUCAUCCCCAAAUUUGUGUUACAGUAUUAUGUCUCUAAUUGUAAUUCAUCUUUUUCAUGUACCGAUUAAUCUUACGGUGUUCUUCGAAGAUUCUAUUAUCGUCCCGUGUAUGGUCUAGAGAUGUAAUUUAGAUUAUUGAUUCCUGUAUUGGAUUUUGGAAUAAUAAUGUGUAAGCAUUGGUAGAAUAAAGAUCACUUGGAUAAGUUCAAAGGAAAACAAAAUGAAUUGUCAAAGAAAACUAUUGUAUAUUCUAAUUAACUAUAUAGAGAUUUUGAUGAAGUAUCCAGUAUUUUGAUUUUAUCGAAGAAAUGAAGUUCAAAUUUAUUAUAAAAACAUCUACAUAUUUAUUAAUCAAAGUAAUCUUGAAUGUAUUUUGAAGUGAAUAAAAGACAUAAUAUAUGAAGUCUAUAUAAUACUAAAUGCAGAAGCGCAUAAUAGAAGGGGAGGAAUGUUAGGGCUAGUCUCUCUCCUCUUCAUGUGGAGAUGGAAGCGUUAUCAUGGGCAAUGGAAUACAUGAAGAAUUUACGUCAAUUUCAGGUUACGUUUGCAACGAAUUGUUCUCAAUUGGUGAAGAUGGUUUCAGAACCAGAAGAAUGACCAGCUUUUGCAAAUUAUUUGGAAGAUAUCAACAUCCUGAAAGAGAGUUUCACCCGAUCAGAGAUUAUCUAUGUACCACGGAUGCAAAAUUCAAAAGCGGAUAGCCUAGCACGCAGUGAUAGAAAACAAUCGUCUUUCGUCGUUCACAUGGAUGCAAAUCAGCCGUCUAUAACUGAACUUGGAAAACAAUGAAAUAAAAGGGCCCUAUAGAAAAUGUGGUCAGAAAUUCAUCCGACGAUGACUGAACUUAUUAUCUUUACUAGAGAUUCUGCAAGACAUCUAAAAGGAUAAUUUUGUUACUCUGAUAUGAUGUAUUUUCCUCAAGUUUUGUUAUGAUUGGUGGGCCAGCCGAGCAUAACUUUGUAUAAAUCAGUUUGAUUUGGUUAAAAUUUGAAAUACUGGAAAAAGCAAACUAACCCACUGCAAGACUAGAUCAAUAAAUUUAUAUUGGAAUAUUGCUGAACGGUUCAAAACCUGAAACCGAGCGCGAACCAAAAACUGAAGCUGUCGAUUCAGUUUGGCAUGUUCUGGGUUCAGACCCAAAAGGCUUUAAAUAAACUAAUUGUAAGUUGUUCUUUUGGUUUGGGCAAAUUGCUGUUUUACAAAAUGCAAGUGAACUUACUUAAAAGAGACAAAUGCUUGAAGCGAUAAGUUACUACAACGUAGUAAGCACAGACCACAAUCUUUGCUCGCUCCUCGAUGAAGUAAAACAAAGAAGUUUCACAUUGUCACAAGACAAAAAGAAAUAAUAAUACGAAACUAAUAUUGCAUUGUCCUUUUUUCACCCAUACAACACGAGAAGAGAGUGUAUAUCUUCUCACUCUUUUCCAAAAUCAGCAUUAUAGUGUGAACUCGACUCGAGUUUCUUGGCCUCACUCAGCUUUCUCACCGCCUGCAAAAAUUAGUUGGUUUCGAAAUCACAAACUAAAAGAUAUUACAUACAUGAUUUAACCAAAUCUCAAAUAUACCUUCAUGAAAUCUUCUUGGAUCACAUAAUCUCGCUCUGCUCGGAUUGCAAACAUUCCAGCUUCCGUGCAUAUGUUACGCAAAUCAGCACCGUUGAAUCCCUUUUUGGGACAGGAGAAACGUUUAGUGAGAACCUCAUGUAGAGUACGUUUAGUAAGAAAAUUAAAACUAACCUCCGCAAGUUUGACGAUAGCCUCGUAUUCUAUUUCACCAUGUUUGGCGAUACCAGCUGCAUGGAUCUUGAGGAUAUCCAUUCUUGAUUGCUCAUUUGGCAAAGGGAUCUCAAUCUUUCUAUCUAAUCUACCAGGACGGAGAAGCGCCGGAUCAAGCACAUCGGGCCUGUUCGUUGCCAUUAUCAUUUUCACCUAAUACAUUUACACAAACCAAGUUAAAGAACAUUCAUUCACACUCGCAGACACAUUAUAGCAUUGAUUAUGGCUUUUAGUGUAUAAGCAAUGGUGCGAAACAGAAGUUAUAAGAGACAAGAUCCAAUCAAAGAUAUCCAACAGAUUUCAAGACAGCCAAAUUGCCAAUAUAUAUAUAUAUAACUUAACAAACACGAUCUUAUGCACAUAUAUGGCUUCAGACAUAGAGAGAGAAGAGUACCUUUCCGAGGUUGUCAAACCCAUCAAGCUGAUUGAGCAACUCCAUAAGUGUUCUUUGAAUUUCACGAUCAGCACUAGUUCCCUCGCUAAAACGACGCCCACCAAUAGCAUCGAUUUCAUCCAUGAAAAUGAUACAAGGCUAGCCAGAGGAAAAAAGCAUAUAAUAAAGCUUAUAGAACAGAAACAUAUACAGCCAUUAAGGAGGCAAGACUUACCUGGUGUUCACGGGCAUAGUUAAACAUCUCCCGAAUCAGCCUAGCACUUUCUCCAAUGUAUUUGUCUAUGAUUGCACUCGAUACAACCUAACGAGAAGAAACAAUUUUGAUUAAGUAAGCCUCAGGAUAUGCCAUACCUUUGAGAAAAUCAAACCUUCAAGAAGUUGGCAUCGAUGUUGCUGGCAAUAGCCCUAGCUAGUAGAGUUUUCCCGGUACCCGGAGGUCCAUACAGAAGAACUCCCUGCAUUUAUAUAUAUUUUAAUUAGCUAAAAUGUCAAAGAAGAUGGAAGAGUGAGUAUACCUUUGGUGGUUUGAUCCCAACUCGGAGGAAAAGUUCAGGGUUCAUGAGAGGAAGCUCAAUAGAUUCCCUGAGUUCUCUGAUCUGAUCACCUAACCCUCCCACAGCGGAGUAGCUAAUGUUGCCAGGGUCUUCGUGCAGCAUGUUAUACACAACGGGAUCGACCUACAAUCGAAAACGAAAUACAACAUUAGUAAGAGUAGUCAUAUCAAAAAAAAGAAAAGAAAAGGAAGUUACUUCUCUGGGAAGGGCUCUCAUAAUAGUAAGAGUAGUCAUAUCAAGAACCACUCGAGUUCCAGAGGUAAGCUUCUCCUUAUCCACUUUGCUACGGCAUCCCACCACAUACCUAGGACCGCUGCUCGCUUUCACAAUCACUAAGGGGAACAAUAACAAUCAGACACCAUAAAGAUUGAGUGAGCCAAAAAGAGAGAAAGGUUACAUCUUUCAUUAUCGAGAGGUCGAAGGACUUCUCCGAUGAUCUGGCCCACACUCUGAAGAGACUUGAGAUCGUCCUCAGUUUUGUUGAAUUCCUUUUUCGAUCCUCUCAAGUUCUCCCUCGCUGCACAUUGCACAAACGAACUCGAGUCACUAAGAAAUAUCAAAAGCCUUCAGAUCUACACCCAAAAGAAGAAGCCUCACCUGUUCGAACUCGGGACUCGAGCUCCUUAUGUUGGAGGAGCUUUUUCCGAUAAUCCGCAACCGCUGCGGUACGGCGUCUAACGGCUUCUUCCCCGUCGCUCAUCCUCUUCUGCAGCGGACAGAUCUCACACCAACGAAACUUUGUUCUAUCUAACUUUUCUUGAGCAAUGGGUUUGGUUUAGUCGAAUGCCUAAAAUACGGAUUGCUCUUCUUCUCUACGACCCGGCCAAUGAAACGCCCUCGUUUUUUCCUUUCUAGCCUUUUACCUUUUUUUUUUUUUUAACUCUAAAAUUUUUAGUUAAUUACUAGAUUAACUUCUUAUCAUCGAUACAAUUUAGUUUAAGUGGAUGAAGACAAAAACCCAUACCAGCUACAAAAUAUUACAAAACUGGCAUUCACAGUUUUUUUGUUUACUAGAUUUUUCGUUAAAAAAUCCAAAUAGACAUGACACAAUCACACAACUGAUAUGACUAUAAAGAAAAGGCUUAACAGAUUUACAUAAGAUUUUAAAUAAAACCAAGGCACAAAAUGAGAUAGCAACUGAAUAGUCUUCACCCACAGCCAUGUUCGUUUUAUCAACGCUGCGACAAGGGGCUGCGGCUCUAAAUUAUCUCUACGGUUUGGAGAGCAGAUCACAGCCCAGACAAAACGGAUUUGCUUAUUCCGACGCCGCGGCAAAUCACAACCAGUAAAGAAAACGCUCAAAAUAUCAACGACAUCGGAAACUCUGAUUUCCUGCCUCCGAUUAUCAGCUUGCGACUAACGGCGUUUUUAAAACUCAGUAUUUUCUUAUUUCACAGAGUAAUUGUUGGCCGCUUUCGCCAGUGGCGUCGUCUUUAAAAUGAACAUGGUUCACAUGUUAAACUUAAUCAUCAUCACAAGACACAUGUAGUACACAUAUUCUUCAUGCAUAAGAAGAAGUUUUUAGCCACUAAGCAAGUUGCACCUCUGUGAAGUCUUUAUAUGAUCUUAAAUAAGCUUCACAUCAAUAUAUAAUCAUAAACUAUCAAUGGAGAUCUUAAGGGAUGGAAAAGAUGGUAUUCACAGGUUGUUCAUUUUAUCUUGAGGGGUAUUAGACUUAUUAAACCGACAUAGUAAAUGUGAUUAGACCGAUAUUAGGAUUAUAGAUAAUUAGCGAAAGAAUACAUUCGCCGUAGUUGACUUGAUUUGAAUAAACAUAUCCUCAUUUUGUAUCAAACUUUCUCACACUCAUCAUCAUUCUCUAGAUCUCAAGUUCUGAACUUCUAAGAAAGGUGUCAAGAAGAACAUGUUUCAGAGGAAUCUCAUUGUUAGGGGGGUUAUAUGUUGCGCAAAGCAUCCAUAUCUCUAUCAUUUGGAGCUUUUGGAAUUAACGUUGUUAUCACUGCUGUUUUAUGCGUUCUCUUAAUAGAUUAUGUCGAGAUUCUACUAUAGUGGUGACAUUUUCUUUCGUUUUUAUCAAAAAAUUCAAGAUGAGUUUCACUAAUGGUCUCUUCAUUUAUCCUUUCAGCCGGCUAGUUACUAACUGUUAAGGAUAGUCAUAUCGUUGUCAUUAUUAGAAUAAUUUUCCCCGCAUCAUCUCAUUAUGAAAUGCUAUGUAUUUAGUCUUAACCUAGAGUAUCCUCCUAUGUAUAUAUUGUCUCGUGUACUCUCUGUUGUAUAAUAAUAAAACCAUCACAUUACAUGUUAUCAGAGCAGAUUUAAAAACCUAGCUGCCACUCUUCUUACCUCUUCUUCUCGUUUUUUCUUUCUCUGUUUCUCUAUCAACUCUGCUUUUCAAAAUUAUGUCUCUCUCCUCUUCUUAAACCGUGUAUGUGUUACACCUCAAACAAUUUUUAACGUCAACAUGUCUAAUGUUAUGAAGCUCACAGCAAGUAACUACUUAUGUGGAGCAUCAAGAUCUAUGCCCUCUUAGAUGGUGAUAAACUUCUGGCCAUCUUGACAGCAACACGGCGAUACCAGUUACCAUUCUCACCAACAAUGGUGUUUCCACAUCUCCAACCUUUCAAGUCUGGAAAAGACAAGAUCAUUUUAUUUUUAGCGGUCUCAUCAGCGCAGUCACACCAUACUCUUCAGUCGAUUGUCUCGACGGCCAAGAAAGUUGCAGACAUUUGGAGAAUUCUUGAAGCAACAUAUGUGAAACCAAGUAGGGGGAACAUUCAAAAACUGAAAAUUCAAAUAAAGAACUGGACAAAAAGCACCAAUAUUAUCGACGCAUACAUACAAGGUUUCACCACACGAUUCGACCAACUGGCCUUACUAAGUAAACCAGUUGAACAUGAAGAUAAGAUCGAGUACAUCCUUGGUAGGCUCCUCACCAACAACAUACGGGGUUAAACACUCCGUCUAACUCUGACUCUACAAUGCAAGUAGUAGAGCCGCAAGAAAAUAAUAAAACAGGUACUGUUAUUGGUUCUGUGCAGCUACAUGAACAGAAAUCUCCUACACCCACCGUAUCCUCUUCAUCCUCCCCAAUCCAGACCGACCAUCCCUCACCUUCAUCAACUCACCAAACUGAACCUCACCAAACACCAUCCCUAAUACCACCCGCACCUAGACCUCCACCAUUAUCUCAUCCCAUUACAAACGCUCAUGCUAUGCAAACCAGAGCUAAAACCAAAAUCACCAAGCCAGCCCUAAAGCUAACUCUUUUUGCCGCAACUAAAACCAAAAACCCAACCAUACCCACAACUGUGGCCCAAGAUAUGUGAGAUCCUAAUUGGAGAAACUCUAUGGGAGAAGAGUACAAUGCUCAAGUUCGGAAUCACACCUUCGAGCUGGUUCCACCGGUGCCAAAUCGGCAUGUUAUUCCUACUAAGUGGGUUCAUACGAUUAAGUUUCUUGCUAAUGGUUCCCUUGAUAGGUACAAAUCAAGGUGGGUAGCACGUGGAGACAACCAGGCAUAUGGCAUUGACUACGCGGAGACGUUCAGCCCAGUGGUUAAAACCCUCACGAUUCGUCUCGUUCUCUAAAUCGCAGUCACACGGUCAUGGCCUAUCAAACAGCUAGAUGUUAACAAUGCUUCCCUCCAAGGUACUCUUACGGAUGAAGUUUAUGUUUCUCAUCCUCCGAGUUUUGUCGAUCCAGAUAAACCACAUCACGUGUGUCGCCUCAUGAAAGCACUUUAUAGCCUCAAACAAGCACCUCGUGCUUGGUAUCAAGAAGUACGAAACUAUCUUCUUCAGAUGGGAUGCAAGAAUUUGGUUGCUGAUACAUCGGUCUUUGAAUACAUCAACGGGAAUCAUCUCGUCUACAUACUCGUGUACGUGGACGAUAUUAUAAUAACUGGCAACAGCAACAUGUUAGUAAUUGGCGUCAUCCAAGUUCUGGCUACUCGGUUCUCCCUCAAAGAACCAAAUGAUCUGAACUACUUUGUAGGUGUUGAAGCUACUCGCACCUCCGCUGGUUUUCAUCUAAUGCAGAACAAGUAUAUUAUUGAUCUCUUAACCAAGACUAAGAUGCUAGACGCAAAGCCAGUUACAACUCCCAUGGCUGUCUCAGCAAAAUUGACGCUUCGGUCGGGCACUGCAAUCGCUGAUCCUCAUGAAUUUCGUAUGAUUGUUGGGAGCUUGCAGUAUCUUUCCAUCACUCUACCAGACAUUGCCUACAGCCAAGCGUCUCUCUCAGUGUAUGCAUCGCCCUACCGAUGAUCAUUGGCAAGCAGCCAAGCAUGUCUUGCGAUAUCUAACAGGUACUCUCUUCCAUGGUAUCAUGAUGCGCCGCAACACACCUCUCUCUUUUCACGUGUACUCGGACGCUGACUGGGCAGGAGAUACAGAUGAUUACACCUCCACCAAUGCAUACAUUCUUUUUAUUGGUGCCACACCUAUCGGUUGGUCAUCAAAGAAACAAUCCGGCGUCGCUCCAUCAUCGAGUAUCGAGCAGUCUCGCCUACACAGCAGCCGAAAUGAAGUGGGUUUGCUCGUUUCUCACAGAGCUUGGGAUCACACUAGCCCAGCCUCCAGUUGUCUUCUGUGAUAAUGUAGGAGCAACAUAUCUUAGUGCGAACCCGGUGUUCCACUCCCGUAUGAAGCACCUUGCCUUCGACUUCCAUUUUUUACGUGAAAAUGUCCAGACUGGUGCCUUGCAUGUCACUCAUGUUUCCACAAGAGACCAACUUGCAGAUGCACUGACCAAACCUCUACCUCGCACGCACUUUACUGAACUGAUAAGCAAGAUCGGAGUAGUUUCACUCCCUCCAUCUUGAGGGGGCGUAUAUAGUAUGUAUGUAGAAAGGGUAGUAUAAUCAUUCAUCUAGACCUAGUAUACCUUCUGUAUUCAGUAUAUAUAUAUGUGUAUUGCACAUACUAAUAAGAGCAUUCAUUUCUAUAAACCUAUACGGAACUCACCCAUUGUUUCUGUCAACAAUUACAAAUAUUAUGUCGUCUUUAUCGAUCGUUAAACACGCUACCCUUGGCUGUACCCACUGAAGCACAAGUCUCAAUUUGAAGUUGUUUCCAUCACCUUCAAGCUAACAUGAGUGAAGUGAAACCAGUCUCUACACCAAUGGCCUCGUCUCCAAAGUUGACUCUCAUUUUAGGAGACCCUCUCUAUGAUCCGACACCAUUUCACAAGUUAAUUGGCAGUAUUCAAUAUCUUCAGUGUCAUGAGAUGUAAGAAACACUGUCUCAUGUAAAAAAUUAAGGCUCUGUUUAGUGUUUAUACAUGUUUUCAAAUCAGCUCCCAUUGUUUGUUUUUCUUUGCAUUCACCACAUUCUGAUAUGAUACACGACAAAGAAAUAUAAAACAUUAGAAGGAAACUACUGCCACCAAACGUGGUUUCAAGGCUUACAAGAUAGAUGAAGAUCAUGAAAAUGGGUACGAGUUAUAUUUUUGGGCGAGAAUGGUAUGUCAGAUGAUUGACAGAGUUGUUUCCAAAUGUUUUUUCCAAGCUUUCAGUGAAUGUUGUUUAGUGUGUCUCCUUUGAAAGAUAAGGGAAGAUGAAAUGUAUCCAUGAUAAACCGAUAAAUACCAUGUUUAAGAUUAAUAACAAAACCCAUUUUGUUUGAGUUUGUUAACAAUGAUGAAAGCGAAUGAAAUUUCGGAUGUUUUAUAUGUACAGAAACCCCCCAGGCAGCAGAAUCAACAAUUUUAAAUUAAUCAGAACAACAACAAUAAGAAAAUUUUUUUUUGAUGAAUUCUCUCUAUCUCAUGAGGAAUGAAUUCUUCAAUGAUGUUUGUCUUCUUACUCUUAAGCCAUGUUAUUUCUGCUAUGUGCCCAGAACGGCUUUGCGGGUGUACACUUGAAAACCUUGACGCUGAAUGGACUGUUCUUGCUCUAUAAAACCACACCAUUUCAAAAUCAGUACAUAUUCCAAACAUUAGCAUUCAAAAUAUUUGUGAAGAAACUCACCAUCAAACAGGUAUCGCCAUUGCAAACAGGGUACUCAUGAGGACAACAACUAGUAUUAUCAAAGCAGCAAGUGGCAGCUUCAAGAGGGCAACAUCCCCAACCGAAGCAGUACUUACUGUACUUGAAGAGACAACAACAAGUGUUUCCCUCUGGGAAAGAGUAGUAUUUGUCACACUUGGUUGGUGGCUUGAUGGGAGAUGGAGGGGAUGGUCCAGGGUUUGGUGGGUUCUAACCUUUCUUUCUUAUUGUUGUUGUUCUGACCUCCAUGGCGAUUCCACACUUUCAUGUGGGCUCUGCAAUGUUAUGUGCCAUCUUUAUGUAUCCUCUCUCUCCCCAGCUUCCUCCCCAUGAGUUUCUCACAAUCCAGUAAUCCUUUCCGUCCUCAGUUCCGUAACCCACAGCUACAACUCCAUGGUCUAACUCUGUUCCACAGGUUCCAUCAAAUACACCCUGAAGUGAAAAAAGGCAAAUCAAAAUCUUAGCAUCUUGAAAUAAAGAAAUUUGCAAGUGUUUACUAAGAAUAUAGCGUUACCAUUCUUUAAAUAUGUGAGAACAUGAAUAACUAAAUAAAUGUUUUGAAUGGUAAACCAUUAAUCAUUAAUAUUCCAUUGAUUCUUCUCAUGCUAACUAGUUACAAGUUAGGCUAUUUCAUACCAAAGAAUAGAGCUGUAAGGCAUGACCACCAGCUUUAAUGGCAAAACUAAUAGGCUGAUUAGCCAAAGCUUUCUUAAGAGCCGCCUCGUUGUUCUUUGGCACAUCCUCAUAACCGUCAAUUGUGACGACCUUUGCGUUUCCCUGCAAAACACGAGAAACAGAGGUGUUAAACCCAUUUGUAUUCGAUUUAAAUACCAAAAAACCUAAACCAACACACACUAGUUAACUAACCAUGUUCUGAUCACAACGGCCAUCCACAGUUUUGUAUGGACAAUCCUCUUCAGUAUCAAUACCACCAUUUUUAAUAAUGAACUCAAACGCAUAGUCUAUCAAAACUCCAUUACAGUCUUGGUUGUAAGAUGUGUCACAUUCUAUUAGUUCUUGUUCAGACAAAGAGAUUAAGUCUCUUGUCACAAUCUUGUUUAUUCCUUCCACACCUCCAAUGGGUUGAAAAUGCCCAACAACUCCCUAAACAAGAGAUUAAUUAAAUCAAAUUAGCCCCACCACUUGCUUUGAUUCUUAAAAAACUGAAAAUAUCGUAUGGGUUCAAUGACCAUAAUAGUUUCAAAGACCCCACAAACGGGGGGGGGGGGGGUAAAUUUGUCUUUUUGCAAAAGUUACAAGAUUCUUAAGAUAUUUUUCAAAAAAUUAUCAAAGAUAUAAUCAUUUUCAGAUUUGUAAAUCUCUAAUCAAAAAUUGGAAAAAGCUUACCGCAGCUUCCCUGAUCUUUGACGGCGGCGACGACACCUUCUUUUCUCCAGUCAACGGAAGCAGGAAGCGCGUCGCAACCACGCGGCUCAUAAUGAUCGCUGGUUUUGAGAACUCUCUUCUUUGGUUUAGCACCGAGGUAGAUAGAUCGGUACUUAUCGUUGGUUAGAUCAGCGAACCGGGUUAAACCGAGUUUGUAACUGAGGUUUUUGUUUUGUGUUCGUCGAUGAAACAAAGAUUGUCUUUGAAGAUCUCGAAUCUCUGAUCCGUGACAAGACCGUUGCUCUGCGUCAUCAUCAUCUUCUUUCCGUGUUUCUCCAUCCACUCCUCGUAGAUUUUUGAAACCUCGGCGUCGCUCCAGCCAUUGACGGCGGAGAUGUGGUGCUUCUCGUCGUAUGAGAUGAUCGACAUGUCGACAGCGUAUGAAACGCCGAUCAUCAUCGCUAGGAGAAGGAUGGUUACCUUUACGAACCCCAUUUUUUGAUAUUUUACAGAGAAAGAAGAAUACGAUUGGAUGAUUGAUAAGAGAUUGAUGAGGUUGUAUAUAAAGGAGAAUUUCAGUCGAGUGAUAGACUAUGGAUUUGACCCAUUUUCAUCCAUAGUUUAUAGGUGUUUUUACUAAUAUUAAAAUUAUUAUAGUCUAUUUCUUAUAUUUAUAAGAUCAGGAAUGUUUUGGAGAUAAGUGAUGAUUUUCGAGCAUUUUGUAGAGAUUUGGAGUAAGCACCCGAGAUGACCAUCCACUACAAGAAAAAUGUGUUUUUAUAGCGGACGAAUAACGCUAUGUAACGAUACGAUAGCAGUUUUUGAAGCGCUGUAUCAUCGCCCGUCAUAAUAGGUAAAUGACAUUACAUAGCGGUUUUUAGCGUUGCUAUUUUUUCUUCCGCUACGAUAGCACUUUUCAAUAUGCAAUUAAAUAAAUUUUAAUAGCAUGUCUUUAAUGCUAUUAUUUAUUUUAUUAACAGCGUUUUUGAUUUGUUAUUGUUAAAACUACUAUAACAAUUUGUUUCUGCUAUAUAUUGUAAAUUAUAUUUUGUUAAUUAUUUAUUUUAGAAUUAUUUUUCAGUUAAUAAUUUAAAAAUAAAAGCAUAAUUAAAAUUUAAAAUUAAUUCAGAUAUUUAAAAUUUCUUUAUUAAUAUUGAUCUGUAGCAAAAUUGGAAUACAAAAAAAAAAUCUAAUUAAAUAAUAAACCAAAAACUUUAACCUAAUUACUAACUAAACCAAGCUUUAACCUAAUUAGUACUAACUAAGCGCCACCCCAACACCACCACCUUCGUCGUUUCUUCAUCUUCCAACCCUCACCCGUUGCACCACCACCUUCGUUGUCGUGUUCUUCCAUGAUCUUCGUCGUCUUAUCAAGCCAUGACCUUUCUUGCCUUCUUCAUCUUCCAGUCCUCACCCGCCGCACCACCAUCUCUGCUCGCGACCAUCUCUGUCUACCCCAACGCCGCCCCUGCUCUGUCUUCCCCGACGCCGCUGCUCGGUCUUCUCCGACGCUGUUGCUCUGUCUUCUCCCACCUUGCUCUGAUUCUCCAAGCUUACGCUAUUGCUCUAGUCUUUCUCUGAAACCUUCUUACAAACCAAAAAUAAUUAAUCAAGUAAACAACAAAGAGGGUAAAAGAGAAGAAUGAAUACCAGAACAGAAAGGAGGCGGCACUUCGUCACAGGACAGAGAGGAGGCAUCAUGGUUCAGAGAGAGAGAGAAUAGAGUAGAUGGGAUGCUCCUCUUCUGUUGUUGUCUCACGACCUCCAUUAUCUGUAAGGAGAAGGAUACUGAGCGACAGAGAGGAUGGUGACGAUGAGUCUGUGACUUACAGAAACUGAAGAUGCAGAGAGAAAGAAGAUGAGUUUUGUGAGUCUAGACACUUACAAAAAUUUUGGAUCUGAAAACAAAAGCGACAGAGAGAGAGAGAGAGGAGAAGAAGUAGGAAUAAUCUGGACCCUUCAAAAAGUUUAAUCAAUGGUUGUGAUUACAUAAAGCAUGAUCUCCGUCCUUGUAUGUGAUUGGCCAGUUUGUGUUGACCAAUCAAAUUUUUGUAUUUGAUUCCUAUUUUUCUUAAUAACAUUGUUUUCUAUUUUAUUUUGUGUGUUUAGUAUAAAAAUAUUUUUGAUAUAUUUUUGAAAAUAAAAAUUAUUUUAAGAAAACGUUUAAAAUUUAUGAUUUUGUGAUGUAUAUUUGGAUAUAUGAAAUAUAGUUUAAAGUUUAUGAACUAGAGGAUUUAAGUUUGAAAUUUAAAAUUAAGGUUUAAAAUUUGGAUAUAUGAAAUAUAGUUUAAAGUUUAUGAACUAGAGGAUUUAAGUUUAGCAUUUGAAUUUUGUGGUUAUAUGAUUAAAAACUGAUUUGAUAAAAAAAUUAUAUGAUUUGAUAAUUUCAAAAAUAUUCAAUUUUUUAGUUUUAUAUCUAAGAUCUGAAGUUUAAGUAAUCUUAAAUUAGUUUAAAGAUUAUAUGAUUUUGAGAUUAAUUUUUAAACUGUAAUCUUAAAUUAGUUUAAAGAUUUUAAAUAAAAGAAUUAUAGUAAACGAAAUUAGUUUAAGGGUUUAAAGGUUUGAGUAUAGGGUUUGAGCCCAGGGUUUGAGAGUUAAAAGUUUGGGGUAUUGAGAUUGAGAUUAAAUUUAUGAAACAGAAAUAGGCCUGGGCAUUCGGGGUCCCAAUCGGGUUUCGGUUUUGUCCAAUCGGAUCUCGGUUUUUCGGGUUUAUCAAUAUCAGCCCCAUUCGUGUUAUAUAAAAAUUCGGUUCGGGACUGGUUCGGGUUUUAUCGGGUUCGGAUCGGGGUUAGUUAAUCUUCAAAGAACCGGUACAACCCGGUGUACUUUCGGGUUUUGGGUUCCAACCGGUUCUUCGGUUUUAAAGUACUUGAUUUAUACCUAUUUUGUAACCAAAACAUAAGUAAAAUCGGUUCUUCGGGUUUAAAGUACUUGAUUUGUACCUAUUUUGUAACCAAAACAUAAGUAAAAUCGAUUCAGAAAUAAGAAAAAACAUCAAACAUGAUCAUUCAAAGUCAAACGAAAGGUAUACGUUGUUAUUGAUAGAAAGAAAACUAAUAAAUGAAAUCAUAAAACGAAAAAUUAAGUUUUCAUGAAAUGAAAAAAAUUAUUCAAUGAAAAUAAAACCAAAAUCUAAAAAUUUCAAGCCUCAACCGCCACUUUCAACCAUCAACCUUCAUGUAGUAGAUAGUUAUUGUAGAUGUUUAAUAAUAUCUUAGUGUAUUUUGACUACAUAUCAGGAAUUAAGAUCAUGUUUGGUACAAGUUCCUUGUUGGCAUUUUGAAUGUUUCGGGUUCUAUCGGAUAUCCAUUUAAUUUUGGGUUCGGUUCGGAUAAUACUCAUAACCCGAAAUACCAUAAAACAAGAUCCAUUCGGUAUUUAUGUCGGGUUCGGAUCGGUUCGGAUUCAUUUUUAUCGGAUCGGAUUCGGUUCGGAUUUUCGGGUUCGAUUUAUUUGCCCAGCCCUAAACAGAAAUAGUUUUUGACUAUAUACUUAAUAUCUGAGUUUAAAGUAUAUGUUUAAAGUUUAGGGUUUAAAAAUUCGUUUACGGUUUAGGGAUUUAAAAAGAAAAAUAUAGCAUUUUUAAUUAUGUGCUAUUAAAUAUAUGUCUAUUAAACAUAUGCUAUUAUAGCAUUUUUCACCUUAAGUGUUAUGUAAAAUAUAGUAAGAGGAAAAGUGAAACAAGUACGAGAGGGAAAAUCAAUUAUUUUUUCCGCUUUAGAUAUGCAUAGCGUUUCAAAACUAAAAGUGCUAUGUAUACAAUGUCCGAAAAGUGUUUUGGAGAAAUUAAAGUCGGACCAACCUAACAUAGCGUUUGUAUUUUCGCAAACGCUAUCUAAAAGUAAGAGAUAUGUCAACAAUAGCACAAUCGAAAAAAACGCUAUCCCGAUCAGCUAUUAAAACCCAUUUUUCUUGUAGUGAUCGAGAUCGACAAUCGGUCGAUAUUGGAGAGAUAGAAUCGAUCGAUACACAAGUCAUGGUGUCUAUCGAUAGCAAAGCGCGCAGAAAGCCCGUUUGGUCACAGCCGACUUGAAUCCCAAGAUUUUACUAUUUUACAAGAUUGCCCUGACGUGUUUUACCCUAACUAUAUAAGCUUUGUGUUUCAUUGUUUUAUUGAUAGAUAGGAGAGAAGAUACAAAGUUAUAUUUUUUUAUUGGAACUCCAUUGAUAUUUAUCUUAUUUAUUCUAUGAAGUUUUUAUACCUAACCAUUGUUAUGAAUUGCUUAGCCAUGUCUGAGUAGUUAUUUUGUCAGAUUUUAGGGUUUAAAUAGGUUAGGAGGGAUUAACCCCAACUAUAGAUUGUUGAGUUGUGAUAAUCAUCUUUAGAAUUGUUCAUUAAUGCAUGUGUCUAGAUUAGCUACCUAGAACUUGCCCUAGGAUUAAUUGAUAAAAGCCAUAGCUAAUUCUCAUCCUGAAAACAUUCUAAAUGAACUUUGUUUCUUGCUAUGAGCAAGGCAAGAGCUGAUCUAGUGAGCUUAGUAAGCAUUCAUUCAAUCUGCGCAUAAAGCUUGACUAGAGCGCGUCGAUCGAUAUCAUACUUGAAUAAUCGAUCGACGGUGCAAAAGUUGUAUCGGUCGAUACGUGAUAUACCUUGGAUUUGACCCAUUUUUAUCCAUGGUAUAUAAGUAUUUUACUAUAUAUAUAUAUCUAUGUUUUCUACUUUCUAGGUAUGUUUUCAGGUUCAGGUGCAUUUCGGAGUAAAGCUAUGACUUUGGAGCAUUUUGGAGCUUAAAGGACAUUUCACCCGAGCUGACCACUUAGAGGUCGACGAGAGGAAGAACAAUCGAUCGAUGCGCAUCAGUGCUGACGAUCGAUAUCAGGAAAUGCCUCGACUGAUGAAGAUUAAUAUCGAUCGAUGUACGCAAAUACCAUCGAUCGAUGUCGAGACACCAGACGCGACAUUUUGAAUUCAGCAGACUUAAAAACCAAGGCCAAGCCAAAUUAGCAAAAUGCCCUGACGAGUUUUUAACCUAGUAGAAUAUAUACUGCCUAAGUGUUUUGACGGCAAAAGAACAGAGCUUUUUCUAGACCUAGUUUUGUUACAAGUUUCAUUUGGGAGAGAAGAUCACUUGUGAUUGGAACUCCUUGUUUCUAUUUCUUUUCAUCUAUACUAUGAGUUUCUAUUCUUUUAUUGUGAUGAAUUGCUUUGCUAUGUCUGAGUAGUUCAAUUGUUAGAUCCAUGGUUCAGAUAGGUUUGUGGGAUUAGCCCCAAACUAUAGAUCUGCCUUGUUGUGAUAUUCAUGAUAGAUUUGUAUUCAUUGCUUGUUUUAGCCUUGCUAACUAGAUCUUGAUCAUAGGAUUGCAUACUCAAACACCCUUGUUAUCCCAUCCUGACAUCUAUCUAUCAUAUUAGGAUUGCUAGAGAGGGCUAACCGCCAAUUUAGCAUCUUAGUAGGGCAUUUCAUACUCGCGCAUAGGCCUGGCUAGAACCCGUCGAUCGAUGUCCUCAACUGACAAUCGAUCGACGUUGGCAAAGGUGUAUCGGUCGACGUCUUAAUAGACCAUCGAUCGACACUCUCUCGUUGUCUGCAUACUAACCGUUGAGACACGAGAUCUAGUCUGUUAACCAGUGGUACAUGCGACAGCUGAUCACUGAGUUAAGCGAAUGAGCUCUAAUAUAUCAUGCAUGCAACAGUUAGGCAUCUAUAGGUAUUAUAAUCUCCAACACCUGAAUAGUGGCCCUGCAUCUAAUAUCAUUUCCAACCAAGUUACAUUUAUUAUUUACUCGCUUGUUACUAUUGCUAUUUCAUUUAAACAUUUACAACCUUUAGAAUUAAUAAACACUAGAUUUAAUUGUUCCCUAGCUCCUUGUGGAUUCGAUCCCUAAGUACUACAUCUGAACCUCUUUUGAUGAGAGUAACACUCCUUAGGGUAAUUUGAGUGGUAUCAAAUUUGGCGCCGUUGCCGGGGAGCUUUGAUCGCCAUUAGAUUUAGUUUUAUUGAUUCUUAUUCUUUUCUUUACCCCCUUUCUAAUAAUCUUUUUCUUGUCUUUUCAGGUGCAUGCCCAGCGGUACCAGAAGCAACAAGGAGAAAGACUUGCUGUUCUCAGACGAUCCUGCUCAUUUGGAACGCACCAUCCGUAGAGGUCAACGUUCCACAUCGCUCGACGCAACCACUUCGUCGUCGAUCGAUACGCACAACCAACCGUCGACCGACACCAGACCAUCAUCGUCGAUCGAUCCCAAUCGUUCGACAACGAUCGAUACUACACCGCGUACGUCGAUCGAUACCGUGUCGUCAAAAAUGGUAAACAUUAUUAUUCUAACUCAGGACGAGAACGGAAACCUGUAUGACCAGGCCGGUCAUCUGCGUAAUGCAACAGGUCAGAAAAUAGAUGCUCAGGGAACUGUAAUCCCUGAUGCUGAUGCUACAGGAGCUGCUCAACCUGUAGAUGAGGACGCUCGAUCGAAACCACUGGCCGACUACAAUCGCCCAGAUGAGUACUAUUCCAACAGAUCAGCUAUUCGACUUCCGGAGAUCCAGAAGCAGAAUUUCGAGCUGAAGCCUCAAUACUACACUCUCGUGUCGCAGAUACCCUACUCUGGGUUACCGCACGAGCAUCCUAUGGACCAUUUGGAACGGUUCGAGGAUCUAAUCGCUGCUAUUCGGAUGGAAGGAGUCCCCGAAGAUUACCUGCUGUGCAAGCUCUUCAGAUACACGCUGAAUGGAGAAGCGAUGCACUGGCUUAGGCAGCAACCCACAGGAUCUUUAACAUCCUGGAGCGACAUCAAGAAUGCUUUCUUACGAAACUUCUUCGAUGAGGCGCGCGCUGAAGAACUUCGGAACAAAAUUUCCACAUUCUCGCAGAAGGCUGGAGAGUCCUUCAAAGAUGCGUGGAUUAGAUUUAGGUUCUUCCAGCGAGACUGUCCACACCACGGAUUUAACGAAGUGCAGCUGCUAAGCACUUUCUUCCGAGGUCUCGCCUUACAGUAUCAAAUGGCUCUUGAUACGGCGAGUGAAGGAAACUUCACUACUCGGAAUCCGUUGGAAGCUGUGAGACUUAUCGAAAACCUUGCUAACAGCAGCAGCACCAAAAACACUGACUCUGGACGGAAGAAGUCUGUAGCCUCUAUCGGGAAGGAACAUAUGGACGAAGUAAGAGCUAAGUUAGAUGUGGUGCACGAGCUUCUUAGGAAGCAAGUCUGUUCAGCUGAAGGAGAAGUAGUAGAUAUGGAAAGAGAAGAAAAUGUGAAUUACAUCGGAGGUACCGGAUUCCAGAAAUUUGGAAACCAGGGCGGAAACAGAAACUUCUUUGGAAAUGGCCAAAGAAGUAACCAAAGUUCACAAUUUCAAAAACCCUUCAACAACAGCAAAAGCUACUCGAACUCUUACUAGCAAAAUCCACCACCCCAGACUCAGGAAAGCAAGAUCGAAGAGAGGCUUGAUCGAGUACUGUUGGGACAACAACAAAUCACUGUGGAUUUCAACGGUAAGAUAGACUCCGCCUACAACAAUCUGAACACCAAAAUCGAGACCUUAGGGACUCAGGUGAGAAAACUUGAAACCCAAGUAAUUCAGACGGGCGAGACUAUAAAGAGGCAAGAAGCUUUCGCUAGAGAGGCAGGAGCCGACAAAGGGAAACACCACGUAAAUGCCAUCAUAGAUGAUGAUUUCUGGCAAGUGGUGAGAAAUGAAAAGCUCGAGGAAGGAGACUUCGAAAUCGAAAGCUCCAUGAGUCUCGGCGGAUCCCAAUGGUGUCGACCGAUGUCGAUGAACUCGCAUCGAUCGACAGACCAUGAUGAAGAUCGAUGGACGGAUUACUCUAGUCAUCGAUCGACGUCGUCUGCCAAAUCGACUAAAUGCAAUGCGGUUCGAAUUCUAACUCAUGAAGAAUUCGCAGCUAAGCAUCUUCACCCACCCUCCCCUUUCUAUGAUAUAAUCGAUCGAUCGUUUGAGCCAACCAUCGAUCGACAGAGUGAGUCCGACGUCGAUCGUCACAACACACCUCCCAUCGAUCGACAGGCACCUCUGACAUACCGAGUGCGGUUACCCUCAAUCGAUAAUGAUUACAUCAACGCACUCAGACCACCACCUAAACCAUUAGCUAACCCACCCGAACCAAAACCCAACCCUUUAAAUAGUUCACCAGAAUCAGUUCAAGAAGAACAAGAAUCUGAAGGGAGAAGGUUAAGGAAAAGAAAGGAGAAGAUUCCUAAAAACCUUAAGAGGGAAGCUAACGAUAAGGAGAUGGAUGGUUUCACUAAAAGAGUCCUCAGAAUCCCAAUCGAAAAACCUUUUGAUGAAGCUUACUUCACACACCGGUUGUGGAUGUUCUUCAGAGAAACAAAGGUAACUGAGGAGGACAUUAGGAGAAUGUUUCAUCAAGUCAGAGAGAAGAUGAAACACAGGAUCACAUUGACGAAGAAGAGUGAUCCUGGGAAGUUUGCAAUACCAUGCGUAGUCAAGGGUGUUGAAUUUCCCCAUUCAAUGUGUGACACAGGAGCAUCAGUUAGUAUCCUCCCUAGGAUCAUGGCAGACCAGCUUGGUUUGACCAUCAAACCCUCAACGGAAUCCUUCACCUUCGUGGAUCUUUCAGAGAAACGAUCAGGAGGUAUCAUAAGAGAUCUGGAGGUACAGAUUGGUAAUGCCCUUGUCCCUGUAGAUUUUCAUGUCCUAGACAUCGAGCUUAACUGGAACUCUUCACUUCUACUUAGAAGAUCUUUCCUAGCUACAGUAGGAGUUGUAUGUGACAUGAACAAAAACAAAUUGUGUCUAACGCUCAUAGACCCAAACAUCCACUACGACCUCAUCCGACCUAAGGGAAAGGUCAUUAAUUAUGUGGAUUAUGGGAAAUAACUUGGCUUCAUUGGUGCAUGUCAUUGUGGAGCAGAGUAUGAAUCGGAGUACGAAACAGAGUACUCGGAAUCGAUCGACACCCCAACCUUUCCAUCGAUCGAUUCCAAUGAGUCAACGGUGACUGAUGACCGCAACAACACGUCACUCGACGUAAUGCACCCAGUUGACCAUUUCGCUUCACCUAAUCAUUGUUACCAACAUUUUGCCUUCUAAUCUCCAAGCAAGAGAGGACAUGAUGAUUAUUCCAUAGGCAGUUGGGCAGACAGUGGUUUCCAAGAAAGCUUUGCAGUUGACACUGUAAUUACUUCACCUAAUGAGGAACAUACGGAGAAAUACGUUGAGGAUUAUUGGAAAGAACGUGCAAUAGAAAUAUCUUUGCAAGAUGAAAGACUUGAAACACAUAAGUUCACCAACACGUUUCCAACAUCGUUCGACGCUGUGCACUCCACAUCGGUCGAUACCCACCCUCUCGAAAAUUCAGGAGCAGGAGAAUAUUCCCUCCCCAACUAGGUUUAUAGAUACCUAUAUAAAUCGUUUUGCACCCCCGAAACCACCUACACACAUCAGAGCGAACACACAAGCAAACAAGAUGAACACUCUUCCUUUUACAUCAACAGAAAAAUCCAUGAAGAGCAAUCAUCUCAAGAACACAAGUUCUGCAUAAAUUACUCUGCCAUCGAUCGAUGAAACUGUAUCUACAUCGACCGAUACUACUUUAAACCCUAAUCUUUAUAUUUCUAAAUUGAAUGAUUAUGCAAACAUUGAUUACAGUUUUCUAACACCUGAUGAAUUUGGUAUUUUGAGGGACCCAGAUGGCAACGUACGUGCAAUGGAUGGAAGGAUUUUACAAGUGUCCAGAGAGGACAUAGCAGACAUCCUUCAAGUAGCCAAUGGACAUUACAACCUAUUCUCACAGCAACGUGGCACUCCAGACGUCAUUCAAACAGAUCCUAACAACCACGCAGGAGUCGCCACGACAGAGAUCAAUCCAGAUUUAUCACGCCAACCAAAAGGGCAAGCAUCGAUCGACGGUACAACAGAGACAACGAUCGACAGGGUAACACCAACGUCGAUCGAUAUACAUGAACCGACAUCGAUCGACAGACGGUAUGAAUGUGGAAACCGCGCUUUUGACAUGUACGGAGCCAGAAAGUUCACUUGGGAACAAAGGGACGAGUAUGGAGUCUACAUAGAUGAGUGUGGACACGCACGAGGCGUAGCUGGUGAGAUGAUACCUGUCACAAAGGACAACAUCAGGAAAUUACUGGAAAGAGCAUCUCUUUUUGAAGAAAGCCACAUAUGUCUUCCAGAACAUGCCACUUCUUUCACACUCACAAGACUGGCACCAGAACUCUACACCAAGGAUGAAAUCGAUGAGAUGGUGUUUGGUAUUUGUGGAGCUCAAGAGAAACUGGGAGAGGAGCUCAAAUCAUUGGUAGAAGAUACACAUCAGCUAUUGGAUAGAGGCUACAAUGAGCUUUUCAGAUGUAUGGCAAAAAUGAGGACAGAAAUUGAGAGUUUACGUCAGCAACUUGAGACGGAAGCUACGACUUCAGCAUCGAUCGACGCACCACAUGCAACAUCGAUCGACGUCAGUCUUCCUACAGCCCAGAUCCCUGCAGAACCGCAAUAUUCAACUCAACACAGGGAUGAAUGGGAAGUCUCAUACAUCAACACGAGGAUAAACGACGUUUACUGCCCUCUCAACAACAAUGUGGACUGGCUAAGCACUAAAAUCGAGCUACUAUCAGCAAGAUCUGGACACCAUUCGCAAGAAGGACCAACAACCAGCCACAUCGAUCGACCCGAGUACCUUCACAUCGCUCGAUGCUAAAGUCUCAGCCAUGAAUGAGAGGCUGAGGACUUACGAGGACAUGCAUGACCGCUUUAUAUCACCAGUCAUGAUAGAUUUAAAUAAAUUGUCUAGUCAAUUACUUCAUGCCCAAAAGGAUAUUGAGAACAUUACUAAUCAAUUUUUUUUGCAGGCAAAAUCAGCAUCGAUCGACAGGCUACGAGGGCCUUGGAUCGAUGGCAAGAAACCUGUGGAGUUACUUCCGUACACAGCAGCAGAGGUUGACAAGAUCACAUCCAAGAUCUACACUGCUCUAGACACCAUGGAGGAACGACUUGACAAACGCUGCGAUGACAUAUACUUUCCAUUCGACAUCAAAAUCAGUGGACUAGACAACCACGCAGAAUGGCUACAUAAAGAAGUCAAAGCCAUUCAGAGGCAACUCGCAGCUCAACAUCAGAUAUCAGCAUCGAUCGACAGGAUACUAGCAAAAUCGAUCGAUGGCAACUCACCGAGAUCGAGCAGCGAACACAUAAUCGCGUCGAUCAACGCCGAGUCUACACCAAUCGACAAGCAGCUGAUACACAAGACAGUAGAGUCAAUGCAAAAGGAACUGACAGAUCUUUCAGCAUAUGCCUAUGACAACAUAAGCUGGCAUCAGGUCAGCAUUGACAACGUUCAAGAAAGGCUACAGAACAUCUCCAAUGUACUUGAGAAGAUGGAUGACAAAUGGACAAGAAAUGAUGAGGCCACAAGAAGUUUCAUUGCAUCUUGGUCCAGAAUGUGCAAAGAUGAUGUGGAUGCUUGCUUUCCAACAAGCAGCUGUUUCUCCACACAAUAGCCAAUCACCACCACAGUCAAGCUAAAUGACUAUAACCAAGCGCUGAGUGGGAGGCAACCCACUAUUAGGUAUUUUAUUUAGGUUUUAUUAGCUAGCAUUUAUUUACUUUCGUUUUAUUUCUUUCAGAUUUAGGAGAUCCAAGUAGGAGGACCUGAAUAUCGACCGACGACGAGACGUCGACAUCGCUCGACAUAGACAACCACACGAUGAUCGAUGUAACACUUUCAACAUCGAUCGAUAUCUAAUCCGGUCAGAUGUAUCUUCCUUACUUGUUACAUUUCGUACAUCAUGAACUAUUCGUCAUAACUUCGGCUGAGUUACACUGUAAUUUAAGUCUGGGGGGAGAUUUACUGAUAUAAUUUAUUUUAUUCUUAUGUAAAAAGGAAUUUUAAGAAAUUAUUCUUAGCUAUUGAAAAUAGGGACUAUAAUCUUAUAUUUAUUUAAACAUGAAUAUCUAACCAAUCUUUAGCACCAUUUUAGAUUUACUAAUUGCAGAUAGCACUAAAGAUGCUAAAGCGGAUCAACGUAUCAACUACACACUUGCCUUUAACCGUAUGAAGUAACCAAAGCUGAUUUCCAACACUAAACCUGACAUAACCGCUUGUCUUGGGGGAUGGUACACAUGGGAUCGGAUUCUUCAGACAUGUCUGGAAGGUAACGCCUGGUUUAGAUUAUUUAUCACAAUUUCUCUCUCUAAAUUUUGACCCUAGAUUAGUUAGUGAGUAUUAAAACAAAAAAAAAAAAAUAUAUAUAUAUAUAUAUAUAUAAGAUCUAUUGUUUAAUUAGGAUGAGUCUGAACAGGACUUGGUGGCUAAAACCAUUAAGGCUUGAUUCAUAAAGACUCAAAUAAAAUAGUUCGAAACAGGACUUGGAGGCGGAAAUUUUCAAGGCUCGCUUUCGCAAAGAACUCUUGGAUAUAGGUCAAAAAGAAGUGAACAGAACUUGGUGGCAACCAUCAUUAAGUUUUGAUUCAUGGAAGCCUGUCCAAUCUUGGUCACUGAUCCUGCAAUGGAAGCAGACUUUGACUCAAGAGAGAAAUUUAGAGAGAGAGAAACUAGGAACUAACUUUUACCUGCAGCUCCAGAUACCUGUCUGAAAUCCUUGCAUCCUGUGAUCGAUACUCCCAAGGUAAAGCAUUCACUUUAUAUUUAUGCUAAGAAAUGAAAUCAGUAGAGGGGAUGUCAGACGUGAAUUGAUGAGUUGUGUUAUGUUAGAAAUGGUUGCUAAGCUAGGAUAUUGCAUAGUGUGCUUUUGUGAUUAGGACUUUUUAAAUGUGGUUGCAAAAAAUGUUGAGGAAAGAUUUCUAUAUUUUAAAAUCUUAAAUCCCCAAAUAUUUUCAAACCUCUUUCACAGAGACUGCCUGUAUGUUUUGCUUGAGGACAAGCAAAAGAGUAAGUCUGAGGGAGUUGAUAUAACUUGGAUUUGACCCAUUUUUAUCCAUAGUAUAUAAGUAUUUUACUAUAUAUAUCUAUGUUUUCUACUCUUCUAGGUAUGUUUUCAGGUUCAGGUGCAUUUCGGAGUAAAGGUAUGACUUUGGAGCAUUUUGGAGCUUAAAGGACAUUUCACCCGAGCUGACCACUUAGACUUCCUCUCGUCGACUUCUAAGUGGUCAGCUCGGGUGAAAUGUCCUUUAAGCUCCAAAAUGCUCCAAAGUCUAAGUGGUCAGCUCGGGUGAAAUGCCCUAAGAUGCGCAUCAGUACUGACGAUCGAUAUCAGGAAAUGCCUCGACAGAUGAAGAUUAAUAUCGAUCGAUGUACGCAAGUACCAUCGAUCGAUGUCGAGACACCAGACACGACAUUUUGAAUUCAGCAGACUUAAAAACCAAGGCCAAGCCAAAUUAGCAAAAUGCCCUGAUGAGUUUUUAACCUAGUAGAAUAUAUACUGCCUAAGUGUUUUGACGGCAAAAGAACAGAGCUUUUUCUAGACCUAGUUUUGUUACAAGUUUCAUUUGGGAGAGAAUAUCACUUGUGAUUGGAACUCCUUGUUUCUAUUUCUUUUCAUUUAUACUAUUGAGUUUCUAUUCUUUUAUUGUGAUGAAUUGCUUUGCUAUGUCUGAGUAGUUCAACUAUUAGAUCCAGGGUUCAGAUAGGUUUGUGGGAUUAUCCCCAAACUAUAGAUCUGCCUUGUUGUGAUAUUCAUGAUAGAUUUGUAUUCAUUGCUUGUUUUAGCCUUGCUAACUAGAACUUUAUCAUAGGAUUGCAUACUCAAGCACCCUUGUUAUCCCAUCCUGACAUCUAUCUAUCAUAUUAGGAUUUCUAGAGAGGGCUAACCGCCAAUUUAGCAUCUUAGUAGGGCAUUUCAUACUCGCGCAUAGGCCUGGCUAGAACCCGUCGAUCAAUGUCUGAUAGACCAUAUAUUUUACCCAUUUUUAAUCAUGGUCUAUAAGUGUUUUAAAGCGUUUUAAGAUACAAUUAUUAUGUUUUGGAGUCUAUUUAGAGUAUUUACAGGUUCAGGGACGUUUAGGCGAAAUAUGGUGAUUUUGGAGUCUUUUGGAGCCUUUGGAGGUGCAGAGUUGCACAGACGCGUCAGAUGUUUAGCUAUGGAUGGAGACCUUUCAACCGUUAGAUUGAGCCCAUAUUUUGACACAAAAUAUAGCUUUGAGUCAGAUUUCCAAUGCCACUGGUCUCAGGUCAAUCAGCAUCUUGUAGCAGAAGUUAUGUCUGUUUUACUGAAGAGUGGUCAGUCUGCCUCGCGAGAGGAAGCUGCCGAGAAGAGGAAGCCGCGUCGAUCGAUGCAGCACUCUGCACAUCGAUCGAUGGAAAUUCCAGAUCAUGAGCCUUGUAUAUUUUAUGACCAGAAGUGACCACAAAUUACCAGAAUACCCUUGGACGACCAGAAACCCUAUUUAUGUUAUUUCUAAGCCAUUGUUGACGGCUACGCUUUCUACACGCUUUCAUUUUCAUUGUUUCUCUUAGAGGAGAGAAGGGAUGAACUUCUAUCAGACUCCUCCUGGAACUCCAUUGGUUUUAUUGAUCUGUUUCAUUUCAGUUUAUAUCUAUUCAUAUAUGAUUUCUGUUUUCAUGUCUGAGUAGAUCCACUUGUUAGAUCCAGGGUUCAGAUAGGUUUGUGGGAUUAGCCCCAAACUAUAGAUCUGCCUUGUUGUGAUAUUCAUGAAAUAUUUGUAUUCAUUGCUUAUUUUAGAGUAAUUAACUAGAACUUGAUCAUAGGAUUGCAUACUCAAGCACCCUUGUUAUCCCAUCCUGACAUCUAUAUAUCAUAUUAGGAUUGCUAGAGAGGGCUAACCGCCAAUUUAGUAUCUUAAUAGGGCAUUUCAUACUCGCGCAUAGGCCUGGCUAGAACCCGUCGAUCGAUGUCUUCAACUGACUAUCGGUCGACAUAGGCAAAGGUGUAUCGGUCGAUGUCCCAAUAGUACUAUCGAUCGACACUCUUUCGUUGUCAACAUACUAACCGUUGAGACACGAGAUCUAGCUUGUUAACCAGUGAAACAUGCGAUAGCUGAUCACUGAGUUAAGCGGUUGAGCUCUAACAUAUCUUGCAUGCAACAAAUAUGUACCUAUAGGAAUUAUAAUCUCCAACACCUAAAUAGAAACCCUAGAUCUAUCAACCAUCCCUCCAUCAAACUACUCCUUGCCAAGCUGAACAAUUACCUUGUUCAUCUUGUUUAUUGCUUUAUUUAUUACUUGCUUUAUUUACUGCUUUAAAACCAAUUAGCCUAGCUUAAUCAUAUAACUAUUAGAUCUAAUCGGUUCCCUAGCUCCUUGUGGAUUCGAUCCUUAAGUACUAUAACUCGAAGACCUAUUUUGAUGAGAGUAACACUCUUUAGGGUAAUUUGAGUGAUAUCAAUGUCCUCAACUGACAAUCGAUCGACGUUGGCAAAGGCGUAUCGGUCAACGUUGGCAAAGGCAUAUUGGUCGACGUCUUAAUAGACCAUCGAUCGACACUCUCUCUAUGUCUGCAUACUAACCGUUGAGACACGAUAUCUAGUCUGUUAACCAGUGGUACAUGCGGCAGCUGAUCACUGGGUUAAGCGAAUGAGCUCUAGUAUAUCAUGCAUGCAACAGUUAGGCAUCUAUAGGUAUUAUAACCUCCAACACCUGAAUAGUGGCAGUGCAUCUAAUAUCAUUUCCAACCAAGUUACAUUUAUUAUUUACUCACUUGUUACUAUUGCUAUUUCAUUUAGACAUUUACAACCUUUAGAAUUAAUAAACACUAGAUUUAAUUGUCCCCUAGCUUCUUGUGGAUUCGAUCCAUAAGUACUACAUCUGAACCUCUUUUGAUGAGAGUAGCACUCCUUAGGGUAAUUUGAGUGGUAUCAAUACGCCCAUUGGAAUAUCGAUUGACACUUUCUACAGAUCAAUAUAACGAGAGUUGAGAUCAUAUAUCUAGUUAAUAGUCAACAAGUCAAUGCUCGCAAAGGCUGAAAGACUUGUUGAUCAAAUAGUUGAGCUUUAGAUUAUCAUGCAUGCAACUCAUUAAGCAUCUAUAGGAUUAUAAUUCCAACUUUCCUGUAUAAAAACUUUAAAUCUAGCUAUUUCCUUUUUAAGCACCAAAACCCCAAAACAUCUGCUAUUGAACAAACACUUGUUCAAUAUAAAACUGCAAUUUACUUUUAAAAAUUCUUAAAACAUCCUUGCUUAACAAAUCUAUUAGAAUCCCUAGGUUCUAGCUCCCUGUGAAUUUGAUCCUUAAGUACUACAACUCGACCUCUUAUUUGAGAGAGUAUAAAUCACUUCUUUACGGUAAUUUGAGUGGUAUCAAAUUUGGCACCGUUGCCGUGGAGCUUUGAUCGCCUAUUUUCUAAUUCUUGUUAAGUAUUCUGAGAGGAUUUUUUUGUUUUUUUUUGGAUUUUCAGGUACAUGCCUAGCAGUACCAGAAGCAACAAGGAAUCUCAACUGAUAUUUUCACCAGAUCCUGCAAGUUUGGAACACACGAUCCGAAAGGAAGCGCGGUCCCUAUCGACCGACAACAACAACUCCGUGUCGCUCGAUUCUACUCAACCACCAUCGACCCAUACACCAGUCCCGUUGACAGAUUCUCGGUCACACUUAUCGAUCGACAACAUAAACCUUCCGUCGACCGAUACCCUUCACCCAACAUCGAUCGACAUUCCAUCUCGGACAUCGAUCGAUACUGAACCGCGAGCAAUGGUUGCGCCUUUGAUACUUGUUCGGGACAACAAUAGAGACCUGCAUGACCAGGAGGGUCAUCUGCGUAAUGCAGCAGGUCAGAGAAUAUUUGCUCAGGGGGGCUGCAAUCCCUGAGCCUGAUGCUAUUACUACAGGUACUGCCUUACCUGUAUAUGAGGCUGCGCAAUCCAAGACGUUGGCUGACUACAACCGUCCAGAUUGCUACUACACCAACAGAUCAGCCAUCCUUCCUCCUACCAUUGAGAGGGAUUUUGAGCUGAAAGCGCAGUACUACAAACUUGUAGGACAGUUGCCCUACCAUGGACUAUCCCACGAGCAUCCUACAGACCAUCUGCAGAGGUUCGAGGAUCUGAUUUAUGCUAUUAAAGUCAAAGGGGUUUCUGAAGACUACCUAUUAUGCAAGCUUUUCAGAUAUUUGCUUGCUGGAAAAGCUCUGCAUUGGCUCAAGCAGUUACAACCAGGAACUCUUAAAUCCUGGAGCGAAAUCAAGAAUGCAUUCUUAUGAAAUUUCUUUGAUGAGGCGCGUUGUAAUAACCCUCACGAGCAGAUAGAAUUUUGGUCGAGAAAAUUCUUUAAGAUCCGUUUGAAGCUUGAUCGAUCAGAAUUUAAAUAAAAAUCGACACGGUGAAUUAAUCUCUCGACGGGCUGUCUUUUGGUCGAAAAACCAUCUCUUGAUGGUUCUGGUCGAGUGUUAAUUAUUAUUGUUGAUUUUUGUUCAUGCUAGGCGAGUUUAUUCAGAGCAGGACGAGAUUCGAAUGAUGAAAAAUAUUUAGUCGAAACAGUCCGAAAAAUAUCGACAAAACUCUUAAAAUUAUUUCUGAACAGUCACAUGCCUUGCACCUUCUAGCCUACUUGCUUUCUCAGUAAUUAGGUCACAUGACAUGCACCUACUUAUUUACCUGCUUGCUCAUUAGAAGUCACAUGCUGGUCACAAGCUUUUUGCUUCAGCUGCUUGUCAGCUUUCUUCUUGUAAGGGAAAGGUGAGGUGCUUGUGCUGAAGCUGGUUGCCACAUGUUUCUCCAAACUACCACUUUGUGUAAAGAAAAAACCCUGAGCUGAAGCAACCCCAUAUGGUAUAAAACAUCUUCUUCUCUCCUCUGGACGUCCUGUUACUGCAAGAAAAACCAGAGAAAAUUCAGAGAGAAAGAGAGAAAGAAAAGAGAAAAUUCUGUGAGAAAAAUUAGUUGAAAAUUUCAGAAAAAAAUCAGGGAAGAGAAGUGAGUUUGGACGACCCUUUCUCACCAUCCUGUGACUUUAAUCAGUGUGUUCUGGUGUGGUUAAGAGCUGAAGGUUUGGUGUUCAAGAGUUUAGAAUCACCCAAGUUCUUUAGCCUUGGAUUUUAUCGGUAAGAACAUAUGGGUUUGAUGAGAUCAGUUUUGCUUGAGCUUCCGUUCUUGUUAGGUAACCAAAACGAUUUGGUCUGUUUCUGAUCUUGAACCCAUCAUGGGUAUCUUGUCCUGAUCAGGUUAGACGUGUGUUCAGCUUGAAGUUUAUAUCAACCAAGUUCAUCUUAAACCUUGAGGAAAUCGGUAAGCCAUAGCUACUAGUUCAGAGAAGUUUUGUUUGGAACAAGUGGACUGAUUUGUUAAGCUUCCUGUCCAGAUUAGUUUUUAAACCUGUAUGUGGAUUGAUCUUGGUUCAGUUAUGUGUCUUAGAUAUUUUUUUAAAGGCUUAUCUGAACUGAAUUAUCCUUCAACCGAACUGAACUGCUUUGAACUAAGCUGAGUAGAGUUUCUGUUGGAAUCAACCUGACUGAUCUUGUAUCCACACAUUCUGACUCAGGAGUGAAAUGGAGUGUUAUUAGUUGAGCUCGAGUCUAGUCUUUCCUAGCCAAUCUCAUGGAAUCAAAGGUGAGUCUAGAUAGAUGAUUGAUGAGUAGUGAAUGCAUAUUUCUUGAUUGAACGUACUGAUUGUAGAUGAUUGAUAGGCUUUGUCUCUUGAUCAAUAUUGAAUUGGUAAAGUGUUUACUUAGUGUAAACACUUAUUAAAUAUUUAUGAAUGAUCAUAGAGGUUUAUUCCAAACCUUAGUACUUGUUCUCAAGUACUAAUACAUAUGUAUAGUAUUAAAUAUAAUUAAGUAUAGAAGUAUUAAUCAUGUGAAGUCUUAUUAUAAAUCUGUCUUCCAAAAUAUUCCCGUAUGAACGAUGAUUACCGUGAAUUGGUCCUGCGAUAUGGAACAAGGUCAUGAAGACACGAUGAUGGGGUUGCACCCUGGAGGCCGUGUAACUGCAUGCAGCGUUAGAUGUUUAAUUUUUGAAUAUCUGAUGGCGAUGAUUGUGAUGCUAACUCGCUAGACUCGUUUAGCCUUUGUGGUUUCUCGGGUCUGGUAUAUAUAUAUAUAUAUAAAUAUGAUUAUGAAUGAUAUGAGAGACGGGAAUAGGAAGUGAAGUAUAUGAUUAGAUUCACAAUGAUGGAAGAAUAUUCCUUAUAUAUAAAUAUUCAGAUAUGGAAUAUAUUUCCACUGCAUACAAAUGAAGUUGAUUGCUUGAGAUAUUAUUAAUAUAUGUCGGAGUGCGGGACUAGGCUCACUGAGUAAACUAGUUACUCAUGACUCAUUUGUGAUGCAGGUAACCAAUAGGCGGGAUACCUUACUCUAGGACGGGAAGGAACAACAUUAGCCAGCGGUAGUUUUAUUAUCUUUGCAAAGUCACUUUGAUAUACCUUAUGUAUAAGAUUUGUUGAUCGAAAACCUCGAGGUUAAUUUAUAACAAAUUUUGUAAGAUGCUUUUGAAUGAUAUAUAAAGAGUAUUUUUAAAGUACGGGUUCCAUAUGAUAUUAGUCCUUGUCCGGUCGAACUAACUAUCGGGUAUUGCUUUUUCGGGUUGAAAAGCCUAGAGUGAUAUCUGAUAGGAGCGUUGGUGUUCUUUGGUUGUUGGUCUAAGGCGAUCAGAAGUAUUCUGAGAACCUUGGAUCAACCAUCGAGGAACAUCAACCGUGUCAUUUCCGGUCAACUACGAUCGGGGGUGUCACAAGCGUGCUGAAGACUUGAGGAGCAAGAUUGCCACAUUCACUCAGGAGCCUGCAGAAUCAUUCAGAGGCUCUUGGAUCAGAUUCAAGUCUUACCAGAGAGACUGUCCACACCAAGAUUCAAUGAAGUACAGCUACUCAGUACUUUCUACAGAGGCAUCGCGGUGCAGUACCAGAUGGCUCUUAAUGCUUCCAGCAAUGGAAACUUUAACACCAAGUAUCCAGAGGAGGCAGUCAAAGUGAUUGAAAACCUAGCAUCCAGCAACAUCACCAAGAACACUGAUUUUGAGAGGAAGAGAUCUGUCACCAUCCUUGGCAAUGAUCAGAUGGACUGGACAGUAUUCACAAGCUUCUCAAGAAGCAGGUCAACUUUGUUGAAGGUACAGAAGCUGUAGAGGGUAGAAUAGAAGAAGAAGAUGUAAACUACAUUGGUAGAGCUGGAUUCCAAGGAAACCAGGAUGGAAACAGAAACUCCUAUGGAAAUAUGAGUAACUUGAACCAAAACUCGCAGUACCAGAAACCCUACAACAACAGUUACAACAACAACAUGAAUUUUUGAAGUUCCUACUACCAGCAGCCACCGCCGCCUACUCAAGAAAGCAAGAUUGAAGAGAUGCUCGAUAGAGUUCUUGAGGCACAACAGCAAAUGACAGUAGACUUCAAUGGGAAGAUAUAUUCUGUCUACACCAACCUGAACACAAAGUUUGAGACUUUGAAAUCUCAUGUGAAGAAGAUGGAGAUAUAGGUUGUGGAGACAAGAGAUGCUAUUAGGAGGCAGGAAGCUUCAACAAGAGAAGUAGGGGAUGAUGUGAUGAAGCACCACGUGAAUGCCAUUAUUGAGGAUGACUUUUGGCAAGUGGUAAAGGAAGAGAAGCUGCAAGAAUGUGAUUUCGAGGUAGAAAGUUUGAUGAGUGUGGGAACCGAAAUUUGCACUGUCGAUUUCCGUUUAAAUAAGGAAACUAGGAAAAUCCUAAUUUCCCAGAGGACCCGGAUAUCUGCUAAUACCACACGUCAAGCAAUCAGAACACGAGAAUAACAACGAUAAAAAUAAGAAAUCGAAAAAAAAGAGCAAAGAAGAUCUUAUUCCGAAUUUGCGUAUGAGCGUUUACAACAAGGUAUAAGCCUGGUCUCGAGAGCUGUCGGCGAGAUUCCUAGUUCUAGCAACCUUAAGACAGCUAAACCUAAUUGAGUCGCAGCUCGAGAUAACAAAAAUGGAAAAUUGUCUAAAUUGCUCUAAGUGCUAAGUUCUCUCUGAAAAAAUCCUCCUUCACGCUCCUCGCCUAGGACUCCUUAUAUACUAGCUCCAAGGUCGGUUUACGCUUUUACUCUUCUGCCCUUAAGCCGUCAUAGCAUAAAAAUGGAGAUAUUCCAUUUUUUCCGAUCUUCACAAUUAUCUUCAAAACUUCCGUAUUUAUCCGCAGAAACUUGACAUUUAUCCUUCCUUGUGGACCAAGCGUAAACCGUGCUGUGGUUUACGGGCUUUUGGUUAAGAAAUCGCAGGAUGGAUCUCGAGUCGUGUUCUAGGUCCCUUUGGGCCGUCUUCCGACUCGAAGCGUUUACUACGAUUUAUUUCGAUAAGGAACGAGCUUUCCGCGGUGUUAAUCCGCAAAGUUUGAUCGAUAAUUUAGAAUAGCGGAAAAACUAGACUGAGCUUGCUACGGUCUUCGGGAGAUAGCAUUGAAGGUUUGACGAGAGUGCAUGGACUGGUGUCGUCUCGACGUUUCGGAAGAGCUCGGUCGAUACGCAGCGACCGAACUUUGGCUCGAGCCCGGUCGCUACGUAGCGAUCGAGCGGGACGAACGCUCGGUCGCUACGUAGUGACCGAGACCGAGCUUGGUCGCUACGUAGCGACCGAGCGUGGCGCGCCUAGUCGCUGCGUAACGACCUGUUUCGAGCUUUCGUCGGACGUCUCGUUCUUUCUUCCGCAAAGCUUUUUCGUAAGAAAGAAUCUAUUUAGAAAAGUAUUCAUCGGAGAAAUUCUUAUUUUCUUCCUCAGACGUUUUGAAUGUUAAAUUUGUCGCAACCGUUUUUGACCUCAAAACGUAGCGACCAAGCGGGACGAGCGCUCAAUCGCUGCGUAGCGACCGAGCGGGUUGGAUGCUCGGUCACUAUGUAGCGACCGAGCUUGGCUCGGUCACUAUGUAGCGACCGAGUUUGGCUCGGACUUGGUUGCUUCGUAGCGACCGGACAACGUGUAUGUGCGGUAGUUACGCAAUGACCGAGCUUGGUUCGUUUGCCUUGAGCCUUUAAAGAUACUUCUUCGUUUUUACGAAAAUUACAUUUUUCUUUUUACUAUCUUUUUCGGAAAUACGAUUUCCGAGGAUUUUUGGAUUUUAAUUCCGCCGUGACCGUUUUUUACCCCAACAAUGAGUUUCGGCGGGUCACAUUGACGUCGAUUGACACCAACCUUCGAGUAUCGAUCGACAUACACCAACCAAGAUCGAUCGAGAUGAUUACCGGAGCAUCUAUCGACAACACCUCCGGAUUCAACUGCAUCUUGCAAUGUCGUGAAGAUUCUAACUCACGAGGAGUUCGCAGCAAAACACCCACAUCCGCCCAGCCUUGACAAUGUCUGUAUCGAUCGACAUACCAACAUCAAUGUUGAUCGACCCUCAGAAGCUAAUAUCGAUCGACAACCUUCACCUCCUAUCGAUCGACGAGCCCCUAUCACCUACCAAGUGUAGAUGCCCAAGAUAGAUGUGGCACAACUAACGCACUUAGGCCCAAAUCUAAACCUUCAGAACAACCACCGGAGCCUGUCAGGACACCUUCAGAUGAUGGAGAUGAUCCUAUGGAAGAAGAUAGGGUUUCUACUGGAAGAACCCUAAGGAAAAGAAAGGAAAAAAUGGCGAAAAAUCUGAAGAGGGGGACUAAUGAAAAGGAAAGUUUCCAAAAAAGAGUCUUCAGGAUUCCUUUACAUAAGCCAUUCGAAGAAGCUUAUUACAGCCACAGAUUGUGGAUGUUUGAUAGACCAUAUAUUUUACCCAUUUUUAAUCAUGGUCUAUAAGUGUUUUAAAGUGUUUUAAAAUACAAUUACUAUGUUUUGGAGUCUAUUUAGAGAAUUUACAGGUUCAGGGACGUUUAGGAGAAAUAUGGUGAUUUAGGAGUCUUUUGGAGCCUUUGGAGGUGUAGAGUUGCACAGACGCGUCCAAUGUUUAGGUAUGGAUGGAGACCUUCCGACCGUUAGAUUGAGCCCAUAUUUUGACACAAGAUAGAGCUUUGAGUUAGCUUUCCACUGACACCGGUCUUAGGUCAAUCAGCAUUCUGUAGCAGAGGUUAUGCACGUUUUACUGAAGAGUGGUCAGUCUGCCUCGCGAGAGGAAGCUGCCGAGAAGAGGAAGCCACGUCGAUCGAUGCAGCACUCUGCACGUCGAUCGAUGGAGAUCCCAGAUCAUGGGCCUUGUAUAUUUUAUAACUGCGUGAAGCCCAGAAGUAACCACAAAUUACCAGAAUGUCCUUGGACGACCAGAAACCCUACUUAUGUCAUUUGUAAGCCAUUGUUGACGGCUACACUUUCUUUACACCAUUAUUCUUGUUUCAGGGUUGGAGAGAAGAUCAAUUCUCCUUCAGAGAUUGAUUGAAACUCCAUUGAUUUUAUUAUUGUUUUCUAUUCUAUUAUAUUAUUCAGACUAUGAUUUGUGUUUCUUCUAUCAUGUCUGAGUAAUUCAUCUUGUUAGGUUUAGGGAUUUCAUGAGCUUAAUGUCAAACUGAUAAUCAAUUAGGAUUGCUAGGUUAUAUAUAGAACUUCUACACCAGGGUGAUUUGUAAUACUAGGAUCAGGAAUCUUUUUAUUCAUAUGAAAGUGUCACUGAUUAUUUGAACCUAGAAUCAUAGAAAAAUUGAGAUGCACUAAAGUGCAGUCAAUUAACAGAACCCAAACCCUGCUGGAUUAGAUACUUAGGCGCAUAUGAGAAUUUGGUCUAAGAGUCUAGUUGAAAAUAAUCGAUUAGGUCGUUAACGCUUGUCUGAGAAAGUAUCAAUCGAUGCUCAGACCAUAGCAUCGAUCGACACUCACUUCUUGUUCGCAUGCGAAAGCUGGAACAAAGUCUUAGACAUCUGAUUAGUAAUUGCAUUGAGAGAUAGAUUACUUACUUAUUAAAAUCGAGUUCUAGAAUGAAUCUAUAAGCUAUUAGCAUCCUUGAAUUGUAGUUUUGAAUCUCUUGAUUGAUAAAUCUCUAGGUCUAGCUAUUUCUCCUUACUGUUUACAACCUCAAUCAAUCGAACAACUGUUUUGUUUACAUUGCUUUAUUUACUGUUUUAAUAUUGAUUACCUAGCUUAACCUUGAUUUCUAUAGUCUAUUGUGUGCCCCUGCUCUCUGGGGAUUAGAUCCCUAAGUACUACAAUCCAACCUCUUAUUUGAGAGAGUAAGAUCACUUAUUAGGGUAAUUUGAAUGAUAUCAAAUUUGGCGCCGUUGCCGGGGAGCAAGGAUUCACCAUUAGAGUUGAUUAAUAGGUUUAGUCUAGGUUUUAUUUACUGUUAUAGUUGCUUACUGAAAAUUUUUUCUUGUCUUUCAGGUACAUGCCUAUCAGUACCAGAAGCAGCAAGGAGAAAUUACUUUACGUCUCAGAUUCUACAAGAUUGGAGCGUUCAAUCCGCAAAGAAAGACGUUCCCCAUCGAUCGACAAUAACACUAAUUCGUCGAUCGACACUCGCCAACCACAGUCGACCGAGACACCGUCUUCAUCGGCCGAUACUCGCCCACCCCCAUCGACUGAAACAAGUCUUCUGUCGACCGACAUUUUCCACCCAACAUCGAUCGAUGCUUCACCUAAAACAUCGAUCGAUACUGAGCCGCGAGACAUGGUUGCGAAUAUAAUUCUUCUACGAGAUGAGAACGGAGACCUGCAUGACCACGAGGGUCAUCUAUGUAAUGCAGCAGGUCAGAAAGUAGAUGCACAUGGAGCUGUAAUCCCUGAACCAUCUACUGCUACUGAGGACGCUAAAGUUCUUCAACCGAGAACGAUGGCAGAAUUGAUCAGACCUAGUCAAAUCUAUACCAACAGGUCUGCAAUUCAACCUCCAGUAAUACAAGGUGUUGAUAUGAAAGCCAGAUACUUUUCUCAUGUGGCUCAGCACCCUUUUCAUGGUUUUCCUCAAGAAAACCCCUUCGACCAUAUUGAGACACUAGAGGAUUAUGUGUCUGGAAUACAUAAGAAUGAAGCAGCCACAGACUACAUCAUCUGCAAGGUGUUCAAGUAUUCUCUCUCUGGAAAAGAAAAAAUUUGGCUGAGGCACUUACCACCGGGGUCUCUCACUACCUAGAGAGAUGUCAGGACGGCGUUUCUAACUGAAUUCUUCAACGAAGGAAGGGCUGAUGAGAUAAGGGAUAAAAUUUGGACAUUCUUUCAGGAACCUACAGAAGCUUUCAGAAGCUCUUGGGAGAGGUUUAGGAGAUACCAAAGGGACUGUCCACAUCAUGGUUUUACAGAGAUUCAGCUGUUGAAGAGGUUCGUCAAGGGUAUUGAUGUACGAUAUCAUAUGAUGCUGGAUACUGCAAGCGAAGGAAACUUUGAGACAAGAACCCUAGAGGAAACUAAGAGACUGAUUGAGAACUUGGUAUCUAGCAACAGUGCCAAAAAUCUGGAUAUGCAUAGGAUAAAUUCAACUGUGAAGGAUGGCAACAAGAUCUUUGAGGCUGAGAUUGGUUCCAUACAUGGUCUCACUUGUGGAGCAAGCUAUAUGCCAGGAUGAAGAUCAGUGCGAUAUAGAGGAGAUGAAAUUUAUGCUAGAGAAGCUCUUGAAAGAACAGCAGGAGAUGACUAAAGAUUUGAAUCUGCAUUUGGAUUCUCUCUGCAAAGAGGUGAAUGAAAGAUUAGAAACCUUAGAUACCCAUGUCAAGAUGCUAUACACCCAAGCUUCUCAGACAGAAGAAGCUGUGAAGAAGCAAGAAGCACUUUUUCAAAAGAAAAGUACUGUUCAUCCGGGUACUGUUCAUCGAAGUACUGUUCAUUCGGGUAUUGUUCACCCGACAUCGAUCGAUACUGUUCAUCCAACAUCGAUCGACACUGUUCACCCAACGUCGAUCGAUACUGCUUAUCCCGCGUCGAUUGACACUGUUCAUCCCGCGUCGAAUGACACUGUUCACCCAGUUACUGUUUAUUGCGACACUAUUUACGCAGUUACUGUUCAUCGCGGUACUGUUCAUCACGAUACUGUUCACCUAGUUACUGUUCAUCCCGUGUCCAAAAACACUGUUGAUCAAGCCACUAAAGGACACCAGAGAGAUUCCUUCUUAGAUAAUGAAUUUGGGGAAAUAUCUGAGCAGGAGAAGCGGAAAGAAGAUGCUUUUCUAGUCGAAAGUUCUAUGUCUGUGGGAAGCUCGUACUGGUGUCGACCGACACCAACAUCUACACAUCGCUCGACAUCAUCGUCUGAGCGUCGACCGACACCAUCAGACAAGCAUCUAUCGACACCACUUUUUGGAUCAGACAAGACUGUCCAAAUUCAGAGCAACUCCGACUUCGCUGCACGACACCCACAUCCUCCCACCCUAGUUCGCAUCCGACCAAAUGACGUCGAUCGACAACAAGCUGAAAGAAUCGAUCGACAACAUCACGAGAGAAUCGACCGACAGGAACAUAUGAGCAUCGAUCGACAAGAGCAGCACAUAAUCGAUCGAUUUCCAUCCACGCCAUACCGAGUAGACUUGCCAAAUCUUGAUGCACACCGCUUGAAUGCCACUCAAAAUUCAUCUCAGACAUCAGUUUGCUUAGGGACAACAGAGCAGAUCAGUCAGCAAACUGAAGACGCAACAGAGAAAGAGCACUCAAUAUUAGCUGAAACCUCUCUCGUUGAGAUUGAUCAACACCAAAGGGAUGGAUAUGAACAUGUAAUGGAAAUGCAGGCAACGAAAGAAGGAGUUCAACGUGAGAAGAGAGUCAAAUCUAGGAAACCCUUUAUUCCCAAACACCUCAGGAGAGAAGUUAACAAAGUGGAACUUGAUGGAUUUCACAAGAGGGUGAAGAGGGUUCCUAAGGAUAUGUCUUUCGUAGAUGCAUACUAUAAGUAUAGACUUGGUAAUUUCUUCAGAGAGAGCAGAGAGACAUAUGAGGACAUUGAGCAACUAUUCAACAAGGUCUGCCGUAAGCCUAAGAGGACUCUGAAGAAGGAACAAGAUCCUGGAAAGUUUCUGAUUCCAUGCUCUAUACAAAACCAUGAUUUACCAAACGCCCUCUGCGAUACUGGAUCUGCAGUUAGCAUCAUGUCCAUAGACACUGCCGACCUAUUAGGUCUAAAGAUGGAACCUUCUCAAGAUAGUUUCAUUUUCGUGGAUAACUCCAAUGCAAACUCAGCAGGCAUGAUCAGGAAUGUUAAGGUGGAGAUAGGAAAUUGCACUAUUCCUAUGGAUUUUCAUGUUUGGAGAUUAAAUCAGGCAAGCCAUCUUCUCUUCUUUUUGGAAGAGCCUUCAUGGCUACAGUGGGAGCAGUUUGUGAUCUAAAGAAGAAUAUGAUGUGCUUGACUAACAUUGAUGAAGGAGUCUACUACGAUCCUGUGGACAAGACCAGAAGCAAGGACUUUAUCUCUUGCAUAGAGCUGUCUGACGAUGAAACACACACAGCUGAUUCAACUCGCGAGCCAGCAAAACCAGAAUCAGCAUCGAUCGAUAAUCAACCUUCGACAUCAGUCGACAAGCAGCCUUCAGAAUUGAUCGACACAAAACUUCCAGCAUCGGUCGACACCCUCCAUAUUUCAGAACAGGCCGUGACAGAAAAGUCUAAGUCUGGGGGAAGGACCAGGCAGAGGAAGAAGAAGAAGAGGAAAAAGAAUAUAGAUGCUGAUUUCCUGUCACUAGUCCCUUCACAAUUUCAGGAGGGAAGUCUUGCGUAUAGAGUGCGCUGCAGAGGAGGUCAUGAACCUUUUACCAAGGUUAGAGUGUUAUGUGAUUCAGAGAUGAAAGAUAAAGGGGAACUUUCAGCACGAGCUUUCAUCAACUGCAUCAACAAAAUGAGGAAGAGGGACACUGAGACUUGUCUUGGAGCAAGUUCACAUGCUAAUCCAGAAUAAAUCAGAUCUCCCGAAGUCAAGCUAAUGACUUAGAAUAAGCGCUGAGUGGGAGGCAACCCACUGUUAGGUUAUAGGAAAAGAUCUCAAGAAGAUGAGUUUGCACAAGAAUCGACAAGUUCUGCAUCAGCAUCGACCGACACUUAAUUGUGUUGAUCAAUACUCAAAUCAAUGGCAGGUAUACCCGCGAGCCUUGUUAAAUAUCGUCCUUAUGGUUUAUUUUCCCACCAAUCUUAGAUUGUAUAACACUAUUCAUAGUGUUGUUUAAAUUUGGGGGAGGUUCUACUAAUAUUAUGUUUGAGUUAUAUAUUUAGAAUAGGGACCCGAGUAGACGAUUGCCUUGAAUAUCGACCGAUUCGAGCAUGUCGAUAUCGAUCGAUAGUACAUCACCUGCAGCGACCGAUGGUAACUCUUUUCCAUCGAUCGACACUUAAUCUGGUCAGGUAUAUCGUUCUUACUUGUUGAAUUUUGUACUUCUGUUUCUUUUUAUUUUCACCUUACCACCGAUUGUGUUAUACUGAGGACAGUGUAAUUUAAGUCUGGGGGGAUUACUAACGUUUAUCUACCUUUAUGAAUCUUAUUUAAAAUAUUUUCAAAUUGUCUUUAUUGAGUCAAGAAAGGGAUAAUGAACUUAUUAGAUUCAUGCUUGUUAUCUAACCACUCUUUAGCACCAUUCUAGACUUACUGAUUGAAGAUAGUACUAAAGAUACUAAAGUGGAUCAACCUGUCAACUAUGUUCACACUUGCUGAGAUUGUUUGAAAGAACCGAAGCUGACCUCCAACCUAAUUUGACUUAACUGCUUGUCUUGGGGCUUGGUAUACACUGGAUCGGAUUCCUCCUUUAGGUCUGAAAGGUAAAAGUCUGAGUGAUUUCGGUUUCCUUAUCUCCUCUUUUUGGCAUCCUAAUAAAAUAAAAUAAAAGAUUGAGAUGAUUUUUUGCGGUUUAGAGGGGUAGGUACAUUACCGAUGACCCCAUUAUUCUACUCUAAUAGAAUGAUCACACAUUGUUGGAAGCGAGGGGUAUGUACAUUACCGAUGACCCCACUAUUCGCCUACACUUUGUCAAGAAAAAAAAAAGAAAAAAAAAUCAAAAAGAAGGUGAAUAAGAUGGACUGCAUCAGCAUCUUUGUUCAUUGGAAUUGAGAUAAAAAGGAUUCAGAGAAGGGAGAUAUAGAGUAAAAGAAACCAGAACAAGACUACAUGUUUACUCAGAUACCUGUUGGGGUAAGAGUCCAUGUGUCUUGUGAUCGAUACUCCCAAGGUAAAGCAUACACAUUUAUUUAUGUUAAGAAAUGAGGUUGGUAGAGGAGAAUGUCAGACAUGAUUUGCUA
RNAcentral lists this long non-coding RNA (421486 nucleotides) under Brassica rapa (field mustard). RNAcentral describes it as "long non-coding RNA (BRAP_LNC001303)". The stretch from base 219000 to 219081 matches the Rfam family "Small nucleolar RNA R20". Lineage: Eukaryota; Viridiplantae; Streptophyta; Magnoliopsida; Brassicales; Brassicaceae. The record is from RNAcentral.